RNAcentral lists this long non-coding RNA (360183 nucleotides) under Vitis vinifera (wine grape). Its description in RNAcentral is "long non-coding RNA (VVIN_LNC006210)". The record is from RNAcentral. Lineage: Eukaryota; Viridiplantae; Streptophyta; Magnoliopsida; Vitales; Vitaceae.
UCAAUUGUAGGGAAAUCGAAGCUUAUGUUGUUUAUGCUUGAGGAGAACCGCGUCCCAUUGGCCCCUCCACAUGAAUUAUUGACGCAUGGGUACGAGUUCAUAGAAACAGUGUAAAACAGGUUAGUGUUCGUGCUCAAUGGGACAUCGCAAGGAUGUUCCGCAUCUGCUAAGCUUCGGAGGCCGGCCAUGACUUGAACCGAUGCAUCUGUGUCAUUGUAUGCAGGAAGAUCAGGCAAGGAGGGAGGUGAAGAUGGAGUGUAGUAUCCCCUGUACUGUACAAUAGCUGUGGUGGUUGUGUUAUCAUAAAAGUCUUGAUAUUUCGGGGCAACAGAAUAAGUUAUAGCCGCCAUGUAAUAGUGAUCCGGGCGUUGGUUAGCUUCUAGUAAGACAUCGAAGGUUUGACCAGGAAAUAUUGUGAUAUAAUCUCGUGUCAAUGGUUUCGUGUAGCUACCAUCUGUUCCAACCACUGUCAUUUUAUGCUUAGCUAUGGCGAAGAAGAGAGCCUCGUGCAAGGCAGCAUUGAUUAUGCGAAGUAAAUAGGUCUUUCCAUGAUCCACCGUUAGCUUGAACGUGCCUACAAUUAGAAAGGGAAAGUUGUAUACUUAUGACUAGCCAAAAGAAAAAGAAAAAGUUUCCAUGAGGAUCUACCAAUCAUGAAGUGAUUGAUUGAUUAGGGGUGUAAAUUUGGCUCCAUAGUUUAAAAUUAUAUUUGGACUAGCCUUUUUUUGUGUGUUAAAUCAUGUCUUUACCAUCCUCAUAGCUAUAGCUAUGUUCAUGUUGAUAAGAAAAAGUAAUAUGGUUAAUAUACAAGAAAAUGAAAUUGUGUACAAUUUUAAAAUGGGAAGUUAAACUUUGUACCUGAUUUUGAGCAUGGAUAUAGAUCACCGGGUUGUCCAUUUAUCAAUAAAGCAUCAGAGGAGUUGGGGUCUGCUCCGGUUGCAAGCCCUUCAUCUCGAACCUCAUUCACAUCCCUUUUCCACCAUUCUCCUACAUUUCAACAACUUCAAUAAUUUUAGAUUUUGCUUUGCUGGUUAAUUCAUAAUAUGUAAAUUGACCUUUAAAAGUAACAACACUUAUACCUAAUAUGAUGGGGACUUCUGCAUUAGGUUUGUGAAAAGGAUACUUGGUUCCAUUCUUGGGAUAGAUGAUUAUAGCUCCAUGAACAGUGGCUCGGGUCCAGUCACUGUGGGCAUGCCACCAUAGAGUGCCUUCCUCAGUGGAAAGGAUGAUCUUCUGCGUAAACUUUGACCCUGGCUGAAUUGGGCAUUGUGUGAUAUACUCGGGACCAUCUGUCCAUGGAUAUCUAGGCAUGGUCACCCCAUGCCUGUGAAACCAUAACUAUACGUUAAAACUAGUACUAAUUUUCAAAGUAACAAAAGAUGACAUGCAACAAGCAUUGUAUUUCAAUGGAACUGAAGCAAAUAACCCUAAAGUAUUGUUUUAAAUUUGACCUUAUUUUCAAAGCAAUAUAUUGCAACCCCCUCUUAGAAAUAAAAGAAUGUAAGUCAUGUCUUUCUCUGAGACACGCACAAGACCUACCAGUGAAUGGUGACGUUUUCUUUUCCCCUGUUAUAAACAUCAACAAUGAUUGUCUCUCCUUUCUUAGCAUAUAUAGUUGGUCCUGGAAAUUGUCCAUUUACUGUUAACAUGUUCUUGGUACUACAAAGCCUUGUAUAUGAAGCUUCCUUCACCUGCAACCAAUUAAAAGUUAACCAUGCAACCUCAUCCCAAAAGAAAUAUUACAUGCAUGAAUAGUAGCAUCAAUACAUUCAUGUAAGUGUAUAACCAAUUAGAAAUUGAUAGCAUGCAUGAACAACUUAAUGACACCCAUAGCAUGCAUGAACGACUCAAUAACAGUAGGGUAAGGGGUCAUAUCGUAGAAAAUGAGAGCUAUGCUUCUCCCUAAAUAUCAUAAUUAGAAGGUGGCAUUAAGACUAGAAUCAUAUAUAAUAUUUACCACAAAAGUAAGCCGACGGAUUGAAGCUUGACAAUGGAUGCCGCCACCAAAAAGUAGAAACACCAAAAUUUGUAAGAGGAAAACCUUCAUGAUCAGCCACAUCUUUUUUGGAAUAAAAGCCUCGUCUCUUAUCCUAAACACAACUCCUUCAAUUUUCUUCCUAUUUUGCUGUAAUUCUUUCAUAUAUGAUUCAUUAUAUAGUCAUGAUAGUACUCUCGGGAUACAAUACUUCCUCUCCACGUGUCAAUAUAAGAGGAAGUGGUUCGACUACGUAUUGGUUUUCAACGUUCUUCCUCUCCUUCAAAAUAAUUAAUUAUGAUAUUUCUUACAAGUUACCUACACAUUAUUUUAGAAUAAAUUAAAAUAUUCUUUCACAUUCUUUCACAAGUCUAUUACUGAUUAUUUCAAGAAAUGUUAAUUAAUUAAAUAUAUGUAAAAUACUUUUAAAGCUUUGACCUCCCAGCUGAGUACCCUUAUCAAGAUUAGUAUAUUUUUCAUUGACAACUACUUUUAGGAAUUAUUUUUAGCAAACCCUUAUUAUUAGUCUUACUUGUUUUCGUGUUACUUAGGACAAUUAAUAGUGCAGAAUAUAUCGAUGACUUUGGUGGUUGGGGCAAAAGUUGUUUUCAUCUUGUUACUUAAAUACAAUUAGUCAUGAUCUUUGUUUUCGUCUGAACGGGACAAAGUUGUUUCCCAAUUUUUUUGAUUAAAAAGACAUCAUGAUGAAUUAAUUUGGUAUUCCAGAAAUUUCCAUAAAAAAUAUACAAAAAUAUAUUUUUUAAAAAGUUGAAAAUAGAAUACCAACAACCCCUUGUGAAUCACUUAAAAUUAUCUAUUGGGAAUUUGGGACUCGUACUAUCUUUUUUCUCAACAAAAACCGAUUUAAAAAAACAUUUUUCAAAACAAAUGCAAUCUAUAAUUUAUUUGUUCAUAUGAAUGUACAUCUUGAUUAAAAUGGUUUUAGCUGACUUACAAAAACUACUAUCUAAAAAAAGAAAAAUAAAAUAAAAUAAGAAAUAAUUCAAACUUCCUUGCUUGGUUUAUUGUAUCAUGUACAAAGAAAAAUCAUUAUAUAAAUAAAUUAUGGAAAGAUUUAUAUGUUUUUAAAUUAUUUAUAAACAGAAAAAAUGGUGAAUAAAUCUUAAGACUGUAAAAAUGUGAUGAAGUUAACUUAAACUCUUUUUAUUUUUUCACCUUCUUUCUCACAUUUCUUUUUAAACUUUUUGAAUAAAUUCCCAACUAUUUGUGGAUACAUAUUUAUGCAAUAUUUUGAAUGUAUAUUUUUCCCCUUACAAGAAACUUUUCUUGAAAAUGAAGAUUAUUUUUGCCUUAUUUUCAAAAUUGUGUUUCAUUUUUUUAAAUGUGAAAAUUACUAUUUUGAUUUCUAAACAAUGAACCAUUUUUAAAAUAUAUUUUAGAAAAUAAUUUUUCAGAUAUAUUAAUUGUGACACUCAAAGAUUAAAGACACCAUGGUCAUUUCACUUGUCCAACCCAAGAGUUCAACACAUGAAUCACCUUAACUAAUAAAUACAACAAGUAAUUGGUUGACAACUUCCUCAAAUUGAUUCAUAACAAUGAUUAUAGCAUAAAUAAAAAAAAAAUAUAAAUUUUUAACCAAAAACUAAUUAAAAAUAUCUAAAUAAUAAUAAAUUCAAAGAUCAUCCCAAACACUUUAAAGAGUUUUAGAAAUCAAUACUAAAUUCAAUCUUGAUUCAACUGAGAAUUUGGGUUUUUGGGCCAAAACAGGCUUUGUUUAUCAAUGGGCCACAUGCCCAUUCACGACCCAAUCCAACAUAGAAACCAAUCAGGAUACAAGCAAAAUGAGGUUUUUAAAGUAAUUUUUAUUUCCUUGCUCUUCCGAUGUGGGACAGUGCGUUUACGCUCCUAGAGCUUGAACCUUGGACCAAGGGUUCAAGGUAAGCAUUGUUGCACCAACCUAUUGCCAAUUGGUUUGUGCCAAGGAUUGUAAAAAAAUAAUAAAAGCGUCUCAAAUAUCUAAUAUUUUUUUAAUUUAUUUAAUAAACUUUAAAAUAUUAAUAUGUUUAUAUAAAAGAUAAAAAAAAAAAUACUAUUGAUUUUUAAUUUUAUCUAUAUUUAUAAUUUUUUUAAAUUAUUUUUAAUUUUAAUAAAAUAUAAAUUAUAUAUUUAUGAUGUCAUCGGUUCAACCGCGGUUCAACCACCAGUUCGACUACUAAAUCGUGAACCAGUAACUUUUCCGGUUCGCUGAUUGGUCCGGUUCUGAAAACAUUGAUUUCCCCUCAUUAAUAUCACUUGUACCCAAUGUUUGAAAUAUCAAUAAAUACGAAUAUAUUGGUAUUUGGAUUUUAUGGAUAUAUCGAAAAUAUUGGAGAAAUAUCGAUGAAUAUUUUAACAAAAAUACCCAUAAGAAAAAAAUGAUUUAAAAUUAAAUAUUUGGAAAAACUAAAAAAAAAAAUGAUAAAAUAAAUAAAAAUACACAUGUUAAAGUUACUUUUUAAGUGCAAUUGAUAUAGGUAUGGUUAAAGAGAAAAAUAUUAGUAAACAAAGGUAUGUAAUUUAUUAUUUAUCUAAUCAAAUUAAUUUUAAUUGAUAAAAUAUUUGAACUUAAUUAUUAUUAUUAUUAUUUUUAUAUUUUAGUAUAUUUUAAUAAAUUUAUAUUUUACAUAUUUUAAAAUAAAAACAUUCAAAUUAAAAGAAUAAAUAUAAAAAAUUUAAAAGUGAAGUGAUAGUAAUUUUUUAAAAUAAGAUUAAUAAGAUAAUGAUAAUAUAUUUAAUAUUAAAACUAUAAUUUAUUUAAUUCAAAUGCAUUUAAUAAUAUAAAAUAAAUGAUGCCGCAUAUAUGAAUUUUUAAUAUUUAUAUAUUUUUAUAUUUAAUUACCAUAUAAAUGAUAUUUUAAAAAAUACUUGUUAAGUGAAUAAUGGUUGUUUUUAUAUAUUUAUUUAUUUAUUAAUUAAAUUUUAAAAUAACAUAAUUAGAAUUAAUUUUUUUUGGUAAUGAACUUUAACAUAUUUAUUAUAGAUAUAUAUUAACAAAAGAGAAGAUGACCCAAUGGUAACUAAGGAAAAUAAAUAGAGUGAACUUAAAACUUAGGGAAUAAGUAGGAGUUCAUUUAAUUCAAUAAUUAAAUUCACUGUCGUGUUGCCCAUGACAAGCAAAAUUUUGCCGAAAUAGAGUGAACUUAAAAAUUAGGAAAAUAAGUAGGAGUUCAUUUAAUUCAAUAAUUAAAUUCACUUUCUUCAAAAAAUUACGCACUUUCAAUUUAAAGAUAAGCGAAAUUUCACCGAAAUAGAGUGAACUUAAAACUUAGGAAAAUAAGUAGGAGUUCAUUUAAUUCAAUAAUUAAAAUCACUUUCUUCAAAAAAUUACGCACUUUCAAUUUAAAGAUAGAACUAAAUAAUAUACUUUGCAUACUUAAAUUAUAUUAAUAAAAAAUUAUAAACAAACAUUUUACUCUGACUUAUUAACAUAAUAUUGUAAUGUCGAUAAACAUUGACAUUUUAGCUAAUCAGUAUGGAAUGUCAUGUCGACCUUGUCCAAUAAGAAAAAUUUUUCCAAAAUAGAGAGAACUUAAAACUUAGGAAAAUAAGUAGGAGUUCAUUUAAUUCAAUAAGUAAAUUCGCUUUCUUUAAAAGAUUACACACUUUCAAUUUAAAGAUAGAACUAAAUAAUAGACUUUGCAUACUUAAAUUAUAUUAAAAAAAUUAUAAACAAACAUUUUACUUUGACUCAUUAACAUUGUGCAUUGACUUUUAUUAUUUAGUAAAAAAAAAAAAAAAAACUCUCAAAUAUUUUAAAAAUAAAAAAUAAAAAUAUUUAUUUCAAACCAUGUAUAGUUUGAGUUUUUUUUCUUUUUCUUUUUUAUAAUGAAAAUAAAAAUAAUUUUAAGCUAUUGUAUAGUUAUUAUUAUCAAUUUUAUUUUCCAUUCUCAUUCUCUUUAUUACCUAACAUUGAAAUGGAAACAAACAUUCAUUUUGACUUUACAAUCCUCUCUGCUUUCAAACAUAAGAAUUGGAAUGGACAGAUUUAUUACUAAUCAAGGAAAACUAGGAAUCAAAAUAAAGGUCUUGUUUGGUAAUUGCUUUUGAAAAACAAUUUUUGAGAAUUUGUUUUUCUAAAAUUGUUCAAUAUCUUGUAAAAAAAAUAAAUGUCUAUUUGGGAACUUGAAAUGUUUUUAACCAGCUUUUAUAUUUUUACAUAUGUUUUAAAAAUAAUUUUUAUUUGUAGUGCUUUAUUUUUUUUAUCAUUCCCCAUAUUUGUAUAAUUAUUUUUAAAAUAGCCCUAAAAAAAUAACUUAAAAUAAUUUUAAAAAUGUUAUCUAAAAACAUCCUAUUAAUAGUUUUUAAAAGCAAAAAUCUAAUUUCUAUUUUUUUGUUGUCAAACAUGGUUUCCUGUUUUUUUGUUCUAAAGAAUAGGAAAUUGUUUUAAAAAAUGGUUACCAAAAAGAUCUAUUCAUUCUCAUUCCCCAUUCCCAUUUACCAAACAUGACCUUAGUGACUUAUAUUUUAGUCAGUUUUAUAUUGAUUUACAAAGAAAAAUCAUGCUUCAACUAAAUGCAUAUGAACUAAUAUUAGAAAAAUUAAUUUUAGUAGGGUUGAAAGAAAAUAAGUUAAUAUUAAGUAGUUGAACAUUGCUCAGUUGAGAAGUGUUCCUAAAUUUCAAAAGUAAUAUUUAUAGGAAAACUUCGGAUUACCUUUUUGGAAUACCCAAGAUUCGAAAAAAACAAUUGUUUUUACCAUUUAUUCUUUACCCUAAGUCAUAAAUGGAAUCACACUAAAAUCGAGAAUCACUUUGUUCCACAACACAAAGUCUUUCAUCUUCUUUUUUAGAAAACUUUUCUUCCUGAGUUCUCUCAGUCUUUCUUUUCCAAAGAAAAGUCUAUUAGGGUGAUUUUUGGGCAAUUUCUAGUAGUUUUAACUCCUAGAAACUGCUCCACCCUUGAUCUCUUAUUUGGUUGGAUCGGGUUGGGUCACCUUGACUUGAGCAUCCACCCAACUCCAACAAUAUUUAAGUAUUUAAUAAAGUAAAUGAUUGAAUUACUAUGAACAAGUAUAAUGAUCAAAACAAAAAUUUUACUCUUUGUUGUUUUAAUAUUAAAUCCAACCUCUAAUUGAACAAAUCAUUUACCAUUUUAAAAAUAUUCUUAAUAUCUUCAUUUUCAUUUUGUGUUUUUGAAAGUUCAUUUUUAUUUUAACUAGAUCAAAUAAUAUUUGCAUAAUAAUGCCUUUAAUCUACAUUUUUUAUGAGUAAUACCAAAUAAACAUCUCAACAAAUAUUAUAUGAGAUGAUCAUUAAUUUCACUAUCUUCUUUUUAUUUAUGUUAUUCUUCCUUAUCAAGUGGAUUUAAUUAUGUGUUGCAAAAUGAACAAGGACCUCUAUAGUUAUAAUCUCACCUAAAAAGUUGGGAAGUAUUGUGUGACUCACGUUUAAAAAAAAAAAAAAAAACUAAAUGGGUGGUUACCAAUAUGCACAUUUACCAGGAGUUAUAGCAUUUUUUUUUCUAGUGGUUCAGAUGGAAACAAUUUGAAAAAGAAAAAGAGAGUGCUAAGAGACACAAGGGUUAGAAUUGUUUUUCUUAAGGAUAAAAAACUAUUAAUGUUGUAUGGUGAGAUGUGUGCAUAAAAGCUCGAUUCAUAUAAGAGCUUUGAGGGAGUAAUUUUCUAGUGAUAGUGCAUCAUCCAAGUCCUCUUCCUUUCAUGGAUGUAGAUCAAUUUGAUCAAAGUACAUAAAUGAUUGUGUAAGUUUUCUUUUAUUGCACUAUUGAUUGAAUUCUUGUUAGUUUCCGCAUAUCGCAUCUUGUUAUUUUUUUUUGGGCAAGAAAGUUUAACAAGUGAUAUCAAAGCGGGGUUCGAUUAAGGCAGUUUAAGAUCUAGACGAUCUUAGAAUUUCUCAUCAAAUUUGAAGAAAUUUUCAAAAUGGCGACAUCCAAAUUGGAGAUAGAGAAGUUUGAUGGGAAAUGUGAUUUUAAUUUGUGGAAAAUGAAGGUGCAGGCUUUGCUUAGAAAUCUAGGUCUUAAUGAGGCAAUUAUAGAUACAAAAAAGAUGACAACUACAAUUACAUCAGAAAUCUUGAAGAAAGCAAAGAACACAAUAAUUUUGAGUCUCGGUGAUUUAAGAUUGAGGAAAGUGUCAAGGGAAAGUUCAACCUCUGCAAUUUGGAAGAAAUUGGAGGAGAUCUAUGUGGUAAAAUCACUUCCUAAAAAAAUUUAUCUUAAAUAGAAGUUCGUUGGUUUUAAGAUGCAUGAAGGGAAGUCGAUAGAUGAGAAUAUAGAUGAAUUUACUAAGCCUAUUCUUGAUCUUGAAAGUCUGGGUGUUAAGAUAGAAGAUAAAGACCAAGCAAUGAUACUUUUAAAUUCAUUACCAAAGAUGUUUGAUCAAUUGAGAGGCACUCUGAAAUAUAGCAAAGAUUCAUUAUCAUUAGAAGGUGUAGUAAGUGAAAUUCAUGAAAAGUAGAUGGACAUGAGGGCUGAAGGAAUAGAUACAACCUCUGGUGAAGGUCUUGUUGUACGUGGUAGACCAGAAAAGAGAAACAACAACCAGAAAGGAAAUCAUGGCAGAUCCAAGUCAAAGUCAAAGUUUAGAAGGAAAUGUUUCCAUUGUCACAAGGAAUGACACUACAAACAUGAAUGUCCAGAGAGAAAAUCGAAGAAAAAGAAUCAAGAUAGUGAAUCUGUAGAUGUGGCAAUAACUUUUGAGUCUAGGUGAUCAGGUAUUGAGGAAAGUGUCAAGGGAAAGUUCAGUCUCUACAAUUUGGAAGAAAUUGGAGGAGAUCUAUAUGGUAAGAUCACUUCCUAAUAGAAUUUAUCUUAAACAGAAUUUCUUUGGUUUUAAGAUGCAUGAAGGGAAGUUGAUAGAUGAGAAUAUAGAUGAAUUUACUAAGCUUGUUCUUGAUCUUGAAAGUCUAGGUGUUAAGAUAGAAGAUGAGCCAAACAAUGAUACUUUUAAACUCAUUACCAAAAGUGUUUGGUCAGUUGAGAGACACUUUAAAAUAUAGCAAAGAUUCAUUAUCUUUGGAAGAUGUAGUAAGUGCAAUUCAUACAAAGGAGAUGGACAUGAGGGUUAAAGGAAUAGACACAACCUCUGGUGAAGGUCUUGUUGUACGUGGUAAACCAAAAAAGAGAAACAACAACUAGAAAGGAAAUCAUGGCAAAUCCAAGUCAAAGUCAAAGUUUAAAAGGAAAUGUUUCCAUUGUCACAGGGAAGGAUACUACAAACAUGAAUGUCUAGAGAGAAAACCGAAGAAAAAGAAUCAAGAUGGUGAAUCUAUAGAUGUGGCAAUAGCUUUUGAAGGCUAUGAUACUGCUGAUGUACUCAUGGUGGAUGAAAAGGAUUUGACCAGUGAAUGGAUUUUGGAUUUGGGCUGUACAUUUCACAUGUGUCCUAUAAAAUCUUGGUUCUCUAGCUACAUGGAACUCAAUGAAGGGAAAGUUCACAUGGGUAAUAAUGAGGCUUGCAAGGUGUUUGGAAUUGGCUUAAUUAAACUCAGAUUACAUGAAGGUAUGGAAAGAACGUUAACUAAUGUGAGGUAUGUUCUAGACUUAAAAAGAAACUUGAUUUCUUUGGGUAUGCUAGACUUAAUGGGUUGUACAAUAAAAAUUGAGAAUGGAACAUUGAAUAUUUUAAAAGGUGCAAUGAUAAUGAUGAAAGGGCUCAGAAAAAAUGGCUUGUACAAUCUACAAGGUGAAAUAGUAGUUGGAACUUCAAUAGUAGUUGCAAAAGAUGGAAAUGAAACAGCAAAGCUUUUACACAUGAGACUUGGUCAUGUGAGUGAGAAAGGGCUGCAAAUCUUGAGUCAACAAGGGUUGCUUGGGAAAGAAAAACAACCGAGUCUUAGUUUUUGUGAGCAGUGUAUAUUGAGGAAGAAAACCAAAGUGAAGUUCAAUUUGAGUCGACAUACUACAAAAUGAAUGCUAGAGUAUGUGCACUCAAAUCUUUAGGAACCUACUAUAACUCAAUCCUUAAAUGGUGCCAGGUAUUUUUUUGACAUUUGUUGAUGAUUUCAAUAGAAAAGUAUGGGUUUUUAUAUUGAAAUCAAAUGAUGAAACUUUUGAGAAGUUUAAACAAUGGAAAGUAAUGACAGAAAAUCAAACUGGUAGAAAUUUAAAGUAUUUAAGGACAUAUAAUGGACUUGAGUUUUGUGGAGAGAAAUUCUCUAAUUUUUGUAGGAACCAAGGAAUUGUAAGGCAUAGAACGAUGAAAAGUAUGCCUCGGAAAAUGGACUGGCAGAGAUGAUGAAUUGUAUUAUUCUUGAAAGGGUAAGAUGCAUGUUGAUAAAUGCAAGACUACCUAUAAAGUUUUGGGCGAAAGUUGUCUAUACAGCAUGUCACUUGAUUAACAUAUGCCCUUCAAGUGACAUAAAUUUUAGAACACCUCUAGAAGUAUGGAUAAGUAAACCAGGGAGUUACCAACACCUUAGAGUGUUUAAGUCAACAACAUAUGCACUUGUAAAUGACGGAAAGUUGCAACUAAGAGCAAAUAAAUGUUUAUUUCUUGGAUAUCCUAUUGGAGUGAAGGGGUACAAGUCGUGAUCUCCUAAUUUGAGGAAAACAAUAAUUAGUAGAGAUGUCACUUUCAAAGAAGAUGAAUUGUUGGGUUUGGAAGAAAAAACAAGUGGUGAAGCUAUGGAUUAUGAUGUGAAAUAGUUGGAGGAGUUUCAAGUGGAGGAAUCAUAAGGAACAAAAAUUGGAACUAAGAAAACAAGUGGAGUCCAACAAAAUGAAUCAACUAGCGGUGGUCAACAUCAUGAAUCAACAACUCAGGGUGAACCAACUUACAGUUGUCAACAACAACAUGAGUCAACAGUUCAGGAUCAACAUUUGCAAGUUUAUGUACUUUUCAAGGAUAGAUUAAGGCGUGAGAUCAGAUUGCCUCAUAAAUUUGCACAAGCUAAUGUUGUUGCUUAUUCAUUGUAGACAACAAAUGAGAUAAUGGGUGAAGAUCUCAUUAGUUACUCACAAGCAAUGAAAAGUAAGGAGUCAAGUUAAUGGUAUGAAACAAUGGCUGAGGAGAUGAAUUCACUUCAAAAAAAUAGAACUUGCGAAUUAGUCAGAAAACCAAAGAACACAAAAGUCAUGGGGUGCAAAUGGAUAUAUAAGAAGAAGACUGGUAUUCCUACAGUAGAACCCGAGAGAUUCAAAGCAUGUUUAGUGGCAAAGGGGUACUCACAAAGAGAAGGUAUUGACUACCAAGAAAUUUUCUUCCCAGUGGUAAGACACACUUCAAUUAGAAUGUUGUUAGCGAUUACAACUACAGGUGAUUAUGAGUUGGAACAAAUGGAUGUAAAGAUGCCAUUUUUACAUGGAAAUAUUGAUGAGAAAAUACCGAUGGAACAACCAGAGGGUUUCAAAACAAAAGGAAAGGAAGACCAUGUGUGUUUGCUUAAGAAGUCGUUAUAUGACUUGAAACAAACACCUAGACAAUGGUACAAGUGUUUUGAUAGUUUAAUGGUUGAAAACAAGUUUAGUAGAAGUCAAUAUGAUAGUUGUGUAUACUAUCAACAAUUGAAAAAUGGGAAUUACAUCUAUUUGUUGUUGUAUGUUGAUGAUAUGUUGCUGAUAUGCAAGGACAUGGAGGAAAUCAAUAGGUUAAAAUUACUCUUGAACUCACAAUUUUUGACAUGAAAGAUCUAGGAUUGGCUAAAAAGAUUCUAGGAAUGGAGAUCAAGAGAGACUGAUCACAAAGAAAGCUAUGAUUGCUACAAACAGAUUACAUUGAGAGGGUUCUAGAGAGGUUUGACAUGAAAAAGGCUAAAUCAGUGGUGGCUCCAAUGGAAUCUAAUUUGAAGUUAAGUUUAGUUGAUGCACCAGAAACUGAAGAAGAUAAGCAGUACAUGUCUACGGUACCAUACACAUAUGUAGUGGGAUCCUUAAUGUAUGCUAUGGUUUAUACUCAUCCAGACUUGCAUAUUUUGUUAGUAUGGUUAGUAGAUACAUGAGCAAUCCAAGGAAAUUCCAUUGGCAAGUAGUCAAGAAGAUAUUGAGAUAUCUUAGAGGGACUAGUAAACUUGGAUUACUUUAUGGAGAUGGUUUAGCUGAAAGUGGAGUUGUAAAAGGUUUUGUGGAUUUAGACUUUGGUGGAAAUGUGGAUAAGAGAAAAUCAUUGACUGGAUAUGUGUUUACAGCUUGGGGAAGUGUAAUAAGCUGGAAGGCAAACCUACAGUCAAUUGUGACUUUUUCUUCCAUAGAGAUAAAAUACAUAGCUACAACUAAAGUUGUGAAAGAAAGCUUAUGGCUUAAGGGAAUGAUCAAUGAGUUAGGAAUUAAUCAAAAGGUUGUGGUUAUACACUGUGAUAGCCAAAGUGCUCUACACUUGAUGAAGAAUCAUGUAUAUCAUGAGAGAACUAAACAUAUUGAUGUUCGAAUGCACUUUAUUCGGGACAUACUUGCUUAAGGAUUUGUUGUGAUGAAGAUCUAUACAAAAAACAAUGCAGCUGAUAUGUUGACAAAAGUUCUUCCUUCAAACAAAUUCAGGCUUUAUUUGAGCCUGAUUGGAGUAGUUCAAGAGUAGAAAAAGCAUGUGGAAGGGACUUGAAGGUUUAUGGAUGCACUAAACUUAAGUCAAGUUGGAGAAUUGUUGUGCAACUCACGUUUGAAAAAAAAAACUGAAUGGGUGGUUACCAAUAUGCACAUUUACUAGGAGUUAUAACAUUUUUUUCUUUGGUGGUUUAGAGGGGAACAAUUUGAAAAAGAAAAAAAGAGUGCUAAGAGAGACAAGUGUGGACUCGCAUUUUUCACGUGCGUUCCCACGUAAUCAAUGAAACUCGCUAUUAUUGGUGAAAAAUUAGUUUUGGAAAAGUCGGAGUCACCACUUAUUUUAUUUUAUUUUAAAAGGAAAAAUAAAACAAGAAAGAAAACCCUAAAAAAGUGACUCCAUAGUUUUUGGAAAAACGUGUCUUUAAAAAACCCGAGUCUAGGUCCGGAGAUCAGGUUACCUAUUGGGAAGGUACCUCUAAAAGGUAGCACCCCUCUAAACCCUACAGAGGUCUCUACUGACUAAGUUGAGGGAAAUGUGACAAUUAAUUGGUUGAUUAUAGAUACCUAGGUAGGCUAGGUGAUUUAAAAAAUAGCAUGCUUAUCAAGAAAACCAAUCACAAUCAUAAAGAAGAUUCAGGGUGUGUACCUGGACGCCUUCUUAAGUGCUAUCACAAGACAUCAAUGGUUAGUUUGGAAAAUAAAACACACAGUAUUUUACCCUAGUCUCUUAAUCAAACAUGGCAAACUAAACAAACAAUCAAAAAGAUAUGUUGAGCAGGUUAAGAGUCGCAUACGAAGCAAUACAUAACAAUCAUGUGUAAAGCAAUACAUAAUUUAUGGAAUUAAGAUACGAAGGUAAGAAGCGUACCUGAAUAGCAUAAGUAACUUGUAACGUUCUUCCACAAGGCAUGAGGGGUUAGAUAAUAAAUAAUAAAAUAAAGAAAUCCUAGCAUGCUUGUUAUCUAAUUAGCAUAGCAAAAAUGAUCAAAGUAUACGAAAUAAUCAAUUAUCGCAUACAUCUUGUAUAUAAUUCCUAAAAAAUAUAUAGAUAUGAUUACAACAAGUAGCAAGGGUGGUGGCAAAGCUGAGUUUUGAAAAGAUUCUUUUAUGUUGGGGUUCCAUCAAGUCCCCAUUCAAUAUACAUAAGUUUACCUGUGUAUCCCCAUUAAUUUGGGAGCACAAGUCCAAACCUAUGUGAAUAAAAACCAAAUUAAAACCAACAAAGGAGAAAUGCAACUUAAAUGAAAUGAGUUACAUAAUUUGAAUAGAAAGUGUGUUCUUUGCCUAAAGCUAGAAUGAAUGUUUUCUAAAAUCUUUUAUCGGUGAUUUAAAUGCUUUUGAAAAUGACUUUAAGGGAAGUAAAAAAAAAAGACCCAAUGAUUUGCUAAAUCCUAAUCAAUUGACACAAAAUAGAGAUUUUUGAUUUCUAACUUAAGAGGGUUUUGAAAAUAAGAGAAAAACUAAAUUGGAUCCUCUUUUUGGCUACCUUUCAUUAGGGGUCAAGGAGCCAUACUUAUGAUGGAAAAAUUCAUUUUUGAAAAAAACAAAGUUUGACUCAACACAAAAUAUCAAUUUAACAAAAAACAUUUUCUAAAAGAAUGUUCAAACUCAAGAAUUCCAUAAGGUGUCUAUAAAAUAAGUAUCAAAGAUAAAGAUAACAUUCAGUCACAUAUAACAUCCCAUAUAACGCUCAAUGAAUUUUUCAAGAGGUAUCUACCAUGUGAAUUUAAUCAAACUAAAACUCAGUAAAUUUUUAAAAGUCAUCUAACAUGUGAAUUAAACAAAUGGAUACUCAAUAAGUUUUUAAAAGGGAUCAAACAUGUAAACUUAAAGAAACUAAUACUCAAUGAAAAUUUAAAAACUCAAACUCAAACUAACCGCAUUAUUUAUCAAAAACUAAAAUCCAAAUUAGCAUCAACAACUAUUUGAAAACUAAAGUCCAUUAUUCAUCAAAACCAAUACAGCAAACUACAUUCGUACUUAUCGAAACUAAAAUCCAAACUAAUUAAAAUGGAUGAAAACAGGUUUAAAAAAAAUAAAAAAUAAAAACUUUAGCAUAAAAGCAAUUUUACCAAUGGAUUGAAAUAAUAAGAAAUAAAAAAACUAAACCGAAGGGACAAAUUUAAACUAAAAUAAAACGAGUUUAAGAAUGUGAACUUACCUUUCAGAUCAAUGCAUGGGGGCUGUUUCGAAGUCCAAAGGUGUAGGUUGUUUUCUUUUAUGUGGGUUGUGCGUGUUCCUAAGAGAGAAUCUAAAGUGGUGCGACUUUGUGUGCCUUUAUGCUCUCAAAGUGGCCACCGAUCCCAUGUGUGGUGGAGAACGAAGAUCUCACCCUCUUGUCACGGUAGCCUGCUGUGUCUUCCAAAUAUGUAGCUGCGUGCUCUCCAAAACUGCAGCCCGCAAAGUCUUAAAAAAUUUCGGUGGCUCCUAAGUGAUCAGCUUUGAUGCCUUAUCAAUUGAUGCCUCUCAUGGUGCGUGGUGGAAGUGGGUGCAACCCAUGGAAAGUACACCUAGGUAGCCUCCAAAAUACAUGAUGCAGUGUGGUGUUUCUAUUUAAAAUAGGUGCAGUCGUGAAUGACAUCCACAAUGGAAAUCCGUCAAGGCGGCAUGGCAUGUGCGUGUAAGUCUUGGAGAAUUCCAAUUUGCUGCGUGUGGACUAACUUCCUCCAAUGAUACGUGUUCCCAAAAGAUUUCCAAGUGUUCUAUACAAUAUGCAAUCAUGUUGGGAACCAUUCCCCAUGGUGUGUGCUUUGUUGAUUUCUAUAUGCAUUCCCAUGGUGUGGGUGGAUAUCCCCCAAACUAAAGAUUACGUCCUCCUCCCUAAUUGUAUUAUGUCCUCCCCAAAGUUCUAGAGACUUGCCUCUAAAAAUUAUGAUCAUUCUUUCAUUCCUUCAAAAAUUCAAAUCUAUCCACUAACAACCACCUCUCUAAAACCUUAUCAUCCUCUUCUCUUCAAAAUUCGUGAGUCUCCUCUUUUUGAAGUGAAAUGGGCAUCCCUAGUAACAAUCCCAAUGAAAUUAACAUCAAUCCUUCUGAAAAGAGUAGUGGAGUGGAAUGUAGGCAGCUUGCAAAUUUCCUUAGCAACUGAUCUAAAUUCAUGUAUUUGCAGUCCAUCCAAGUGACCAUAGAAAAUUUGAUUGAUCCUAAACAAACAUUGCUCAUUUAAUUCAUUUGGAGGUGGGCGACCAUUUUGAAAGUAAAACUGAGGUAUCAAUUCUCUAAUAGGCUCACUAGCUAAUUUCAGAGGAGAACUUAAAUUAAAAGGGCCAAUCCUCUGUUUUACAACACGAGGAGAACCAGAUAUACUUCUUGGUGACAGUGGAAGUGCACUACCAGCGGGAAACAUGGAAGAUAAUGAGUUGCUUGCAGCAGCAUUUGUCGUAGAAGAAUUUCUAGGGAUAUUCAAGGCCUUUGCAUCAUUCAGCAAUGAAGUCACCAGACGGUUAGUCUCAGGAAGCAAAAGUCACUAGUCAAAAAGCUUCUCAGAGACCCUAGGGUUUGACUUGAGAGCAAAAGGCGACACCUUCGGGAGUUGCAACAAUUCGACGUCCAAAGACACCACAUCGCCAACUAUUUCCAUAUUCAUCGUAGCCAAAUUGAAUCUCUCAUCCAUAUAACAAAAUUAGAAUAAUCCUAUAUCAUAAAACAGGACAACAAACAAGCUCGAUCACCCAAAGCAACCUAGAUGAACCACAAGGCCAUUGUUCAACGCAUUGAAUCAAGGACAUUAAAAAUAAAAAAUUCGAGGCGAAAAGGUUCAGAUUUGAAGUUGACGAAGUGGAAAAAACCCUAGAUUUUCAUGAAGCAGGGAAUGGAUUGUCGCUGGAUCAGAUUGAAGCUGAAAGACAAACAUGUUUAUGUGAAAGAACGAAGGGCAUAUAUGUGAAUCUCGGAGCAUAGUCUCCUUGGUCACGUGCUAGGAAUGUCACACGUCCACUACGCCCUUGGCUCAUUUUAGUUUCCAUCCCUUCCUCUAUUAUUCAUAUCAAUACCAGUAACAACAUUUUGAGCAUCCAAUCUUUCCUCCAUCACUAGCAAAAGGCCAUCCUUUAGAGAUAUCUGUCUCUCAUUUUCUCACCAAAACCAUAAAAAAUCCUCCUGCUUUCCUCCUGUGUCUUCCUCUCUGCAUCACUGUUCAUUUGUCUUUUUCCUGUAGCUUUACCAACAUGGAAAGAUCCCUCACCAGUUCGGAGAGAACCAACAAUGUCAUUUGCGUCCGCCCAACACGAUCCGAACUUUUUUUUUCUUUUCUUAAAAGAGCCCUCAUUCAUCCACAUGCACACCAAAUCUUUCCUUUUUCACAUGUCAUGCAACUUUGGUAAUUUUCUGUUUCAGAAAAAAAUGACAUCCGUCCCUGUCCUUCCAUGCUAGUGGGAUGAUGUGAUUGCACCUUUUACGGUAGUCAUGACUGUAUUUUCCUUUCUUCCCUUAUGGGUGGUGCUUCCUAUGGUUAGUGGCAGCCACAUAUCUUCAGCUCAAAUUCUCCAUGAAUCAGCCCGCAUCAUCCUUGAACUUCCUCCUAUAUCCAAUUGUCACUCCCAAUGUAUGCAUUCUGAAUAUUCCACCAAGAUGCAGCCCCACAUGAUUUCCUUCAAUCUUUCCAUUGGUGGACUUACCUACAAAAAAAAAAAAUUUAAACAAAAUUAUUAAAUUAACAUUGAUAAGUAAGGACAAGUAUUAUAGUAACAUUGAUAAGCAAGGACAAGUAUUACGAAAAAGUGACAAAAUAAUAGGAAAAUAAAAUAAAAGAAGAAAUAAACAAGACAAUAAAUAAAAUAAACAAAAAUAAAAUAAUGAAAAGUCAAGUCAUGCAACUUUAUAAUAAAUGAGCCAUGCAAGCCAUACAAAAAAUGCAAUCCAUACCAACCAUGCAAGCCUAAUGGGCCAAGUGCAUCUAAAUGGGCCUAGGGUGCCUAAGUGGGCCUAAGGUGGUGCCUAAUGGGCCAAGUGUAUCUAAAUGGAUAUAAAGUGCCUAAGUGGUGUCUAAUGGGCCAAGUGUAUCUAAAUGGGUCUAGGGUGUCUAAGUAGGCCUAAAGUGGUGCCCAAUGGGCCAAGUGUAUCUAAAUGGGUCUAGGGUGCCUAAGUAGGCCUAAAGUGGUACCCAAUGGGCCAAGUGUAUCUAAAUGGGCUUAGGGUGCUUAAGUGAGCCUAAGUCUAAAUUAGGGUUGCUAAGAGUCACAAUGGGGUUAGAUAAAUCCCUCAACCAAAGUUCCCAAGGUGGCUUAGAAAAGAUAGGCUACAUGAGUAGUAAUGGGCCACUAGGUAAUUGCUGUAAAGUACCGAACAAAUAUCGAAUAGGACAUGUGUUAAGAGGACAAAAUGGAGGGUCUACAACAAGGAUUAGAAUUGUUUUUCUUAGAGAGAUAUAUGUUAAUGUUGUAUGGUAAGGUGUGUGCAUAAAAGCUCAAUUCAUAUAAGAGCUUUGAGGGUGCAAUUUUUUAGUGAUAUUGCAUCAUCCAAGUCCCUUUCUCUUGAUGGAUAUAGAUCAAUUUGAUCGAACCAUGUAAAUGAUUGUGUAUAAUUUCUUUUACUGCACUACUGAUUGAAUUCUUGUUAGUUUCCGCAUAUUGCAUCUUGUUAUUUUUUUUUUUCUGUAAGAAAGUUUAACAGGAAGCUAUCUCUACAUAUAUGGUUCAUGUAUCAAAUAAAUUGUUUUUGUACUUCCAUCAUCAAAGAUGCAUGUAUGUCAAAGAAUGGCAAAAGAAUCUAUAAGGUUAGGAAAACAAUGAAAUUUUUUUUAUGUUUUUUUUAUUCAUUUAAUUUAUUUUUUCUAUUCUAUAUAAAAAUUCAAUAUAUAUAACUCUUUAACUAAUUUUAAUUAUAUUUUUCUUUCAUAUUUUCUAUCAAAAUUUUUUAAAAAAAAACAUUGUUUUUAAUAUUUCAACUAUAACAAGGUGGGCAUAAUUAAUUUAUCAUGCUAGGGUAUCCUAACAACCUAACCUUAAAAUUUUCUUAAAUAAAUAAUCACAUCACUAGUCAUAUAUUUUCUUAUUCCACCAUAUUGUGAUUGGCACCAUAGUAUUUGUUAUACUUCGAAGCAUUUUGGUAUGGUUGUCAUCUCAUAAUAAGUCAUUUUUGAAGCAAACCCAACAUGCUUGAUAGAAAUCCCUCUUGCUAAAUGAAUCCCAAGGUCUCUUAUUUGUGAGUGUUGGCACAUUAAAUUAUAUAGUUUAAGAUUAAUAAUUUUGUUUCAUUUAUUUUGAUUCAAGGCUUUUUUAGAUUAUGUCUCGCUCUCCUUUGAAAACUCGAAGUUGUCGUGUGGUCGAUUGGAAUAACAAAGGCAAGCAUAGAAAGGUAUGAGAAAGGUAAAUUAGAGUUUGUUAAGGUUGUUGCGAACGUCAAGUUCUUAAACUGAGUUAAAUAUUUUUUAUAACAGUUUUAAAGAACUCCUCGAGUGCUCUAGUGCUGCAGAGAGCACUUAAGUGCUCCUUGGAGCACUCAAGUGUGAUAGAAUUCUCUAGAAUUCCAAAGCUGAAGAGGAAAAUUAUAAAUCUGAUCCACCAAGAUCUUGACCCUAUAAACACCUUACUUAAAGAGGAUUUUCUCUUUUUGAUGCAAAUGUUUCAAAAAACCUAAUUUGCCUUCUUGUUCCCAAAACUUUGAACAAUGAUUGUCUUCGCUUUUACUAGGUUGAGAAAGAGAUUUGCAUCUCCAAAACACUAAAGUAAGAUUCACUAGGAGCACAAGCGGUGUUGUAUUACAAAUGCGAAGUAGUAGAGGUGAUGGGGGGUAAGACUUAGGGAUGGCUUCCACUAGAUAAAACUGUGUACUAUGCUUUCGAAUAGUGGAUUUGUAAUUAGAUGUCUCUAACCCCAUGGAUUUUACAUCUGCAUGUUGUGUGAGUGGUUUUUUUUCAUGUAAAAAAUCUUGUGUUCUUGUAUUGAAUAUUUUUAGGCUUUCCUAAAUCAAAUGGAUUAAUUUAAAAUAAUUAAUUUUUGAGCCUAAGAGGUUCAAACACCUAUUCACCCCUUCUAGAUGUUACCUAAACUAGAUCAACUAACUUUCAACGAGGAAAGCUCAAAUCAUAGAAUUUGCACUUUCAGCCAACGCAGCUAGGCUUAGACAAAUUGAAGAGUAAAUAUCCUUUCAAAUCAACCGACUAGCCUUUCAUCCAUGGAGGCCUUCUCCAAUUUAAAGAUCAUGAAAACCUCUCAAAGCAUUUCUAAAGAAAAAUAAGAGCAUUGGCUCACCCUAAGGGUUCCUUGGAGAGGCUUUGAUCUUAAUCUUCUCCAUGAGUUUUUGAAAGGGUCUUUAACAACUGCUAUUGGAUUGGAUGGAGCACUUAUAUGAACUAAGAAUGAUAAAUAUUAUAACUACUCAAAAGACAUUUUCACAGAAUUGCCAACCUGCAGAUCAUUUUUAGUUAACCAAAUCUUAAAACAUUAGUCACAUCCAUGGCCAAAAUUAAGUGAAGGCUAAACACAGAUAGAAGAGAAUCAUGGGACACUCUCCUUAGCUCUACCAAGCUAGCUAACAACCUUGAACAGAAUAUUGGUCGAGCAGUCCAUGACUACUAUUAAGGGAAAAACCUAUAAAAAAAUAUGAAGAUCAAGAAGCAUAAAAAGAAAAUAUAGGCUAAAAUAAAAUGGUUCAAUUUGGGAAUCAACUGCUAUGCAAUAUAUGACUAAAUUUUCAGCUAGAUUCUUACGAGUUGUAACCCCUAAAAGCAUCAAAUGCAGAAGAAAAACCAUGCAAAAGAGAAACCAGUAAGACAAUAACAAUAUGAUAGUUUCAUCUCUACCUUUCGAGUUUGAGCAUCUUGUGCUGAUGCAUCCUCUCAAUGUAGAAGUGGUUUGCUUCAUUAUAUCAGUAUUGUAAAAAGAAGAGGUGUAAGCUCACUGUAAUCUUUAAUAGUGAAGAAACUUGAAUUCUCAUCGGUAGUGCUGCACUGAAAUUCUGGUUGAUUGUCUUCUUUCUCAUCUUGUUCAUAUAGUAGAUGAACCCCACACUUCUUCACCUCAUAAGAUGGGCCAUAGACUUGGAAUGAAGCCUGAAUUUGACUCAGUUUAUUUAGCCAAUUGGCGUGGCCAAUCCCAAUUCGAGAAAUUGGUUUAUACCCAAACCACAUGUGAUCUGAUUUAAUCAAUUUGCGCCCUUUAUCCGAAGAAUUCCGGUGUUCUGGAUUGAUGGGAGCAAAAAAGUGACCAGUUUUACCUUGAGUCAAAUUCAAAUGACAAAAUAUAUUACCAGGGCAAUCAUGGACUGCACCCUUAACUACAAAAAUAGCGCACACAGCCAAUGCCAUCAACCUAGUGUCACACCAAUUUGGAGGCAGAUGUACUGUUACUGUGGAGCCUAUACUCUGUUGGCUGAACCACUGAGGAAUUCGACUUCCAGGAACAAAAGUACUGAAGUAUAUGGUACCAUCUGGGUCAUGAAAAUCUUUGUCAAGUUAUAUGGAAAUAAUGUAGAAGUAAUGCUAAAAGGAGUAUAAGAAUUAUUCCAUAGGAUUUAAUUGAUUUACUUCUACAACAUGAUCAAGAGAGAGAGGAGAGAAACCUGGAUUGGGAAUUGAAAUCUUGGUAAUUUAUUUGCCAGACUUUGCAUUUCCCUUAAUAUAGCUGCCACAAAGUUGCUGCUUUCAUUCUCAGACAGUCUGAAGCAAUUAGAAAAUGUGAAUCGGAGGCCCCCACAUUCCUUGGAUCUGUAUAGACACUUGAUGGACACAAAAUGUUUUCCAGAACCGUGCAAUCAUGGGCAUCUAUUUCUUCUAUACUUGAUGGAAGCUCUGGUAAUGAUUGAAGCCUCUUGCAAUAACCCAACCUAAGGCCUUUGAGCUGUGAAAGUUGAUGAGGCUUGCAGGUAGAGUAACAAAAUUGUUUCCGCUCAGAUCUAACUAUUCCAAUGAGCACAGAGAGCUAAAGUCAUUGGAAAUUGCUCGUUCCGAUAUGUUGCAAUCACUUAGAUUUAACUUUCUUAGGGAUCUUAAACCAGAGAAAGAAGGCAGUUGCAAACCCCCAGAGUGUGGAAUUUCUGCGGGCAACAACUGGAAAAAGAGGAGUGAAUUCCUUGGCUUGAAUUCUAGUCCUUUACAUCCCUUAAAUGAUAAUACUUCAAGGUUUUCCAAAAGAGAAAUAGAGGGUGGCAGCUCUUUUAUAGCAGUUCCUGCUGCUUUGAGCUUCUCUAAACCUUGUAGGCUCCCCAAACCCUCUGGCAAAUUGUCUAGUUUUGAGAAACCAGAUAGAAUAAGAGUUUGAAGGGAUUUCAAUGUACAAAUGCUGUGGAAGAAUUGCAAGGCUUUUGCAUUCUCUCAGAUUCAACAGAACAAGUCCACUUAGAUGUUGGAUUGAUGAAGGUAGUUCUUUUAUAGCAGUUCCAUCUAAGAAAAGUUCCAACAAACUCCACAUAUUUUCCAAGACCUCUGGAAGCUCUCUGAGUUUUAAGCAAUCUGAGAGAAUAAGAAUUUCAAGGGAUCUCAACUUAUAAAUACAGCUUGAUAAUGACUCAAGGUUUUGACGGUUCCUCAGAUUUAAUAGAACAAGUCUAGUAAGAUAUUCAAUCGACAAGGGCAAUCCUUUUAUUCCAGUGCCCUCCAAGGAAAGCUCUGAUAAAUGUUUCAUGCACCCUUGGACCUCUGGAAAUUUCUUGAGUUUCGAGCACCUGGAGAGAGUAAGAAUUUCAAGAGAUUCCAUACAAAUGCUUCUUAGAAAACUCUUAAGGUUCUUGCAGCCUGCUAAUUUAAGGAAAACAACCUUGUUUAGAGCUCCAAUGGAUGGAUGAACCUUGGACAAACUUGUACAACCUUCAAGAAUUAGUCUCCUAAGGUUUAAAAAAGCAUGCAAUAUCGAGAGAUAUAUCUUUCUCUUUGUCAUCUAAUCCAUCAAAACCCAUUUUAAGCACAUUCUGAAUUUUUAUGUUGGGAAUUCUUUUUAGUUUGUCCAAUUCACUUUUCCAUUCAAGUAUGCUCUUGCUAUACAAAAAAGUACCCAAGACUUUAAGAGCUAAGGGAAGACCUUUACUAUAAUGUAUUAAUUUGUAGCAUAGCUGCAUAUAAUCUUCUCCAGGGUGGUUGUGUUUAAAGGCAUACUGACGAAAGAGUUGAAAAACUUCACUAUCCUCUAAUCCCCUAACUUCAUAAAUAGUGCUGACUCCAUGUGUAAUAAGCAAAUGCUUUUCUCUGUUUGUUAUAAUAAUUCUACCUCCUGAACCAAACCAGUCAUGGUUUCCUGCUAAAUAUUCCAACUGUUCCAAGUUAUCCACAUCAUCAAGAACAAUAAGAACCUUCUUAGAGUGGAGUCUAUCCUUUAUAAAAUUGAUUCUUGUAUUGGAAAUUUCUACAUUUGGAUUUCCAUCCUAUAAUGUUUUUGAGAGAAGUUCCAUUUGUAAAUGAUCCAGGCCAUGUUUUUGUGAGCCUUCUCUAACAUUUGCAAGAAAACAACAGCCUUCAAAUUGAGUGUAAAUUUGCUCAUAAAUAGCUCUAGCAAUAGUCGUCUUACCUAUGCCACCCAUGCCCAAAAUUCCUACACUUUGAACAUUAUCCAACCCCAUACAUAAUAGUGAAUCCAUUGCCUUUGUGUGGGAAUCCAUUCCAACCAGCCCUGCAGGAGGAUGUACCUAUCAAUUUAUUAGAUAUAUCUGAGACAAAUUCCUCAAUAAGUAUGGAUUCAUGCCUGCAAAUUUUGAGGAAGAAAAAAAAACCAAUCAUUUAAUGAAUUCAAGGAUCCAUUGAAAAAAAAAAAGAAAAAUUAGAUAAAUCAUCAGUGAUUUAGUCUUGUUCUUUGCAACUUAAAAGUCAUAUGGCAACAUUAUAUCUCAGAUUUUUUCGAGUUUAAGUGUAUGUGUGUGUGUGUAUGAGAGAGAGAGAGAGAGAGAGAGAGAGAGAGAGAGAACUGUAUUGCUAUCUAGACAAACAGACAAUCAAACUAGAUUAUAAUAGCAAGCAUCUGCCACACUUCCUAGUAGUCUGCAUAAGGAACUUCUUAGAAGUGAUCAGGAUAAAAUACUAGAAAAGCCAGUGGAAGCAUGUUUAAGACUGCAAUACCAUUGAUUGACAGUAGGAUCACUAAUUCCGAGUUAAGCAUAUUGGCAGGCAAAAAUUCUCUCCCAAAUGGUUGAAAAAAUUAGGGAAUCCAAAAGCUUUUAAAAUCAUGACUAUCCAAUUGGGUUGGGCACACUACAUAGGCAUGGAACAGAGCAUGCCAAGGGACCAUUGGAAAGGAUGAAAAAGCAUUAAUCCAGUAGGGUUGAGGUCAACUUACCAAUGGAAUAAAGCACACUAAGGGGAAAUAUGCUUAAAAUGAGGUAAAAAGUUUUACAGUGUAGUCAUAACAUUCUUGCUCAAUGUGAUAAGGACUGACCAAUGUGUAGCUUCAAACACCUUCUGCAGAAAGGAGGGAAAGGGUCAUUGAUAUUAUGGUCAAGUGAGUUGAAGUCACAAUUCAAUGAGGGUCGGGAAAAGUUCAAUGUGUUGGUGGAUUGGAUCCAAGUUAUUCCAUCUUCAUAAUUUUGAUCACAGCCAUGGAGAGAUUUCCUUGCAUAUGUGAGAUCAAGUGCAUCUAAACAUCAUUCAGUCAUAGGCAGCAAAAUACAACUUAAUCCAUACAUGGGUUUAAGUCAAUCAUCUUGGAUCAAUCUCUCUAUUGAUCAUCCUAUGAUUUCAAAUUUUAUAUGGCUAUGCAAGCUUUAAAGCUUCAGCAUCAUUACAUCAUACACCUAAAAGGCAAAGGAAAAAAAAAUUGCAGUUAAAAAUACCUAUCUCGAGAAUCCCAUCCAGAAAUUUUGGCAGCUUCAGUCAAAGCCUCUCUCCACUUGAUCACUUUCUCCAUCUGCUCCUUAUAAACCUCUUCAUGCUUAGCAAAUGCUUGUGCAAAACACCCUGUCUGUUUCCUCACAUGAGAGGGAUCCAAAUUGUAGAAAACUGGUAAAGCUGCGCGUCCCAUCACCUUGGUGCAGUCAAUAAUCUUGACAAGUUCCUCCAGACACCAAGUUGAAGAAGCAUAGUUUUCAGAGAAAAUGAUGAUGGAGAACCUGGACUCUUCAACUGCUUUUACAAGUGCUGGAGAGAUCUCUUGUCCUCUACCGAGCUGGUCAUCGAUGACAGUGUUGACUCCUCUUUGACACAAAGCUCUAUGAAGAUGGUCAAUGAAGCUUUUGCGGGUGUCUUCCCCUCUGAAACUCAGGAACACGUCUUACUUCCAUUGAUGUGUACAAGAUGAAGAUGAAGAAGCCAUUAAAUUGGAAAAUUGAUAGCUUAAUUGUGGGAUAGAAUUAUAAGUGAGUCAGAGAAUGAAUAAAGACUAAACUGAACUGAAGAGAAAAUUAUAUAUGGCUUGACAUGCAAAUAGCAAAUCACCAUGUGCCCAGAAGUUUCUUGUGAGCUGCCAUUGAAGUUUCGAUCUACUCUUUCAAUGAAGUGGUCAGACUUUUUUUGGGCCGCUUAGCUUUAUCGUUAGGAAAGUUCUUCACACCCAACUUUUACAUUUUUUACCACCUGUCGCUUGGACAUUGGAGGGAAGUUUUCCAAGUACGAAAAAUUGACCGAUAAUUCAACGUGAUCGACAAUGUUGUAAAUAUAUAAUAUAUAUUUUAUUAAAAUUUUAAAAAUUAAAAAUUUAUAACAUUUAUUUCUUCAGUUUUAUAUAAAUAUAUUAAUAUUUUAAAUUUUAUUAAACAAAAUAUCUAUAAUAUUUAAAUAUGAAAAUAUCUAUAUAAUCUUAUAUAUAUAUAUAUAUAUAUAUAUAUAUAUAUAUAUAUAUGUUUACUUAUAUUAUUUUUGAAAUAACAUAUGUAAUUUAUUUUUUGUUUUUAUAAUUUUUAACAUCAACAAAAGAGUAAUAGAGUGGUGCAACCUUGCUACUACGAACUUGUCGUCCAAACUUAUUUUCCUACAAAGAUCCCAUAUAGGAAAUAAUAGAGUGGUCCAAUAAAUAAACCCCUCAAAAAGAAGGAUAGGUCAUUUGGUUGUUGGAAAGAUUUAUGUAUUUUUAAAUUAUUUAUAAACAGAAAAAAUGAUGAAUAAAUUUUAAGACUUGUAAAUAUUUGAUCAAGUUAAUUUAAACUUUUUUUAUUUUUUCACUUUCUUUCUCCUAUUUUUUUUUUCUCACAUUUCCUUUUAAACUUUUGGAAUAAAUUCCUUACUAUUUGUGGAGUUUUAAUAUAAUUUUUUUUUUCUCUAUGAUACAUAUUUAUGCAAUGGUUAAAUUAUUUUGAAUGUAUAUUUUUACCUUAACAAGAAACUUUUCUUGAAUGAAGAUUAUUUUCACCUUAUUUUUAAAAUUGUGUUUAUAUUUUUUAAAUAUGAAAAUUACUAUUUUGAUUUCAAAACAAUGAGCCAUUUUUAAAAGAUAUUUUACAAAAUAGUUUUUCAGAUAUAUUAAUUGUGACACUCGAAGAUCAAAGACAGUCAGUUCACUUGUCAAACCUAAAGAGUCCAUCACAUGAAUGACCUUAACUAACAAUUCCAACAAGUAAUUAGUUGACAACUUCCUCAAAUUGAUUCAUAACAAUAAUUAGAGCAUAAAUAAAAUAAGAAAAAAAUUAUAAAUUUCUAACUCAUAACUAAUUAAAAAUAUUUGAAUAACAAAUUCAAAGAUCAUCCGCCAACACUUUGAAGAGUUUUAGAAAUCAAUACUAAAUUCAAUCUUAAUUUAAAGCUCCUAAAUAAUUAAUUGUAAAGCUAAUUUCAAAUGAAAUACUUUCUUAUCUCAAUUUCCCUUCAUUUAUAUCACUAGUACCUAAAAAGUGAAAUAAUAGAGAAGAGUGAACUUAAAACUUAGUUAGGAAAAAUAGUUCAAUAAGGAGGAUCAUGUAGAGUAUAAAGCUAAAUCCUGGGACAUAUCACAUGUUUAUAAAAAAAAAAAAAGAAAUGAUAAGUUGGAGUUCAUUUAAUUCAAUAAUUAAAUUCACAUAAAUUCACCCUUUUACAAAAAAAAAAAAAAAAAAAAAAAAGGCACUAGGAGUCCAAAUAGGCUAAGAGGCUUGAAUUGAACCUUGGCUACCACUUGGCUAAGAUGUUAUUUAUAAAUAUAUAUUUAAUUUAAAUAUCUUAAAGUUCAGUAUUUAAAAAAAUAAUUCUAAUUAUUUUAUUUUAAAUUUUAUUUAAUUGAUUAAUAAAAAUAUAAAAACCAACAUUAUGAUUUUUGUUAACAAGUCUUUUUUUAUAUCAUUUAUAUGAUAAUUAAAUAUAAAAAUAUAAAUAUUAAAAAAUCAUAUAUGUAUCAUCAUUUAAUUUACAUUAUUAAACACAUUUAAAUUAAAUAAAUUAUAAUUUUAAUAUUAAAUGUAUUAUCAUUUAUCUCAUCAAUUCUAUUUUAAAAAAAUAACUAUCACUUCACUUUUAAAUUUUUUAUAUUUAUCCUUUUAAUUUUGCAUGUCUUUAUUUUAAAAUAUUAAAAAUAUAAAUUGAUUAAAAAAAACUAAAAUGUAUAAAAAAAAAUUAAUAAUGAAGUUUUAAUAUUUUAUAAAUUAAAAUUAAUUUGAUAAGAUAAAUAAUAAAUUAUAUAUUCAAAUCGAUAUAACUUUGCUUACGGAUAUUUUUCUCCUUAACUAUACCUAUGUUAAUUACGCUUAUAAAAUAUUUUAACAUGUGCAUUUUUACUUAUUUUAUCAUUUUUUUUGAGUUUUUCCAAAUAUUUGCAUAAAUUUUGAAUAAAUAAUUUUCACCUCAUCAAAAUUAUUGUCAAAAUAUCUAUCGAUAUUCUGAUAUAUCCGUAAACUUUAAGUACCAAUGUUUACCGAUAUUUCGAAUGAUAUCUUCAAAACCAAUAUAAUAAAUUAAACGAUAAAAUUCACUUACAUAACAAUAAACAUAUCAUAUGAUAUUCCCAAUUUAUUUUAUAAACUAAGGAACAAAUCAUAACAUUUUUAGCAAAAUAUUAUUUGAUCCACUUUAGGGAAUUUAAACAUUUUGAUAGUUUAAAAAUAGAUAAAGACAAAUAAGGAAUUUCAAAAUGGCUUACCAUACCAUUAACCCCUACCUUGAAGAUAUCAUUCAAAAUCCCAAAAAACUUAAUCCACUCCUAAUAUAAAUAUAAAUAAAAAAUAAUUAUUAAAGACUAAUUAUCUAAAUUAAUGGCUUCCUAAAUUUUUUGUAAAACUUAUUUUAAUUCCAAACCCUCUUCUAAAAAUCUAUUUUUUUAAUUAAAUUUUUUAUUAACCAUAUUAUUAUUAUUAUUAUUAUCAUUUUUCACUUCCCAUAACUACAUUAAUGGGUUUUGUUUAAUUAUUAAUGUUAAUAUUCUUCUUCUUUUUUUUUCAUGGUAGGAAGUAGGAUAAUUAUUUAUUAAUUUACUACUAUUUUUACUUACCUCCUACCCAUAACCCAAAUCUUAUUAGUAGUUUAUUAUUUCUUUGCUACAACCACUUUCCUCGUUUCCUCAAUUCUUCUUCCUAUUAAUCUCAUGCUUAAAGAAAGAGAAAAGAAUUUAAAAAAUAAAUCAUAACUUACCUUAAAUUUCGUAAUGAAUCAAAUUAAAAAAGUUUCUUUUUUUCUAACCCUUCAAACCAAACUUCUCUAAAGGCCUUUCUAUUGUUUCUUUUCCCUCUCUAUUGCAUCUUUUCCGUAUUUAAUAAUGCGGAGAAAUCAAAAUGAUAUAAAGUUUGGAUUUCCCAAGAUCCAAAAAAAUAGUUGUUUCACUAUUUAAUUCUUUAUCUUAAGGCAUGAAUGGAACCACAUGCACUAAAAUUGAGAAUCACUCUAUUUCACAGCAUAAAGUAUUUCAUCUUCUUUUUUUAGAUAACUUUUCUUCUCGAGUUCUUUCAGUCUUUCUUUUCCAGAGAAAAGUUUAUUGGGGUGAUUUUUUGGGCAAUUUCUAGUAGUUCCAACUCCUAGAAACUGCUCCACCCUUGAUCUUUUAUUUGGUUAGGUUGGGUUGGGUCACCUCGACUUGGGCACCCACCCAACUCCAACAAUAUUUAAGUAUUUAAUAAAGUAAAUGAUUGAAUUACUAUGAACAAGUAUAAUGAUCAAAACAAAAAUUUUACUUUUUUAUGUUUUAAUAUAAAAUCCAACCUCUAAUUGAACAAAUCAUUUACCAUUUAAAAAUAUUCUUAACAUCUUCAUUUUCUUUUUGUGUUUUUGAAAGUUCAUUUUUAUUUUAACUAGAUCAAAUAAUAUUUGUAUAAUAAUGCCUUUAACAUACAUUUUUUUAAUGAGUAAUACCAAAUAAACAUCUCAACAAAUAUUAUAUAAGAUGAUCAUUAAUUUCACUAUCUUCAUUUUAUUUAUGUUAUUCUUCUUUAUCCAAUAGAUUUAAUUAUGUGUUGUAAAAUGAACAAGGACCUCUAUAGUUAUAAUCUCACUUAAAAAGUUGGAGAAGUUAUCUCUACAUCUAUGAUUCAUGUGUGAAAUAAAUUGUUUUUGUACUUCCAUCAUCAAAGAUGCAUGUAUGUCUAAGAAUGGCAAAAGAAUCUAUGAGGUCAAGAAAAAAAUGAAAAAAAAUUGAUAUGUUUUUUUAAAAUUUAUUUCAUUUUUUUUCUAUUCUAUAUAAAAAUUCAGUAUAUAUAACUUUUUAACUAAUUUUAAUUAUAUUUUUCUUUCAUAUUUUAUAUAAUAAAUAAAAAAAGACAUUUUUUAAUAUUUCAACUAUAACAAGGUGGGCAUAAUUAAUUUAUAAUGCUAGGAUAUUGUAACAACCUAGCCUUAAAAUUUUCUUAAAUAAAUAAUCACUUCACUAGUUAUAUAUUUUCUUAUUCCAUCAUUUGUGAUUGACACCAUAGUAUUUGUUAUACUUUGAAGUAUUUUGGUAUUAUUCUUAUCUCAUAAUAAUUCGUUUUUGAAGCAAACCCAACAUGCUUUAUAGAAAUCCUCUUCCUAAAUGAACCCCAAGGUUUUUUAUUUGUGAGUGUUGGUACAUUAAGUUAUAUAGUUUAAGAUUGAUAAUUUUGUUUCAUUCAUUUUGACUUGGGGCUUUUUUAGAUUAUGUCUUGCUCUCCUUUGAAAACUCGAAGUUGUUGUGUGAUCAACUGGAAUAACAAAGGUAAGUAUUGAAAGGUCUAGAAAUUAGUUAAGGUUGGCACGAACGUCAAGUUCUUAAACCAAGUUAAAUGUUUUUUAAAACAAUUUUAAAGAACUAAUUUGAAUUAAAUGUUUUUUAAAACUGUUUUAAAGAAUUGCUACACUUUCCACUAGAUAAAACUGUGUACUAUACUUUCAAACAAUGGAUUUGUAAUUGGAUGUCUCUAACCCCAUGGAUUUUACAUCUGCAUGUUGUGUGACUAGUUUUCCCUAUAAAAAAUCUUGCGUUCUUGUAUUGAAUAUUUUUAGCUUUCCUAAGUCAAACAGAUUAAUUUAAAAUUGUUGGAAAGUUUGAAGUUUGAAAUUUGAAUUAUUCAAAUAUUUGUUGAUUUGAAUAAGUCAUCGAAGGCUACUAAGAUUAGAAGAUAAUUUAUUUGUUUUUAAAUCUUAUCAAAUUAGGAGUUAUUUAUUCAAAUAAGGAUUGAAUAUCCACCAAAUGUUUUCUAUUUUUUUCUACUCUGGCUUCAAAAAUAAUUAUUUUUUGAGCCUAAUAGGUUCAAACACCUAUUCACCCUCUCUAGAUGUUACCUAAACUAGAUAAACCAACUUUUAAUGAGGAAAACUCAAAUUACAGAAUUUGCACUUUCAGCCAACGUAGUAAGGCUUAGACAAAUUGAAGAGUAAAUAUCCUUUCAAAUCAACCAACUAGCCUUUCAUCCAUGGAUGCCUUCUCCAAUUUAAAGAUCAUGAAAACCUCUCAAAUCAUUUCUAAAGAAAAAUAAGAGCAUUGGCUCGCCCUUUCCUUGGAGAGGCUUUGAUCUUAAUCUUCUCCAUGAGUUGUUGAAAGGGUCUUUAACAACUGCGAUUGGACUGGAUGGAGCACUUAUAUGAACUAAAAAUGAUAAAUAUAUAACUACUCAAAAGAGAUUUUCACAGAAUUGCCAACCUGCAAAUCAUUUUUAGUUAACCAGAUCUCAAAACAUUAGUCACAUCCAUGGCCAAAAUUAAGUGAAGGCUCAGCAUAAAAAAUAUGAAGAACAAGAAGCAUAAAAAGUAAAAUGUAGGCUAAAAUAAAAUGUCUUAUAUGAGCAGCUCCAAAUGAUAGCUACUUUGAACCAAUUUACCUCUAAAUAUGGUUUCUAAUUUAACUAAAGUCACAUCUUCAAAAUGAGAUUUUAAAAUUUGAACAGAGAUAUUUAUUUAUUUUAUUGGAGUUGGAUUUGAAUGUUUGAAUUGACCCAAUUCCAUAAAUUAUUAUUUAUAUAUUUUAUUGGAGUUGAAUUUAAAUGUUUGGAUUAACCCAAUUCAAUAAAUAAUUAUUUAUUGGGUUUGUGUUUGGGUACCCAAAUGGACUAAGCCAACCUAAUAAAGAUAAGGGAAAAGUUUUUGGGAACUUUAGACUGUUGAGAUAUUAGGAAUGUUUAAAUAUUAGGAAAGUUGAGAUAUUAAGAAUAUUGAGAUAUUAGGAAAGUUGAGAUAUUAGGAUAUUAGUUGUUAUUUCUUUAUAUCAUUCUUUCCUUGUAUCAUUCCUUCCCAUUCUUAGAAUGGUGAUUACCCUCUAUAUAUACUCUGUACAUGAACGAAUGAAAGUAUGAAUGGAAAAAACUAUCAUUUAUCAAUUUGAAGAUGAUAUCAGAGCCAUGGAACUGAAAUCUUGGAUAUUUUGUCGCUAUGGUAGUCCAACAAUGAUCAUCCAUCCUAAGACAAGCCCUAAUAUUGAUAAGUCAACCUUCAAAUGCACUCACUACAAUAAGAUUGAUCCCACCAAUCUGGAUAUCCCACAAUUUCAAAGCAACGACUCUUGGUAUGAUUAGGAAAACAAUGAGGAACCGAGGGUUUGAACCAUGGACCUUUAGAUCAUGUUUAGGCUAUCAACAUUUUGUUAUUAAUGAUAAUAAUCGUGAUCAACGGAAGAAGGAUUCCAAGAAAACCUCGAUUGCAACUGUUGUCGAAAUAAAAACAGAGGCUAAUGUUGUUGAGAAAGCCUUUACAUUGGUAGCCGCUACAGAUCAUGGUGGUAAGUUUUUAAAUACUUUUACACCUGUUAUUAAUAGUGCAUGGAUAAUUGAUUCUGGUGCUACAGAUCAUAUGAAUUUUGAUUCUAGACAGGUUUCACCCCUUAGACCUUCUUCACAAAAAAUUGUUUCCACAGCCAAUGGUAACACAACCCCAGUCAUUGGGGAAGGAUCCUUAACUCUUACUGAUACUUUGAAUUUGGAUUCUAUUUUAGUUGUUCCAUCUUUAGAUUACAAUAUUUUGUCAGUUUCUCAAAUCACCGCAGCCUUAUCUUGUAUUGUCAUUUUUUGGCCUGAAUUUUGUGUGAUUAAGGACAUCCAAACAAGACAGACGAUUGGUUGUGGUAUUAAGCGGGGAAAACUCUAUUACUUGGACUUACAGUCAAAGGAUUCAAAUAAGUUGCAACAAGCCUUGAUGGUAGAUGGAUCUGAGGGGGAGAAGAAAAAGUCUGAAAUUUGGUUGUGGCAUCGACGUCUGGGACAUGCUUCCUUUGGUUAUUUAAAAAAAUUGUUUCCUAGUUUGUUUGCAAAGAGUGAUAUUUCUGGUUUCCAUUGUGAUAUUUGUGAAUUGGCUAAAAUCCAUCGUGUUUCGUUUCCGUUAAUUUUGAACAAAAGUCCGUUUCCUUUUAUGGUUAUACAUUUUGAUGUUUGGGGCCCAUCCAAAGUCCCAACUUUGAGUGGCUCACAUUGGUUUGUUACUUUUAUUGAUGAUUGUACCAGAAUGACAUGGUUAUGCUUGAUGAAGAACAAAGAUGAAGUGAACUUGUUGUUUAAAAAAUUUCAUAAAAUGAUUGAAACUCAGUACAAUGCAAAGGUUCGGGUUCUGCGUAGUGAUAAUGGUGGAGAAUAUCAAAGUUUUGAUCUUCAAAAGUAUUUGGAAGGACAUGGCAUCAUUCAUCAGACUACUUGUUCCAAUACACCCUAGCAAAAUGGAGUCGCUGAACGGAAAAAUCGGCACUUGUUAGAGGUUGUUCAUGCUUCCUUGAUAGCAACAAAAACACCAAUAUCUUAUUGGGGAGAAGCAAUCACAUCUGCCGCAUACUUGAUCAAUCGGGUACCUUCCAACUCAAUUAACUUCCAAACACCUCUCCAAGCUCUUACUAAUGCCGUAGUUGCCCCAACUGUCCCAAAUCUACCUCCUCGUGUUUUUGGUUGUGUGGCAUUUGUGCAUCUACACAAACACCAACGCACCAAGUUAACNNNNNNNNNNNNNNNNNNNNNNNNNNNNNNNNNNNNNNNNNNNNNNNNNNNNNNNNNNNNNNNNNNNNNNNNNNNNNNNNNNNNNNNNNNNNNNNNNNNNUCAUACAAGACCAGAUCUUGCUUAUACAUUGAGUGUAGUGAGUCAAUACAUGCAUAAUCCUAGAGAGCAACAUAUGAAUGCAGUUAUGCGUAUUUUGAGGUAUUUGAAGAAUGCUCCUGGGAAGGGAAUUUUGUUCGCUAAAAAUGUUAAUCAUCAGAGUAUAGAAGUAUAUACUGAUGCUGAUUGGGCCGGUGCAGUGGAUGAUAGGCGAUCUACAUCUGGUUACUUUACCUUUGUAGGUGGUAAUCUUGUGACAUGGAAAAGUAAGAAGCAGAAUGUCGUCGCUCGUUCAAGUGUAGAAGUAGAAUUUAGAGGUAUGACUCUAGGACUUUGUGAGGCAUUAUGGCUAAGACUUCUCUUACAGGAUUUAAGUUACCUAUCUAGGCAACCAAUCCGAUUGUUUUGUGACAAUAAAGCCGCAUGUGACAUUGCUCAUAAUCCAGUACAACAUGAUCUUACAAAGCAUGUCGAGGUGGAUAGAUUCUUCAUUAAGGAAAAGUUGGAUGAUAAGAUUGUGGAAUUGCCUAAGAUUCGAUCAGAAGAUCAAUUGGCCGAUAUCCUCACCAAAGCUGUCUCAUGUCAAGUGUUCUCAAAAUUUUUAGACAAGUUGGGCAUGUGUGACAUCUAUGCACCAACUUGAGGGGGAGUGUUGAGAUAUUAGGAAUGUUUAAAUAUUAGGAAAGCUGAGAUAUUAAGAAUAUUGAGAUAUUAGGAAUAUUGAGAUAUUAGGAAAGUUGAGAUAUUAGGAUAUUAGUUGUUAUUUCCUUAUAUCAUUCUUUCCUUGUAUCAUUCCUUCCCAUUCUUAGAAUGAUGAUUACCCUCUAUAUAUACUCUGUACAUGAACGAAUGAAAGUAUGAAUGGAAAAAACUACCAUUUAUCAAUUUGAAGAUAAACUGCUCUAAAACUAUUACGAAAAUAUAAAUAGUGUGAAUCUCCAACUUUCUCCCGAUGAGAAAAUAGAAAAGAAAAUAAUUAUUCUUUCUAAGACAAAGUCCCUUCUGGAAUUUUUUUUUCCUAUUUUUUCUAUAAAAAUGAGAGUCAAGAUUUUUAUGCCAAGAAAAUAGAGUAAUUCUUAUAUUUGUAGUUUUAUUCUUAAAAAAUAAUCUGAAAUUGAGACUUUCAAGCAUUUUAAAAGAUAAUCUGAAAUUUCUUUCAAUAUAUAAGCCUUGUACGUGAUGUUGGUUGACUAUUAUGAUAGUAAAUUCGGGAGGAUGCUUGCAUGUAAAAAUUUCAUUUUAUUUUAUUUUUAAUCAUGGAGCACAUUUUAUGGAUUAUGAUUUAUAAUACUGCAUCAAUGGUCAUGAACAUUGCAAUUAUGAUUUUUUUUGAGAUGUUUAAAUGGACGUGGAAGAUAAGAAAUAGAUUUUCUAUUAAGAUAUUUGAAUGGAGAUGAAAGCAUGGGUAUAGGUUUGUACUAAGGAAAUGAACAUAUGAUUAAAAUAAACCUGAUACAGUUAGUCUAUAAGAAUGGAUCCUGUUUCUAACCUUUUAACACACAAAUUUGGAAACCUAAACCUAUGGAUUGUUUCUUUCCUAUAAUGGAAUCCUAUGUUCCUUCUCAAAGCAGCGCUGACUUUUCCCUUCCUACCAACUACAAAGAGAAAAUCUUGACUAAUCUCGAUAAAGGUUUAUUUUAUCUAUACAUGCGAGGUCAAAGUUUUAAAAGUAUUCUACAUAUAUUUUAAAUUUAUUCUAAAAUAAUGUGUUUGAUUAAUUUCUUGGUCAAUUCUCAAAGUCAAACUUGUAUUUUGAAUUGGAAAAUUCUAGAGAUUCUAAGAAACUCGUCUUCUACGAUACACAACCUGAUUGAAGCUGAGCUGUGAGAAAUUUUCACAAUUGUUAGCAUUCUUCAGGCAUUUGGUUUAUUUAAAUUUUGGUAAGUAAUCAAAUAUCAUACACAACCUGCUCUUUGAAGUGGUCCUGGAAGAACAUUCAAAACCAAUACACAUUCAAAUUACUUCGCUUAUAUUGAUACGCGGCGAGGAAUUGUUGAUACCCAAGCCACACGUGAUCUGAUUUAAUGAAUCUGUGCCUGUCAUCCGAAGAAUUCUGGAUUGAUGGGAGCAAAAAGGUGACCAGUUUUACCUUGAGUCAAAUUCAAAUGACAAAAUAUAUUACCAGGGCAAUCAUGGACAGCACCCUUAACUACAAAAAUAGCGCACACAGCCAAUCCCAUCAACCUAGUAUUACACCAAUUUGGAGGCUGAUGUACCGUUACUUUGGAGUCUAUACUCUGUUGGCUGAACCACUCAGGAAUUUAACUUCCAGGAACAAAAGUAUUGGAUUCAAUAUGUGGAGUAUAUGGUACCAUCCAGGUCAUGAAAAUCAAUGUCAAGUUAUAUGGAAAUAAUAUAGGAGUAGUGCUCAAAGGAGUAUAAGAAUUAUUCCAUAGGAUUUAAUUGAUUUACUUUUACAAUAUGAUCAAGAGAGAAAGGAGAGAAACCUGGAUUGGGAAUUGAAAUCUUGGUAAUUUAUUAGCCAGACUUUGCAUUUCCCUUAAUGUAGCUGCCACAAAGUUUAUUUUUUCAUUAAUAUAAAUUAAAUAAUUAAAAUACCUAAGUUUUUCAAAAUUUUUAAUCAUGGUAGUGGGCCUUUGAUUAACCAUAGAUAGCCCAUGCAUCAUUUUCCAAAGUGAAGCACAACAACCUUACAACAGUGAUGUCACAUAGCAAUUCAUUAUUCAUUAUUUUGUUUACCCUUUUCAAUGUGGAUUUUCUUAAAGCUAUUAAAAAAACACACAAUAUCAAGAUUUGAGCGUGGGUCUUUCACAAUAUCUUUUAUAUACUAAUAAUUAUAAAUUAAUUAAAAUGAAAUUAUUAUAAAUAAGCUAAUUUUAAUUAUCUUAUUAUGUCUCUUAUAAAGUGAUUAGAUAUAGGACAAAUAUAAAUUUAUAAAUAAAAUUAUUAACAUUUUCAAAUAAAAAAUAUAAAUAUAUAUCAAUUUUUUUUAUAUCCUUUAAUAUAUCUAAACUUAAUGCAUUAUCAUUUUAGUAUUAAUAUUUUCCAAUUCGGUAUAUUAUUGUCUAAGAUUACAAAUUUAUCAAUUUUUCUUAAAACAAUAUCAAUAUAAACAUUAUUAUUUUUCUAUCAUUUUUUGAGUUAUUUCCAACAUUUCAUGAGGUUUUAUCAAUUUCCAUCUCAUAUAUAUAUUUUAGAAUUUUCAUUGAUAUUUCUUUAUAUAUCUAUAAACUCCAACUAAUGAUAUAUCGGUAAAAAUCAAUAUUUUCAUUCUUAUUUAACAUAAGAAAGAAAAUUAUUCAAAUGGUGCAUAAAUUAAUGUGACCUCCUGAUGAGAAUGACAAUGACAACCAUGAGUCAUAAUUAGUGUAUGUGUGUGGUAAAUUAACUUAGUGUUUGAUAAAAUAAUUAUUUAUCAUCAUUUAAAAUUUAAAAAUAAAUUUAAAUAUUAAAUCAAAAUAAUUAACUUAUUCUAAAUACUAUUUUUUUUUUUAUUCUCUUUGUUCAUAUUUGGUGAUAACCAUGCUUUAUUUUUAGAAUUCUUUUUUUUUUUUUAGUAAAUAUUUUGUAGUUAUUUUGUAGCUUCACAAUAGUACUUUUUAAUAUAAAUGUUUAACAAGCUUAAGUUUAUGAAGAUAAAUAUUAAGAAAAAUUAAUGAGUUUAAAUAUAUCAAUAUAAUAACUUUUAAAAAAUUAAGUUGAUUUUACCAAAAUAAAAAUAAAAAUAAUUCAUCUUAAAAUUAAUUUCAAUAAUUAAGUAAUAAGGAUUAAGUUUUAUCAUACACUCUCUUAAUUAAUAAAUGACAUAACUUCUUUCAACAAAUUCUUCGUUCUACUUUUGAAAAAAAAAUAAUAAUAACGUGAUAUUUAUUUAUUUAUGUCUAAAAUUUAAAUAUACUUGAAUUUGACUUAAAUCUAAAUAUAGCUUAAUAUUAUUAAGUGUUCAGACUAUUUUUUUUAUUUGUGUCUAAAUAUUAUUAACUGUUAAAUUGUUUCUUUUUAUUAAUAUCAAAAUAUGUGAAGUGUUAAAUUUAUUUAUUUAUGGUUAAAAACAUUUAUAAAAGUAAUUGUUAUAUUUCUUCUUAUUUUAAUUUGAAAAGUUAUAAUUUAACAAAAUAGUAAUUUAAUUAACACAUCUAAAAAAUAUUAUAAUACAUUGUCAAAGUAAAAAUUUUAUAAUGAUAAUUAUGUAAUUAGUAAAUUAUAUUAUUGUACAAUCCAUUGUUCCAUGUCGUAUAAUAUAGAAUAGCUAUGCAUACCCAUCAGUGCAUAGACAUAUAUCUUUUGAUAAUCUAUCAUGAAUGUCACGUGGACUCUAAGUGAAGUAUGUAGCUAUUAUAGUAUAAAGAUGGCAUAGGAAGAGGCUCCGGGUUUACUAGUUCUCACUCAACCAUAGCAAUAGGGAAUAUAUUGCACAUUAUUUUCAUCUAAAAGAAAGGUAGAAAGACCUUAGAAAUGGAACUUUUAGAUAAAACCUAAGGGUGGCAAUGAGAUGAGUCUAAGAAGGAUCACUUCAAUCUCAAUCUUAUGUCAUUUAUUUAUAUUAAAUGGGGUGAGAUAAGACAAAAUUAUAUUCGAACCUGUCUUGAACUUGGUCCGAGGGCAAGAAGGGUCUUUACAAAAAUCAGCCUCAUUGUCAUUCUUAGGUACGCAUCUAUACCAAUGAAAGUUUUUACAUCUAUUAAAAAAUUUAAUGUUCCCGAUGUUAAUUAACUUCACCAGACUACAUACACUUCAUAAUCGUGAAAAAGUGUCAAAAUUCUCAACCAAUCAAUGACAUAAACUACAAUCAAGUUUAGUACAUCGGAACCCUAAAAUACCUCCAAACCCCAUUUCUUGUAAGACCCCCUUCUGAUUAGGUUGCAAAUGUUGAAGUACUUUAUACACCUAAUUAGGCGAACAACAAGUGUCAAGAUAAGACUGCAAGCCAUACAUAUACAUAUGCAUAUAAAUUUGAAAUUGAAAGAAAAUAUUAUGGGUCUUCAUAUUUGAAAUUUUAAAAAGAUAAAUUUCAAUUUUUUUUUUUUUUGUCUUUGAUACAUUUUUUGAGCUUGUACCAUUUUGUUUUACAUAUUCAUUGGAGUAUUUCUUCAUCAUGGGUCUUCAUCCAUUAGAGCACCAAGGAGAGCAAGUUCAUUGGCACGUGCUUUAAUGGUAUGUAGGAAGGUAGUGAUGCUUUGCAAACCCUUGGUGUGAUUCUUAAGGUGGUUGUUGACUUGUUUAAUGUAGACAUGUGAUAGUUUGACAUAGGUAUUGGUGAAGAUGAUCUAUGCUUCACGAAAGAUUGUGGCACAGGCAAUGAAUGGAAUUAUGGUGGGUGAAACGGAGCCAAUAAGUGUAUUUAGGAUCAAUUGAUCUUGACGAAGCAAGAAUAGGUUGGGUUGGGUAUUACAGUGUCGUUGGCAUAGUGGUGGGUGGACAAGGUUUGGUUCUAUCAAUAUAGCUAAGGCGGUCAAAGCCAAUAAAUAGUGUUUGGAAUUGAAAUCUUUAUGAUAUGUAGUUGGUAGUGGUUAGUUUAAGUAGGGCUCGAGCAAAAACAUUUAUUGAGAUGAGUAUUUGGUGUGACUCAUGGGUGUUGUGAAUAUUGAGAGUAGAAGUUACAGAAGUGGUGACAUCUUAGGUGGCCAUGAGGCUAUGAUGAUGGGGAGGAGCAUUAGAUGGCUUUGGCAUAGAAAAAGAGGUAAGAAGGAAGAACAAGUGGUGGUGAGGGUUUUCAGGUUAAGAAGCUUGAAUGCUCUGAUGUCAUAUUGAAGAAUGAGAUUGGUUAAUUAUUUUUCUAGGUUGAUUCUAUGUUGCUUAUAUGCAUGAUUCACCAAGGGUUUCUGACAAGCAUUAGCUAAGGGUGGCUGAACCCAAUGACAGACCAGAUGAAGGAUUAAUAAUAUAUUGCACUCCAGCAGUUCAACCAAUUCCUUUCGUUUCCUUAAUGACUUCUUUUGGUGACCUAUCAAUUUCUCUCUUGGAAAGUCUAGUAAUGGGUUGCCAAUUACCUAAAAGUUACUUCUGAGGUUUUGUUUUGUUGAUUCUAUGCUAACUGAUAAUCUGCAGAGGAAACAACUUGUUCGUCUGGAGAAGGUCUUGAAGCACUGUGAUGAAUUUGACCAGAAGAGUAAACUCAUCAAGUCCAUAUUAAGUCAUCAGGUUCCAGUAGAGCUAUUUCAAAAACUUCUUUAAUGCAUUAGCAUUUAAAAAUUGAACAAUAAAAUAACAUAUAUUAUUGAUACUAUCAUUUAAAACAAGAAAUAUAUUGUUGAUAAUGGCAUUUAAAACAAUAAAAUAGUGCAUUAGACCUGCAUUCAAAUCUUCAAUUCUCAAACACCACCAACCCACCCAUGAAUAGAGAAAGAGAAGAGAACCCUAGCAAAAGUAGAGAGCUUCAAUUCUCAAAUCUUCAAUUUUCUUUUUAUGUGUUCAAGUCAUUUUUAUUUGUUAAAUGAUUCCAGCUACUACUUGGGUCUAGUAUUUCCUUGGUGUAUAUAUCAUGCACUUCUCAGUAGAAUGCCCAUAGACAUGGAGAAACAAUUUUUUAUUUAUUUGCAAUGCCUAAUAUAAAAUUUAAUAAGCACCUAAUUUUUUAUUUCAGCUAUGAAUGGUAUUUUUCUCUAGAUCAUAAGUACGUUGGUUGAAUUUUAAAAAAUUUAUAUCAUUUCAGCCACUAAUUAAUAUCAUGCAAUAGAAAAACAAAGUUGAAAUUUGGGAUAAUAAAUAUCAUUAAAGUACAAAGAAAGUAACUUAUUGGGAGCAAAUUCUUCACAACCUGGCAUUGGCCUUUAGAUUAAAUAAUUUAUUAAUAAUCUCCUCUUUCUUUCUAAACUUAUACCGCUGUUUAUGAAAGUUUCUAAAAACCAAAGCCCAAAGCCUAGACUAUAAAAAGGAAAUAAUCACUUGGAGAGGGGUUGUUUGUUUUUCUUGAGAGCCUAAUAAAUGCAACGACAUAGACAGAAAGAGGCGGAAGAGUUGAGUCGGAGGAUCAAGAAACACAACCAUUCUUCUCUUUCAUUAGGGUUUUUGGCUGACUCUAAGGCCGUCUUACCUUCCUCUUAGAAUGAUGGCCUCUCGUUUCUAUACAUAUCCUUCCAUGCAUUUUCUGGCUCUCCCAUUCUCUUUUUCAAAGCUACAUCUUUCCUCAUAGACCCUGUUUGGUUUCUAAGAAAGUGGUCUAGGUCUCUUUCUUUUUCUUGAUUUAUCUUUGGUUUACAAGAAUCAGGAGUGAAGUAAAGUGGGUUCUUGAUUUAUGUUUGAUUUCUCUUUUUCAAACCUAUGUUUUGAUCUUUUCUCUCCAGCUCUUGUGGUCUAGGUCUAAUAUGCGUUGUGUUUUCUUUCUUUUUGUUUGGUUUUCCAAGAAAGUGAAGGAAAAGGAACUCUCUACUCUCUUUUUCUUGGUUCACCUUUGGCUUACACUCUUGGCACAUUCCACUUAGGAUUGUCCUCCUACAUCCUUUGAUGCUUUAGUGUGCAAUUGUGGUCAUUAACUGAGUUGUUUUUAAGCCCUUAUUGACGGUCCAUUGAGACAUUUUAGAGGGAUUAGGUGGAUCCCUAUCUUGAUUUUAGUGAUUUUUGAAUCUUAGUUCAGGACUUUGUUUUAAUUGAUUUAUAACAUAUUUAGGCUUGUUUAGAACUUUUAAAAUUCAUAAUUUUGAAUGUGCCAAAUACCCCCUUCCAUCAAUUCCAACUGCAGCAACUGCCAUUCAAAGAUGCUAGCCACAUAUUAAACCCAUGCAUGAACCCCCAGCCAGAUACCCAUUUUUUCCUCCAUCCAUCAACCACCUUCUUACUCCCACCACCGCCACUGCUCACCAUUCCCACUUCUCCUCCACCACCAUGGCCACCACCGCUUCCGGCUCUGUCUUCCUCCUUCUGCUCCUUGCCGCCGGCGAUGGCAGAGUCAUAAGCAACCGCACAUCGUCCACCGGCCUAGUCUCUGACGGCGUCCACGACCACCCCAAUGGUUUGCCUUAUCUUCUUCUCGGGUCUUUUUCCGCCGUCUCAGCCUCGGAUUCAUGCGAUCAUACAGCAAACCCAGAUAGAAAUCAAACCUCCACAACCCGCUCACCUUUUCCAUGCCGGUGAUGAUCAAGUGCGACAACAGCAGGUUCGGUUCUUCAAGUCUGGCACUCAAAAGAGAGAGGACAACUGGGUCAUCUCCCUCUUCGUGGUCCUCCACAUUGGGCCCUUCUUGCAUCGCCUUGGAUUUGAAACCGACCGGUUUAGAACCAUAACUCCUGCACGUGAGAGAGAUCACCAUGAGCCAUGCAAGGGAGCAUGCCAGUCACGUUCUCUAACUGCCAUGCAUCGGGAAUAUAAAGAUCACGCCAGAAAGAAUAAAGAGGGCCGUUCUAGAGACUUCGGAGGAGGAGAGAGGAAAGGAAAACUGACACAGAGAGUCUCUGUUUCUGGGCGUUUUUUGGAAGAGAGUUCAAAGAUCUUCUUUCUGUAGAAGAUCAUCACAUGCACCGAUUCAAAGAAUUUAGAGAGCUUCUCGUUAGAGUCAAGGUUCUCGUCAUUGUAGACCUUCAUGAACAUCUUCUUCACGGCAGCAUUGGCAUCCCGAUUCCUGAACCUCCAUGAUUGAUUGACCUCCAUCAUCUUCACGAUCGUGCACAAGUUCUGAAAGAAGAGACGUGAAUCUCUUCUUCGUCUUCACUCUCUAUACUUGUAUCUCGAAGGUUAUCCCGGUUUCUAUGUGCAUCGGAUCUCCAUAGAUGAACUCGGAUUUUGCAUUGAUCUGAAUCUCAAGCAUGCAUUAUUUCCAUAUUGUGCUGCCAAACUUGGUGUUUUUCUUCAUUUAUUCUUCACCACAACAGUUGGACAUAAAGGUUAGUCUCGAUGAAUCUUUACCAUUUGAAUUAGUUUAUUAAUGAUUUUUAAGUUAUUCAUUGAUAAAGUUAAGGCUAAGAGAUGAAAUUGGUUUGUUGAUUUUGAAACUCAGGGCUGUUUGUGACAUACUUUUAUCAAAAUUAGAGAAUGAAUAGAGGCUGACUAUGAUUACUAUAUCUAGAUAUAUGUUAUGGAAUAAUGGCAGUUGUAGUAAAUAAUACACAAUGGGUUACGGGAUGAUGUUGAUGCUUGUUGAUUUUUUUAAUAAAAGCUACAUAUAGAAAAGUAGAUGUAUAACCAGCCAUAAGUGUUUUUAGUGGCUCUUGAUGACAAGUUAUGGUGCCUUGUUCAUAUGUAUUAUUUUUUUCUUCAACAUGUUUAGUGUUGUCAUUUUAGUUCCAUAAAUGAACCUUGGGGCAAGGUUGGACAACUGAUGGCAACUAGGCAAGGCUAAAAGUCAAUUUUUGCUCGACCUUUUGGGCAUGGGCAGCAAUGUGUGGACCCCUCUUUAGCAUGAAAAUGGCUAGAACAUGUUAAGCUCUCUUAUUAGAUAAUGUGUUAACUAUAGGGCAAUCAUAGGAUGGGGAAUAUAUGGUAAUUAUGCAAAAAAAAAAAAAUUUGUAUCCAAUUAUAUAGAAAGACAUCUUCCAACAUUUAAUAUAAAUAUACAAAAAUUAAGAGAAAAAAAUUUAAAAAAACAUAUUAAACCGAAAAAUAGGGGCUUAAUAAUAAAAUCAAGUAAAAAGGUAAAAUUAAAACCAAGUAUUAAAUAUGAAUAUAGUUUAAAUAUUAAAAAUAUUAUUAUUUAGGUUUAAUCAUUGGGUUUGCUAGAGGAGUUUAUAUAUAUAUAUAUAUAUAUAUAUAUAUAUAUAUAUAUAUAUAUAUAUAUAUAUAUAUAUAUAUAUAUAUAUAUAUAUUAAUUUUUUCUUUUUUUAAUCCUAUCUAUGUUGUUGAUAUUAAUUCAUUGAAUUUAAUGUUACCUAAAACAAAAUUAUAUUUCAUGUCCUCUAUUAUAAGUGGAUAACCAUUCCUUAUGUUAUAUUUUAGAUAAAGAACGAAUAUUGAGGAUUGGAGUUGUAAGAAAUUAGGAGAGAAAUUAGGAGGUCCUAAUUUUAAAUAUGUAACAAAGUUCUAUAAUCACUCCAAUCCACGUUUAAAAAUUGUAUUUCUUUCUAAUAUGGGAUCAAACUUUUUCCUUCUUUCUUAUAAAUUUCAUUUGGGAAUGAUUUAAAAAUAAAUAAAUAAAAGCCCUUCUAAAUAUUAAAAAAACACUCUCUUAUAAAAUUUAAUUAGGUGGAUGGUAAGGUCAAAUUCGAGAUAGCUUCAUAUUUUUUGCUUUAACUGAAAAUUAAAAUUGAAAUUAAAGUAAAAAGUUUUAAGAUGUUGUAAAAGUUUUAUUAAACAUGAAAUAACUUAUUCUGUAAACAAAAAUAGAAUUAUAGAAUUCUUAUAAGAAAUAACAUUUUUAUGACUUCUAUAUGAAACUUUUUUUUUUUAAAAAAAUUAAAUAGGUAAAAAACUUUUAUUCAACUUAUUUUUUUUUAACUCUUAAAAGUCAAUCCAAAUAAAAUUUAAAUAUAUUUGAAAAUUAUUUUUAAAAAUCCAAAAAAUCACUUAAAAAUAAUUUCUGAACUUUUUUUAAUUUACAUUUAAAUACUAAGUGAUUCUUUUAAAAAUCAUUUAUAAUGUCAAAAUAUUUUUUUAUGGAUAAAAAUAUUACAAAUAAAAAACAUUUCAAUCACAAUUAAUUUAUUUUUAAUUCAUGAAAUUUCAUUUAUUGUUACUUAUUUUUUGGGAUUUAAUUCUUUACAAUUAUUUUUGAGUGUUUAUAUAGAAUAAUUAGGUUAUGCCCAAAUUUAUUCCUUUAACUCUAUCCAUCAGAUAUAAGUAGCGUGAAAUUUUGGCCUGUCUCCACCUUUCUUCGCUUCUGACAAUGGUCAAUGAAUAAUUUAUUAUAUUUUUUUCUUAAUUUAAUAGCAUUGGAAUGUCAGCUGGAACAAACCAUUUGAUGAUCUUUUUCAUAAGUAUCCAUUUAGAUCAUAGUCUAAUUUUAAAAUAUUAGAAUAAAUCAAUUAGUCUAAACUAUAUCAUUUAUAAUUUUUUAUUUAUUAAUAUGAUACCUAUCCUUCCACGGAAUUCAAAUAAAAUAUGGAUAAUUAAAAAAUGUCAACUAUCCAUGAUAUUUGAUACCAAACUUUUCUAAUACAACAUGAUAUCAUGUUGAAUGAAAUGGGAAUGACCAAAUAUUCUCAAAUCAAAGAUAUAUCUAUUGUGGACACGUCAAAUUCUCUUUUUAUAAUCAAAGACGUCCAUGGAAAAUUCCACCAUAGUAUAUCUCAAAGAUUAGUCAAAUUCCAUUAUCUUUAUAGACUUUUAACAAUCUAAGAAAUUGACAUUAAUAAUCCCAAACACAAUAUUCUGCAACUUUACAUUAUUCUUUUUAUCGUAAUUGAAGAGGAAUACCAACUUAGUCAAAUAGAAAAUAAAUCACGAAAGUUGAAUAAUACAAAUAUUCAGUGAAAUCUUUGGCAUGUUAUUUCUUUGCAGCUUCAACAUGGUGGCAUGUCGGAUGGAGGAGGCAGCAUUUGAGCUUUUGGGUGUUUUCCAUUUUUCACUAUGAACGCAGUUUCCAUGCCCCAAGUCACAUGGCGUUCUACAUGGUAGUGCAGGAACCACACUCCUACAACAGAGAAAAUAUAGUGACAUUACACCUAACUUAAUUGUAAUAUUAAAAAAAAAAAUUUAUUUCAUUGGUAUGCAGGUUGGCAGUUUCAAGGCAGAUGUAUAAACUUAUUUUGCUUCCGGAUCAUAGGAGGAUGUAAAACUAAUCAUGAGUUUCCUAAUCAAACUUUCAUGUGCCUUUUGGAUACUGAAUUUAACAUCUUCCAUGAUGGUAAGACUUGACAAAUUGUCGAUUGUUUGUGAUGUUUUUCAUUUGAUAGUUUACAUAUGUCAUGGCAUGACUUGGUGCAUAUUUAGACUUAGAGCUUUAGUUAGCUUUGUUUUUGUCCAUUAUUCGGUUUUCUUUUGAUAACAUGGUCCCAGGAUUUGUAGUCCUAUUUAGCUUUUAUAAUUGAAGAUAAGACAUUUUCAUCUUAUUGUUGAUGAGUGUAUCCUAAUGUAUGUCUUUGUUAGUACCACACCCUAAUUAUCCGACUUUUUUAUGUUUUAUGUUUUAUAUUAAUUUCAUGCCUCGACUAUCCGAACUCUUUUAUGUUUUCUUAAUGUCACGCCCUGACUAUUCGACCUCUUUUUGUCUCUAUUAGUGUCAUGCUCUGAUUGUCCAAAUUUUUCAUGUUUUUCUAGAGCUAUCUUGAUUGUCCAACUUUUCCAUGUUUUCCUAAAGUCGAGCUCUGACUGUCCAACUUCUUUUAUGUUUUCCUAGAUUAGCACUCUAAUUGUUGGGUUUUCUUUGUGUUUCCUCUAAUGUCCAUGCUCUGACUACCCGACCUCUUUUAAUUUUUAUUUUAUUAGCCUUAAGUUUUUUCUCUAAUCAUUAGUUUCUCUCUCUUUUCUUCUUCAUUCUCUUGUUCACCCAUUCAUUCCCCCCUUUGGAUAACAAGGUCCUUAGUGUUUCACAUAGAUAUUGUCACUACCCUAUUUAAAAGAGUCUCCCUUAAGAUCCACAUAGAUAUUGCAUGUUUCUCUACUAGUAGAUCAAUGAGCACAUUUCAUAACCUUAGAGAGCUUGUGUCUUAUUGGGACAAUUUUGGUGAUCUUUCUUGUACUUUAGUAGAGCUCACUUCGUUUAGUUGAUUUAUACACUUACUUCACUUGUGAACUCUUCUAAAAAUGGGCAUAUUUGUAGAUCCCAAAAUUUGCCCUAAGUCCAUUCUCACUUUUUAUUUUAUUUUAUUAUUUAUUUGAUUUAAUUUGAUUUUUACUUUAUUUUUUUUCUUUUUUUGUUCCUUUCUUGUUUUUCACCUUUUUUUUCCCCACACGUGCAACUGCAGAACCCUUCCUCUUCUUAUUUUUCCCUCUUCAAUUUCUUUUCUUUGCUUCUUUCUUUUUCCUUCCUUUUUGUUUUUCUUUCUUUUCUUUCCUUUUCUCUAUUCUCUCUACCUACUCUCUCUCCCAAACCCAUCUCUGGCUGUCAUCUACCUUCCUUCUCUUUCCCUUUUCUUAUUUAUUAUCCUUUCAUUUUUCUUCCUAUUACCCAUUUCUCUCUCUCACCUUAAAGAUCCAUAACCAUGGCUGCCCCAUACUCAACACUCUCACCACUAGAUAGUCACCAUCGGCGAGCCAUUAUUUGUUCAUGAUCCCUUUUCUCCCUUUGUUUCUCUCUUUUCUUCCUUUUCUCUCUUAUCUCACCCUUUUUCUUUAUUUAUUUAUUUAUUAUUAUUAUCUCAUUCUUUCCCCUUAUCCCUUAUUCCACAUUGCAUUCACGAAAUGGGUAAGAUGCCCUUUUUCAUUUUCUUAUUUCUUUAGUCAUUUUAUUUUUUAUUCCUAAAGUAAUUGUUCUUGAUUGUUGAGUUUGCUUGUUUGGACUUUAGAUAAUUUUGCUCGGAAUUUGCAUAUUAGAUGUUGAUCUUCUUUUAGACUUUAAUAAAUUAAGUUAUCCAAAAAUCUUCUUUUAAAAAAAUAAAAUAGGUGGAAUAAGACAUUUUCAUUAAAUAAGAAAAAUGGACCCAAAAAUAAGUUUUUAGACAUCUUUUUAGAUAAAAUAGUCCAAAAAUUUUAUUUUAAUAAAAGAAACAAUUCAUAAUUUUAAAAUAAUAUAAAUAAAUAAAAGGUUCACAAAUAUUUUUUUCAAAUAAAAUAAAAUAAAAAUAAAACAAUUCAAUAAUCUUGUUUUAAUGCAAUAACAAUUCAAAAAAUAUUCUUUUUAAUAAAAUAAAGCUUUUUUUAAUAGAAAGUUUAGAAUUUCUUUUUUAGGAAUCGAAUUUUUUUUAAUAAAAAUUCAAAAAAUUAAAUGGUCUAGAAAUUUAUUCAUUUAAAAAAUUUUCUAAAAAAAUUGAUUUUUAAAUAAAAUUGUCCAAAAAGUUAAUUUUAAUAAAAUCGUCCAAAAAUUUAUUUUUGAAUAAAAUUCUCUUUCCUUGAUAAGAAUGGGAUUAAAAAUAAUUUUUAUAAAUAAAGGUCUUAAAGAAUUUUUUUUAAUAAGAAUAGGAUAAGUAAACCUUUAAAUCAAACUGAAAGACCUUUUUUUUUUUUUUUUUAAUAAAUUAGUAAACUAAUCUCUUUCUAGAUGAAAUCCAAAAAUUAUUUCUUAAUAAUGGAAUCCUUGGGAAUAAAUUUGUGAAUUUUUUUUCUAACUAAAUUAGUAAUAAAGAAUCUUUUUCUAGGUAAAAUAAAAACAUAUAUAUUUUUAAUAAAAUUGGGUUGAACCUUAUAAACUUGUAAAUAUCUUUCUUUAAGUUUGUAAAUUUAAAAAAAAUAAAUAAAGAUUGAAUCAAAACACUUUUUAAAAUAAAUUAGUAAAAUUCACCCCUUCUUAAUAAGGUAAACAAAAAUCAUUUCUUGUAAGUCAAAUAAAAUCUUUUGUAAUAAAUUGAAGCAUUGUGAAUAAAUAAAUUCAAAUCACUAAUUUGAAAUUGUUGUUAAUAUAAAUGAAUUCUUUGAAAAUUUUUGGAAAUUGUAUUAUGAUAUUUGAAAUAAUAAAAUCUUUCUAAUAAAUUAUUUUGUGCAUUUCUUAUAUAUCAUUUUUGCAUAUCCUUAUAAUUUGCUUUUGCAUUAUUCCAUGUGCUUGUAUUAUUCUUUUUUUUUAGUAUCCAUGAUUGAUUAAUUAAUUGUUAUAAUUUCAUUUUUAUGUGCUUAGUAAAAACCUUUUUAAGGCUUAAAAGGGUGCUACUAUGGUACCUUCCAAAUAGGUAAUCUGACCUCUGAAUUCAAACUCAGUUUUUGUCAACACGUCUUUUCUUUAAAAAUGGAGUUACACUAAGGCUUUAUUUCUUAUUUUAUUUUCUUUUAAAAAUAAAUAAAAAUAAGUGGCAACUCUACCUUUUUAAAAAAAUCAAUUUUUUUACAAUCAAAAUAAGUCUCGCCAUCAAGUAGGCAUACACAUAAAAAAUGUGGGUUCACAAUUGUAUUUCUUAGAAUUAAAAUAUAAUACAAUUACUAAAUCAACGAUGUUGUAAGUUUUUAAAUCUUUUAUCAUAAAAAAUUCAAAUCACAAUGGAUCAAAUAGUUUUCAAAAGAAAAAAAAUAUAUUUAAAAUGAAAAAUGUAACAAUAAAGACAAUGAAACAAGGUGAUAUGGUUGGAGUUAAAUAGAAAAAUCUUUUAUCCAUGAAUUUAUAGUUUAUUUAGUAGAAAAAAGUUUGAAAGAAAUAUUGCAUACAUUAAUGGAUUAAGUAGAUAUGGAGUUGUAAGCAAAUAGGAGAUCCUAAUUUUAAAUAUGUAACAAAGUUCUAUAAUCACUUCAAUCCACGUUUAAAAAUUGUAUUUCUUUCUACUAUGGGAUCAAACUUUUUCCUUCUUCUUAUAAAUUUCAUUUGGAAAUGAUUUAAAAAUAAAUAAAUAAAAGCCCUUCUAAAUAUUAAAAAAACACUCUCUUAUAAAAUUUAAUUAGGUGAAUGGUAAGGUCAAAUUGGGGAUAGCUUCAUAUUUUUUGCUUUAACUGAAAAUUAAAAUCGAAAUGAAAGUAAUAAUUUUUAAGAUGUUGUAAAAGUUUUAUUAAACAUGAAAGAACUUAUUGUGUAAACAAAAAUAGAAUUAUAGAAUUCUUAUAAGAAAUAACAUUUUUAUGACUUCUAUAUGAAACCUUUUUUAAAAGUUAUAAGUUUUUUUAAAAAAUAAUAAUUAAAUAGGUAUAAAAACUUUUAUUCAACUUAAUUUUUUUUAACUCUUAAAAGUCAAUCCAAAUAAAAUUUAAAUAUAUUUGAAAAUCAUUUUUAAAAACCCAAAAAAUCACUUAAAAAUAAUUUCUGAACUUUUUUUAAUUUACAUUUAAAUACUAAGUGAUUCUUUUAAAAAUCAUUUAUAAUGUCAAAAUAUUUUUUUAUGGAUAAAAAUAUUACAAAUAAAAAACAUUUCAAUCACAAUUAAUUUAUUUUUAAUUCAUGAAAUUUUAUUUAUUGUUACUUAUUUUUUGGGAUUUAAUUCUUUACAAUUAUUUUUGAGUGUUUAUAUAGAAUAAUUAGGUUAUGCCCAAAUUUAUUCCUUUAACUCUAUCCAUCAGAUAUAAGUAGCGUGAAAUUUUGGCCUGUCUCCACCUUUCUUCGCUUCUGACAUUGUCAUGCACUGCUUCGUCAACUCCAAACACAACCGCUGAGGAUAGAAGAAAAUGAGACAAUGGUCAAUGAAUAAUUUAUUAAUUUAUUUCUUAAUUUAAUAGCCUUGGAAUGUCAGCUGGAAUAAAAUGAAAGUUUUAUCAUUUAAUCUUUUUUAGCACACCACUCAUGAUCUUGGAGAGUACGGUCAAUUGCAAAAGCUUAGUUAAUUGUAAGUGUCUUUUCUCUAAACCAUAAAUUCAAAUGAUCAACUCCUACGUUUUAAUUUACAAAAGCCAGUGAUUAGUUUUUACUGGUUAUUUGAAUUUAAGGAAGCAGAAAAGGGUUUACUUUAAUAAAAAAAUAAAAAAAUAAAAAAUAAAAAGUAAGAGUUGAAAAGUAAUCAAAUCACUAAAAAAAAACAGAUUUACAGUUCUUUUGGUAUGGGGUUAGACUCAAUUUGUUCCCCUGCAAUGGAAAUGGACAACAUUUUUUUUCUUUUGUCCUUUUCCUUUAUCUUGGUGUAGAUAUUCUAAUAUUUUAUAAAAGUAUAAAUUAUAUGCCAAUUAUUUUAACUUUAGGAAAAAACGUUUAUUUUAAUUUAAAAUAAGUAAAUAAAAAAGAACUGAUUUUAUCUCAACAAUAUAAGACUUCAUAAAAAUUAUCUUAUUUGCAAAAUAUUUUCAGAUGUAAAAGUAAAAAUUAAACAAAUCAUUUGAUGAUCUUUUUCAUAAGUAUCCCUUUAGAUCAUAGUCUAAUUUUAAAAUAUUAUAAUAAAUCAAUUAGUCUAAACUACAUCAUUUAUAAUUUUUUUUACUAUUAAUAUGAUACCUAUCCUUCCACGGAAUUGAAAUAAAAUAUGGAUAAUUAAAAAAUGUCAACUAUCCAUGAUAUUUGAUACCAAACUUUUCUAAUACAACAUGAUAUCAUGUUGAAUGAAAUGGGAAUGACCAAAUAUUCUCAAAUCAAAUAUAUAUCUAUUGUGGACACGUCAAAUUCUCUUUUUAUAAUCAAAGACUUCCAUGGAAAAUUCCACCAUAGCAUAUCUCAAACAUUAGUCAAAUUCCAUUAUCUUCAUAGACUUUUAACAAUCCAAGAAAUUGACAUUAAUAAUCCCAAACACAAUAUUCUACAACUUUACAUUAUUCUUUUUAUCGUAAUUGAAGAGGAAUACCAACUUAGUCAAAUAGAAAAUAAAUCACGAAAGCUAAAUAAUACAAAUAUUCAGUGAAAUCUUUGACAUGUUAUUUCUUUGCAGCUUCAACAUGGUGGCAUGUCGGAUGGAGGAGGCAGCAUUUGAGCUUCUGGGUGUUUACCAUUUUUCACUAUGAACGCAGUUUCCAUGCCCCAAGUCACAUGGCGUUCUACAUGGCAGUGGAAGAACCACACUCCUGCAACAACGAAAAUAUACCGACAUUACACCUAACUUAAUUGUAAUAUUAAGAAAAAUUAUUUCAUUGGUAUGCAGGUUGGCAGUUUCAAGGGUUUUUUUUCUUUAUUAGAGGACAUGAGUGCUUGCAACAUACCAGGGUUGGAUGCCUUGAAUCUGAUUGCAACCCAACCUUUCGAAGGAACAGAGAUGGUAUUCUGAAGAGGAGGAUCCACCAGAUUAUAGUGCAAAGGGUCCCUAUUUUCAUCGAAAUUCCUAAAUCCCCAUCCAACAACAUAGAAACUGUAUCCAUGGAGAUGCAUAGGGUGGUGUGUCUCUGCAAGCACGGCUGUCCCUUGAAGAACAAUCUCCACUGUGGAGUUAUACUCGAGCACCCUUACUUCUGUUCCGCUGCUCGGCAACUGAUAGAUUAAUGGAAGAUAAUCAUAUGUAAAAUCGAACACUAGUGGUGGAAAGCUAGGAAAGUUAUUUCCAUAUACACCACUGAUGUUAUAAUAGUAAGCUUCUAGUAUGUCAACUGUAGGGGUAUGGAAGCUUAUGUUGUUUAUACUUGAGGAGAACCGCGUCCCAUUUGGUCCUGCACAUGAAUCAUUGACGCAUGGGUACGAGUUCAUAGAAAGAGUGUAAAACAGCUUAGUGCUCGUGCUCAAUGGGACAUUGCAAGGAUGUUCCUCAUUUGCUAAGCUUCGGAGGCCGGCCAUGACUUGAACCGAUGCAUCUGUGUCAUUGUAUGCAGGAAGAUGAGGCAAGGAGGGAGGUGAAGAUGGAGUGUAGUAACCCCUAUACUGUACUAUAGCUGUGGUGGUUGUGUUAUCAUAGAAGUCUUGAUAUUUCGGGGCAACAGAAUAAGUUAUAGCCGCCAUGUAAUAGUGAUCCGGGCGUUGGUUAGCUUCUAGUAAGACAUCAUAGGUUUGGCCAGGAAAUAUUGUGAUAUAAUCUCGUGUCAAUGGUUUUGUGUAGCUACCAUCUGUUCCAACCACUGUCAUUUUAUGCUUGGCUAUGCCGAAGAAGAGAGCCUCGUGCAAGGCAGCAUUGAUUAUGCGAAGUAGAUAGGUCUUUCCACGAUCCACCGUUAGCUUGAAUGUGCCUGCAAUUAGAAAGGGAAAGUUGUAUACUUAUGACUAGCCAAAAGAAAAAGAAAAAGUUUCCAUUAGAAUCCACCAAUUAUGAAGUGAUUGAUUGAUUAAGGGUGUAAAUUUGGCUCCAUAGUUCAAAAUUAUAUUUGGACUAGCCUUUUUUGAUGUGUUAAAUCAUGGCUCUACCAUCCUCAUAUCUAUAUUCCUCUUUCUUAGCAUUAACCUUUAAAUAUGUUGAUGUUAAUAAGAAAAAGUAGUAUGGUUAACAUAUAAGAAAAUGAAAUCGUGUACAAUUUUAAAAUGGGAAGUUAAACUUUGUACCUGAUUUUGAGCAUGGAUAUAGAUCACCAGGUUGUCCAUUUAUCAAUAAAGCAUUAGAGGAGUUGGGGUCACCUCCGGUUGCAAGCCCUUGAUCUCGAACCUCAUUCACAUCCCUCUUCCACCACUCUCCUGCAUUUCAACAACUUCAAUAAUUUUAGAUUUUGCUUGGUUGGUUAAUUCAUAAUAUGUAAAUUAACCUUUAAAAGUAACAACACUUAUACCUAAUAUGAUGGGGACUUCUGCGUUAGGUUUGUGAAAAGGAUACUUGGUUCCAUUCUUGGGAUAGAUGAUUAUAGCUCCAUGAACAGUGGCUCGGGUCCAGUCACUGUGAGCAUGCCACCAUAGAGUGCCUUCCUCAGUGGAAAGGAUGAUCUUCUGGGUAAACUUUGACCCUGGCUGAAUUGGGCAUUGUGUGAUAUACUCGGGACCAUCUGUCCAUGGAUAUCUAGGCAUGGUCACCCCAUGCCUGCAAAACCAUAACUAUACGUUAAAGCUAGUACUAAUUUUCAAAGUAACAAAAGAUAGCAUGCAACAAGCAUCAAUUGUAUUUCAAUGGAACUGAAGCAAAUAACCCUAAAGUAUUGUUUUAAAUUUGACUUUAUUUUUAAAGCAAUAUAUUGCGGCUCCCUCUUAGAAAGAAAAGAAUGUAAGCCAUGUCUUUCUCUAAGAUACACACAGGACCUACCAGUGAAUGGUGAUGUUUUCUUUUCCCCUGUUAUAAACAUCGACAAUGAUCGUCUCUCCUUUCAUAGCAUAUAUAGUUGGUCCCGGAAAUUGUCCAUUUACUGUUAAGAUGUUCUUGGCGCUACAAAGCCUUGUAUAUGAAGCUUCCCUCACCUGCAACCAAUUAAAAGUUAACCAUGCAACCUCAUCCCAAAAGAAAUAUUACAAGUAUGAAUAGUUCCAUCGAUCUAUUCAUGUAAGUGUAUAACCAAUUAGAAAUUGAUGGCAUGCAUGAAUGACUCAACGGCACCCAUAACAUGCAUGAACAACUCAAUGACACUAAGGUAAGAGGUCAUACGGUAGAAAAUGAGAGCCAUACUACUAGCUAAAUAUCAUGAUUAGAAGGUGGCGUUUAGGCCAGAAUCAUAUAUAAUAUUUACCACAAAAGUAAGCCGACGGGUCGAAGCUUGGCAAUGGAUGCCACCACCAAAAACUAGAAACGCUAAAAUUUGCAAGAGGAAAACCUUCAUGAUCAGCCACAUUUUCCUUGGAAUAAAAGCCUCUUCUCUUGUCCUAAACACAACUCCUUCAAUUCUCUUACUACUUUUGAUAUAUUUCUUUCAUAUAUGAUUCAUUAUAUAGGCAUGGUAAUUCUCUCGGGAUACAAUACUUCCUCUCCACGUGUCAAUAUAAGAGGAAGUGAUUUGAAUGUGUAUUGGUUUUCAAUGUUCUUAUGAUAUUUCUUACAAGUUACCUACACGUUAUCUUAGAAUAAAUUUAAAAUAUUCUUUCACAAGUCCAACAAAUGUUAAUUAAUUAAAACUUUGACCUCCCGUAUGAGUACCCUUAUCAAGAUUAGUCAUGAAUACUGUUUUUUAUUGACAACUACUUUCAAGAAUUAUUUUAAAAUUAUUUUUAUAAACAUUAUUUAACCAACCCUUAUUAUUAAUUUUACUUGUUUUCGUGUUACUUAAGAUAAUUAAUAGUGCAGAACCCAUGACUUUGGUGGUUGGUGGCAAAGUUGUUUUCGUAUUGUUACUUAAUACAAUUAGUCAUGAUCAUUGUUUUCGUCUGAAUGGGACAAAGUUGGUAUUUCAGAAUUUUCCAUAAAAAGCACAAAAAUAUAUUUUGUAAAAAGUUGAAAAUAGGAUACGAACAACCCCUUGUAGCAUACUUUUUCUCAACAAAAAGAAAUUUAAUAAUAAUAAUAAAAAAUAAUUAUAGAUUUAAAAAAAAAAUAUUUUUCAAAACAAAUGCAAUCGAAAAUUUAUUUCUUCGAAUGGUAUGUAUAUCUUGAUUAAAUAAAUAAAUUAUGGAAAGACUUAUGUAUUUUUAACUUAUUUAUAAAUAGAAAAACUGAUGAAUAAAUUUUAAGAUGUGUAAAAAUUUGAUCAAGUUAAUUUAAACUUUUUUAUUUUUUCACUUUCUUUCUCCUAUUUUUUUCACUUGUCAAACCCAAGAGUCCACCACAUGAAUAACCUUAACUUACAAAUCCAAAAAGUAAUUAGUUGACAACUUUCUCAAAUUGAUUCAUAACAAUAAUUAGAGCAUAAAUAUAUAUAUAAAUUUCUAAUCCAAAACUAAUUAAAAAUAUCUAAAUAGUAAAUUCAAAGAUCAUCCCCAACACUUUGAAGAGUUUUAGAAAUCAAUACUAAAUUCAAUCUUAAUUUAAAACUCCUAAAUAAUUAAUUGCAAAGCAGAUUUCAAAUGAAACACCCUUCUUAUCUUAAUUUCCCCUCAUUAAUAUCACUUAUAUCUAAAAAAGGGAAAUAAUAGAGAAGAGUGAACUUAAAACUCAGUUGGGAAAAAUAGUUCAAUGAGGAGGAUCAAGUAUAGUAUAAAGCUAAAUCCUAGGGCAUAUCACAUCUUUAUAAAAAAUAAAAAAAUGAUAAGUAGGAGUUCAUUUAAUUCAAUAAUUAAAUUCACUUUCUUUAAAAUAUUAUGCACUAGAAGUUCAUUUAAUUCAAUAAUUAAAUUCACUUUCUUCAAAAAAUAUUCGAACUAGAGGCUUGAAUUGAACCUUGGCUACCACUUGGCUAAGUUGUUAUUUAUAAAGAUAUGUUUAAUUUAAAUAUCUUAAAAUUCACUAUUUUAAAAAAAAAUUCUAAUUAUUUUAUUUUAAAAUUUAUUUAAUUGAUUAAUAAAAAUAUAAAAACCAACAUAAUAAUUUUUCUUAAAAAGUCUUUUUUAUAUCAUUUAUAUGAUAAUUAAAUACAAAAAAUAUAAAUAUUAAAAAAUCAUAGAUGCAUCAUAAUUUAUUUUACAUUAUUAAACACAUUUAAAUUAAAUAGAUUAUAAUUAUAAUAUUAAAUGUAUUAUCAUUUAUCUCAUUAAUUCUAUUUUUUUUAAAAUAACUAUCACUUCACUUUUAAAUUUUUUAUAUUUAUCCUUUUAAUUUUGCAUGUCUUUAUUUUAAAAUAUUAAAAAUAUAAAUUUAUUCAAAAAAUACUAAAAUAUAAAAAAAAAUUGAUAAUGAAGUUCUAAUACUUUAUAAAUUAAAAUUAAUUUGAUAAGAUAAAUAAUAAAUCAUAUAUUAAGACUGAUAUAACCUUGCUUACGGAUAUUUUCCUCAUUAACCAUACCUAUGUCAAUUAUGCUUAUAAAAUAACUUUAAUAUGUAUAUUUUUACUUAUUUUUAUCAUUUUUUUUUUGGAGUUUUCAAAAUAUUUCUAUGAAUUUUGAAUAAAUAAUUUUCACCUUACCGAAUUGUUGUCAAAAUAUCAAUCGAUAUUCUGAUAUUUCUAAUAUAUCCGUAAAAUUUAUGUAUCGAUGUUUUCCGAUAUUUUAAUCCUAGAGUUUAGACUAAUAACACCCUUAUUAGUUAGACUUACAUUAUAUCACUAUCCUCACCAAAGGUAACUAAGGUUAACAACUUCUCUCUUGUUGACUAGGUCCACUAAUAACUAGAGUUUCAAAAUUUAGGGAAUUUAAACAUUUUGAUAGUUUAAAAAUAGAUGAAAAAAAUAAGGAAUUUGUAUGGCUUACCGUACCAUUAACCCCUACCUUGAAGAUAUCAUUCAAAAUCCUGAAAGAUUUAGUCUACUCCUAAUAUAAAUAUAAAUAAAAAAUAAUUAUUAAAGACUAAUUAUCUAAAUUAAUGUCUUCCUAAAUUUUUUGUAAAACUUAUUUUAAUUCCAAACUCUCUUCUAAAAAUCUACAUUUUUUAAUUAAUUUUUUUAUUAACCACCCACCCAACUCCAACAAUAUUUAAGUAAUUAAUAAAGUAAAUGAUUGAAUUACAAUGAACAAGUAUAAUGAUCAAAAUAAAAAUUUUACUGUUUUUUGUUUUAAUAUAAAAUCAGACCUCUAAUUGAACAAAUCAUUUACUGUUUAAAAAUAUUCUUAAUAUCUUCUUUUUCUUUUUGUGUUUUUAAAAGUUCAUUUUUAUUUUAACUAGAUCAAAUAAUAUUUGUAUAAUAAUGCCUUUAACAUACAUUUUUUUUUAAUCAAUAAUACCAAAUAAACAUCUCAACAAAUAUUAUAUAAGAUGAUCAUUAAUUUCACUAUCUUCAUUUUAUUUAUGUUAUUCUUCUUUAUUCAGUGGAUUUAAUUAUGUGUUGUAAAAUGAACAAGGACCUCUAUAGUUAUAAUCUCACCUAAAAAGUUGGAGAAGUUAUCUCUACAUUUAUGGUUCAUGCAUGAAAUAAAUUGUUUUUGUACUUCCAUCAUCAAAGAUGCAUGUAUGUCUAUCAAUGGCAAAAGAAUCUAUGAGUUCAAGAAAAAAAUGAAAAAAAUUUAUAUGUUUUUUUAAUUCAUUUCAUUUUUUUAUUUUUCUAUUCUAUAUAAAAAUUCAAUAUAUAUAACUUUUUAACUAAUUUUAAUUAUAUUUUUGUUUCAUAUUUUCUAUAAUAAAUCAAAAAUUAAAAAAAGAAGACAUUUUUUAAUAUUUCAACCAUAAUAAGGUGGGCAUAAUUAAUUUUUAAUGCUAGGAUAUCCUAACAACCUAACCUUAAAAUUUUCUUAAAUAAAUAAUCACUUUACUAGUCAUAUAUUUUUUUACUCCACCCUAUUGUGAUUGGCACCAUAGUAUUUGUUAUACUUCGAAGCAUUUUGGUAUGAUUCUUAUCUCAUAAUAAGUCAUUUUUGAAGCAAACCCAACAUGCUUGAUAGAAAUCCUCUUCCUAAAUGAACCCCUAGGUUUCUUAUUUAUGAGUGUUGGUACAUUAAGUUAUAUAGUUUAAGAUUGAUAAUUUUGUUUCAUUCAUUUUGACUUAGGGCUUUUUUAGAUUAUGUCUCGCUCUCCUUUGAAAACUCGAAGUUGUUGUGUGAUCAACUGGAAUAACAAAGGUAAGUAUCGAAAGGUCUAGAAAGGCAAAUUAGAGUUAGUUAAGGUUGGCACGAACGUCAAGUUCUUAAACCGAGUUAAAUGUUUAUUAAAAUAGUUUUAAAGAACUCCUUGAGUGCUUUAAUGAUGCAGAGAGCACUUAAGCACUCCUUGGAGCACUCAAGUGUGAUAGAAUUCUUUAGAAUUUCAAAGCUUUGAUUUUCCAACUUUUACAAGCUUUAUUUUUGGAAAAUUCUAAAUCCAAUCCACUAGGAUCUUGGCCUAAUAAAUACCUUGCCUAAUGAGGAUUUUCUCUUUUUGAUGUUAAUGUUUCAAAAAACCUAGUUUGUCAUCUUGUUCCCAAAACUUUGAAAGAUGAUUGUCUUCACUUUUACUAGGUUGAGAAAGAGAUUUGCAUCUCAACAAAUACUAAAUUAAGUAAGAUUCACGAGGAGCAUAAGUGGUGUUGUGCUACAAAUGUGAAGUAUAGUAGAGGUGAUAGUGAGCUCAUGACCUAGAGUCGUUUGCAUCCUUCACAUCCCUGAGAUGCUUCAUUUUCAUUAUUCUAGCCACUUGCGAGUGGCCUCAACCCGACACUAUGAGCCGGAAAGCAUCCUGAUCGGCUAUCCAUUUAAAGCCAUAAUCUCAUGACCUAGAGUUGUUCUUUUUAUUUAUGACCCAGAGUCAUUCUUUCCAUUUAGAGCCCUGGGCUCAGGACCUGGAGUUGUUCUUCUCAUUUAUGACCUAGAGUCAUUCUUUCCAUUUAAAGCCUUGAGCUCACGACCUAGAGUCAUUUUUCUCAUUUAUGACCCAGAGUCAUAUCUUUUCCAUUUAGAGCCAUGAGCUCAUGACCUAGAGUCAUUUCUCUUCCAUUUAGAGCCUUGAGCUCACGACCUAGAGUCGUUUUUCUCAUUUAUGACCCAAAGUAAUUUCUUUUCCAUUUAGAGCCCUGAGCUCACGACCUAGAUUCGUUUUUCUCAUUUAUGACCCAGAGUCAUUUCUUUCUAUUUAGAGCCCUGAGCUCACAACCCAGAGUUAUUCAUCUCAUCCAUGACCUUGAGUCAUUUUUUUCAUCCCUUUCCAUCUUUGUGCUACUCAUCACAAACCUUUCUCUCUUUACUGUCAUCCCCCCUCAUAGAGUUGUUCCAUCCUUGUUGUUGUAGCCUCGUGUUUCGAUCUUACUCUCAUCAUGUGCUAGGACAAAAUCUCUGGUCCUUUUUUAGUUCUUUGGUAUAGUUCACUUCGUUCCACUCAUUAUUCAUAUUUCAACUCACAUUCUCUACACUCGUGAUCUUUACUGAAGAGGGGAAUAUUUGUAGACCCUCCAUUUUGUCCCUUUAGCGCAUGUCUUUAAGUUCACUUCCAGUGUUCCAUAGUGGUUCUUUGAUGACCCAUUACUACUUAUGUAACUUAUUUUUUUUGAGCCACUUUGAGGACUUUGGUUGAAGGGUUUAUCUAACUUCACAUUAUGACCUUAGCUGUCAUUCAAGUUUAGAUUAGACUUCACUUAGGUGCACUUUAGGUUAGACUUAGCUAGGCUCACCUAGUCUCACCCUAGGGUCGUAUAGAUAUACCCAACCCAUUAGGCACCAUCUUAGGUCCACUUAGACACUUUAGGCCUGUCUAGGUUCACUUAGGCCCAUUUAAACACCUUAGACCCAUCUAGGUUCACUUAGGCCCAUUUAGACACUUUAGGCCAAUUUAGGUUCAUUUAGGUCCACUUAGGCAUAGUUGGCCUACUAGACAUUUUUAGCGUGACUUGUAUGAUUGCAUGGAUCAUUUAUCUCAUUUACUUAUUUAUUUAUUUUUAUUUAUUUUAUUAUUAUUAUCAAUCACUUAUUUAAUCAUUUAUUAUAUUUUUAUUUGUUUAUUUAUUUUAAUUUAUUUUUCAUUGUUAUCAAUCACUUUUAUUCAUUGAGUUAUUUAUUAUUUGUUUAUUAUCUUGUUGUUUAUUCGUUUAUUUAUUAUUAUUAUUAUUUUAUCAUUCUCUAAUUUAUUUAUCUAUUUAUUUAUUUAUUUAUUUAUUAUUCCUUUAUUUAAUUUGAUAAUUUGAUGUUUUUAUGGGAAAACUGCAAUCGGAGGAAAAAGAAUUUUGAAAUUGGUAAGAAUUUGAAAAGGAAAGGAACUCUUCAAAGAUGGGACUCUUUACGUCAUAUGCAUGGAUUCACUUUUGAAAUUUUGAAAGAAUUUUUCUGGUGGAUGAGAUAGAAUUUGGCAAAGAGGAGUCCUCAGUUGGGACGACUCCAAUUGCUAUAAAAAGCAUAAACUGGUGGUUUUGAAGGGGGAGGGGAUUUUCUGGAGAUUGUUUUUCAGAGGGAGAAAGGAAUGAAGCCAGAAGGAGAGAUCUGAGACCACACACGAGUGGGGAUUUUCCUGCUGGAAGGAGGGCUUUGCCAGAUACGUUUGUUAUAGAUUCCUUCAUCCCCAUUAUCCUCUUGUUAUCAAUUGAUCUUCACUGGAUUUCGAGUUUUGCCUGGAUCCUUGGGUUUAGAAAGGCGGAGGUUGUACGUUUGUUGGCAUUGGUGCUAGAUUGCUUAUAUGAUUCUUGUUGUCGACUUUCUUUUUUUUUCUAUGGAGUUCCUUAGUUUUGGUUUGAGAAUAAAAGGUUCCUUUCUUUUUAUUAUAUACUGUGCUUUACAUCAGAAUCGUGGUUGUCUUUGUUUGCUUGAAUCUUCUUGUGCUUUUUCUCACCAUUCCAAGCCCGUUGAAUAAUCAUGAAAUGUGGCAUUACCAUGUUCUUGUUUUUACUUGAUCUCUCCUCCUCUCUGUUUCAUUCAUUUCUCGUUUCCGCACCUUCCCCUGUUUUUCUUGUUCUGGCAGUCCACUAAAAGUGCUAACCUAGCCUCCUUGCUUAAGACGGCCAUCCCUAUGGUUAUAUAUGGCUACAAAGAUCAAGCAGAAUAGAGAUUUGAAUUUGCUUCAAACUCUCCCACUUGCCAAUCUCGGAACGUAUGCGGUAAUGGAGUUCUACUAGGGUCAAAUUUUCAGAAACAACAACAGCCAGGCUUUCCACAUGAGGAGCAAUAGUAUUGAUGCACAUUAGGGAAUGACUCAAUACCUGGAGAAGUUAGUCAUUGAUUUAUCAGGGCUGGUGACUGGACCGGAUUGCUGUCGCUAGGUCUGGUAAAGCAUUGGCAUUUGGAAUUUCUUUCUCUGCCUGGUGAUGCCUUUGGUUCCAGCAGCUCAAAAGACGCAGGGGUUUGUGAUAAUGAAAAGAACGUUUUCUGCUUAAAUGGGAAGUCAUCGACCUUACUGAAUGGAAUUGGAUAAAGGAGAAGGAACUCCAAGAAACUUGGGAGUAAUGUGCAUGGAAACUUCAUUUUUCUUGCAAAGUCGUGGUUCCUAUAAAAUCAUAUGAAGCUUCAGGUUCGCUUUCAGGUGACGCGAUAUGAUUCUACAUAUCGCAAUGCAGAACGGUAUGGCAAUGCAGAACGGUUUUGUUUGAAACUGGGCGAGCAGGUCUACCAGUGAUGAUAGCAAACCCGAGAGUAGCUACACGUACAUGCAGAUUCUACAUGCAUGGUUAUCUUUUGGUGUGCCCCCACACAUGCAUGUGUCACAAUCAGGGUGAAGAAAAAAUGUUUCCAUGGAGACAGAGAUAGGUGGCAGUGAAAUAAGGAGAAGGUAGCUGUUGGUGAUGUUACAUAUGUUGAAGCCCAUUGUGGAGCAGUUAAAAGGGUGGGCAGAAGUGAUGCUUUUGCUACAGAAUUUGACCUUGAGGCGGAAGAGUAUGUUCCACUUCUUAAAUGAGAGGUUCACAAAAAAAAAGGAGAUGGUUCAGGAUGUAACACUUCAUGACCUGGAUAUUGCAAAUGCACGGCCUCAAGGUGGACAAUAUAUUGUCCCUAAUGGGUCAGAUGAUGAAGCCCAGGAAAACAAAAAUCACUGAUAGGUUACAAUAGGAAAUUAACAAGGUUGUUAACCGUUACAUUAAUGAAGAUGUGGCAGAGCUUGUUCUUGGGGACCUAUUUAUUAAUGAGGUACACAUGUUGGAUAUGGAGUGUUUUUCAUAUUUGAAUCGUGCUCUAGAUACCUGACUGUCUCCAAAUGUAAUUUUUGCUGGAAAUAGGGGAAUAUAUAAUGUAAGAGGAACCGAUGUGAGUAUUCCUCGUGGCAUACCUGCUGACUUGUUGGACUGGUCGGUGAUUGUACGGACGAAAACUUAUGAUCCUGCUGAUAUGAUUCAGAUUUUGACGAUUCGUGCACAGGUGGAGAUGAAUAAGUGGUUUUGAAGAGUGACCCUUCAAUGCAGUCCUAAGGAUGGUUGUUGGGAAGAGAUAGUUUGUUAAUGGGGUCCACGCAAAUGAAGAAGCAAGACAUGUCAUAGCAGGCUUUACGCAGUUCGUACAUCUCCUCGAGGCCCGUGUUCCAUCUGAUGUCUUUCCAUUUGUAGAGUGGAUAGAUUUGGACGGCUAUUUGAAGUCUAUGAAGCGUGUAGCCAAGCGGGUGGACAGUCUACAAGGUUGGGUAGAAGAACAUGUUAUGAAACCUAAGAGUGACCCCAGCAGCGGGUAGGACUUCAUUGAUGUGAUACUGUCUAUUCUCAAAGACGAUUCCGCGUUUAGCCAUACAAGGGAAACUAUUAUCAAAGCAACAGUAGUGAAUCAACAUUGGCAGGGUCAGUAAGCGUGGUUGUUCUUUAUCUAUUUCCCAGAUGAAGAUUAUUGAUGAACCUGUUGAGAAGCUUUUCCUUUGGGGUUAUAUAAUGCAUCGAGAUAUUGUAAAGGAGUGGACGCUUAUAGUUUGGGCCUUGUGGAUGUUAUAGUUGCUCCAGAUCAGUUAGUAAAGACUGCUCGCCAACUAGAUAUUUUAGAGUGUAGAAGACCAUGGGUUUAUAAUCUUUACAAGACUGGCAAGUUGGAGCCCCUAGGGAAAGCAAGGGAGAUGCUCAAGUUUGCAAGAACUCAGGCACAGAAACAGGCACUAAAUUUGACGCACCCAUUAGUUUGCAUUGAUGUUAUUGAAGCGGGUAUAGUUUCUGGUCCUGUUGCUGGACUUUGGAAGGAGGCUGAGGCUUUUCAAGAACUUCUACGCUCUGGCAUUUGCAAGUCCUUGGUCCACAUCUUCUUCGCUCAAUGAGGAACCACAAAGGUUCUUGGGAUCACUGAUCUGGGUUUGGUACCAAGACGAAUAAACAAAGUAGCUAUUCUUGGAGGAUUGAUGGGAUCUGGAAUAGCAACAGCAUUGAUACUUAGUAAUUAUCCGGUGAUCCUGAAGAAAGUAAAUGAAAAGUUCUUACAAGCUGGGAUUGGUAGAGUCCGAGCUAAUUUGCAAAGCCGUGUCAAGAAAGAGGCAAUGACAAUCGAAACUGAUGCUACUUCUGCAAGUGUUUCAGCAAGUUCCUAGAAUGAAUUAAGCUUACCCUCUAUAGAGGCAAUUGAAAUGGAAACAAGCAAGCAGACAAAUUGUUCUGCUAGUGUCUCCAAGAGUUAUCAACACUCCCCAAGCUCAUCCUAUGAGAAGGCAAUGACAAUAGACGCAACUGGCCUUUCACCAGGUUGUAGUGAUUGUCAGUCUAUGAUCAACUCGGUGAAGCAGCAAAGAAACAAGAACUUAUCAAUUACAGACCUGUUUUCCAAGUAUAAGAGUUCUCAACAUGCUCAAAGCUCAGCAUAUGAGGAGACAAUGUAAGAUAGCGGUGGUUCUUCUAAUGAUGGUCCAUCUAUGGGCAGCGUGUGACAGCAAUGUGAAACCUUAGCAAAAUAGUCAACUGAUUAUCUUGAAGUAAGCGAUCUAGAAUUCAAGGAUUUCACUAAAAAGUAGAAUUGUGAGCAGAAAUCCAGCUACAGCUAAAGGUAAUGGCGUCAGAAGUCCAACUGGAAACAUCAGCAGAAUAUCCAGUAAGAGAUAUUAUUGAUAUGGUUGCUGGAUUGCCUCAAACCCUAUGAAGACAGGGCACAUAUGCAUUUGCCACUCUAACGGGAGAUGUCUCUUACAGUGAAGAAGUUUGGAAAAUCCUUCUCAUGACUGUGCGAACUAGUAAGGAUGACGUUGAAACUGAUUCUUCCUCAGGAUUUGAAAUUGAUUCUUAUGAAGACUUGCUCGCACCACUGUCCAAAACCAAAACUGCCUUGCUUGAAAUCAAAACUGCAUUAAUGGAACACUGAAGUCUAUCUAGACAGUCACGGUUAGAAUGUACUGGUUGUGUCUUUCCUCCCAGGCAUUAGCAUGCAACGGCAGUUCUAGGUUCAAAGAUACAUGUAUUUGGUGGACUUGACAAUGAUGCAAUCUCUCCAUCCUUGCGUGUCCUUGACACGGGCGAUUUGCAGUGAAAUGAGAUACGUGUCCAUGGGGAAUGGCCUUGUGCUCGUCAUUCUCACUCAUUGGUUGCCUAUGGGUCUAAAUUAUUUAUGAUUGGGGGUGCAAUGAUGGCAAAGCUCGUGGGGAUCUGUACGGUUUUGAUGUUCAAACACGUCCAUGAAAAAAAUGAAGUGGCAUCAGAAGAACUCCAUAUACAAGGUUCUCCCACUUAAUAUUUAUCUACAAAAAUUAUCUUGGCAUUAUUGGGAGUGGUUCUUUCUUAAGUCCAUCAUCAUAUUCAGCGGCAAACAUGGUCAGGUAGUGAUGAUGUGGACCUGCAUUUCUCACGUGCGUCCCCACUUGAUCGGGCAAGACUCACUUUAAAUUGGUGAAAAAAUUGGUUUUGGAAAAGUCGAAGUCGCCACUUAUUUUAUUUUAUUUUAAAGGGAAAAUAAAACAAUAAAUAAAACCCUAAAAACAUGACUUCAUAGUUUUUGGAAAAACGUGUCUUUGAAAAACCCGAGUCUAGGUCCGAGGAUCAGGUUACCUAUUAGGAAGACACCUCUAAAAGGUAGCACCCCUCUAAGCCCUACAAAGGUCUCUACUGACUAAGUUGAGAUAAAUAUGAUAAUUAAUUAAUUAAUUGAAGAUAUCUACUAAGGUGAUUUCAAAAAAAUAGCAUGUCAAACAAGAUUAAAUUACAAUAAAGGAGAGUUAGGAUGCAUACACGAACCACUUCUCAAGCGCUAUGAUAAAACAUCAGAAUUAGUAUAGAAAUAUAACACACGGCAUAUAUUUAAUCAUAGCGAAUCAAGCACACAUCUAAGCAUCUAAGGAUCAUAUCAAGCAUAAAUAAGGCUCACGACAGCAUGCAUGUUCAUGGAAUUCCAAAAAGUAAUGAUAUAGAGCGUACCUGGAUAGCAUGCAUAAUUUAUAUGAUUUCUCCAAAAAUGCUAGAGUGAUUAGGACAAGUAUGAAUUAUAUAACAUAGUCAUUAUGUCCAAUACACAGUACCAAAGCCAAAAUUGAGCCAAGGUAAGUCAAAUGACUCUAAAAAUAAAUAACCAAUUCAAGUAAUGUAUACAAGAUCAUCAGUAUGCAAUUUGAAAAGGGAGCAUCAAAAAAACAAUUUCUAAAAAAAUGGCUUAGAAUGGAAUUUAAUAAUGAAAAACAUCAGGAAACAACUCCUACACAUCUAGAUCAACAUACCAAAGGCCAAACUCUCAUUCAAAGGACAUAUUGCAACGAAGACACCUAAAGGUUCUACAAAGUCUAGAUUAGAUAAGAAAAACUGACAUGCAUAAAUAAAUUUUUAAAAAAUAAUAAAUGAUCACAUAAAAUCAUACAAAAAAUCACACACGGAGUUCAAAGUGUCUAUAUCACAUAAAAAAAGAAUCCAGGGUCGGAUAGUACUCAAAAAUACUUUUAAAACACUCAAGCUAAUCAAAUGUCUAGAAUCAAGCAUGCACAGUAGGAACGAAUUUGAAAAAAAAAAAUCUCCAUCAAAGAGGCAUGUUUUUUAAUAUUUUAUGUGUCUAAGAUCAAUUUCAAAAAGCCUAGAAUUGAGAAAAAAAUAUUUAAUCAAAUUUAAAAAGUCGUCUGGAAUUUUAUUUUUUCAAAAAAGUUCUCAGGUGUCCAUAACUAGGAGAAAACGGAGCCCCCCUAAAGACUCGUUUAUAUAUUCUAUUCUAAAAUGGCUUUUUAACUCAAACAAAACUUUAAAUUCAAGUUCAAGAAGUGAGGAAAGUCAUACAAGUUUUGGAAAAUUUUUAAAAACAUUCUAAAGUUGCUAAAACAAAUUUUAUCUAGAGGGUCAGUGGCUAAGUGUAAACUAGUAGCAAGGAAGUGUUUUGGAAAUUUUAUAUAGGGGUUUCACCAAUUCCCCAAGUGAUAUACACAAAUUUAGCCUAAAAUUAUCCUAUUUGUUUGGGAUCACAAGCUUGGAUUCGUGUCUUAUUCAAAACCAUAAUUUUUAUUGAAAACCGAGAAAGAUGCAAACCGAUCAAGACAUAGUUGCAUAUUAUUUAAAAAAAAAAUGAGAUUUUGAUUCUAAGGACUCUAAAUGAAUUAUUUUUAAAAUAGAAUUUUCAAAGGGAUCUUUUGAGAAAAGUAUUUUAUUUUAAAAUAAAAGAAAUUAAUUUGAAAACAAUCAAAAUAUAAGAAACAAAAUAUCGAGCAAAACAAAAGAAAACGAAUUCACAAAGUGAAAUUUUUGACAAUCGAACAAACCAAAGUGGUGAAAAUGGAAGCCAAUUUUAACUAUUUUCCAAUGACCCCUGAAAAGUAAUUUUUACCAGAGACUACCAAAGCAAUAAACUAUUCAAACUCAGGCCAAAUAAGCUAAUGAGAUACUCAUCAAGAAUUAAUGACUAAUUUUCAAGAAACACGUAAAUUAAGAGUAACAAUCAAGAAUUAGCAAUGAUCAAUUAAACACACAAAUGCAUCUAGAUUGAUUAAAAUGGACCAAAUUAAAUCAGGGCAAACAGGAAUUUUCAAUCAUAGAAUUAAUUUUAUUAAUGAGCUAAUAUUAUAGCAAAUACUCAAAUUGAAUAGAUGAGUGAAGCUAAAUCAGAGUAAACUAAACACAGACACCUUCAAAUAUAGAAUUGAUUUAUUAAUAACUUAAAAUUUGAAAAACACCUAAAAUAAUUAAAAUGAAUCAAAUUAAAUGAAAGCAAACUAAAAACAAAAUAUGAAUUCAUGGAAUCAACUUCCUAAAUAAAUUUACAUUAUUAAAAUGAAAUCUAAGAUCAAAAUGAAUUAAACACUAAUUAAGGCAAAUCUAAAAAUCAAAUAUUUAACACAUGAGGUCAAUUAUUUUAACAAACUAAAAUUUUACUUAAACCUAAAAUUAAAUUGAAAAAACUAUCCAAAACAAAUUUUAAAACUAAACUAUAAAGUCAAUCUCAUUAACAAAUGGAUAAAUAGAUAGCACAUGAAUAAAUAAGUAUGACUGAAUCGAAAUAUGAACUCAUGGAAUCAAUUUUUUUUAAAUAAAUUUACAUUACUAAAAUGAAAUUGAAAUUUAAAAAUAUUUUUAACACCAAUUAUGGCAAUCCUAAAAUCAAAUAUUUAACACUUAAUAUUAACUAUUUUAAUGAACAGAAAUUUCACUUAAACCAAAAAUUAAAUUAAAGAAAAACUAUCUAAGACAAAUUUUAAAACUAUGUCUCUAACCAAUAACAUAAAUCUUGUUAAAUAAUGGAUAAAUAGUUAGCAUAUAGAUAAAUAGAUCUCAAGUUUAACAAUGACUUAUAAUGGCAUAACAGUAAAUCCAUAAAGAACUUUUAAUAUAUAGUAUUGAUGGAUUAAAAAAAUAAGAGGAGAGAAAGUGGCAGCCGCAUGGACUGCAUGAGGAGGGUUGACGUCUCAUAGUCACCUUCUUUCCUCCAUUGAUAGUAGCCCACAAGGCCACCUUAAGUGGGCGACACAAUAAGACUGCCAUGCACGCAUGACGCAGCCACGUGGGAGAAGGCAGCAACCACUUUCGCAUUUUUACUGUAUCUCCAGAAACUCCUUUGUAUAGCCCACACACGCGCUAAUGAAGCAGAUUCAGCAGAUUUUAAGAGGGGGAAUCUUGAAACCACACAACAUCAAGAGACUUGGCCGGAAGUGUGAUGAUGGGUGUUUCCGAAGAAGAGUUAUAAUUCGCCCACUGUUGAAUAUGUUCAAAGAUGUGAAGGGUCCCACGAGCCUUGAAUUUGUCACUACAUACAAAAUAUAUGCAGAAGUGAUUGAAAAUGCUUGGCAACCUUUUCCUGCAUGUGAAUGUGUUGAGCUCUAUGGUGCAAUUACUAAUGAAAUUCUCAAUUUAGUUGAUAAGUAUUUUGAGAUGCAAAAGCAUGAUGCUGUCCGGGCAUUGGAAAUUUAUCAGAAAGCAGGAGAGCCAUCAAGCAUUCACUCGACAAGCAAGAGUAACACAUAGGCCACACCAUUCUCCAACAAGACACAACAACAUACAUUCUUGAAGGUAAGUCCCAUUUUAAAAAAAAAUUUUAGUUUAAUUUUAAUUAAUUUAGUUAGUUUAGAUGUUUUUUUUUUUCAUAAUUAGUUUAAUUAAUUCUACAUGAUAAAGUUGUUAUUUUUCAUUUCGAUUUAGUUUAGUGUUGAUUUUUCUUUUAGUUUAAGUGUGUUUGUGGUUUUAAUUCAAUAGUUUAAUUAAUCUUAUUAGAUAAAGUUCAUACAUAAUUUUUUUUUUAUCCCAAAUUAGUUUAGUUUUAAUCCAUCUUUUAGUUUAAUUGUGUUAGUAAUUUUAAUUCAGUAGUUUAAAUAAUCAUAUUAGAUAAAGUUCGUAUUUUUAAUUCUAAUUAGUUUCAUCUUAAUUUAUUCUUUAGUUUAGAUUUGUUGUUGAUUGUACUUUAUUAGUUUAAUUAAUCUUAUUAGAUAAAGUCUAAUUUCAAUUUAGUUUAGUUUUAAUUUAUUCUAUAGUUUGAGUAUUUUUGCGAUUUUAAUUCAAUUGUUUAAUUAAACCUCUUAGGUAAAGAUCUUGUUUUUAAUUCCGAUUUAGUUUAGUUUUAAUUUAUUUAUUUAUUUUAGUUUAGAUGUAUUUGUAAUUUUAAUUCAACAGUUAAAUCGAUCUUAUUAGAUAAAGUUGAUGUUUUUAAUUCCAAUUUAGUUUUUAGUUUAAAUGUGUUUGUGUGUUUAAUUGACCUUAUGCUAGCUCAUGAUUUUUUAUUUUCAAUUUAGGUGUUUUCUUGAAUCUUAAUCAUUAAUUCUUGGUGGAUAUCUCAUUAGUUUAUUUUAUCUAAGUUUUAAUAAUUUAUUAUUUUGAUAGUCUUUUGUCAAAUUUACUUUUCAGAAGCCAUCGGAAAAUAGUGAAGAUUGACCUCCAUUCUCACCACAUUAGUUUGUUUGGUUGUCAAAAAUUUUACUUAGUGAUUUUGUUUACUUUUGAUUUGCUUGUUUCUUAUGUUUUGAUUGUUUUCAAACUAAUUUAUUUUAUUUUAAAAUAAAUAUUUUUCUCAAAAGAUCCAUUUGAAAAUUCUAUUUUAAAAAUAAUUCAUUUAGAGUCCUUAGAAUAAAAAUCUCAUUUUUUUAAUAAUAUACAACCAUGUCUUGAUCGGUUUGCAUCUUUUUCAGUUUUCUGUAAAAAUUUUGAUUUUGAAUGGAAUAUGAAUCCAAGCUUGUGGUCCCAAACAAAUUGGAUAAUUCUGGGCUAGAUUUGUGUAUAUCAAUUGAGGAAUUGGUGGAACCCCUUUAUAAGAAAAUUCUUCAAAACUCAUCUUUGCUGCCAUCUUUGCUAUUUCAUGCUAUCAUGUCUCUUCAUUUUUUAGGAAUUAUAUACAAGAUGUAUGUGAUAAUUGAUGAUUUCGUAUACUUUGAUCAUUUUUGCUAGGUUAAUUAGAUAACAAGCACGUUAGGAUUUCUUUAUUUUAUUAUUUAUUAUCUAACCCCUCAUGUCUUGUGGAAGCACGUUACAAGUUAUCUAUGCUAUCCAAGUAUGCCCUCUAUCACCCACCUUCUAAAUUUUGUGAAUAUGCUGGUCACUGUGAACUGCACUUAUGUUUGAUAGUGCUUGGGUGUCUUGAUAUUUGUUUCAUUGUUCAAUUUUUUCUGAUAAAGCGCAUGCUGAACGAUAUACUAUUUGAACUAACUUUGAUGUCUUGCAAUGACGCUUAAGAAGCAAUCCAGGUACAUACCCUAAAUCUUCUUUAUGAUUAUGAUUUGUUUUUCUUAUUUGGCAUGCUAAUUUUGAAAUCACCUAGCCUACCUAGGUAUCUAUGAUCAACCAAUUAAUUGUCACAUUUCUCUCAACUUAGCUAGUAGAGACCUUUUUAGGGCUUAGAGGGGUGUUACCUCUUAAAGGUACCUUCCCAGUAGAUAACCUGAUUCCCAAACCAAGACUUGGGUUUUCGAGAUAUGCUAUUCAAAAAUUGUGGAGUCACUUCUUUAGGGUUUUUAUUUUUAUUUUUUUUAUUUUCCUUUUAAAAUAAAAUAAAAUAAGUGGCAACUCCAACUUUUCCAAAACUAAUUUUUCACCAAUAAAAGCGAGUAUUACUGAUUGAGUGGGGACGCACGUGAAAAAUGUGGGUCCUCAGUAUAUAUAAGGCAACCUAAAGGAUUUAUUGUUAUAAGACAAAAACACAAAGUUAAGGAUAGAUACAUUUAGCUAGGUUGAUUUUUAACCAAUCCAAGAAUCAAAUAGGAGUUCAUUGGUUUUAAAUAAAGUACAACAAAUUUAUUUAUUUACUCAAACUCAAAAAUAUUGAGUUUGUAUGUUUUUUUUUUUCACAUUGACCGUACAACCGAAAUGAUCAAAUUCUAUAUAUAUAUAUAUUUACAAGUAAUACAAUUACAAUUUUUUAAAAUAAUAUUGGGCGCUUGUGACUUGAAAUUAUAUUAUCAUCAUUAUUAAGUCCCAAAAUACAAUGAUUUUAAAUUUUAGAUCAGGCUUAUGCCAUAAGCAACUUUUAAUUUGUAAUAAAGCCAUACGAGUUAGACUCUAAGCCUCUAACAUCAAACUGUAGCCCAGCUAAGUUGCCUUUGGAUGAGCAUGGUUCGACUCACAAAGUCCUAAGAUUCUCCACAACACUCCAAAAUCCAAACAAUUAUAUUUGUCCGACUCCUCUACUACUUGGGUUUGUUUGCCAGUCCACUUUUGGUAAGUGAUCUAGGUUGAAUAUUCCAUAAGCCAAAUACAUAAACUAGUUUGAUCUCUAGUUUCAUUGUACCACCAAAAUAGAGAAAUUCAAGUAAGAAGACUUCUAAAGAGAAUAGUUUAGAGAGCUACUACAAAAGAGGAUUGGAGAUGGUUGGAGUAAUGGUGGUAGCUAUUGAAAGGAUCGAUGGUGGCGGGAAGCCAUAGCCGCUGGUGAAGAGGAAGUUAGGUGAAUUGGAGACUUGGUGAAGAAGAUAAUGUGAGCUUGAUAAAAUUUCCUCAAACUUUUCCUUCUCUCUCUUAUUUUCCCCACUAAUUUUUAAGGAAAGUAGUAGGGAAAAUAUUACAAUAUUUUCUUUAGUAUUUUCCUUUAUUUUUCCUUCCAUCGUAUUUUUCAUGUCACCCAAACUAAGGAAAAUGACUUUCCACAAUAUUUUUUUUCCUUUCCCUUGCAUUUUCUGUAACAAAGUUCUAUAAUCACUCCAAUCCGCGUUUAAAAAUUGUAUUUCUUUCUAAUAUGGGAACAAACUUUUUCCUUCUUUCUUAUAAUUUUCAUUUGGGAAUAAUUUAAAAUUAAAUAAAUAAAAGCCCUUCUAAAUAUUAAAAAAACACUCUCUUAUAGAUUAGUCCGAAAAAACUUGGCCCACUCUAGACAUUCUCAUUCUCUCCUUCCUCUAUUUGAUGUGAUGGAUCAUGGGUGGUUCUAUAUGACAAGAUUAAUCAACUAAUUUAUGGAUUUGAGAGUGACCCUAAACUAAAUGUGGAGCACAUAUUAGAUUACAAUCUUAUAAUAUUUACUUAAUGGUAUCUAAAUUUCCCAUCCAAGGCCUAAAUUGGCUUUGGAAAGACGAUAACCCAAAACAUGAAUGAAAAAGACCCAAAAUAUUGAUGAAAUAAGAAUGAUAAUAAGAUGAAUUUUAUUUAUUUAUUUAUUUUAUUUCAUGCUUAAUAGGAACGAGUUUGAAAAAAAUAAUAAAUUAUUGAAUACAAGUUUAAUUUUAUUCAAUUUUUUUAAAUAAUGAUAAAAUAAAAUUCACAAUAAAAAGAAUUUUUUGUUAUUAUAUAUUUGUUUUGCCUCAUCCUUAAUACGAGGAAUUUGAAAAAUAACAGAUAAGUUAAAACGUGGGUUUGAAUUUUUUAUUUUUUUAUUUUGCAUGAGGAAUAAGGCUGCUAUUGACUAUCGAGAGAAUACACAGAACUUUGAAAGGAAAAUUACCAAAGCUGUUUUGGCAAGAGGAAUGGGAAGGAGUGCAGAUGUAUAGGGACGGAAUGUGGGCUAUGUUCAGGAAGGAGGGUUCUGAUCAUGCUGGACUGACGUGGAUGAUUGAGGCUCUCUCCAGGCUGGUGAGUGGUCUUCCCAUGUGGGUGGAGUCAAUAAGAAGGGGAGAGUUUUUCACGAGCGGAAAAGGGUGAUUGAAGGAGGGGGAUGAGAUCCAGAUCAUAAAAAACGGCUGGGUGGCUUUUAAAAGUUGGGUUUUUUUUUCAGUAGUGGGGCACGAUUUGCAGCAUCAAAACAGGAAGAGGAGGUGCAGCCGCACCAUUGAGAAGAGGAGGUGCAGUCGCACCAUUGAGAAAAAGAGGACAACUUGGUGAGAAAGGGGAGGUUGGGUCAACCUUUUAGAGAGGCGAUCAGACUACGUUUGGAAAGGUUUGGGGCUGCUAUUUUGGAGAAUCAGUCCAUAUUUUUAAGAAGUUCGGGCUGCAAAGAAGGCAUCUCGAGAAAAGGGGGAAUAUCCAGCAUUCUGAAGGGGAAGGCCGUGUCAAUGGAAGAGGGUUCGUAUUUUAGGGAAGUGAUGGUGGGGUUGAGGUUAGCGAAGGAGGUUAUUAAGGUUCAGCAAGGGUGGCGAGCCAAUGCUGUGGCUCAUUUGAAUCUGUCUAGUGGUUAUUCGAGGUCCUCAGCCAAUUCUGCUACUGACUGGCCUUGUUUGUUGUUGGAACCAUUAUCACAGGCAGCGAAGAUUGGGUUUUUUUUCAGCCGAAGCUGAUAAUUAACAAUAUUGAUGUUUGUCGCCAUGCAAUUUUAACGGAUGAUUCAACAGUGUGUGCAUCGAUGUAUCAUGACAGAUUGCUGUGGAAAAUAAUAGCUUUGGGUGUGAAUGAGAGGUGUUUGCCUGUUGUUCUUGUAACUUCAGAUAGCUACCAUUCAUACCAAGCCUAUUUGGAUUUUAGAUUUCCAAACAUAUUCAUCUCUCGUGAGACCUUUGGAUGGACUCCACAAGAAGCUAAACUGCAUAUGGUCACAGAUUAUUUCAGUCAUUCUGAGUUGGCAGUGAUAGCUGAUGUUCUUGGACCAAACCCUCGACAUAUGUUUGAGCUUUAUGCACUUCAACAGAGCAAUUAUUAUCGAAAGGUUAUGGAAGACAGUGGUAGUACAUUUGAGGAUAUCAUAGAUGCAUAUUUGUCAUAUUUGCAAAUUACUGUGGUGAAUCCUGCCAUGGAUAAAGCAUUGAAACUCCUGGAAAAGUUUGUUGUUGAUAGAUUACGUUUUGGUGCUCCUUGGAGACAUCCUCCACGUAUAGACAACCCUACUUUGUGCUCGGAGUGGACGAAGCUUCAAUUAAUUGAUUUUGUUCAAUCUCUAGUAUAUCCGAGUUUGGGGUGAGCAAAUAUGUUCUGAAACUGCUGGUUCAUUCAAGACGAAUGUCAUAAGAAAACAGUCGGGUGGGUCUUGAAAGCUUGGGUUUCUUUCAGUUGAUUGGGCAAUGGGAGGACACUGGUUUUGAUGGAGGGUGAUUCUCGGCAGAUAAAGGAAAGAGAUUCGAGGUGACUUGGAAAGGGAGAAACAGGCUGGUGGUCUUUUGGGGGAAUAGAAGAUAGAGAGGGAGACACCACUUUUUUGGAGAAGGGAGGUCCACACAGGUUCAGAUUUUGGUGAGGCUUUCUGGGGAUUUUCGGAAGCAGAUUCAACAGAUUUUGGUGAAGGAGUUCUCUAGGCGGUUUUUUUCUGUUGUUAAGUGGCAGCCGCAUGGACUGCAUAAGGAGGGUUGAUGUCUCAUAGUCACCUUCUUUCCUCCAUUGAUAGUAGCCCACAAGGGCACCUUAAGUGGGCGACACAAUAAGGCUGCCAUGCACGCAUGAGGCAUCCAUGACGCAGCCAUGUGGGAGAAGGUAGCAACCACUUUCUCAUUUUUUCUAUGUAUCUCCAGAAACUCCUUUGUACAGCCCACACACGCGCUAAUGAAGUAGAUUCGGCAUAUUUUUAGAGGGGGAAUCUUGAAACCACACAACAUCAAGAGACUUGGCCGGAAGUGUGAUGAUGGGUAUUUCCAAAGAAAAGUUAUAAUUCGCCCACUUUUGAAUAUGUUCAUAGAUGUGAAGGGUCCCACGAGCCUUGAAUUUGUCACUACAUGCAAAAUAUAUGCAGAAGUGAUUGAAAAUGCAUGGCCACCUUUUCCUGCAUGUGAAUGUGUUGAGCUCUAUGGUGCAAUUACUAAUGAAAUUCUCAAUUUAGUUGAUAAGUAUUUUGAGAUGCAAAAGCAUAAUGUUGUCCGGGCAUUGGAAAUUUAUCUGAAAGCAGGAGAGCCAUCAACCAUUCACUCGACAAGCAAGAGAAACACAUAGGCCGCACCAUUCUCCAACAAGACACAACAACAUACAUUCUUGAAGGUAAGUCCCUUUCUAAAAUUUUAUUUUAGUUUAAUUUUAAUUUAUUUAGUUAGUUUAGAUUUUUUUUUUUUCAUAAUUAGUUUAAUUAAUUCUACAUUAUAAAGCUCUUAUUUUUCAUUCCGAUUUAGUUUAGUGUUGAUUUUUCUUUUAGUUUAAGUGUGUUUAUGGUAUUAAUUCAGUAGUUUAAUUCAUCUUAUUAGACAAAGUUCAUAUAUAUAUAUAUAUAUAUAUAUAUAUAUUAUCCCAAAUUAGUUUAGUUUUAAUCUAUCUUUUAGUUUAAGUGUGUUAGUAAUUUUAAUUCAGUAGUUUAAAUAAUCAUGUCAGAUAAAGUUUGUGUUUUUAAUUCUAAUUAGUUUCGUCUUAAUUUAUUCUUUAGUUUAGAUUUGUUGUUGAUUGUAAUUUAUUAGUUUAAUUAAUCUUAUUAGAUAAAGUCUAAUUUCAAUUUAGUUUAGUUUUAAUUUAUUCUAUAGUUUGAGUUUGUUUGCGAUUUUAAUUCAAUUGUUUAAUUAAAGCUCAUAGGUAAAGAUCUUGUUUUUAAUUCUGAUUUAGUUUAAUUUUAAUUUACUUAUUUAUUUAUUUAUUUUAGUUUAGAUGUGUUUGUAAUUUUAAUUCGACAGUUUAAUCGAUCUUAUUAGAUAAAGUUGAUGUUUUUAAUUCUAAUUUAGUUUAUUUUAAUUUAUUUUUUAGUUUUAAUGUGUUUGUGUGUUUAAUUGACCUUAUGCUAGCUCUUGAUUUGUUAUUCUCAAUUUAGUUGUUUUCUUGAAUCUUAGUCAUUAAUUCUUGGUGGAUAUCUGAUUAGUUUAUUUAAUUUAAGUUUUAAUAAUUUAUUAUUUCGAUAGUCUCUUGUCAAAUUUACUUUUCAGAGGCUAUCGGAAAAUAGUGAAAAUUGACCUCCAUUCUCACCACUUUAGUUUGUUUGGUUGUCAAAAAUUUUACUUUAUGAUUUUGUUUACUUUUAUUUUGCUUGUUUCUUAUGUUUUAUUGUUUUCAAAUUGAUUUAAUUUUAUUUCAAAAUAAAAUAUUUUUCUCAAAAGAUCCAUUUGAAAAUUCUAUUUUAAAAACAAUUCAUUUAGAGUCCUUAGAAUCAGAAUCUCAUUUUUUAAUAAUAUGCAACCAUGUCUUGAUUGGUUUGCAUUUUUCUCAGUUUUCAAUAAAAAUUCUGGUUUUAAAUGGAAUAUGAAUCCAAGCUUGUGGUCCCAAACAAAUGGGAUAAUUCUGGGCUAGAUUUCUGUAUAUCAAUUGGGGAAUUGGUGGAACCCCUACAUAAGAAAAUGAUUCAAAACUCAUCUUUGCUGCCACCUUUGCUAUUUCAUGAAAUCAUGUCUAUUUAUUUUUUAGGAAUUAUAUACAAGAUGUAUGUGAUAAUUGAUGAUUUUGUAUACUUUGAUAAUUUUUCCUAGGCUAAUUAUAUAACAAGCACGUUAGGAUUUUUUUAUUUUAUUAUUUAUUAUCUAAUCCCUCCUGUCUUGUGGAAGCACGUUACAAGUUAUCUAUGCUAUCCAAGUACGCCCUCUAUCACCCACCUUCUAAAUUUUGCGAAUAUGUUGGUCACUGUGAACUGCGCUUAUGUUUGAUAGUGCUUGGGUGUCUUGAUAUUUGUUUCAUUGUUCGAUUAUUUUUUAUAAAGCGCAUGCUGGAUGAUAUACUAUUUGAACUAACUUUGAUGUCUUGUGAGGGCACUUAAGAAGCAGUCUAAGUACACACCCUAAAUCUUCUUUAUGAUUAUGAUUUGUUUUUCUUAUUUGGCAUACUAUUUUUUAAAUCACCUAGCCUACUUAGGUAUCCAUGAUCAACCAAUUAAUUGUCACAUUUCCCUCAACUUAGCCAGUAGAGAUCUUUUUAAGGCUUAGAGGAGUGUUACCUCUUAGAGGUACCUUUCCAAUAGGUAACCUAAUUCUUGAACCAAGACUUGGGUUUUCGAAACAUGCUUUUCCAAAAUUGUGGAGUCACUUAUUUAGGGUUUUCUUUCUUGUUUUAUUUUUCCUUUAAAGUAAAAUAAAAUAAGCAGCGACUCCAGCUUUUCCAAAACUAAUUUUUUACCAAUAAAAGUGAGUCUCGCCGAUUGAGUGGGGACGCACGUGAAGAAUGUGGGUCCACAAUAUAUAUGGGGCAACCUAAAGGAUUUAUUGUAAUAAGACAAGAACACCAAGUUAGAGAUAGAUACAUUUAGCUAGGUUGGUUUUUAACCAAUCCAAAAAUCAAAUAAGAGUUCAUUGGUUUUAACUAAAGUACAACAAAUUUAUUUGUUUACUUAUACUAAUCCAACUUAAUAUCAAUUCGAUUUAGUUUAGUUAACUCAAUUUAAACAAAAAUAUUGAGUUUGUAUGUUUUUUUUCACAUUGACCAUACAACCAAAAUGAUCAAAUUGUUUUAGAUAUAUAUAUAUAUAUAUAUAUAUAUAUAUAUAUAUAUAUAUAUAUAUAUAUAUAUAUAUAUAUUACAAGUAAUAAAAUUAAAAAAUUGUAAAAUAUGUCCAAAGAAAAGUUAUAAUUCGCCCACUUUUGAAUAUGUUCAUAGAUGUGAGUUUGUCACUACAUGCAAAAUAUAUGCAGAAGUGAUUGAAAAUGCAUGGCCACCUUUUCCUGCAUGUGAAUGUGUUGAGCUCUAUGGUGCAAUUACUAAUGAAAUUCUCAAUUUAGUUGAUAAGUAUUUUGAGAUGCAAAAGCAUGAUGUUGUCCGGGCAUUGGAAAUUUAUCAGAAAGCAGGAGAGCCAUCAACCAUUCACUCGACAAGCAAGAGAAACACAUAGGCCGCACCAUUCUCCAACAAGACACAACAACAUACAUUCUUGAAGGUAAGUCCCUUUUUAAAAUUUUAUUUUAGUUUAAUUUUAAUUUAUUUAGUUAGUUUAGAUUUUUUUUUUCAUAAUUAGUUUAAUUAAUUCUAUAUUAUAAAGCUCUUAUUUUUCAUUCCGAUUUAGUUUAGUGUUGAUUUUUCUUAUAGUUUAAGUCCGAAAGUACAAUGAUUUUAAAUUUUAGAUAAUGCUUAUGCCAUAAGCAACUUUUAAUUUGUAAUAAAGCCAUAUGAGUUAGACUCCAAGCCGCUAACACCAAAUUGUAGCCCAACUAAGUUGCCUUCGGAUGAGAAUGGUUCGACUCACAAAGUCCCAAGAUUCUCCACAACACUCCAAAAUCCAAGCAAUUAUAUUUGUCCCACUCCUCUACUACUUGGGUUUGUUUGCCAGUCCACUUUUGGUAAGUGAUCUAGGUUGAAUUUUCCAUAAGCCAAAAACCAAAAUAGAGUUACUCAAGUAAGAAUACUUCUAAAGAGAAUAGUCUAAAGAGCUACUACAAAAGAGAAUUGGAGAUGGUUGGAGUAAUGGUGGUGGCUAUUGAAAGGGUUAAUGGUGGUGGGAAGCCAUAGCCCUUGGUGAAGAGGAAGUUAGGUGAAUUGGAGACUCGGUGAAGAAGAAAAUGUGAGCUUGAUAAAAUUUCCUCCAACUUUUCCUUCUCUCUCUUAUUUUCCCCACUAAUUUUUAAGGAAAGUAGUAGGGAAAAUAUUACAAUAUUUCCUUUAGUAUUUUUCUUUAUAUUUUUUUUCCAUCAUAUUUUUCAUGUCACCCAAACUAAGAAAAAUAACUUUCCACAAUAUUUUUUUUUCCUUUCCCUUGCAUUUUCUGAAAACUAAACACAACCUUUAUAAAUAAAAAAUUAAGAAUUACAGUAAGACGGUAUAUUCUUCCUUUUUCUUCCUGCAUUUCUACAUCAACUACUCUAUCUUACAUCAUAUUUUUACUCCCUUCUUCAAUCAGCAUUCCUCUCUUUAUAUAGAGUUAUCUUCACACCAAUUCAUAAGAUAAGAAAGAUGAAUGAACCUUGGGGCAAGGUUGGACAACUGGUGGCAGCUAGUCAAGGCUAGAAGUCAACUUUUGCUUGACUCUUUGGGAAUGGGUAGCAACGUGUCGACCUUUCUUUAGCAUGAAAAUGGCUAGAACGUGUCGACCUUUCUUUAGCAUGAAAAUGGCUAGAACGUGUUAAGCUCUCUUAUUAGAUGACGUGUCAACUAUAGGGUAAUCAUAGGGUGGGGAAUAUAUGGUAAUUAUGCAAAAAAAGAAAAAAAAAGAAAAAGAAAAAUUGAUAUCCAAUUAUAUAGAAAGACAUCUUCCAACAUUUGAUAUAAAUAAAAAUUAAGAGAAAAAUAUUUUAAAAAAGCAUAUUAAACCUAAAAAUAGGGAAUUAAUAAUAAAAUCAAGUAAAAAGGUAAAAUUAAAACUAAAUAUAAAAUAUGAAUAUAGUUUAAAUAUUAAAAAUAAUAUUAUUUAGGUUAAAUCAUUAGGCUUGCUAGAGGAGUUUAUAUAUAUAUAUUAGUUUUUUCUUUUUUUUUAAUCCUUUCUAUGUUGUUUAUAUUAAUGCAUUGAAUUUGAUGUUACCUAAAACAAAAUUAUAUUUCAUGUCCUCUAUUAUAAGUGGACAACCAUUCCUUAUGUUAGAUUUUAGAUAAAGAACGAAUAAUGAAGAUUGGAAUUGUAAGAAAUUAGGAGAUCCUAAUUUUAAAUAUGUAACAAAGUUCUAUAAUCACUCCUAUCCACAUUUAAAAAUUGUAUUUCUUUCUAAUAUGGGAGCAAACUUUUUCCUUCUUUCUUAUAAUUUUCAUUUGGGAAUGAUUUAAAAAUAAAUAAACAAAAGCCCUUCUAAAUAUUAAAAAAACAAUCUCUUAUAAAAAUUAAUUAGGUGGAUGGUAAGGUCAAAUUCGGGAUACUUCAUAUUUUUUGCUUUGCCUGAAAAUUAAAAUCAAAAUCAAAAUUAAAGUAAUAAUUUUUAAGAUGUUGUAAAAGUUUUAUUAAACAUGAAAGAACUUAUUGUGUAAACAAAAAUAGAACUAUAGAAUUCUUAUAAGAAAUAACAAUUUUAUGAAUUCUAUAUGAAACCUUUUUUAAAAGUUAUAAGUUUUUUUUUAUAAAUAAUUAAAUAGGUAUAGGAACUUUUAUUCAACUUAAUUUUUUUUAACGGUUAAAAGUCAAUCCAAAUAAAAUUUAAAUAUAUUUGAAAAUCAUUUUAAAAAAUUCAAAAAAUCACUUAAAAAAAAUUUAUGAAUUUUUUUUUUAAUUUACAUUCAAAUACUAAGUGAUUCUUUUAAAAAUCAUUUAUAAUGUCAAAAUAUUUUUUUAUGGAUAAAAACAUUAGAAAUAAAAAACAUUUCUAAUGAAAGUUUAAUCAAUUAAUCUUUUUUAGCACACCACUCAUAACUGUCAGUGAUUUCCUGCUAACUUAACAUAUCGACAUGGACUUGGAGAGUUCGGUCAAUUAAAGCAGCCUGAUUAAUUGUAAGUGUCUUUUCUCUAAACCAUAAAUUCCUACGUUUUAAUUUACAAAAGCCAGUGAUUUGUUUUUACUUAAGGAAGCAGGAAAGGGUUUAAUGAGUUGAAACAAGAACACAACAUCAAAUUCUCUUUUUAUAAUCAAAGACUACUAUGGAAAAUUCCACCAUAGCAUAUCUCAAAUUCCAUUAAUAAUCCCAAACACAAUAUUCCGCAACUUUACAUUAUUCUUUUUAUCAACUUUACACAAAAAAUUGAAGAGGAAUACUAACUUAAAUCAAACAGAAAUUAAAUCAUGAAAGAUGAAUAAUACAAAUAUUCAAUGAAAUCUUUGGCGUGUUAUUUCUUUGCAGCUUCAACAUGGUGGCAUGUCCGACGGAGGAGGCAACAUUUGAGCUUCCGGGUGUUUACCAUUUUUCACUAUGAACGCAGUUUCCAUGCCCCAAGUCAGAUGGCGUUCUACAUGGCAGUGCAUGAACCACACUCCUGCAACAGAGAAAAUAUACCAACAUUACACCUAACUUUAUUGUAAUAUUAAGAAAAAAUAUUUCAUUGGUAUGUAGGUUGGCAGUUUCAAGGGUUUUUUUCUUUAAUAAAGGACAUGAGUGCUUGGAACAUACCAGGGUUGGAUGCCUCGAAUCUGAUUGCAACCCAACCAUUCGAAGGAACAGAGAUGGUAUUCUGAAAGGGAGGAUCCACCAUAUUAUAGCGCAAAGGGUCCUUAUUUCCAUCGAAAUUCCCAAAUCCCCAUCCAACAACAUAGAAACUGUAUCCAUGGAGAUGCAUGGGGUGGUGUGUCGCUGCAAGCACAUUUGUCCCUUGAAAAACAAUAUCCACUGUGGAGUUAUACUCGAGCACCCUUACUUCUGUUCCGCUGCUCGGCAACUGAUAGAUUAAUGGAAGAUAAUCAGCUGUAAAAUCGAACACCAGUGGUGGAUCACUAGGAAAUUUAUCUCCAUAUAUACCACUGAUGUUAUAAUAGUAAGCUUGCAGUAUGUCAACUGUAGGGGUAUGGAAGCUUAUGUUGUUUAUACUUGAGGAGAAUCGCGUCCCAUUGGCCCCUGCACAUGAAUUAUUGACGCAUGGGUACGAGUUUACAGAAACAGUGUAAAUCAGGUUAGUGCUCGUGCUCAAUGGGACAUUGCAAGGAUGUUCCGCAUUUGCUAAGCUUCGGAGGCCGGCCAUGACCUGAACGGAUGCAUUUGUGUCAUUGUAUGCAGGAAGAUAAGGCAAGGAGGGAGGUGAAGAUGGAGUGUAGUAUCCGUUGUAUUGUACAAUAGCUGUGGUGGUUGUGUUAUCAUAAAAGUCUUGAUAUUUCGGGGCAACAGAAUAAGUUAUAGCCGCCAUGUAAUAGUGAUCCGGGCGUUGGUUAGCUUCUAGUAAGACAUCAUAGGUUUGGCCAGGAAAUAUUGUGAUAAAAUCUCGUGUCAAUGGUUUCGUGUAGCUACCAUCUGUUCCAACCACUGUCAUUUUAUGCUUGUCAAUGGAGAAGAAGAGAGCCUCUUGCAAGGCAGCAUUGAUUAUGCGAAGUAGAUAGGUCUUUCCAUGAUCCACCGUUAGCUUGAAUGUGUCUGCAAUUAGAAAGGGAAAGUUGUAUACUUAUGACUAGCCAAAAGAAAAAGAAAAAGUUUCCAUGAGGAUCCACUAAUUAUGAAGUGAUUGAUUGAUGAGGGGUGUAAAUUUGGCUCCAUAGUUCAAAAUUAUAUUUGGACUAGCCUUCUUUUGUGUUUUAAAUCAUGGCUCUACCAUCCUCAUAGCUAUAUUCCUCUUUCUUAGCAUUAAGCUUUAAAUAUGUUGAUGUUAAUAAGAAAAAGUAAUAUGGCUAACAUAUAAGAAAAUGAAAUUGUGUACAAUUUUAAAAUGGGAAGUUAAACUUUGUACCUGAUUUUGAGCAUGGAUAUAGAUCACCGGGUUGUCCAUUUAUCAAUAAAGCAUCAGAGGGGUCGGGGUCACCUCCGGUUGCAAGCCCUUCAUCUCGAACCGCAUUCACAUCAUUCUUCCACCAUUCUCCUGCAUUUCAACAACUUCAAUAAUUUUAGAUUUUGCUUUGUUGGUUAAUUCAUAAUAUGUAAAUUAACCUUUAAAAGUAACAACACUUAUACCUAAUAUGAUAGGGACCUCUCUAUCAGGUUUGUGAAAAGGAUACUUGGUUCCAUUCUUGGGAUAGAUAAUUAUAGCUCCAUGAACAGUGGCUCGGGUCCAAUCACUGUGAGCAUGCCACCAUAGAGUGCCUUCUUCAGUGGAAAGGAUGAUCUUCUGUGUAAACUUUGACCCUGGCCGAAUUGGGCAUUGUGUGAUAUACUCGGGACCAUCUGUCCAUGGAUAUCUAGGCAUGGUCACCCCAUGCCUGCGAAACCAUAACUAUACGUUAAAACUAGUACUAAUUUUCAAAGUAACAAAAGAUGGCAUGCAACAACAUAUUAUCAUAAUAACAAGAGGCAUCAAUUGUAUUUCAAUGGAACUAAAGCAAAUAACCUAAAAGUAUUGUUUUAAAUUUGACUUUAUUUUCAAAGUUAUAUAUUGUAGCCCCCUCUUAGAUAUAAAAGAAUAUAUGUCAUGCAAGCAUGGUACCACUGCUCUUUCUUUGAGACACGCACAGGACCUACCAGUGAAUGGUGAUGUUUUCAUUUCCCUUGUUAUAAACGUCGACAAUGAUCGUCUCUCCUUUCGUAGCAUAUAUGGUUGGUCCCGGAAAUUUUCCAUUUACUGUUAAGAUGUUCUUGGUGCUACAAAGCCUUUUAUAUGAAGCUUCCCUCACCUGCAACCAAUUAAAAGUUAGCCAUGCAACCUGAUCCCAAAAGAAAUAUCACAUGCAUGAAUAGUUGUAUCGAUCCAUUCAUGUAAGUGUAUAACCAAUUAGAAAUUGAUAGCAUGCAUGAACGACUCAACGACACCAAGGUAGUAGGUCAUAUGGUACGAAAUGAGAGCAAUACCACUCCCUAAAUAUCAUGAUUACAAGGUGGCGUUAAGGCCAGAAUCAUAUAUAGUAUUUACCACAAAAGUAAGCCGACGGGUCGAAGCUUGGCAAUGGAUGCCACCACCAAAAACUAGAAACGCUAAAAUUUGCAGGAGGAAAACCUUCAUGAUCAGCCACAUUUUCCUUGGAAUAAAAGCCUCUUCUCUUGUCCUAAACACAACUCCUUCAAUUCUCUUACUGCUUUUGAUGUAUUUCUUUCAUAUAUGGUUCAUUAUAUAGGCAUGGUAAUUCUCUAGGGAUACAAUACGUGUCAAUAUAAGAGGAAGUGAUUUGAAUGUGUAUUGGUUUUCAAUGUUCUUUCAGGACGACUUCAAUGAGCAGGACCACUUCAAAAUAAUUAAUUAUGAUAUUUCUUACACGUUACCUACACGUUAUUUUAGAAUAAAUUUAAAAUAUCCUUUCACAAGUCUUUUAUUGAUUAUUUCAACAAAUGUUAAUUAAUUAAAUAUAUGUAGGAUAUUUUUAAAACUUUGACCUCCCGUAUGAAAACUGUUUUUCAUUGACAACUACUUUUAACAAUUAUUGGGUGGUUGGCGGCAAAGUUGUUUUCGUAUUGUUAAUACAAUUUGUCAUGAUCGUUGAUUUCGUUUGAAUGGGACAAAGUUGUUUCCAAUUUUUUUUAAACUUGAGAAUUGAGAUUAUAAAAGACAAGAUGAGAAGUUAUUUGGUAUUUCAGAAUUUUCCAUAACAAAUACAAAAAUAUAUUUUGUAAAAAGCUGAAAAUAGGAUACUAACAACCCCUUAUAGUAUUUUUUUUUUUCUCAACAAAAAGCAAUUUAAUACUAAUAAUAAAAAAUAAUUAUAGAUUUUAAAAUAUAUUUUUCAAAAGAAAUGAAUCUAUAAUUUAUUUGUUCAAAUGGUAUGUAUAUAUUGAUUAAAUAAAUAAAUUAUGAAAAGAUUUAUAUAUUUUCAAAAUGAGAUUUUAAAAUUGAACAGAGAUAUUUGUUUAUUUUAGAUUUGAAUGUUUGGAUUCAUCUAAUUCCAUAAAUUAUUAUUUCUUUAUUUUAUUGGAGUUGACUUUAAAUGUUUGGAUUGACCUAAUUCCAAGUGGACUAAGCCAACCUAAUAUUUGAAUGGAGAUGAAAGCAUGGGUAUAGGUUUGUACUUAAAGAAAUUUAAAAAGGAAAUGAAGAUAUGAUUAAAAUAAACCUGAUACAGUUACUCUAUAAGAAUAGAUCCUGUUUCUAACCUUUUAACAUACAAAUUUGGAAACCUAAACGUAUGGAUUGUUUCUUUCCUAUAAUGGAAUCCUAUAUUCCUUCUCAAAGCAGCGCUGACUUGAUAAAGGUUUAUUUUAUCUAUAUAUGGGAGGUCAAAGUUUUAAAAGUAUUCUACAUAUAUUUUAAAUUUAUUCUAAAAUAAUGUGUUUGAUUAAUUUCUUGGUCGAUUCUCAAAGUCAAACUUGUAUUUUGAAUUAGAAAAUUCAAGAGAUUCUAAGAAACUCGUCUUCUACGAUACACAACCUGAUUGAAGCUGAGCUUUGAGAAAUUUUCACAAUUGUUAGCAUUCUUCAGGCAUUUGGUUUAUUUAAAUUUUAGUAGGUAAUCAAAUAUCAUACACAACCUGCUCUUUGAAGUGGUCCUGGAAGAACAUUCAAAACCAAUACACAUUCACAUUACUUCGCUUAUAUUGAUACGCGGCGAGGAAUUGUUGAUACCCAAGCCACAUGUGAUCUGAUUUAAUGAAUGAAUCUCUGCCCUUCAUCCGAAGAAUUCUGGUGUUCUGGAUUGAUGGGAGCAAAAAGGUGACCAGUUUUACCUUGAGUCAAAUUCAAAUGACAAAAUAUAUUACCAGGGCAAUCAUGGACACCACCCUUAACUACAAAAAUAGCGCACACAGCCAAUCCCAUCAACCUAGUAUUACACCAAUUUGGAGGCAGAUGUACCAUAUUACUGUGGAGCCUAUACGCUGUUGGCUGAACCACUCAGGAAUUCAACUUCCAGGAACGAAAGUACUGGAUUCAAUAUGUGGAGUAUAUGGCACCAUCUGGGUCAUGAAAAUCAAUGUCAAGUUAUAUGGAAAUAAUGUAGGAGUAGUGCUCAAAGGAGUAUAAGAAUUAUUCCAUAGGAUUUAAUUGAUUUACUUUUACAAUAUGAUCAAGAGAGAGAGGAGAGAAACCUGAAUUGGGAAUUGAAAUCUUGGUAAUUUAUUUGCCAGACUUUGCAUUUCCCUUAAUGUAGCUGCCACAAAGUUGCUGCUUUCAUUCUCAGACAGUCUGAAGCAAUUAGAAAAUGUGAAUCGGAGGCCCCCACAUUCCUUGGAUCUGUAGACACUUGAUGGACACAAAAUGUUUUCCAUAACUGUGCCAUCAUGGGCAUCUAUUUCUUCUAUACUUGAUGGAAGCUCUGGUAAUGAUUGAAGCCUCUUGCAACAACCCAACCUAAGGCCUUUGAGCUGUGAAAGUUGAUUGAGGCGUGCAGGUAGAGUAACAAAAUUGUUUCUGCUCAGAUCUAAAUAUUCCAAUGAGCACAGAGAGCUAAAGUCAUUGGGAAUUGCUCCUUCCAAUAUGUGGCAAUCACUUAGAUUUAACUUUCUUAGGGAUCUUAAACCAAAGAAAGAUGCAGUUGCCACACUAUUCUUAGAUUUAACUUUCUUAGGGAUCUUCAUAUUUAGUUUCAUAGGAAAGAUGUUUUCAAAGAAAUCUGCAUUCUUUGUUUCUAUUAUAGUAUUGACAUCUACCAGAUUAUUUUCUGACUUAGUAACAAGAAACCUAUAUGCCACACUAUUCUCAGCAUAGCCAAUGAACGUUGCAUCAAAGGUUUUAGGACCUAGUUUUCGUUUUUUAGGUUCGGGGAGAAGAACUUUAGCUAAACACCCCCACACUUUCAGGUAUGCUAUAUUAGGUGCACAACCUUUGCACAACUCAUAAGGAGUUUUACUAGUUUUCUUGUAAGGUAUUCUAUUUUGAAUAUGGCAUGCGGAUAGGAUAGCUUCCCCCCACAAGUUCAAGGGUGCUCCUGAACUUACUAACAUUGGAUUCAUAAUUUCUUUUAAGGUCUUAUUUUUCCUUUAUGCUAUUCCAUUAGACUCAGGGGAAUAAGGAGGAAUAAGGAGGAGUAGUUUCAUGAAUGAUCCCAUGAUCUUCACAAAAAGAAUUAAAGGGGUUGGACUCAUACUCUCCUCCUCUUUCAGUUCUAAGCCUUUUAAUUUUCUUACUUAGUUGAUUUUCCAUUUCAUUUUUGUACUUGAUGAAAGCAUCUCUUGCUUCAUCUUUGUUUCUCAAAAGAUAUACCCUUGUAUACCUUGAGUAGUCAUCUAUGAAAGUUAUGUAGAAUUGAUCACCACCUCUAGUCAUUGUAUUUUUUAGGUCUCCUAAGUCACUAUGUAUUAAACUUAGUAGACCUGAUUCUCUUUCAACUGAUUUGCAAGAUUUCUUUGUGGCUUUAGAUUCUACACAAGAUUCACAUUUCCCAUGGUUUUCUAAGGACAGAUUAGGGAUUAAACUCAAUUCAACCAUUUUCUUCGUAUAUGAAAAGUUCACAUGUCCUAGUCUACCAUGCCAAAUAUCACAAGAAUCAACUAUGUAAGCAAAAGAAGAAGAUGUAUUAUUAUUGAUAAUAUCAUAAACAUUCAACAUAAAUAAACCCUGAUUACAAUAGCUCUUUCCCACAAAUGCAUCAUUCUUGGUUAAAACUAUUUUAUCAGAGUCAAACAAGAUCCUCACUCCUGCUUUUCCAAGUAGAGAUACCGACACCAAGUUCCAACAGAUAUCUGGCACAUGAAGAACAUCAUGUAGGGCAAGCACUUUUCCAGAUGUUAGCUUGAGGAGAACUUUCCCUUUGCCAAUCACUGGAGUAGAUCUAGAAUCACCCAUGAACACUUGUUCCUCUCCUUUCUUUAUAGUGGUAUAGGAAGUAAAUGCAUUUCUAUUCCCACAGAUGUGCCUAUUAACCCCAAAGUCUACCACCCAUUCCUUCAUAUUGGUGACCAUGCUCACCUCAAAGGAGAUUACUGUUGUGAUCACCUCUGUCUCUGCCAGAUUUGCCUUUGAACUAGUCUUCUCAAUUCUCUUCCUAUGGCGACAUUGAGCUGCAUGGUGUCUAGACUUGCCACAGACAAAGCAAUUACCCCAUUUUUUAAUAAUUGAGUUUUGGACCUUGUUUAAUGCAUUAGGCUUGGUCCUAAAGUUUUGUUUCCUGAACCUAUUAUUUUUGGGUUUAGAUUUUUCUUCUACUACAUUAGCUUUAGAAGACAAUUCCUUAGCUUUCUCAAUAUUGUCCCUAUUUCGGUUUUGUUCCUCAAUCCUAAUAUGGAUUAUGACAUCCUCUAAGGACAUUUGUUUCCUUUUAUGUUUCAUGUUGUUUUUAUAGUCUUUCCAAGACUCCGGAAGAGCCUCUACUAAAUAACUAGCCACAAAAGGUUCGGGUAAUUUAAUGUCUUCAAUAGCUAAGUCAUUAAUCAACAAGUGGUAGUCAUGGAUUUGAGAUGAUACAACUCUAUCCUCACUCAUUUGGAAAUUUCUAAAAUUCCCUAUGGCAUAUUUAUGAGUUCCCGCAUCUUGCAAAAUAUAUUUUUUAUUCAUUGCAUCCCAAAUUUAUUUUGCAACUUUAAAUUGACAAUAAAUAUCAAAAAGUUCAUUAGAAAGUGUACUCAGAAUAGCAUAGCUAACUUGUUUAUUUCUAGUUUCCCAGGUUGGUAACCUAUGAGAACCAUCUUAUUGUUUUGGAUCAGUCAAAAUAUGUCCUAAGUUCACCACAUCAAUUGUAGAGAAAACCCUUUCCUGUCAUCUCUUAAAGAAUGUCCCAUUAAAUGGAUUAAUUUUAGAGGUGUCAGGAUGGGUGUGAAUUAGGGAAGCUUUCAUUUGAAUUUAUUUCAAGAUUGUUGGAUUUUAAGGGUAUGGAAACAAAGACUAGCCCAAAAAGACACAAACAAAGAACAUAAUGAAUAAUAAAAAAAAACUUAUCGGCUGAGGCAUGACAAACACUGUCCUUGAAAUAGAUCCACCCUUCUCGAAGACGAACUCUAUGCACUAUGUGAGAAAGGGUAUAAAUAAUGUGAGAUAAGGUACAAAAAAAUGUGAAAAAAAUGUACGAAUAAUGUGAGAAAAUGGUAUGCACAAUGUUAUAAAAUGGUACAAAAAAUGUAAGACAUGGUAUGAAUAAUGUGAGAUAGGGUACAAAUAAUGUGAUAUAAUGUAUGAAGAAUGUGAAGAAUGUGAGCAUGGGUAUGAAGAAUGUGAGAAAUUGUACGAAAAAUGUGGAAAAAAAAGUGCGAACAAUGUGAGAAAUUAUACAAAACAAUACAAGACAUAUGGUACAAAUAAUGUGAGAGAGAUGGUAUGAAAAAUUUGAAAUAUGAUACGAACAAUGUAAGGAAUGUUACAACCAAUAUGAGAAAGAAUACAAAGAAUAGGAGGAAGGAUAUGAAGAAUGUGAGACAUAGUAUGAAAAAUCUGAGAAAGGGUACGAACAAUGUGAGAAAGAAUACAAAGAAUGUGAGAUAGGGUAUAAAUUGUAAGGAAACCCAGAUCACUCUAUUCCAUAUCUUAGAAUUAGGUUAGAUGCAUGCAAAAACUUUCCUAGGCUUUUCUAAAUCCUAUGCAUAAUAAAAACAAACAUUUAAAAACUUUAGCAAGAUUUAAAAAUCAAAAGAGAAAAACUAUACAUUGAUUUGGAUAUUCUCAAAUCAAAUCCAUGUAGUGAAGUUGAAGGUUGAAGUAUUCAGAGGUCUCAAUGACUCAAACUCGAUAUUUGAACCCCAAAGGUGGGUUGGCUAUUGCUAUCUACAAAUUGGAUGAUAGAACACAACUAUCUUAAAAACCCUAACCUUUGAGAAGGUAUUUAUAGGGUUCCUUAAUUAGGCUUAAGUGACUUAAGCUUACCGUGGACUUAGGUCACUUAAUUUAGCUCAAAAUAUGUCUUAAUCAAUUAAUUACAUGACACUAUUAGGUUAAUUGAUUAAUUAACCUAAUAUGGCCAAUCAAUUAACCUAAUAGGGCCAUGUAAUUAAUCAAUUAACCUAAUCUAGAGGUUUUAUUCACUUACCUUUGUGUAACCUUACAUAAUUACCAAAACACUAUUAUGCACAAAAGUUAAUUAAGAGUUAAUCUAACCCUUAUGAACCAUUCCACCAAGGUAUAUGAACUCGAGUGGGGACCCCACUAGGAACCAUAGGAUAAUACUGACACAUUCAUAAUCCAGUUUUGAAGUUAACUCAACAUUCCACUACAAAAAAUUAAUUGCACCACAAUAUCCUAUGUACAAUACAAUGAAACACCAAGUUCUCUAGAUCGUGACCUAUUAUCCACUAAUUUCACCACAAUAUCCUAUGUGCAUAUGAUCAAAUGACAUGCCCUACCUCACUAAGAGCAUACGUCAAAUUACUAAAGGAAUUACUGUGUGUCCACAGAUUUCAUGAUCACACGUCCUUAGGAUCACCCAAUGGAACACACUCUCUUAAAGUCCAUGAGAUAUCGUGGUGUCUCUAAUGAGAAUACCAAUUUUUAUCGGCUUCCAUCAAUAGUGACUUAAUCCAUAGGAAAUAUAUGAUCAACUUACGAUCUCACAGUAGGUCAAAGCCUCUACUAACUUUAACUUAUAUAAGCUUAGUAUUCUCUUAAGGUUGAGAGACAAUACAAUUUAAUAGCUUGGUGAAGUCAUGACUACAUGAUAGUCUUAUGUCGUGACUCACCAUAGGUUCUGUUCAAUAUUGUGCAAACUUACACACUAGUGCACUCACCAUGGGAACCCCAUCCCAAUGGCCAAGACCAAUCAUUCCUCCUAUUAGAAGGUAGUGCACUACAACUUCUAAUGGGUUACCUAGGUUCAUGAACUAGCUAUGAACAAGUCAUCUAUUUGUAAUAAACCCAUGACUUGGAUCUUCUAUGCAACUCCUAAUGCACUUAAGUCGCAUUUAAUCAAACCUAAAUGCUUACAAGGUAUAGUGAAUGUCAUGUCAUGUCAUGUCAUGCUUUUAAAGAUUUUAUCAUAACUUGAAUAAUGUGAGACAUGGUACGAACAAUGUAAGAGAGAGUACAAAUAAUAUAAGAAAGAGUAAAAACAAUGUUAGAAAGAGUAUGAACAAUGUGAGACAAGAUAUGAAGAAUGUGAGGGAGGGUAUGAACAAUGUGAAGGAGGGUACAAACAAUGUGAGACAAUACAUGAAGAAUGUGAGGAAUGAUACAAAGAAUGUGAUGAAUGGUACAAAGAAUGUGAGGCAAGGUAAGAAGAAUGUGAGAAAGCGUACGAACAAUAUGAGAAAGUGUAUGAACACUGUGAGACAAUGUAUGAAUAAUGUGAGAUAAUGCAUGAAUAAUGUAAGAUAGUGUACAAAACAAAGUGAGAAAGAAUACGAACAAUAUGAGAAAUUAUAUGAAAAAUAUGGAGGGUAUAAAGAAUAUGAGAUAUUAUAUAAAUAAUGUGAGAAAAUAUACGAAAAAUAUGAGAUAUAGUACGAAUAAUGUAGAAAUGGUACGAACAAUGUGAGAUAAGCUAUGAAGAAUGUGAGAAAUAGUACUCUUCAUAUCCUUUCUCACAUUAUUUAUACCCUCGCUCAUGUACUUUUGUACAUAUUCUCACAUUCUUUGUACAUGAUCUCGCAUAAAAUAGAUAUUGUUUUAUUAAAUACAAAAAAAUUAUAAAAAAUUAUAAAAAUAUUGAAUUUUUAAAAAACCAAAUUGAUAACAUGUAUGGCUAAAUAAUGUAGUUCUCUAACUACUAUUUUUUUAUUAUUUUAUUUUAGUUUCUUCAUGGAUAUAAUGGACAAAGGCAAACGAAAGAAAUUCAUCAUUGAUUUGAAUAAUGAAAACUUUGAUUAAUAAUAUGAUUGCAAUGUGAAAACCGGGUUUGACAAAAAGCCCAUGCUAGUUUAAGAGAAUAUUUUGUAUGGUUUAAGACUUGAAGAUGUAUGGGAAAUGGAGUUCAACUCAAUAGAUGAGAUAGAAGAAUUUUACAAUUUAUACGUAAAGUUAACAAAUUCAAUGUUAGAAAGGAUGAUGUUAAAUGAGAUAAGAAUGAAAAUAUAGCAUCUCAUAUGUGGGUUUGCUCAAAGAAGGAUAAAGACAAACAAUAUGUUUGGAGAAUGAAAAUCGAAAACGAGAACAUAAGACAAUAACUAGAGUUGGUUGUGAGACAUCACUUCGUAUCGAGUUUAACAAACAAAUAAAUAAGUGUAUUAUGAUGGAGUUUAUGGGUGAUCAUAAUCAUCCUUUGGUGGAACCAAAAAUACCCAAUUCUUUCAAUCCCAAAGGGUCAUGAGGAAUGCAUAUAAGGCUUAAUUGAGUGCAAUGCGUAGUGUUUGCCUGAGAACUAGACAAAUUAUGGAUUACAUGGUGCAACAAUCAAAUGGAUAUAUUAAUGUGGGCUUCACAAAGAAAAAAAGAUCUAUAUAACCAUGUUAAUGUUGAUUGUAAAGUUCAGAUAAGAAAUGGUGAUACAAAGGGUACACUUUCUUACUUGUGUGGAAAGGCUUAAAUGGAUACAUCAUUUUAUUACAAGUACAAUGUUGAUAAAGACAAUCGCUUAACAAACUUGUUUUGGCCAAAUUCUACAAGAAUAUUGGAUUACACUUAUUUCAGAAAUGUGUUAGCAUUUAAUAGAACUUAUGAGACUAAUGCUUAUAGAAAACUAUUGGUCAUCUUAGUUGACAUUAACCAUCACAAUCAAAUUGUAGUGUUUAGAUGUUCAUUAUUGGUAGAUGAGAGUCUUUACACUUAUACAUAGGUUUUGGAGACAUUUUUGGAUGUAAUGAAUAAAAAGAAGUUUUUUAUUUUUUUCUGUUAUUAUAGAUGAGGACAAAGCAAGGUGUCAAGCCAUUAAGAGAAUAUUUCUAUAGUUUUAUCAUUGGUUAUGUGCUUAUUAUAUUCAAUGCAAGACAUUCAUUAAUGUCUAUGUCAAAGACUUUACUUAUCAUUUUUCUAGGUACAUGUUCAUGGAAGGCACCGUUAAUUUGAAUGUGCAUGGAGUGGCAUGGUGGAAAUGUGUAAUCUCCACGAACAUAAUUGGGUGAUAGACAUAUAUGCUAAGUGUCCUAGAUGGGCAAAGGCUUAUUUAAAGGUGCAUUUCUUUGCAAGUUUGAAAGCGCACAAAGGUGUGAAAGGAUGAAUGCAUACUUGAAUAGUUUCCUUAAAACUCAUUUAAAGUUGUUUGAGUUUUUGAAGCAUUUUGAUUGAGCACUCUCAUGUAUUCAUCAUAAUGAGGCAAAGGCAAAGUUUGAGAUGCACACUCUUUUACUUCUUCUAAACUCCAAACUCCAUGAAAUUGAGAAAUAUACAGACAUUGUUUUCACUCGGAAAUCUUUUCUCAAAUUUAGGGAUGAAAUGAAUGCGAAACUUUUUUCCCUUAUUAGUACAAAAAAUCAUAGAGGUUAUCAUGUCCAUACAUUGACUAAAUUUAGAAGCUCUGACAAGUUCUCAAAAGUAUGUUAUGGUAAUUGUGAUGAGUCUAUGAAAUGUACUUGGAAAGGGAGACACAGGUUGGUGGUCUUUUGGGGGGAAUAGAAGAUAGAGAGGGAGACACCACUUUUUUGGAGAACGGAGGUCCACACAGGUUCAGAUUUUGGUGAGGCUUUCCGGGGAUUUUCGGAAGCAGAUUCAACAGAUUUUGGUGAAGGAGUUCUCUAGGCGGUUUUUUCUGUUGUUAAGUGGCAGCCGCAUGGACUGCAUGAGGAGGGUUGACGUCUCAUAGUUACCUUCUUUCCUCCAUUGAUAGUAGCCCACAAGGCCACCUUAAGUGGGCGACACAAUAAGGCUGCCAUGCACGCAUGAGGCAGCCAUGACGCUGCCAUGUGGGAGAAGGUAGCAACCACUUCCGCAUUUUUUCUAUGUAUCUCCAGAAACUCCUUUGUACAGCCCACACACGGGCUAAUGAAGCAGAUUCCUGCAUGUGUCACUACAUGCAAAAUAUAUGCAGAAUAUAUAUGAGCCUUGAAUUUGUCACUACAUGCAAAAUAUAUGCAGAAGUGAUUGAAAAUGCAUGACCACCUUUUCCUGCAUGUGAAUGUGUUGAGCUGUAUGGUGCAAUUACUAAUGAAAUUCUCAAUUUGGUUGAUAAGUAUUUUGAGAUGCAAAAGCAUGAUGUUGUCUGGGCAUUGGAAAUUUAUCAGAAAGCAGGAGAGCCAUCAAACAUUCACCCGACAAGCAAGAGAAACACAUAGGCCGCACCAUUCUCCAACAAGACACAACAACAUACAUUCUUGAAGGUAAGUCCCUUUUUAAAAUUUUAUUUUAGUUUAAUUUUAAUUUAUUUAGUUAGUUUAGAUGUUUUUUCUUCAUAAUUAGUUUAAUUAAUUCUACAUUAUAAAGUUCUUAUUUUUCAUUCCGAUUUAGUUUAGUGUUGAUUUUUCUUUUAAUUUAAGUGUGUUUGUGGUUUUAAUUCAAUAGUUUAAUUAAUCUUAUUAGAUAAAGUUCAUAUAUAUAUAUAUAUAGAUUAUCCCAAAUUAGUUUAGUUUUAAUCUUUCUUUUAGUUUAAGUGUGUUAGUAAUUUUAAUUCAGUAGUUUAAAUAAUCAUGUCAGAUAAAGUUCGUGUUUUUAAUUCUAAUUAGCUUCGUCUUAAUUUAUUCUUUAGUUUAGAUUUGUUGUUGAUUAUAAUUUAUUAGUUUAAUUAAUCUUAUUAGAUAAAGUCUAAUUUCAAUUUAGUUUAGUUUUAAUUUAUUCUAUAAUUUGAGUUUGUUUGCGAUUUUAAUUCAAUUGUUUAAUUAAACCUCUUAGGUAAAGAUCUUGUUUUUAAUUCCGAUUUAGUUUAGUUUUAAUUUACUUAUUUAUUUAUUUAUUUUAGUUUAGAUGUGUUUGUAAUUUUAAUUCGACAAUUUAAUCGAUCUUAUUAGAUAAAGUUGAUGUUUUUAAUUCUAAUUUAGUUUAAUUUUAAUUUAUUUUUUAGUUUAAAUGUGUUUGUGUGUUUAAUUGACCUUAUGCUAGCUCUUGAUUUGUUAUUCUCAAUUUAGGCGUUUUCUUGAAUCUUAGUCAUUAAUUCUUGGUGGAUAUCUCAUUAGUUUAUUUAAUCUAAGUUUUAAUAAUUUAUUAUUUCGGUAGUCUCUUGUCAAAUUUACUUUUCAGAUGCCAUCGGAAAAUAGUGAAGAUUGACCUCCAUUCUCACCACUUUAGUUUGUUUGGUUGUCAAAAAUUUUACUUUGUGAUUUUGUUUACUUUUAUUUUGCUUGUUUCUUAUGUUUUGAUUGUUUUCAAAUUAUUUUAUUUUAUUUUAAAAUAAAAUAUUUUUCUCAAAAGAUCCAUUUGAAAAUUCUAUUUUAAAAAUAAUUCAUUUAGAGUCUUUAGAAUCAGAAUCUCAUUUUUUAAUAAUAUGCAACCAUGUCUUGAUUGGUUUGCAUUUUUCUCAGUUUUCAAUAAAAAUUCUGGUUUUAAAUAGAAUAUGAAUCUAAACUUGUGGUCCCAAACAAAUGGGAUAAUUCUGGGCUAGAUUUUUGUAUAUCAAUUGGGGAAUUGGUGAAACCCCUACAUAAGAAAAUUCUUCAAAACUCAUAUUUUUUGCCACCUUUGCUAUUUCAUGAAAUCAUGUCUAUUUAUUUUUUAGGAAUUAUAUACAAGAUUUAUGUGAUAAUUGAUGAUUUCGUAUACUUUGAUCAUUUUUGCUAGGCUAAUUAUAUAACAAGCACGUUAGGAUUUCUUUAUUUUAUUAUUUAUUAUCUAACCCCUCAUGUCUUGUGAAAGCACGUUACAAGUUAUCUAUGCUAUCCAAGUACGUCCUCUAUCACCCACCUUCUAAAUUUUGUGAAUAUACCGGUCACUGUGAACUGCACUUAUGUUUGAUAGUGCUUGGGUGUUUUGAUAUUUGUUUCAUUGUUCGAUUAUUUUUUAUAAAGCGCAUGCUGGAUGAUAUAUUAUUUGAACUAACUUUGAUGUCUUGUGAGGGCGCUAAGAAGCAGUUUAGGUACACACCUUAAAUCUUCUUUAUAAUUAUGAUUUGUUUUUCUUAUUUGGCAUGCUAUUUUUGAAAUCACCUAGCUUACUUAGGUAUCCAUGAUCAACCAAUUAAUUGUCACAUUUCCCUCAACUUAGCCAGUAGAGAUCUUUUUAGGGCUUAGAGGAGUGUUACCUCUUAAAAGUACCUUCCCAAUGGUAACUUGAUUCUUGAACCAAGACUUGGGUUUUCGAGACAUGCUUUUCCAAAAUUGUGGAGUCACUUAUUUAGGGUUUUCUUUCUUGUUUUAUUUUCCCUUUAAAGUAAAAUAAAAUAAGGGGCGACUCCAGCUUUUCCAAAACUAAUUUUUCACCAAUAAAAGCGAGUCUCACUGAUUGAGUGGGAACGCACGUGAAAAAUGUGGGUCCACAGUAUAUAUGGGGCAACCUAAAGGAUUUAUUGUUAUAAGAUAAGAACACCAAGUUAGAGAUAGAUACAUUUAGCUAGGUUGGUUUUUAACCAAUCCAAGAAUCAAAUAGGAGUUCAUUGGUUUUAACUAAAGUACAACAAAUUUAUUUAUUUACUCAUACUAAUCCAACUUAAUAUCAAUUCGAUUCAGUUUAGUUAACUCAAUUUAGACAAAAUUAUUGAGUUUGUAUGUUUUUUUUCACUUCGACCAUACAACCAAAAUGAUCAAAUUGUUUUAGAUAUAUAUAUAUUUUACAAGUAAUACAAUUAAAAUUUUUUUAAAUAUGUGUGGGAGCAACCUAUGGGUUAUUUGCUUGUUGGGAGUAAGUCAAUGAGUUGUAUUAUUGACAUAUUGGGCACUUGUGACUUGAAAUUAUAUUAUCAUCAUUAUUAAGUCCCAAAGUACAAUGAUUUUAAAUUUUAGAUCAUGCUUAUGCCAUAAGCAACUUUUAAUUUGUAAUAAAGCCAUACGAGUUAGGCUCCAAGCCACUAACACCGAAUUGUAGCCCAACUAAGUUGGCUUUGGAUGAGCAUGGUUCGACUCAUAAAGUCCCAAGAUUCUCCACAACACUCCAAAAUCCAAGCAAUUAUAUUUGUCCCACUCCUCUACUACUUGGGUUUCUUUGCCAGUCCACUUUUGGUAAGUGAUCUAGGUUGAAUUUUCCAUAAGCCAAAUACCAAAAUAGAAUUACUCAAGUAAGAAGACUUCUAAAGAGAAUAGUCUAAAGAGCUACUACAAAAGAGAAUAGGAGAUGGUUAGAGUAAUGGUGGUGACUAUUGAAAGAGUCGAUGGUGGUGGGAAGCCAUAGCUACUGGUGAAGAGGAAGUUAGGUGAAUUGGAGACUCAGUGAAGAAGAUAAUGCGAACUUGAUAAAAUUUCCUCCAACUUUUCCUUUUCUCUCUUAUUUUUCCCGCUAAUUUUUAAGGAAAGUAGUAGGGAAAAUAUUACAAUAUUUUCUUUAGUAUUUUCCUUUAUAUUUUUUUUCCAUCAUAUUUUUCAUGUCACCCAAACUGAGGAAAAUAACUUUCCAUAAUAUUUUUUUUCCCUUUCCCUUGCAUUUUCUGAAAACUAAACACAACCUUUAUAAAUAAAAAAUUAAGAAUUACAGUAAGACGGUAUAUUCUUCCUUUUUCUUCCUGCAUUUCUACAUCCACUACUCUAUUUUACAUCAUAUUUUUACUCCCUUCUUCAAUCAGCAUUCCUCUCUUUAUAUAGAGUUAUCUUCACACUAAUUCAUAAGAUAAGAAAGAUGAAUGAACCUUGGGGCAAGGUUGGACAAUUGGUAGCAACGUGUCGACCUCUCUUUAGCAUGAAAAUGGCUAGAACGUGUUAAGCUCUCUUAUUAGAUGACGUGUCAACUAUAGGGCAAUCAUAGGAUGGGGAAUAUAUGGUAAUUAUGCAAAAAAAGAAAAAAAGAAAAAAAGAAAAAGAAAAAUCGAUAUCCAAUUAUAUAGAAAGACAUCUUCCAACAUUUGAUAUAAAUAAAAAUUAAGAGAAAAAUAUUUUUAAAAAACAUAUUAAACCUAAAAAUAGGGAAUUAAUAAUAAAAUAAAGUAAAAAGGUAAAAUUAAAACCAAAUAUUAAAAAUAAUGUUAUUCAGGUUAAAUCAUUGGGUUUGCUAGAGGAGUUUAUAUAUAUAUAUUAGUUUUUUUUCUUCUUUUUAAUCCUAUCUAUGUUGUUGAUAUUAAUGCAUUGAAUUUGAUGUUACCUAAAACAAAAUUAUAUUUCAUGUUCUCUAUUAUAAGUCGACAACCAUACCUUAUGUUAUAUUUUAGAUAAAGAACGAAUAAUGAAGAUUGGAGUUGUAAGAAAUUAGGAGAUCCUAAUUUUAAAUAUGUAACAAAGUUCUAUAAUCACUCCAAUCCACAUUUAAAAAUUGUAUUUCUUUCUAAUAUGGGAGCAAACUUUUUCCUUCUUUCUUAUAAUUUUCAUUUGGGAAUGAUUUAAAAAUAAAUAAAUAAAAGCCCUUCCCAAUAUUAAAAAAAACACUCUUAUAAAAAUUAAUUAGGUGGAUGGUAAGGUCAAAUUCGGGAUAGCUUCAUAUUUUUUGCUUUAAUUGAAACUUAAAAUCAAAAUUAAAGUAAUAAUUUUUAAGAUGUUGUAAAAGUUUUAUUAAACAUGAAAGAACUUAUUGUGUAAACAAAAAUAGAACUAUAGAAUUCUUAUAAGAAAUAACAAUUUUAUGAAUUCUAUAUGAAACCUUUUUUAAAAGUUAUAAGUUUUUUUAUAAAUAAUUAAAUAGGUAUAGAAACUUUUAUUCAACUUAAUUUUUUUUUAACGGUUAAAAGUCAAUCCAAAUAAAAUUUAAAUAUAUUUGAAAAUCAUUUUUAAAAAUCCAAAAAAUCACUUAAAAAUAAUUUCUGAACUUUUUUUUUUUUUAAUUUACAUUCAAAUACUAAGUGAUUCUUUUAAAAAUCAUUUAUAAUGUCAAAAUAUUUUUUUAUGGAUAAAAACACUAGAAAUAAAAAACAUUUUAAUUCAUGAAAUUUCAUUUAUUGUUAUUUAUUUUUUGGGAUUUAAUUCUUUACAAUUAUUUUUGAGUGUUUAUAAAGUAUAAUUAGGUUAUGCCCAAAUUUAUUCCUUUAACUCUAUCCAUUAGAUAUAAGUAGCGUGAAAUUUUGGCCUGUCUCCACCUUUCUUCACUUCUGACAUUGUCAUGCAGUGCUUCGUCAAUGGAUAAUAUAUUAAUUUAUUUCUUAAUUUAAUAGCAUUGGAGUGUCAGCUGGAAUAAAAUGAAAGUUCAAUCAUUUAAUCUUUUUUAGCACACCACUCAUAACUGUCAGUGAUUUCCUGCCAACUUAACAUAUUGACAUGGACUUGGAGAGUUCGGUCAAUUAAAGCAGCUUGGUUAAUUGUAAGUGUUUUUUCUCUAAACCAUAAAUUCCUACGUUUUAAUUUAUAAAAACAAGUGAUUUGUUUUUACUUAAGGAAGCAGGAAAGGGUUUAAAAUAAGAGUUGAAAAGUAUGCCAAUUAUUUUAACUUAAAAUACUUAAAUAAAAAGGAAUUGAUUUUAUCUCAAUUGUAUAAGACUUUAUAAAAAUUAUCAUUUAUAAUUUUUUUGAUUAUUAAUAUGAUACGUAACCUUUGACAGAAUUGGAAUAAAAUAUGGAUAAUUAAAAAAUGUCAACUAUCCCAUUUCAAACUUUUCUAAUACAGCAUGAUAUUUUAUCAUGUUGAAUGAAAUGGGAAUGACCAAAAAUUGUCAAAUCAAAGAUUUAUCUAUUGUGGACAUGGCAUUCAGAGGCUUCUUAACAUUGUAUUGGUCUAUUUAAUGAGUUGAAAUAAGAACACAACAUCAAAUUCUCUUUUUAUAAUCAAAGACUGCUAUGGAAAAUUCCACCAUAGCAUAUCUCAAAUUCCAUUAAUAAUCCCAAACACAAUAUUCCGCAACUUUACAUUAUUCUUUUUAUCAACUUUACACAAAAAAUUGAAGAGGAAUACUAACUUAAAUCAAACAGAAAUUAAAUCAUGAAAGAUGAAUAAUACAAAUAUUCAAUGAAAUCUUUGGCGUGUUAUUUCUUUGCAGCUUCAACAUGGUGGCAUGUCCGACGGAGGAGACAACAUUUGAGCUUCCGGGUGUUUACCAUUUUUCACUAUGAACGCAGUUUCCAUGCCCCAAGUCAGAUGGCGUUCUACAUGGCAGUGCAUGAACCACACUCCUGCAACAGAGAAAAUAUACCAACAUUACACCUAACUUUAUUGUAAUAUUAAGAAAAAAUAUUUCAUUGGUAUGGAGGUUGGCAGUUUCAAGGGUUUUUUUCUUUAAUAGAGGACAUGAGUGCUUGGAACAUACCAGGGUUGGAUGCCUCGAAUCUGAUUGCAACCCAACCAUUCGAAGGAACAGAGAUGGUAUUCUGAAAGGGAGGAUCCACCAGAUUAUAGCGCAAAGGGUCCUUAUUUCCAUCGAAAUUCCCAAAUCCCCAUCCAACAACAUAGAAACUGUAUCCAUGGAGAUGCAUGGGGUGGUGUGUCGCUGCAAGCACAUUUGUCCCUUGAAAAACAAUCUCCACUGUGGAGUUAUACUCGAGCACCCUUACUUCUGUUCCGCUGCUCGGCAACUGAUAGAUUAAUGGAAGAUAAUCAGCUGUAAAAUCGAACACCAGUGGUGGAUCACUAGGAAAUUUAUCUCCAUAUACACCACUGAUGUUAUAAUAGUAAGCUUGCAGUAUGUCAACUGUAGGGGUAUGGAAGCUUAUGUUGUUUAUACUUGAGGAGAAUCGCGUCCCAUUGGCCCCUGCACAUGAAUUAUUGACGCAUGGGUACGAGUUUACAGAAACAGUGUAAAUCAGGUUAGUGCUCGUGCUCAAUGGGACAUUGCAAGGAUGUUCCGCAUUUGCUAAGCUUCGGAGGCCGGCCAUGACCUGAACGGAUGCAUUUGUGUCAUUGUAAGCAGGAAGAUAAGGCAAGGAGGGAGGUGAAGAUGGAGUGUAGUAUCCGCUGUAUUGUACAAUAGCUGUGGUGGUUGUGUUAUCAUAAAAGUCUUGAUAUUUCGGGGCAACAGAAUAAGUUAUAGCCGCCAUGUAAUAGUGAUCCGGGCGUUGGUUAGCUUCUAGUAACACAUCAUAGGUUUGGCCAGGAAAUAUUGUGAUAAAAUCUAUUGUCAAUGGUUUCGUGUAGCUACCAUCUGUUCCAACCACUGUAAUUUUAUGCUUGUCAAUGGAGAAGAAGAGAGCCUCCUGCAAAGCAGCAUUGAUUAUGCGAAGUAGAUAGGUCUUUCCAUGAUCCACCGUUAGCUUGAAUGUGUCUGCAAUUAGAGAAGGAAAGUUGUAUACUUAUGACUAGCCAAAAGAAAAAGAAAAAGUUUCCAUGAGGAUCCACUAAUUAUGAAGUGAUUGAUUGAUGAGGGGUGUAAAUUUGGCUCCAUAGUUCAAAAUUAUAUUUGGACUAGCCUUUUUUUGUGUUUUAAAUCAUGGCUCUACCAUCCUCAUAGCUAUAUUCCUCUUUCUUAGCAUUAAGCUUUAAAUAUGUUGAUGUUAAUAAGAAAAAGUAAUAUGGCUAACAUAUAAGAAAAUGAAAUUGUGUACAAUUUUAAAAUGGGAAGUUAAACUUUGUACCUGAUUUUGAGCAUGGAUAUAGAUCACCGGGUUGUCCAUUUAUCAAUAAUGCAUCAGAGGGGUCAGGGUCACCUCCGGUUGCAAGCCCUUCAUCUCGAACCGCAUUCACAUCAUUCUUCCACCAUUCUCCUGCAUUUCAACAACUUCAAUAAUUUUAGAUUUUGCUUUGUUGGUUAAUUCAUAAUAUGUAAAUUAACCUUUAAAAGUAACAACACUUAUACCUAAUAUGAUAGGGACCUCUCUAUCAGGUUUGUGAAAAGGAUACUUGGUUCCAUUCUUGGGAUAGAUAAUUAUAGCUCCAUGAACAGUGGCUCGGGUCCAAUCACUGUGAGCAUGCCACCAUAGAGUGCCUUCUUCAGUGGAAAGGAUGAUCUUCUGUGUAAACUUUGACCCUGGCCGAAUUGGGCAUUGUGUGAUAUACUCGGGACCAUCUGUCCAUGGAUAUCUAGGCAUGGUCACCCCAUGCCUGCGAAACCAUAACUAUACGUUAAAACUAGUACUAAUUUUCAAAGUAACAAAAGAUGGCAUGCAACAACAUAUUAUCAUAAUAACAAGAGGCAUCAAUUNNNNNNNNNNNNNNNNNNNNNNNNNNNNNNNNNNNNNNNNNNNNNNNNNNNNNNNNNNNNNNNNNNNNNNNNNNNNNNNNNNNNNNNNNNNNNNNNNNNNNNNNNNNNNNNNNNNNNNNNNNNNNNNNNNNNNNNNNNNNNNNNNNNNNNNNNNNNNNNNNNNNNNNNNNNNNNNNNNNNNNNNNNNNNNNNNNNNNNNNNNNNNNNNNNNNNNNNNNNNNNNNNNNNNNNNNNNNNNNNNNNNNNNNNNNNNNNNNNNNNNNNNNNNNNNNNNNNNNNNNNNNNNNNNNNNNNNNNNNNNNNNNNNNNNNNNNNNNNNNNNNNNNNNNNNNNNNNNNNNNNNNNNNNNNNNNNNNNNNNNNNNNNNNNNNNNNNNNNNNNNNNNNNNNNNNNNNNNNNNNNNNNNNNNNNNNNNNNNNNNNNNNNNNNNNNNNNNNNNNNNNNNNNNNNNNNNNNNNNNNNNNNNNNNNNNNNNNNNNNNNNNNNNNNNNNNNNNNNNNNNNNNNNNNNNNNNNNNNNNNNNNNNNNNNNNNNNNNNNNNNNNNNNNNNNNNNNNNNNNNNNNNNNNNNNNNNNNNNNNNNNNNNNNNNNNNNNNNNNNNNNNNNNNNNNNNNNNNNNNNNNNNNNNNNNNNNNNNNNNNNNNNNNNNNNNNNNNNNNNNNNNNNNNNNNNNNNNNNNNNNNNNNNNNNNNNNNNNNNNNNNNNNNNNNNNNNNNNNNNNNNNNNNNNNNNNNNNNNNNNNNNNNNNNNNNNNNNNNNNNNNNNNNNNNNNNNNNNNNNNNNNAGGAGAGAAACCUGAAUUGGGAAUAGAAAUCUUGGUAAUUUAUUUGCCAGACUUUGCAUUUCCCUUAAUGUAGCUGCCACAAAGUUGCUGCUUUCAUUGUCAGACAGUCUGAAGCAAUUAGAAAAUGUGAAUCGGAGGCCCCCACAUUCCUUGGAUCUGUAGACACUUGAUGGACACAAAAUGUUUUCCAUAACUGUGCCAUCAUGGGCAUCUAUUUCUUCUAUACUUGAUGGAAGCUCUGGUAAUGAUUGAAGCCUCUUGCAACAACCCAACUUAAGGCCUUUGAGCUGUGAAAGUUGAUUGAGGCGUGCAGGUAGAGUAACAAAAUUGUUUCUGCUCAGAUCUAAAUAUUCCAAUGAGCACAGAGAGCUAAAGUCAUUGGGAAUUGCUCCUUCCAAUAUGUGGCAAUCACUUAGAUUUAACUUUCUUAGGGAUCUUAAACCAAAGAAAGAUGCAGUUGCCACACUAUUCUUAGAUUUAACUUUCUUAGGGAUCUUCAUAUUUAGUUUCAUAGGAAAGAUGUUUUCAAAGAAAUCUGCAUUCUUUGUUUCUAUUAUAGUAUUGACAUCUACCAGAUUAUUUUCUGACUUAGUAACAAGAAACCUAUAUGCCACACUAUUCUCAGCAUAGCCAAUGAACGUUGCAUCAAAGGUUUUAGGACCUAGUUUUCGUUUUUUAGGUUCGGGGAGAAGAACUUUAGCUAAACACCCCCACACUUUCAGGUAUGCUAUAUUAGGUGCAUAACCUUUCCACAACUCAUAAGGAGUUUUACUAGUUUUCUUGUAAGGUAUUCUAUUUUGAAUAUGACAUGCGGAUAGGAUAGCUUCCCCCCACAAGUUCAAGGGUGCUCCUGAACUUACUAACAUUGCAUUCAUAAUUUCUUUUAAGGUCUUAUUUUUCCUUUAUGCUAUUCCAUUAGACUCAGGGGAAUAAGGAGGAAUAAGGAGGAGUAGUUUCAUGAAUGAUCCCAUGAUCUUCACAAAAAGAAUUAAAGGGGUUGGACUCAUACUCUCCUCCUCUUUCAGUUCUAAGCCUUUUAAUUUUCUUACUUAGUUGAUUCUCCAUUUCAUUUUUGUACUUGAUGAAAGCAUCUCUUGCUUCAUCUUUGUUUCUCAAAAGAUAUACCCUUGUAUACCUUGAGUAGUCAUCUAUGAAAGUUAUGUAGAAUCGUUUACCACCUCUAGUCAUUGUAUUUUUUAGGUCUCCUAAGUCACUAUGUAUUAAACUUAGUAGAUCUGAUUCUCUUUCAACUGAUUUGCAAGAUUUCUUUGUGGUUUUAGAUUCUACACAAGAUCCACAUUUUCCAUGGUUUUCUAAGGACAGUUUAGGGAUUAAACUCAAUUCAACAAUUUUCUUCAUAUAUGAAAAGUUCACAUGUCCUAGUCUACCACAAGGAUUGAAAUAUUGGCAAAUACGGAUAUAUCGGUACUUGGAUUUUACGGAUAUAUCGGAAAUAUCAGAGAAAUAUCGGUUGAUAUUUUUCAUCAAAUAUCGGUGAGACAAAAAUUAUCCAAAAUUGAUGGGAAUGCUUAGAAAAAUCCAAAGAAUGAUAAAAUAAGCAAGAAUAUACAUGUUAAAGUUAUUUUAUAAGUGUAAUUGACAUAAAUAUGGUCAGAGAAAAAAAUAUCGGUAAACAGUUUACGAUACUUGGAUUUUAAGAAUUGAAAAUAUGAAAUUUGGAAUUGUACACUUGGAUAAAGUGAAGAUUGAUUUUCCACCAUUGGAUCACAAAUCUGACCGUUGGAGGCCUUUACAAAUACACGGGUGAAAUCUGGGCCAUCAGAUCCUCAAAAAUUCAAAAUUGGCCGUCAGAUCAAAAUCCUUGAAGUUGGAAAAAAUUGGCAAUAUAUAGGUAAAAUCCCUGAUUUUUUGGGCUCUUCCUCCGGCUUCUCCUCGCAUGCCUCCACUGGCGAUUUUUCGCCGAUUUAUCGGUGCUUCACCGAUAUUUCGCUGAUAUAUUGGCGAUUUUGCCGAUUUUUUACCGGUUUUUCCUUUGAUCGAUAAUCGGUGACGAUUAUUGUUUCGGUGCCGCCCGAUAUUCGAUAUUUCUCCGAAAUAUCGACGAUAUAUCCCGAUUUUUCAAUCCCUGGUCUACCAUGUCAAAUAUCAUAAGAAUCAACUAUGUAAGCAAAAGAAGAAGAUGUAUUAUUAUUGAUAAUAUCAUAAACAUUCAACAUAAAUAAACCCUGAUUACAAUAGCUCUUUCCCACAAAUGCAUCAUUCUUGGUUAAAACUAUUUUAUCAGAGUCAAACAAGAUCCUCACUCCUGCUUUUCCAAGUAGAGAUACCGACACCAAGUUCCAACGGAUAUCUGGCACAUGAAGAACAUCACGUAGGGCAAGCACUUUUCCAGAUGUUAGCUUGAGGAGAACUUUCCCUUUGCCAAUCACUGGAGUAGAUCUAGAAUCACCCAUGAACACUUGUUCCUCUCCUUUCUUUAUAGUGGUAUAGGAAGUAAAUGCAUUUCUAUUCCCACAGAUGUGCCUAUUAACCCCAAAGUCUACUACCCAUUCCUUCAUAUUGGUGACCAUGCUCACCUCAAAGGAGAUUACUGUUGUGAUCACCUCUGUCUCUGCCAGAUUUGCCUUUGAACUGGUCUUCUCAAUUCUCUUCCUAUGGCGACAUUGAGCUGCAUGGUGUCUAGACUUGCCACAGACAAAGCAAUUACCCCAUUUUUUAAUAAUUGAGUUUUGGACCUUGUUUAAUGCAUUGGGCUUUGUCCUAAAGUUUUGUUUCCUAAACCUAUUAUUUUUGGGUUUAGAUUUUUCUUCUACUACAUUAGCUUUAGAAGACAAUUCCUUAGUUUUCUCAAUAUUGUCCCUAUUUCGGUUUUGUUCCUCAAUCCUAAUAUGGAUUAUGACAUCCUCUAAGGACAUUUGUUUCCUUUUAUGUUUCAUUUUGUUUUUAUAGUCUUUCCAAGACUCCGGAAGAGCCUCUACUAAAUAACCAGCCACAAAAGGUUCGGGUAAUUUAAUGUCUUCAAUAGCUAAGUCAUUAAUCAACAAGUGGUAGUCAUGGAUUUGAGAUGAUACAACUCUAUCCUCACUCAUUUGGAAAUUUCUAAAAUUCCCUAUGGCAUAUUUAUGAGUUCCCGCAUCUUGCAAAAUAUAUUCUUUAUUCAUUGCAUCCCAAAUUUAUUUUGCAACUUUAAAUUGACAAUAAAUAUCAAAAAGUUCAUUAGAAAGUGUACUCAGAAUAGCAUGGCUAACUUGUUUAUUUCUAGUUUCCCAGGUUGGUAACAUAUGAGAACCAUCUUCUGGUUUUGGAUCAGUAAAAAUAUGUCCUAAGUUCACCACAUCAAUUGUAGAGAAAACCCUUUCCUGUCAUCUCUUAAAGAAUGUCCCAUUAAAUGGAUUAAUUUUAGAGGUGUCAGGAUGGGUGUGAAUUAGGGAAGCUUUCAUUUGAAUUUAUUUCAAGAUUGUUGGAUUUUAAGGGUAUGGAAACAAAGACUAGCCCAAAAGACACAAACAAAGAACAUCAUGAAUAAAAAAAAAAAACUUAUCGGCUGAGGCAUGACAAGCACUGUCCUUGAAAUAGAUCCACCCUCCUCAAAGACGAACUCGGUGCACUAUGUGAGAAAGGGUAUAAAUAAUGUGAGAUAAGGUACAAAAAAAUGUGAAAAAAAUGUACGAAUAAUGUGAGAAAAUGGUAUGCACAAUGUUAUAAAAUGGUAUGAACAAUGUGAAAAAAGAUACAAAUAAUAUGAGACAUGGUAUGAAUUAUGUGAGAGGGGAUACAAAUAAUGUGAGGGAAGGUACAAACACUAUGAGAAAGAGUACAAACAAAACAAGGAAAUGUACAAACAAUGUGAUAAAUGGUACGAAAAAUGUAAGACAUGGUAUGAAUAAUGUGAGAUAGGGUACAAAUAAUGUGAUAUAAUGUAUGAAGAAUGUGAGCAUGGGUAUGAAGAAUGUGAGAAAUUGUACGAAAAAUGUGGAAAAAAAAGUACGAACAAUGUGAGAAAUUAUACAAAACAAUGCAAGACAUAUGGUACAAAUAAUGUGAGAGAGAUGGUAUGAAAAAUUUGAAAUAUGAUACGAACAAUGUAAGGAAUGUUACAACCAAUAUGAGAAAGAAUACAAAGAAUAUGAGGAAGGAUACGAAGAAUGUGAGACAUAGUAUGAAAAAUCUGAGAAAGGGUACGAACAAUGUGAGAAAGAAUACAAAGAAUGUGAGAUAGGGUAUAAAUUGUAAAGAAGCCCAGAUCACUCUAUUCCAUAUCUUAGAAUUAGGUUAGAUGCAUGCAAAAACUUUCCUAGGUUUUUCUAAAUCCUAUGCAUAAUAAAAACAAACAUUUAAAAACUUUAGCAAGAUUUAAAAAUCAAAAGAGAAAAACUUUACAUUGAUUUGGAUAUUCUCAAAUCAAAUCCAUGUGGUGAAGUUGAAGCUUGAAGUAUUCAAAGGUCUCAAUGACUCAAACUCGAUAUUUGAACCCCAAAGGUGGGUUGGCUAUUGCUAUCUACAAAUUGGAUGAUAGAACACAACUAUCUUAAAAACCCUAACCUUUGAGAAGGUAUUUAUAGGGUUCCUUAAUUAGGCUUAAGUGACUUAAGCUUACCGUGGACUUAGGUCACUUAAUUUAGCUCAAAAUAUGUCUUAAUCAAUUAAUUACAUGACACUAUUAGGUUAAUUGAUUAAUUAACCUAAUACGGCCAAUCAAUUAACCUAAUAGGGCCAUGUAAUUAAUCAAUUAACCUAAUCUAGAGGUUUUAUUCACUUACCUUUGUGUAACCUUACAUAAUUACCAAAACAUUAUUAUGCACAAAAGUUAAUUAAGAGUUAACCUAACCCUUAUGAACCAUUCCACCAAGGUAUAUGAACUCGAGUGGGGACCCCACUAGGAACCAUAGGAUAAUACUGACACAUUCAUAAUCUAGUUUUGAAGUUAACUCAACAUUCCACUACAAAAAAUUAAUUGCACCACAAUAUCCUAUGUACAAUACAAUGAGACACCAAGUUCUCUAGAUCGUGACCUAUUAUCCACUAAUUGCACCACAAUAUCCUAUGUGCAUAUGAUCAAAUGACAUGCCCUACCUCACUAAGAGCAUACGUCAAAUUACUAAAGGAAUUACUAUGUCUCCACAAAUUUCAUGAUCACACGUCCUUAGGAUCACCCAAUGGAACACACUCUCUUAAAGUCCAUGAGAUAUCGUGGUGUCUCUAAUGAGAAUACCAAUUGUUAUCGGCUUCCAUCAAUAGUGACUUAAUCCAUAGGAAAUAUAUGAUCAACUUACGAUCUCACAAUAGGUCAAAACCUCUACUAACUUUAACUUAUAUAAGCUUAGUAUUCUCUUAAGGUUGAGAGACAAUACAAUAUAAUAGCUUGGUGAAGUCAUGACUACAUGAUAGUCUUAUGUCGUGACUCACCAUAGGUUCUGUUCAAUAUUGUGCAAACUUACACACUAGUGCACUCACCAUGGGAACCCCAUCCCAAUGGCCAAGACCAAUCAUUCCUCCUAUUAGAAGGUAGUGCACUACAACUUCUAAUGGGUUACCUAGGUUCAUGAACUAGCUAUGAACAAGUCAUCUAUUUGUAAUAAACCCAUGACUUGGAUCUUCUACGCAACUCCUAAUGCACUUAAGUCGCAUUUAAUCAAACCUAAAUGCUUACAAGGUAUAAUGAAUGUCAUGUCAUGUCAUGUCAUGCUUUUAAAGAUUUUAUCAUAACUUGAAUAAUGUGAGACAUGGUACGAACAAUGUAAGAGAGAGUACAAAUAAUAUAAGAAAGAGUACACACAAUGUUAGAAAGAGUAUGAACAAUGUGAGACAAGAUAUGAAGAAUGUGAGGGAGGGUAUGAACAAUGUGAAGGAGGGUACAAACAAUGUGAGACAAUACAUGAAGAAUGUGAGGAAUGAUACAAAGAAUGUGAUGAAUGGUACAAAGAAUGUGAGGCAAGGUAAGAAGAAUGUGAGAAAGCGUACGAACAAUAUGAGAAAGUGUAUGAACACUGUGAGACAAUGUAUGAAUAAUGUGAGAUAAUGCAUGAAUAAUGUAAGAUAGUGUACAAAACAAAGUGAGAAAGAAUACGAACAAUAUGAGAAAUUAUAUGAAAAAUAUGGAGGGUAUAAAGAAUAUGAGAUAUUAUAUAAAUAAUGUGAGAAAAUAUAUGAAAAAUAUGAGACAUAGUACGAAUAAUGUAGAAAUGGUACGAACAAUGUGAAAUAAGCUAUGAAGAAUGUGAGAAAUAGUACUCUUCAUAUCCUUUCUCACAUUAUUUAUACCCUCACUCAUGUACUUUUGUACAUAUUCUCACAUUCUUUGUACAUUAUCUCGCAUACAAUAGAUAUUGUUUUAUUAAAUACAAAAAUUUUUUAAAAAAUAUUGAAUUUUUAAAAAACCAAAUUGAUAACAUGUAUGGCUAAAUAAUGUAGUUCUCUAACUACUAUUUUUUUAUUAUUUUAUUUUAGUUUCUUCAUGGAUAUAAUGGACAAAGGCAAAGGAAAGAAAUUCAUCAUUGAUUUGAAUAAUGAAAACUUUGAUUAAUAAUAUGAUUGCAAUGUGAAAACGGAGUUUGACAAAAAGCCCAUGCUAGUUUAAGAGAAUAUUUUGUAUGGUUUAAGCCUUGAAGAUGUAUGGGAAAUGGAGUUCAACUCAAUAGAUGAGAUAGAAGAAUUUUACAAUUUAUACGUAAAGUUAACAAAUUCAAUGUUAGAAAGGAUGAUGUUAAAUGAGAUAAGAAUCAAAAUAUAGCAUCUCAUAUGUGGGUUUGCUCAAAGAAGGAUAAAGACAAACAAUAUGUUUGGAGAAUGAAAAUCGAAAACGAGAACAUAAGACAAUAACUAGAGUUGGUUGUGAGACAUCACUUCGUAUCGAGUUUAACAAACAAAUAAAUAAGUGCAUUAUGAUGGAGUUUAUGGGUGAUCAUAAUCAUCCUUUGGUGGAACCAAAAAUACCCAAUUCUUUCAAUCCCAAAGGGUCAUGAGGAAUGCAUAUAAGGCUUAAUUGAGUGCAAUGCGUAGUGUUUGCCUGAGAACUAGACAAUUUAUGGAUUACAUGGUGCAACAAUUAGAUGGAUAUAUUAAUGUGGGCUUCACAAAGAAAAAAAGAUCUAUAUAACCAUGUUAAUGUUGAUUGUAAAGUUCAGAUAAGAAAUGGUGAUACAAAGGGUACACUUUCUUACUUGUGUGGAAAGGUUUAAAUGGAUACAUCAUUUUAUUACAAGUACAAUGUUGAUAAAGACAAUCGCUUAACGAACUUGUUUUGGCCAAAUUCUACAAGAAUAUUGGAUUACACUUAUUUCAGAAAUGUGUUAGCAUUUAAUAGAACUUAUGAGACUAAUGCUAAUAGAAAACUAUUGGUCAUCUUAGUUGACAUUAACCAUCACAAUCAAAUUGUAGUGUUUAGAUGUGCAUUAUUGGUAGAUGAGAGUCUUUACACUUAUACAUAGGUUUUGGAGACAUUUUUGGAUGUAAUGAAUAAAAAGAGGUUUUUUUUUUUUUUUUUUUCUGUUAUUAUAGAUGAGGACAAAGCAAGGUGUCAAGCCAUUAAGAGAAUAUUUCUAAAGUUUUAUCAUUGGUUAUGUGCUUAUUAUAUUCAACGCAAGACAUUCAUUAAUGUCUAUGUCAAAGACUUUACUUAUCAUUUUUCUAGGUACAUGUUCAUGGAAGGCACCGUUAAUUUGAAUGUGCAUGGAGUGGCAUGGUGGAAAUGUGUAAUCUCCAUGAACAUAAUUGGGUGAUAGACAUAUAUGCUAAGUGUCCUAGAUGGGCAAAGGCUUAUUUAAAGGUGCAUUUUUUUGCAAGUUUGAAAGCGCACAAAGGUGUGAAAGGAUGAAUGCAUACUUGAAUAGUUUCCUUAAAACUCAUUUAAAGUUGUUUGAGUUUUUGAAGCAUUUUGAUUGAGCACUCUCAUGUAUUCAUCAUAAUGACGCAAAGGCAAAGUUUGAGAUGCACACUCUUUUACUUCUUCUAAACUCCAAACUCCAUGAAAUUGAGAAAUAUACAGAGAUUGUUUUCACUCGGAAAUCUUUUCUCAAAUUUAGGGAUGAAAUGAAUGCGAAACUUUUUUCCCUUAUUAGUACAAAAAAUCAUAGAGGUUAUCAUGUCCAUACAUUGACUAAAUUUAGAAGCUCUGACAAGUUCUCAAAAGUAUGUUAUGGUAAUUGUGAUUAGUCUAUGAAAUGUACUUGGAAAGGGAGACACAGGUUGGUGGUCUUUUGGGGGGAAUAGAAUAUAGAGAGGGAGACACCACUUUUUUGGAGAACGGAGGUCCACACAGGUUCAGAUUUUGGUGAGGCUUUCCCGGGAUUUUCGGAAGCAGAUUCAACAGAUUUUGGUGAAGGAGUUCUCUAGGCGGUUUUUUCUGUUGUUAAGUGGCAGCCGCAUGGACUGCAUGAGGAGGGUUGACGUCUCAUAGUUACCUUCUUUCCUCCAUUGAUAGUAGCCCACAAGGCCACCUUAAGUGGGCGACACAAUACGGCUGCCAUGCACGCAUGAGGCAGCCAUGACGCUGCCAUGUGGGAGAAGGUAGCAACCACUUCCGCAUUUUUUCUAUGUAUCUCCAGAAACUCCUUUGUACAGCCCACACACGGGCUAAUGAAGCAGAUUCGGCAUAUUUUUAGAGGGGGAAUCUUGAAACCACACAACAUCAAGAGACUUGGCCGGAAGUGUGAUGAUGGGUGUUUCCAAAGAAAAGUUAUAAUUCGCCCACUGUUGAAUAUGUUCAUAGAUGUGAAGGGUCCCACGAGCCUUGAAUUUGUCACUACAUGCAAAAUAUAUGCAGAAGUGAUUACAAAAGCAUGACCACCUUUUCCUGCAUGUGAAUGUGUUGAGCUCUAUGGUGCAAUUACUAAUGAAAUUCUCAAUUUGGUUGAUAAGUAUUUUGAGAUGCAAAAGCAUGAUGUUGUCUGGGCAUUGGAAAUUUAUCAGAAAGCAGGAGAGCCAUCAAGCAUUCACCCGACAAGCAAGAGAAACACAUAGGCCGCACCAUUCUCCAACAAGACACAACAACAUACAUUCUUGAAGGUAAGUCCCUUUUUAAAAUUUUAUUUUAGUUUAAUUUUAAUUUAUUUAGUUAGUUUAGAUGUUUUUUUUUUCAUAAUUAGUUUAAUUAAUUCUACAUUAUAAAGUUCUUAUUUUUCAUUCCGAUUUAGUUUAGUGUUGAUUUUUCUUUUAAUUUAAGUGUGUUUGUGCUUUUAAUUCAAUAGUUUAAUUAAUCUUAUUAGAUAAAGUUCAUAUAUAUAUAUAUAUAUAUAUUAUCCAAAUUAGUUUAGUUUUAAUCUAUCUUUUAGUUUAAGUGUGUUAGUAAUUUUAAUUCAGUAGUUUAAAUAAUCAUGUCAGAUAAAGUUCGUGUUUUUAAUUUUAAUUAGCUUCGUCUUAAUUUAUUCUUUAGUUUAGAUUUGUUGUUGAUUAUAAUUUAUUAGUUUAAUUAAUCUUAUUAGAUAAAGUCUAAUUUCAAUUUAGUUUAGUUUUAAUUUAUUCUAUAAUUUGAGUUUGUUUGCGAUUUUAAUUCAAUUGUUUAAUUAAACCUCCUAGGUAAAGAUCUUGUUUUUAAUUCCGAUUUAGUUUAGUUUUAAUUUACUUAUUUAUUUAUUUAUUUUAGUUUAGAUGUGUUUGUAAUUUUAAUUCGACAAUUUAAUCGAUCUUAUUAGAUAAAGUUGAUGUUUUUAAUUCUAAUUUAGUUUAAUUUUAAUUUAUUUUUUAGUUUAAAUGUGUUUGUGCGUUUAAUUGACCUUAUGCUAGCUCUUGAUUUGUUAUUCUCAAUUUAGGCGUUUUCUUGAAUCUUAGUCAUUAAUUCUUGGUGAAUAUCUCAUUAGUUUAUUUAAUCUAAGUUUUAAUCAUUUAUUAUUUCGGUAGUCUCUUGUCAAAUUUACUUUUCAGAUGCCAUCGGAAAAUAGUGAAGAUUGACCUCCAUUCUCACCACUUUAGUUUGUUUGGUUGUCAAAAAUUUUACUUUAUGAUUUUGUUUACUUUUAUUUUGCCUGUUUCUUAUGUUUUGAUUGUUUUCAAAUUAUUUUAUUUUAUUUUUAAAUAAAAUAUUUUUCUCAAAAGAUCCAUUUGAAAAUUCUAUUUUAAAAAUAAUUCAUUUAGAGUCCUUAGAAUCAGAAUAUCAUUUUUUAAUAAUAUGCAACCAUGUCUUGAUUGGUUUGCAUUUUUCUCAGUUUUCAAUAAAAAUUCUGGUUUUAAAUGGAAUAUGAAUCCAAGCUUGUGGUCCCAAACAAAUGGGAUAAUUCUGGGCUAGAUUUCUGUAUAUCAAUUAGGGAAUUGGUGAAACCCCUACAUAAGAAAAUUCUUCAAAACUCAUAUUUUUUGCCACCUUUGCUAUUUCAUGAAAUCAUGUCUAUUUAUUUUUUAGGAAUGAUAUACAAGAUUUAUGUGAUAAUUGAUUAUUUCGUAUACUUUGAUCAUUUUUGCUAGGCUAAUUAUAUAACAAGCACGUUAGGAUAUCUUUAUUUUAUUAUUUAUUAUCUAACCCCUCAUGUCUUGUGAAAGCACGUUACAAGUUAUCUAUGCUAUCCAAGUACGUCCUCUAUCACCCACCUUCUAAAUUUUGUGAAUAUACCGAUCACUGUGAACUGCACUUAUGUUUGAUAGUGUUUGGGUGUCUUGAUAUUUGUUUCAUUGUUCAAUUAUUUUUUAUAAAGCGCAUGCUAGAUGAUAUAUUAUUUGAACUAACUUUGAUGUCUUAUGAGGGCGCUAAGAAGCAGUUUAGGUACACACCCUAAAUCUUCUUUAUAAUUAUGAUUUGUUUUUCUUAUUUGGCAUGCUAUUUUUGAAAUCACCUAGCUUACUUAGGUAUCCAUGAUCAACCAAUUAAUUGUCACAUUUCCCUCAACUUAGCCAGUAGAGAUCUUUUUAGGGCUUAGAGGAGUGUUACCUCUUAAAAGUACCUUCCCAAUAGGUAACCUGAUUCUUGAACCAAGACUUGGGUUUUCGAGACAUGCUUUUCCAAAAUUGUGGAGUCACUUAUUUAUGGUUUUCUUUCUUGUUUUAUUUUCCCUUUAAAGUAAAAUAAAAUAAGGGGCGACUCCAGCUUUUCCAAAACUAAUUUUUCACCAAUAAAAGCGAGUCUCGCUGAUUGAGUGGGAACGCACGUGAAAAAUGUGGGUCCACAGUAUAUAUGGGGCAACCUAAAGGAUUUAUUGUUAUAAGAUAAGAACACCAAGUUAGAGAUAGAUACAUUUAGCUAGGUUGGUUUUUAACCAAUCCAAGAAUCAAAUAGGAGUUCAUUGGUUUUAACUAAAGUACAACAAAUUUAUUUAUUUACUCAUACUAAUCCAACUUAAUAUCAAUUCGAUUCAGUUUAGUUAACUCAAUUUAUACAAAAAUAUUGAGUUUGUAUGUUUUUUUUCACUUUGACCAUACAACCAAAAUGAUCAAAUUGUUUUAGAUAUAUAUAUAUUUUACAAGUAAUACAAUUAAAUUUUUUUAAAAUAUGUGUAGGAGCAACCUGUGGGUUAUUUGCUUGUUGGGAGUAAGUCAAUGAGUAGUAUUAUUGACAUAUUGGGCACUUGUGACUUGAAAUUAUAUUAUCAUCAUUAUUAAGUCCCAAAGUACAAUGAUUUUAAAUUUUAGAUCAUGCUUAUGCCAUAAGCAACUUUUAAUUUGUAAUAAAGCCAUACGAGUUAGGCUCCAAGCCACUAACACCGAAUUGUAGCCCAACUAAGUUGGCUUUGGAUGAGCAUGGUUCGACUCAUAAAGUCCCAAGAUUCUCCACAACACUUCAAAGUCCAAGCAAUUAUAUUUGUCCCACUCCUCUACUACUUGGGUUUCUUUGCCAGUCCACUUUUGGUAAGUGAUCUAGGUUGAAUUUUCCAUAAACCAAAUACCAAAAUAGAAUUACUCAAGUAAGAAGACUUCUAAAGAGAAUAGUCUAAAGAGCUACUACAAAAGAGAAUUGGAGAUGGUUAGAGUAAUGGUGGUGGCUAUUGAAAGGGUUGAUGGUGGUGGGAAGCCAUAGCUACUAGUGAAGAGGAAGUUAGGUGAAUUGGAGACUCAGUGAAGAAGAUAAUGCGAACUUGAUAAAAUUUCCUUCAACUUUUCCUUCUCUCUCUUAUUUCCCCCACUAAUUUUUAAGGAAAGUAGUAGGGAAAAUAUUACAAUAUUUUCUUUAGUAUUUUCCUUUAUAUUUUUUUUCCAUCAUAUUUUUCAUGUCACCCAAACUGAGGAAAAUAACUUUCCAUAAUAUUUUUUUUCCCUUUCCCUUGCAUUUUCUGAAAACUAAACACAACCUUUAUAAAUAAAAAAUUAAGAAUUACAGUAAGACGGUAUAUUCUUCCUUUUUCUUCCUGCAUUUCUACAUCCACUACUCAAUUUUACAUCAUAUUUUUACUCCCUUCUUCAAUCAGCAUUCCUCUCUUUAUAUAGAGUUAUCUUCACACUAAUUCAUAAGAUAAGAAAGAUGAAUGAACCUUGGGGCAAGGUUGGACAAUUGGUGGCAGCUAGUCAAGGCUAGAAGUCAACUUUUGCUUGACUUUUUGGGAAUGGGUAGCAACGUGUCGACCUCUCUUAAGCAUGAAAAUGGCUAGAACGUGUUAAGCUCUCUUAUUAGAUGACGUGUCAACUAUAGGGCAAUCAUAGGAUGGGGAAUAUAUGGUAAUUAUGCAAAAAAAGAAAAAAAGAAAAAAAGAAAAAAAAAAUCGAUAUCCAAUUAUAUAGAAAGACAUCUUCCAACAUUUGAUAUAAAUAAAAAUUAAGAGAAAAAUAUUUUUAAAAAGCAUAUUAAACUAAAAAUAGGGAAUUAAUAAUAAAAUAAAGUAAAAAGGUAAAAUUAAAACCAAAUAUUAAAAAUAAUAUUAUUUAGGUUAAAUCAUUGGGUUUGCUAGAAGAGUUUAUAUAUAUAUAUAUAUAUUAGUUUUUUUUCUUCUUUUUAAUCCUAUCUAUGUUGUUGAUAUUAAUGCAUUGAAUUUGAUGUUACCUAAAACAAAAUUAUAUUUCAUGUUCUCUAUUAUAAGUGGACAACCAUACCUUAUGUUAUAUUUUAGAUAAAGAACGAAUAAUGAAGAUUGGAGUUGUAAGAAAUUAGGAGAUCCUAAUUUUAAAUAUGUAACAAAGUUCUAUAAUCACUCCAAUCCACAUUUAAAAAUUGUAUUUCUUUCUAAUAUGGGAGCAAACUUUUUCCUUCUUUCUUAUAAUUUUCAUUUGGGAAUGAUUUAAAAAUAAAUAAAUAAAAGCCCUUCUCAAUAUUAAAAAAAACACUCUUAUAAAAAUUAAUUAGGUGGAUGGUAAGGUCAUAUUCGGGAUAGCUUCAUAUUUUUUGCUUUAAUUGAAACUUAAAAUCAAAAUUAAAGUAAUAAUUUUUAAGAUGUUGUAAAAGUUUUAUUAAACAUGAAAGAACUUAUUGUGUAAACAAAAAUAGAACUAUAGAAUUCUUAUAAGAAAUAACAAUUUUAUGAAUUCUAUAUGAAACCUUUUUUAAAAGUUAUAAGUUUUUUUAUAAAUAAUUAAAUAGGUAUAGAAACUUUUAUUCAACUUAAUUUUUUUUAACAGUUAAAAGUCAAUCCAAAUAAAAUUUAAAUAUAUUUGAAAAUCAUUUUUAAAAAUCCAAAAAAUCACUUAAAAAUAAUUUCUGAACUUUUUUUUUUUUUAAUUUACAUUCAAAUACUAAGUGAUUCUUUUAAAAAUCAUUUAUAAUGUCAAAAUAUUUUUUUAUGGAUAAAAACACUAGAAAUAAAAAACAUUUUAAUUCAUGAAAUUUCAUUUAUUGUUAUUUAUUUUUUGGGAUUUAAUUCUUUACAAUUAUUUUUGAGUGUUUAUAAAGUAUAAUUAGGUUAUGCCCAAAUUUAUUCCUUUAACUCUAUCCAUUAGAUAUAAGUAGCGUGAAAUUUUGGCCUGUCUCCACCUUUCUUCACUUCUGACAUUGUCAUGCAGUGCUUCGUCAAUGGAUAAUAUAUUAAUUUAUUUCUUAAUUUAAUAGCAUUGGAGUGUCAGCNNNNNNNNNNNNNNNNNNNNNNNNNNNNNNNNNNNNNNNNNNNNNNNNNNNNNNNNNNNNNNNNNNNNNNNNNNNNNNNNNNNNNNNNNNNNNNNNNNNNNNNNNNNNNNNNNNNNNNNNNNNNNNNNNNNNNNNNNNNNNNNNNNNNNNNNNNNNNNNNNNNNNGAGGACAUGAGUGCUUGGAACAUACCAGGGUUGGAUGCCUCGAAUCUGAUUGCAACCCAACCAUUCGAAGGAACAGAGAUGGUAUUCUGAAAGGGAGGAUCCACCAGAUUAUAGCGCAAAGGGUCCUUAUUUCCAUCGAAAUUCCCAAAUCCCCAUCCAACAACAUAGAAACUGUAUCCAUGGAGAUGCAUGGGGUGGUGUGUCGCUGCAAGCACAUUUGUCCCUUGAAAAACAAUCUCCACUGUGGAGUUAUACUCGAGCACCCUUACUUCUGUUCCGCUGCUCGGCAACUGAUAGAUUAAUGGAAGAUAAUCAGCUGUAAAAUCGAACACCAGUGGUGGAUCACUAGGAAAUUUAUCUCCAUAUACACCACUGAUGUUAUAAUAGUAAGCUUGCAGUAUGUCAACUGUAGGGGUAUGGAAGCUUAUGUUGUUUAUACUUGAGGAGAAUCGCGUCCCAUUGGCCCCUGCACAUGAAUUAUUGACGCAUGGGUACGAGUUUACAGAAACAGUGUAAAUCAGGUUAGUGCUCGUGCUCAAUGGGACAUUGCAAGGAUGUUCCGCAUUUGCUAAGCUUCGGAGGCCGGCCAUGACCUGAACGGAUGCAUUUGUGUCAUUGUAUGCAGGAAGAUAAGGCAAGGAGGGAGGUGAAGAUGGAGUGUAGUAUCCGUUGUAUUGUACAAUAGCUGUGGUGGUUGUGUUAUCAUAAAAGUCUUGAUAUUUCGGGGCAACAGAAUAAGUUAUAGCCGCCAUGUAAUAGUGAUCCGGGCGUUGGUUAGCUUCUAGUAAGACAUCAUAGGUUUGGCCAGGAAAUAUUGUGAUAAAAUCUCGUGUCAAUGGUUUCGUGUAGCUACCAUCUGUUCCAACCACUGUCAUUUUAUGCUUGUCAAUGGAGAAGAAGAGAGCCUCAUGCAAGGCAGCAUUGAUUAUGCGAAGUAGAUAGGUCUUUCCAUGAUCCACCGUUAGCUUGAAUGUGUCUGCAAUUAGAGAGGGAAAGUUGUAUACUUAUGACUAGCCAAAAGAAAAAGAAAAAGUUUCCAUGAGGAUCCACUAAUUAUGAAGGGAUUGAUUGAUGAGGGGUGUAAAUUUGGCUCCAUAGUUCAAAAUUAUAUUUGGACUAGCCUUUUUUUGUGUUUUAAAUCAUGGCUCUACCAUCCUCAUAGCUAUAUUCCUCUUUCUUAGCAUUAAGCUUUAAAUAUGUUGAUGUUAAUAAGAAAAAGUAAUAUGGCUAACAUAUAAGAAAAUGAAAUUGUGUACAAUUUUAAAAUGGGAAGUUAAACUUUGUACCUGAUUUUGAGCAUGGAUAUAGAUCACCGGGUUGUCCAUUUAUCAAUAAAGCAUCAGAGGGGUCGGGGUCACCUCCGGUUGCAAGCCCUUCAUCUCGAACCGCAUUCACAUCAUUCUUCCACCAUUCUCCUGCAUUUCAACAACUUCAAUAAUUUUAGAUUUUGCUUUGUUGGUUAAUUCAUAAUAUGUAAAUUAACCUUUAAAAGUAACAACACUUAUACCUAAUAUGAUAGGGACCUCUCUGUCAGGUUUGUGAAAAGGAUACUUGGUUCCAUUCUUGGGAUAGAUAAUUAUAGCUCCAUGAACAGUGGCUCGGGUCCAAUCACUGUGAGCAUGCCACCAUAGAGUGCCUUCUUCAGUGGAAAGGAUGAUCUUCUGUGUAAACUUUGACCCUGGCCGAAUUGGGCAUUGUGUGAUAUACUCGGGACCAUCUGUCCAUGGAUAUCUAGGCAUGGUCACCCCAUGCCUGCGAAACCAUAACUAUACGUUAAAACUAGUACUAAUUUUCAAAGUAACAAAAGAUGGCAUGCAACAACAUAUUAUCAUAGUAACAAGAGGCAUCAAUUGUAUUUCAAUGGAACUAAAGCAAAUAACCUUAAAGUAUUGUUUUAAAUUUGACUUUAUUUUCAAAGUUAUAUAUUGUAGCCCCCUCUUAGAUAUAAAAGAAUGUAUGUCAUGCAAGCAUGCUACCACUGCUCUUUCUUUGAGACACGCACAGGACCUACCAAUGAAUGGUGAUGUUUUCGUUUCCCUUGUUAUAAACGUCGACAAUGAUCGUCUCUCCUUUCGUAGCAUAUAUGGUUGGUCCCGGAAAUUUUCCAUUUACUGUUAAGAUGUUCUUGGUGCUACAAAGCCUUUUAUAUGAAGCUUCCCUCACCUGCAACCAAUUAAAAGUUAGCCAUGCAACCUCAUCCCAAAAGAAAUAUUACAUGCAUGAAUAGUUGUAUCGAUCCAUUCAUGUAAGUGUAUAACCAAUUAGAAAUUGAUAGCAUGCAUGAAUGACUCAACGACACCAAGGUAGUAGGUCAUAUGGUACGAAAUGAGAGCCAUACCACUCCCUAAAUAUCAUGAUUACAAGGUGGCGUUAAGGCCAGAAUCAUAUAUAGAAUUUACCACAAAAGUAAGCCGACGGGUCGAAGCUUGGCAAUGGAUUCCACCACCAAAAACUAGAAACGCUAAAAUUUGCAGGAGGAAAACCUUCAUGAUCAGCCACAUUUUCCUUGGAAUAAAAGCCUCUUCUCUUGUCCUAAACACAACUCCUUCAAUUCUCUUACUGCUUUUGAUGUAUUUCUUUCAUAUAUGGUUCAUUAUAUAGGCAUGGUAAUUCUCUCGGGAUACAAUACGUGUCAAUAUAAGAGGAAGUGAUUUGAAUGUGUAUUGGUUUUCAAUGUUCUUUCAGGACGACUUCAAUGAGCAGGACCACUUCAAAAAUAAUUAAUUACGUACACGUUAUUGAUUAUUUUAGAAUAUUCUUUCAAAAGUCUUUUAUUGAUUAUUUCAACAAAUUUUAAUUAAUUAAAUAUAUGUAGAAUAAUUUUAAAACUUUGACUUCCCGUAUGAGUACAAUUUGUCAUGAUCGUUGGUGUAGAUAUAAAAAGAGACUAAAUUAAAGGAUUUUGAAAAUGUGUCGACAAGAACAUCAUUGAAAAAUUUGAAGGUUCCAAUUUUGUGGGUCAUGCAAUUUAUUGGACACUGAAUGGAUAAACAAGCCACGCUCUCCACUUAUUUUCUUUCAAUAUAUAAGCCUUGUACGUGAUGUUGGUUGACUAUUAUGAUAGUAAAUUCGGGAGGAUGUUUAAAUGGACGGGCAAGAUAAGAAAUAGAUUUUCUAUUAAGAUAUUUGAAUGGAGAUGAAAGCAUGGGUAUAGGUUUGUACUAAGGAAAUGAACAUAUGAUUAAAAUAAACCUGAUACAGUUAGUCUAUAAGAAUGGAUCCUGUUUCUAACCUUUUAACACACAAAUUUGGAAACCUAAACCUAUGGAUUGUUUCUUUCCUAUAAUGGAAUCCUAUGUUCCUUCUCAAAGCAGCGCUGACUUUUCCCUUCCUACCAACUACAAAGAGAAAAUCUUGACUAAUCUCGAUAAAGGUUUAUUUUAUCUAUACAUGCGAGGUCAAAGUUUUAAAAGUAUUCUACAUAUAUUUUAAAUUUAUUCUAAAAUAAUGUGUUUGAUUAAUUUCUUGGUCAAUUCUCAAAGUCAAACUUGUAUUUUGAAUUGGAAAAUUCUAGAGAUUCUAAGAAACUCGUCUUCUACGAUACACAACCUGAUUGAAGCUGAGCUGUGAGAAAUUUUCACAAUUGUUAGCAUUCUUCAGGCAUUUGGUUUAUUUAAAUUUUGGUAAUAGUCAUAUGAUAGUAAAUUCGGGAGGAUGCUUGCAUGCAUGGGCAUCAUGAUUUUUUUUGAGAUGUUUAAAUGGACGUGAAAGAUAAGAAAUAGAUUUUCUAUUAAGAUAUUUGAAUGGAGAUGAAAGCAUGGGUAUAGGUUUGUACUAAGGAAAUGAACAUAUGAUUAAAAUAAACCUGAUACAGUUAGUCUAUAAGAAUGGAUCCUGUUUCUAACCUUUUAACACACAAAUUUGGAAACCUAAACCUAUGGAUUGUUUCUUUCCUAUAAUGGAAUCCUAUAUUCCUUCUCAAAGCAGCGCUAAACCUAAACCUGAUACAGUUAAUCCUAUAUUUAAAAUACAAGUUUGACUUUGAGAAUUGACCAAGAAAUUAAUCAAACGCAUUAUUUUAGAAUAAAUUUAAAAUAUCCUUUCACAAGUCUUUUAUUGAUUAUUUCAACAAAUGUUAAUUAAUUAAAUAUAUGUAGGAUAUUUUUAAAACUUUGACCUCCCGUAUGAGUACCCUUCUGAAAAGUCGGGAGGAUGUUGGUUGACUAUUAUGAUAGUAAAUUCGGGAGGAUGCUUGCAUGUAACAAUUUUAUUUUAUUUUAUUUUAAAAUUUAUUCUAAAACCAUAGGUUUAGGUUUCCAAAUUUGUGUGUUAAAAGGUUAGAAACAGGAUCCAUUCUUAUAGACUAACUGUAUCAGGUUUAUUUUAAUCAUAUCUUCAUUUCCUAAGUACAAACCUAUACCCAUGCUUUCAUCUCCAUUCAAAUAUCUUAAUAGAAAAUCUAUUUCUUAUCUUUCACGUCCAUUUAAACAUCCUCCCGAAUUUACUAUCAUAAUAGUCAACCAACAUCACGUACAAGGCUUAUAUAUUGAAAGAAAAUAAGUGGAGAGCGUGGCUUGUUUAUCCAUUCAGUGUCCAAUAAAUUGCAUGACCCACAAAAUUGGAACCUUCAAAUUUUUCAAUGAUGUUCUUGUCGACACAUUUUCAAAAUCCUUUAAUUUAGUCUCUUUUUAUAUCUACACCAACGAUCAUGACAAAUUGUACUCAUACGGGAAGUCAAAGUUUUAAAAUUAUUCUACAUAUAUUUAAUUAAUUAAAAUUUGUUGAAAUAAUCAAUAAAAGACCUUUGAAAGAAUAUUCUAAAAUAAUCAAUAACGUGUAGGUAAAUAAUCAAGAACAUCUUAACAGUAAAUGGAAAAUUUCCGGGACCAACCAUAUAUGCUACGAAAGGAGAGACGAUCAUUGUCGACGUUUAUAACAAGGGAAACGAAAACAUCACCAUUCACUGGUAGGUCCUAUGCGUGUCUCAAAGAAAGAGCAGUGGUAGCAUGCUUGCAUGACAUACAUUCUUUUAUAUCUAAGAGGGGGCUACAAUAUAUUACUUUGAAAAUAAAGUCAAAUUUAAAACAAUACUCUAAGGUUAUUUGCUUUAGUUCCAUUGAAAUACAAUUGAUGCCUCUUGUUACUAUGAUAAUAUGUUGUUGCAUGCCAUUAUAGGAUUCCAUUAUAGGAAUAUAGUUAUGGUUUAGGUUUCCAAAUUUGUGUGUUAAAAGGUUAGAAACAGGAUCCAUUCUUAUAGACUAACUGUAUCAGGUUUAUUUUAAUCAUAUGUUCAUUUCCUUAGUACAAACCUAUACCCAUGCUUUCAUCUCCAUUCAAAUAUCUUAAUAGAAAAUCUAUUUCUUAUCUUGCCCGUCCAUUUAAACAUCCUCCCGAAUUUACUAUCAUAAUAGUCAACCAACAUCACGUACAAGGCUUAUAUAUUGAAAGAAAAUAAGUGGAGAGCGUGGCUUGUUUAUCCAUUCAGUGUCCAAUAAAUUGCAUGACCCACAAAAUUGGAACCUUCAAAUUUUUCAAUGAUGUUCUUGUCGACACAUUUUCAAAAUCCUUUAAUUUAGUCUCUUUUUAUAUCUACACCAACGAUCAUGACAAAUUGUACUCAUACGGGAAGUCAAAGUUUUAAAAUUAUUCUACAUAUAUUUAAUUAAUUAAAAUUUGUUGAAAUAAUCAAUAAAAGACUUUUGAAAGAAUAUUCUAAAAUAAUCAAUAACGUGUAGGUAAAUAAUCAAGAACAUCUUAACAGUAAAUGGAAAAUUUCCGGGACCAACCAUAUAUGCUACGAAAGGAGAGACGAUCAUUGUCGACGUUUAUAACAAGGGAAACGAAAACAUCACCAUUCACUGGUAGGUCCUAUGCGUGUCUCAAAGAAAGAGCAGUGGUAGCAUGCUUGCAUGACAUACAUUCUUUUAUAUCUAAGAGGGGGCUACAAUAUAUUACUUUGAAAAUAAAGUCAAAUUUAAAACAAUACUCUAAGGUUAUUUGCUUUAGUUCCAUUGAAAUACAAUUGAUGCCUCUUGUUACUAUGAUAAUAUGUUGUUGCAUGCCAUUAUAGGAUUCCAUUAUAGGAAUAUAGUUAUGGUUUAGGUUUCCAAAUUUGUGUGUUAAAAGGUUAGAAACAGGAUCCAUUCUUAUAGACUAACUGUAUCAGGUUUAUUUUAAUCAUAUGUUCAUUUCCUUAGUACAAACCUAUACCCAUGCUUUCAUCUCCAUUCAAAUAUCUUAAUAGAAAAUCUAUUUCUUAUCUUGCCCGUCCAUUUAAACAUCCUCCCGAAUUUACUAUCAUAAUAGUCAACCAACAUCACGUACAAGGCUUAUAUAUUGAAAGAAAAUAAGUGGAGAGCGUGGCUUGUUUAUCCAUUCAGUGUCCAAUAAAUUGCAUGACCCACAAAAUUGGAACCUUCAAAUUUUUCAAUGAUGUUCUUGUCGACACAUUUUCAAAAUCCUUUAAUUUAGUCUCUUUUUAUAUCUACACCAACGAUCAUGACAAAUUGUACUCAUACGGGAAGUCAAAGUUUUAAAAUUAUUCUACAUAUAUUUAAUUAAUUAACAUUUGUUGAAAUAAUCAAUAAAAGACUUGUGAAAGGAUAUUUUAAAUUUAUUCUAAAAUAAUGCGUUUGAUUAAUUUCUUGGUCAAUUCUCAAAGUCAAACUUGUAUUUUGAAUUAGAAAGUUCAAGAGAUUCUAAGAAAGUCGUCUUCUACGAUACACAACCUGAUUGAAGCUGAGCUGUGAGAAAUUUUCACAAUUCUUAGCAUUCUUCAGGCUUUUGGUUUAUUCAAAUUUUGGUAAGUAAUCAAAUAUCAUACACAACUUGAAGUGGUCCUGCACAUUGAAGUGGUCCUGGAAGAACAUUCAAAACUGCACAUUGAAGUGGUCCUGGAAGAACAUUCAAAACCAAUACACAUUCAAAUUACUUGGCUUAUAUUGAUACGCGUCGAGGAAUUGUUGAUACCCAAGCCACAUGUGAUCUGAUUUAAUGAAUCUCUGCCCUUCAUCCGAAGAAUUCUGGUGUUCUGGAUUGAUGGGAGCAAAAAGGUGACCAGUUUUACCUUGAGUCAAAUUCAAAUGACAAAAUAUAUUACCAGGGCAAUCAUGGACACCACCCUUAACUACAAAAAUAGCGCACACAGCCAAUCCCAUCAACCUAGUAUACACCAAUUUGGAGGCAGAUGUACCAUAUUACUGUGGAGUCUAUACUCUGUUGGCUGAACCACUCAAGAAUUCAACUUCCAGGAACAAAAGUACUGGAUUCAAUAUGUGGAGUAUAUGGCACCAUCUGGGUCAUGAAAAUCAAUGUCAAGUUAUAUGGAAAUAAUGUAGGAGUAGUGCUCAAAGGAGUAUAAGAAUUAUUCCAUAGGAUUUAAUUGAUUUACUUUUACAAUAUGAUCAAGAGAGAGAGGAGAGAAACCUGAAUUGGGAAUUGAAAUCUUGGUAAUUUAUUUGCCAGACUUUGCAUUUCCCUUAAUGUAGCUGCCACAAAGUUGCUGCUUUCAUUCUCAGACAGUCUGAAGCAAUUAGAAAAUGUGAAUCGGAGGCCCCCACAUUCCUUGGAUCUGUAGACACUUGAUGGACACAAAAUGUUUUCCAUAACUGUGCCAUCAUGGGCAUCUAUUUCUUCUAUACUUGAUGGAAGCUCUGGUAAUGAUUGAAGCCUCUUGCAACAACCCAGCCUAAGGCCUUUGAGCUGUGAAAGUUGAUUGAGACGUGCAGGUAGGGUAACAAAAUUGUUUCUGCUCAGAUCUAAAUAUUCCAAUGAGCACAGAGAGCUAAAGUCAUUGGGAAUUGCUCCUUCCAAUAUGUGGCAAUCACUUAGAUUUAACUUUCUUAGGGAUCUUAAACCAAAGAAAGAUGCAGUUGCCACACUAUUCUUAGAUUUAACUUUCUUAGGGAUCUUCAUAUUUAGUUUCAUAGGAAAGAUGUUUUCAAAGAAAUCUGCAUUCUUUGUUUCUAUUAUAGUAUUGACAUCUACCAGAUUAUUUUCUGACUUAGUAACAAGAAACCUAUAUGCCACACUAUUCUUAGCAUAGCCAAUGAACAUUGCAUCAAAGGUUUUAGGACCUAGUUUUCGUUUUUUAGGUUCGGGGAGAAGAACUUUAGCUAAACACCCCCACACUUUCAGGUAUGCUAUAUUAGGUGCAUAACCUUUCCACAACUCAUAAGGAGUUUUACUAGUUUUCUUGUAAGGUAUUCUAUUUUGAAUAUGGCAGGCGGAUAGGAUAGCUUCCCCCCACAAGUUCAAGGGUGCUCCUGAACUUACUAACAUUGCAUUCAUAAUUUCUUUUAAGGUCUUAUUUUUCCUUUAUGCUAUUCCAUUAGACUCAGGGGAAUAAGGAGGAAUAAGGAGGAGUAGUUUCAUGAAUGAUCCCAUGAUCUUCACAAAAAGAAUUAAAGGGGUUGGACUCAUACUCUCCUCCUCUUUCAGUUCUAAGCCUUUUAAUUUUCUUACUUAGUUGAUUUUCCAUUUCAUUUUUGUACUUGAUGAAAGCAUCUCUUGCUUCAUCUUUGUUUCUCAAAAGAUAUACCCUUGUAUACCUUGAGUAGUCAUCUAUGAAAGUUAUGUAGAAUUGUUUACCACCUCUAGUCAUUGUAUUUUUUAGGUCUCCUAAGUCACUAUGUAUUAAACUUAGUAGAUCUGAUUCUCUUUCAACUGAUUUGCAAGAUUUCUUUGUGGUUUUAGAUUCUACACAAGAUUCACAUUUUCCAUGGUUUUCUAAGGACAGAUUAGGGAUUAAACUCAAUUCAACCAUUUUCUUCAUAUAUGAAAAGUUCACAUGUCCUAGUCUACCAUGCCAAAUAUCACAAGAAUCAACUAUGUAAGCAAAAGAAGAAGAUGUAUUAUUAUUGAUAAUAUCAUAAACAUUCAACAUAAAUAAACCCUGAUUACAAUAGCUCUUUCCCACAAAUGCAUCAUUCUUGGUUAAAACUAUUUUAUCAUAGUCAAACAAGAUCCUCACUCCUGCUUUUCCAAGUAGAGAUACCGACACCAAGUUCCAACGGAUAUCUGGCACAUGAAGAACAUCACAUAGGGCAAGCACUUUUCCAGAUGUUAGCUUGAGGAGAACUUUCCCUUUGCCAAUCACUGGAGUAGAUCUAGAAUCACCCAUGAACACUUGGUCCUCUCCUUUCUUUAUAGUGGUAUAGGAAGUAAAUGCAUUUCUAUUCCCACAGAUGUGCCUAUUAACCCCAAAGUCUACCACCCAUUCCUUCAUAUUGGUGACCAUGCUCACCUCAGAGGAGAUUACUGUUGUGAUCACCUCUGUCUCUGCCAGAUUUGCCUUUGAACUGGUCUUCUCAAUUCUCUUCCUAUGGCGACAUUGAGUUGCAUGGUGUCUAGACUUGCCACAGACAAAGCAAUUACCGCGUUUUUUAAUAAUUAGAUUUUGGACCUUAUUUAAUGCAUUGGGCUUGGUCCUAAAGUUUUGUUUCCUGAACCUAUUAUUUUUGGGUUUAGAUUUUUCUUCUACUACAUUAGCUUUAGAAGACAAUUCCUUAGCUUUCUCAAUAUUGUCCCUAUUUCGGUUUUGUUCCUCAAUCCUAAUAUGGAUUAUGACAUCCUCUAAGGACAUUUGUUUCCUUUUAUGUUUCAUGUUGUUUUUAUAGUCUUUCCAAGACUCCGGAAGAGCCUCUACUAAAUAACCAGCCACAAAAGGUUCGGGUAAUUUAAUGUCUUCAAUAGCUAAGUCAUUAAUCAACAAGUGGUAGUCAUGGAUUUGAGAUGAGACAACUCUAUCCUCACUCAUUUGGAAAUUUAUAAAAUUCCCUAUGGCAUAUUUAUGAGUUCCCGCAUCUUGCAAAAUAUAUUUUUUAUUCAUUGCAUCCCAAAUUUAUUUUGCAACUUUAAAUUGACAAUAAAUAUCAAAAAGUUCAUUAGAAAGUGUACUCAGAAUAGCAUGGCUAACUUGUUUAUUUCCAGUUUCCCAGGUUGGUAACAUAUGAGAACCAUCUUCUGGUUUUGGAUCAGUCAAAAUAUGUCCUAAGUUCACCACAUCAAUUGUAGAGAAAACCCUUUCCUGCCAUCUCUUAAAGAAUGUCCCAUUAAAUGGAUUAAUUUUAGAGGUGUCAGGAUGGGUGUGAAUUAGGGAAGCUUUCAUUUGAAUUUAUUUCAAGAUUGUUGGAUUUUAAGGGUAUGGAAACAAAGACUAGCCCAAAAGACACAAACAAAGAACAUAAUGAAUAAAAAAAAAAAACUUAUCGGCUGAGGCAUGACAAGCACUGUCCUUGAAAUAGAUCCACCCUCCUCGAAGACGAACUCGGUGCACUAUGUGAGAAAGGGUAUAAAUAAUGUGAGAUAAGGUACAAAAAAAUGUGAAAAAAUGUACGAAUAAUGUGAGAAAAUGGUAUGCACAAUGUUAUAAAAUGGUAUGAACAAUGUGAAAAAAGAUACAAAUAAUAUGAGACAUGGUAUGAAUUAUGUGAGAGGGGAUACAAAUAAUGUGAGGGAAGGUACAAACACUAUGAGAAAGAGUACAAACAAAACAAGGAAAUGUACGAACAAUGUGAUAAAUGGUAGGAAAAAUGUAAGACAUGGUAUGAACAAUGUAAGAAAAAUAAAAAAUAGAUAAGAUUAAUAAAUUAUUUUUUCAUUAAUAUAAAUUAAAUAAUUAAAAUACCUAAGUUUUUCAAAAAUUUUAAUCAUGGUAGUGGGCCUUUGAUCAACCAAAGAUAGCCCAUGUAUCAUUUUCCAAAGUGAAGCACAACAACCUUAUAACAGUGAUGUCACAUAGCAAUUCAUUAUUCAUUAUUUUGUUUUCCCUUUUCAAUGUGGAUUUUCUUAAAGCUAUUAAAAAAACACACAAAAUCAAGAUUUGAGCAUGGGUCUUUCACAAUAUCUUUUAUAUACUAAUAAUUAUAAAUUAAUUAAAAUGAAAUUAUUAUAAAUAAGUUAAUUUUAAUUAUCUUAUUAUGUCUCAUAUAAAGUGAUUAGAUAUAGGAUAAAUAUAAAUUUAUAAAUAAAAUUAUUAACAUUUUCAAAUAAAAAAUAUAAAUAUAUAUCAAUUUUUUUUAUAUCCUUUAGUAUAUCUAAACUUAAUGCAUUAUCAUUUUAGUAUUAAUAUUUCCCAAUUCGGUAUAUUAUUGUCUGAGAUUACAAAUUUAUUAUACAUUUAUCAAUUUUUCUUAAAACAAUAUCAUUAUAUACAUUAUUACUUUUCUAUCAUUUUUUGAGUUAUUUCCAACAUUUCAUAAGGUUUUAUCAAUUUCCAUCUUAUAUAUAUAUAUAUAUAUAUUUCAGAAUUUUCAUUGAUAUUUCUUUAUAUAUCUAUAAACUCCAACUAAUGAUAUAUCGGUAAAAAUCAAUAUUUUUAUUCUUACUUAACAUAAGAAAGAAAAUUAUUCAAAUGGUGCAUAAAUUAAUGUGACCUCCUGAUGAGAAUGACAAUGACAACCAUGAGUCAUAAUUAGUGUAUGUGUGUGGUAAAUUAACUUAGUGUUUGAUAAAAUAAUUAUUUAUCAUCAUUUAAAAUUUAAAAAUAAAUUUAAAUGUUAAAUCAAAAUAAUUAACUUAUUCUAAAUACUAAUUUUUUUUAUUCUCUUUGUUCAUAUUUGGUGAUAACCAUGCUUUAUUUUUAGAAUUCUUUUUUUUUUUAGUAAAUAUUUUGUAGUUAUUUUGUAGCUUCACAAUAGUACUUUUUAAUAUAAAUGUUUAACAAGCUUGAGUUUAUGAAGAUAAAUAUUAAGAAAAAUUAAUGAGUUUAAAUAUAUCAAUAUAAUAACUUUUAAAAAAUUAAGUUGAUUUUACCAAAAUAAAAAUAAAAAUAAUUCAUCUUAAAAUUAAUUUCAAUAAUUAAGUAAUAAGGAUUAAGUUUUAUCAUACACUCUCUUAAUUAAUAAAUGACAUAACUUCUUUCAACAACUUCUUCGUUCUACUUUUGAAAAAAAAUAAUAAUAAUGUGAUAUUUAUUUAUUUAUGUCUAAAAUUUAAAUAUACUUGAAUUUGACUUAAAUCUAAAUAUAGCUUAAUAUUAUUAAGUGUUCAGACUAUUUUUUUUUAUUUGUGUCUAAAUAUUAUUAACUGUUAAAUUGUUUCUUUUUAUUAAUAUCAAAAUAUGUGAAGUGUUAAAUUUAUUUAUUUUUGGUUAAAAACAUUUAUAAAAGUAAUUGUUAUAUUUCUUCUUAUUUUAAUUUGAAAAGUUAUAAUUUAACAAAAUAGUAAUUUAAUUAACACAUCUAAAAAAUAUUAUAAUACAUUGUCAAAGUAAAAAUUUUAUAAUGAUAAUUAUGUAAUUAGUAAAUUAUAUUAUUGUACAAUCCAUUGUUCCAUGUCGUAUAAUAUAGAAUAGCUAUGCAUACCCAUCAGUGCAUAGACAUAUAUCUUUUGAUAAUCUAUCAUGAAUGUCACCUGGACUCUAAGUGAAGUAUGUAGCUAUUAUACUAUAAAGAUGGCAUAGGAAGAGGCUCCGGGUUUACUAGUUCUCACUCAACCAUAGAAAUAGGGAAUAUAUUGCACAUUAUUUUCAUCUAAAAGAAAGGUAGAAAGACCUUAGAAAUGGAACUUUUAGAUAAAACCUAAGGGUGGCAAUGAGAUGAGUCUAAGAAGGAUCACCUCAAUCUCAAUCUUAUGCCAUUUAUUUAUAUUAAAUGGGGUGAGAUAAGACAAAAUUAUAUUCGAACCUGUCUUGAAUUUGGUUCGAGGGCAAGAAGGGUCUUUACAAAAAUCAGCCUCAUUGUCAUUCUUAGGUACGCAUCUAUACCAAUGAAAGUUUUUACAUCUAUUAAAAAAUUUAAUGUUCCCGAUGUUAAUUAACUUCACCAGACUACAUACACUUCAUAAUCGUGAAAAAGUGUUAAAAUUCUCAACCAAUCAAUGACAUAAACUACAAUCAAGUUUAGUACAUCGUAACCCUAAAAUACCUCCAAACCCCAUUUCUUGUAAGACCCCCUUCUGAUUAGGUUGCAAAUGUUGAAGUGCAUUAUACAACUAAUUAGGCGAACAACAAGUGUCAAGGUAAGACUGCAAGCCAUACAUAUACAUAUGCAUAUAAAUUCGAAAUUGAAAGAAAAUAUUAUCAAAUUUUAAAAAGAUAAAUUUCAAUUUUUUUUUUGUCUUUGAUACAUUUUUUGAGCUUGUACCAUUUUGUUUUACAUAUUCAUUGGAGUAUUUCUUCAUCAUGGGUCUUCAUCCAUUAGGGCACCAAGGAGAGCAAGUUCAUUGGCACGUGCUUUAAUGGUAUGUAGGAAGGUAGUGAUGCUUUGCAAACCCUUGGUGUGAUUCUUAAGGUGGUUGUUGACUUGUUUAAUGUAGACAUGUGAUAGUUUGACAUAGGUAUUGGUGAAGAUGAUCUAUGCUUCACGAAAGGUUGUGGCACAGGCAAUGAAUGGAAUUAUGGUGGGUGAAACGGAGCCAAUAAGUGCAUUUAGGAUCAAUUGAUCUUGAUGAAGCAAGAAUAGGUUGGGUUGGGUAUUACAGUGUCGUUGGCAUAGUGGUGGGUGGACAAGGUUUGGUUCUAUCAAUAUAGCUAAGGCGGUCAAAGCCAAUAAAUAGUGUUUGGAAUUGAAAUCUUUAUGAUAUAUAGUUGGUAGUGGUUAGUUUAAGUGGGGCUCGAGCAAAAACAUUUAUUGAGAUGAGUAUUUGGUGUGACUCAUGGGUGUUGUGAAUAUUGAGAGUAGAAGUUACAGAAGUGGUGACAUCUUAGGUGGCCAUGAGGCUAUGAUGAUGGGGAGGAGCAUUAGAUGGCUUUGGCAUAGAAAAAGAGGUAAGAAGGAAGAACAAGUGGUGGUGAGGGUUUUCAGGUUAAGAAGCUUGAAUGCUCUGAUGUCAUAUUGAAGAAUGAGAUUGGUAAAUUAUUUUUCUAGGUUGAUUCUAUGUUGCUUAUAUGCAUGAUUCACCAAGGGUUUCUGACAAGCAUUAGCUAAGGGUGGCUGAACCCAAUGACAGACCAGAUGAAGGAUUAAUAAUAUAUUGCACUCCAGCAGUUCAACCAAUUCCCUUCGUUUCCUUAAUGACUUCUUUUGGUGACCUAUCAAUUUCUCUCUUGGAAAGUCUAGUAAUGGGUUGCCAAUUACCUAAAAGUUACUUCUGAGGUUUUGUUUUGUUGAUUCUAUGCUAACUGAUAAUCUGCAGAGGAAACAACUUGUUCGUCUGGAGAAGGUCUUGAAGCAUGCACUGUGAUGAAUUUGACCAGAAGAGUAAACUCAUCAAGUCCAUAUUAAGUCAUCAGGUUCCAGUAGAGCUAUUUCAAAAACUUCUUUAAUGCAUUAGCAUUUAAAAAUUGAAACAAUAAAAUAACAUAUAUUAUUGAUACUAUCAUUUAAAACAAGAAAUAUAUUGUUGAUAAUGGCAUUUAAAACAAUAAAAUAGUGCAUUAGACCUGCAUUCAAAUCUUCAAUUCUCAAACACCACCAACCCACCCAUGAAUAGAGAAAGAGAAGAGAACCCUAGCAAAAGUAGAGAGGUUCGAUUCUCAAAUCUUCAAUUUUCUUUUUAUGUGUUCAAGUCAUUUUUAUUUGUUAAAUGAUUCCAGCUACUACUUGGGUCUAGUAUUUCCUUGGUGUAUAUAUCAUGCACUUCUCAGUAGAAUGCCCAUAGACAUGGAGAAACAAUUUUUUAUUUAUUUGCAAUGCCUAAUAUAAAUUAAUAAGCACCUAAUUUUUUGUUUCAGCUAUGAAUGGUAUUUUUCUCUAGAUCAUAAGUACGUUGGUUGAAUUUUAAAAAAUUUAUACCAUUUCAGCGACUAAUUAAUAUCAUGCAAUAGAAAAACAAAGUUGAAAUUUGGGAUAAUAAAUAUCAUUAAAGUACAAAGAAAGUAACUUAUUGGGAGCAAAUUCUUCACAACCUGGCAUUCGCCUUUAGAUUAAAUAAUUUAUUAAUAAUCUCCUCUUUCUUUCUAAACUUAUACCGCUGUUUAUGAAAGUUUCUAAAAACCAAAGCCCAAAGCCUAGACUAUAAAAAGGAAAUAAUCACUUGGAGAGGGGUUGUUUGUUUUUCUUGAGAGCCUAAUAAAUGCAACGACAUAGACAGAAAGAGGCGGAAGAGUUGAGUCGGAGGAUCAAGAAACACAACCAUUCUUCUCUUUCAUUAGGGUUUUUGGCUGACUCUAAGGCCGUCUUACCUUCCUCUUAGAAUGAUGGCCUCUCGUUUCUAUACAUAUCCUUUCAUGCAUUUUCUGGCUCUCCCAUUCUCUUUUUCAAAGCUACGUCUUUCCUCAUAGACCCUGUUUGGUUUCUAAGAAAGUGGUCUAGGUCUCUUUCUUUUUCUUGAUUUAUCUUUUGGUUUACAAGAAUCAGCGACACAAUAAGACUGCCAUGAACGCAUGACGCAGCCACGUGGGAGAAGGCAGCAACCACUUUCGCAUUUUUACUAUGUAUCUCCAGAAACUCCUUUGUACAGCCCACACACGCGCUAAUGAAGCAGAUUCAGCAGAUUUUAAGAGGGGGAAUCUUGAAACCACACAACAUCAAGAGACUUGGCCGGAAGUGUGAUGAUGGGUGUUUCCGAAGAAGAGUUAUAAUUCGCCCACUGUUAAAUAUGGUCAUAGCCGUGAAGGGUCCCACGAGCCUUGAAUUUGUCACUACAUGCAAAAUAUAUGCAGAAGUGAUUGAAAAUGCAUGGCCACCUUUUCCUGCAUGUGAAUGUGUUGAGCUCUAUGGUGCAAUUACUAAUGGAAUUCUCAAUUUAGCUGAUAAGUAUUUUGAGAUGCAAAAGCAUGAUGCUGUCCGGGCAUCGGAAAUUUAUCAGAAAGCAGGAGAGCCAUCAAGCAUUCACUCGACAAGCAAGAGUAACACAUAGGCCACACCAUUCUCCAAAUAGACACAACAACAUACAUUCUUGAAGGCAAGUCCCUUUUUAAAAUUUUAUCUUAGUUUAAUUUUAAUUUAUUUAGUUAGUUUAGAUGUUUUUUUCAAAAUUAGUUUAAUUAAUUCUACAUGAUAAAGCUCUUAUUUUUCAUUUCGAUUUAGUUUAGUGUUGAUUUUUCUUUUAGUUUAAGUGUGUUUGCGAUUUUAAUUCAAUAGCUUAAUUAUUCUUAUUAGAUAAAGUUCAUAUAUAUAUAUAUAUAUAUAUAUAUAUAUAUAUUAUCCCAAAUUAGUUUAGUUUUAAUCUAUCUUUUAGUUUAAGUGUGUUAGUAAUUUUAAUUUAGUUGUUUAAAUAAUCAUGUGAGAUAAAGUUCAUGUUUUUAAUUCUAAUUAGUUUCAUCUUAAUUUAUUCUUUAGUUUAGAUUUGUUGUUGACAGUAAUUUACUAUUUUAAUUAAUCUUAUUAGAUAAAGUCUAAUUAAAAUUAGGUUAGUUUUAAUUUAUUCUAUAGUUUGAGUGUGUUUGCGAUUUUAAUUCAAUUGUUUAAUUAAUCCUCUUAGGUAAAGAUCUUGUUUUUAAUUCCGAUUUAGUUUAGUUUUAAUUUACUUAUUUAUUUAUUUUAGUUAAGAUGUGUUUGUAAUUUUAAUUCGACAAUUUAAUCGACCUUAUUAGAUAAAGUUGAUGUUUUUAAUUCCAAUUUAGUUUAAUUUUAAUUUAUUUUUUAGUUUAAAUGUGUCUGUGUGUUUAAUUGACCUUAUGCUAGCUCUUGAUUUGUUAUUCUCAAUUUAGGUGUUUUCUUGAAUCUUAGUCAUUAAUUCUUGGUGGAUAUCUCAUUAGUUUAUUUUAUCUAAGUCUUAAUAAUUUAUUAUUUCGAUAGUCUCUUGUCAAAUUUACUUUUCAGAGGCCAUCGGAAAAUAGUGAAGAUUGACCUCCAUUCUCACCACUUUAGUUUGUUUGGUUGUCAAAAUUUUUACUUUGUGAUUUUGUUUGCUUUUAUUUUGCUUGUUUCUUAUGUUUUGAUUGUUUUCAAAUUAAUUUCUUUUAUUUUAAAAUAAAAUAUUUUUCUCAAAAGAUCCAUUUGAAAAUUCUAUUUUAAAAAUCAUUCAUUUAGACUCCUUAGAAUCAAAAUCUCAUUUUUUAAUAAUAUGUAACCAUGUCUUGAUCGGUUUGUAUCUUUCACAGUUUUCAAUCAAAAUUCCGAUUUGGAAUGGAAUAUGAAUCCGAGCUUGUGGUCCCAAACAAAUGGGAUAAUUCUGGUCUAGAUUUGUGUAUAUCAAUUGAGGAAUUGGUGGAACCCCUACAUAAGAAAAUUCUUCAAAACUCAUCUUUGCAGCCACCUUUGCUAUUUCAUGAAAUCAUGUAUAUUUAUUAUUUAGGAAUUAUAUACAAGAUGUAUGUGAUAAUUGAUGAUUUCGUAUACUUUGAUCAUUUUUGCUAGGCUAAUUAGAUAACAAGCACAUUAGGAUUUUUUUUAUUUUAUUAUCUAACCCCUCAUGUCUUGUAGAAGCAUGUUACAAGUCAUCUAUCCUAAUAUAUAUUUUAUUAUAUAUUAGUUUUUUUUUUCUUUUUUUAAUCCUAUCUAUGUUGUUGAUAUUAAUGCAUUGAAUUUGAUGCUACCUAAAACAAAAUUAUAUUUCAUGUCCUCUAUUAUAAGUGGACAAUCAUUCCUUAUUUUAGAUUUUAGAUAAAGAACGAAUAAUGAAGAUUGGAGUUGUAAGAAAUUAGGAGAUCCUAAUUUUAAAUAUGUAACAAAGUUCUAUAAUCACUCCAGUACGUUUAAAAUUUGUAUUUCUUUCUAAUAUGGGAGCAAACUUUUUCCUUCUUUCUUAUAAUUUUCAUUUGGGAAUGAUUUAAAAAUAAAUAAAUAAAGGCCCUUCUAAAUAUUAAAAAAACACUCUCUUAUAAAAAUUAAUUAGGUGGAUGGUAAGGUCAAAUUCGGGAUAGCUUCAUAUUUUUUGCUUUAACUGAAAAUUAAAAUCAAAAUUAAAGUAAGAAUUUUUAAGAUGUUGUAAAAGUUUUAUUAAACAUGAAAGAACUUAUUGUGUAAACAAAAAUAGAACUAUAGAAUUUUUAUAAGAAAUAACAUUUUUAUGACUUCUAUAUGAAACCUUUUUUAAAAGUGAUAAGUUUUUUUUUUUAAAUAAUUAAAUAGGUAUAAAAACUUUUAUUCAACUUAAUUUUUUUUAACGGUUAAAAGUCAAUUCAAAUAAAAUUUAAAUAUAUUUGAAAAUCAUUUUUAAAAAUAAAAAAAAAAAACCACUUUUUUUUUAAUUUACAUUUAAUUCAUGAAAUUUCAUUUAUUGUUAUUUAUUUUCGGGAUUUAAUUCUUUGCAAUUGUUUUUGAGUGUUUAUAAAGUAUAAUUAGGUUAUGCCCAAAUUUAUUCCUUUAACUCUAUCCAUUAGAUAUAAGUAGCGUGAAAUUUUGGCCCAUCUCCACCUUUCUUCACUUCUGACAUUGUCAUGCACUACUUCAUCAACUCCAAACACAACCGCUGAGGAUCGAAGAAAAUGAGACAAUGGUCAAUAAAAUGAAAGUUUAAUCAUUUAAUCUUUUUUAGCACACCCCUCAUAACUGUCAGUGAUUUCCUGCCAACUUAACAUAUUGACAUGGACUUGGAGAGUUCGGUCAAUUGCAGCAGCUUGGUUAAUUGUAAGUGUCUUUUCUCUAAACCAUAAAUUCCUACGUUUUAAUUUACAAAAGCCAGUGAUUUUUUUUUACUUAAGGAAGCAGGAAAGGGUUUAAAAUAAGAGUUGAAAAGUAUGCCAAUUAUUUUAACUUUAAGAAAAAACGUUUAUUUUAAUUUAAAAUAAGUAAAUCAAAAGGAAUUGAUUUUAUCUCAAUUGUAUAAGAUUUUAUAAAAAUUAUCUUAUUUGCAAAAUAUUUUCAGAUGUAAAAGUAAAAAAUUAAACAAAUCAUUUGAUGAUCAUAGUCUAAUUUUAAAUUAUUAGAAUAAGUCAAUCCUCUAAACUAUAUCAUUUAUAAUUUUUUUGAUUAUUAAUAUGAUACGUAACCUUCCACGGAAUUGGAAUAAAAUAUGGAUAAUUAAAAAAUGUCAACUAUCCCAUUUCAAACUUUUCUAAUAUAGCAUGAUAUUUUAACAUGAUGAAUGAAAUGGGAAUGACCAAAAAUUGUAAAAUCAAAGAUAUAUCUAUUGUGGACAUGGCAUUCGGAGGCUUCUUAACAUUGUAUUGGUCUACUUAAUGAGUUGAAACAGGAACACAACACCAAAUUCUCUUUUUAUAAUCAAAGACUUCCAUGGAAAAUUCCACCAUAUCAUAUCUCAAAGAUUAGUCAAAUUCCAUUAUCUUUAUAGACUUUUAACAAUCCAAGAAAUUGACAUUAAUAAUCCCAUACACAAUAUUCUACAACUUUACAUUAUCUUGAUUGAAGAUAAUCAUAUUAUUUCAUUAACAAUUCAAGAAAUUCCAUUAUCAAUCAAAAAAUAAAUCAUGAAAGCUAAAUAAUACAAAUAUUCAAUGAAAUCUUUGGCGUGUUAUUUCUUUACAGCUUCAACAUGGUGGCAUGUCCGACGGAGGAGGCAGCAUUUGAGCUUCCGGGUGUUUACCAUUUUUCAUUAUGAACGCAGUUUCCAUGCCCCAAGUCAGAUGGCGUUCUACAUGGCAGUGCAUGAACCACACUCCUGCAACAGAGAAAAUAUACCAACAUUACACCUAACUUAAUUGUAAUAUUAAGAAAAAUUAUUUCCUUGGUAUGCAGGUUAGCAGUUUCAAGGGUUUUUAUUUUUUAUUUUUAAUAGACGACAUGAGUGCUUGGAACAUACCAGGGUUGGAUGCCUCAAAUCUGAUUGCAACCCAACCAUUCGAAGGAACGGAGAUGGUAUUCUGAAAGGGAGGAUCCACCAAAUUAUAGCGUAAAGGGUCCUUAUUUCCAUCGAAAUUCCCAAAUCCCCAUCCAACAACAUAGAAACUGUAUCCAUGGAGAUGCAUGGGGUGGUGUGUUGCUGCAAGCACGUUUGUCCCUUGAAAAACAAUCUCCACUGUGGAGUUAUACUCGAGCACCCUUACUUCUGUUCCGCUGCUUGGCAACUGAUAGAUUAAUGGAAGAUAAUCAGCUGUAAAAUCGAACACCAGUGGUAGAUCGCUAGGAAAUUUAUCUCCAUAAACACCACUGAUGUUAUAAUAGUAAGCUUGUAGUAUGUCAACUGUAGGGGUAUCGAAGCUUAUGUUGUUUAUACUUGAGGAGAACCGCGUCCCAUUGGCCCCUGCACAUGAAUUAUUGACGCAUGGGUACGAGUUUACAGAAACAGUGUAAAUCAGGUUAGUGCUUGUGCUCAAUGGGACAUUGCAAGGAUGUUCCGCAUCUACUAAGCUUCGAAGGCCGGCCAUGACCUGAACCGACGCAUUUGUGUCAUUGUAUGCAGGAAGAAGAGGGAAGGAUGGAGGCGAAGAUGGAGUGUAGUAUCCGUUGUACUGUACAAUAGCUGUGGUGGUUGUGUUAUCAUAAAAAUCUUGAUAUUUCGGGGCAACAGAAUAAGUUAUAGCUGCCAUGUAAUAGUGAUCCGGGCGUUGGUUAGCUUCUAGUAAGACAUCGUAGGUUUGGCCAGGAAAUAUUGUGAUAAAAUCUCGUGUCAAUGGUUUCGUGUAGCUACCAUCUGUUCCAACCACUGUCAUUUUAUGCUUGGCAAUGGAGAAGAAGAGAGCCUCUUGUAAGGCAGCAUUGAUUAUGCGAAGUAGAUAGGUCUUUCCAUGAUCCACUGUUAGCUUGAAUGUGUCUGCAAUUAGAAAGGGAAAGUUGUAUACUUAUGACUAGCCAAAAAAAAAACAAAAAGUUUCCAUGAGGAUCCACCAAUUAUGAAGUGAUUGAUUGAUUAGGUGUGUAAAUUUGGCUGCAUAGUUCAAAAUUAUAUUUGGACUAGCCUUUUUUUUGUGUGUUAAAUCAUGGCUCUACCAUCCUUAUAGCUAUAUUCCUCUUUCUUAGCAUUAACCUUUAAAUAUGUUGAUGUUAAUAAGAAAAAGUACUAGGGUUAACAUACAAGAAAAUGAAAUCAUGUACAAUUUUAAAACGGGAAGUUAAACUUUGUACCUGAUUUUGAGCAUGGAUAUAGAUCACCGGGUUGUCCAUUUAUCAAUAAAGCAUCAGAGGGGUCAGGGUCACCUCCGGUUGCAAGCCCUUCAUCUCGAACCGCAUUCACAUCAUUCUUCCACCAUUCUCCUGCAUUUCAACAACUUCAAUAAUUUUAGAUUUUGCUUUGUUGUUUAAUUCUUAAUAUGUAAAUUAACCUUUAAAAGUAACAACACUUAUACCUAAUAUGAUGGGGACCUCUCUGUCAGGCUUGUGAAAAGGAUACUUGGUUCCAUUCUUGGGAUAGAUGAUUAUAGCUCCAUGAACAGUGGCUCGGGUCCAGUCACUGUGAGCAUGCCACCAUAGAGUGCCUUCUUCAGUGGAAAGGAUGAUCUUCUGGGUAAACUUUGACCCUGGCUGAAUUGGGCAUUGUGUGAUAUACUCAGGACCAUCUGUCCAUGGAUAUCUAGGCAUGGUCACCCCAUGCCUGCGAAACCAUAACUAUACGUUAAAACUAGUACUAAUUUUCAAAGUAACAAAAGAUGGCAUGCAACAACAUAUUAUCAUAGUAACAAGAGGCAUCAACUGUAUUUCAAUGAAACUGAAGCAAAUAACCCUAAAGUAUUAUUUUAAAUUUGACUUUAUUUUCAAAGUAAUAUAUUGGAGCCCCCUCUUAGAAAUAAAAGAAUGUAUGCCAUGUUGGCAUGCUGCCACUGCUCUUUCUCUGAGACACGCAUAGGACCUACCAGUGAAUGGUAACGUUUUCGUUUCCCUUGUUAUAAACGUCGACAAUGAUCGUCUCUCCUUUCGUAGCAUAUAUGGUUGGUCCCGGAAAUUUUCCAUUUACUGUUAAGAUGUUCUUGGCACUACAAAGCCUUGUAUAUGAAGCUUCCCUCACCUGCAAUCAAUUAAAAGUUAACCAUGCAACCUCAUCCCAAAAGAAAUAUUACAUGCAUGAAUAGUUGCAUCGAUCCAUUCACGUAAGUGUAUAACCAAUUAGAAAUUGAUAGCAUGCAUGAACGACUCAAUGACACCAAGGUAAUAGAUCAUACGGUAUGAAAUGAGAGCCAUACUACUCCUUAAAUAUCAUGAUUAGAAGGUGGCGUUAAGGCCAGAAUCAUAUAUAGUAUUUACCACAAAAGUAAGCCGACGGGUUGAAGCUUGGCAAUGGAUGCCACCACCAAAAACUAGAAACGCUAAAAUUUGCAGGAGGAAAACCUUCAUGAUCAGCCACAUUUUCCUUGGAAUAAAAGCCUCUUCUCUUCUCUUGCCCUAAACACAACUCCUUCAAUUCUCUUACUACUUUUGAUGUAUUUCUUUCACAUGUGAUUCAUUAUAUAGGCAUGGUAAUUCUCUCGGGAUACAAUACUUCCUCUCCACGUGUCAAUAUAAGAGGAAGUGAUUUGAAUGUGUAUUGGUUUUUAAUGUUCUUUCAGGACGACUUCAAAAUAAUUAAUUAUGAUAUUUCUUACAAGUUACCUACGCGUUCUUUUAGAAUAAAUUUAAAAUAUUCUUUCACAAGUCUUUUAUUGAUUAUUUCAACAAAUGUUAAUUAAUUAAAUAUAUGUAGGAUGCUUUUAAAACUUUGACCUCCCUAUGAGUAGCCUUCUGAAGAUCGUUGGUGGCAAAGUUGUUUUCGUAUAGUUAAUACAAUUUGUCAUCGUCGUUGUUUUCGUUUGAAUGGGACAAAGUUGUUUCCAAUUUUUUUUAAAACUUGGGAAUUGAGAUUAUAAAAGACAAAGUUGUUAAUACAACUUCAGAAUCGAUGAUAAACUAAUUCGGUAUUUCAGAAUUUUCCAUAAAAAAACACAAAAAUAUAUUUUGUAAAAAGUUGAAAAUAGGAUACAAACAACCCCUUGUAGUAUUUUUUUUUUUCUCAACAAAAACCAAUUUAAUAACAAUAAUAAUAAAUAAUUAUAGAUUUAAAAGAUAAUCUGAAAUUUCUUUCAAUAUAUAAGCCUUGUACGUGAUGUUGGUUGACUAUUAUGAUAGUAAAUUCGGGAGGAUGCUUGCAUGUAAAAAUUUUAUUUUAUUUUAUUUUUAAUCAUGGAGCACAUUUUGAUAGAUUCUGAUUUAUAAUACUGCAUCAAUGGUCAUGAACAUUGCAAUCAUGAUUUUUUUUGAGAUGUUUAAAUGGACGUGAAAGAUAAGAAAUAGAUUUUCUAUUAAGAUAUUUGAAUGGAGAUGAAAGCAUGGGUAUAGGUUUGUACUAAGGAAAUGAACAUAUGAUUAAAAUAAACCUGAUACAGUUAGUCUAUAAGAAUGGAUCCUGUUUCUAACCUUUUAACACACAAAUUUGGAAACCUAAACCUCUGGAUUGUUUCUUUCCUAUAAUGGAAUCCUAUAUUCCUUCUCAAAGCAGCGCUGACUUUUCCCUUCCUACCAAAUACGAAGAGAAAAUCUUGACUAAUCUUGAUAAAGUUUUAAAAGUAUUCUACAUAUGUUUUAAAUUUAUUCUAAAAUAAUGUGUUUGAUUAAUUUCUUGGUCAAUUCUCAAAGUCAAACUUGUAUUUUGAAUUAGAAAAUUCAAGAGAUUCUAAGAAACUCAUCUUCUAGGAUACACAACCUGAUUGAAGCUGAGCUGUGAGAAAUUUUCACAAUUGUUAGCAUUCUUCAGGCAUUUGGUUUAUUUAAAUUUUGGUAAGUAAUCAAAUAUCAUACACAACCUGCUCUUUGAAGUGGUCCUGGAAGAACAUUCAAAACCAAUACACAUUCAAAUUACUUCGCUUAUAUUGAUACGCGGCGAGGAAUUGUUGAUACCCAAGCCACAUGUGAUCUGAUUUAAUGUAGCUGCCACAAAGUUGCUACUUUCAUUCUCAGACAGUCUGAAGCAAUUAGAAAAUGUGAAUCGGAGGCCCCCACAUUCCUUGGAUCUGUAGACACUUGAUGGACACAAAAUGUUUUCCAUAACUGUGCAAUCAUGGGCAUCUAUUUCUUCUAUACUUGAUGGAAGCUCUGGUAAUGAUUGAAGCCUCUUGCAAUAACCCAACCUAAGGCCUUUGAGCUGUGAAAGUUGAUUGAGGCUUGCAGGUAGAUUAACAAAAUUGUUUCUGCUCAGAUCUAAAUAUUCCAAUGAGCACAGAGAGCUAAAGUCAUUGGGAAUUGGUCCUUCCAAUAUGCGGCAAUCACUUAGAUUUAACUUUCUUAGGGAUCUUAAACCAAAGAAAGAUGCAGUUGCAAACGCCUAGAGCGUGGAAUUUCUGCAGGCAACAACUGGAAAGAGAGGAGCAAAUUCCUUGGCUUGGAUUCUAGUCCUUUACAUCCCUCAAAUGAUAAUACUUCAAGGUUUUCUGAAAGAGAAAUAGAGGGCGGCAGCUCUUUUACAGAGUUCCAGCUGCUCCGAGCUUCUCUAAACCUUGUAGGCUCCCCGAACCUCUGGCAAAUUGUCUAGUUUUGAGCAACCAGAUGGAAUAAGAGUUUGAAGAGAUUUCAACUUACAAAUGCUAUGUGGAAGAAUUGCAAGGCUUUUGCAUUCUCUCAGAUUCAACAGAACAAGUCCACUUAGAUGUUGGAUAGGUGAAGUUAGCUCUUUUAGAGCAGUUCCAUCUAAGAAAAGUUCCAACAAACUCCCCAUAUUUUCCAAGACUUCUGGAAGCUCUUUUGAGUUUUAAGCAAUCUGAGAGAAUAAGAAUUUCAAGGGAUCUCAACCUAUAAAUACAGCUUGGUAAUGACUCAGGGUUUUGACAGUUCCUCAGAUUUAAUAAAACAGGUCCAGUCAGAUAUUCAAUCGACAAGGGCAAUCCUUUUACUGCAGUGCCCUCCAAGGAAAGCUCUGAUAAAUGUUUCAUGCACCCUUGGACCUCUGGAAACUUCUUGAGUUUCGAGCACCCGGAGAGAGUAAGAAUUUUGAAGAGAUUCCAUACAGAUGCUUCUUAGAAAACUCUUAAGAUUCUCGCAGCCUUCUAAAUUAAGGAAAACAAGCUUGUUUAGAUCUCCAGUGGAUGGGUGAACCUUGGACAAACUUGUACAACCUUCAAGAAUUAGUCUCCUAAGGUUUGGGGCCCCCGAGAAGUCUGGGGUUUCAAUCAGGUGUUGGGAGUAGCUAAGUUUUACGAAUUUCAAUUGCUGAUACAUCUGUCAAAAACAAAACAGAAAAAAUGAUUAUAAUUCGUUUAAAGUGAAAGACGAAACUUGCAAAGAUUAUAAUCAUAUACCUUGAGUCCUUUCCAAAGUUGUUCAACUCGACUGUAACUCAUAUUUAGCUCGACAAGCUGCUCAGGAUGAAAAUUUAAUGGGAGGGAUUUCAGAGGGUAUCCAUGCCAAUAUAGACAUCUUAAGUUGUUCGAUAGAGAUUUGAAGUCUCCAGAAAGAAGCAAUUUACAGUCUUUGAAUUGAUUGAGCUUAUUCAUCCUUGUGCAAGCAUCAGCCAGCACAUAACUGUUUCCAAGAAAAAUAUUCAAAGCUUCCACAUAGCCGCACGUUACAGACUUUGAGCAAUCUUAAUUUGUUCAUCUUCAUGAAGGCAUCAAAACUGAAGUGUAGUUCCUUUGAUGCUGACAAGUCAAGGACUAUGCCUUCAACUACUUCAGUUCCUUGCAAUUAACCAGGAACAGAGUAUGGAUUGGAAAUUAAAAUCACAAAAUUCUAAAAGGAAAAGCACAGAAAGCAUCAAACUAAUGACUUGUUUUCUUGUUUUUUUAGGCAGUGUUCUAGGAAGCAAGUAUGAAGAUAAAAGAAAAUGCAUCUACUAAGACAGAAACUCAGGGAAAAGUUAGCAAAGGAUUCAAAUCAAAUCAUUCCCCCAGCUUUAUAUCUGCCUUUGCAUACAUAAAUAUGCAAUACCUUAUUAAAAUUGUACAUAUAUGUGAGUUUCUCAAAUAAGUUGAAAUUAUUCAAACUUCCUCUUCACCUAUAGAGCUUAUAUAUACAAAAAGGGAACACACACACAAAGUUCAUGUAUUUAGGUCUUACUAUGUUUCUAGUUAAUGCAUCACUAACAUCUUCAUGAAUCCACAAUCUGCUGUGUUUUCCAGGAUAUUUAAGAGAUUCUUGCCAAACAAUUUCCCAACCCAUUUCUUGUAACAAAUCAUGCAUGCACAACUUAUUAUCUGAAACAAUUAUGAGUGACUUAUCAACGAGAACCCUUAUUCCAAUAUCCGGAAAGAAACCACAACUCUCUAGUAUUUCUGUGACAAAAUCUUUGUCCUCCCAUUUUCAAAAGCAUGCAAUAUCGAGAAAUAUAUCUCUUUGUCAUCUAAUCCAUCAAAACCCAUUUUAAGCACGUUCUGAAUUUCCAUGUUGCUAAUUCUUUUUAGUUUGUCCAAUUCACUUUUCCAUUCAAGUAUGCUCUUGCUAUACAAAAAAGCACCUAAGACUUCAAGAGCUAAGGGAAGACCCUUACUAUAAUGUAUUACAUCAUAGCAUAGCUGCAUAUAAUCUUCUCCAGGGUGGUUAUGUUUAAAGGCAUACUGACGAAAGAGUUGAAAAGCUUCACUAUCCUCUAAUCCCCUAACUUCAUAAAUUGCACUGACUCCAUGUGUAACAAGCAAAUGCUUUUCUCUGCUUGUUAUAAUAAUUCUACUUCCUGAACCAAACCAAUCAUGGUUUCCUGCUUAAUAUUCUAACUGUUCCAAGUUAUCCACAUCAUCAAGAACAAUAAGAACCUUCUUAGAGUGGAGCCUAUCCUUUACAAAAUUGAUUCUUGUAUUGGAAAUUCCUACAUUUGGAUUUCCAUCCUUCAAUGUCUUUGAGAGAAGUUCCACUUGUAAAUGAUCUAGAACACAUUUUUGUGAGCCUUCUCUAACACUUGUAAAUGAUCCAAUAAUUGGUUCAAACAGUUCAAAAUUGGUCCAAUAAAUAUACCCUUCAAAAGGAGAAAUUGAACCAGAAAUGUCGCUUGGUGGUUGGAUCAAUUAGACCAACUGAUUUGUUUCAAUUUUCAAAAAAUAUUGCUUUAACAUGUAUGAUAAUCAAAAUAUAGGAAAAAAAACUAUUUACUAAGAAAUGAGAUUAUUAUAACAAAAUAGAAAAUGUAAUCUAUUUUAAUGAUAUGAUGACUUGUAACUAGAUGAAACUUUGACCAGCAAAGAAAAACAAACAAAUCUUGAGGAAUUAGAAAAUAUUAUCUUUUAUAUUAAACUUAUCUUUGUGUAAAAGCUCUCUACAAUUAACUAUGGGUUUUCAUAAAGCUUUAUUUAGGCUAUGUUACAUUCUUGGAAAUUAAAAAAAAAAAAAUGUAAGAAAUUAAUAAAUUAUUUUUUUCAUUAAUAUAAAUUAAAUAAUUAAAAUACCUAAAUUUUUCAAAAUUGUUAAUCAUGGUAGUGGGCCUUUGAUCAGCCAAAGAUAGCCCAUGCAUCAUUUGCCAAAAUUGUUAAUCAUAGUAGUGGGCCUUUGAUCAGCCAAAGAUAGCCCAUGCAUCAUUUGCCAAAGUGAAGCACAACAACCUUAUAAUAGGGAUGUCACAUAGUAAUUCAUUAUUCAUUAUUUUGUUUUCCCUUUUCAAUGUGGAUUUUCUUAAAGCUAUUAAAAAAUCACAUAAUAUCAAGAUUUGAGCAUGGGUCUUUCACAAUAUCUUUUAUAUACUAAUAAUUAUAAAUUAAUUAAAAUGAAAGAAUUAUAAAUAAGUUAAUUUUAAUUAUCUUAUUAUGUCUCUUAUACAAUGAUUUAAUAUAGGACAAAUAUAAAUUUAUAAAUAAAAUUAUUAACAUUUUCAAAUAAAAAAUAUAAAUAUAUAUCAAUAUAUUUUUUAUAUCCUUCAAUAUAUCUAAACUUAAUGCAUUAUCAUUUUAGUAUUAAUGUUUCCCAAUUCGGUAUAUUAUUAUCUAAUAUUACAAAUUUUUUAUACAUUUAUCAAUUUUUCUUAAAACAAUAUCAAUAUAUACAUCAUUAUUUUUCUAUCAUUUUUUGAGUUAUUUCCAACAUUUCAUGAGGUUUUAUCGAUUUCCAUCUCAUAUAUAUAUAUAUAUUUCAGAAUUUUCAUUGAUAUUUGUUUAUAUAUCUAUAAACUAGAACUAAUGAUAUAUCAGUAAAAAUCAAUAUUUUCAUUCUUAUUUAACAUAAGAAAGAAAAUUAUUCAAAUGGUGCAUAAAUUAAUGUGAUCUCCUGAUGAGAAUGACAACAACAACCAUGAGUCAUAGUUAGUGUAUGUGUGUGGUAAAUUAACUUAGUGUUUGAUAAAAUAAUUAUUUAUCAUCAUUUAAAAUUUAAAAAUAAAUUUAAAUAUUAAAUCAAAAUAAUUAACUUAUUCUAAAUACUAAAUUUUUUUAUUCUCUUUGUUCAUAUUUGGUGAUAACCAUGCUUUAUUUUUAGAAUUCUUUUUUUUAGUAAAUAUUUUUUAGUUAUUUUGUAGCUUCACAAUAGUACUUUUUAAUAUAAAUGUUUAACAAGCUUAAGUUUAUGAAGAUAAUUAUUAAGAAAAAUUAAUGAGUUUAAAUAUAUCAAUAUAAUAACUUUAAAAAAAUUAAGUUGAUUUUACCAAAAUUAAAGUAAAAAUAAUUCAUCUUAAAAUUAAUUUCAAUAAUUCGGUAAUAAGGAUUAAGUUGUAUCAUAUACUCUCUUAAUUAAAAAAUGACAUAACUUCUUUCAACAACUUCUUCAUUCUACUUUUGAAAAAAUAAGAUAAAUUAAAUUAAAAAUUAAAGUGAUAUUUAUUUAUUUAUUUAUGUCUAAAAUUUAAUGUACUUGAAUUUGACUUAAAUCUAACUAUAACUUAAUAUCAUUAAGUGUCUAGACUCUUUUUUUUUAUUAGUGUCUAAAUAUUAUUAACCGUUAAAUUGUUUAUUUUUAUUAAUAUCAAAAUAUGUGAAGUGUUAAAUUUAUUUAUUUUUGGUUAAAAACAUUUACAAAAGUAAUUGUUAUAUUUCUUCUUAUUUUAAUUUGAAAAGUUAUAAUUUAACAAAAUAGUAAUUUAAUUAACACAUCUAAAAAUAUUAUAAUACAUUAUCAAAGUAAAAAUUUUAUAAUGAUAAUUAUGUAAUUAGUAAAUAAUAUUAUUGUACAAUCCAUUGUUCCAUGUCGUAUAUUAUAGCAUAGUUGUGCAUACCCAUCAGUGCAUAGACAUAUCUUUUGAUAAUCUAUCAUGAAUGUCUCGUGGACUCUACAGGAAGUAUGUAGCUAUUAUAGUAUAAAGAUGGCGUAGGAAGAGGCUCCAGGUUUAGUAGUUCACACUCAACCAUAGCAAUAGGGAAUAUAUUGCACAUUAUUUCCAUCUAAAAGAAAGAUAGAAAAGACCUUAUAAAUGGAACUUUUAGAUAAAAACUAAGGGUCACAAUGAGAUGACUCUAAGAAGGAUCACCUCAAUCUCAAUCUUAUGUCAUUUAUUUAUAUUAAAUGGGGUGAGAUAAGACAAAAUUAUAUUCGAACCUGUCCUGAACUUGGUCUGAGGCCAAGAAGGGUCUCUAAAAUAAUAAGCCUCAUUGUCAUUCUUAGGUACACAUCUAUACCAAUGAAAGUUUUUACAUCUAUUAAAAAAUUCAAUGUUCCCGAUGUUAAUUAACUUCACUAGACUACAUACACUUAAAAUGCAUGAAAAAAUGUCAAAAUUCUCAACCAAUUAAUGACAUAAACUAAAAUCAAGUUUAGUACAUCAUAACCCUAAAAUACCUCCAAACCCCAUUUCUUGUAAGACCCCCUUCUGAUUAGGUUGCAAAUGUUGAAGUACUUUAUACACUUAAUUAGGUGAACAACAAGUGUCAAGAUAAGACUUCAAGCCAUACAUAUACAUAUGCAUAUAUAUUUAAAAUUGAAAGAAAAUAUUAUCAAAUUUUAAAAAGAUAAAUUUCAAAUUUUUUUUUUACCUUUGAUACAUUUUUUGAGCUUGUACCCUUUUGUUUUACAUAUUCAUUGGAGCAUUUCUUUGACUUCCCAAAGAACUUUUUUUUUUCUAGGACUAAAAACUUUUUUCCUUAAUCGACUUGGGAUAUUAUAUACACCCACAACCUAACUUAGUAGUUUUAAAAUUAAUUGGUUAAAAAGAAUGAAAUAAUCCCAAAAUUUGUAAAUAUAACAAGAUUGUGUUUUUACUUGAAAAGUAGCCCAUUUUGACAUAAAUGUCUUUCGCCAUUUCAAUUAUUUACAUUUAAAUUUAAAAAAAAAGUUAUGACAUUUUUGUCAAAAGAAGGACACAAAAAGAUCAAAAGUUAAAUUUCCAGAUUUAGUUUUUUAAUAGAUAUUUUAAUAAAAUAAACCUUAGUUUUAUAUCACAUAAUGUUUCUUCUUUAUUGUUCUUUAAUCCCUUUUAUUUAUUUAUUUAUUUUAUCAUACACGACCUAUUAAAUUUGAAAAUUUUAACAAUUUCUUGCAGUGCAUGCCUACGUGCUUAUCACAUGAGCUUCUCCAUCUAUACUAGCUAGGGAUCCAUUUGAUAAUUUCUUUUAGUGUCCACAUGCUUAUCACAUGGACCUCUUCACUUCUAUUAAUAGGGGUCCAUUUGGUAUUUCAAAAUAGUUCAAGGGCUUUGCUUAAGAAAAGCUUAGAGACUAGUUCGAAACAAUGUUUUUAGAACCCAACUAGUUAUUGAAUAAAAAAAGUUAUUGAUUCAUUGUCUAGUGGUCAAAUUAAUGUUUGAACUGCAGUCAAAUUGGUGACAUCAUAAAUAUAUAAAUUAUAUAUUAAAAAAAAUUAUAAAAUUAUAAAACUUAUUUUUCAUCUUUGACAUUUCCAAACUUAAAUCAUGAAUAAAUAUAAAUAUAUUAAUAUUUUAAAUUUUAUAAAUAAAAUUUGUGUAACAUUCAUAUGUAAAGAAAUAUAUUUAAAUAGAAUAAAAUUCUUUUGUUCAUAAUUUAUUUUACUUAUAUUAUAUUAUUUAGUUGUAUUACAAAAUUUAAAAUAAUUAUGUUAAUUUAGGUUUAGUUUGCAUUUUUUAAAUUAUAAUCAUUAAUAACAAAGUGGUGAUAGCCUAAACAUGAUCUAAAGGUCCAUGGUUCAAACCCUUGGUUCCUCAUCAUUUUCCUGGUCUCAUUAGGUGGGCUAGGCUUGGUAUGCGAAGGGCUAACCUUCCACCCAUGAUCCAACCUUUUAGUUGAUGAAAAAAGAAGGCUAACCUAGAAUCGAUAGACCAUGGUUCAAAGUUGUGGUUGCGGUCACUAACUUGGAGGGUCUUGCGGCACAUUGGUCUUGACAUCUUAGCUUGAUAUUAGAUGAUAUGUAAAAUAAGAUAAAUAAAAAUUAUAAAAUUAUAAAAUAUUAUAAUAAAUAUUUAAAAAAUAAAUAUAAUUAAAUAAACUUAAAAUUUAAUAAAAUAAAAUAUUAUGAAAAUUAAAAUUGUUCAAUAAAUUUUUAAUAUUGAAAUUGAAAACAAAAACUCUUUAAUUACCAAACUCAAAUUAAAAAAUAAAAUAAAAUGUGAUGAUUUUUACCACACAUUAGCAUUUAAAAAUUGAAACAAUAAAAUAACAUAUAUUAUUGAUACUAUCAUUUAAAACAACAAAUAUAUUGUUGAUAAUGGCAUUUAAAACUAUAAAAUAGUGCAUUAGACCUGCAUUCAAAUCUUCAAUUCUCAAACACCACCAACCCACCCAUGAAUAGAGAAAGAGAAGAGAACCCUAGCAAAAGUAGAGAGCUUCAAUUCUCAAAUCUUCAAUUUUCUUUUUAUGUGUUCAAGUGAUUUUUAUUUGUUAAAUGAUUCCAGCUACUACUUGGGUCUAGUAUUUCCUUGGUGUAUAUAUCAUGCACUUCUCAGUAGAAAGCCCAUAGACUAAUAUAAAGGAGAAACAAGUUUUUAUUUAUUUGCAAUGCCUAAUAUAAAAUUUAAUAAGCACCUAAUUUUUUAUUUCAGCUAUGAAUGAUAUUUUUCUCUAGAUCAUAAGUACGUUGGUUGAAUUAAAAAAAAUUUAUACCAUUUCAGCCACUAAUUAAUAUCAUGCAAUAGAAAAACAAAAUUGAAAUUUGGGAUAAUAAAUAUCAUUAAAGUACAAAGAAAGUAACUUAUUGGGAGCAAAUUCUUCACAACCUGGCAUUCGCCUUUAGAUUGAAUAAUUUAUUAAUAAUCUCCUCUUUCUUUCUAAACUUCACCGCUGUUUAUGAAAGUUUCUAAAAACCAAAGCCCAAAGCCUAGACUAUAAAAAGGAAACAAUCACUUGGAGAGGGGUUGUUUGUUUUUCUUGGGAGCCUAAUAAAUGCAACGGCAUAGACAGAAAGAGGCGGAAGAGUUGAGUCGGAGGAUCAAGAAACACAACCAUUCUUCUCUUUCAUUUCUAUACAUAUCCUUCCAUGCAUUCUCUGGCUCUCCCAUUCUCUUUUUCAAAGCUACAUCUUUCCUCAUAGACCCUGUUUGGUUUCUAAGAAAGUGGUCUAGGUCUCUUUCUUUUUCUUGAUUUAUCUUUGGUUUACAAGAAUCAGGAGUGAAGUAAAGUGGGCUCUUGAUUUAUGUUUGAUUUUUCUUAUUCAAACCUAUGUUUUGAUCUUUUCUCUCCAGCUCUUGUGGUCUAGGUCUAAUAUGCGUUGUGUUUUCUUUCUUUUUUCUUGGUUUUUGUUUGGUUUUCCAAGAAAGUGAAGGAAAAGGAACUCUUUACUCUCUUGGCAUAUUCCACUUAGGAUUGUCCUCCUACAUCCUUUGAUGCUUUAGUGUUUGGUCAUUAGUUGUUUUUAAGCCCUUAUUGAUGGUCCAUUAAGACAUUUUAAAGGGAUUAGGCGGAUCCCUAUCUUGAUUUUAGUGAUUUUUGAAUCUUAGUUUUAAUUGAUUUAUAACAUAUUUAGGCUUGUUUAGAACUUUUAAAAUUCAUAAUUUUGAAUGUGCCAAAUACCCCCUUCCAUCAAUUCCAACUGCAGCAACUGCCAUUCAAAGAUGCUAGCCACAUAUUAAACCCAUGCAUGAACCCCCAGCCAGAUACCCAUUUUUUCCUCCAUCCAUCAACCACCUUCUUACUCCCACCACCGCCACUGCUCACCAUUCCCACUUCUCCUCCACCACCAUGGCCACCACCGCUUCUGGCUCUGUCUUCCUCCUUCUGCUCCUUGCUGCCAGCGCUGCCGUUGAUGGCAGAGUCAUAAGCAACCGCACAUCGUCCACCGGCCUAGUCUCUGACGGCGUCCACGACCACCGCAAUGGUUUGCCUUAUCUUCUUCUCAGGUCUUUUUCGGCCGUUUCAGCCUCGGAUUCAUGUGAUCAUAUAGUAAACCCAAAUGGAAAUCAAACCUUCACAACCCGCUCACCUUUCCGAUGCCCGUGAUGAUCAAGUCUGGCACUCGAAAGAGAGAGGACAACUGGGUCAUCUCCCUCUUCGUGAUCCUCCACAUUGGGCCCUUCUUGCAUCGCCUUGGAUUUGAAACUGACCGGUUUAGAACCAUAACUCCUGCACGCGAGAGAGAUCACCAUAAGCCAUGCAAGGGAGCAUGCCAGUCACGUUCUCUAACUGCCAUGCAUCCGGUGAAGCGGUUUUGCGAGGAGAAGCCUCCAGAAGAGAAUCUUUUCGGUUGCGGGAAUAUAAAGAUCACGCCAGAAAGAAUAAAGAGGGCUGUUCUAGAGACUUCGGAGGAGGAGAGAGGAAAGGAAAACUGACAUAGAGAGUCUCUGUUUCUGGGCGUUUUUUGGAAGAGAGUUCAAAGAUCUUCUUUCUGUAGAAGAUCAUCACAUGCACCGAUUCAAAGAAUUUAGAGAACUUCUCGUUAGAGUCAAGGUUCUCAUCAUUCUAGACCUUCAUGAACAUCUUCUUCACGGCGGCAUUGGCAUCCCGAUUCCUGAACCUCCAUGAUUGAUUGAUCUCCAUCAUCUUCACGAUCGUGCACAAGUUCUGAAAGUAGAGACGUGAAUCUCUUCAUCGUCUUCACUCUCUAUACUUGUAUCUCGAAGGUUAUCCCGGUUUCUAUGUGCAUCGGAUCUCCAUAGGAAAAAUUAGAGAAUGAAUAGAGGUUGACUGUCAGCCCCUUAGACCCUUGACUUAACCAUGGAGGAAUAGGCCUCAUGGGUAGGCCUUGCACCCAUGAAAGCCUAGGAUGAAAGCAGGGAAAUCCUGGAGGUUUGGUGGUUCAAACUCUAGGAGGCAUGUGAGGAGGCCGCAGGUGAGCCAGACAAGCACUGCGCGCGCAUCGCGGGCGAGGCAGACACGCACCACGCGCACACAGUGGGCAAGCCAGACGCGCACCGCGCGCGCACAGUGGGCGAGCUAGACGCGCACCGCAUGCACACCACAGGCGAGCCAGACAUGCACCGCGUGUGCACCAGAUGGGCAUCGCGCGCGCAUCUGACUUAGGUGGUGCAGAUGAAGGCUGAGGGACUUGGAAUUUUAAUUUAUAAUUAAAAUUAUUAUUCCAUUAUGCCUUCUCAGACAUAUUGAUGUCUCCUCAAGAAACAAUGAAAAUGGCUCGUAUUGCUCUUUAAGGGGGGGGGUAGGUGACUCAAAGGAGGGAGCCACCAAGAGAAGCCUUGACCGCACCAAGGGGGCACCAUGGCAUGGCCUUGGGCGUGCCUAAGACACACGACAUGACUCGAGCACGCACACAUGGGCUCCACGACAUGUGUGGUGUGCACCCCAUGGCCGCAACGGCACGGGGCCUGGUGCGGCCUGACCCCUCCCCGUGCAGGCACGAGGGAACCUAAGCCUUGUGCGGUAAGCCAGUUAAUGAAACCAUGGGCACAAUGCCAUGGUCUGAUGGCUCCAAUAGCUGACUCGCAUCAAGAUGCCUACGCAAAGCACAGGGUGCAAUGCCCUGUGCACCAAGAGGGAUCAGUCAUGGGCGCAAUGCCAUGGCUCGUUGCUUGGAAGCUGGGAAGCAAGCAACAAGCCCAAGCCAUGGGCACCUAGACAUGGCAUGGGUUCAUUCAUUAGUGUGGGGAAGGCACACUGAUGCACUAGACGCUUGGUCAAAUGGGUGGAGCACGUUGCCUGGCUUAGAGGGCCUUGAUCAAAGACAUGCUGAUGGGCACCUGGUCACAAGAGGCACCUUACGGGGGAGGGGUCAGCUUGUUAGGGGGACUCACCAGUAGCUUGGCGAGCAAGACCUGAGGAGAUGGCAGUGCAGCUAGCUAGUGGCAGCUAGCUCAGUGACCAAGUCAAGCCGUCAUUUGAACUGCAGUUGGCUGAGGGAUGAUGGCUGGUGCAAGUGGGUGGCAUGUGCAGGCCACUAUCUAGGUGGUGGGUGGUUAUGCAGGGCAGUUGAGGGCGGUUCUGGCCAGUUGCAUAACCACCAAAGUUGGCUUCAAGAUUUGAAUUGGAAAUUCAAAUUUGUAAUUGCAGCUUGAGUCUUUUAAAAGGGCUCCUGCAGCCUUCAAACAGGGAGAGAGAGUUUUGGGGAAAGGGUUCCUUCUCGUAUGCCUUGGGUGAGAGCAUUGUACUCUAGUUCAGGAAGCAAUUUUGUCUUGCAAGAGUGAUUAAUACAAGUUAGGAAAGGAUUCUCGUAACCUCAUGUGUCCCUGUUGCUUUGUUAUUUCUGUGUUCUACUCUGUUUUUCUAAACGUUAGGAUGGAAGGUUGGCUAAGGACUGGUCCUUAGCACCGCGCACUCGUGAAAAAUUCAGUGAGAUAUUCAGGGGUAUGACACUGACCAUGAUUACUAUAUCUAGAUAUAUGUUAUGGAAUAAUGGCAGUUGUAGUAAAUAAUACACAAUGGGUUACAGGAUAAUGUUGAUGCUUGUUGAUUUUUUUAAUAAAUACUACAUAUAGAAAAGUAGAUGUAUAACCAGCCAUAAGUGUUUUUAGUGGCUCUUGAUUACAAGUUAUUGUGCCUUGUUCAUAUGUAUUAUUUUUUUCUUCUACAUGUUUAGUGUUGUCAUUUUAGUUCCAAGUAUAAUAUUCGAUUCCUUAAUUCUAAUCUUUAUUGCCAAUAUUUUCACUUUAUUCAUGAUUUUUUUGAAUACAUGUUAGUUUAGGUUGGGUGUGGACAAUUUGGGCUACGCAUGAGUGUUGUUAGAAUUUGAUAUUUAGGAAACUAAAUGAUUAAAUGUGGAUUGCUUGGUGAAUUAUGAUUGAGAUUGAGUUAUUUUUUUCUCUUUUUAUUCAAAACUUCUUUUCAUCUAAAUAAGUCAUUGGAUAAUCACAUGAUAAUUGGCUUUGAAUAAAUUCUCCUCAUUUUGAUUCUUAGAAAUUUGAUUUGUCUUAAUUUUCUAAAAUAAUUCACACAUGUACAUUUACAUUUUUUAAUAAUCCAAAUUUAAAAAUAUACAUGAACCGUUUUCCUUUUUUGGAAAAUUGAUUUUAUACCUCAUUCAUAACAAGAUCAAUCUUAGUCUCUUUGAUAAUGGAUGGCUUUUGUAUUUAAAACCUAUCUUAGUCUCUUUUAAGUAGAAAAUUUCAAUUUCUAAAAAGAAUAAUGCUGCCCAUUUUAUUUGGUAUGCAACUUUGAAAGGUUUUAAAAUAUUUUUCCCUUAAUCUAGACUUCUUAAAUUUAAUUUUUGACAUAUUAAAUAUUAAGAAAAGAUUUCUGAAAUGAGAGAUAUAAUUUUUUUCUUUUUGACCUUGCUGCACCUAUGCUCCCCUAGAGCUGAAGGAUGUUUACUUAUUUUUAAAUGUGUCAUGAAUGUAACAUUGCCUUGUGAUUAUUAUUUUUUAUUAAAAAUAGACAUGUUAGCUAGUUGUACGAAUUUUUGUAUGAUUUUAGGACAUCUCCAAGUUAAUUAAAAAAAUAAGUUCUUGAGUAUUUUAACAAAAUGCCCUGUUCUGAACCUACUAAUAUCAUUAUGAAAUCUAGUACUAAAUGAGAGCUAAUUGAUAAAUUGGAUGAUAAAGUAGACAUAUAGAAGAUAUUCUUUGAAAAUUUUUGUAAUGAAAUUCAACUUCUAGAUAUUUGUUUUUGAUUUAUUAUAUCCCCUGUUUUGACCAUUUGCUGACUUUUUUUUUUUCUUUUUUUUUUUUUUUUUGUAAAAGAACUCAUUUGUAAAUAAAUUUGACAUUGAUUAUAUAUAAGUUUAGUUUGUAAUUCCUUUUUGAAUUCAUUACUAUUAUUUGUGAGUUAAUCUCAUUUCUAUGAAAAUGCUUUAAGAUGCUAAAACAGGUAUGCAAACCCUCUUUUCAUAAUUUAUUUAAAUUAAAGCUUAUGAUUGAACAUUGUCUAUUAGAGUUUGCUAGUUGUGUUGAGAUUUAUGACUUUAAAUUUGACUUGUUAUGGAAUAUGUGAUUGCUUAGAAUACAAUGUGAUGCUAUUGCUUGUUAUCUAACUUUUGUGUUUUUUGGAACCGCUCAAAUUAGGUAUGCCUUUCUUCAUAUAAUUGAUGAAUUGUAUUGAUGUGUUUUAUUUAGUUCAUAGUAUCCAUGAAUCAACCAAUUGAUCUUCGGAAUUAUUUCAAUUUACUUAGUAGAGACCUAGCUUUUAGGGCUUAGAGGGACGCUAUAGUUCUUCAUUGUACCUUCCUGAUAAGUAAUCUGAUACUCGAACUUAGACUCGGGUUUUCAAAGACAAGCAUUUCUAAAUAAAAAGGAGUCAUUUUCUAGGGUUUUUCUUUCUUAUUUUGUUUGUCAUUUUAAAAAAAUAAAACGAAAAUAAGUGGUGACUCCAUUAUUUAUAAAAUUGGUUUUUCACAAACAAAAAGUGAGUGUUGCCAUCGAGUGAGAAUGCAUGUGAAAAUGCGGGAUCACAAACGGUGAAGUAAAGUGGUUCUUGAUUUAUGUUUGACUUCUGUUUUUUAAACCUCCAUUUUGAUCUUUCCUCUUCGGUUCUGUUUGGUUUCCAAGAAAGUGGUCUAGGUCUAAUAUGGACCAUAGUUUCUUUCUUUUUCUUGGUUUUUGCUUGUGUUUUUCUUUUUCUUGGUAUAUCUUUGGUUUACAAGAAACAGGAGUGAAGUAAAGUAGGUUCUUUAUUUUUGUUUGGUACUUUGGUUUCUCGUUCUCAAACCUACGUUUUUAUCUUUCCUUUUAUGCUCUGUUUGGUUUCCAAGAAAGUGGUCUAGAUCUAAUAUGCACUGUGCUUUCUUUCUUUUUCUUGCUGUCUGUUUGGUUUACAAGAAGCAGGAAUGAAGUGCAGUGCAUUCUUGAUUUCUAUUUGGUUUCGAAUAAAGUGAAGGAAAAUGAUGUCUUGCUUGUUAUAUAAUCAUUGAUAAGACGCCCAGGGUAAGAACCUCAUAUUCCUAAAAACAUGCUUACCAAUGAUUUUGCUUGAGCUCUUAGAAAUAAUCUCAAAUAAUCUCACUUAAAGCUCUCAAAUAGUAAUCUAUGUCCACCAUGAUAAGACAUGAUGAAAUAAGCCCCACAAAAAUAGUAUUUCAGUGCCAUUAUUUGAACCCAAGAUGAGCCCCAUGGCUCUAUCGUUUGCCUUUCUCAAGCAAACCCUACAAAGUGAAGGCUUCUUUUCUAUUAUUUAACUGUGGAGUGAGGUAACCACAAGGGAGAACCAUCAAGUAGACGCUAUCUCUUUUGCUUUCACUCUUUAUCACUGCUUUAAGUCUAAUUAUGCCUUAGAAGUAGAAACUAUGCACUAACCAUUCUCAGGUCCCACAACCCACUAUUCAUAAGCAUCAGAGUGAUGCUGUGCAUGAAGAUACUUGUACAAGGGUUUUAUGUCAUGCAACUUUCGGUGAAUCCAAUAUGUUACGAACUCCACAAAAACAAUAUAUGCCAUGAUGUACACCAAGUAGGCAAACCAGCCAACUUCACUUAUUCUUGAAAAGCACUUUGUCCACCCAUUUUCGACUGCAUACUCUGAAAAUGUUGGGAGAGCAGCAAACCAGGGAAAACUCCUCAUGGAAGCUUUGACGUGCAAAACAAAAAUGCACUAUUGGAAUAACAUGUAAUUAAGAGCUCAAGAAGACAUGCCAUUCCCUAAUGAAACAACGCUAAGCACUAUUGGAAUAAGCACGCAUUUAAACAAAACUGACAUAGAGAGUCUCUGUUUCUGGGCGUUUUUUGGAAGAGAGUUCAAAGAUUUUCUUUCUGUAGAAGAUCAUCACAUGCACCGAUUCAAAGAAUUUAGAGAGCUUCUCAUUAGAGUCAAGGUUCUCGUCAUUCUAGACCUUUAUGAACAUCUUCUUCACGGCAGCAUUGGCAUCCCGAUUCCUGAACCUCCAUGAUUGAUUGAUCUCCAUCAUCUUCACGAUCUUCACGAUCGUGCACUAGUUCUGAAAGAAGAGACGUGAAUCUCUUCAUCGUCUUCACUCUCUAUACUUGUAUCUCGAAGGUUAUCCCGGUUUCUAUGUGCAUCGGAUCUCCAUAGAUGAACUCGGAUUUUGCAUUGAUCUGAAUCUCAAGCAUGCAUUAUUUCCAUAUUGUGCUGCCAAACUUGGUGUUUUUCUUCAUUUAUUCUUCACCACAACAGUUGGACAUAAAGGUUAGUCUCAAUGAAUCUUUACCAUUUGAAUUAGUUUAUUAAUGAUUUUUAAGUUAUUCAUUGAUGAAGUUAAGGCUAAUAGAUGAAAUUGGUUUGUUGAUUUUGAAACUCACGGCUGUUUGUGACAUGCUUUUAUCAAAAUUAGAGAAUGAAUAGAGGCUGACUAUGAUUACUAUAUCUAGAUAUAUGUUAUGGAAUAAUGGCAGUUGUAGUAAAUAAUACACAAUGGGUUACGGGAUAAUGUUGAUGCUUGUUGAUUUUUUUAAUAAAAGCUACAUAUAGAUAAGUAGAUGUAUAACCAGCCAUAAGUGUUUUUAGUGGCUCUUGAUGACAAGUUAUGAUGCCAUGUUCAUAUAUAUAUAUAUAUUAAUUUUUUCUUUUUUUAAUCCUAUCUAUGUUGUUGAUAUUAAUGCAUUGAAUUUGAUGUUACCUAAAACAAAAUUAUAUUCAUGUCCUCUAUUAUAAGUGGACAACCAUUCUUUAUGUUAGAUUUUAGAUAAAGAACGAAUAUUGAAGAUUGGAGUUGUAAGAAAUUAGGAGAUCCUAAUUUUAAAUAUGUAACAAAGUUCUAUAAUCACUUCAAUCCACAUUUAAAAAUUGUAUUUCUUUCUAAAAUGGGAUCAAACUUUUUCCUUCUUUCUUAUAAAUUUCAUUUGGGAAUGAUUUAAAAAUAAAUAAAUAAAAGCCCUUCUAAAUAUUAAAAAAACACUCUCUUAUAAAAUUUAAUUAGGUGGAUGGUUAGGUCAAAUUCGGGAUAGCUUCAUAUUUUUUGCUUUAACUGAAAAUUAAAAUCAAAAUUAAAGUAAUAAUUUUUAAGAUGUUGUAAAAGUUAUAUUAAACAUGAAAGAACUUAUUGUGUAAACAAAAAUAGAAUUAUAGAAUUCUUAUAAGAAAUAACAUUUUUAUGACUUCUAUAUGAAACUUUUUAAAAAAUUUAUCAGUUUUUCUUUUUAAAAAAUAAUUAAAUAGGUAUAAAAAACUUUUAUUCAACUUAAUUUUUUUUAACUCUUGAAAGUAAAUCCAAAUAAAAUUUAAAUAUAUUUGAAAAUCAUUUUCAAAAAUCCAAAAAAUCACCUAAAAAUAAUUUCAAAUUUUUUUUAUUUACAUUUAAAUACUAAGUGAUUCUUUUAAAAAUCAUUUGUAAUGUCAAAAUAUUUUUUUAUGGAUAAAAAUAUUACAAAUAAAAAACAUUUCAAUCACAAUUAAUUUAUUUUUAAUUCAUGAAAUUUCAUUUAUUGUUACUUAUUUUUUGGGAUUUAAUUCUUUACAAUUAUUUUUGAGUGUUUACAUAGAAUAAUUAGGUUAUGCCCAAAUUUAUUCCUUUAACUCUAUCCAUCAGAUAUAAGUAUCGUGAAAUUUUGGCCUGUCUCCACCUUUCUUCGCUUUUGACAUUGUCAUGCACUGCUUCCUCAACUCCAAACACAACCGCUGAGGAUCGAAGAAAAUGAGACAAUGGUCAAUGAAUAAUUUAUUAAUUUUUUUCUUAAUUUAAUAGCAUUGGAAUGUCAGUUGGAACAAACCAUUUGAUGAUCUUUUUCAUAAGUAUCCAUUUAGAUCAUAGUCUUUUUAAAAUAUUAGAAUAAAUCAAUUAGUCUAAGCUAUAUCAUUUAUAAUUUUUUUAUUAUUAAUAUGAUACCUAUCCUUUCACGGAAUUGAAAUAAAAUAUGAAUAAUUAAAAAAUGUCAACUAUCCAUGAUAUUUGAUACCAAACUUUUCUAAUACAACAUGAUAUCAUGUUGAAUGAAAUGGGAAUCACCAAAUGUUCUCAAAUCAAAGAUAUAUCUACAGGGGACACGUCAAAUUCUCUUUUUAUAAUCAAAGGCUUCCAAAAAAAUUCAACCAUAGCAUAUCUCAAAGAUUAGUCAAAUUCCAUUAUUUUUAUAGACUUCUAACAAUUCAAGAAAUUGACAUUAAUAAUCCCAAACACAAUAUUCUGCAACUUUACAUUAUUCUUUUUAUUGUAAUUGAAGAGGAAUACCAACUUAGUCAAAUAGAAAAUAAAUCAUGAAAGCUGAAUAAUACAAAUAUUCAGUGAAAUCUUUGGCAUGUUAUUUCUUUGCAGCUUCAACAUGGUGGCAUGUCGGAUGGAGGAGGCAGCAUUUGAGCUUCUGGGUGUUUACCAUUUUUCACUAUGAAUGCAGUUUCCAUGCCCCAAGUCACAUGGCGUUCUACAUGGCAAUGCAGGAACCACACUCCUGCAACAGAGAAAAUAUAUCGAGAUUACACCUAACUUAAUUGUAAUAUUAAAAAAAAAUUAUUUCAUUGGUAUGCAAGUUGGCAGUAUCAAGGGUUUUUUUCUUUAAUAGAGGACAUGAGUGCUUGCAACGUACCAGGGUUGGAUGCCUUGAAUCUGAUUGCAACCCAACCUUUCGAAGGAACAGAGAUGGUAUUCUGAAGGGGAGGAUCCACCAAAUUAUAGUGCAAAGGGUCCCUAUUUUCAUCGAAAUUCCUAAAUCCCCAUCCAACAACAUAGAAACUGUAUCCAUGGAGAUGCAUAGGGUGGUGUGUCUCUGCAAGCACGGCUGUCCCUUGAAGAACAAUCUCCACUGUGGAGUUAUACUCGAGCACCCUUACUUCUGUUCCACUGCUCGGCAACUGAUAGAUUAAUGGAAGAUAAUCAUAUGUAAAAUCGAACACUAGUGGUGGAAAGCUAGGAAAGUUAUUUCCAUAUACACCACUGAUGUUAUAAUAGUAAGCUUCCAGUAUGUCAACCGUAGGGGUAUGGAAGCUUAUGUUGUUUAUACUUGAGGAGAACCGCGUCCCAUUUGGCCCUGCACAUGAAUCAUUGACGCAUGGGUACGAGUUCAUAGAAAGAGUGUAAAACAACUUAGUGCUCGUGCUCAAUGGGACAUUGCAAGGAUGUUCCGCAUUUGCUAAGCUUCGGAGGCCGGCCAUGACCUGAACUGAUGCAUCUGUGUCAUUGUAUGCAGGAAGAUGAGGCAAAGAGGAGGUGAAGAUGGAGUGUAGUAUCCCCUAUAUUGUACAAUAGCUGUGGUGGUUGUGUUAUCAUAAAAGCCUUGAUAUUUCGGGGCAACAGAAUAAGUUAUAGCCGCCAUGUAAUAGUGAUUUGGGCGUUGGUUAGCUUCUAAUAAGACAUCAUAGGUUUGGCCAGGAAAUAUUGUGAUAUAAUCUCGUGUCAAUGGUUUCGUGUAGCUACCAUCUGUUCCAACCACUAUCAUUUUAUGCUUGGCUAUGGCGAAGAAGAGAGCCUCAUGCAAGGCAGCAUUGAUUAUGCGAAGUAGAUAGGUCUUUCCAUGAUCCACCGUUAGCUUGAAUGUGCCUGUAAUUAGAAAGGGAAAGUUGUAUACUUAUGACUAGCAAAAAGAAAAAGAAAAAUUUUCCAUGAGAAUCCACCAAUUAUGAAGUGAUUGAUUAAUUAAGGGUGUAAAUUUGGCUCCAUAGUUCAAAAUUAUAUUUGGACUAGCCUUUUCUGAUGUGUUAAAUCAUGGCUCUACCAUCCUUAUAGCUAUAUUCCUCUUUCUUAGCAUUAACCUCUAAAUAUGUUGAUGUUAAUAAGAAAAAGUAGUAUGGUUAACAUAUAGGAAAAUGAAAUCAUGUACAAUUUUAAAAUGGGAAGUUAAACUUUGUACCUGAUUUUGAGCAUGGAAAUAGAUCACCGGGUUGUCCAUUUAUCAAUAAAGCAUCGGAGGAGUUAGGGUCACCUCCGGUUGCAAGCCCUUGAUCUCGAACCUCAUUCACAUCCCUCUUCCACCAUUCUCCUGCGUUUCAACAACUUCAAUAAUUUUAGAUUUUGCUUUGUUGGUUAAUUCAUAAUAUGUAAAUUAACCUUUAAAAGUAACAACACUUAUACCUAAUAUGAUGGGGACUUCUGCGUUAGGUUUGUGAAAAGGAUACUUGGUUCCAUUCCUGGGAUAGAUGAUUAUAGCUCCAUGAACAGUGGCUCGGGUCCAAUCACUGUGAGCAUGCCACCAUAGAGUGCCUUCCUCAGUGGAAAGGAUGAUCUUCUGGGUAAACUUUGACCCUGGCUGAAUUGGGCAUUGUGUGAUAUACUCGGGACCAUCUGUCCAUGGAUAUCUAGGCAUGGUCACCCCAUGCCUGUGAAACCAUAACCAUAUGUUAAAACUAGUACUAAUUUUCAAAGUAACAAAAGAUAGCAUGUAACAAGCAUCAACUGUAUUUCAAUGGAUAUGAAGAAAAUAACCCUAAAGUAUUGUUUUAAAUUUGACUUUAUUUUCAAAGCAAUAUAUUGCGGCCCCCUCUUAGAAAUAAAAGAAUUUAAGCCAUGUCUUUCUCUAAGACACACACAGGGCCUACCAGUGAAUGGUGACGUUUUCUUUUCCCCUGUUAUAAACGUCGACAAUGAUUGUCUCUCCUUUCAUAGCAUAUAUAGUUGGUCCCGGAAAUUGUCCAUUUACUGUUAAGAUGUUCUUGGCGCUACAAAGCCUUGUAUAUGAAGCUUCCCUCACCUGCAACCAAUUAAAAGUUAACCAUGCAAUCUCAUCCCAAAAGAAAUAUUACAUGUAUGAAUAGUUCCAUCGAUCCAUUCAUGUAAGUGUAUAACCAAUUAGAAAUUGAUGGCAUGGAUGAACGACUCAACGACACCCAUAACAUGCAUGAACAACUCAAUGACACUAGGGUAAGAGGUCAUAUGGUAGAAAAUGAGAGCCAUACUACUCCUUAAAUAUCAUGAUUAGAAGGUGGUGUUUAGGCCAAUAUCAUAUAUAGUAUUUACCACAAAAGUAAGCUGACGGGUCGAAGCUUGGCAAUGGAUGCCACCACCAAAAACUAGAAACGCUAAAAUUUGCAAGAGGAAAACCUUCAUGAUCAGCCACAUUUUCCUUGGAAUAAAAGCCUCUUCUCUUCUCUUGUCCUAAACACAACUCCUUCAAUUCUCUUACUACUUUUGAUGUAUUUCUUUCACAUGUGAUUCAUUAUAUAGGCAUGGUAAUUCUCUCGGGAUACAAUACUUCCUCUCCACGUGUCAAUAUAAGAGGAAGUGAUUUGAAUGUGUAUUGGUUUUCAAUGUUCUUAUGAUAUUUCUUACAUGAGCAGGACCAUUCAAAAUAAUUAAUUAUGAUAUUUCUUACAAGUUACCUACACGUUACCUUAGAAUAUAUAAAUUUUAAAUAUUCUUUCACAAGUCCAACAAAUGUUAAUUAAUUAAAUAUAUGUAGAAUACUUUUAAAACUUUGACCUCCCGUAUGAGUACCCUUAUCAAGAUCAGUCAUGAAAACUGUUUUUCAUUGACAACUACUUUUAAGAAUUAUUUUAAAAUUAUUUUUGAAGAAUUAUUUUUAUAAACAUUAUUUAACCAACCCUUAUUAUUAAUUUUACUUGUUUUCGUGUUACUUAAGAUAAUUAAUAGUGCAGAACCCAUGACUUUGGUGGUUGGUGGCAAAGUUGUUUUCGUAUUGUUACGUAAUGCAAUUAUAAUAAUAAUAAAAUAAUUAAUUUUACUUGUUUUCGUCUGAAUGGGACAAAGUUGUUUCCCUUUUUUUUUUAAACCUGAGAAUUGAGAUUGUAAAAGACAAGAUGAUAAGCUAAUUCGGUAUUUCAGAAUUUUUCAUAAAAAACACAAAAAUAUAUUUUGUAAAAAGUUGAAAAUAGGAUACGAACAACCCCUUGUAGUAUUUUUUUCUCAACAAAAAGCAAUUUAAUUAUAAUAAUAAUAAAUAAUUAUAGAUUUAAAAAAAAAUAUUUUUUUUUUGGGGCAAUUUCUAGUAGUUCCAACUCCCAAAAACUUCUCCACCUUUGAUCUUUUAUUUGGUUAGGUUGGGUUGGGUCACCUCGACUUGGGCACCCACCCAACUCCAACAAUAUUUAAGUAAUUAAUAAAGUAAAUGAUUGAAUUACAAUGAACAAGUAUAAUGAUCAAAAUAAAAAUAAAAAAAUCUUUUUUGUUUUAAUACAAAUCAUUUACCAUUCAAAAAUAUUCUUAAUAUCUUCAUUUUCUUUUUGUGUUUUUGAAAGUUCAUUUUUGUUUUAACUAGAUCAAAUAAUAUUUGUACAAUAAUGCCUUUAACAUACAUUUUUGAUCAGUAAUACCAAAUAAACAUCUCAACAAAUAUUAUAUUAGAUGAUCAUUAAUUUCACUAUCUUCAUUUUAUUUAUCUUAUUCUUCUUUAUCCAGUGCAUUUAAUUAUGUGUUGUAAAAUGAACAAGGACCUCUACAGUUAUAAUCUCACCUAAAAAGUUGGAGAAGUUAUCUCUACAUUUAUGGUUCAUGCAUGAAAUAAAUUGUUUUUGUACUUCCAUCAUCAAAGAUGCAUGUAUGUCUAUGUGGACCCACAUUUCUCACAUGUGCCUCCACUCAAUCGGUGAGACUCACUUUUAUUAGUGAAAAAUUAAGUUUUGGAAAAGUCGGAGUCGCCACAUAUUUUAUUUUAUUUUAAAGGGAAAAUAAAACAAGAAAUAAAACCCUAAAAAAUAACUCCAUAGUUUUGGAAAAAACAUGUUUUUGAAAAACCCGAGUCUAGGUCCGGGGAUCAGGUUACCUAUUGGGAAGGUACCCCUAAAAGGUAGCACCCCUCUAAGCCCUAUAAAGGUCUCUACUAACUAAGUUAAAGGAGAUGUGACAAUUAAUUGGUUAAUUAUAAAUACCUAAGUAAGCAAGGUGAUUUCAAAAAUAGCAUGUCUAACAAGAAAACCAAUCAUAAUCAUAAAGAAGAUUUAGGGUGCGUACUUGGACUGCUUCUUAUGCGCUAUCACAAGACACCAAAGUUAGUUCAAAUAAUAUAUCAUCUAGCAUGCACUUUAUCAGAAAUAAUUUAACAAUGAAACUAAUAUCAAGGCACCCAAGCAUUAUCAAACAUAGACAUAGUUCACAAUGACAAGCAUAUUCACAGAAUUUAGAAGGCAGGUGUUAGGGGGCAUACCUGGAUAGCAUAGAUAACUUGUAACAUGUUUCCUUAAGACAUGAUGGGUUAGAUAAUAAAAUAUAAAACAAAGAAAUCCUAGCAUGCUUGUUAUCUAAUUAGCAUAGCAAAAAUGAUCAAAGUAUACGAAAACAUCAAUUAUCUUGUAUACAAUUCCUGAAAAAUAAAUAUAAAUAUGAUUACAACAAGUAACAAAGGUGGCAACAAAAAUAAAUUUUGAAAAUAUUUUCUUAUGUAGGGGUUUCACCAAUUCCCCAAUUAAUAUACAUGAAUCUAGCCUAGAAUUAUCCCAUUUGUUUGGGACCAUAAGAUUGAAUUCGUAUUCCACUCAAAACCAAAAUUUUUAUUGAAAACUGAAGAAGAUGCAAACCAACCAAAACAUGGUUGCAUAUUACUUAAGAAAAUGAGAUUUUGGUUCUAAGGACUCUAAAUGGAUUUUUAAAAUGGAUUUUUAUGAGGAACAUCUUGAGAAAAGCAUUUUAUUUUACAAUGAAGAAAUUAAUCUAAAAACAACAAAACACGAGAAACAAACUACCAAGUGAAACAAAAGAAAAAAAAAAUCACAAAACGGAAUUUUUUUACAACCGAGCAAACUAAAGUGGUAAGAAUGGAGGCCAAUCUUCACUAUUUUUUUAUGGCCUCUGAAAAGUAAAUUUUACCGGAAACUACCAAAGCAAUAAACUAUUCAAACUUAAAUCAAUUAAAUUAAUGACUAAUAUUCAAGAAACAUAUCAAUUAAGAGUAAUAAUCAAGAAUUAGCGCGUGAUCAAUUAAACACACAAAUGUAUCUUGACUAAUUAAAAUGGACCAAAUUAAAUCAGGGCAAACAUGAAUUCUCAAUCAUAGAAUUAUUUUAUUAGUGAGCUAACAUUAUAGAAAAUGCCUAAAUUAAAUAGAUGAGUGAAGCUAAAUCGGAAUAAACUAAACACAAGCACCUGCUAAUAUAGAAUUGAUUUUAUUAAUAACUUAAAAUUAUAAAAAAUACUUAAAAUAAUUAAAAUGAAUCAAAUUAAAUGAAAGCAAACUAAAAACAAAAUAUGAAUUCAUGGAAUCAACUUCCUAAAUAAAUUUACAUUAUUGAAAUGAAAUCUAUGCUCAAAAUGAAUUAAACACUAAUUAAGGCAAAUCUAAAAAUCAAAUAUUUAACACAUGAGGUCAAUUAUUUUAACAAACUAAAAUUUUACUUAAACCUAAAAUUAAAUUGAAAAACUAUCCAAAACUAAUUUUAAAACUAAACUAUAAAAUCAAUCUCAUUAACAAAUAGAUAAAUAGAUAACACAUGAAUAAAUAAGUAUGACUAAAACGAAAUAUGAACUCAUGAAAUCAAUUUUUUUUAAAUAAAUUUACAUUACUAAAAUGAAAUCUAAAUUUAAAAAUAUUUUUAACACCAAUUAUGGAAAUCCUAAAAUCAAAUAUUUAACACUUAAUAUUAACUACUUUAACGAACUAAAAUUUCACUUAAACCAAAAAUUAAAUUAAAAAACUAUCUAAGACAAAUUUUAAAACUAUGUCUCUAACCUAUAACAUAAAUCUUGCUAAUAAAUGGAUAAAUAGAUAGCAUAUAGAUAAAUAUAUCUCAAAUUGAAAAUGACUUACAAAGGUGUAACAAUAAAUUCAUAAAGAACCUUUAAUAUAUUGUAUUGAUUGGUUAAAAAUAUAAUAGGAGAAUAGCUCACCUAAUCGAAUAUGUGUAUGGGUAGUAGGCUUCUCAAAGUGGCAGCCGCGUGACUGAUUCGACUAGCCAAAUCCAACUGGCUGUGCAAAUAUGCAAACUUCCAAAGACCUCCGGGGCUUGCUUAGAUCACGACUUCAAGACGCAUGCUGUCAUGGACCAAACCAUCUUUCAGAGAACGUGUUGCAAUAUCUCCUCUCCAUAGGUCGGAAAUCUUCUUCCAAUAACUCAGACUGAUCUUUCAAAACUCGGAUUGAGUUUCGAAGAAAAACGGACUGACCUUCAUCUUCCAGUUUUGGUGUUCGACUCGUCCUUCCUCUUACCUCCUGAAUGCUCGAUAUCCUCCUCUUGCCUCUUCGUACAACUGUUGCCAAUUUGUUUCUUUUCUGGAUGCCUGCUUCAUAAAAGCUUUUCUUCGGUAAAACCGAGCUUUCCCAGCCUUCUCCACGUGCUGGAAAAUUUCCUUCAAGGGUGCAGCUGCACUUGUUUUUUUUUUUCAAUGGUGUGGCUGCACCUUUCUCACCAUCCGAAUCCCAAACUUUCCUUUGGUCUUAAUGGUGUGGCUGCACCUACUCCCACUCCCAGAAUGAUGUGGCUAUCGAUCUACUCCUCCAGAUUCAACAAGGUAGGUAUGCACUCAUCUUCCCAAUCGCGGGGUGAAUAGCCGGUGAAUAUCAACAAGCAGUCGUGUAUGUGGGUUCCAAAACAGCAGUUUGAAUCCACUUUGAAACCUGGACUGAUCCUCCUCAAACAGCAGCUCCCAAAUGCCUUUUUUUUUUUACACAGACUGAUUCCUCCACUUUAAAAUCACAACUUAACUCCCAAAAAUAAUCCUUCUGAAAACCCCUUCAAUCGUGCGUCGUUCUUCAUUUUUCUUUUUCUUUUUUCUUAAUCCAUCACUUCGUCAGCUCCUCUACUGCCACAGUGAUGGAAAAAACAGCAGAAAAUGGUUUCCUUAUCCUCUUCCAAUCACCCUCAAUCCCCUCCAAUUAUUCCUUUUGUUUCCUUUGCCUUACCUUUUCUCUCUUCCUCUCUCUCCAAUCCACUAGUUGUCUUCAUCUUUCCUCUUAAUGGUGUCUUUUCUUUUCUCCCUUACUCUCUCUCCAAUUACCGACUGCCUCCGUCUUUCCUUUCUAAUGGUGUCUUUCUUUUUCUUUUGGGAGAAUUAUGUUUUAGGGGUAGAUGGCCCCCAAAUUAACAAAAGGUCCAUGUAACUCUUCAAAUUGAGCCCAAGACCUAAUGAAAGUAUGGAAAUUGAGUUGAAGGAUAUCAUUCUUUAGUAUUUUCAAAAAUGCCCUUUGUUGAUUUUGAGAAAAAAAUUAAUAUUUUUGAAAAAUACUUUUAUUUAAUUUAAUAUUUUUUAUUUAAUUUAAUAUUUUUAAAAAAUACUUUUAUGUAAUUUAAUAUUUUUUAAAAUACUUUUAUUUAAUUUAAUAUUUUUUAAAAAUAAAUUUAUUUAAUUUAAUAUUUAAAAAAAAUUAAUUUAAUAUUUUUUUAAAUACUUUAAUUUAAUUUAAUAUUUUUGAAAAAAAAAUUUAAUUUAAUAUUUUUGAAAAAAAAAUUAUUUAAUUUAAUAUUUUUGAAAACUACUUUUAUUUAAUUUAGUAUUUUUGAAAAAAAAUUAUUGAAAAAAAAUUAUUUAACUUAAUUUUAUAAAAUAUUUUAUAUGUGUUCUUAAAGGGUAUAUUUGUCCGUUACUAUUUCAUAUCCUUCAACUCAAUUUGAAGAGUUAUAUGGACCUUUUGUUAAUUUGGGGGCCCAUCUACCCCCAAAAGAUAAUUCUCCCUUUUCUUUUAUGGAGCAUGUGGGAUCCAUGCAAAACAAAUAAUAAAAAAAAAAAAAAGUAAUAGGAAAAUUAAAAUACAAAUAAAAGAAAACUAAGGGUUAGAAUAAUAAAAAAAAACAUGCAACUAAGAAUUAAAAAUCCAAAUUAUGUAAUUUUAAACGAAAUUAAAAAAUAUAAAUCACAUGCAUAACUAAAAUGAAUUAUCAACUCAAGCAACUCUCUAUCAAAAUAAAUUAAUAAAUAAAUAAAUAAAACAAAAUGAAUAUGAUUAUUAAGUUCAUGCAAUUUUCUAAAAAUAAGUAAAUAAAUUAAUAAAACUAAUAAAUAGAUAAAGAUAAAAAAACAAAAACAAAAUCAAGCACAUGCAAGCCAUAUGAGCUAUGCAACCAUGCAAGCCAUGCCAACCAUGCAUCCAUAUAAAAAUGAUCUAAAUGGGCCUAGGGUGCCUAAGUGGGCCUAGGGUGGUGCCUAAUGGGCCUAGGGUGGUGCCUAAUGGGCCAAGUGUGUCUAAAUGGGCCUAAGGUGCUUAAGUGGGUCUAGGAUGGUGCCUAAUGGGCCAAGUAUAUCUAAAUGAGCCUAAAGUGGUGCCUAAGUGGGCCUAGUGGGCCAAGUGUGUCUAAAUGGGCGUAAGGUGCUUAAGUGGGUCUAAGGUGGUGCCUAAUGGGCUAAGUGUAUCUAAAUGGGUCUAAAGUGGUACCUAAUGGGCCUAAGGUGCCUAAGUGGGCCUAGGGUGGUGCCUAAUAGGUCAAGUGUUCCUAAACGGGCUUAAGGUAUCUAAGGUGGGGCCUAAUGGGCCAAGUGUAUCUAAAUGAACCCAGGGUGCCUAAGUGAGCCUAAGUCUAAACUAGGGCUGCCAAGAAUCACAAUGGAGUUAUAUAAAUCACUCAAUCAAAGUCCCCAAGGUGGCUUAGAAAAGAUAGGUUACAUGAGUAGUAGUGGGCCACCAAGGAAUUGUUGUAAAGUAUCAAACGAACACAUAAUAGGACAUGUGCUAGUAUGACAAAAUGGAGGGUCUACAGUCUAACAAUGGCAAAAGAAUCUAUGAGGUCAAGAAAAAAAUGAAAAAAAAUUAUAUGUUUUUUUAAUUCAUUUCAUUUAUUUAUUUUUCUAUUCUAUAUAAAAAUUCAAUAUAUAUAACUUUUUAACUAAUUUUAAUUAUAUUUUUCUUUCAUAUUUUAUAUAAUAAAUCAAAAACUAAAAAAAGAAGAUAUUUUUUAAUAUUUCAACUAUAACAAGGUGGGCAAAAUUAAUUUAUAAUGCUAGGAUAUCCUAACAACCUAACCUUCAAAUUUCCUUAAAUAAAUAAUCACUUCACUAGUAAUAUAUUUUCUUAUUCCACCCUAUUGUGAUUAGCACCAUAGUAUUUGUUAUACUUUGAAGCAUUUUGGUAUGAUUCUUAUCUCAUAAUAAGUCAUUUUUGAAGUAAACCCAACAUGGUUGAUAGAAAUCCUCUUCCUAAAUGAACCUCUAGGUUUCUUAUUCAUGAGUGUUGGUACAUUAAGUUAUAUAGUUUAAGAUUGAUAAUUUUGUUUCAUUCAUUUUGACUUAGGACUUUUUUAGAUUAUGUCUUUCUCUCCUUUGAAAACUCGAAGUUGUCGUGUGAUUAACUGGAAUAACAAAGGUAAGUAUCGAAUGAUCUAGAAAGGAAAAUUAGAGUUAGUUAAGGUUGGCACGAAUGUCCAAUUCUUAAACCGAGUUUUUUUUAAAAUAAGAAAUAAAUAAAAAAAACAGUUUUAAAGAACUCCUUGAGUUCUCUAAUGAUGCAGAGAGCGCUUAAGCGCUCAUUGCAGCACUCAAGUGUGAUAGAAUUCUUUAGAAUUUCACAGCUUUAAUUUUCCAACUUUUACAAGCUUUAUUUUGGGAAAAUUCUAAAUCUGAUCCACUAGGAUCUUGGCCUAAUAAAUAACUUUCCUAAAGAGGAUUUUCUCUUUUUGAUGUUAAUGUUUCAAAAAACCUAAUUUGUCAUCUUGCUCCCAAAACUAUGAAAGAUGAUUGUCUUCGCUUUUACUAGGUUGAGAAAGAGAUUUGCAUCUCCACAAACACUAAAGUAAGAUUCACGGGGAGCACAAGUGGUGUUGUACUACAAAUGUGAAGUAUAGUAGAAGUGAUAGUGAGCUCACGACCCAGAGUUGUUUGCAUCCUUCACAUCCCUGAGAUGUUUGGUUUUCAUCAUUCUAGCCACUUGCAAGUGGCCUCGACUCGACACCAUGAGUUAGAAAGAAUCUUGAUCGGUUAUCUAUUUAAAGCCAUGAGCUCACGACCUAGAGUCGUUCUUCUUAUUUAUGACCCAGAGUCAUUCUUCUUGGUGACAAUGGAGGUGCACUACCUGCAGGAAACAUGGAAGGUAAUGAGUUUCUUGUAGCAACAUUUUUUGUAAAAGAAUUUCCAGGGACAUUCAAGGGAACAUCGGCCUUUGCAUCAUUUAGCAAUGAAGUCACCAGACGAUCAAUCUCAAGAAGCGAAAGCCAUUGGUCAAAAAGCUCCUCGGAGACCCUAAGGUUCGACUUGAGAGCAAAAGGCAACACUUUCGGGAGCUGCAACAUUCGGUGUCCAAAGACACCAUAUUGCCAACUAUCUCCAUAUUCAUUGUUACACAACUUGAUUAAAGCUGAGCUGUGAGAAAUUUUCACAAUUGUUAGCAAUCUUCAGGCAUUUCAAUUAUUUAAAUUUUGGUAAGUAAUCAAAUAUCAUACACAACCUACUCUUUGAAGGGGUCUUGCACAUUGAAGUGGUCCUGGAAGAACAUUCAAAACCAAUACACAUUCAAAUUACUUCGCUUAUAUUGAUACGCGACGAGGAAUUGUUGAUACCCAAGCCACAUGUGAAUCUGUGCCCGUCAUCCGAAGAAUUCUGGUGUUCUGGAUUGAUGGGAGCAAAAAGGUGACCAGUUUUACCUUGAGUCAAAUUCAAAUGACAAAAUAUACUACCAUGGACAACGCCCUUUACUACAAAAAUAGCGCACACGGCCAAUCCCAUCAACCUAGUAUUACACCGAUUUGGAGGCAGAUGUACCAUAUUACUCUGUUGGCUGAACCACUCAGGAAUUCAACUUCUAGGAACAAAAGUACUGGAUUCAAUAUGUCGAGUAUAUGGCACCAUCUGGGUCAUGAAAAUCAAUGUCAAGUUAUAUGGAAAUAAUGUAGCCAUGUAGGAGUAGUGCUCAAAGGAGUAUAAGAAUUAUUCCAUAGGAUUUAAUUGAUUUACUUUUACAAUAUGAUCAAGAAAGAGAGGAGAGAAACCUGAAUUGGGAAUUGAAAUCUUGGUAAUUUAUUCUCCAGACUUUGCAUUUCCCUUAAUGUAGCUGCCACAAAGUUGUUGCUUUCAUUCUCAGACAGUCUGAAGCAAUUAGAAAAUGUGAAUCGGAGGCCCCCACAUUCCUUGGAUCUGUAGACACUUGAUGGACACAAAAUGUUUUCCAUAACUGUGCAAUCAUGGGUAUCUAUUUAUUCUAUACUUGAUGGAAGCUCUGGCAAUGAUUGAAGCCUCUUGCAAUAACCCAACCUAAGGCCUUUGAGCUGUGAAAGUUGAUUGAGGCUUGUAGGUAGAGUAACAAAAUUGUUUUUGCUUAGAUCUAAAUAUUCCAAUGAGCAUAGAGAGCUGAAGUCAUUGGGAAUUGCUCCUUCCAAUAUGUGGCAAUCACUUAGAUUUAGCUUUCUUAGGGAUCUUAAACCAAAGAAAGAUGCAGUUGCAAACCCCCAAAGCGUGGAAUUUCUGCUGGCAACAACUUGAAAAAGAGGAGUGAAUUCCUUGGCUUGGAUUCUAGUCCUUUACAUCCCUCAAAUGAUAAUACUUCAAGGUUUUCUAAAAGAGAAAUAGAGGGUGGCAGCUCUUUUAUACAGUUCCAGCUACUUCGAGCCUCUCUAAACCUUUUAGGCUCCCCGAACCCUUUGGCAAAUUGUCUAGUUUUGAGCAACCAGAUGGAAUAAGAGUCUGAAGAGAUUUCAACUUACAAAUACAAUGUGGAAGAAUUGCAAGGCUUUUGCAUUCUCUCAGAUUCAACAGAACAAGUCCACUUAGAUGUUGGAUUGAUGAAGGUAGCUCUUUUAGAGCAGUUCCAUCUAAGAAAAGUUCCAACAAACUCCCCAUAUUUUCCAAGACUUCUGGAAGUGUUGAGAUAUUAGGAAUGUUUAGAUAUUAGGAAAGUUGAGAUAUUAGGAAUAUUGAGAUAUUAGGAAAGUUGAGAUAUUAGGAUAUUAGUUGUUCUUUCCUUGUAUCAUUCUUUCCCAUUCUUAGAAUGGUGAUUACCCUCUAUAUAUACUUUGUACAUGAACGAAUGAAAGGAAGAAUGAAAAAACUACCAUUUAUCAAUUUGAAGAUGGUAUCAGAGCCAUGGAAUUGAAAUCCUGGAUAUUUUGUCGCUAUGGUAGUCCGACAACGAUCAACCCAUAAUUGGCAAGACCAAUCCAAGACCAACCAUCCUAAGACAAACCCUAACAUUAAUAAGUCAGCCUUCAAAUGCACUCACUGCAAUAAGACUGGUCAUACCAAGAGUUGUUGCUUUGAAAUUUGUGGGAUAUCUAGACUGGUGGGAUCAUAAUCGUGAUAAACGGAAGAAGGAUUCCGAGAAAGCCUCUGCAUUGGUAGCCACUAUAGAUUAUGGUGGUAAGUUUUUAAAUACUUUUACACCUGUUAUUAAUAGUGCAUGGAUAAUUGAUUCUGGUGCUACAGAUCAUAUGACUUUUUAUUCUAGACAGGUUUCAUCCCUUAGACCUUCCUCACAAAAAAUUGUUUCCACAGCCAAUGGUAACACAACCCCAAUCAUUGGGAAAUGAUCCUUGACUCUUACUGAUACUUUGAAUUUGGAUUCUGUUUUAGUUGUUUCAUCUUUAAAUUACAAUCUUUUGUUAGUUUCUCAAAUCACUGCAGGCUUAUCUUGUAUUGUCAUUUUUUGCCCUGAAUUUUGUGUUAUUAAGGACAUCCAAACAAGACAGACGAUUGAUUGUGGUAUUAAGCGGGGAAAACUCUAUUACUUGGACUUGCAAUCAAAGGAUUCAAAUAAGUUGCAACAAGCCUUGAUGGUAGAUGGAUCUGAGGGGGAGAAGAAAAAGUCUAAAAUUUGAUUGUGGCAUCGAUGUUUGGGACAUGCUUCCUUUGGUUAUUUAAAAAAAUUGUUUCCUAGUUUGUUUGCAAAGAGUGAUAUUUCUGGUUUCCGUUGUGAUAUUUGUGAAUUGGCUAAAAGCCAUCAUGCUUUGUUUCCAUUAAUUUUGAAUAAAAGUUUGCUUCCUUUAUGGUUAUACAUUCUGAUGUUUGGGGCUCAUCCAAAGUCCCAUCUUUGAGUGGCUCACGUUGGUUUGUUACUUUUAUUGAUGAUUGUACCAUAAUGACUUGGUUAUGCUUGAUGAGGACCAAAGAUGAAGUGAACUUGUUGUUUUAAAAUUUUCAUAAAAUGAUUGAAACUCAAAACAAUGUAAAGGUUCAGGUUCUAUGUAGUGAUAAUGGUGGAGAAUAUCAGAGUUUUAAUCUUCAAAAGCAUUUGGAAGGACAUGGCAUCAUUCAUCAGACUACUUGUUCCAAUACACCCGAACAAAAUGGAGUCGCUGGAUGGAAAAAUAGGCACUUGUUAGAGGUUGUUCGUGCUUCCUUGAUAGUAGCAAAAAUACCGAUAUCUUAUUAGGGAGAAGCAAUCACAUCUGCCGUAUACUUGAUCAAUCGGGUACCUUACAGCUCAAUUGACUUCCAAACACCUCUCCAAUCUUUUUUAAUGUUGUAGUUGUCCCAACUGUCCCAAAUCUACCUCCUUGUGUUUUUGGUUGGGUGGCAUUUGUGCAUCUACACAAACACCAAUGCACCAAGUUAACUUCCCGUGCAUUGCGAUGUGUGUUUGUUGGAUAUGCAUUGCACAAAAAGGGAUAUUAAUGUUACCAUCCUCCAACUCGACGACUGUUUAUUAUAAUGGAUGUGGUGUUUNNNNNNNNNNNNNNNNNNNNNNNNNNNNNNNNNNNNNNNNNNNNNNNNNNNNNNNNNNNNNNNNNNNNNNNNNNNNNNNNNNNNNNNNNNNNNNNNNNNNNNNNNNNNNNNNNNNNNNNNNNNNNNNNNNNNNNNNNNNNNNNNNNNNNNNNNNNNNNNNNNNNNNNNNNNNNNNNNNNNNNNNNNNNNNNNNNNNNNNNNNNNNNNNNNNNNNNNNNNNNNNNNNNNNNNNNNNNNNNNNNNNNNNNNNNNNNNNNNNNNNNNNNNNNNNNNNNNNNNNNNNNNNNNNNNNNNNNNNNNNNNNNNNNNNNNNNNNNNNNNNNNNNNNNNNNNNNNNNNNNNNNNNNNNNNNNNNNNNNNNNNNNNNNNNNNNNNNNNNNNNNNNNNNNNNNNNNNNNNNNNNNNNNNNNNNNNNNNNNNNNNNNNNNNNNNNNNNNNNNNNNNNNNNNNNNNNNNNNNNNNNNNNNNNNNNNNNNNNNNNNNNNNNNNNNNNNNNNNNNNNNNNNNNNNNNNNNNNNNNNNNNNNNNNNNNNNNNNNNNNNNNNNNNNNNNNNNNNNNNNNNNNNNNNNNNNNNNNNNNNNNNNNNNNNNNNNNNNNNNNNNNNNNNNNNNNNNNNNNNNNNNNNNNNNNNNNNNNNNNNNNNNNNNNNNNNNNNNNNNNNNNNNNNNNNNNNNGUGAACCAGGAAGCGGGUGAGUUGGAUAUGAGUGGUACAACUUUGGAACCAAGUAGUAAUGACCACCCAGAAAUUGAAGAAGUGAUAGAAGAAGGAAGAGACAAUACAAUUGAAUAAUCACCACCAUCUGAACAAUUUAGGUCCGAAGAUGUUUUCACUGAAAUACCAAACCAAUCGUCGUCUGCUGAGGGUGUUCUUAAUUUGGAACUUGAUCCAUUCAUGAAACGGUUACCACACUUUCAUAAUAGAGGUAUUCCUAAACCCACAUAUGAACCUGAAUUGUCUAUUAAAGUCAAAUAUCCCAUGAGCAACUAUGUGUCUAGCCAUUGUUUGUUUGAAUCAAAUAAGUCAUUUGUAAAUCAAUUAUCUACUGUAGCUAUUCCUAACAGUGUGUAAGAAGCCUUAGCUGAUCCAAGGUGGAAAACAACCAUGAAUGAAGAGAUGAAAUCAUUGUAGAAGAAUGAAACAUGGGAACUCGUAGAAUGUCCACCAGGAAAGAAGCCAGUUGGGUGUCGUUGGAUCUAUACUGUGAAGUACAAGGCAGAUGGUAGUAUUGAACGAUUUAAAGCAAGGCUGGUAGAAAAAGGGUACACUCAAACUUAUGAAAUUGACUACACAGAGACAUUUUCACCUGUAGCUAAGAUCAACACAGUUCGAGUAUUACUGUCUUUAGCUGCAAACCUAGAUUGGCCAUUACAACAAUUCAAUGUAGAAAAUGCCUUUCUGCACAGCGAGUUAUCUGAAGAAGUAUAUAUGGAUCUUUCACCAGGAUGCAUGGUGUCAAAAAGCAAUGUCAGAAGGUGUGUAAAUUGAAAAAGUCAUUGUAUGGGUUGAAGCAAUCCCCGAGAGCAUGGUUUGGAAGGUUCACAAAGUUAAUGAGAGCAUUUGGCUAUCAUCAAAGUAAUUUAAAUCACACUUUAUUCUUGAAAAAACAACAUGGUAAGAUUAUGGCACUCAUCGUAUAUAUGGAUGACAUGGUAGUUACAGGAAAUGAUCCUAAAGAAAGAAAAGCUCUGUAGAAUUAUCUAUUUAGAGAAUUCGAAAUGAAGGAUCUAGGUCCUCUGAAAUACUUUCUUAGGCUUGAAGUUUCUCGAUCAAGUGAAGGAAUUUUUCUUUCUCAAAGAAAGUAUGCCUUAGAUCUUUUAUAGGAGACUGGAAUGUUGGGAUGUCAACCUGUUGAUACACCAAUAGAAGAAGGUUUGAAAUUAUGUGUUGAGCCUAAUCAAGGGUCAACCGAUAAGGGAAGAUACCAGAGACUUGUGGGGAGAUUAAUGUACUUAGCUCAUACAAGACCAGAUAUUGCUUAUGCAUUGAGUGUAAUGAGUCAAUACAUGCAUAAUCCUGGAAAGCAAUAUAUGAAUGCAGUCAUGCGUAUUUUGAGGUAUUUGAAGAAUGCUCCUGGGAAGGGAAUUUUGUUCACUAAAAAUGUUGAUCAUUAAAGUAUAGAAGUGUAUACUGAUGCUGAUUGGGCCAGUGUAGUGGAUGAUAGGCGAUCUACAUCUAGUUACUUUACCUUUGUAGGUAGUAAUCUUGUGACAUGGAAAAGUAAGAAGUAGAAUGUCCUCACUCGUUCAAGUGCAGAAGCGGAAUUUAGGGGUAUAGCUUUAGGACUUUGUGAGGCAUUAUGGCUAAGACUCCUCUUACAAGAUUUAGGUUACCUAUCUAGGCAACCAAUCCGAUUGUUUUGUGACAAUAAAACCGCAUGUGAUAUUGCUCAUAAUCCAGUACAACAUGAUCUUACAAAGCAUGUCGAGGUAGACAGAUUCUUCAUUAAGGAGAAGUUGGAUGAUAAGAUUGUGGAAUUGCCUAAGAUUCGAUCAAAAGAUCAAUUGGCCGAUAUCCUCACCAAAGUUGCAGUCUCAAAUCGAGUGUUCUCAAAAUUUUUAGACAAGUUGGGCAUGUGUGACAUCUAUGCACCAACUUAAGGGGGAGUGUUGAGAUAUUAGGAAUGUUUAGAUAUUAAGAAAGUUGAGAUAUUAGGAAUGUUGAGAUAUUAGGAUAUUAGUUUUUCUUUCCUUAUAUCAUUCUUUCCUUAUAUCAUUCUUUCUCAUUCUUAGAAUGGUGAUUACCCUCUAUAUAUACUCUGUACAUGAACGAAUGAAAGGAAGAAUGAAAAAACUACCAUUUAUCAAUUUGAAGAGGAAGCUCUUUGAGUUUUAAGCAAUCUGAGAGAAUAAGAAUUUCAAGUGAUCUCAACCUAUAAAUACAGCUUGGUAAUGACUCAAGGUUUUGACAGUUCCUCAGAUUUAGUAGAACAAGUCCAGUCAGCUAUUCAAUCGACAAGGGCAAUCCUUUUAUUGCAGUGCCCUCCAAGGAAAGCUCUGAUAAAUGUUUCAUGCACUCUUGGACCUCUGGAAACUUCUUGAGUUUGGAGCACUCAGAGAGAGUAAGAAUUUCAAGAGAUUCCAUACAGAUGCUUCUUAGAAAACUCUUAAGAUUCUUGCAGCCUUCUAAAUUAAGGAAAACAAGCUUGUUUAGAUCUCCAAUGGAUCGGUGAACCUUGGACAAACUUGUACAACCUUCAAGAAUUAGUUUCCUAAGGUUUGGGGCCUCCGAGAAGUCUGGGGUUUCAAUUAGGUGUUGGGACUAGCUAAGUUUUACGAAUUUCAAUUGCUGAUACAUUUGUCAAAAACAAAAUAGAAAAAAUGAUUAUAAUUCGGUUAAAGUGAAAUACGAAACUUGCAAAGAUUAUAAUCAUAUACCUUGAAUCAUUUCCAAAGUUGUUCAACUCGACUGUAACUCAUAUUUAGCUCGACAAGCUGCUCAGGAUGAAAAUUUAAUGGGAGGGAUUUCAGAGGGUAUCCAUGCCAAUAUAGACACUUAAGUUGUUCGAUAGAAAUUUGAAGUCUCUAGAAAGAAGCAAUUUACAGUCUUUGAAUUGAUUGAGUUUAUUCAUCCUUGUGCAAGCAUCAAAAUCACCACAUAACUCUUUCCAAGAAAAGUAUUCAAAGCUUCCACAUAGCCGCACGUUACAGACUUUGAGCAAUCUUGAUUUGCCCAUCUUCAUGAAGGCAUCAAAGCUGAAGUGUAGUUCCUUUGAUGCUGAUGAUUACUACUCAAAAAGUGCUAUUUUGUAGCUUGUAAUUAAUCCUUUUAAACACUUUUGAGUAGUAGUUAUUGCCUUUUAACUCAAUUAACAUGUUAAGGACCCUUGCAAUCAUUUCUAAUCAAAUUGUGUAAGUUUUGGUGUUUUUGUUAGUAAUUUGAUCACCAAAACAAUCCAAGAUUGAGGAGAGUUAUUUGGAAUCCAUGGCAAAGCAAUGAAGAGCUCAAAUUCAUGAAGAACCAAGCAUUGGAGCUCCAUAGCCCUUUGCCAAAGUCGUUCAAAGUAUGCAAGGAGAGAAGCAAGGAGAAGAGGAAAACAGAGUGAAGAAAAUAGAGGACAGCAGCUGCAGUCUUCUUUUAUACUUUUGGAGCACUUCCCGAAGUCCAUUUUCUACAUUUGUAUAUACCAUUUCAAAGCUCAGGAAGUCAAGAAUCCAAUGCUUCAAACGGUGUGCGAUUCGGAGUUGAAACGAAGAAGUUACAGCCACUGCAAGUCAAUCACUCUAAAGUGUUGCGAAAUCAGCCUUUUGUUGCGAGAAUUUCGCAGCCUUUUUGUACAGUGUUGUGGAUUUCCUCCUGAAGUUUCACGCCACGAUGGAAGCCAAACACCACAAGGUGGAAGCCAACUUAGCAGCCCUGCGAGUUUAACUUGUUGUUGCGGAAAUAUUUCGCAGCCCUCUUGAGUGUCUGCGAAAUCUCGCAGACACCAUUUUUCACCUGCGAAAUGUUCCUGGAGCUUCCCGAUAUUUGCCACCGACUCUUUUGGAUAUUUUUAUUCAGAUAUUUUUGUAUAAAUUUCCAUUUUCUCCUUGUAUUCAGCCACUCAUGUAAUUCCUUAGCUAGGAAGUAUCCAAGGAAGGGUAAAUUACCUUCCUAUAUAAACUCUCUUGUAAACACUCUCAGGAGACGUUGGGGGGGGGGGGGGAAGUAUGUAAUAUAUAUAAUAUCAUAUAUCAUAUAUAGAAUAUACAGAGCCUUGCUCUGUUUUUCCUUCUCUUUCAUUUUUCAUUUCUUUUUCUUUCUAGCCAACCAAACUCUGAGGAUUUUUCCACAGAGGAUGAGAGGCUAAGCUUUUUGUCUCUUGGAGUGAGGAAAGCCGGGUAAGUUUCCACAUGCAUAAUUUGGAAGUUUUGUUGUUUUAGUUUUUAAUGAAGAGAAAGUGUAACCCGUUAGUGAUUUCUAUGUUUUUAGUUAACUUAAAACACCUUUAAAUCACCUGGGCCAACAGUUGGUAAGGCAAGUGAUUUCCAACCAUGGAAAUGCACUAGUUUACCCCUUGCGAGCCUUUGGGAGGUGACUUGAAGGUAGGAUUUUCUAGAAUAGCCAACACUUGGUAAGCUUUUGGACUCCAAGGAGACAUCCAUUAGUUAUCUCUUGCGAGCUUUUGACGGGUAAUCCAAGGUUAAAGAUCAUCUUGAAUGGUAAGUGCUCGUGAGAGGCAUGAACCAUUGCAAGUUGCAUCAGUGAGAGGGAUUUGGUGUUUGAACCCAUUAAUGGAAAGCAUCUGUACAACACCGGUUAGAGAAUUAACUAUAUGUUAAUUCUCUAAUGCGAGGAAAAGAAACAAGUGACCGGAACUCCCUUUUUGUAUGAGGAAUCUGAGCCUAGUGAUCUGAACUCCAAGAAACAUCUUUUCUUUGUAGUUAAAAUCAGUUACUAUUUUUGGUUAGUUUAAAUCUAAACCUUUUUUCAUUCAAGCAUCUUUAUGUUUUCUUUUAAAGCUAACCUUGCAAUGAAAAGGCACCAAUUCAGCUUUGAAUUAAUAUCAUUUGUGAAGUGAAAACACAUCCCAGUGAACGAUCCUAGAGCCACUAUGCUAUAGUAGCUUUGUCUUUGCUACCCUAGUAUAUGGUGUAAUAGGUUAUAAAUUUUGUUGAUUACUCCCUCAAUCAAGGAGCACCAGCUGGACAUGAAUCAGUUGAGACACCAAUUGGGCACGAAUCAAAUGGUGCCGUUGCCGGGGAUCGAACCUCGAAUCAAAUGGUGCCAUUGCCACUGCCACUGCUAGGCACGAAUCAAAUGGCGCCGUUGCUGGGGAUCGAACCCCGAAUCAAAUGGUGUCAUUGUCACUGCCACUGUUAGGGACGAAUCAAAUGGCGCCGUUGCCGGGGAUGGUGCCACUUUGCAGUGAUAUGAUCUUUUGAGAACACUUGUGAUCUUCAUUACAAGUUUGGUGACUUUUCUUUUCCUUUUACUAACUCUUUUUUAUUUCUUUAUUGUUCAUAUUUGAGUAUACCUUUUAUUUAGUUUUUAGUUUACCUUAAUUUUCUUUCUUUGAAUUGUUUUUCUUUUGUUUUCUUUUGUGUUCUCUGUUUUUAAUUCACAAGUUGCUAGUUGUGCAUGCCAUAUUGAAUACCAUAGCAGAAGAAGCCAUGAACUUCUUGAUAUAUGUGGCUGAAUUUUCAAGAGAAUGGGGUGAACCAAAUGCUAGAGAUAUGGGAAGAAUGACGUCUCAACCUAAAGCUAAGGGUGAGAUGUAUAUUUUGAAUGACGGCAUGGACAUGAAGGCAGAGAUUGCAGCUAUGGAAAGGAGAUUGGAUGAGCUAGAAAUGAACCAUAUGCAAGAAGUGCAAGCCAUUUCUCAAACACCAUUGCUACCUAUGCCUUGUGCCAUUUGUCGAUCAUAUGAGCACUUGGUGGAUGAGUGUCCUACCAUUCCAGCCAAGAGGGAAAUGUUUGGUGAUUGCAACACCUACAAUUCCAAUUGGAGGGACCAUCCAAAUUUCUCUUGGAAACCAUAGCCACAUCAGUAUCAGCAACCUGCUCAAGCACCACAGCGAGCCUCAAGCCUUGAACAAGCUAUGGUGAAUCUUAGCAAGUUCGUGGGAGAUUUUGUUAGAAAGCAAGAAGCCAUCAAUGCUCAAAUCAAUCAAAGAAUUGACAGAGUGGAGAGUACUUUGAAUAAAAGAAUGGAUGAAAUGCAAAAUGAUCUAUCUCAGAAGUUAGAUAUUCUCCAAGAUUCAAUCUCAAGGCUUGCUAACCUCAACACAAUGCAAGAGAAAGAAAACUCUCCUUCUCAACCUUGUCAAAAUUCUAUGAGUAUCCAUGAAAUGGAGGCUAAGGAGGGAAAAUCUUCACAAAAGAAGGAAGUCAAAGAAGUGAUCACUCUGAGGAGUGGUAAAGAGGUUGAUCUGCCCACAUGCAAGCUAGAGCAUAAGGUAGAGAGUGAAACAGAGAAAGAAAAGAGGGAGGAAAUCAAAGGAAAGAAAAAUGGCAAAAGCAUAGAGAAAGAUGACUAUGAUGUUAAUGUACAAAGAGAACCACAGAGGAUAGUCAUCAAAAAAGAAUUGAUGAAGAAACACAUGCCUCCACCUUUUCUCCAAGCUUUGUAUGAAAAAAUCAUACAGAUCACAUCUCAAGUGAGGGAUGCAAACUUCAUAUGGGAUCCGGGCAAGCUAAAUAAGGAUCAAAUUUUUUGAUGGACUUAGUCUUUCUAAAGACUAGCUAGUCCAUAUCUUUUUAUUUUACUUUUUACUUGUUUUAAUUUUGAUUUCAAUGUUUUAAUUUUGAUUUCAAUGUUUUAAUUUUGAUUUCAAUGCUUUAAUUAUGUUUGUUUUGAUGUAAUAUAGGUUUUUGGAUGAUCAAAAUCAAGAGGAAUUGUAAAGAAAUUGAAGGAAGUCUUUCGGAGCAAAAUCGGAGCAAAAUCGGAGUCAAACGGAGCGAAAACAGGGGUCUGCGAGAUUUCGCAGCCUCUGCGAAAUCGGCACUUUGCUGCGAAACCAGUUCGCAGCCCAAUUACCCUCUCUGCGAAAAUUUUCGCAGCUGCGAAACCACUUUUGGCACACGAGUGCCACUUCGCAGCACAGGAGCCCCCAUUUCGCGGCUGCGAACCACCAAAGCAUGAAAUCCUCCAUUUCGUAGGGAAAACUCCAUUUGGAAGGGUGUUUUGCAGCUGCGAAGCCAACUUUUGGCACACGAGUGCCAUUUCGCAGCACAGUACCCUCAUUUCGCAGCUGCAAAAAUGGCUGCGAAACCUAAAAAAAAAAAAAAAAUUCAUUUUUUUUGGCAAUAAAAGUCCCAUUCCGCAGAGGAUUUCACGGCUGCGAAAGCACUUUUGGCACACGAGUGCCAUUUUGCAGCACAGUGACCCUCAUUUCGCAGCUGCGAAACGGCUGCAAAGUUCUAAAACGUGAAAAAUCCCAAUUUCACAGCCACACCCCCAUUUCGGCAACUGUUGGACACAUUUCGAUCACUUCCUGAAGUUCAAAUUAUGCAUGAAAUAUCUUGUUUCAAAGCUUGGGAAGUCACGAGUCCAUAGCUUCAAACGGUGCUCGAUUUGGAUUUGAAAUGGAAAAGUUAUGGCUGUUUGAAGAUGACUGUGCAAACCAUGAACGGAAAUGUCGCACCUCCAUUUUGCUACUAUUGGACACGUUUUUGAAGCACUUCCUGGAGCUAAAAUUAUGCAUGUGAUAUCUCGUUUCAAAGCUUGGGAAUUCAGGAGUCCAGAGCUUCAAAUGGUAUGCGAUUUGGAGGUGAAAUGAAGAAGUUAUGGUCGUUUGAAGACAAGCGCGCAAAGCUGAGCGAGAAUUUCGCAGCCGAGACGCCAUUUGGAAGGGUGUUUCGCAGCUGCGAAACCACUUUUUGGCACACGAGUGCCAUUUGCAGCAUAGUUCCCUUCAUUUCGAAGCUGCGAUACAACUGCGAAAUCACCUUUGAGCUGCGAAACCACUUUUUGGCACAUGAGAGCCAUUUUGCAGCCCCGUACACUCAUUUUAGAGCUGCGAAAUCACUUUUGAGCUUUGAAAUGGCUGUGAAAUGAUCUCCGAGCUUCGAAAUGGCUGUGAAAUCACCUCCAAGCUUAGAAAUGGCCUGCAAAUUGCGAAAUUGACUUGCGAAAUGGAGGAAGGUUUGCAAAAACACCUUGCAAAGCCAAGAGAAGUUGCUAAAAUGCCAUCAGAGCCCUGCAACCAUGCAUAUGAAGAGGAGAGCCCCACACACCCUGGGAUCACACACACAAAGUCUCUCACUCCAUUUCUGACCUCCUUAAACCAUCAAAUCCCAUAGCUACCAACUGAGAGCUCCAGUUGAGGAUACUAUGCCACCUAAGGAGACUACCAGAACAGAGGCCAAAGUCCUGAUCCAACCUAUUCAAGAGGGCCACACAGACACAUCAGCUCCACAGGACCUUACCAUUACUUGAUCAUCUCUUUACUUUUUGUCUUUACAUAUUAUAUUAGUAUAGAUAAUUCCAUAUUUUGAUGUUUUAUAUUCUAGGAUUGGAUGUAUUACUGGUGAUACAUCAUAUAUAGACAUCAAUUUUUGUUUAAACUUAGCAUUUUUCUAUUUCCUCUACUCACUAACUCUUAUGUUUUCUUUGAAACAUGUGGUUUCUCCUAUACGACUCAGACUCCAUGUCACUCAAGAGGUACCACUUCCUCCCUAUUUUUUAAUCGCUUUUGUCACAUUGAGGACAAUGUUCAGCUUGGUUGGGGGGAGAGUUGAGGAAGUAAGUAUUGUUAAUAAUGCUAAGUUAUUUUGGUAAUUUAGUUGUUUUUUGCUUAAUUUUUAAAAUUUUUAAAAGUUUUUAUUCUACUCUCCAUGGUUAUUAAGGAAAAAUUUUCAAAAUGAAAUGGGAGAAAUUGAAUUUUUGUCUUUUUACUUGACUUAGAUUUUGUAUUAUGCUUAUUAAAGUUGGUGAAUUGUUGAAACUUCUAUUGAAGUCAACCUUAGUUCUUCCACUUUAAGCUAUCCACACACUAUGCACAAUAGGUUCCGAGUAUAAGAUGAAAAACUAUUUCCCUCUUGACUUAGGAAAAUUUUAGACUUGGUACCUUUGACCUCUCUUUAAUAGUGUUGGGACACCUCAUAAAGACCAAUGAGUCUUUGAAAAAAUAGAAAAAAAAGAAAAAGAAAAAGAAAAAGAAAAAGAAAAAAAAUAUAUAGAAUAAACUUCUUUGCUUGCCUUGAAACCCGAGCAAGGUCUGAGGGGUAUAUGGUGAAAAUCUUUAAAACCUGGUGCCCUAAGCCUUCAUUGGUUGGGAGUCACCGACCUCAAUGCUCGUUACAAGGGUGGAUAGGUGGAGUUUAACAUACUGUAGGUGCUUGAGUAUUAAAAUUCAUUCUCAAAAGUCCGGGGUAAAAUCCGAGGAGUUAGUGGUUGAAAGAUCCUUAAAGCUUGAUGCCCUAAACCUUUAUUGGUUGGGAGUCAUCGAUGGACCCCUGUUACAUGGACAAUUUAUAAAAAAAUACCUUUAAGCCUUGUACUCCUACAAUGAAAAAAAUUGUGAAAAAAGAGGUGCGUUCUUAGCCUUUUGGAGGUUGAUUAGUUUGCUAAGCUUUGAAAAAGAACUAGGUUGGGGGGAGAGAUUAGUUCAACAUACUAUAUUCGGAAGCUAAUAAAUAACACUUAGAUUUUUGUGGAAGAGUAAGGUUUGACCUUUUGGAAGUGCAAAUGAUUUUAAAGCUUAAAUUUGCAUAAUGCCUUCUCUUUAUGAAUUGUGAUUAGACAAGUUAUUUGAUAACUCUUGUUGAAGUUUGAGUUUUAUUUCUUUAAUGUUCCAUGUGAGAGUUAGAUCAUCAUGCCACUUGAGAAUUGUUUUUUUUUUAUCAGCAUGAUGUUGUAAAUUAUAGUAUUGUUUAUUUUUAGUUUUUAUCUCCUUCAUUGCUAAGGGACUAGCAAUAUGUCGGUUGGGGGGAGUGAUUACUACUCAAAAAGUGCUAUUUUGUAGCUUGUAAUUAAUCCUUUUAAACACUUUUGAGUAGUAGUUAUUGCCUUUUAACUCAAUUAACAUGUUAAGGACCCUUGCAAUCAUUUCUAAUCAAAUUGUAUAAGUUUUGGUGUUUUUGUUAGUAAUUUGAUCACCAAAACAAUCCAAGAUUGAGGAGAGUUAUUUGGAAUCCAUGGCAAAGCAAUGAAGAGCUCAAAUUCAUGAAGAACCAAGCUUUGGAGCUCCAUAGCCCUUUGCCAAAGUCGUUCAAAGUAUGCAAGGAGAGAAGCAAGGAGAAGAGGAAAACAGAGUGAAGAAAAUAGAGGACAGCAGCUGCAGUCUUCUUUUAUACUUUUGGAGCACUUCCCGAAGUCCAUUUUCUACAUUUGUAUAUACCAUUUCAAAGCUCAGGAAGUCAAGAAUCCAAUGCUUUAAACGGUGCGCGAUUCGGAGUUGAAACGAAGAAGUUACAGCCACUGCAAGUCAAUCACUCUAAAGUGUUGCGAAAUCAGCCUUUUGUUGCGAGAAUUUCGCAGCCUUUUUGUACAGUGUUGUGGAUUUCCUCCUGAAGUUUCACGCCGCGAUGGAAUCCAAACACCACAAGGUGGAAGCCAACUUAGCAGUCCUGCGAGUUUAACUUGUUGUUGCGGAAAUAUUUCGCAGCCCUCUUGAGUGUCUGCGAAAUCUCGUAGACACCAUUUUUCACCUGCGAAAUGUUCCUGGAGCUUCCUAAUAUUUGCCACCGACUCUUUUGGAUAUUUUUCUUCAGAUAUUUUUGUAUAAAUUUCCAUUUUCUCCUUGUAUUCAGCCACUCAUGUAAUUCCUUAGCUAGGAAGUAUCCAAGGAAGGGUAAAUUACCUUCCUAUAUAAACUCUCUUGUAAACACUCUCAGGAGACGUUGGGGGGGGGAAGUAUGUAAUAUAUAUAAUAUCAUAUAUCAUAUAUAGAAUAUACAGAGCCUUGCUCUGUUUUUCAUUCUCUUUCAUUUUUCAUUUCUUUUUCUUUCUAGCCAACCAAACUCUAAGGAUUUUUCCACAGAGGAUGAGAGGCUAAGCUUUUUGUCUCUUGGAGUGAGGAAAGUCGGGUAAGUUUCCACAUGCAUAAUUUGGAAGUUUUGUUGUUUUAGUUUUUAAUGAAGAGAAAGUGUAACCCGUUAGUGAUUUCCAUGUUUUUAGUUAACUUAAAACACCUUAGAGUCACCUGGGCCAACACUUGGUAAGGCAAGUGAUUUCCAACCAUGGAAAUGCACUAGUUUACCCCUUACGAGCCUUUGGGAGGUGACUUGAAGGUAGGAUUUUCUAGAAUAGCCAACACUUGGUAAGCUUUUGGACUCUAAGGAGACAUCCAUUAGUUAUCUCUUGCGUGCUUUUGACGGGUAAUCCAAGGUUAAAGAUCACCUUGAAUGGCAAGUGCUAGGUGAGAGGUAUGAGCCAGUGCAAAGUGCAUCAGUGAGAGGGAUUUAGUGUUUGAAUCCAUUAAUGGGAAGCAUCUGUAUAACACCGGUUAGAGAAUUAACUAUAUGUUAAUUCUCUAAUGCGAGGAAAAGAAACAAGUGACCGGAACUCCCUUUUUGUAUGAGGAACCUGAGCCUAGUGAUCUGAACUCCAAGAAACAUCUUUUCUUUGUAAGUAAAAUCAGUUACUAUUUUUGGCUAGUUUAAAUCUAAACCUUUUUCAUUCAAGCAUCUUUAUGUUUUCUUUUAAAGCUAACCUUGAAAUGAAAAUGCACCAAUUCAGCUUUGAAUUAAUAUCAUUUGUAAAGUGAAAACCCAUCCCAGUGAACGAUCCUAGAGCCACUAUACUAUAGUAGCUUUGUCUUUGCUACCCUAGUAUAUGGUGUAAUAGGUUAUAAAUUUUGUUGAUUACUCCCUCAAUCAAGGAGCACCAGCUGGACACGAAUCAGCUGAGACACCAAUUGGGCACGAAUCAGCUGACAAGUCAAGGACUAUGCCUUCAACUACUUCACUCCCUUGCAAUUAACCAGGAAUAGAGUAUGAAUUGGAAAUUAAAAUCACAAAAUUCUAAAAGGAAAAGCACAGAAAGCAUCAAACUAAUAACUUAUUUUAUUUUUUUUAGGCAGUGUUCAAGGAAGCAAGUAUGAAGAUAAAAUAAAAUUCAUCUACUAAGACAAAAACUCAGGGAAAAGUUAGCAAAGGAUUCAAAUCAAAUAAUCCCCCCAACUUUAUAUUUGCCUUUGCAUACAUAAAUAUGCAAUACCUUAUUAAAAUUGUACAUAUAUGUGAGUUUCUCAAAUGAAUUGAAAUUAUCCAAACUUCCUCUUCACCUAGAGCUUAUAUAUACAAAAAGGGAAUGCACACACAAAGUUCAUGUAUUUAGGUCUUACUGUAUUUCUAGUUAAUGCAUCAUUGACAUAUGCAUGAAUCCACAAUCUAUUGUGUUUUUUAGGAUAUUUAAGAGAUUCUUGCCAAACAAUUUCCCAACCCAUUUCUUGUAACAAAUCAUGCAUGCACAACUUAUUAUCUGAAACAAUUAUGAGUGACUUAUCAACGAGAACCCUUAUUCCAAUAUCCAGAAAGAAACCACAACUCUCUAGUAUUUCUGUGAUAAAAUCUUUGUCCUCCCAUUUACAAAAACAUGCAAUAUCGAGAAAUAUAUCUCUCUUUGUCAUCUUAUCCAUUAAAACCCAUUUUGAGCACAUUCUGAAUUUCCAUGUUGGAAAUUCUUUUUAGUUUGUCCAAUUCACUUUUCCAUUCAAGUAUGCUCUUGUUAUACAAAAAAGCACCCAAGACUUUAAGAGCUAAAGGACAUUUAACCGUUUGAUCCAAACAAUUCAAAAUUGGUCUAAUAAAUAAACCCUUCAAAAAGAGAAAUUGAAACAGAAAUGUCACUUGGUGGUUGGACCAAUUUGACCAAUUGAUUUGGUUCAAUUUUCAAAAAAUAUUACUUUAACAUGUAUGAUAAUCAAAACAUAGAAAAAAAAAACUAUUUUUCAAGAAAUGAGAUUAUUAUAAAAAAUAGAAAAUGUAAUCUAUUUUAAUGAUAUGAUAACUUGUAACUAGAUGAAACUUUGAUUGGCAAAGAAAAAGAAAAAGAAAAAGACCUUAAUGAAUUAGAAAAUAUUAUCUUUUAUAUUAAACUUAUCUUUGUGUAAAAGCUCUCUACAAUUAACUAUAUGUUUUCAUAAAGCUUUAUUUAGGCUAUGUUACAUUCUUGGAAAUUAAAAAAUAAAAAAUACAUAAAAUUAAUAAAUUAUUUUUUUCAUUAAUAUAAAUUAAAUAAUUUUAAAUACCUAUAAUUUUCAAAAUUUUUAAUCAUGGUAGUGGGUCUUUGAUCAACCAAAGAUAGCCCAUGCAUCAUCUGCCAAAGUGAAGCACAACAACCUUAUAAUAGUGAUGUCACAUAGCAAUUCAUUAUUCAUUAUUUUGUUUUCCCUUUUCAUUGUGGAUUUUCUUAAAGCUAUUAAAAAAACACACGAUAUCAAGAUUUGAGCGUGGGUCUUUCACAAUAUCUUUUAUAUACUAAUAAUUGUAAAUUAAUUAAAAUAAAAUUAUUAUAACUAAGUUAAUUUUAAUUGUCUUAUUAUGUCUCUUAUAUAGUGGUUAAAUAUAGGACAAAUAUAAAUUCAUAAAUAAAAUUAUUAACAUUUUCAAAUAAAAAAUAUAAAUAUAUAUCAAUAUAUUUUUUUUUAUAUCCUUCAAUAUAUCUAAACUUAAUGCAUUAUCAUUUUAGUAUUAAUGUUUCCCAAUUCGGUAUAUUAUUGUCUAAUAUUACAAAUUAUUAUACAUUUAUCAAUUUUUCUUAAAACAAAUUCAAUAUAUUCAUUAUUAUUUUUCUAUCAUUUUUUGAGUUAUUUCUAACAUUUCAUGAGUUUUUUUUUUUUAUCAAUUUCCAUCUCAUAUAUAUAUAUUGCAGAAUUUUCAUUGAUAUUUCUUUAUAUAGCUAUAAACUCCAACUAAUGAUAUAUUAGUAAAAAUCAAUAUUUUCAUUCUUACUUAACAUAAGAACGAAAAUUAUUCAAAUGGUGCAUAAAUUAAUGUGACCUCUUGAUGAGAAUGACAACGACAACCAUGAGUCAUAGUUAGUGUAUGUGUGUGGUAAAUUAACUUAGUGUUUGAUAAAAUAAUUAUUUAUCAUCAUUUAAAAUUUAAAAAUAAAUUUAAAUAUUAAAUCAAAAUAAUUAACUUAUUCUAAAUACUAAAUUUUUUUAUUCUCUUUGUUCAUAUUUGGUGAUAAUCAUGCUUUAUUUUUAGAAUUCUUUUUUUUUUUAGUAAAUAUUUUAUAGUUAUUUUGUAGCUUCACAAUAGUACUUUUUAAUAUAAAUGUUUAACAAGCUUAAGUUUAUGAAUAUAAAUAUUAAGAAAAAUUAAUGAGUUUAAAUAUAUCAAUAUAAUAAAUUUAAAAAAAUUAAGUUGAUUUUACCAAAAUUAAAGUAAAAAUAAUUCAUCUUAAAAUUAAUUUCAAUAAUUAAGUAAUAAGGAUUAAAUUUUAUCAUACAUUCUCUUAAUUAAUAAAUGACAUAACUUCUUUCAACAACUUCUUCAUUCUACUUUAGAAAAAAUAAAAUAAAAUAAAUUAAAAAAUUAACGUGAUAUUUAUUUAUUUAUGUCUAAAAUUUAAAUAUACUUGAAUUUGACUUAAAUCUAAAUAUAGCUUAAUAUCAUUAAGUGUUUAGACUUUUUUUAUUAGUGUCUAAAUAUUAUUAAUUGUUAAAUUGUUUAUUUUUAUUAAUAUCAAAAUAUGUGAAGUGUUAAAUUUGUUUAUUUUUGGUUAAAAACAUUUAUAAAAGUCAUUGUUAUAUUUCUUCUUAUUUUAUUUUGAAAAGUUGUAAUUUAACAAAAUAGUAAUUUAAUUAACACAUCUAAAAAUAUUAUAAUACAUUAUCAAAGUAAAAAUUUUAUAAUGAUAAUUAUGUAAUUAGUAAAUUAUAUUAUUGUACAAUCCAUCGUUCCAUGUUGUAUAUUAUAGCAUAGUUGUGCGUACCCAUCAAUGCAUAGACAUAUGUCUUUUGAUAAUUAUGUAAUUAGUAAAUUAUAUUAUUGUACAAUCCAUUGUUCCAUGUUGUAUAUUAUAGCAUAGUUGUGCAUACCCAUCAGUGCAUAGACAUAUAUCUUUUGAUAAUCUAUCAUGCAUGAAUGUCUCGUGGACUCUAAGUGAAGCAUGUAGCUAUUAUAGUAUAAAGAUGGUGUAGGAAGAGGCUCCAGGUUUACUAGUUCACACUCAACCAUAGCAAUAGGGAAUAUAUUGCACAUUAUUUCCAUCUAAAAGAAAUGUAGAAAAGACCUUAGAAAUGAAACUUUUAGAUCAAACCUAAGGGUGCCAAUGAGAUGACUCUAAGAAGGAUCACCUCAAUCUCAAUCUUAUGUCAUUUAUUUAUAUUAAAUGGGGUGAGAUAAAACAAAAUCAUAUUUGAACCUGUCUUAAACUUGGUCCGAGAGCAAGAAGGGUCUCUAAAAAAAUCUGCCUCAUUGUCAUUCUUAAGUACGCAUCUAUACCAAUGAAAGUUUUUACAUCUAUUCAAAAAUUCGAUGUUCCCGAAUUAAUUAACUUCACCAAACUACAUACACUUAAUAUGCAUGAAAAAGUGUCAAAAUUCUCAACCAAUCAAUGAGAUAAACUGUAAUUAAGUUUAGUACAUUGUAACCCUAAAAUACCUCCAAACCCCAUUUCUUGUAAGACCCCCUUCUAAUUAGGUUGCAAGUAUUGAAGUACUUUACACAUCUAAUUAGGCGAACAACAAGUAUCAAGAUAAGGCUGCAAGCCAUACAUAUACAUAUGCAUAUAAAUUUAAAAUUGAAAGAAAAUAUUAUCAAAUUUUAAAAAGAUAAAUUUCAAUUUUUUUUUUUUUUUUUUACCUUUGAUACAUUUUUUAAGCUUGUACCCUUUUGUUAUACAUAUUCAUUGGAGCAUUUCUUUGACUUCCCUAAGAACUAUUUUUUUUCCAGGACUAAAAACUUUUUCCUUAUUCGACUUGGGAUAUUAUAUACAACCACAACCUAACUUUCAUAUAUAAAGAAAUAUAUUUAAAUAGAAUAAAAUUCUUUUAUUCAUAAUUUAUUUUAUUUAUAUUAUAUUAUUUAGUUAUAUUAAAAAAUUAAAAAUAAUUAUGUUAAUUUAGGUUUUGUUUGCAUUUUUUAAAUUAUAAUCAUUAAUAACAAAGUGGUGAUAGCUUAAACAUAAUCUAAAGGUCCAUGGUUCAAACCCUUGGUUUCUCAUUGUUUUCCUGGUCUCAUUAGGUGGGCUAGGCUUGGAAUGUGAAGGGCUAACCUUUCACCCAUGAUCCAACCUUUUAGUUGAUGAAAAAAGAAGGCUAACCUAGAACCGAUAUACGCAAACCUAGAACUGAUAGACCAUGGUUCAAAGUUGUAGUCGCGAUCACUAACUUGGAGGGUCUUGAGGCACAUCAGUCUUGACAUCUUAGCUCGAUAUUGGAUGAUAUGUAAAAUAAGAUAAAUAAAAAUUAUAAAAUAUUAUAAUAAAUAUUUAAAAAAUAAAUAUAAUUAAAUAAACUUAAAAAUUAAUAAAAUAAAAUAUUGUGAAAAUUAAAAUUGUUCAAUAAAUUUUUAAUAUUGAAAUUGAAAACAAAAACUCUUUAAUUACCAAACUCAAAUAAGAAAAUAAAAUAAAAUGGGAUGAUUUUUACCACACAUUAGCAUUUAAAAAUUGAAACAAUAAAAUAACAUAUAUUAUUGAUACUGUCAUUUAAAACAACUAAUAUAUUAUUGAUGAUGGCAUUUAAAACAAUAAAAUAGUGCAUUAGACCUGAUUUCAAAUCUUCAAUUCUCAAACACCACCAACCCACCCAUGAAUAGAGAAAGAGAAGAGAACCCUAGCAAAAGUAGAGAGCUUCCUCUACAACCCACACCCACUCCCACACCGACAUCGACACUACGGAGAUAAAGUAGAGAGAUAAGAGAUCAACACCCAAGAUCAUCACUAAUGGAGGAGGAGGGGUCCAUGAAGGUGUUGCAGUCCACCAUGUGGUGAGGUUAGCAAAGAAAUGCCCUCCACCUCCUCUUCUCAUACACCUCAAAGACAAUCACGACUUGGACUAAAAAACUUUUCAAAGACUUCAUUGGGGUCAUCCUCUUCAUCAUGGGUCGUGAUUCUCAUGAAAUUUUUUUUCCUUUGAAGAGUCAUUGUUUUUAAAAAAAUUCUCAGUUAUGGUUGUUGUUUUGGUGUUUUUUCUCAGUUUUGGGUGUUGUUUUGCUAUGAUUUAGAAGGACAAUUGUUUGUAUUGAGUUUAACUCAAAAAAAAAUUUAGUAACUCGAAUGAUUCGUGCAAGUUAACUCAGUAUCUCGACUAAAUCAACUGAGUUUAAUCGAUUCCUGCUCGGGUCUUUACUUAAGAUGAUAUUGAGUAUCGGACUUGGCGUGGAAGGGGUUGAGGCGGAUACAACUCGGCCAAGUCAUACCGGACUUGAUCGAUACUUUGAACCAUGCGACAUACUGGUUCAUUGACUCACUAGUCCAACUGUUAGUCUAUCCGAUUCAAGGCUGAUUCAUUGUGUACUCCAACCUAAAGGCCAAACUAGACCAGGCUUCGGUGACAGUCCAACUUGGUCCUAGCUAGAUUUUUUAAUUUAUCCAAUUAAGAAAUCUCAAAUUAAUAAUAAUAAUAAUAAUAAUAAUUCAACUUUUGAAAAAGAAGAAAAUAUAUUAUUAUUUUCUAAUAGUUAAAUUACAUAUUAUAUAAUGGUAAAGCUUAAGAGGAAUCUAAAAUAUAAAAAACUAAUAUUACCAUUUCCAAUUUCUCAAAAUGAGAAAAAUGACUUUUAUUUCCAAUGACAAUAAAUUGUAUAGUUUGAUAAAUAUAUAAAAAAAAAAGGGUGCCAUAUGUAUCUUAGGGCGUGUUUGGUACAUAAGAAUGAUGAAUGAGAAUGAAUAUUUUGUUUCCAUUCUUAUUUCCUCUUGAAUAGGAAUGAAUUUGGUAAUUCCAAUUUUUGUGUUUGGAUGCAUAUAGGAAUGUAAAGUUGGAAUAACAAUUUGUUUCCAUUUUAAUGUUAAGUAAAAAUGGGAAUGAAAAUGGAAGAAAAGAAAUAAAUUAUCAAUAAUAUUCGUACAUAUGGUUUAAAAUAUUUGUUUUAAAAUUUUUUUAAGAGUUUUUCUACUUAAUAUUAACAAUAUAUUUCAAUGUAUGAUUUCAAAAAAAAAAAAUUGUUUUAAAAAAAUUAUACCUAGUUAUUGUUCUUUAGAAACAAUUUUUAAAAAUAAAGUAAAAUAUAAAAUUAUUAUUCCAUUUUUUUUUUCAUUUGAGAAAAUAAAUUUCAAAUCAAGUGAAACUUUGUAUUAAAUUUAUUAAUAACUUUAAUAAUUUUAAAAAAUAAUUUAAAACUAAAAAAAUAUAUGUAACGACUAUAAAAAAUAAUAGACAUAAUUAAUACUUUAAAAUUCUUUAAUAAAUCUUGUAAUUUUUAAAAUUAAUUUAAUACUUUAAAAUUUAAUUAAUUAAUAUUAGAUUAAAUAAAAUAAUUCAGAAUGUCAUCUUUGUAAUUGAGUAAUAAAUAUAUGCAUAUAAUGAAAAAUUUGGCUUAUUUAUACCUUACAAUUUUAAGGGCAAGGAAGUGAUCUAAUGUAGGUUGCUUAAUAUGAAAAGAUGCUUUAAAAUUUAAGAGCUUUUCAUGGAGCUCAUCAAAUGUAAUUGGGGUGUCAUGUGCUUGAACGACAUAGACUAGUUCUCUGUAUUCGUCAACAAGGCCAUAAAAGAUUUUCUCCAUGGCAUCCUCUUCAUCCAUUAGGGCACCAAGGAAAGUAAGUUCAUUGGCACGGGCUUUAAUGGUUUGUAGGAAGGCAGUGAUGCUUUGCAAACCCUUGGUGUGAUUCUUAAGGUGGUUGUUGACUUGUUUAAUGUAGACAUGUGAUAGUUUGACAUAGCUAUUGGUGAAGAUGAUUUAUGCUUCAUGAGAGGUUGUGGCACAGGCAAUGAAUGGAAUUAUGGUGGGUGAAACGAAGCCAAUAAGUGCAUUUAGGAUCAAUUGAUGUUGACGAAGCCAUGAAGAAUAGGUUGGGUUGGGUAUUACGGUGUUGUUAGCAAUGAGAGUGGUGGGUGGACAAGGUUUGGUUUUAUCAAUAUAGCUAAGGAGGUUAAAGCCAAUAAGCAGUGUUUGGAAUUGAAAUCUUUAUGAUAUGUAGUUGGUAGUGGUUAGUUUAAGUGGGGCUUAAGCAAAAACAUUUAUUGAGAUGAGUAUUUGGUGUGACUGAUGGGUGUUGUGAAUAUUGAGAGUAGAAGUUGCAGAAGUGGUGACAUCUUAGGUGGCUAUGAGGUUAUGAUGAUGUGGAGGAGCAUUAGAUGGCUUUGGCAAAGAAAAAGAGGUAAGGAAGAAAAAGUGGUGGUGAGGGUUUUUAGGUCAAGAAGCUUGAAUGCUCUAAUGCCAUAUUGAAAAAUGAGAUUGGUAAAUUAUUGUGUUUUUUUUUUCCUUUGAUUAUGAAGAAUAUAUAUAUACAUGUACAAAGAAUAUAAAUUUGGAAAGUUUCCUAAUUACCUAAAAUCAUAACCUAGAAUAUACUAAUUUAUAGUCAAUAGAUUACUUAUAAAAUGAAACAAAUUAUCUACAAAAGAAAACAAAUUAGUGAUUGAAAGAGAAUAUGGUAAUUUCCUUUAUUAGUGUCAAGUUUAACACCCCCCACAUCAAAAGGUGUAUUUGGAACCAUGUACAUAUUUCUGUUCUUGAAUUUCAUUAAUUAAGAUGUCCAACUUCUUUGCCUUUCAAAGAAAUUUCUCAUUCUCAUCAAUUUGAAAAUUGUAAUGGAAAGCUUCAAAAAGCAUCAAUAGUCUCCCAGUCUAUCACCAAUCAAAAUGCAAAUGCCCCUAUACAAGGUUUGCUACCAUCAUAUGACCUUUAUGUUGAAAUGAUGACAUUGCCCUUUGUAUAGUGGUGUGGCAUGCUUUGAUUUUUUACAAGUUGAAUUAUACUAAAAGUGCUUAUGGAGUCAGUUUAAGGAAAAGUAUUGGAGCUAGACAAGGGUUGCAAUAGGUCAUCACUUUAAUAUGCUGAGCGUUAAGAUCCUUAAUUAGGUUUUGCCAUUCCCAAUACCUUGUUAUAUCCCCUUCCCAAUUCCACAAAUGUUGUGAUCCCAUAUAAGUCUCCCACUUAGUCCUAUGCAUCAAUUAGCACAUAAUACGACCCUAUGCUUAGAAAUUGUACAUGUGCAACAUUGUGAGUUUCAUGUUUGACAAAAAUAUGAAUUCUAGUUAAAAUAAAUCUCGUUAAGAAAACACCUCUCCAUUAGGGACAAGUGAAGUCAUUAAAAUGUAGAGGUUGGCUACUCGUGUUCUAUGUUUGUUUUCUUCUUAUUUUAUUACUUCAUUUCAUGUCUUGCCUUCCAUAUUAUUAGUAUUUGUUUUACUAUUUUUUUUUUCUAAAGUAUAUGUGUUUUGUAGACCCUCCAUUUUGUCCUCCUAGCACAUGUCCUAUUAAGUAUUUGUCCGAUACUUUACAGCAGUUCCUUGAUGGCCCAUUACUACUCGUGUGACCUAUCUUUUCUAAGCCACCUUGGGGACUUUGGUUGAGUUAUUUAUCUAAUCCCGUUGUGACUCUUGGUAGCCCUAUUUAGACUUAGGCCCACUUAGGCACCUUAGCCCAUUUAGAUACACUUGGCCCAUUAGGCACCACCCUAGGCCCAUUUAGACACACUUGGCCCAUUCGGCACCACCCUAAGUCCAUUUAGGCACCCUUGGCCCACUUAGGCACCACUUUAGGCCCACUUAGGCACCUUAGGCCCAUUUAGAUACACUUGGCCCAUUAGGCACCACCCUAAGCCCAUUUAGGCACACUUGGCCCAUUAGGCACCACUUUAGGUCCACUUAGACAGCCCUAAUUUACACCUUAGGCCCACUUAGAUACAAAGACCCAUUAGGCACCACCCUAGUCCCAUUAGGCAACACCUUAGGCCCACUUAGUUUUACCAGUCUUGCUUAGGUCACCUUUCAAGUAGGGUUGCAUGGCUUGUAUGAGUAGCAUGUGCUUGAUUUUCUUAAUUUAUUUUAUUUACUUAUUUGUUAGUUUUAUUCAUUUACUUAUUCACUUUUUUCAAAAAAUUGCAUGAGAAUUGAGAUUUUAGUUUUUUCUAAUUGCAUGAAUUGAUAUCUCAUAUAUAUUCAUAUAUUUACUUUACUUUAUUCAUCUAUUUAUUUUUGUAGGAAAUUGCUUGAGCUUCAUAUUUUAAUUCUUUUAAUGUGUUUGAUAUCUUAGUUUUAAUUGUAUGAUUUUAAUUUUAAAUUUUAAAUUUUCAACUACAUGAUUUUUUUUAUUUUACUAUUUACUUUCUAUUUCACACGGGAUGAGGAAAUAUUUUCUCCUAAUGGCGUCAUUGAAGGUAUUUUCAUCAUUAGGGAUGACAUGAAACAGAGUCAUGGUUGUGGAUUUGUUAAGCUUCCUAAUAGAGAUAUGGCUGGCAGUGGCAGCAAUAAAUGCACUAAGUGGAAAUUACGUGAUGAGGGGUUGUGAUUUUUUUUUUUUUUUUUUUUUUUUUGGAAAGUGGAGAAUCAGUCCAGAGCAUAGCGUCAUUUUUCCUUUUGAAAGGAAAAUUACCAUGGCUGAUUUUGGCAAGUUAAAGGAGAAGGGUGCAGCGUGUAUGUGGACGAAAAGGGGGCUGUGUUCAAGCGGGGGUUGGCUGGUUUUCUUUGGGAGAGAAGACGAUUUGAGGAGGGAUUUUUUUUGGGAGGUGAGGCUGCGAUUUUCAGAGGGAGAUCAGUUCACGUUUCAGAGGCAUUUUUGGGGCUGCGGUUUGAAGGAGAUCAGUCCAUGUUUCAGAGGCAUUUUGGGGGCUGCUAUUUGCAAAGAUCAGUCUGUGUUUUGAAAGGAUUUUAGAGGCUGCUGUUUUGGAACGGAGAGACGCAACUGCUUGUUGAUAUUCACAGGCUAUUCACCCCGCGAUGGUGAAGAUGAGUACAUACCUACCUUGUUGAAUCUGAAGAUGAGAAAGGCAGCCGCACCAUUGGGAGCAAUUCCGGAACAGCCGCACCAGUGAAGGAAGGAAAGAAAGCUGGGUUUCGGACACUUUUGGGUCUAGUUCCUCUCAUCGGAGACACCACAGCCGCACCAGAAUUUUAAGGAGAGAGUCUUCCGUCCGGAUAGCUACAGAUCGGUUCCGAAGCUUGAUCCUCCAUUGCCUGUGCCGCCGCAACACUUUGUGCCGUACCCAUGCAUCUCCGACAACACCCUACUGCCAUUGGAGAUCCGCACCAGCUUGUCAGUCCCGCCACUUAAACACCAGAUUUUUAAGGGAAAUUCCUCUCCAUUAACGCGCAGCACUUUGAGGACUUGCAGUGCAUGGGUAGCCACCACACCAUGCAUCCUUGGAAUUGUUUUUUUUAAAUAAAAAAUCCUACUUGGUGGAAAGUGGCCUUUACCUUCUGAAAAGGCACUUUGAGAACUUGCUGUGCAUGGGUAUCCACCAUGCAUCCUUGGAAUUGUUUUUUAAUUAAAAAAUCCUACUGGUGGAAAGUGGCCUUCACGUUUUGAAAAAGGUGAGGAAGCUGCCAUAGCUGUGAUUGAGAUUAGUUUGCAUUACCAUCCAGCCCGUGAAGUAAGCAUUCGCAUAGAAGCUGCGAAUUGAGGAGGCCAACUUCAGAUUAUGGUGGUGGUUGGCCUUGCGAACGUUGCACCGUCAGUCACGGCUUGGAAGAAGUCGUUAUUUUUAAUAUAUGGCACAACGCGUCAGACUGAAGAGAAGAUCAAGACUUGGGUGAUGGGCAAAUGAAUUUUUAGGCAUUAUUGAAUUCUUCUUUUUCUCUUAUGCGAGCGUCACAGUCAACUGUUCAUUGCCCUAGGUGCUGUACACUCGCCGCCUUCCGCAAGCCCACUUGGAUGAUGGUUUAAGGAACCUGUGUGAACCACAUUUUAUUAAUAGCAACAAUUCAGGAAGCAUAUAUAUAAAACGGAUAGGAUGUGACGAAUGGCAAAAACGGUGUGGAUCAUGUGUUAAAAUGGAUCACUAUCUAUUCUUUCAGCAAAGGACACAAUCAAGCAUGUGGAACAUGAAGAUCAGUGGUCAGCAUUUUAAUAUUAGGAAGACAUCAAAUAUGGAAGGUCUCCACCCGACAGCACGCUGAGUACGGUUGGUUGGGAACUCACUAGCCUUAUCAAAUCGGAUUUGACUCGGAAACAGGCCUCAAAAGAUAGGAGCAUAUCCAGACAAACAUAUGGGUGGGUAUCUCCUGCUUCCGAUAUAGGGGAACCAAUAUUCCACGUCGCAGUUUGAAGCCUGAUCAGAUCAGGAACAGCACACGCACCUUCUGUUGGGUCUCUGCCAGACAACUGAGUGGUGCUCUGAGCUUACAUCUUGGUGUACAAUCUCCUCCUUCAUUUGUUUCUUUGAUCAGGAACUUUCAGUUUUGAAUUGAAUUUUCACAUCCAUUUUUUAACCGAAUAAUUCCGGCUUCAAAAAUCCAUCAUUAGACCUCUUUCAUAGACAAUAAAAUCCUUACUUUCAAUGAACUUUUGUUGCCAAAUUUCCUUUUGGCAUGCACCUUCCUAAUUUUCUCUAUUUCUUUUGAGCAAUUUUCUUGAUUUUCACGAUUUUCAAUAAUCAUGAACAAACUUCAUGGUUCCAAAUAAUGGGACUAUUGAAUUAAUUCGUGCAAAAGCAAUUCGGGAAUUGGUGGAACCCCUACACAAAAUCAUUCUUUUCAAAACUCUCCCUUGCUACCAGUUUUCAUUUAAUCACUGACCCUUUAGCUUUAAAAUUCAUUUUAGCAACUUUAAAAUUUUUUUUUUGAAAAAUUUCCAACACUUGUAUGAUUUUAGCCACUUCUUGAACUUGAAUUUAAAGUUUCGUUUGAGUUAAAAAGUCAUUCUGGAAUAGAAGAUAUAAACGAGUCUUUAGGGGGGCUCCGUUUUCACCCAGUUCUGGACACCCGAGAUCUUUUUACAAAAAUAAAAUUCCAGAUGACUUUUUAAAUUUGAUUCAAUAUUGUUUCUAAAUUCUAGGCUUCUUGAAAUUGAUAUUAGACACAUAAAAUAUUAAAAAAUACGCCUUCUUGAGGGAGAUAUGAUUUUUCAAAGUCGUACCUACUGUGCAUGAUGGAAUCUGGACAUUUGAUUAGUUGGAGCAUUUUAAAAAUAUUUUUAAAUACUAUCCGACCCUGAAUUUAUUUUUAUUGUGAUAUAGACACCUUGAAUGAUGUAUGUGAUUUUUUUUAUGAUUUUAUAUGAUCAUUUAUUAUUAUUAUUAUUAUUAUUAUUAUUUUUUAUGCAUGUCAGUUUCUCUUAUCUAAUCUGGACUUUAUAGAACCUUUAGGUGUCUUUGCUGCAAUAUGUCCUUUGAAUGAGCAUUUGGCUUUUGGUAUGUUGAUAUAGAUGUGUAGGAGUUGUUUCCUGAAAUUUUUCAUAAUUAAAUUCCACUCUAAGCUAUUUUUUUAGAAAUUGUUUUGUUAUGCUUCCUCUUCUAACUGCAUGCUAAUGGUUUUAUACUUUACUCGAAAUUGUUAUUAUUUUUGGAGUCAUUUGAUUUAUCUUAGCUCAAUUUUGGCUUUGGUACUGUAUAUUAGACAUAAUAAAGAUGUUAUAUAAUAUAUACUUGUCCUAACCAUUCUAGCCUUUUUUGAGGAAUCUUAUAAAUUAUGCAUGUUACCCAGGUAUGCUCUCUAUCACCCACUUUCUAAAUUCUGUGAAUAUGCUUGUCACUGUGAACUUGGGUGUCUUGAUAUUUGUUUCAUUGUUCAUUAUUUAUGAUAAAACGCAUGCUAGGUGAUAUGCUAUUUGAACUAACCAUUGAUGUCUUGUGAUAGCGCUUAAGAUGCAACUCAAGUACGCACCCUUUGACUCUCUUUUAUAAUCAUGAUUUGACUUUCUAGCUUAAUAUGUUAAUUCUGAAAUUACCUUAGUCUACUUAGGUACCCUCAAUCAAUUAAUUAAUUGUCACAUUCCCCUUAACUUAGUCAGUAGAGACCUUUGUAGGGCUCAGAGGGGUGCUACCUUUUUAAAGGUACCUUCCCAAUAAGUAACCUGACUCCCAGACCUAGACCCGGGUUUUUCAAAGACAUGCUUUUCCAAAAACUAUGGAGUCACUUUUUUUUAGGGUUUUCUUUCUUGUUUUAUUUUUCCUUUCAAAAUAAAAUAAAAUAAGUGGUGACUCCGACUUUUCUGAAACUAAUUUUUCACAAAAUAAAAGCAAGUCUUGCUGAUCAAGUGGGGACGCACGUGAGAAAUACGGGUCCACACAUGUGUAGGUAUGCAUUUGCAUAUACAAAAUGCAUUAAACAAAAUAUGAUUAAGCCAUUUUCACUGUGUUGAUCAUCAUCUUUGAAUACCUAAACAUUCUCUUUUUAUUUUAGUGGUUUUUUAGCUAGAUGAGCAAUCUUGUCUUUUCUUUUCAUAUGAAAUAAUUCUUUGUGUGAAAUUAAUUUUUUGAUUUUGUUUUCUUUACUUUGAUCUUAUUUUGGUUGUUUAGUUUUGUGAUGGUCAACUUGUUCACUUGCAGCCAUGAUGCCACUAUGAACACACACACACAUCAGCCACACUUUCACUUUCAUCACACACAACUCAGCAUGCUUCACUCACUUUCAGCACACACCACUUUGUUUCCUAAGGAAUUUUCUUCUUUUAGUUGUGUGAUUUUAUGUCAUUAUUUAUGUUUGUUAGUGAUUUCAAAUUUCUUAUCAAUUUACCUUUCUAAAAAUCAAUUCUCAAUUUUUCAAAUUCAUCUUAGACAUUGUUAGGUUAUGAAAAAUCAUUUUUCAAAAUCAUGCAACCACUUUAUUUCAGUAUGCAUGCUUACUUUGUGUUUCAAUGAUUUUCAAUUUUCUUACACUUGAAUACAAUUCAUAACUCUAAAAUAAUGGAUUAAUUCAUGGACUUCAUGAGCUUCAUCAUGAUUAUUGAGGGUUUAGGGAAGUGUGGAUCAAUUACUGAAAAUUAAAUCAGGCCUUGGUGAAGCCCUACAUUCUAUGUUUCCAAAACAACCCCUUAAGUUAUGAGUUUUUGACCUUCAAGAUAUUAAAUUGAGAUUGGACACUUUAGAAAUGAUCAAAAAAUAUUUUUCAUGCUUGGAUGACUUUUUUAAACUUCUUAAAAGUGUUCGAGAAAUUUUAUUUUGAACAAAAAUCACUCUCCAAGCUAAUAAAUAAAAUCAGUUUUUUUGGAAGGUCCAGAUUCACUUCAUUUUUUGAUACAUAACAUAUUUCUAUAAAAUUAAAUUGGUUUGAGAGGUUUUUAAUUUAUUUUGAUAUUUUCUCAUAUUUUAGACUUCUCAAGUAGAAUUUUAGGCUUUUAUUUCACUCAAAAACAAUUUUCCAUGUAUGAGAAACAAACCCAUCUUUUUGUGUAUUAUGCUAAUUCCAAUACGUAGAUGUGAAUGUUUAAUUAAAUUUUUGACUUGAUGAAUAUGUUUUUUAAUAUCCUAAAUAUUUUUCAUGUAAUUUAGACAUCUCAAAUAAGUUGUAAAAUUUUUAGUUUGAUUUUAUCAAACUCUUAAGAUAGUUUUUAAAAUUCAUCUUUGCAUAUAAUCAUAUUCUACUCUAUUUUUGAAUGAUCAAAUUUUUUAUUAAAUAUGGGAUAUAUGUUGUAUAAUUAGGAUUGUUGGACACUUGGGUUCUAUUCAAGACUCAUUAGGGUUGAUGCAAUUUUUUUUUUUUUGAUUUAAUAUCACUUCUAGCUAUUUUCUUAUGGAUUUAUUUUGUGCAUGUAUAUGUUAUGUCUUGUUUUAUGAGUGAUCCUAAGUUUAAUUAAAUCUAGGAUAAUCCAAGUAUAAUUAAGUUUCUGGGGCACUUGCGUUUAUUUGAAACUCUAUAAGGAUGAUGUACAACUUUUGUUUUGAUGAAAUAUCACUUCCAAAUAUUUUUUACGGAUUUAUUUUUGCAUGCCACUAUUAUGACCGUUGUGUAAUUUAUAUGUUUUUAUUUAUUCAACAUCUUUCCACAUAUUUUUUAAUUUCUUUGAUCCUUGUUAUGUGUUGUGGACAUGUUGUACGUAUUUGAUAAACCUAUAUUGUCAUUGCUUUGUUUCAAGAUCUCAUAUUUAGUUUAGUUUUGAGAAAUUAUUAGUUUGGUUGCUCUAUUGAUAUUAUGUUUGCUUUAAUUAUCUUAAAAAUCAUUAGUUUCAUUAUUCUGUUAAUCUCAUGCUUAGUUUAGUUUUUAAACAUUAUUAGUUUGGUUGCUUUGUGGAUAUUACUCGUAGCUUAGUUUCUAUUAAAAACCAUUAGUUUGGUCAUUCCAUUGAUCUCAUGUUUAGUUUAAUUUUUAAAAAUUAUUGGUUUAGUAGCUUUGCUAAUAUUAUGCUUAGUUUAGUUUCUUUGAAAAAUUAUUAGUUUGGUUAUUCUUUUUAUCUCAUGCUUAAUAUAGCUUUUAAAUAUUAUUAGUUUUGUUGUUUUGUUGAUAUUAUGUUUAGUUUAGUUUCUUUUAAAAAUCAUUAGUUUGGUUAUUCCAUUAAUCUCAUUUUUAGUUUAGUUUUUUUUUUAAAUUAUUACUUUAGUUGCUUUGUUGAGGUGAUGUUGGUUAUAAUUCUUGUGAAAAUACAAGCUAUGCUUAAAGGAGAAAAACACCCAAGAGGGGGGGUGAAUUAGGUUUUUCAAAGAUUUUUUCAAUACAACAAAUUCAAGCACACUAUAAACAAGAAAUAAAGAGAUAGAGUUAGAGAAUUCAAACUUGAAUUUUAUAGUGGCUCGGUACUUCCUUGCCUAUGUCCACUCUCCUCAAUAUCCUAACUGAGUGAGGGUUCCACUAGCUUGAAACUUCAACCAAGCUUCCAAUCCUUUACACUUGGAUUCCAGAUCCAAUGGGCUCUUACACAAUCCCUUCAAGAUUCAAACCUCUUGAAGUCUUUAACACUCAAGUUUUAUAAGAAAGAAACCCUCAACCUAGCUCAAAGAUAACUCAAAUACAAAACAAAACUAGGAUGACUCACAAGGGUGAACUAAAAGAUAUGCAAGUGAUGGUUUUAAUGCACUAAGAAAGAAAUGAGAGCUUAUAGGUCAAGAACAAGUAGGUAGACAAUUGAUUGCAAGUGUUCUCUACUUAAUAAAUGAAGUGGAGCUCUCAAUUUAUAGGUUUCUAAGCUCGGGAGCUAAGAAAAGCAAAAGGCAGCCUUGAUUGGUCGAGCUGGGGAUUGAUCAGUUCACUAGCCGUUGGAGUAUUUAAUGUUUGGCAGGUUACCGUUGCCUUGAUCGGAGGUCGACCGGGAAGGGGUGAACCUCAACCGGGAAAAGGAAGCUACUGGAUGAGAGGGAGUGUUUUUGGAACUCCUCGACCGGACCUUGACCGGACAAGGGCAAUUGGUCGAUCGGUUCCCCAACUGGUUGAGCUGGUUGGCUAGAGCCUCGACCGGUUCAGCCUUUUGGCCCCAAAAACCUAUCCUUUUCAAUUCCUUUAUUUUCUAACACUUAGGCAAGGUUUUUAGGUAAAAUAAUAUGCCAAUUUUGAAACGUUUUGCCUAAGGUACAUUUAAUAAAACUCGGGUUUUAAUGAAAUCAAAAUUUUAAAGAAUAAACCGAGUUUUCAAAGAAGUAUGAAAAAUUAUGAAAAUCCUAAGUGCACCCAUGCAUUCAUCUUACAUUCGUUUCCUAUAAUCAAAAGUCUUCCAAUAGUCUCAAUCUUGUAUCCCUUUGGUUCUUUGAUGAAUUUCCGAAUUUAUACCCGAGAUUCUUUAUCAUUCAAAUGAAUUAGUCAUUUAACCAUGGUUUGUUAUCAUCAAAACCGGAUUGAGCGAACCCUUGGGCUAACAAUUCUUUUAAAUAUCAUUAGUUAUUUUAGUUCAUUAAUAAAUUGGUCCCAUAUUUGAAAGUUCAUAUUUUUAGUUUGCUUUAAUUUAAUUUGGUUCAUUUUAAUUAGUUUAAGUACUCUUAUAGUUUUAGUUAAUUCAUUAAUAAAAUUGAUUAUAUGUUUGAAAUUUCACAUUUCUAUUUUACUUUUAUUUAAUUUAAUUCAUCUAUUUAGUUUAGAUAAUUUCAUAAUUUUAGUUCAUUAAUAAAAUUGAUCUCAUGUUUGAAAGUUCAUGUUUUUAGUUUAGUUUGAUUUAAUUUAAUUCAUCUAUUAAGUUUAGGCACUUUUAUAAUUUUUGAUUCAUUAUCAAAAUUGAUUAUAUGUUUGAAAGUUCAUGUUUUUAGUUUGGUUUGAUUUAGUUUGACUCAUUUUAAUUAGUUUAGGUACUUCUAUCAUUUUAGUUCAUUAAUAAAAUUGAUCCCAUAUUUGAAAGUUCAUGUUUUUAGUUUUCUUUGAUUUAAUUUGGUUCAUUUUAAUUAGUUUAGGUACUUUUAUAGUUUUAGUUCAUUAAUAAAAUUGAUUUUAUUUUUGAAAGUUCAUGCCUUUAGUUUACUUUGAUUUAGUUUAAUUCAUCUAUUUAGUUUAGAUACAUUUAUAUAUAGUUUUAGUUCAUUGAUAAAAUUGAUUAUAUGUUUGAAAGUUCUUGUUUUAAGUUUGCUUUGAUUUAAUUUGGUUCAUUUUGGUUAGUUAAGAUAUUUUUAUAGUUUUAUUUCAUUAAUAAAAUUGAUCCCAUGUUUGAAAGUUUAAAUUUUUUAGUUUGCUUUGAUUUCAUGGUUCAUUUUCAUUAGUUUAGGUAUUUUUAUAGUUUUACUUCAUUAAUAAAAUUGAUCCCAUGAUUGGAAGUUCAUGUUUUUAGUUUACUUUGAUUUAAUUUAAUUCAUCUAUUUAGUUUAGGUAUUUUUAUAAUUUUAGUUCAUUAAUAAAAUUCAUCCCAUAUUUGAAAGUACAUGUUUUUAGUUUGCUUUUAUUUAGUUUGACUCAUUUUAAUUAGUUUAAGCACUUUUAUAAUUUUAGUUCAUUAGUAAAAUUAAUUCUAUGUUUGAAAGUUCAUGCUUUUAGUUUAAUUUAGUCAAACUCAUUUUAAUUAGUUUAGGUACUUCUAUAAUUUUAGUUCCUUAGCUGAAUUGAUCCCAUUUUUUUUUAGGUUUUGUUUUAAAAUCAUUAAUGUUAGUUCAUGAUCAUUCUUAUCUUAGUUUAUAUGCUUUUAAAAUCCUAGUGGUUAGUUCAUGAAUCGAUAUCUUAUUAGUUUGUCUAAUCUAAAAUGUUUUGCUUCUUGAUUUAGCAAUCCUUCAUUUAAUUUGAUUUUUUAUUUUUUAUUUAUUUAUUUAUUUGCCGCCUUAGGAAACUCAUGAAGAUAAACCUCUACUCUUACCUAUUUUGCUUGGUUUUUUAUCCUUGUGUUUUGUGGUUUAAAAAUGUAACUUUUCGCUUUUAAGAAGAAAGUAUUUUCUCAAAAUGUUCUUUAUUAAAAUGGAUUUAAAAAACUCCUAUAAUUGUUAGGGUAAAAAAAAAAUCAUUUUCUUAAAAAACAUGCAACCAAGUUUUAAUUGGUUUACACCUUUCUUUUAUUUUCAAUAAAAAUUCUACUUUGAGUGGAAUAUGAAUCCAAACUUGUGAUCCCAAAUGAAUGGGAUAAUUCUCAACUUCGAUGAGUUUUUCAAUAUUCAUGCGAAAUUGGGAAUCCAUAGGCUAAAUUUGUGUAUAUCAAGUGAGGAUUUUGUGAAACCCGUACAUAAAAUCAUUUUUCAAAACCCUUUUAUUGUCAGCUUGUUGGAUUUGUUGCAUCUCUAGAAUAAAAUUUUGAUUUGGCUAAUUUAUGAUGCUCCUAAAAUUUUUUCCCGUGGUUGUAUGAUAUUGUGAACUUCAUGAACUUGAUUUUAGAAAUUUGUUUGAAUCAAAAAUCAUAUUUCAAAUGAAAAUUAUGAAUUAAUUUUUUGGUAGGUUUAGUUUUUGCCUAAUUUUGGAUACCCGAACUAUUUUUUGUAUUUUCAAAUUACUAGAUGAAUUUGAAAAAUUAUUCUGACUUUCGUCCUUAAUUAUAGACUUCUUGAAAUUUAUUUUAUACACAUACAAUAUUAUUUUUUUUUUGCUAAUUAGGAAAAUUAAUUUUCCUUUGUUGUCCCCAUUACAUUAUCCUAAUUUUAAAUAGAGAGGGUCUUUGAUUGUUUUUAAAAUUGAUCCAUAUACUUUCUUACCUUCUUAUUAUUUUCUUGUAAAUUAGACCUUCUGAAUAUAUUUCAUGAUUUUCUUAUGAUUUUAUAGCACUUCUAGGUUUGUUAAAAAAAUCGGUUUACGUAUUCUAUUAAAUUCUAUCAUAUUCAAAACCUUUUGAUAUAUUUUUGUAAAUUGAAAUUAAUCAAGGCUUCAAUAUAUUGUUGGGCUAGUUGGAUGAUAAACUAGACAUGUAGGAGAUGUUCCUUGAAAAUUUUUGUAAUUAAAUUCAGAUUCUAGAUAUUUUCUUUUAGGAUUUGUCUACAUGUUGAAAUUUUUAUAUAAUGUUUUAUUUAUUAUUUAAUUUGGAGUUAAUUAACUAAUCAUUUCUUGAUCUUGGCUUUGGAAUUGUAUUAUAGACAUAAUGAGGAUGUUGUAUGAUAUUUUUUUUUUUUUAAAUGAUAAAAUAAUACUUCAAGAUAUCUGUUUAGAGUUUUUCAAGUGAAUGCAAUUGUUCUACCCUUUGUUGUGUGCUUUGUUCUAUCUAUAAUUUUGGUAUUUUUAAAGUUAUCUUGUACAUAGUUUAUCCUUAACAAUGAGGUGUAUGCAUGUUCUAAGUGAUAGAUGAUAUUUCUUUGGAUUCUUGUCAUUUCUUUUAAGCUAUACAUAUACCAUGUGAAUUAUGAUUCACUAUCACAAUUAUUUAUUAUUGUAAUUGUUCUAACCACCCUCUAGCUUUAUGGAAAUGCCUUGCAAGUUAUUUAUGCAAUCCAUGGACGUCCCCUCAUACUUUUAUCCCUUUAGUUUGGUAAAUAGAUAUGUUUUGUGUGUCAACAUCUUCAUAUUUGAUAUUACUUUGUUAUGUGCUAUGAUUGGUGUUUGAUUCCUUGAAUUAGAUAGACACAUGUUGUAUUUUGUAUUAUUUUUCAAACUAACUUUGAUGUUUUCAUGAAAGUGCUUUAGGUUGCAGUUUAAGUAUUUUCUUUCUCAUAUGAUUGAUUUUUGUGGUUAGAUUGUUUCAGUGUGAAUAACAUUUGUUUGGCCUUAGAUAUAAUCACCUUUGUUAUUUUUAGUAUCCACAAUUUAUCGAUUAAUUAUCGUACUUACCUCAACCUAGUCAAUAUAGACCUAUUUUUAAUGCUUAAAGGGGUGCUACCCUUAUGGUACUUUCCUAAUAGGUAACAUGGCUUUCAUCCAUACUUAGACUUUGUUUUUCAAAGACACUCUUUUUUAAAAUUAAGGAGUCGUUUUUUAGGGUUUUAUUUCUUAUUUUGUUUUCCCUUUUAAAAAUAAAUAAAAAUAAGUGGAGACUGCAUUUUUAUAAAAAUCAAUUUUUCACUACGAGAACGAGUUUCACUGUCAAGUAGGGAUGCAUGUGAAAAAUGCAAGUCCACACAUGUCUUUUCCUUAAAAAAUGAGUCACAUUAUGGCUUUAUUUCUUAUUUUGUUUUUUAAUAAAAAAUAAAGAAAAAAAAGUGGCAAUUCCAACUUUUCAAAUAUAUAUAUAUAUAUAUAUAUAGUUUUUCCUAAUAAAAACGAGUCUCAUCGUCUAGUGAGGAUGCACAUGAAAAAUAUAGAUCUACAAAAUAGUGACUCCACUAGAAAUGUUUAGAGGGUUAAACUUGAACUCAAGUUGAGGGGAAAUGUGACAUUGAAUUAAUUGAUUAGUGGAUACCCUCUCAUUGUGCCUUUGUUAUACGCUUGCAUAUUUUAGGGCAUAGGAGAGGUUAACUUGGUGAUUAUUUUGUAUAUAUUGCAUGUGCCUUACUGUAUAUUGACUAUUGUUAUUAUAUGUGUUUGUAUAUAUCUGCUCAUGUUUGUAUAUAUCUAUUUUGCAUGAUUGUGUGAUGCAUGACUACCUUCCUUCUGCAUAAUGCAUGUUUUGCCUUUUUGUGUAGGAUACACAUUUAUCCCUCUAUCUCAAACUCCUUAGCCUUGGUCGAUUUUCUCCUUUUGAUCUCGUAUUUGGUGGAUGAGACUUGGUGCCUUGUUUGUUUCUCAAGUAAGCUAGUGAUUAGGAGUAUGGUCUAGUUGUGAGCUUUAUGUAUGAUUGGGAGCAUUUAGAGCAUUGUCAUGACAUUAUCAACAUCUUGAGAUUGUCACCUCAGAGUAGAUUACAACAUCAUCAGCCUUACCACAUCAUUUUUAUUUUAUCAUAAUCCUAUUUAGUCACCUCAUCCCUACUAUCACCCCACUUUGCCACAUCAUCCUACCUCACCAUGUCAUCACUUUGCCACAUCCCUAGUGCCUUAACAUCAUUUUAUGUUGUCAUGUCAUCCUUGCCACUUUAUUCUUAUCCUAUUAGCAUUGUUCCUUAUCAUCUCAUUCUUACUGUCAUCCCCAUUUUGCCUCAUUGUCAUACUUUAUCAUUUCACCCAACAUUUUUUUUUAUGUCAUCAUCCUAUCUUGUUGCAGCAUUGUGAUGCCUUACAGAGCAUCACGGCAUCAUUGACGUCACAUCAAUAGAGGUCACCACAUCAUAGCCACUUGGAGUUUGAUCAUUGAAGACUUGUAUAACCCAUGACUAGAUUCAAGAUAUAUGUGUGACUAGUGUGUUUACUUUUUUUGCUUUAGUUUAAGAUGUUUGGAUGCACUUAUGCCACACGCUACACACAUUAGAUUGCCCUGUAUAUGUGUUAAGAGAGGUAACAUGUGCUAACUAGUAGAAAACCUUAACCAUUAGGAAACCACCCUAAGAUUUAGAGGAAGUGCAUGUGUAGAGGUAAUGACCAGCUUGCAUGGAAGCUCCUAGUCUCUUUGGAGGUGUGUAGGAGGUUUUGUACCAACAAUGAGUAUGAUUGCUCCUACUAGGUACCUUUGAUCCUACCUUUUAGAGUCACCUUUACCUUGUAGAAUGAGAAUUAGAUCCUUGGACCUAGGAUACCUACCCACACAUAGGUGCAUUCAUGUAUAGGAAUUUGAUAACAACAAUUUUGCAUCAACAUUAGAGUUCCAUUAACAUAGAUUAGUUAUAUUAUCAUCCUCUUUACUCUUUAUUUGUUGGAUUCAAUUAGUCAAUCUUCUAGGUUAUACAUUCAUCGAUCUUGUAUAGUCUUAUUCCCUUUAGAAUUUUUUCAACCUGAAUAUGUUGUAUAUAAAAAGGAUUUACAUUUUUAAAUGUAUUGUCAUUGUUUUAGGUUUUUGUACAUUGAUGCGAAUCAUGGUAACUUAGCUUUAAAGGCGUAUCAACAAAAUUUAUACCUUGAAUACUAUUACUAAAGUAGCCAAGCUACUAUAGCAUAGUGGUUCUAGGAUCGUUCACUGGGAAGGGUUUUCACAAACACUAGUGAUAUUCAAAUUAGGAAAAUAGGUGAUUUUCUUAUGGAUGUUAGCUUUAAAAGAAUAUGUAAAUGUUUUAGAAAGAUUUAAACUAAUCUAAGCUAACAUUAAAGACUAAAAUGAAAGGGUGUAAAAACAAGUUUCUCAAAGAUAGGAUAGCUAUGCUCUGGCUCUUAUGCAAAUUGGAAAUCUCAGGAUAGGCUCCUCGCGUUGGGGUUGCAACUAUGGUGAUGCUUGCUUCCCGAACCGGUAUGGAUUUAGCAAAUCAAGUUUUAAUCCUUUAAAAUAGCAAAACAGAUGGUAGUGAAUUUCAUCAAUGGUUAUUCACCUUAGACUUCCUUUGAAUGGCUCGUAAGAGAUAACUAAUGGUCUAAAGCUAAAAGCUUACCAAAUAUUGGCAACUCAAAGUCAUUCCAGGUGAUAAACUCACCUUUCAAUGGCCAUUGAAAUUGGUUCUAACGGAUUAAUGCAAAACUUGGAAUUGAAAACCUCACCUUCCAAUAGCUCGUAGGAGAUAACUAAUGGAUAGAAAUCCAAAAGCUUAUCAAGUAUUGGCCGUUGGAAGUUGUCCAAAGGAAAUAAAAACCAAACUUUGAAUUAAUGAACCAUUAAUGAAAAAUGACUACCUUACCUUCCAGGUGCGAGAACCAUGGGAUUGCAUCCAAGCCAUCACCUAACAUCCAUACUUUGAGAAACUAAAAGUUUUAGCCAAUCAUCCUCUGAGGAAAAGCCCUCAGAGGCUGUUUGGCUACUAAGAAAAUAGAAAUGGGGAAGAACAGGAGAAAAGAGAAAAACUGAGCUUUAUAUAUUUCUAAGUAAAUGUACAGAGGAUCGAUCCCUAAAUCAUCCAAUAUCUUUUGGAGGCGUUGUGCACCUCUAUAUAUAACAAAAUUACAAGAUAAAGCCUUAUGUCGGCUGAAUACAAGGUUACAAAAGGAAUUUACACGAGAAAAUAUCAAGGCUAAAAAUAUCUGGGAAGUCGGUGGUGCGUGCGUGGAGAAACAGAGGAUUUCAAAGGCAUUUCGCAAGGUGCCUAAAUCCACCUUGCAAAAUUUCGCAAGGUGCUUUCUUCAUGGUGCGUAAUGGCCAAAUUUCGCACCAUGAAGAAAAUCUCCUUGCGAAAUGGUGUUCCCAUGGCUUGAUGCAGUUGUCUUCCGAAGGCCAUAUCUUCCUCAUUUCAACUCCAAAUCAUACACGGUUUGAAGAGUUGGAUUCUUGACUUCCUGAGCUUUGAAAUGGUAUAUAGCAUAUAGAAAAUGGACUUCGGAAAGUACUCCAAAAGUUCGAAAGAAGACUGCAGCUGCUGUCCUCUAUUUUCUUCACUCUGUUUUCCUCUUCUCCAUUGUUCUUUCCUUGCAUACUUUGAACAACUUUAGCAAAGGGCUAUGGAGCUCCAAAGCUUGGUUCAUUUGUGCUCGUGUUUCCACUUGAAAUUCAAGUAUGUAAACUUCCAAAAUCCUUGCUUUAACUUGUCCAAGUAGCUCCUCCAUCAUUUGGCAUGCUUGAAUUGAUUCAUAAGCUGAUAAAAACAUGUAAACUUGCCACAAAAUGGUUAAAACCAAUUACUAAGGACCUUAAUGAAUUAAUUGGGUUAAAUGAAUAUGAUUACUACUCAAAGGAGCUUAAAACCAUUAUAAUUAGGUCUACAAAAUAGCACUUUUUGGUAGUAAUCAUACAUUAAGUGUAGCAUUCUAGGAUAUGUUAUUUGACAUUUUUUGACCUAAGUCUAGGGUUUUGUGUUCUCUGGUUCAUUGAUAGGUUCCUUAAGUGACUCGUGUUAGUUAGAUUUUUUGAGACCUAGCUGGCUUCUUCUUGGUGAAAUGGUGGGGCGUUUGUCAAAGUUGGUGUGACUAUUUAUUUUUGUUGCAUCAAAGCUAUCCGUCUUGGUUAUUAAGUCUAUGUUAGUCUUGUGGUAUAGUUAGAGUUUGUAUUCUUUGUAGAUUGUUUUGACCUGUUAGUAUCUAUUUCUACUAUGGAUGUACAUUGAUCAUUAGACUCGACCUUUUUCAUUGAAUAUAUGUUUGUCUUAUGGUGCAUGUGUUAGACUUUUGAUAUGUUGCAUAAUUCACUUCCAUAUCAUGAUUAUUGGGCCUAACCCAUCAUAGAGAAUACUGAGCCCAUUAACCUAGGACUAAAGGAUCGACUUAGGGAGCUUAAGAUUGGGGCUCAUUUGUCUUGUGAUCAGAGUUGUACCUUAUUCACUUCCAUUUACACCUUGACCUUACAUCCUAUCUAUCUUGAGUCUUGCUCAACAUUUACCCCUUGACACCAUCACAUGACCUUUACAUCCUUUCUUAUCAUAGCUUAUACAACAUCAUCUACAUGGACAUUGUUUCAAUCUAUUUAUUUGUUCUUUGUACUUGAGACUGAUUUUAUGAGACAAGAAGGGUGGCUUACGAUGAGCAAAGUGGUCGAUUGCACAAGAUCAUUGACUAUUCUAUGGUUGAGAGAAGCAUCUUGAGAUUGUUAUAAAUCAUUAAGAAAUGGGAUAUUUAUGCAUGAUUUUAGAGGGAUGGAAUGCCUACAUUUUGAUAUUCUACACCAAUCUGUAGUGUUGACCAUGUGAGAGUUUAAGAGCAUGAUGUUUGAGGUUUUGACCAGGGAAUGAGUGUCAUCAUUUCAUGAGCCUACUUAUCUAAUCAUGUUGAUGUUCAUGCUAUGAUUCCUAGUGAAAAAAAUGGAGAAAAAAAAAAAAGAAAACACACAAAUUUAAUAUGGUUCGGCAGAUUGCCUGCGUCUAUAGGAACAAAGAAGAAGACUUUCACUAUAUCUCAAUUAGGUUUACAAAAAAGGGUAUUUAUACUAACCCUCAAGUAUUGGAAUUCCUUAAACCAUAUGCCUCUCCUUCCCCCCCCCCCCUCCCCCCCGCAUUCACUCCCCUCAUUCCACUCUACUUCACUCUGGCAUUUGCCCCUUUCUCCAUAUGUCUUUCACUCAAUAUGAGCCACAUACUACAACAAAUCACCUUUGUGUAUAAAGUUACCCUUUGCUAGCCAAUUAAGUCAUGCAUAUUUAGCCUUUUGAUUCAUCACCUUGCUUACCUCAUUUCUCAUACCUAUGGUUAGGGCCUCUUGGCACAUCUUUGCUUAUAGAUAGGAUCGCCUAGGUUGUGGGCUCCUUAGGUGAUUCAUCUUUUGUAUUCAUUAUGUUUGUCUUGAUCAUUUGUAUUAUUUUAGUCGUACAUCUUCUCAAUACUUGUUGUACUUAUUUGAGUCAUUGUUCAUUAUUCCGUCAUUAUGAGUUCAUAUAUGUACAUACAAGUUAGCCUUCUUGUACAUAUAUUGAGAUUUGUAUAGGUUACCUUAGGAUCCUUGUACAUGAUUGCCUUAAUUCAUUGGUUUGAUUAUUGUUAAAAAGAAAAAAAAAAUUAUGAUGUUAGUCUUUGUUGGCGGCUUGUGUGAUAGUUUUGAUCAUUUCAUUAUAUAUAGCCAUCUCAUCUAUACAUCUAGUUAUGAUUGAGUUGUGGGUUUUAUCCCUAACUAUGACAUGUUGCUUCUCUUGUACUCAAUUACACUUUUUAUUUAGAGUUUUAUUCUCAUUCAUCUUGGUUAUGUUCUUUUUUGCUUAUAUAUCGAGUCAUCAUUCAUUAGCAUUAUUUGCUUUACCUCUAGCCAUUGUAUUAUUCCUUUGAUUUCUUGAGCCUAUUUUAAGUCUCACCCUCGUCAUUUCCAUUUCUUUGAGUUAUUCAUGUGGAUGGUUGGUAUUUGUGUAGUUCUUAUCUUGGAUUUGUUUUUCUUUUCAUUGAUUUCAUCUUUUCAUUCAUUAUCAUAUGAAUCAUAGUGUAUUUUUUUUUCAUUCAUUUAGUUAUCUGUAUCAUAAAGCAUAUGUGAGGUUUAUAAUCUUUGAGUUUCUUUAUCUGUUACACUGUGUAUGCUAAAGGCAUGGGGAUUAUAUCAUUAGGAUUACUGAGCUUAAUUUCCCUUUGUUUCUUUUACCUUAUUACCUUAGCUUAAAUUACAUCCUGGGUCUUAAGACCACCUUGGGACCAUGACAUCAUGCAUUAUGCUUGAUAUCUCACACAUGGGUGGCAUUUGAGAUUGGUUAGAGAUCAGUUCAAGUAAUAUGGAUGAGAAACUAUGAGAGGAUUUACACUAAGGCCUAACCUCUCAACAAUUAUUAAUUUUCGAUAUGAUACCUUAUACUAGGGCAUAGCCAUUUCAUUCUCUCUUAUGGAGAAUGAUAGAUCAGGAGUCACUUAAAUUCAUAUCGACAUAUAUCCAUUUUUGAGAUAUAAGAUAAAGUUUGAUUUUGAUUAGACAAUUUACACUAGGGCAUAGCCAUCUCAAGGAGUUUAUACUAGGUCAUAACCCUCUUAUUGGUGCUUAAUUUUUUAGAUAAUAGCUUAUAUUGAGGCAUAGUCACUUCAUUCAUUCUCAUGGACCGUGAUACAUAAGGAGUAACUUGGAUUCAUAUAGACAUAUAUCCAUUUUUUAGAUUUGGGAUUGAGUUUGAUUUUGAUUUGACAAUUUACACUAAGGCAUAAUGACCGAACUUCUCUAUUGUACCAAAAUACUUAGCCUUUUUACGUAGUAACUCUGAUUAAGAAAAACUAGAGAAAGAGUCACUAUGGAUUUUGUAGUAUUCCGGGUAUCGUCCUCAAGGACUAGCUUAUGAAAAUUGUCAAUACUAGAAUAAAUGAAUUGUUUUUGUUUAAAUCUUAAAGUGAAAAAAAAUAUGUGAAUAAUGCGAAACUAAGUAAAAGAAAUUAAAUUAAUAAAAAAAUGAAUAUUGAUUUUAAAUUCAAUUGAUUCAAGUUUGGGGUUUUCCACAAUCCAACCUAGGGUAUAGAAAUUAGAGAAAACAAGGGUCUUUUAAGUAAUAUGAUCUUAGGGUUUUAGGAUCCUUGGCCGCUCGCGAUCAAGUUGAGUUCUAUAACUCAAAAUUGCAUCCGAAACCUAAUUUUUCCUUUUUAAAACAGAUUCCUAAAACCAUCAAAUGAAUGAGAUUGAUUACCAAUUUAAGAUUUGGAUUUUUAACCCUUCCUACUCCUUAUAGCUUUAUUUAGGGGCAAAUAACGGUAGGAAAGAUGAGGAUAACUAAUGAUCAAGAAUUACCAAGAAUCACUAGUAUCAGGUAAUAACCUACUGUAUCAUUCCCUAAAUGAACUCACAAGGAUAGGAUAAAAAAAAUGAUAAAUUGUCACCCAACCAAUAAUUAUUCUCAUUGUUAUAAUAAUUUACCCAUUGUCCUUAUAGGUUUCCUAACCCUUAGGUUUUCAUGCUUCAAGCCCCAAGUUGGCUCUUAGCCUCUCAUGGGGGUGAUGUCACAUUCUCAAUCCAUAAUAGGGUAAAAAUCCAUAAUUUGAAUCAAAAGAAACUAAAAACAAUAUAUUUUAUAAAGAGGAAAAAGAAAACAAACCAAAGUUCUCGUCUUCUUCCACCUUCAAUGUUAAGUUCUCCGAAAAAAAAUCCAAGAUCCCUAAAACCUAGAAUUGAGAGAGUUUAUAUAAUAUCGUCAAUUACCUAACAUGUGGCACACUCUCAUUGGCCACUUAUUACAAAAUCAUUUCCUAAAAAUGAUUAAAAAAAUAAUAAAAGGGUGAUUUCUAGUCAUGUGGGGUCCACUUAAGGCGGAUGGAGUGCCCUAGAUGCAAUUCCCAAGGUAGAGAAGGCAAAACAUCAAAGUGACAGUGGGUGAAUUCGAAAUUGGUGUCAUUUCAAAGUGGAUUUCGAAUUCAUAAGUUGAAUAGAUGCAAUUCCUGAGGUAGAGGAGGUGGAACAUCAAAGUGGCAAUGGGUGAAUUCGAAAUUGGUGUCAUUUCGAAGUGGAUUUCGAAUUCAUAAGUUGAAUUUUGAAAUCAUUUCGAAAUGACCCUUCAGCUUGGUGCAGUUGUCUUCAAAUGGCCAUAACUUCUUCAUUUCAGCUUCGAUUUGCAAACCGUUUGAAGCGUUGGAUUCUUGACUUCCCAAGAUUUGAAAUAAAAAAUAGAAUGUAUACAAUGGACUCUAGUAAGUUCUCUAAAUUUUUCCUCAAAAUCAGAGUAUAUAAUUCCAUCAGAUUUUUGAGUUCUAAAUUUCCAUGCAGCUGAAUCUUGCUUCAUGCCUCAUUUCCCAUGUUUUCUUGCCUUAUUUCUUACUCCAUAAUGGUCAUUUCUCAUCUUCCAAACUCAUGAUAUCCUCGUCUUUCCUUUCCUUACGGUCCAUGAGUCUUGACUCACUUAUUUCCUCAUUUAGCCCUUUCUUGAUCUUUCAAAAUCUAAAGUGAUUCAACUUGCACCAUUUUCUUCCCUUGAACCUGAGAUAAGUCUCCAAAGUACAAAUUAAACUCAUGACUAGGGCCUUAGCAUCUAUUUAGUUCAAGUUAGGUGAUUUGAAUGUCUUUUUGUGCACAAAUCAUAUAGAAUAUGUGCCAUUAGAGCACAUAUUUUGGCUCCAAUCACAUAGCCACCUUAGAAAGUUUAUAUUGGUGUAUAGCCCUCUCAUUGAUGAUUGAUUUUCAAGAUGAUAGUUUAUACUAGGACAUAAUCACUUUAUUCCUUCUCAUGGAGCAUGAUGGAUUAGGAGUCACUUGGAUUCAUAUUGACAUAUAUCUAUUUUUGAGACCUAGGAUAGAGUUUGAUUUGAUUUGAUGAUUUAUACUAGGGUAUAGCCACCUUAAAGAGCUUAUACUAGGGCGUAGCCCUCUCAUCAAUGAUUGUUUUUUUAGAUGAUAUCUUAUACUAAGGCAUGCCUUCAUUCCAUCUCAAUAAGCAUGAUGGAUUAGGAGUCACUUGGAUUGAUAUUGACAUAUAUCCAUUUUUGAGAUAUGGGAUAGAGUUUGAUUUUGAUUUGACAAUUUAUACUAAGGCAUAACCACUAUGCUUGAUUCCCUACACUAGAGCAUAUUCGUCUUUUAGAGGAGAUUUGAAACUCCCUUCACAUUAUAGUAUGAAGAUACUUUAGGGAGUAAAAAUCUAUCUUGAUGAGAUUGUGUAUGUUACAACAUAACCAUUCUAGAUAUUAACUUGCACUGAGGCUUAACAUUUUAGACGUUACCUUAUAUACCAGGGCAUACUCCUUUUAUCAGUGUUUGAUUUUGAAGAUGAUUAAUUUGUUUUGGCCUUACCCAUUUUUACUCAAUAUAUUCAUGUUGGGGCAUAACCCACUCAGUUGGCGAUUGAUUAUUUUUUGAAAUGGCAAUUUAUAUUGAGCAUGACUACUCUGUUUGAAUCCCUACAUUGGGGCAUAACCAUUCUCUUGAAGGUGAUCAGACAUUCUUUUCAUAUUGGAGUAUGAAAGAUGGUUAAGAGAUAUUGAUUUGAUGUCUUUUAUAUUGGGGCAUAACCAUUUGAGGGAGUAUUUAUACUAGGGUAUGACUAUCUUAUUGAUCUUCUAGGACAUUGGAAUUCGACCACUUAAUUAAGGUUUUAUAUAGGUUAUAAAGAUGAUGAUGCCUUGGAUUCGGUCUUCUCACCAUACCUGGUCUGAUUUAGAUACUAUCGUAUAUUUACUUCAUACCAAAACACUCCAUUUUUUCUAUAUCUUCACACUUAUAUCUUGUAUUCAAUCCAUCCAUAUCAUUCCAUCAUGAUGUAUAAAGUUAUUUUGCUUCCAGAUCAUAGGAGCAUGUAAACUAAUCAUGAGUUUCCUAGUCAAACUUUCAUGUGCCUUUUGGAUACUGAAUUUAACAUCUUCCAUGAUGGCAAGGCUUGACAGAUUGUCGAUUGUUUGUAAUGUUUUUCAUUUGAUAGUCUACAUGUCAUGGCAUGACUUGGUGCAUAUUUAGACUUAGAGCUUUAGUUAUCUUUGUUUUUGUCCAUCAUUUGGUUUUAUUUUGAUAACAUGGUCCCAAGACCUAUAGUCCUAUUUAGCUUUUUUAAUUGAAGAUUAGACAUUUUCAUCUUAUUAUCAAUGAGUGCAUCCUAGUGUAUGUCUUUGUUCGUGCCACACCCUAAUUAUCCGACUUUUUUUAUAUUUUCUGUUAAUGUCACGCCUCGACUAUUCGACCUCUUUUAUGUUUUCUUAAUGUCAUGCCCUGAAUAUUCAACCUUUUUUUGUCUCUAUUAGUGUCAUGCUUUGAUUGUCCAACUUUUUCAUGUUUUUUUAGAGCUAUCUUGAUUGUCCAAAAUUUUCAUGUUUUCCUAAAUUCGAGCCCUGACUGUCCAACUUCUUUUAUGUUUUCCUAGAUUCGCACCCUGAUUGUUGGGUCUUCCUUGUGUUUCCUCUAAUGUCCAUGCACUGAAUACAUGACCUUUUUUAAUUUUUAUUUUAUUAGCCUUGAUUUUUUUCUCUAAUCAUUAGCUUCUUCUCUUUUCUUCUUCAUUCUCUUGUUCACCCAUUCAUUCCCCCCUUUGGAUAGUAAGGUCCUUAGUGUUUCACAUAGAUAUUGUCACUACCUUGUUCAGAAGAGUCUCCCUUAAGAUCCACGUAGAUAUUGCAUGUUUCUCUACUAGUAGAUCAAUGAGCACAUUUCAUAACCUUAGAGAGCUUGUGUCUUAUUGGGACAAAUUUGGUGAUCUUUCUUGUACUUUAGUAGAGCCCACUUUGUUUGGUUGGUUUAUACACUUACUUCACUUGUGAACUCUUCUAAAAAUGGACAUAUUUGUAGAUCCCAAAAUUUUCCCUAAGCCUAUUCUCACUUUUUAUUUUAUUUUAUUAUUUUAUUAUUUUAUUUAUUUUAUUUUAUUUUAUUUUUACUUUAUUUUUUUCUUCUUUUCUUUUUCUUUUUUUUUGUUCCUUUCUUGUUUUUCACCUUUUUUUUCUCCCACACACAUGCAACUACAGAACCUUUCCCCUUCUUAUUUUUCCCUCUUCCUUCUCUUUUCUUUGCUUCUUUCUUUUUCCUUCCUUUUUGUUUUUCUUUCUUUUCUUUCUUUUUCUCUCUUCUCUCUACCCACUCUCACUCCCAAACCCAUCUCUAGCCAUCAUCUACCUUCCUCCUCUUUCCCUUGUCUUAUUUAUUCUCCUUUCAUUUUUCUUCUUAUUACCCAUUUCUCUCUCUCACCUUGAAGAUCCAUAACCAUGGCUGCCCCAUACUCAACACUCUCACCACUAGACAGUUGCCAUCAGUGAGCCAUUAUUUGUCUGUGAUCCAUUUUCUCCCUUUGUUUCUCUCUUUUCUUCAUUUUUUUCUUUCUCUUAUCUCACCCAUUUUCUUUUAUUUAUUAUUAUUACUAUUAUUAUUAUCCCAUUCUUUCCUCUUAUCCCUUCUUUCCAUAUUGCAUUCAAGAAAUGGGUAAGAUGCCCUUUUUCAUUUUCUUAUUUCUUUAGUCAUUUUAUUUUUUAUUCAUAAAGUAAUUGUUCUUGAUUGUUGAGUUUGCUUGUUUGGACUUUAGAUAAUUUUGCUUGGAAUUUGCAUAUUAGAUGUUGAUCUUCUUUUAGACUUUAAUAAAUUAAGUUAUCCAAAAAUCUUCUUUUAAAAAAAUAAAAUAGGUCGAAUAAGAUAUUUUCAUUAAAUAAGAAAAAUGGACCCAAAAAUAAGUUUCUAGACAUCCUUUUUAGAUAAAAUAGUCGAAAAAUUUUAUUUUAAUAAAAGAAAUAAUUCAUAAUUUUAAAAUAAAUAAAUAAAUAAAUAAAAAGUUCACAAAUAUUUUUUCAAAUAAAAUAAAAUAAAAAUAAAACAAUCCAGUAAUCUUGUUUUAAUGCAAUAAUAAUUCAAUAAAUAUUCUUUUUAAUAAAAUAAAGUUUUUUUUUAAUAGAAACUUUAGAAAAAAAUAGUUUUUUUUAGGAAUCUUUUUUUUUUUUAACAAAAAUUCAAAAAAAAAUUGAAUAAUAAACGAUCUAGAAAUUUAUUUGUUUAACAAAAUUUUCUAAAAAAAAAUUUGAUUUUUAAAUAAAAUUGUCCAAAAAGUUAAUUUUAAUAAAAUCGUCCAAAAAUUGAUUUUUGAAUAAAAUUCUCUUUCCUUGAUAAGAAUGGGAUUUAAAAUAAUUUUUAUAAAUAAAGGUCUUAAAGAAUUUUUUUUAAAAAAUAAGAAUAGGAUAAGUAAACCUUUAAAUUGAACUGAAAGACAACCCCCCCCCCCCUUUUUUUUUUUUUUAAUAAAUUGGUAAACUAAUCUCUUUCUAGAUGAAAUCCAAAAAUUCUUUCUUAAUAAUGGAAUCCUUGGGAAUAAAUUUGUGAAAAAAAUUUUUCUAAAUAAACUAGUAAGAAUCUUUUUCUAGGUAAAAUAAAAAAUAUAUAUAUUUUUAAUAAAAUUGGGUUGAACCUUAUAACCUUGUAAAUAUCUUUCUUUAAGUUUGUAAAAAAAAAAUUUAAAUAAAUAAAGAUUGAAUCAAAACACUUUUUUAAACAAAUUAGUAAAAUUCACGCCUUCUUAAUAAGGUAAACAAAAAUAAUUUCUUGUAAGUCAAAUAAAAUCUUUUGUAAUAAAUUGAAGCCUUGUGAAUAAAUAAAUUCAAAUCAUUAAUUUGAAAUUGUUGUUAAUAUAAAUGGAUUCUUUGAAAAUUUUUGGAAAUUGUAUUAUGAUAUUUGAAAUAAUAAAAUCUUUCUAAUAAAUUAUUUUGUGCAUUUCUUAUGUAUCAUUUUUGCAUAUCUUUAUAAUUUGUUUUUGCAUUAUUCUAUGUGCUUGUAUUAUUCUUUUUUUCAGUAUCCAUGAUUAAUUAAUUAAUUGUCAUAAUUGCUUUUUACAUGCUUAGUAAAAACCUUUUUAAGGCUUAAAAGGGUGCUACUAUGGUACCUUCCCAAUAGAUAACUUGAUCUUUGGAUUCAAACUCAAUUUUUGACGACAUGUCUUUCUUUAAAAAUGGAGCUACACUAGGGCUUUAUUUCUUAUUUUAUUUUCUUUUAAAAAUAAACAAAAAUAAGUGACAACUCCACCUUUUAAAAAAAAAAAAAUCAGUUUUUUACAAUAAAAAUAAGUCUCACCAUCAAGUAGGGAUGCACAUGAAAAAUGCGGGUUCACAAUUGUAUUCCUUAGGAUUAAAAUAUAAUACAAUUAAUUAGAUGGAUGAUAACGUCAAAUUCAGGAUAGCUUCAUAUUUUUUCCUUUAACUGAAGAUUAAAAUAAAAAGUAAAGUGAUAAUUUUUAAGAUGUAAAAGUUUUAUUAAACAUGAAAGAACUAUUGUGUAAAUAGAAAUAGAAUUAUAGAAUUCUUAUAAGAAAUAACAUUUUUAUGACUUUUAUAUGAAACCUUUUUUAAAAGUUAGAAGUUUUUUUUAAAAAAAUAAUAAUAAUAAUAAUUAAAUAGGUAUAAAAACUUUUAUUCAACUUUUUUUUUUUUAACUCUUACAAGUCAAUCCAAAUAAAAUUUAAACAUAUUUGAAAAUCAUUUUUAAAAAUCCAAAAAAUCACUUAAAAAUAAUUUCUGAACUUUUUUAAAUUUACAUUUAAAUACUAAGUGAUUCUUUUAAAAAUCAUAAUUUUUUUUACGGAUAAAAAUAUUACAAAUAAAAAACAUUUUAAUCACAAUAAAUUUAUCUUGAAUUCAUGAAAUUUCAUUUAUUGUUAUUUAUUUUUUGGGAUUUGAUUCUUUACAAUUAUUUUUGAGUGUUUAUAAAGUAUAAUUAGGUUAUGCCCAAAUUUAUUCCUAUAACUCUAUCCAUCAAAUAUAAGUAGCGUGAAAUUUUGGCCUGUCUCCACCUUUCGUCACUUCUGACAUUGUCAUGCACUGCUUCAUCAACUCCAAACACAACUGCUGAGGAUAGAAGAAAAUAAGACAAUGGAAUGUCAGCUAGAAUAAAAUGAAAGUUUAAUCAUUUAAUCUUUUUUAGCACAGCUUUCCUGCCAACUUAACAUAUUGACAUGGACUUGGACAGUACCGUCAAUUGCAGCAGCUUAGUUAACUGUAAGUGUCUUUUCUCUAAACCAUAAAUUCAAAUGAUCAACUCCUACGUUUUAAUUUACAAAAGCCAGUGAUUUGAAUUUAAGGAAGCAGGAAAGGGUUUACUUGAAUAUAAAAUAAAAAAAAUAAUAAGAGUUGAAAAGUAAUCAAAUCACUAAAAAGACAGAUUUGGAGUUCUUUUGCUAUGGGGUUAGACUCAAUUUGUUCCCAUGCAAUGGAAAUGGACGAUUUUCUUUAUCUUGGUAUAGAUCUUGUAAUAUUUUAUAAAAAUAUAAAUUAUAUGUCAAUUAUUUUAACUUUCGGAAAAAGCGCUUAUUUUAAUUUAAAAUAAAUAAAUAAAAAAGAAUUGAUUUUAUCUCAAUUGUAUAAGACUUCAUAAAAAUUAUCUUAUUUGCAAAAUAUUUUCAGAUGUAAAAGUAAAUAUUAAACAAAGCAUUUGAUGAUCUUUUCCAUAAGUAUCCAUUUAGAUCAUAAUCUAAUUUUAAAAUAUUAGAAUAAAUCAAUUACUCUAAACUAUAUAAUUUAUAAUUUUUUUAUUAUUAAUAUGGUACCUAACCUUCCACGGAAUUGGAAUAAAAUAUGGAUAAUUAAAAAAUGUCAACUAUCCCAUUUCAAACUUUUCUAAUACAACAUGAUAUUUUAUCAUGUUGAAUGAAAUGGGAAUGACCAAAUAUUCUCAAAUCAAAGCUAUAUCUAUUGUGGACAUUGUCUUUUUAUAUUGAAAUGAAUUAAGGUUGAAACAGGAACACAAUGUCAAAUUCUUUUUUUAUAAUCAAAGACUUCCAUGGAAAAUUCCACCAUAGCAUAUCUUAAAGAUUAGUCAAAUUCCAUUAUCUUUAUAGGCUUUUAACAAUCCAAGAAAUUGACAUUAAUAAUCCCAAACACAAUAUUCUGCAACUUUACAUUAUUAUUUUUAUCGUAAUUGAAAAGGAAUACAAACUUAGUCAAACAGAAAAUAAAUCACGAAAGCUAAAUAAUACAAAUAUUCAGUGAAAUCCUUGGCAUGUUAUUUCUUUGCAGCUUCAACAUGGUGGCAUGUCGGAUGGAGGAGGCAGCAUUUGAGCUUCUGGGUGUUUACCAUUUUUCACUAUGAACGCAGUUUCCAUGCCCCAAGUCAGAUGGCGUUCUAUAUGGCAGUGCAUGAACCACACUCCUGCAACAGAGAAAAUAUACCAACGUUACACCUAACUUAAUUGUAAUAUUAAGAAAAAUUAUUUCAUUGGUAUGCAGGUUGGUAGUUUCAAGGGUUUUUUUUCUUUAAUAGAGGACAUGAGUGCUUGCAAUAUACCAGGGUUGGAUGCCUUGAAUCUGAUUGCAACCCAACCAUUCGAAGGAACAAAGAUGGUAUUCUGAAGGGGAGGAUCCACCAGAUUAUACCGCAAAGGGUCUCUAUUUCCAUCGAAAUUCCCAAAUCCCCAUCCAACAACAUAGAAACUGUAUCCAUGGAGAUGCAUGGGGUGGUGUGUCUUUGCAAGCACGGCUGUCCCUUGAAGAAUAAUCUCCACUGUGGAGUUAUACUCGAGCACCCUUACUUCUGUCCCGCUGCUCGACAACUGAUAGGUUAAUGGAAGAUAAUCAUAUGUAAAAUCGAACACCAGUGGUGGAAAGCUAGGAAAGUUAUUUCCAUAUACACCACUGAUGUUAUAAUAGUAAGCUUCUAGUAUGUCAAUUAUAGGCGAAUGAAAGCUUAUGUUGUUUAUACUUGAGGAGAAUCACGUCCCAUUGGGCCCUGCACAUGAAUCAUUGAUGCAUGGGUAUGAGUUCAUAGAAAGAGUGUAAAACAGGUUAGUGCUCAUGCUCAAUGGGACAUUGCAAGGAUGUUCCGCAUCUGCUAAGCUUCGAAGGCCGGCCAUGACCUGAACCGAUGCCUUUGUGUCAUUGUAUGCAGGAAGAUCAGGUGAGGAGGGAGGUGAAGAUGGUGUGUAGUAUCCCCUGUACUGUACAAUAGCUGUGGUGGUUGUGUUAUCAUAAAAGUCUCAAUAUUUUGGGGCAACAGAAUAAGUUAUAGACGUCAUGUAAUAGUGAUCCGGGCGUUGGUUAGCUUCUAGUAAGACAUCAUAGGUUUGGCCAGGAAAUAUUGUGAUAUAAUCUCGUGUCAAUGGUUUCGUGUAGCUACCAUCUGUUCCAACCACUGUCAUUUUAUGCUUGGCUAUGGCGAAGAAGAGAGCCUUGUGCAAGGCAGCAUUGAUUAUGCGAAGUAGAUAGGUCUUUCCAUGAUCCAUUGUUAGCUUGAAUGUGCUUGCAAUUAGAAAGGGAAAGUUGUAUACUUAUGACUAGCUAAAAGAAAAGGAAAAAGUUUCCAUGAGAAUCCACCAAUUAUGAAGUGAUUCAUUGAUUAAGGGUGUAAAUUUGGCUCCAUAGUUUAACAUUAUAUUUGGACUAGCCUUUUCUGAUGUGUUAAAUCAUGGCUCUACCAUCCUCAUAGCUAUAUUCCUCUUUCUUAGCAUUAACCUUUAAAUAUGUUGAUGUUAAUAAGAAAAAGUAGCAUGGUUAACAUAUAAGAAAAUGAAAUCGCGUAUAAUUUUAAAAUGGGAAGUUAAACUUUGUACCUAAUUUUGAGCAUGGAUAUAGAUCAUCGGGUUGUCCAUUUAUCAAUAAAGCAUCAGAGGAGUUGGGGUCACCUCCGGUUGCAAGCCCUUCAUCUCAAACCGCAUUCACAUCACUCUUCCACCAUUCUCCUGCAUGUCAACAACUCCAAUAAUUUUAGAUCUUGCUUUGCUGGUUAAAUCAUAAUAUGUAAAUUAACCUUUAAAAAUAACAACACUUAUACCUAAUAUGAUGGGGACUUCUGUGUUAGGUUUGUGACAAGGAUACUUGGUUCCAUUCUUGGGAUAGAUGAUUAUAUAGCUCCAUGAACAGUAGCUCAGGUACAGUCACUGUGAGCAUGCCACCAUAAAGUGCCUUCCUCAGUAGAAAGGAUGAUCUUCUAGGUAAACUUUGACCCUGGCUAAAUUGGGCAUUGUGUGAUAUACUCGGGACCAUCUGUCCAUGGAUAUCUAGGCAUGGUCACCCCAUGCCUGCAAAACCAUAACUAUACGUUAAAACUAGUACUAAUUUUCAAAGUAACAAAAGAUAGCAUGCAACAAGCAUCAACUGUAUUUCAAUGGAACUGAAGCAAAUAACCCUAAAGUAUUGUUUUAAAUUUGACUUUAUUUUCAAAGCAAUAUAUUGCACCCCCCCCCCCCUCUCUUAGAAAUAAAAGAAUGUAAGCUAUGUCUUUCUCUGAGACACACACAGGACCUACCAGUGAAUGGUGACGUUUUCUUUUCCCCUAUUAUAAACGUCGACAAUGAUCGUGUCUCCUUUCAUAGCAUAUAUAGUUGGUCCCGGAAAUUGUCCAUUUUUUACUGUUAAAAUGUUCUUGGCAGUACAAAGCCUUGUAUAUGAAGCUUCCCUCACUUGCAACCAAUUAAAAGUUAACCAUGCAACCUCAUCCCAAAAGAAAUAUUACAUGCAUGAAUAGUUCCAUCGAUCCAUUCAUGUAAGUGUAUAACCAAUUAGAAAUUGAUGGCAUGCAUGAACGACUCAACGACACCCAUAGCAUGCAUGAACGACUCAAUGACACCCAAGCAUGCAUGAACAACUCAACGACACUAGGGUAAGAGGUCAUACAGUAGAAAAUAAGAGCCAUACUACUCCCUAAAUCUCAUGAUUAGAACGUGGUGUUAAGGCCAGAAUCAUAUAUAAUAGUUACCACAAAAGUAAGCCGACGGGUUGAAGCUUGGCAAUGGAUGCCACCACCAAAAACUAGAAACGCUAAAAUUUGCAAGAGGAAAACCUUCAUGAUCAGCCACAUUUUCCUUGGAAUAAAAGCCUUUUCUCUUGUCCUAAACACAACUCCUUUAAUUCUCUUACUACUUUUGAUGUAUUUCUUUCAUAUAUGAUUCAUUAUAUAGGCAUGGUAAUUCUCUCGGGAUACAAUACUUCCUCUCCACGUGUCAAUAUAAGAGGAAGUAAUAUUGGCUUUCAAUGUUCUUUCAGGACGACUUCAAUGAGCAGGACCACUUCAAAAUAAUUAAUUAUGAUAUUUCUUACAUGAGCAGGACCACUUCAAAAUAAUUAAUUAUGAUAUUUCUUACAUGAGCAGGAUCACUUCAAAAAAAUUAAUUAUGAUAUUUCUUACAAGUUACCUACACUUUACCUUAGAAUAAAUUUAAAAUAUUCUUUCACAAGUCUUUUAUUGAUUAGUUCAACAAAUGUUAAUUAAUUAAAUAUAUGUACCCUUAUCAAGAUUAGUCAUGAAAACUGUUUUUCAUUGACAACUACUUUUAAGAAUUAUUUUUAAAUUAUUUUUUAAGAAUUAUUUUUAUAAACAUUAUUUAACCAACCCUUAUUAUUAAUUUUACUUUUUUUCGUGUUACUUAAGAUAAUUAAUAGUGCAGAACCCAUGACUUUGGUGGUUGGUGGCAGAGUUGUUUUCGUAUUGUUACUUUAUACAAUUAGUCAUGUCAUUGCUUUCGUCUGAAUGGGACAAAGUUGUUUCCCAAUUUUUUUUACCUGAGAUUUGAGAUUGUAAAAGACAAGAUGAUAAGCUAAUUUGGUAUUUCAGAAUUUUCCAUAAAAAAACAGAAAAAUACAUUUUGUAAAAAGUUGAAAAUAGGAUACUAACAACCCUUGUAGUAUCUUUUUUUCUCAACAAAAAGCAGUUUAAUAAUAACAAUAAUAAAUAAUUGUAGAUUUAAAAAAAAUAUUUUUCAAAACAAAUGCAAUCCAUAAUUUAUUUCUUCGAAUGGUAUGCAUAUCUUGAUUAAAUAAAUAAAUUAUGGAAAUGCAUAUAUUUUUAACUUAUUUAUAAAUAGAAAAAAUAAUGAAUAAAUUUUAAGACGUGUAAAAAUUUGAUCAAGUUAAUUUAAACUUUUUUUUUUCACUUUCUUUCUCCUAUUCUUUUUUUCUCACAUUUCCUUUUAAACUUUCGAAAUAAAUUCCCUACUAUUUGUGGAGUUUUAAUACAAAUAACACCUUUAUUAGUUAGACUUACAUUAUAUCACUACCCUCACCAAAGGUAAUGAAGGUCAACAACUUCUCCCUUGUUGACUAGGUCCACUAAUAACUAGAGUUUCAAAACCAAUAAUAAAAUUCACUUACAUACAAAUAAACAAAUCAUAUGAUAUUCCCAAUUUAUUUUAUAAACUAAGGAACAAAUCAUAACAUUUUUAGCAAAAUAUUAUUUGAUCCACUUUAGGGAUUUAAACAUUUUGAUAGUUUAAAAAUAGAUGAAAACAAAUAAGGAAUUAGAAAAUGGUUUACCGUAUCAUUAACCCCUAACUUGAAGAUAUCAUUCAAAAUCACGAAAGAUUUAGUCCACUCCUAAUAUAAUAUAAAUACAAAAUAAUUAUUAAAGACUAAUUAUCUAAAUUAAUGGCUUCCUAAAUUUUUUGUAAAACUUAUUUUAAUUCCAAACCCUCUUCUAAAAAUCUAUAUUUUUUAAUUAAAUUUUUUAUCAACCAUAUUAUUAUUAUCAUUUUUGCUUUGCAUAAUUACAUCAAUAGGUUUUGUUUAAUUAUUAAUGUUAAUAUUCUUUAUUUUUUUCAUGGUAAGUAGAAUAAUUAUUUAUUAAUUUACUACUAUUUUUACUUAUCUCCUACCCACAACCCAAGUCUUAUUAUUAGUUUAUUAUUUCUUUGCCACAACCACUUUCCUCAUUUCCUCAAUUCUUCUUCCUAUUAAUCUCGUGGUUAAAGAAAGAGAAAAUAAUUUAAUAAAUAAAUAAGAACUUACCUUAAAUUUCAUAAUGAAUCAAAUUAAAAAAGUUUCUUCUUUCUAACCCUUCAAACCAAACUUCUCUAAAGGCCUUUCUAUUGUUUAUUUUUCCCUUCUAUUUUAUCUUUUCAGUAUUUAAUAAUGCGGAAAAAUCAAAAUGAUAUAAAGUUUGAAUUACCCAAAAUCUGAAAAAAUAGUUGUUUCACCAUUUAAUUCUUUAUCCCAAGUCAUGAAUGAAACCACACUAAAAUUGAGAAUCACUUUAUUUCACAGUAUAAAGCAUUUCACCUUCUUUUUCAGAUAACUUUUCUUUUCGAGUCUUUAUUUUCCAUAGAAAAGUUUAUUAGGGUGAUUUUUUGGGCAAUUUCUAGUAGUUCCAACUCCUAGAAAUUGUUCCACCUUUGAUAUUUUAUUUGGUUAGGUCAGGUUGGGUCACCUCAACUUGGGAACCCACCCAACUCCAACAAUAUUUAAGUAUUUAAUAAAGUAAAUGAUUGAAUUACCAUGAACAAGUAUAAUGAUCAAAAUAAAAAUUUUACUCUUUUUUGUUAUAAUAUAAAAUCCAACCUCUAAUUGAACAAAUCAUUUACCAUUUAAAAAUAUUCUUAAUAUCUUCAUUUUCUUUUUGUGUUUUUGAAAGUUCAUUUUUAUUUUAACUAGAUCAAAUAAUAUUUGUAUAAUAAUGCCUUUAACAUACAUUUUUUAUGAGUAACACCAAAUAAACAUCUCAACAAAUAUUAUAUAAGAUGAUCAUUAAUUUCACUAUCUUCAUUUUAUUUAUGUUAUUCUUCUUUAUCCAAUGGGUUUAAUUAUGUGUUGUAAAAUGAACAAGGACCUCUAUAGUUAUAAUCUCACCUAAAAAGUUGGAGAAGUUAUCUCUACAUUUAUGGUUCAUGCAUGAAAUAAAUUGUUUUUGUACUUCCAUCAUCAAAGAUGCAUGUAUGUCUAAGAAUGGCAAAAAAAUCUGUUGUUCUUGUAUUGAACAUUUUUAAGCUUUUCUAAGUCAAACAGAUUAAUUUAAAAUUGUUGGAAAGUUUGAAGUUUGAAAUUUGAAUUAUUCAAAUAUUUGUUGAUUUGAAUAAGUCAUCGCAGACUAUUAAGAUUAGAAGUUAAUUUAUUUGUUUUUAAAUCUUAUGAGAUUAGGAGUUAUUUAUUCAAAUAAGGAUUGAAUAUCCACCAGGUUGUUGGGAUAAGAAUUCUAGUUUCCUUAUUUUUAAGGAUUUUUGAAUUCUAGAGUCAACCUAUAAAUCUUGUUGUAUUUCGUAUUAAAAAUAAUAAUAAGAUUUUUGUGCUUUCUGUUUUUUUUUUUCUACUUCGGCUUCAAAAAUAAUUAUUUUUUGAGCUUAAGAGGUUCAAACACCUAUUCACCCUCUCUAGAUGUUACCUAAACUAGAUCAACUAACUUUUAAUGAGGAAAACUCAAAUCAUAGAAUUUGCUCUUUCAGCCAAUGCAACUAGGCUUAGACAAAUUGAAGAGUAAAUAUCCUUUCAAAUCAACCAACUAACCUUUCAUCCAUGGAGACCUUCUCCAAUUUAAAGAUCAUGAAAACCUGUCAAAGCAUUUCUAAAGAAAAAUAAGAGCAUUGUGUCACGGACUUAGUCUUCUUCAAGUGUUUUGGAACUCACUUGUUUUGGUUGGUUAGGUUCUUGGGUGGUACCUUGGCCAAAUGAGGCCUUAACCUCUUUAUAGGCACCUUAGGAAGUCUCUAGAACCUUGAAGGGUUCCUUACAAAUAAAAAAUAAUCUAGAAGCUCCUACACUAGUCUAUGUACAAGAUGACUUUGGAAGAUUCUAGAACACCCCACACUUUUCCAGUGGUCUCCUAGCCAAGUGUAGAUAUGUGUGGAUAUCUCUAGCAUUUUCUAGAAGCUUCCACACUCUUCUACCUUGUAGGUAAGUGUAGAUGUCUCUAGGGGUGUCUACAAGCUUCCUACCUCCUAUAUAAGCCCAUGAGGAGGGUCAUUUGAAGCAUCUUGUGACAAUUGGCUCACCCUAAGGGUUCCUUGGAGAGGCUUUGAUCUUAAUCUUCUCUAUGAGUUGUUGAAAGGGUCUUUCACAACUGGGAUUGGAUUGGAUGGAGCACUUAUAUGAACUAAAAAUGAUAAAUAUUAUAACUACUCAAAAGACAUUUUCACAGAAUUGCCAACCUGCAGAUCAUUUUUAGUUAACCAAAUCUUAAAACAUUAGUCACAUCCGUGGCCAAAAUUAAGUGAAGGCUAAGCACAGAUAGAAGAGGAUCAUCAGGACGCUCUCCUUAUCUCUACCAAGCUAGCUAACAACCUUGAACAGAAUAUUGCUCGAGCAGUCCAUGGCUACUAUUAAAAGGAAAAACCUAUAAAAAAAUAUGAAGAACAAGAAGCAUAAAAAGAAAAUAUAGGCUAAAAUAAAAUGGUUCAAUUUGGGAAUCAACUGCUACGCAAUAUAUGACUAAAUUCUCAGCUAGAUUCUUAUGAGUUCUAACCCCCAAAAGCAUCAAAUGCAGCAGAAAAUCUUGCAAAAGAGAAACCAGUAAGACAAUAACAAUAUGAUAGUUUCAUCUCUACCUUUCAAGUUUGAGCAUCUAGUGCUGAUGCAUCCUCUCAAUGUAGAAGUGGCUUGCUUCAUUAUAUCAGUAUUGUAAAAAGAAGAGGUGUAAGCUCACCAUAAUCUUUAAUAGUGAAGAAACUUGAAUUCUCAUCGGUAGUGCUGCACUGAAAUUCUGGUUGAUUGCCUUCUUUCUCAUCCUGUUGAUAUAGUAGAUGAACCCCACACUUCUUCACCCCAUAAGAUGGGCCAUAGACUUGGAAUGAAGCCUGAAUUUGACUCAGUUUAUUUAGCCAAUUGGCGUGGCCAAUCCCAAUUCGAGAAAUUGGUUGAUACCCAAGCCACAUGUGAUCUGAUUUAAUGAAUCUGUGCCCUUCAUCCGAAGAAUUCUGGUGUUCUUGAUUGAUGGGAGCAAAAAGGUGACCAGUUUUACCUUGAGUCAAAUUCAAAUGACAAAAUAUAUUACCAGGGCAAUCAUGGACAGCACCCUUAACUACAAAAAUAGCGCACACAGCCAAUCCCAUCAACCUAGUAUACACCAAUUUGGAGGCAGAUGUACCAUUACUGUGAAGCCUAUACUCUGUUGGCUGAACCACUAACGAAUUCAACUUCCAGGAACAAAAGUGCCGGAUUCAAUAUGUGGAGUAUAUGGCACCAUCUGGGUCAUGAAAAUCAAUGUCAAGUUAUAUGGAAAUAAUGUAGGAGUAGUGCUCAAAGGAGUAUAAGAAUUAUUCCAUAGGAUUUAAUUGAUUUACUUUUACAAUAUGAUCAAGAGAGAGAGGAGAGAAACCUGGAUUGGGAAUUGAAAUCUUGGUAAUUUAUUUGCCAGACUUUGCAUUUCCCUUAAUGUAGCUGCCACAAAGUUGCUGCUUUCAUUCUCAGACAGUGAAGCAAUUAGAAAAUGUGAAUCGGAGGCCCCCACAUUCCUUGGAUCUGUAGACACUUGAUGGACACAAAAUGUUUUCCGUAACUGUGCAAUCAGGGGCAUCUAUUUCUUCUAUACUUGAUGGAAGCUCUGGUAAUGAUUGAAGCCUCUUGCAAUAACCCAACCUAAGGCCUUUGAGCUGUGAAAGUUGAUUGAGGCUUGCAGGUAGAGUAACAAAAUUGUUUCUGCUCAGAUCUAAAUAUUCCAACGAGCACAGAGAACUAAAGUCAUUGGGAAUUGCUCCUUCCAAUAUGUUGCAAUCACUUAGAUUUAACUUUCUUAGGGAUCUUAAACCAAAGAAAGAAUGCAGUUGAAAACCCCUAGAGCGUCCGAUUUCUGCGGGCAACAACUGGAAAGAGGGGAGUGAAUUCCUUGGAUUGGAUUCUAGUCCUUUACAUCCCUCAAAUGAUAAUACUUCAAGGUUUUCCAAAAGAGAAAUAGAGGGUGGCAGCUCUUUUAUAGCAGUUCCAGCUGCUUCAAGCUUCUCUAAACCUUGUAGGCUCCCCAAACCCUUUGGCAAAUUGUCUAGUUUUGAGCAACCAGAUAGAAUAAGAGUUUGAAGAGAUUUCAACUUACGAAUGCUAUGUGGAAGAAUUGCAAGGCUUUUGCAUUCUCUCAGAUUCAACAGAACAAGUCCACUUAGAUGUUGGAUUGAUGAAGGUAGCUUUUUUAUAGCAGUUCCAUAUAAGAAAAGUUCCAACAAACUCCCCAUAUUUUCCAAGACUUCUGGAAGCUCUUUGAGUUUUAAGCAAUCUGAGAGAAUAAGAAUUUCAAGGGAUCUCAACUUAUAAAUACAGCUUGGUAAUGACUCAAGGUUUUGACAGUUCCUCAGAUUUAAUAGAACAAGUCCAGUCAGAUAUUCAAUCGACAAGGGCAAUCCUUUUAUUGCAGUGCCCUCCAAGGAAAGCUCUGAUAAAUGUUUCAUGCACCCUUGGACCUAUGGAAACUUCUUGAGUUUCCAGCACCCGGAGAGAGUAAGAAUUUCAAGAGAUUCCAAACAGAUGCUUCUUAGAAAGUUGUUCAACUCAACUUUAACUCAUAUUUAGCUCGACAAGCUGUUCAGGAUGAAAAUUUAAUGGGAGGGAUUUCUGAGGGUAUCCAUGCCAAUAUAGACAUCUUAAGUUGUUUGAUAGAAAUUUGAAGUCUCCAGAAAGAAGCAAUUUACAGUCUUUGAAUUGAUUCAGUUUAUUCAUCCUCGUGCAAGCAUCAGAAUCAGCACAUAACUCUUUCCAAGAAAAAUAUUCAAAGCUUCCACAUAGCAGCAUGUUACAGACUUUGAGCAAUCUUAAUUUGUUCAUCUUCAUGAAGGCAUCAAAACUGAAGUGUAGUUCCUUUGAUGCUGACAAGUCAAGGACUAUGCCUUCAACUACUUUAGUCCCCUGCAAUUAACCGGGAAUAGAGUAUGAAUUGGAAAUUAAAAUCACAAAAUUCUAAAAGGAAAAGCACAGAAAGCAUCAAACUAAUGACUUAUUUUCUUUUUUUUUUAGGCAGUGUUCAAGGAAGCAAGUAAGAAGAUAAAAGAAAAUGCAUCUACUAAGACAGAAACUCAGGGAAAAGUUAGCAAAGGAUUCAAAUCAAAUAAUUCCCCCAGCUUUAUAUCUGCCUUUGCAUAAAUAUGCAAUACCUUAUUAAAAUUGUACAUAUAUGUGAGUUUCUCAAAUGAGUUGAAAUUAUCCAAACUUUCUCUUCACCUAGAGCUUAUAUAUACAAAAAGAGAACACACACAUACAAAGCUCAUGUAUUUAUUUCUUACUGUGUUUCUAGUUAAUGCAUCACUGACAUCUUCAUGAAUCCAGAGUCUGUUGUGUUUUUCAGGAUAUUUAAGAGAUUCUUGCCAAACAAUUUCCCAACCCAUUUCUUGUAACAAAUCAUACAUGCACAACUUAUUAUCUGAAACAAUUAUGAGUGACUUAUCAAUGAGAACCCUUAUUCCAAUAUCCGGAAAGAAACCACAACUCGCUAGUAUUUCUGUGACAAAAUCUUUGUCCUCCCAUUUACAAAAGCAUGCAAUAUCGAGAAAUAUAUCUCUCUCUUUGUUGUCUAAUCCAUCAAAACCCAUUUUAAGCACAUUCUGAAUUUCCAUGUUAGGAAUUCUUUUUAGUUUGUCCAAUUCACUUUUCCAUUCAUGUAUGCUCUUGCUAUACAAAAAAGCACCCAAGACUUUAAGAGCUAAGGGAAGGCCCUUACUAUAAUGUAUUACAUCAUAGCAAAGCUGCAUAUAAUCUUCUCCAGGGUCGUUAUGUUUAAAGGCAUACUGACAAAAGAGUUGAAAAGCUUCACUAUCCUCUAAUCCCCUAAAUUCAUAAAUUGCGCUGACUCAAUGUGUAACAAGCAAAUGCUUUUCUCUGCUUGUUAUAAUAAUUCUACUUCCUGAACCAAACCAAUCAUGGUUUCCUGCUAAAUAUUCUAACCGUUCCAAGUUAUCCACAUCAUCAAGAACAAUAAGAAUCCUCUUAGAGUGGAGUCUAUCCUUUACAAAAUUGAUUCUUGUAUUGGAAAUUCCUAAAUUUGGAUUUCCAUCCUUCAAUAUCUUUGAGAGAAGUUCCACUUGUAAAUGACCCAGACCACGUUUUUAUGAGCCUUCUCUAACAUUUUCAAGAAAACAGCAACCCUCAAAUUGAGUGUAAAUUUGCUCAUAAAUAGCUCUAGCAAUAGUUGUCUUACCUAUGACACCCAUGCCCCAAAUUCCUACACUUCGAACAUUAUCCAACCCAAUACACAACGGUGAAUCCAUUCCAACCAGCCCUUCAGCAUAGCACGAGGAUGUACCAAUCAAUUUAUUAGAUAUAUCUGUGACAAGUUCCUCAAUAAGUAUAGAUUCAUGCUUGCAAAUUUUGAGGAAAAAAACUAAUCAUUUAAUGAAUUCAAGGAUCCAUUAAAAAAACAAAAGAGAUAUUAGAUAAAUCAUCAGCGAUUUAGUCUUGUUUUUUGUAACUUAAAAGUCAUAUGGCAAGCUUAUAUCUCAGAUUUUUUCCAGUGUAAGUGUGUGUGUGUGUGUGGGAGAGAGAGAGAGAGAGAACUGUAUUGCUAUCUAGACAGACAGACAAUCAAACUAGAUUAUAAUAGCAAGCAUCUGCCGCACUUCGUAGUAGUCUGCAUGAGGAACUUCUCAGGAUAGAAAUACUAGAAAAGCCAGUGGAUGCAUGUUUAAGACUGCAGUAGCAUUGAUUGAUAGUAGGAUUACUAAUUCCAAGUUAAGCAUAUUGGCAGGCAAAAAUUCUCUUCCAAAUGGUUGAAAAAAUUAGGGAUUACCAUCCAAAAGGUUUUAAAAGCAUGACUAUCCAAUGGGGUUGGGGGACACUACUUAGGCAUGGAAGAGAGAAUGCCAAGAGGUCAUUGGAAAUGAAGAAAAAGCAUUAAUCCAAGGUCAACUUACCAACGGAAUAAAGCACACUAAGGGCAAAUAUGCUCAAGAUAAGGUAAAAGGUUUUACAGUGUAGUCAUAACAUUCUUGCUCAAUGUGAUAAGGACCGACCAAUGUGUAGCUUCAAACACCUUCAGCAGAAAGGAGGGAAAGGGUCAUUCAUAUUAUGGUCAAGUGGGUUGAAAUCACAAUUUGAUGAGGGUCGAGAAAAGUUUGAUGUGUUGGUGGAUUGGAUCCAAGUUAUUCCAUCUUCAUAAUUUUGAUCACAGUCAUGGAGAGAUUUCCUUGCAUAUGUGAGAUCAAGUUCAUCUAAAAAUCAUUCAGUCAUAGGCAGCAAAAUACAACUUAAUCCAUACAUGGGUUUAAGUCAAAUCAUCUUGGAUCAAUCUCUCUAUUGAUCAUCCUAUGAUUUCCAAUUUAUAUGGCUAUGCAAGCUUUAAAGUUUCAGCAUCAUUACAUCAUACACCUAAAAGGCAAAGGAAAAAAAAUUGCAGUUAAAAAUACCUAGCUCGAGAAUCCCAUCCAGAAAUAUUGGCAGCUUCUGUCAAAGCCACUCUCCACUUGAUCACUUUCUCCAUCUGCUCCUUAUAAACCUCUUCAUGCUUAGCAAAUGCUUGUGCAAAACUCCCUGUCUGUUUCCUCACAUGAGAGGGAUCCAUAUUGUAGAAAACUGGUAAAGCUGCAUGUCCCAUCGCCAUGGUGCAGUCAAUAAUCUUGACAAGUUCCUCCAGACACCAUGUUGAAGAAGCAUAGUUUUUAGAGAAAACGAUGACGGAGAAUCUGGACUCUUCGAUGGCUUUUACAAGUGCUGGAGAGAUCUCUUGCCCUCUUCUGAGCUGGUCAUCCAUGAAAGUCUUGACUCCUCUUUAACACAGAGCUCUAUGAAGAUGGUCAGUAAAGCUUCUGCGGGUGUCUUCCCCUCUGAAACUCAGGAACACGUCGUACUUCCAUUGAUGCGUAGAAGGUGAAGAUGAAGAUAAAGAAGCCAUUAAAUUGGAAAUUUGAUAGCUUAAUUGUGGGACAGAAUUAUAAGUGAGUCAGAGAAUGAAUAAAGACUAAACUGAACUGAAAAGAAAAUUAUAUAUGGCUUGACAUGCAAAUAGCAAAUCACUAUGUGCCCAGAAGUUUCUUGUGAUUUUCUUGUGAGCUGCCAUCGAAAAGGCCAGCUUCUAAUAACUUACAAAAUAAAUUUGUUUGGGCCGCUUAGCUUUAUCGUUAGGAAAGUCUUCACAUCCAACUUUUGAUGUAGGUUUACCUUUUUUUUUUUUCAAAUAUUUGCCACCUGUCGCUUGGACAUUGGAGGGAAGUUUUCCAAGUACGAAAACUAGAUGAAACUUUGACCGGCAAAGAAAACGAAAAAGACCUUAAGGAAUUAGAAAAUAUUAUCUUUCAUAUUAAACUUAUCUUUUUGUAAAAGCUCUCUACAAUUAACUAUGUGUUAUCAUAAAGCAUUAUUUAGGCUAUGUUACAUUCUUGGAAAUAAAUAAAAAAAUGUAAGAAAAACAAAAAAGAAAUAAAAUUUAAAAAUUAUUUUUUUCAUUAAUAUAAAUUAAAUAAUUUAAAAUACCUAAGUUUUUUCAAAAUUUUUAGUCAUGGUAGUGGGCCUUUGAUCAACCAAAGAUAGCCCAUCCAUCAUUGGCCAAAGUGAAGCACAACAACCUUAUAUUGGUGAUGUCACAUAGCAAUUCAUUAUUCAUUAUUUUGUUUUCAAACACACAAUAUCAAGAUUUGAGCGUGGGUCUUUCACAAUAUCUUUUAUAUACUAAUAAUUGUAAAUUAAUUACAAUAAAAUUAUUACAAAUAAUUUAAUUUUAAUUAUCUUAUUAUGUCUCUUAUAUAGUGAUUAAAUAUACGACAAUUAUAAAUUUAUAAAUCAAAUUAUUAACAAAUGUUUCCUAAUUCGGUAUAUUAUUGUUUAAUAUUACAAAUUUAUUAUACAUUUAUCAAUUUUUCUUAAAACAAUUUCAAUAUAUAUAUAUAUAUAUAUAUCAGAAUUUUCAUUGAUAUUUCUUUAUAUAUCUAUAAAGUCCAACUAAUGAUAUAUCGGUAAAAAUCAAUAUUUUCAUUCUUACUUAACAUAAGAAAGAAAAUUAUUCAAAUGGUGUGUAAAUUAAUGUGACCUCCUGAUGACAAUGACAACAACAACCAUGAGUCAUAGUUAAUGCACGUGUGUGGUAAAUUAACUUAGUGUUUGACAAAAUAAUUAUUUAUUAUUACUUAAAAUUUAAAAAAUAAAUUUAAAUAUUAAAUCAAAAUAAUUAACUUAUUCUAAAUACUAAAUUUUUUUAUUCUCUGUGUUCAUAUUUGGUGAUAAUCAUGCUUUAUUUUAAGAAUUCUCUUUUUUUUUUAGUCAAUAUUUUGUAGUUAUUUUGUAGUUUCACAAUAGUACUUUUUAAUAUAAAUGUUUAACAAGCUUAAGUUUAUGAAGAAAAAAUAUUAAGAAAAAUUAAUGAGUUUAAAUAUAUCAAUAUAAUAACUUUAAAAAUAUUAAGUUGAUUUUACCAAAAUUAAAGUAAAAAUAAUUCUUCUUAAAAUUAAUUUCAAUAAUUAAGUAAUAAGGAUUAAAUUUCAUCAUACACUCUCUUAAUUAAUAAAUGACAUAACUUCUUUCAACAACUUCUUCAUUCUACUUUUGAAAAAAUAAAAUAAAAUAAAUUUUAAAAUUAACGUGAUAUUUAUUUAUUUAUGUCUAAAAUUUAAAUAUACUUGAAUUUGACUUAAAUCUAAAUAUAGCUUGAUAUCGUUAAGUGUUUAGACUAUUUUUUUUUUUUUACUAGUGUUUAAAUAUUAUUAACCGUUAAAUUGUUAUUUUUAUUAAUAUCAAAAUAUGUGAAGUGUUAAAUUUAUUUAUUUUUGGUUAAAAAUUUAUAAAAGUAAUUAUUAUAUUUCUUCUUAUUUUAAUUUGAAAAGUUAUAAUUUAACAAAAUAGUAAUUUAAUUAACACAUCUAAAAAUAUUAUAAUACAUUAUCAAAGUAAAAAUUUUAUAAUGAUAAUUAUGUAAUUAGUAAAUUAUAUUAUUGUACAAUCCAUUGUUCCAUGUCAUAUAUUAUAGCAUAACUAUGCAUACCCAUCAGUGCAUAGACAUACAUCUUUUGAUAAUCUAUCAUGAAUGUCUCGUGGACUCUAAGUGAAGUAUGUAGCUAUUAUAGUAUAAAGAUGGUGUAGGAAGAGGCUCCAAGUUUACUAGUUCACACUCAACCACAGCAAUAGGGAAUAUAUUGCACAUUAUUUCCAUCUAAAAGAAAGGUAGAAAAGACCUUAGGAAUGGAACUUUUAGAUAACACCUAAGGGUAGCAAUGAGAUGAGUCUAAGAAGGAUCACUUCAAUCUCAAUCUUAUGUCAUUUGUUUAUAUUAAAUGGGGUGAGAUAAGACAAAAUCAUAUUCGCACCUGUCUUGAACUUGGUCCGAGGGCAAGAAGGGUCUCUAAAAAAAUCAGUCUCAUUGUCAUUCUUAGGUAUGCAUCUAUACCAAUGAAAGUUUUUACAUCUAUUAAAAAAUUCAAUGUUCUUGAUAUUAAUUAACUUCACCAAACUACAUACACUUAAUAUCCAUGAAAAAGUGUCAAAAUUCUCAACUAAUCAAUGACAUAAACUACAAUCAAGUUUAGUACAUCGUGACCCUAAAAUACCUCCAAACCCCAUUUCUUGUAGAACCCCCUUCUAAUUAGGUUGCAAGUGUUGAAGUACUUUAUACACCUAAUUAGGCGAACAACAAGUGUCAAGAUAAGACUGCAAGCCAUACAAAUACAUAUGCAUAUAAAUUUAAAAUUGAAAGAAAAUAUUAUCAAAUUUUUAAGUAUUCUAUGACAUAUUUUAAAUAUUUCUUACACAUGAAUUUCAGGAACGAGAAUAGAACCUCCAUCUCCAUAUGAAAUAAAGAGCAAGUACUUGGAAAUGAAGUAUGUUGAAAUGGAAGCUUAUAUGAACCAACAAAGAGAAAAAUAGAAUGCUUAUGGGUGCACAAUAAUGUUUGAUGGAUGGACAGGGCCCAUAAAAUUAAGUAUAAUUAAUUUCAUGGCCUAUUCAACAAGAACCACGGUGUUCCUUAAGUCAGUUGAUGCAUCUAACAAUAUUAAAGACCACAAAUAUAUAUACAAGCUAUUAAAGAGUGUUAUCAAAGAUGUUGGGGAAGAAAAUGUGGUCAAAUUGUCAUAUAUAAUGGGACGGCAUUCGUGAAAGUAGGCAAACUAUUGAUGAAAAAGUUUAACUUAUAUUGGACUUUGUGUGCGACGCACUGCAUCGACUUAAUGUUUGAAGACAUUGGCAAAAGAACAAGUGUUGCAGAAGUGAUAAGCAAUGCCUGUAAGAUAACCAACUUCAUUUACAACCAUGGUUGGUAACUUGCACAAAUGAGAAAGUUUUGUGGUGGAGACAUUGUUCGACCUAAAGCUACGAGGUUUGCUACUAACUAUAUUGCUCUUGAUAGUCUUCUUAAAAAAAAAAGGGUUGAUUUAAAGAAAUUGUUUAAGAGUGAUCAAUGGGCACAACAGAAGCUGAAUCGGAUAAAAAUCGGUCAAGAAAUGGAGAAAUUAAUGUUUGACCAUCCGUAUUGGGACAAAGUGACAAAAGUGGUUUCAUUAUAUGAGCCACUAUAUGUGGUGCUUCUUCUUGUAGAUUCAGAAGUUGUUCCCACAAUGCCCUUUGUGUACGAUCUUAUGCAAGUGAUGAAAGAAAAUCUCAUUCGUCAACAAGCUAGAGAAUGGAUGUUUGAAAUAAUAAAAGGUCGUUAGGAGAAAACACUAAAACAUCCACUUCAUGCAGUAGGUGAUUAACCACUAUCCAUCUUCAUAAGUUCUUAGUCUUGAUGUUAUAUAAUUUUUUUCUCCUAUAAAAUACUAACUUUACUUAAUUUUAUUAUAGCAUAUUUCUUGAAUCCAAGGUUUCAAUACAGACGUGGAGUUGGUAGCGAUCCCGAACCGCUCCAAGCAAUCCAUGACGUUUUUGUGAAAUUAGACCCAAUUGCUGAAUCGCUUAGUCAAUUUGGAAAUGAGGUAAACUAAAAAUAUUUUAUUAAUCAAUUUAUUUGAACAUUUACUAAAAAUAUUAUAUUCACAUAUUGAAUAUUGAAUACAUAGCUUGUACUUUUUCGAGACGCGAAAAAAUGAUUCAGUGAUUGAGCGACGAUUGUCGUAAGGUCAACCAUGGUUCCUGGUGAGUAUUAUUUCUUAAUAGAAAACUAAAUUUAUUAUCAUUAUUGUAAAUUCACAACAUAAGUAUUUAUAUAAUUAUGAAUUUGGUUGUAAUUGAAUGGUGGUUCAUGUAUGAAAAUCAUACACCGACAUUGAACAAAUUGCCCAUCAAAGUUCUUUCAUAAACUGUAUCAUCUUCUACCUGUGAAAGAAAUUGGAGCACAUUCACUCUCAUUCACACAAAGCAAUGAAAUCAUCUAGCUUACCCUCGAUUGUAACAAUUAGUUUUUUGUUAUUACAAUAUGAAGCUAAAGCUGCGUGAUGUGGAGGUAGAAAAUGAUAGAGUUGUUGAGAAAGAUUACCUUGAUCUCCUUGACAUUUCAAUCGAAAUGGGUGAAGAAGAGGAUAAUCAAUUGUUCCAAUGGGUUAGGCCUCUACACUUGGAUGAUGAAAUCAGAAAUCCUAAUCCACGGAUUGUCGCUCAUGCUCGAGAAUUUGGUGUUGACGUUGAUCGAGUGAUGUUUGAAGAAGUUCAUAGUGAGAGUUUUAGCAAAGACAUUGAUGAUUCAUUUGAGGUAGCAUUGAAUUCACAUCCUUCUGUUAACUCCACAAACGUUGGGUGAAGUAGUAGACCUAGUGCUGCUGGUACUUCUGCUUCUGGUUACGAUGGUUCAAGAGGUAGAAUUGAUGAUGAAGGUGAUAAUGCGGGAGGAGAUGUUGGGCAACAACAACAAAGUCAAUAUCCAAUGAGCCCAUUCACCUAUGAAGAUGAUUUCACACAUUGCACCCAAGAUGAAGACCAUGACUCUAGAAAAGUUGGUCCAAGCAUAGGAGCUAUUGGGAAUUCGUAUAGAGGAAGAGAACAGACGAUGGCACCACCAUUUAAUGAGCAGUUAUUUUCAGCUAGUUUUGAGUCUAUAAGUAUAAGGACUCAAUUUAGUGACUCAUCCAAUGAGGUUAACGUUUAUCCUCCUUAUGUGAUGGUUUAUGGUCAACCUUUAAGUUCAAUGGAUGAAGAGUAUGGUAUGCCUAGUCAUUCUCCUUCUACACAAAUGUCAUAUGACUCAUAUCACAUUCCAUGUCAGAUGCAAGGAGGAUUUGACACAAGCACAUGGGUGAACCUAAAGUAUCCCAUCCAUGUGGAGGCAGUGGGUAAGACUCAAGAGAUCUAUGCAUGGCAUCUUCGGAUUUUUAAUCAAUACUAUCGAGACUCAUUAACUUGGUACCAAUAUUGUCUCCAACAACAAGAUGGGAUUCCUUCAUCUAUCAAUUCCAUUGAAUCACAUCGGUCAUCAUUUUGGUACUAAAGGUUCAUUACAUAAUAUGUAUAAAUUAUUGAUAUUUAAUGAAAUCAAAUCUUUCAUCUAGCUUCAUAAUGAGUGUACACUUACAAAAUUUACAUUUUUUAUCGAUCCGACCCGAAAUCAUUAAAUUUAAUAUCGAAAAUCAUAUAUACAUAUAUCAAUUUCUUCAACAAAGCAACUUUAAAAUGUUUAUUAUACUUCUAAAGAUAUAUCUAAUAGGUUUUUUUUUUUUUUUUUUUUUUUUUACAUUUCCUUGACUUUUGAUCACUUUUUGGUCUAUCUAUAUUUUGUGUCAAAAUAUCCAUCGAUAUAUUUAUGAUAUAUCUGAUAUAUCUGUAAAAUCGAAGUAUCGAUAUAUCCGUAAUUAUCGAUAUUUUUAUCCUUGGUCCCCACUCAAUAGUAAGACUCAUUUUUAUUGGUGAAAAAAUAGUUUUGGAAAAGUUAGAGUCUUGAAAAACUUGAGUCUUGGUCCGAGGAUCAGGUUACCUAUUAGGAAGGUAUCUCUAAGAGGUAGCACCCCUCUAAACCCUAAAGAGGUCUCUAAUGACUAAGUCAUGGGAAAAGUGUCAAUUAAUCAAUUGAUUGAAGGUACCUAGGUAGGCUAAGGUGAUUUCAAAACUAGCAUGCCAAAAAAGAAAUCAAAUCACAAUCGUAAAGGACGAUUAGGAUAUGUGCCUGGAAUGCCUCUCAAGCGCUAUCAUAAGAUAUCAAAGUUAGCAUGGAAAUAUAGUACACAAUAUGUAUUUAAUCAGAGCAAAUCGAACAAACAUCUAGGCACCCAAGGAUGGAAUCAAACAUAAAUAAGGCUCACAACAACAUGCAUGUUCAUAGAAUUCCGAAAAGUAAGUGAUAGAGAGCGUACCUGGAUAGCAUGCAUAAUUUAUAAGAUUUCUCCAAAAAUGCUAGAGUGGUUAGGAAAAGUAUAAAUUAUAUAACAUAUUUAUUAUGUCUAAUAUACAGUACCAAAUCCAAAAUUGAGCCAAGGUAAGUCAAAUGACUCCAAAAAGAAUAACAAUUUCAAGCAAAGUACAAGGUCAUUAUCAUGCAAUUAGAAAAGGGAAUAUCACAAAACAAUUUCUAAAGAAUGUCUUGGAGUGGAAUUUAAUUACAAAAAAAUUCAAGAAACAACUCUUACACAUCUAGAACAACAUACCAAAAUCCAAACACUCAUUCAAAUGAUAGAUUGUAACAAAGAUAACCAAAAGUUCCAAAAGGUCCAGAUUAGGUAAAAAAAAGUGGCAUGCAUGAACGAAUUUUAUAAAAAAUAAUAAGAGAUCACAUAAAAUCAUACAAAAAAUCACACACAUCUUUCAAAGUGUCUAUGGCAUAGGAAAAAGAAAUUCAGGGUCGGGUAGUACUCAAAAAUAUUUUUAAUACACUCCAACUAAUCAAAUGUCCAGAUUCCAUCAUGUACAGUAGGUACAAUUUUGAAAAAUCACAUCUCCCUCAAAAAAGCAUAUUUUUUAAUAUUUUAUAUGUCUAAGAUCAAUUUCAUGAAGUUUAGAAUUAAGAAAAAAUAUUGAGUCAAAUUCAAAAAGUCAUCUAUUAUCUUAUUUAUACAGAAAUAUUUCGGGUGUCUAGAAUUAGGUGAAAACAGAGCCCUCCUAAAAACUCAUUUAUAUCUUCUAUUCCAUAAUUGCUUUCUAACUUAAACAAAAUUUUAAAUUCAAAUUCAAGAAAUGAAGAAAAUCAUUCAAGUUUUAGAUUUUUUUUAAAAAAAAAUAUUCUGAAGUUGCUUAAAUGAAUUUUAAAUUUAAAGGGUCAAUGGUUGAGUGAAAACUGGCAGCAAGGAAGAGUCUUGAAAAAUUUUCUUAUGUAGGGGUUCCACCAUUUCCCCAAUUGAUAUACAUGAAUCUAGCCUAGAAUUAUCCCAUUUAUUUGGGACCACAAGCUUGAACUCAUGUCUGACUCAAAACCAUAAUUUUUAUUGAAAAUUGAGAAAGAUGUGAACUGAUUAAGACAUGGUUGCAUAUUAUUUAAGAAAAUGAGAUUUUGAUUCUAAGAACUCUAAAUGAAUUUUUUAAAUAGAUUUUCAAAGGGAUCUUUUGAGAAAUAUAUUUAUUUUAAAAUCAAAGAAAUUAAUUUGAAAACAACAAAACAUAAGAAACAAAAUACCAAGCAAAAAAAACAAAACAAAACAAAACAAAAUCACAAAGUAAAAAUUUUGACAACCAAGCAAACUAAAGUGGUAAGAAUGGAGGCCAAUCUUUGCUAUUUUCUGAUUGCCUCCGAAGAUUAAAUUUGAUAAAGAACUAUCAAAUAAUAAACUAUUAAGACUUAGAUCAUACAAGUUAAUGAAAAUAUUCAUCAAUAAUUAACAACUAGGAUUCAAGAAACACCUAAAUUGAGAAUAACAAAUCAAGGACUAGCACGGGGUUAGCUAAACACAAAAACACAUCUAGACUAAAAAAUAAAUUAAAAUUGAACUAAAUCGAAAUUAAAAACAUAAACUUUAUCUAAUAAGAUUAAUUAAACUAUUGAUUAAAAUCACAAACACAUCUAAACAAAUUAAAAUAAAACUAAAUGGAAAUCAUAAAUAUGAACUUUAUCUAAUAGGAUUAAUUGAACUAUUGAAUUAAAAAUCACAAAUUCAUCUAAACUAAAAAAUAAACUAAAACUAAACUAAAUCGGAAUUACAAACGUGAACUUUAUCUAACAAGAUUAGUUAAACUAAUGAAUUAAAAAUACUAAUACAUUUAAACUAAAAGAUAAAUUAAAACUAAACUAAUUUGGAAUUAAAAAUAUAAACUUUAUCUAAUGGGAUUAUUUAAACUAAUGAAUUAAAACCACAAACACACUUAAACUAAAUGAUAGGUUAAAACUAAGUUAAUUCGGAAUUAAAAAGAAAAAAAAAAAGAAAAAAAAGCAUAAACUUUAUCUUAUAGGAUCAAUUAAACAAUCACCUAAAAGUCCGAAAAACACAUGAAUUGAAAUUGGACCAAACAAGAAUCAAAGUUAACAUACUUAAAAAGUGAAUAAAACAACUUUGGGUCAACUAGACUAACUUAUUAAAAUUUCUAAAAAAAAUGAAAUACAAAAUGAAAAUUGCAUCAAUUAAGAAUUAAAGUUAAAAAAAUAACCUAAACUUCAUUCCAAUAUUUAUUAAUCAAAACUAAUAAGAAAAACUCUAACUUUCAAUCUAAUAAAAAAUUAAAACUAAAAUCUAGAAAUUCCAACUUACCUUCUCUAGAAUUCCUCUAUGGUGGUGCGACUGCUGCUCUCUUCAGUUACAGGCUUGUGCGUGUUAUAGUGGUAUGCGAUUGUCUUCAAUCGCAACCCGUGGGGAAGAGUCCAUCUAUGGGCUGUUGAAAGAUCAGAAUAUAUGGCAUGUUGCUGGUUGUAGUUCCCGUGAGUGUGUGGCCUUAUUCCUCGCCAAAUUCUAAUGGUCGAUCCCUCUUGAUGGUGCAUGCUAGUGUUCAAUGGUGAAUGUGUCAUGGCUACCUCCUUCCAUUUUUAUUUUAUUUUUUAUGAUGAAUACAUGCUCUCCUAUGGGAACAUAUGGUAGCCUUGCCAAAGUCUGGUUUGUGCGGGUUCUUCCUUUUGAAGGCGACGUGUGUGCAUCCCUAAUCUUCCUUUUGUGCACCUUGUUUUCUUUCUUAAAAAUAUGUGAAAAAGACUCUCAUUAGUAGCGUGUGAUUCCCCUAGAGAAUGCCUGGAGAUCUAUUCCUUUUUUGGUGUGUCCAGUGUUUAGAAAGUGGCCUCAUCCUUCCAUAUGUGGCUGCAUGAUCAUCUUUUCUAUAUUACUUGUUGGAAAUUCUCCCCAAUUGUGGCUGUUGCAUCCUCUAAUGGACGGUUGUUCCUCUUUUAAGGCAUGAAUUCUAUCCAUUUUAACAUAGAGAAUCCUAUAAAAAAAAUCCCGUGAAUAUCCACUCUUGCCCCCAAAGACCGUGAACUACUUUCUAAAAGAGAAGUUCCCCUUUCAAAAUUUCUAAUGUCUUCCAUAUCCAAAAUUGGCAGACCACAUCUCCUUAAUCUUCUAUUUCCCCAUUCCCUUUAAAUUUCAUCCAUGAAGAGUAUCCAUCAACACCAUUGAAUCUCACCCGCAUAUACAACCACUUGAAUUCCUUUCAAUUCUCUACCGAAUUCAUCCAUAAAAGUCAUCUUAAAUAGCCACUGAAUUCCUUUAGAUUCACCAUUGAAAAUUUAGCUACCCAAGGUUCCAUCCAAGCCGUGAAGAUCUCAUGCAAAAUAAUAAUAAUAAUAAUAAUAAUAAUUAAUUAAUUAAUUAAUUAAUUAAUUAAUAACAAUAAAAAUAAAAAUAAGAAAUCAUGCAAUUUAAGAUGAAAAUAAAAAUAAUCAAUCAGGCAUACGUAAGAUAAAUUAGAACAUCAAUCCAUGCCAUUAGGAAAGAAUGGAAUCAACCUCACCCAAUUUCCUAGAAAAAAGAUAAAUAAGUAAAUAGACUAAAUAAAUAAAUAUAUAAGUAUCAAUUCAUGCAAUUAGGAAAACUAAAAUCUCAAUUCUCAUGCAAUUUUCUAAAAAAUGAAUAAGUAAAUGAAUAAAAGUAAUAAAAAUAACAUAAAAUAAAAAAUCAAACACAUACUAGUCAUACAAGCCAUGCAACCAUACUUGAAAAGUGACCUAAGCAAGACUAGGUAAACCUAAGUGGGCCAAGACAUGCCAAAAUGAGCCUAAGUGAGCCUUGGUGGGCCUAAGUGAGCCUAAGUGAGCCGAAUGUAUCUAAAUGAGCCCAAUGUGCUAUCCUAAAAGUAUAUCUAAAUGAGCUGUUAAAAAAAGAAAGGAAAAUCCUAAGCCUAACUCAGGGCUACCAAGGGUCACAAUGGAGUUAGAUAAAUCUCUCAACCAAAGUCUCCAAGGUGGCUAAAAAAGGUAAUAGUAUGAGUAGCAAUGAACCACCAAAGAACUACAGUGGAGCACUGGAAGUGAACUUAAAGACAUGUGCUAAAGGGGCAAAAUGGAGGGUCUACACAUCUUCCAACAUUUGAUAUAAAUCUGUAAAAAUUAAGAGAAAAAUAUUUUUAAAAACAAUAUAUUAAGCCUAAAAAUAGGGACUUAAUAAUAAAAUAAAGUAAAAAGAUAAAAUUAAAACCAAAUAUUAAAUAUGAAUAUAGUUUAAGUAUUAAAAGUAUUAUUAUUUAGGUUUAAUCAUUGGGUUUAUUAGAGGUGUUUAUAUAUAUUUCUUUUUUUUUAAUCCCUAUUGAUAUUAAUUAAAGUGAAUUUGUUAUCAAUAGAAUUAAUUUAGUUAUGUUGGUUGAUGUCAACAAGUUAUUUGUAACUAAAUAGAAAAAAUCAAAUAUUUUACUUUUUUUUAUUUAACUAAAAAACAGUCAUCAUCUAAAAUUUUAGAUAAUAUAAACAUUUGACUAGAAACAAACUUCAUAUGGACCAUUGUCAAAUACCAUGCACAGGGAGAAAUCUGGAUCCUCACUUGCUCUUUGAUUCUAAUGUAUUAAAUUUUAUUUUACCUAAAACAAAAUUGUAUUUCAUGUCCUUUAUUAUGAGUGGACAACCAUUUCUUAUGUUAGUUUUAAAUAAAGAACGAAUAUUGAAGAUUGAAGUUGUAAGAAAUUAGGAGAAAAAUUAGGAGAUCCUAAUUUUAAAUAUGUAACAAAGUUCUAUAAUAACUUCAAUCCACGUUUUAAAAUUUGUAUUCCUUUCUAAUAUGGGAGCAAACUUUUCUUUAAUUCUUAUAAAUUUCAUUUGGAAAUGAUUUAAAAAUAAAUAAAUAAAAGCCCUUCUAAAUAUUAAAAAAAAAAACACUUUCUUAUAAAAAUUAAUUAGGUGGUAAGGUCAAAUUUGGGAUAGCUUGUUAUUUUUUGCCUUAACUAAAAAUUAAAAUCGGUAUUAAAGUAAUAAUUUUUAAAGGAUAAUGUUGAUGUUGUAAAAGUCUUAUUAAACAUGAAAUAACUUCUUAUGUAAACAAAAAUAGAAUUAUAAAAUUGUUAUAAGCAAUAACAUUUUUAUGACUUCUAUAUGAAACCCUUUUUAAAAGUUAUAGUUUUUUUUUUUUUUUUUAAAGAAAGAAUUAAAUAGGUAUAAAAACUUUUAUUCAAAUUAAUUUUUUUUAACUCUUAAAAGUCGAUCCAAAUAAAAUUUAAAUAUAUUAGAAAAUUACUUUGAAAAAUCCAAAAAAUCACUUAAAAAUAAUUUAUGAACAUUUUUUUUAUUUUACGUUUAAAUGCUUAAGUAUUUAUUUUUAAAAUCAUUUAUAAUGUCAAAAUAUUUUUUUAUGGAUACAAACAUUACAAAUAAAACAUUUUAAUCCCAAUCAAUGUCAAAGCAUUUUUAAUUUAAUUUUUAAUUCAUGAAAUUUCAUUUAUUGUUAUUUAUUUUUUUGGGAUUUAGUUCUUUACAAUUAUUUUUAAGUGAUUUUUUGGAUUUUUCAAAGUAAUUUUCAAAUAUAUUUAAAUUCUUUACAAUGGUCAAUGAAUAAUUUAUUAAUUUAUUUCUUAAUUCAAUGGCAUUGGAAUCUCAGCUGGAAUAUUCCAAGUCCAUAAAACCAAAGUUUAAUUAUUUAAUCUUUUUUUAGCACACCACUCAUGACCCUACAACUUUCCUACCAACUUAAUUUGUUGACUUGGAGUUGGAGAGUUCGGCCAAUUGCAGCAGCUUAGUUGUCUUUUCUCUAAACCAUAAAUUCAAAUGAUCAGGUCCUACGUUUUAAUUUACAAAAACCAAUUAUUUGUUUUUACUAAUUUUAAUUUAAGAAAGCAGGAAAGGGUUUAAUUUAAUGUAAAAUGAAAAAAAUAAAAAAUGAGAGUUGACAAGUAAUCAAAUCACUAAGAAAUAGAUUUGGAGUUCUCUCGGAGUGAGGUUAGACUCAAUUUAUGCCUAUGCAAUGGAAAUGGAGAUUUUUUUUUUUUCCCUUUAUCUUGGGGUAGAUCUUGUGAUAUUAUUACUAAAAUAGAAGGUAAAAAUAUAAAUUAUAUACCAAGUAUUUUAACUUUAGGAAAAAACACUUAUUUUAAUUUUAAAUAAAUAAAUAAAAAGAAUUGAUUUUAUCUCAAUUGUAUAAGACUUCAUAAAAAUUAUCUUAUUUGCAAAAUAUUUUCAGAUGUAAAAGUAAAAAAAUUAAACAAACCAUUUCAUGAUUUUUUCACUAUUAUCCAUUUAGAUCAAAGUUUAAUUUUAAAUUAUUAGAAUAAGUCAAUUACUCUAAAUUGUAUCAUUUAUAAUUUUUAUAAUUAUUAAUAAGAUACCUAACCUUCUAGAAUUGGAAUAAAAUAUGGACAAGUCAAAAAAUGUCAAAUCAAGAUAAUUAAAAACUAUCCCAUUUCAAACUUUUCUAAUACAACAUGAUAUUUUAUCAUGUCCAAAGAAAUCGUAAUGGCCAAAAGUUUUCAAAUCAAGAUAUAUCUAUUGUGGACAUGGAAUUGGGAGGCUUCUUAGCAUUGUACUGGUCUAUUUAAUGAAUUCUUCAUAUUGAAAUUAAUUAAGGUUGAAACAGGAACACAACAUCAAAUUCUCUUUUUCAUAAUCAAAGACUUCCAUGGAAAAUUCCACCAUAGCAUACGUCAAAGAUUAUUCAAAUUCCAUUAUCUUUAUAGUCGUUUAACAAUCCAAGAAAUUGACAGUAAUAAUCCUAGACACAAUAUUCUGAAAAUUUACAUUAUUCUUUUUAUCUUAAUUGAGUAGAAAAUAAAUCAUGCAAGCUGAAUAAUACGAAUAUUCAAUGAAAUCUUUGGCAUGUUAUUUCUUUGUAACUUCAACAUGGUGGCAUGUUUGAUGGAGGAGGCAGCAUUUGAGCUUUUGAAUGUUUACCAUUUUUCACUAUGAACGCAGUUUCCAUAUGCCAAGGCAGAUGGUGUUCUACAUGGCAGUGCAUGAACCACACUCUUGCAACAAAAAUAUACCAACAUUACACCUAAAUUGUAAUAUUAAGAAAAAUUAUAAUUUUUUUUUUUCCUUUUUUGCCUUUUCCUUCAUCUUGGCAUAGAUCUUGUUAUAUUGUUACUAAAAUAGAAGGUAAAAAUAUAAAUUAUAUACCAAUUAUUUUAACUUUAGGAAAAAGUGCUUAUUUUAAUUUUAAAUAAAGAAAUAAAAAAUAAUUGAUCUUAUCUCAAAUAUACAAGACUUCAUAAAAGUUAUUUUAUUUGAAAAAUAUUUUUAAAUUUAAAAGUAAAAAUUAAACAAACCAUGACCUUUCUCACAAUUAUCCUUUAUAUCAUAGUCUAAUUUUAAAAUAUUAGAAUAAGUCAAUUACUUUACAUUAUAUCAUUUAUAAUUUUUUAAAUUAUUAAUAGGAUACCUAACCUUCUAUAGAAUUGGAAUAAAAUAUGGAUAAGUAAAAAAUGUCAACACAAGAUAUUUUAUAUGUUGAAUGAAAUUGGAAUGGCCAAAAGUUGUCAAAUCAAGAUAGAUUGUACUAGUCUAUUUAAUGAGUUGCUCAUAUUGAAAUUAAUUAAGGUCGAAACAGGAACACAACAUCAAAUUCUCUUUUUCAUAAUCAAAGACUUCCAUGGCAAAUUCCACCAUAGCAUACGUCAAAGAUUAUUAAAAUUUCAUUAUCUUUAUAGACUUUUAACAAUCCAAGAAAUUAACAGUAAUAAUCCCAGACACAAUAUUCUGGAAAUUUACAUUAUUCUUUUUAUCUUAAUUGAGCAGAAUAUAAAUCAUGCAAGUUGAAUAAUACGAAUAUUCAAUGAAAUCUUUGGCAUGUUAUUUCUUUGUAGCUUCAACAUGGUGGCAUGUCGAUGGAGGAGGCAGCAUUUGAGCUUUUGGAUGUUUACCAUUUUUCACUAUGAACGCAGUUUCCAUACCCCAAGUCAGAUGGCGUUCUACAUGGCAGUGCAUGAACCACACUCCUGCAACAAAAAUAUACCAACAUUACACCUAAAUUGUAAUAUUCAGAAAAAUUAUAAUUUAUAUAUAUUUUUUCCUUUAUUGCCUUUUCCUUCAUCUUGGUGUAGAUCUUGUUAUAUUGUUACUAAAAUAGAAGGUAAAAAUAUAAAUUAUAUACCAAUUAUUUUAACUUUAGGAAAAAGUGCUUAUUUUAAUUUUAAAUAAAUAAAUAAAAAAUAAUUGAUUUUAUCGCAAAUAUACAAGACUUCAUAAAAGUUAUUUUAUUUGCAAAAUAUUUUCAAAUGUAAAAGUAAAAAUUAAACAAACCAUGACCUUUGUCACAAGUAUCCUUUAUAUCAUAAUCUAAUUUUAAAAUAUUAGAAUAAGUCAAUUACUUUACAUUAUAUCAUUUAUAAUUUUUUAAAUUAUUAAUAUGAUACCUAACCUUCUAAUGAAUUGGAAUAAAAUAUGGAUAAGUAAAAAAUGUCAACACAAGAUAUUUUAUAUGUUUGAAUGGAAUUGGAAUGGCCAAAAGUUGUCAAAUCAAGAUAGAUUGUACUGGUGUGUUUAAUGAGUUGUUCAUAUUGAAAUUAAUUAAGGUCGAAACAGGAACACAACAUCAAUUUCUCUUUUUAUAAUCAAAGACUUCCAGGGAAAUUCCACCAUAGCAUAUCUCAAAGAUUAGUCAAAUUCCAUUAUCUUUAUAGACUUUUAACAAUCCAAGCAAUUGACAGUAAUAAUCCUAGACACAAUAUUCUGAAAAUUUACAUUAUUCAUUUUAUCUUAAUUGAGUAAAAAAUAAAUCAUGCAAGCUGAAUAAUACGAAUAUUCAAUGAAAUCUUUGGCAUGUUAUUUCUUUGUAGCUUCAACAUGGUGGCAUGUCGGAUGGAGGAGGCAGCAUUUGAGCUUUUGGAUGUUUACUAUUUUUCACUAUGAACGCAGUUUCCAUAUGCCAAGGCAGAUGGUGUUCUACAUGCCAGUGCAUGAACCGCACUCUUGCAACGAAAAUAUACCAACAUUACACCUAAAUUGUAAUAUUAAGAAAAAUUAUAAUUUUUUUUUCCUUUUUUGCCUUUUCCUUCAUCUUGGCAUAGAUCUUGUUAUAUUGUUACUAAAAUAGAAGGUAAAAAUAUAAAUUAUAUACCAAUUAUUUUAACUUUAGGAAAAAGUGCUUAUUUUAAUUUAAAAUAAAGAAAUAAAAAAUAAUUGAUCUUAUCUCAAAUAUACAAGACUUCAUAAAAGUUAUUUUAUUUGCAAAAUAUUUUCAAAUUUAAAAGUAAAAAUUAAACAAACCGUGACCUUUCUCACAAUUUUCCUUUAUAUCAUAAUCUAAUUUUAAAAUAUUAGAAUAAGUCAAUUACUUUAAAUUAUGUCAUUUAUAAUUUUUUAAAUUAUUAAUACCAUACCUAACCUUCUAAUGAAUUGGAAUAAAAUAUGGAUAAGUAAAAAAUGUCAACAUAAGAUAUUUUAUAUGUUGAAUGGAAUGGGAAUGGCCAAAAGUUGUCAAAUCAUGAUAGAUUGUACUGGUCUGUUUAAUGAGUUGUUCAUAUUGAAAUUAAUUAAGGUUGAAACAGGAACACAACAUCAAAUUCUCUUUUUAUAAUCAAAGACUUCCAUGGAAAUUCCACCAUAGCAUAUCUCAAAGAUUAGUCAAAUUCCAUUAUAUUUAUAGACUUUUAACAAUCCAAGAAAUUGACAUUAAUAAUCCUAGACACAAUAUUCUACAACUUUACAUUAUUCUUUUUAUCAACUUUACACAAAAAACUGAAGAGGAAUACUAACUUAAAUCAAAUAGAAAAUAAAUCAUGAAAGCUGAAUAAUACAAAUAUUCAGUGAAAUCUUUAGCGUGUUAUUUCUUUGCAGCUUCAACAUGGUGGCAUGUCCGAUGGAGGAGGCAGCAUUUGAGCUUCCGGGUGUUUACCAUUUUUCACUAUGAACGCAGUUUCCAUGCCCCAAGUCAGAUGGCGUUCUACAUGGCAGUGCAUGAACCACACUCCUGCAACAAAGAAAAUAUACCAACAUUGCACCUAACUUAAUUGUAAUAUUAAGAAAAAUUAUUUCCUUGGUAUACAGGUUUUCAUAAAGGACAUGAGUGCUUGCAACAUACCAGGGUUGGACGCCUCGAAUCUAAUUGCAACCCAACCUUCCGAAGGAACAGAUAUGGUAUUCUGAAGGGGAGGAUCCACCAGAUUAUAGCGUAAAGGGUCCUUAUUUUCAUCGAAAUUCCCAAAUCCCCAUCCAACAAGAUAGAAACUGUGUCCAUGGAGAUGUAUGGGGUGGUGUGUCCCUGAAACCACAGUUGUCCCUUGCAAAACAAUCUCCACUGUGGAGUUAUACUCGAGCAUCCUUACUUCUGUUGCGCUGCUCGGCAACUCAUAGACUAAUGGAAGAUAAUCAGCUGUAAAAUCGAACACCAGUGGUGGAACGCUAGGAAAUUUAUCUCCAUAUACACCACUUAUGUUAUAAUAGUAAGCUUGCAGUAUGUCAACAGUAGGGGUAUCGAAGCUUAUGUUGUUUAUACUUGAGGAGAACCGCGUCCCAUUGGCCCCUGCACAUGAAUCAUUGAUGCAAGGGUACGAGUUUACAGAAACAGUGUAAAUCAGGUUAGUGCUUGUGCUCAAUGGGACAUUGCAAGGAUGUUCAGGAUUUGCUAAGCUUCGGAGGUCAGCCAUGACCUGAACUGAUGCAUUUGUGUCAUUAUAUGCAGGAAGAUAAGGCAAGGAGGGAGGUGAAGAUGGAGUGUAGUAUCCCCUGUACUGUACAAUAGCUGUGGUGGUUGUGUUAUCAUAAAAAUUUUGAUAUUUCGGGGCAACAGAAUAAGUUAUAGCCGCCAUGUAAUAGUGAUCCGGGCGUUGGUUAGCUUCUAAUAAGACAUCGUAGGUUUGGCCAGGAAAUAUUGUAAUAUAAUCUCGUGUCAAUGGUUUCGUGUAGCUACCAUCUGUUCCAACCACUGUCAUUUUAUGCUUGGCAAUGGAGAAGAAAAGAGCCUCCUGCAAGGCAGCAUUGAUUAUGCGAAGUAGAUAAGUCUUUCCAUGAUCCACCGUUAGCUUGAAUGUGCCUGCAAUUAGAAAAGGAAAGUUGUAUACUUAUGACUAGCCAAAAGAAAAAGAAAAAGUUUCCUUGAGGAUCCACCAAUUAUGAAGUGAUUGAUUGAUUAGGGGUGUAAAUUUGGCUCCAUUGUUGAAAAUUAUAUUUGGACUAGCUAGCCUUUUCUCAUGUGUUAAAUCAUGGCUCUAUCAUCCUCAUAGCUAUAUUCCUCUUUCUUAGCAUUAAGCUUUAAAUGUGUUGAUGUUAAUGAGAAAAAGUAAUAUGGUUAACAUACAAGAAAAUGAAAUCAUGUAUAAUUUUAAAAUGGGAAGUGAAACAUUGUACUUGAUUUUGAGCAUGGAUAUAGAUCACCGGGUUGUCCAUUUAUCAAUAACGCAUCAGAGGCAUUAGGAUCAGCUCCAGUUGCGAGCCCUUCAUCUCGAACUGCAUUCACAUCAAUCUUCCACCAUUGCCCUGCAUUUCAACAACUCCAAUAAUUUUAGAUUUUGCUUUGUAAGUUAAUUCAUAAUAUAUAAAUUAACCUUUAAAAGUAACAACACUUAUACCUAAUAUGAUGAGAAAUUCUGUGUUAGGUUUGUGAAACGGAUACUUAGUUCCAUUCUUGGGAUAGACGAUUAUAGCUCCAUGAACGGUGGCUCGAGUCCAGUCACUAUGAGCAUGCCACCAUAUUGUGCCUUCCUCAGAGGAAAGGAUGAUCUUUUGGCUAAACUUAGACCCUGGCUGAAUUGGGCAUUGUGUGAUAUACUCGGGACCAUCUGUCCAUGGAUAUCUAGGCAUGUUCACCCCAUGCCUACAAAACAAUAACUAUACGUUAAAACUAGUACUUAUUUUUGGACUAACUAAAGAUGGCAUGCAACAACAUAUUAUCACAGUAACAAGCGACAUCAACUGUAUUUCAAUGGAACUGAAGUAAAUAACCCUAAAGUAUCGUUUUAAAUUUGACUUUAUUUGCAAAGCAAUAUAUUGCAACCCCCUCUUAAAAAUAAAAGAAUGUAUACCAUGCAAGCAUGCUGCCUUUGCUCUUUCUCUAAGACACACUCAAGACCUACCAGUGAAUGGUGACAUUUUCUUUUCCCCUAUUAUAAACGUCGACAAUGAUCGUCUCUCCUUUCAUAGCAUAUAUAGUUGGCCCCGGAAAUUGUCCAUUUACUGUUAAGAUGUCCUUGGUGCUACAAAGCCUUGUAUAUGAAGCUUCCCUCACCUGCGACCAAUUAAAGGUUCACCACCAACCUCAUCCCAAAAGAAAUAUCACAUGCAUGAAUAGUUGCAUCGAUCCCUUCAUGCAAGUGUAUAACCACUUAAAAAUUGAUAGCAUGCAUGAACGACUCAACGACACCAGGGUAAGGGGUCCUACGAUGGAAAAUGAGAGUCAUACUACCCCCUAAAUAUUAUGAUCAGAAGGUGACGUUAAGGCCAGAAUCAUAUAUAGUAUUUACCACAAAAGUAUGCCGACGGAUUGAAGCUUGGCAAUGGAUGCCACCACCAAAAAGUUGAAAUACUAAAAUUUGUAAGAGGAAAACCUUCAUGAUCAGCCACAUCUUCUUUGGAAUAAAAGCCUCUUCUCUUUUCCUAAACACAACUCCUUCAAUUUUCUUACCACUUUUGCUGUAUGUCUUUCUUAUAUGAUUCAUUAAAUAGUCAUGAUAAUUCUCUCGGGAUACAAUACCUCCUCUCCACGUGUCAAUAUAAGAGGAAGUGAUUUGAAUGUGUAUUGAUUUUUAAUGUUCUUUGACCACUUCAAUGAGCAGGACCACUAUAUAAAAUAAUGAUAUUUGAUCACUUACCAAAUUAAAAUGAACCAAAUGCGUGAAGAAAGCUAACAAUUGUGAAAAAUUCUUACAAGAAAGCUAACAAUUAUGAAAAAUUCUUACAAGUUACGUACAUGUUAUUUUAGAAUAAAUUUAAAAUAUUCUUUCACAAGUCUUUUGUUGAUUAUUUCAAGAAAUGUUAAUUAAGACAUGAAAACUUUGACCUCGCAUACAGUACCCUUACCAAGAUUGGUCAUGGAAACUGUUUUUCAUGGACAGUACGUUUAAGAAUUAUUUUAAAAUUAUUUUUUAAGAAUUAUUUUCGUAAACAUUAUUUAGCAAACCCUUAAUAUUAGUCUCACUUGUUUUCAUGUUACUUAAUACAAUUAGUCAUGAUCAUUGUUUUCGUCUGAAUGGGACAAAAUUGUUUCCCAAUUUUUUUGAAACUUGAGAAUUGACAUGAUGAUAAGCUAAUUUGGUACUUCAUAAUUUUCCAUAAAAAACAUAAAAAUAUAUUUUGUAAAAAGUUGAAAAUAGAAUACGAACAACCCCUUGUAUGUUGUGAAUCACUUAAAACAUCUAUUGGGACUCAUACUAUUUUUUUUCUCAACAAAAAAUAAUUUAAUAAUAAUCAUAAUAAUAAUAAUAAUAAUUAUAGAUUUAAAAAAAUAUUUUUCAAAACAAAUGCAACCUAUAAUUUAUUUGUUCAUAUGAUAUGUAUAACUUGAUUAAAAUGAUUUUAGCUGGCUUACAAAAAUAAAUUAUCUCAAAAGAGAAAAAAAAUGAAAAGUAAAAGAAGAAAUGAUUCAAACUUCCUUGUUUGGUUUAUCGUACACCAUAUACAAAGAAAAAUCAUUAUAUAAAUAAAUUAUGAAAAGAUUUAUAUAUUUUGAAAUUAUUUAUAAACAGAAAUGAUGAAUACAUUUCAAGACAUCUAAAAAUUUUAUCAAGUUAAUUUAAACUUGUUUUUUAUUUUUUUUUUCACAUUUUUUCUCCUAUUUUUUUUCUCACAUUUCCUUUUUAAACUUUUGGAAUAAAUUCCCUACUAUUUGUGGAGCUUUAAUAUAAAUUUUUUCUUACAUAUGAUACUGUAAACCCCAAAAUGUCUCCUCUCUCCUCUCUCCCUUCCUUUUUCUCCUCCACCUACCCUCACCUACCCCGCGAUACCUCUACCCAUAACCCCACCUCCAACGCUUCCCAUAAGCUCUCUUCAUUUUUUUCUUUUUUUUUUCCUCUCCCCCCAUUCUUGAAGGCAAAGGGUCGGUCCCAUUUUUUUGAGCUGCCCUAUUCCACUUGCUUUGGUUCCUCUAGACUGCCAAUUCCCAUAGCACACACGGACGACCAACCCCUAUUUCUUUUCCAGUUUCUUUUCUCCCUGCAGCUCGUCCUAACAUCCACACACACCGACUCCCCCUAUGAUUUCUCUCUCUUCUCUUCAUUUUCUUCUUAGACCACUCCACUCACAGCCCAGAAAACCGACAUUCCCCAUUUUCCAUGGACAACUCUUCCAGCACAACCGCCCCCUCCACUCACCUCUUCUCUUCUUCUUCCAUUUUUUCUUGUUUUGAUUUAUUUUAUUUUCUUCUCUCCUCCAACCAUACCCAUUCUCUCUCCAUCCGCCACCCUCACCGUCGGCCACUGCCGACUAGCAAUCCAGCCAUCCAUGGCUGUUCAAAAAAUGGGUAAAUUUCCUUUUUACUUUAUUUUAUUUUCAUAUUUUUAUCUUUAUUUUUUAUUAUUUUGAUUUGCACAAUAAUUGAUUUGAACUUGGCCUAUUACUUAUUGGUUAUUUAUUUGGCCUUAUUUGAUUAGACUUGAGAUAUUAUUUUCUUUGGUCAUGUGUAUUAUUAAUGUGGGCUUAUUAAUUGAUAUGAAUUUUGGGCUCACAAUAUGGGUGAAAUUUGUUGGAUGACUUAAAUAUUUGAUAUGAGCUUGACCAAUUUGAACUAUUUAAUUUAGACAUGAGAUAAUUGUGGUGUAUAUUAAAUUAGGCUUAGAUUAUGGAAUAUUAAAUUUAGGCCUAGUGAAAUUUGUUUUAAUUUAUCUAAUUUUAAGUUUGGUUGAUUGUGUUUGUAUUUUGGUUAUUAAUUUGAAUAUUUUAGGUUAAGACUUAUAGUAAUUUAGGCUAUUUUUGUUUUUACAUGGGCCUAUUCUGCAAUUUUAUUGACUGAGUACGGAUUUAUGACAUGUGGAACACGACAUUUCAUGGAAGAAAGUGGAACUCAAAAGGCCGUAAGAAGACAUUGAACUUGUUGUAAGCUUGUUUGGGUACACAUUUUAUUUCCCAUUAUUAUUUGAUUUGAUUUUUAUUGGUUUAUGUAAAUAUUUGUUUGUAUAUAUUUAUUGAGUGUGUACAGAUAUCAAACAAACCAAAAAUUUUGUUUAAAUAAGAGGAAUAAUUCAGUAAAUAUGUUUUAACAAAAUAAUAAUUUUAAAAUAUUCUUUUUAAUAAAAGAGAGUUUUUUUUAUUAAUAAGAAUUCAGAAAAAUGCAUUUAGAAAAAUCUAAAAAAAAAAUUGUUUUUAACAAAAUUGUCCAAAAAUUUCUUUGUUUAAUAAAAAUUGUCUAAAAAUUGUUUUGCAAAGAAAGUUGUCCCAAAAAUUAAUUUUUAAUAAAAUUGUCCAAAAAUGAUUUUUUUUUAAUGAAUUCUUUUUCCUUAAUUAAAAUGGGAUUAAAAGUAUUUAUUUAGAAAUAGAGGAUUUAUUUUUUUUUUCUUUUUACUUAAAAAUUCUUUUAUAAAUAAAGUUACGUUUUUCUUUUCAAUAAUUUGUAUAAAUCACUUUUCUUAAAUGAAAACAAUUGAAAUAUUUUUGUAAAUAAAAUUGUAAAAAUUCAUUCAUUUUGUUUUUUGUAAAAACAAGUAAAAAUAAUUUUUGUUGCCAAAUUGAAAUUUUGUAAUAAAUUCUUUUGAUACAAUAAGCGUAAAUAACUUUAUUUGAAAAUUAAAUACAAAUUAAAUUGAAUCAAAUCACUUCAAGAAAAUAUUUUGUAAAUAAAUAAACUGAAAUCACUCAUUCAAAAUUGUUUUUAAUAAAAUCCUUUGGAAUUUUUGGAAAAAUAAUAUUUUUUAAUUAGUUUAAUAAAUCAUUUUGUAUAAUUCUCUUAUUAUUUAUUUUGUGUAUUCUUGUAAUUAGAUUUCAUCAUUAUUUUUGUGUAUAUUGAUUUUCACCAUGACUUGUACAUACUCAUUUGCAUGAUUAUUUUUCUUGGUAUCCAUAAUUAAUUACUUAUUUAUCAUAAUUCCCUUAAUUCGUUUAGUAGAGGCCGUAUGUAUAUGGGCUUAGAGAGGUGCUACGACUCACCACCGUACCUUCCCAAUAGGUAACUUAACCCCCGGAUCCAUUUUUUUUUUUUUUUGCAAAUAUGUCUUUUCCAAAUAAGGAGUUACACAUGGGUUUCUUUCUUACUUUGUUUUUUCUCUUUUUUUAAAAAAAAUUAAAAUAAAUAACAACUCCAAGUGUUUUUCUAAAAUCAAUUUUUCACAAAUAAAUGAAAAGCGAGUCUCGCCAUUCGAGUGGGGACGCAUGUGAAAAAUGUGAGGUCCAUAAAUACAUAUUUAUGCAAUAUUUGGUUAAAUUAUUUUGAAUGUAUAUUUUUACCUUAACAAGAAACUUUUCUUGAAAAUGAAGACUAUUUUUUCCUUAUUUUCAAAAUUGUGUUUCUAUUUUUUAAAUAUAAAAAUUACUAUUUUGAUUUCAAAACAAUGAGCCAUUUUUAAAAGAUAUUUUAGAAAAUAGUUUUUUAGAUAUAUUAAUUGUGACACUUGAAGAUCAAAGACACCAUGGUCAUUUCACUUGUCAAACCCAAGAGUCUAACAUGUGAAUGACCUUAACUAACAAAUCCAACAAGUAAUUAGUUGACAACUUCCUCAAAUUGAUUCAUAACAAUGAUUAGAGUAUAAAUUAAAAAAAAUUAUAAAUUUCUAACCCAAAACUAAUUAAAAAUAUCUAAAUAAUAAAUUCAAAGAUCAUCCCAAAGACUUUAAAGAGUUUUAGAAAUCAAUAGUAAUCUUAAUUUAAAACUCCUAAAUAAUUAAUUGUAAAGCAUAUUUCAAAAGAAACACCCUUCCUAUCUCUAUUUCCCCUCAUUAAUAUCACUUGUACCUAAAAAGUGAAAUAAUAGAAAAGAGUGAACUUAAAAGUUAGUUAGGAAAAAUAGUUCAAUAAGGAGGAUCAAGUAUAAUACAAAGUUAAAUCCUAGGAGCUAUCGCAUCUUUAUAAAAUAAUAAUAAAAAAUUGAUAAGUAGGAGUUCAUUUAAUUCAAUAAUUAAAUUCACUUUUUUUCAAAAAACUAUGCACUUUCAAUUUAAAGAUAGAACUAAAUAAUAUACUUUGCAUACUUAAAUUAUAUUUUAAAAAAUUAUAAAAAAACAUUUUACUUUGACUUAUUAAUAAUAACAUUCUGCCCAAAUAGUAGAAAUUGCAUUAGGUGGCUAUAUGAUCAAACCAACUUUUAUUAUUUAGUAAAAACACUCUCAAAGAAUUUUUUUUAAAUAAAAAUAAAAAUGAUUUCAAACCAUGUAUAGUUUGGGAGUUUUUUUUUUUUAAUGAAAAUAAACAAUUAUUUUAAGUUAUAUGUAUAGUUAUUAUUGUCACUUUCAUUUUCCAUUCUCAUUCUCAUUAUUACUUAACAUUGAAAUGGAAACAAACAUUCAUUUCGACUUUACAUUCCUUGGUGCUUUCAAACAUUAGAACUGGAAUGGACGGAUUUAUUACUGAUCAAGGAAAAAUAGGAAUUGAAAUAAAGGUCAUGUUUGGUAAUUGCUUUUGAAAACAAUUUUGAAAAACAAUUUUUGAGAAAUUUUUUUAAAAAUUGUUCAGUAUCUUGUAAAAAAAAUGUCUAUUUGGGAACUUGAAAUGUUUUUAACCCGUUUUCUAUGUUUUUACAUAUGUUUUAAAAAUAAUUUUUAUUUGUAGUGCUUUAUUUAUUAUCAUUUCCCAUAUUUGUAUAAUUAUUUUUUAAAACGACCCUCAAAAAACAACUUAAAUAAUUAAAAGAUGUUAUCAUAAAACAUCCUAUUAAUAGUUUUAAAAGCAAAAACAAUUUUCUAUUUUUUGGUUGUCAAACAUGGUUUCCUGUUUUUUUAUUCUAAAGAAUAGAAAAUUGAUGCAAAUGUUUUUUCAGAGAACUUUUCUUCCCGAGUUCUCUCAGCCUUUCUUUUCCAUAGAAAAGUUUAUUGGAGUGAUUUUUAGGCAAUUUCUAGUAGUUUCAACUCCUAAAAAUUGCUCCACCCUUGAUAUCUUAUUUGGUUGGAUCGGGUUGGGUCACCCCAACUUGGGCACCCACCCAACUCCAAUAAUAUUUAAGUAUUUAAUAAAGUAAAUGAUUGAAUUAAUAUGAACAAGUAUAAUGAUCAAAACAAAAAUCUUACUAUUUUUUGUUUUAAUAUAAAAUCCAACCUCUAAUUGAACAAAUCAUUUACCAUUUAAAAAAUAUUCUUAAUAUCUUCAUUUUCAUUUUAUGUUUUUGAAAGUUCUUUUUUAUUUUAACUGGAUCAAAUAAUAUUUGAAUAAUAAUGCCUUUAACAUACAUUUUUUAUGAGUAAUACCAAAUAAACAUCUCAACAAAUAUUAUAUAAGAUAAUCAUUAAUUUUACUAUCUUCAUUUUAUUUAUGUUAUUCUUCUUUAUCCAGUGGAUUUAAUUAUGUGUUGUAAAAUGAACAAGGACCUCUAUAGUUAUAAUCUCACCUAAAAAGUUGGGGAUCCGAAGCUAUCUCUACAUUUAUGGUUCAUGCAUGAAAUAAAUUGUUUUUGUACUUCCAUCAUCAAAGAUGCAUGUAUGUCUAAGAAUGGAAAAAGAAUCUGAGGUUGGGAAAAAAAUGAAAAAAAAAUUAUGUUUUUUUUUUAAUUCAUUUCAUUUAUUUUUUUCUUUUCUAUAUAAAAAUUCAAUAUAUAUAACUCUUUAACUAAUUUUAAUUAUAUUUUUCUUUCAUAUUUUAUAUAAUAAAUAAAAAAUAAAAAAUAUAUUUUUUAAUAUUUCAACUAUAACAAGGUGGGAUAAUUAAUUUAUAAUGCUAGGAUAUCCUAACAACCUAACCUUAAAAUUUUCUUAAAUAAAUAAGCACUUCACUAGUCAUAUAUUUUCUUAUUCCACCAUAUUGUGAUUGGCACCAUAGUAUUAACUACUUUGAAGCAUUUUGGUAUGAUUCUCAUCUCAUAAUAAGUCAUUUUUGAAGCAAACACAACAUGCUUGAUAGAAAUCCCUCUUGUUAAAUGAAGCCCAAGGUUUCUUAUUUGUGAGUGUUGAUACAUUAAGUUAUAUAGUUUAAGAUUGAUAAUUUUGUUUCAUUUAUUUUGACUUAGGGCUUUUUUCGAUUAUGUCUCGCUCUCCUUUGAAAACAUGAAGUUGUCGUGUGGUCAAUUGGAAUAACAAAGGUAAGCAUAGAAAGGUAUGAGAAAAGAAAAUUAGAGUUUGUUAAGGUUGGUGGGAACGUCAAGUAAUUCUUAAACUGAGUUAAAUGUUUUUUAUAACAGUUUUAAAGAACUCCUCAAGUACUCUAGUGCUGCAGAGAGCACUUAAGCACUCCUUGGAGCACACAAGUGUGAUAGAAUUUUCUAGAAUUCCAAAACUUUGAUUUUCCAACUUUUAAAAGCUUUAUUUUAGGAAAAUUCAAAAUCUAAUCCACCAUUAUCUUGGCCCUAUAAAAACCUUUCCUAAAGAGGAUUUUCUCUUUUUGAUGCAAAUGUUUCAAAAAACCUAAUUUGCCUUCUUGUUCCCAAAACUUUGAAAAAUGAUUGUCUUUGCUUUUACUAGGUUGAGAAAGAGAUCUACAUCUCCAAAACACUAAAGUAAGAUUCACUAGGAGCACAAGCGGUGUUGUACAAAAAAUGUGACGUAUAGUAGAGAUGAUGGAGGGUAAGACCUAGAGAUAGCUUCCACUAGAUAAAACUAUGUACUAUACUUUCGAAUAGUGGAUUUGUAAUUGGAUGUCUCUAACCCCAUGGAUUUUACAUCUACAUGUUGUGUGAGUGGUUUUCCAUGUAAAAAAUCUUGUGUUCUUGUAUUGAAUAUUUUUAGGCUUUCCUAAAUCAAACGGAUUAAUUUAAAAUAAUUAAUUUUUCAGCCUAAGAGGUUCAAAUACCUAUUCACCCAUUCUAGAUGUUAUCUAAACUAGAUCAACUAACUUUCAAUGAGGAAAACUCAAAUUACAGAAUUUGCACUUUCAGUGAACACUGCUAGGCUUAGACAAAUUGAAGAGUAAAAAUCCUUUCAAAUCAACCAACUAACCUUUCAUCCAUGGAGGCCUUCUCCAAUUUAAAGAUCAUGAAAACCUCUCCAAACAUUUCUAAAGAAAAAUAAGAGCAUUGGCGGAGGGUUCCUUGGAGAGGCUUUGAUCUUAAUCUUUUCCAUGAGUUGUUGAAAGGGUUUUUAACAACUUGGAUUGGAUUGGAUGGAGCACUUAUAUGAACUAAAAAUGAUAAAUAUUAUAACUACUCAAAAGGCAUUUUCACAGAAUUGCCAACCUGCAGAUCAUUUUUAGUUAACCAAAUCUUAAAACAUUAGUCACAUCCAUGGCCAAAAUUAAGUGAAGGCUAAGCACAGAUAGAAGAGGAUCAUCAGGACGCUCUCCUUAGCUCUACCAAGCUAGCUAACAAACUUGAACAGAAUAUAGCUCGAGCAGUCCAUGGCUACUAUUAAAAGGAAAAACCUAUAAAAAAAAUAUGAAGAACAAGAAGCAUAAAAAGAAAAUAUAGGCUAAAAUAAAAUGGUUCAAUUUGGGAAUCAACUGCUACGCAAUAUAUGACUAAAUUCUCAACUAGAUUCUUAUGAGUUCUAACCCCUAAAAGCAUCAAAUCCAGCAGAAAACCUUGCAAAAGAGAAACCAAUAAGACAAUAACAAUAUGAUAGUUUCAUCUCUACCUUUCAAGUUUGAGCAUCUUGUGCUGAUGCAUCCUCUCAAUGUAGAAGUGGCUUGCUUCAUUAUAUCAGUAUUGUAAAAAGAAGAGGUGUAACCUCACCAUAAUCUUUAAUAGUGAAGAAACUUGAAUUCUCAUCGGUAGUGCUGCACUGAAAUUCUGGUUGAUUGUCUUCUUUCUCAUCUUGUCGAUAUAGUAGAUGAACCCCACACUUCUUCACCCCAUAAUUGGGCCAUAGACUUGGAAUGAAGCCUGAAUUUGACUCAGUUUAUUUAACCAAUUGGCAUGGCCAAUCCCAAUUCGAGAAAUUGGUUGAUACCCAAGCCACAUGUGAUCUGAUGUAAUGAAUCUGUGCCCUUCAUCCGAAGAAUUCCGGUGUUCUGGAUUGACGGGAGCAAAAAGGUGACCAGUUUUACCUUGAGUCAAAUUCAAAUGACAAAAUAUAUUAACAGGGCAAUCAUGGACAGCACCCUUAACUACAAAAAUAGCGCACACAGCCAAUCCCAUCAACCUAGUAUUACACCAAUUUGGAGGCUGAUAUACCGUUACUGUGGAGUCUAUACUCUGUUGGCUGAACCACUCAGGAAUUCAACUUCCAGGAACAAAAGUACUGGAUUCAAUAUGUGGAGUAUAUGGCACCAUCUGGGUCAUGAAAAUCAAUGUCAAGUUAUAUGGAAAUAAUGUAGGAGUAGUGCUCAAAGGAGUAUAAGAAUUAUUCCAUAGGAUUUAAUUGAUUUACUUUUACAAUAUGAUCAAGAGAGAGAGGAGAGAAACCUGAAUUGGGAAUUGAAAUCUUGGUAAUUUAUUUGCCAGACUUUGCAUUUCCCUUAAUGUAGCUGCCACAAAGUUGCUGCUUUCAUUCUCAGACUGUCUGAAGCAAUUAGAAAAUGUGAAUCGGAGGCCCCCACAUUCCUUGGAUCUGUAGACACUUGAUGGACACAAAAUGUUUUCCAGAACUGUGCAAUCAUGGGCAUCUAUUUCUUCUAUACUAGAUGGAAGCUCUGGUAAUGAUUGAAGCCUCUUGCAAUAACCCAACCUAAAGCCUUUGAGCUGUGAAAGUUGAUUGAGGGUUGCAGGUAGAGUAACAAAAUUGUUUCUGCUCAGAUCUAAAUAUUCCAAUGAGCACAGAGAGCUAAAGUCAUUGGGAAUUGCUCCUUCCAAUAUGUUGCAAUCACCUAGAUUUAACUUUCUUAGGGAUCUUAAACCAAAGAAAGAAUGCAGUUUGUAGAUCCUCUAUUUUGUCCUCCUAGCACAUGAAUUAUUAGGUGUUUGUUCGGUACUUUACAACAAUUCUCUAGUAACCCAUUACUACUCAUGUAACUUAUCUUUUCUAAGUCACAUUUGAGACUUUGGUUGAGGCAUUUAUCUAACCUCAUCAUGACUCUUAGCAGCCCUAAUUUAGAUUUAGGUUUUUCCUUCCUUUUUAGGAUAGCUUUUAGGUGCACUUUUAGGAUAGCACACUUAGGCAUGUUUAGGUCACUUAGACAAUGUUCUAAUCAUUUUAGGUCAUUUAGACACUGUUCUAAACAUCCUAGUCCCCUUCCAGCUUGCACACAUUCACCCUAGGUCACUUGGCACUUUUUUCAUAAUAGGUCAGUUAGACACUUGUUUAGGUUUGAUUUCUUGAUUGCUAGGUUCUUUAGGUUUCGGUGAGUAUUGGCCUGUUUUUUACUUUUGAUUGCAUGAGAUGUUCUUUUGAUACUUAAUCAUGUGAGUUUGAUGUUUCAAUUUUCAUUAUUAUCAAUUGCAUUAGAUUGGCAUUUCGUUUCUUUUGAUUGCAUGCAUUUGGUACUUGUAUUCAUAUUUUUGUUUAUUUAUUUAAAUUUGCAUGAGGUUGAUUCCUUUAUUUUGCAUUUGGUACCUAUGCCACCCAUGCCCAAAAUUCCUACACUUCGAACAUUAUCCAACCCCAUACAUAAUAGUGAAUCCAUUCCAACCAGCCCUUCAGCGUAGCUCAAGGAUGUCCAUAUCAAUUUAUUAGAUAUAUCUGAGACAAUUUCCUCAAUAAGUAUAGAUUCAUGCCUGCAAAUUUUGAGGAAAAAAAAAACAAUCAUUUAAUGAAUUCAAGGAUCCAUUAAAAAAAAAAAAAAUUAGAUAAAUCAUCAGUGAUUUAGUCAUGUUCUUUGCUUAAAAGUCAUAUGGCAAGCUUAUAUCUCAGAUUUUUUCCAGUUUAAGUGUAUGUGUGUGUGUAUGAGGGAGAGAGAGAGAGAGGGAGAGAACUGUAUUGCUAUCUAGACAGACAGACAAUCGAACUAGAUUAUAAUAGCAAGCAUCUGCUGGCACUUCCUAGUAGUCUGCAUGAGGAACUUCUCAGAAGUGAUCAGGAUAGAAAUACUAGAAAAGCCAGUGGAUGCAUGUUUAAGACUGCAAUAUCAUUGAUUGACAGUAGGAUUACUAAUUCCGAGUUAAGCAUAUUGGCAAGCAAAAAUUCUCUCCCAAAUGGUUGAAAAAAAUUAGGGAAUCCAAAAGGUUUUAAAAGCAUGACUAUCCAAUUGGGUUGGGGCACACUACAUAGGCAUGGAACAGAGCAUGCCAAGGGGCCAUUGGAAAGGAUGAAAAAGCAUUAAUCCAGUAGGGUUGAGGUCAACUUACCAAUGGAAUAAAGCACACUAAGGGGAAAUAUCCUCAAAAUGAGGUAAAAGGUUUUAUAGUGUAGUCAUAACAUUCUUGCUCAAUGUGAUAAGGACUAACCAAUGUGUAGCUCAAUGCUUCAUCGUUAGGAAAGUUCUUCACACCCAACUUUUUAUGUAGUUCUACCCUUUUUUUUUUCAAAUUUUCGUCAUCUGUCGCUUGGACAUUAGAGGGAAGUUUUCCAAGUACAAAAAAUUGACCUUGAACACCCUAAUCAAACUGGAACUUUAAUACAAUGUUUUCGGAACGGGUUUUAAUGAUGGCAUCCAUUAUUGAACCACGAUCGACAAUCUCCUAAAUACAUAAUAUAUAUUUUAUUCAAAUUAAAAAUAAUUUUAAAAAUUAAAAAUUUAUAACAUUUAUUUCUUUAAUUUUAUAUAAUUAUAUUAAUAUUUUCAAUUUUAUUAAGCGAAAUAUCUAUAAUAUUUAAAUUUGAAAAUAUCUACAUAAUCUUGCAUAUAUGUUUAUUUAUAUUAUUUUUUGAAAUAACAUAUAUAAUUUAUUUUUUAUUUUUAUAAUUUUUAACAUCAACAAAAAGAGUAACAGAGUGGUGCAACCAUGCUACCUUGAACUUGUCGUCAAAGCUUAUAUUCCUAUAAUGAUUCGAUAUAGAAAAUAAAAGGAGAUAAUAAAUAGCAUUAUAAGCCUCAUUCAUUCAUUAUGAAGCAAACAUUGGUGAUGUCCCAUUUUGCAAAAUCAAAAAGAGGGUGUUGAAUGUUGGAUUGAAAGUGAUAGGCAAUCUAGCCCAUUUGGCCGAAAAAGAAAAGGGUGUUUAACCGUUUGAUUCUUGAAGAACUAUCCAACUCCAUCAAUCCAAUUGUUGGUUCAAAUAAUUCAAAAUAAACCCUUCAAAAAAAAGGGAUAGGACUGAAAAGGUCAUUUGGUAGUUGGACCAAUUAGAUCGACUAAUUUGGUUCAAUUUUAAAAAAUAUUGCUUUAACAUGUAUGAUAAUAAAAACAAAGAAAUAAAACUAUUUACCAAAAAAUGAAAUUAUUAUAAAAUAAUAGAAAAUGUAACCCAUUUUAAUGAUACGAUAACUUGUAACCAGAUGAAAUUUUAAUCUGAAAAGAAAAAGAAAAAGACUUUAAGGAAUUAGAAAAUAUUAUCUUUUAUAUUAAAUCGUAUCUUUUUGUAAAAGCUCUCUACAAUUAACUAUAUGUUUUCAUAAAACUUCAUUUAAACUAUGUUACAUUCUUGAUAAUUUUAAAAAAAAUGUAAGAAAAAUAAAAAAUAGAUAAAAUUAAUAAAUUAUUUUUUUCAUUAAUAUAAAUUAAAUAAUUUUAAAUACCUAAGUUUUUCAAAAAAAUUAAUCAUGGUAGUGGGCCCUUGAUCAACCAAAGAUAGUCCAUGCAUAACCUGCCAAAGUGAAGUACAACAAAUUAUAAUAGUGAUGUCACGUAGCAAUACAUUAUUUAUUAUUUUAUUUUCCCUUUUCAAUGUAGAUUCCCUUUCUUAAAGCUAUUAAAAAAACACACAAUAUCAAGAUUUGAGUGUGGGUCUUGCACAAUAUCUUUUAUAUAUUAAUAAUUAUAAAUUAAUUAAAAUGAAUUAUUGUAAAUAAAUUAAUUUUAAUUAUUUUAUUAUGUCUUUUAUAGUGAUAAAAUAUAGGACAAAUAAAAAUUUAUAAAUAAAAUUAUUAAUAUUUUAAAAUAUAAAAUAUAAAUAUAUGUGAACAUUUUUUUAUGUCCUUCAAUAUAUCUAUACUUAAUACAUUAUCAUUUUAAUAUUAAUGUUCCCAAUUCAAUAUAUUAUUGUUUUAAUUUAUCCUUCAAUAUAUUAUCAUUUUAGUAUUGAUGUUUCCUAAUUUGAUAUAUUAUUGUCUAAUAUUAUAAAUUUAUUAUAUAUAUAUAUAUAUAUAUAUAUCAAUUUUUUCUUAAAAUAAUUUCUGUAUAUACAUUUUUUUUUUUAAUUUUUUGAGUCAUUUUUAAUAUUUCACGAGUUUUUAUCAAUUUCCAUCUCAUAUAUAUACUAACGAUAAAUCAAUAAAAAAUGAUAUUUUCAUUCUUGCUCAACAUAAGGAAGAAAAUUAUUCAAAUGGUGCCUAGAUUAAUGGGACCUCCUAAUGACAAUGACAUUGACAAUCAUGAGUCAUAAUGUAGACCCCUCUUUCAAGAGCCGGGGGACCUUUAGUUUUUUUUAUGACAUUGGAAAGGGGCCUCAUCAUCACCAGCAGCUGGCAGCACCCUAGACAAGUGGGGGGACCCCUUUCUGCAAGGAGAGCAGCUUCACAGACACGACAAAGACGUGAUGGCCGGCCAUGCUAGUGGGGGAGGGAAGCCAUGUUGGCUGAUGGAGGAAUAGUAGAGCGGGUAGUGGCUUGCUGUGGAAGAUAGAAACAGGAGAGAGAAAGCAUAUACGGGAGGGGAAUCUGAUAUCUGGGGGGAGGAAGCCAUUAGAGGGGUCACAAGGAAGGGAGUUGGUUGGUUCCAUUGAUCUUAAAGGAGAACUUACUAGAGAAGGAGAUAACAGAGAAAGGAGGCAGCUGCAGGUGAGUUUGGGGUGAGUCUCUUGCUCCCUUUGAUUCAUAUUCUCCUCGUCCCUUUCUCAUUUUGGUUUGCUUUGCAUUGCUUAUCAGUCUGGGUUGGAUUUCAUCUUGAAUUUCAUUGAUUUUUCUGGAUCACUUGUUUGUCGUUGUUGAUUUUGCCGUUAUCCUUAUGGUUUAGUUUGGAGUUAACGAGAUCUGUUUCUCACGUAUUUUGUGGCUCUGGCUUGAGAUCUUCCCACCUGUAUCUGCCCAUGGAUACCACCCGACAUGAGGCUUGAUACGCUCAUGUUUUUCUACUUUAUUCCUUGAUUAUCCUUCCCUCGUUUUUUUGUUGCUUUGGCUCCUAUAUUUGUGAUCCUUUCUGUGAAUGAAGACCUAGACACAAAGGCUGUUUCUUGUAUUUGAUAAAACCGAUUAAGCCACCCAUGUUUUCAGAUGAAGCAGGGACGUUGACGAGAUGUAUGCUCUGUUUUUAGGAUCUUUGUUCUUUUUUUAAUAUCUGUAAACAGAGAAGCUUGCAUGCAAAGAGUUCAUCAUCCAAAACUGGCAGUAUCUACCCAUUAUACCCAACGUGCCCAUGGCUGCCCUUCACACCUAUUUCAUACCCAUUCUCCCACAAAUUAAUACCCAUCUAUUCUCAUGCAGACCUAACCGUCAUUCCUAUGCCCACAUCUCAUCCCCACGCAUUUCAAACACCACCAUACCCAUCUCUCGUCUUUCAUGCUACCCACACCCACCAUUCACCAUUUAUUUCCUAUAUCACCAUCCAUCUAAUCCACCAUGUUACCCGCUACCACCGAACCCGUUUUCCCUCGCCUCUUUUUGUUUUACCACCAUUCUCUUUCUUCACCACAUCAAAUAUCCAUUUUCCCCACCAUCCUGAAUUCCCAUGCAAACCUGUCACCAUGCAUGCCCAUAUUUUGCACUCACCAUUAACCAUUUAUCCCACCUGAUUUCAUUAUGUAUUUAUCCAACCAUCUAUCAUCACCCACGCCAUCCAUGAGCAAGAAUACCAGCCCGUUUCCCUCGUUCUCUCUCAUUGCUCGACACGUAUUCCCCCCCAUGCAUGGCCACCUUAGCCCUCAUACCCACUGGUUCUCACAUUCCAUGCACACGGAAUAGGAUCCCCCUACCACAUUCGCCUCAUUCAACUCAACAUCUUCUCAACCAUACCCCAUGACUCCUUUCCCAUUUAUUUCAUUCCCUUCCCCAGUGCAUGAAAUCCCGCACAUGGUCACCCGCGGUGGGUCCAGCUUUGCCACCGGUGUACCGAGAUCACCGGAGCUCGCCCGCCAUCGCAUGACAGUUCAGGUUUUGGAGUCAUGGAUUGUAGUUCAUUCGGUGAUCAUUGGGAUUUCCUUGGGAGCUUCUGAAAGUCUAAAGACAGUCAAGCCUCGUGUGGUUGCAUUGUCUUUCUAUCAGCUCUUUGAAGGUGGUAGGGACCUCAUCCUCGGUGUAGAAGGCAGCUCUCAAAAAUUUGAGAAGUCGCGUUAAUGAGGUGGCCCGGUUUUGGGUGAUACCUAGGUAGAGACAGCAGGGGUCUGAAACCGGUGAUGGCUUUAGUGGAUGACGUUGAAGCCUUUUCUUUCUCUCAAUGGCGUGUAGAUAAAGAGUUUUUAUUUUUAUUUGGACCUUACCAUCACUAUGAUAUUGUUUCUGGGUAUUGGCGUCCUAGCUGGGGCUCUUGCUUCCCAGUGUACCACAAAGACUACAUCUUAUUUUAUUUUAAUCCAUCCUCUAUCUUUUGAUAUCAAGAUUUAUUUUUUUUAUUUUUUUAACUUCGGUUUUUUAAAUUCAGUCUUUAAAACUCCCGUCUUUAACUAAUUCUUCAAAACUCUAAUUUCCGAAUAUAAUUUUCAAUUUCUGAAUUUAACCAUUAUUAUCUUCAUUGUUAUUAUUAUUAUUUAUUCAUUUAUGUAUUUAAAAAUCUCAUCUUUAAACAAUUUUUCAAAAUCCCGACUUCCGAAUUUAAUAUUUUUUUUGUUUGAAAAAUUCCACUAUUCACUUUCAUUCACUUAAAUAUCGUUUUUGUUAAUUAUUAUUACUAUUCCAUAUGCAUUUAUUUAUCCUCCUUUAAAAGUUUCAUUUCCUAAAGCCCAAUUCAUUAAAAAUCUAAGGUCCUAAUUAAAUUUUCAAUCUCAAAAUUUCCACUAUUUCAUUUGUUUAAAUAUUAUGUUUAUUAAUUAUUAUUAUUAUUCCUCAUGUGUUUAUUUAUCCUCCUUUAAAAAUCUCAUCCCUUAAAGUCCAAUUCUUCAAAAACUCGAAGUCCAAAUUUAAUUUUCAAUAUAAAAAAUUCCACUAUUCACGUUCAUUCGCUUAACCAUUAUUUUUGUUAUUAUUAUUAUCAUUCCAUAUUUAUUUAUUUAUUUCUUUUAAAAAUUCAAAUCAUUAAAGUUCAAUCCUUGAAAAAUCUGACUUCCGAAUUUAAUUUUCAAUCUCAAAGAUUCCACUAUUCAUCCAAUACUUAAAGUUCAAUUUUUCAAAAUCCCGUUUUCCAAAUUUAAUUUUCAAUCUCAAAAAUUCCACUAUUCACAUUUAGCUGUUUAAUGAUUAUUUUCGUUAUUAUUAUUAUCCCGUUCAUUUAUUUAUUCACUUAUUCAUAUAUUUAAAAUCUCAUCUCCAAAUAAUUUCUCAAAAUUUCAAUUUCUAAAUUCAAUCUCCAAUCUCUAAAAUUCUAUUUUUUGCAAUUAUUUACCGAAUCUCUAUUAUUUCAUCAUUAUUAUAUUUAUUAAAAUUCCGUCUUUAAAUAAUUCUUCAAAAUUCCGAUUCCCAAAUUUAGUUCUCUGAAAUUCCAAUUCUUUUCAAAUUCAAUUUCUAAAAUUCUCAUUCUUAUAUUUAAUUUCUAAAAAUCCAAUUUUCAAAUAAUCUCUAAGACUCCGAUUUUCAAAAUGAAUUUCAAAAAUCCAGUUUUCCUUCGAACAAUUUUAAUUUCUGUUUGGUAAUGCAUGUGAUAUAUUUCGUGCUCUAUAUUGUGCACUGACUUUGUUUUUAUGAUAGCGCAUCGCUCGUUCGUGGCUCAGGUAUGCAUCAAUUCCUAUUCUGGUCAUUCUCUAUGCAUGUUCUGAUUCUCAUAUGUACAUAAUCGACUCGAGUAUUCAUUGAUUUACUCAUCAAUUGCCACGUCAGCUUCAUUUUAUUAGUAGAGACCCGACUUUAGGGACUUAGAAGGGUGCUACGGUUUUUACCGUACCUUCCUGAUAAGUAACCUGACCCCCGAAUCCGAUCUGGUUUUUCACAGACCACCUUUUCCAAAGUAAGGAGUCACACUUAGGGUUUUCUUUCUUAUUUUAUUUACCCUUUAAAAACAAAAUAAAAAUAAGUGGCGACUCCAAGUCAUUUUUCAAACAAUAAAAUCAUUUUUCAAAGUAAAAUCAAGCUCGCCAUUGAGUGGGAAACGCAUGAGCUGAAAUGCGGGGUCCACAAAAUGGCAACUCCACUGGGGAAUGUUUAGAGGGUCAAGCUUGAACUUAAGAUGAAGCAAACGUGGCAUUUGAUGAGUCGAUUAGUGAGUGCCUGUCUCUUGAUUGCACAUUGGGAGUUCUUGAUGCAUGCUUAGAUGUCGUAUUCAUUUGAGAUUUUGACAUGCUGGAUUAUUGAUGAUUGAUCUUAUUGCAUCACUUAGCGUAUUGAUUCUGAUUUUGGCAUGAUUGUUCUGAUCACUUCACAUGCAUACACUCACCAAUGCAUAUCACUCAGCUUGACAUAUUGAUUCUCUGACUUGUAUACUAUUUUGGAUUGUCUUUGAGCAUGAUGUUUGUAUCACUAUUUGUCUUGAUUGUCGUAUUCUCGCUUAUCUUGUGUGUACAUGAGUGAUAUAUCCUGCUCUGCCUGACUGUAUGAUGCAUGACUGCCCUCCCUCUGCAUGAUUGCAUGGCGUCUGCCUAUGUGGGUCUCACUUCUACCCCCCCUACCUCCAACUCUCUUGGUUUCGGUCAUUCCUUUCAUCUCGGUUCUCACUAUUGCAAGUGUGAGACCUUCUGUGUGCUUGCUCUCUAAUCGAGCCGGAGAUUAGGAGUAGGGUCUAGCGACGAGCUAUAUCGAUGUACGGGAGCAUUCCGGAGAAGGGCGACACUUUGAUGUCGAUUGGAGUCCGAUCAUUGAAGACCUGUAUAGCCCCAAGCUAGGUUUCAUGGAUAGUUGUGCGACCAGUGUGUUUCCUCUUCUGCUUUAGAUUCUUAGGUUUUUCAGAUGCACCCACACCAUUCACUGUGCACUUUAGUUGACCAUUGAGCGUUAAGAGUUUGAGAGGUUUCACCAUAGGAAACCCCCUAGGAUGUCGAGGUAGUGCAUGUGUGGAGAUGAUGACCACCUUGCAUGGAAGCACCCCGUCUCUUUUUGAGGCGUGCAGAUGGUUGCGUACCGCCGGAGGGUACGAUCGCUUCUGCUAGGGAUCUUUUAAAGUCCACCCAUAUCCAUUUAGAGCCACCUUCACCUUGUAAGUUGAGCCAUAGAUCCUCCGAUUAGGACUCCCUCCCUACACGUGGGUGCAUCUGUGGGCCUUCAGAGCCGGUUCAGUAGUAACAGGUUUGGUUACCUUCGCAGUAGUCUCUUAUAUAUCUGCUCAGGAUUGGAUAUCGGUUUGUUUGCUUCCAGGCUACCUUUUGACACAUUUGUUAGACAUUCUUUGUGAAGUUUCUCUUACCCCGCACCUUAUCUAGUAUUUCCACUAUUGUAGGAGUAUCGAUACGUUCAGUCUGGGUUUGACUUCUUGGAUCAGAGUUGGGGGUAGAUUGAUCAAGGUACUGGACCAGUUAGACCAGAGAUCAGAUCAGAGGGAUAUGGAUUCACAGAUAGUUACCGUCGAUCAGUUCGCUGAGGCCAUGGCUUCGAUUCAGGAGGCUAUAGCUAGCCUUGGCCGGAGGAUAGAUGGGCAGCAGGUCCCCCCCGGAUGGUGCCCAGUAUGACCAUACAGUGCCACCACCCCCUCCACCCAGUCAGUCAGCACCACAGGCCAUGUCGUUCACCCUACAUAGCCAGACCGAGGUUGCUCCGCCUCCCGUCACCGUGCCUACCCCAACCUCAGAGGACCCACAUGCUCGCAUGGAUAGGCUUGAGCAGGGGUUGAGGCAGUUGAGGACUUCCGACAGAGCCAUUACUUGGGAGGGUUUUGAUGGAGUGCCGGUAGCUAGCUUGCCGGCUAAGUUCAGGAUGCUUGACAUUGAGAGGUAUACUGGCAUUGGUUGUCCACGCCUCCAUCUCCGAUUAUACAGCACCGUGAUGAGGGCUCAUGGACUGGACGAGUCUCAGAUGAUUACUCUUUUCCCACUAUCUUUGAGUGGGGCGGCCCAGCGUUGGUGCAUCUCUGGAGGCCUCGAGGCGCCGCACAUGGGACGACUUGGCCCAGGAGUUUCUACGACAGUUUUCGUUUAACACUGUCGUAGAUGUAUCGAGGAGGGAGCUCGAGGCUUUGAGACAGAGGGCAGAGGAGUCUGUUUCUUCUUUCAUUUCCCGCUGGCGCGGGAAGAUAGCUGAGAUUAUCGAUAGACCAUCAGAGAGGGACCAGAUUCAGAUGGUUUUGAGGAGCCUACAGCCGCGGAUCACCAGACAUGUGGUAGGGGCCCCGUUCACAGAUUUUGGGUCUCUGGUUAUGGCUUUGUAUGAUGUCGAGGACGACAUCUCGAGAGGAUUAUGGACAGAUUCUUCCCCUAGUGAUAUUAAGGGGAAGAAGCCCUUCGUAGGACCGAGGCCAGUAGAUGUGAGCGCUAUCGGUUCUUCAGUCAGAGGCCUCCUAGGCGUCAUCAGCCGGUCCCACAGCUCCUAGAGACUCAUCCAUCUUACACACCUCAGCAGUUCAGGCCACGGGCACCUUGCCCGGCUUUUGAUCAGACAUAUCAGGCUCAGCCAUUGGCUCUACCUUACUAUGCCACUCAGGGCAUUGACAGGCCUCCUGUUUCAUACACGGCCACUGGACAACCAUGUUACGCUGCACAGUUCACUCCGAGGCCCGCACCUUCAUACCCUAGGCCUCGAGUUCAACAGACCUCUGCACCUUUUGCUUUGAGGAUGUAGAGACAGUUUUCACAAAUAGGCAUGCCGUUGAGCCAGGCUCUUCGGAAGCUUACAGAGGCUGGGUUAUUGACUACUCUCACCCCUCGGCCACCGCCUCAGCCGAUUCCACCUCAGUUCAGGAUGGAUCUACACUGUGCAUACCAUCAGGGGCCUGGACACGAGACCGAUCGAUGCACUGCUUUGAGGCAUGCCAUUCAGGAUUUGAUCGACCAGGGUUUGGUACACUUGGGUCAGCCGAGUGUGACCACGAACCCGUUACCUGCUCACAACACACAUGCAGUCCUUCCACCAGCCGAUGGCAUUCAUUUCUUAGAGUUUGAUGUGAUCGAUGACCACAUCCACAUGCUGAGUGAUGAUGAUUCAGACCCAGAGCCUAUCAUGCCAGAUGUGAUUUAUGAGACGAGUGGGGUGACUCUGGGUCCUCGGAUGCCUGCUCCAUUCCGAUUAGUUCCCGAGGCGGCGUCCGUGCAGGCUGCCACCGUUGAGCUAUUGAUUUUGCCGCAUUACAGUGUCUGGACGCCUUUCAUCUUGAUCCCGGAUGUUGCGGGGGUUCAGGCUCCGUACGUUGAUGAUUCUCAGACUCUGGACAUUCAGUAUGUUCUCCGAGAAGGUAGAGUGAUGAGACAGCCACCUCCAGCUGCUACCGCUAGACCCUUAGGGGAUACGUCAUCCCAAGAGGAGGUCAGAGCAGAGGAUGACGAGAUUUUGAGGCAGUUGCAAAGCACUCAGGCUCGUAUUUCUAUCUGGAGCCUUUUAGCGUCCUCCAGUACUCAUCGGGAUGCACUGACUCGAGCUCUGAGCCAGAUCAGAGUUGAUACCACGACCACUCCUGAGGGACUCAUUCAUAUGAUGACGGCUGGCAGAGCCACUUGUAUCGUCUUUUCCGAUGACGACUUGCCACCAGAGGGUUCUGGCCACACGCGUCCUCUCUAUAUAUCUGUUGGCUGUUCAGGUCGCCGAGUUCCAUCUGUCCUUCUGGACAAUGGCUCGGCCCUGAACGUAUGUCCUCUGGCCACCGCCAUCGCUCUUGGAUACGCACCAUCCGAUUUCGGCCCAUCCACUCAGACCGUUCGCGCGUAUGAUAGCACUCGGAGGGAGGUCAUGGGUACACUAGAGAUUGAGCUACUGAUUGGUCCAGCCACUUUUGUCGCCGUGUUUCAGGUUUUGAGGAUUCCUACAUCCUUUAACCUGCUUCUAGGCCGACCAUGGAUCCAUAGAGCCGGAGCUAUUCCUUCUUCCCUUCAUCAAAAGGUGAAGUUUAUUCAUGAUGGUCGGGUCGUCGUGGUACAGUUUGUAGGGGAUAUGUUCAUUUCGAUCGAGCCCGUACUUGAGAUCAAUCACGCUGAUGAUGAUUUUUUUCUUACCGGAUUCACCUUUGAUGAGGUGCAGACUCUGGAGAUGGAAGACUUCUGUCGAGACUUUGUAGCCCUGUCCUUCGACCAGCACAGCAGCACGGUGGUACUUGAUAUUAUGAGGAGCAUGUCUUAUCUUCCUGGUAUGGGUUUGGGGCGGUGUCAGCACGGGCCUAGUGAGUUCAUGACUUUUCCGGACCGUGAUGUACCAUUCGGGCUUGGAUUCAUUCCCCACUGAGGCCGACUAUCGUCAUAUGGCGCGGCUGCGCAGGAAGAGGGUGAGGGCUCGCUUGACUCAUACGCCCUUUUAUUAUCCUGUCCGCCCAUACACCACGAGCCUAGCUGAUUACUUUGUGAGGGCAUCAGAGCCACAUGCACCAUCUGAUGGGAUCAUCGGAGGACUCAGCACCACUCAGGAGGCUGAGCUUCAGCGCCUCGUCCAACAGUUACAGUUGAGUGACGGAGCCCCUGGCCCUUCGGCUUCUGUGUUGAUUGCUCCUCCCUCCCCAGAUCGCACGAGCCUUAUGACGCUUUGCUUCCCGGAUGAGAUCGAUGAUCACGGGACUUUUGCCGAGAUUGGAGACGUAGUGGAUGGAGCCGUGCCGCAUGACGAGUACGUUGAUGAGAUGCUCGCGAUGAGCUUGAGCCAGACCGAGGAGAUAGCCCCGCCGGAGCUCGCUUCACCAUUUGAUCUCUUCGGGGUGUCCGUCCUCGAGAUCGCCGGGGAGAUCCAGGUUGCCCCCACUCCAGAGGUCGUCGAGGAUGUUAUAGUUGUUGUUGAUUUGUUUGAUGGCCCUGUUGGCCUAGUUGAGGGAGCGUCCGACCUUGUGGACCCACCUCUCCCCUUUGAUGUUUUAUCGGGAUUUGUCUCCCGUCAUGACUAUGUUUCUGACUUUUCAUCUAUGGUUUUGAGCACCUUUGAGUAUUUGCUUGUCUCUCAUGUUAUUGAUUUAUCUGCACCAUCUUCACCCACAUCACAGAUUUUUGACAUUGAUGAUGAGAUUGCACAGCAUGAUUCAGAUGAUGACUCAUCUCCUGCUUCCGAUUCAGACCCCGUUGAUCAGAGAGUUUCACCUGCUGUAGGGGACACCGAGAUUGUUGACUUUGGCACGGCAGAUCAGCCUAGGGAGUUGAGGAUCGGAUCGGAUUUGUCUACAGAUGAGAGAGAUAGCCUCCUCCAACUACUCAGAUCCUACUUGGACGUUUUCGCAUGGUCCUAUGAAGACAUGCCAGGCCUUGAUCCAUCUAUCGUCCAGCAUCGUUUGCCACUUCUGCCCCAGGCCAGACCGGUUAAGCAGAAGUUGAGACAAUUGCACCCUCGUUGGAGCUUGCAGGUGAAAGAUGAGAUCCAGAAGCAGCUCAGUGUAGGAUUCUUAUCAGUGGUUGAGUACCCGGAGUGGCUGGCCAAUGUCGUCCCUGUUCCCAAGAAGGACGGCAAGGUGAGAGUCUGUGUUGAUUUCCGAGAUCUCAACAAGGCCAGUCCUAAGGAUGAUUUUCCUUUUCCACACAUCGACAUGCUAGUUGACAGUACGGCAGGUCAUUCGAUGUUGUCCUUUAUGGACGGAUUUUCCGGGUACAGUCAGAUCUUGAUGGCUCCAGAGGACAUGGAGAAGACGUCCUUCAUUACCGAGUGGGGUACUUAUUGCUAUAGAGUCAUGCCAUUCGGAUUGAAGAACGCAGGAGCCACAUAUCAGAGAGCAGCGACCACACUUUUCCAUGACAUGAUGCAUCGGGAUGUUGAGGUUUACGUAGACGACAUGAUAGUGAAAUCCCGAGAUAGAUCAGAUCAUUUGGAAGCUCUUGAGAGGUUCUUUGAGAGGAUUAGACAGUUCAGAUUGAGACUGAAUCCCAAGAAGUGCACUUUUGGAGUGACUUCUGGGAAACUCUUGGGAUACAUGGUCAGUGAGCGAGGCAUAGAGGUAGAUCCGGACAAGAUUAGAGCCAUUCUUGACAUGCCUGCGCCGAGGACAGAGAGAGAGAGGUCAGAGGCUUCCUGGGCAGACUUCAGUACAUCAGUAGAUUCAUAGCCAGAUUGGGCCACUCGCCGAUUGAGACAUUACAUGACUGAGUAUUCCGUGCACUUGAUAUCCCGUCUAGAUCCUUUGAGAUAUUUGUUUGAUAGGCCCGCCCUAGUCGGUCGCCUCAUGAGAUGGUUGGUACUUCUGACUGAGUUUGACAUCCAUUAUGUCACUCAGAAGUCCAUCAGAGGGAGCAUUGUAGCAGAUCAUCUAGCCUCAUUACCAGUUUCUGAUACCAGAGCUAUUGACGAUGAUUUUCCAGACGAGGAUGUCGCUGCUGUGACUAGUCCGUCGGGGUGGCGCAUGUACUUUGAUGGUGCGGCCAACCAUUCUGGAUAUGGGAUAGACGUCUUGUUGAUAUCCCCUCACGAUGAUCACAUUCCCAGAUCAGUUCGUUUGGCAUUCUCGGAUCGGCAUCCAACCACGAACAACAUUGUUGAGUAUGAGGCUUGUAUCUUGGGAUUAGAGACAGCCCUUGAGCUCGGGAUUAGACAGAUGGAAGUGUUUGGUGACUCCAAUCUGGUGUUGAGACAGAUUCAGGGCGAGUGGAAGACUAGAGAUGUGAAGCUUAAGCCUUAUCAUGCAUAUUUGGAGCUACUGGUUGGGAGAUUUGAUGAUUUGAGAUAUACCCAUCUGCCUAGAGCGCAGAACCAGUUUGCUGAUGCUUUAGCUACUCUAGCUUCCAUGAUCGAUAUUCCCGUUAAUGCCACUGUUCAACCUCUGUUGAUCGAGUCGAGAUCUGCUCCUGCUUACUGUUGACUGAUCGAUGAUGUAGAGUCAAAUGAUGGUUUGCCAUGGUAUCACGACAUAUAUCACUUUUUGAGACUCGGCGUAUAUCCUGAGGCCGCCACGGCCAAGGAUAAGAGAGCAUUGAGACAGUUGGCCACUCGAUUCGUGAUUUGCGGCGAGACACUGUACAAGCGAUCACCUGACGGGGUGCUAUUAUUGUGUUUGGACCGCGCCUCUGCCGAUCGGGUGAUGAGAGAGGUUCAUGCGGGAGUCUGCGGACCACAUAUGGGAGGACAUAUGUUGGCUCGUAAGAUCAUGAGGACAAGAUACUUCUGGUUGACCAUGGAGACAGAUUGCUGCCAGUUUGUUCAGAGGUGUCCCGAGUGUCAGAUACACGGAGAUCUCAUUCACGUGCCGCCCUCCGAGCUGCACGCACUGACUUCACCAUGGCCAUUUUCCAUCUGGGGUAUUGAUAUCAUCGGGAAGAUUUCACCGAAAUCUUCCAGUGGUCAUGAGUUUAUCCUGGUUGCCAUCGAUUACUUCACCAAGUGGGUGGAGGUCGCCUCAUAUGCGAGAUUGACAUCAGCUGGAGUUGCUAGUUUUAUCAUAUCACACAUUAUCUGUCGCUAUGGAGUCCCCCAUGAGUUGAUUUCGAAUAGAGGGGUACAUUUCAGAGCAGAGGUUGACACCUUAGUGCAGAGAUACAGCAUCCGGCAUCAUAGAUCGUCUGCGUACAGGCCGCAGAUGAAUGGGGCAGUAGAGGCCGCGAAUAGGAAUAUCAAGAGGAUAUUACGGAGGAUGGUCGAGACUUCUCGGGAUUGGUCAGAGAAGCUCCCAUUUGCAUUGUGGGCUUAUCGGACUUCUUUUCGCACCUCUACAGGCGCCACACCCUACUCCUUGGCAUAUGGCAUGGAGGCGAUGCUACCCGUUGAGAUUGAGAUGGGUUCGUUGAGAGUAGCACUAGAGCAGCAGAUUCCCGAGGCAGAUUGGGCUCAGGCUCAAUUUGAUCAGCUCAAUCUCCUAGAUGAGAGGAGAUUGAGAGCAGCAGACCAUGUUCGUGCAUAUCAGAGGAAGAUGGCCCGCGCUUUCAAAAAGCGGGUCAAGCCUAGACCACUGCAUGUAGGUGACUUAGUUUUGAAAGUCAUCAGGGGAUUGAUCAGAGAUCCUAGAGGGAAGUUUAGACCCAACUGGAGCGGACCUUAUUUCAUCAGGGAGUUGACCCUAGAGGGCGCUGUAUGGCUGAUGGAUUUAGACGGAAACCGAUUCUCAGAGCCAACCAAUGUGGAUCAGCUAAAGAGGUACUAUGUUUGAGACCAUGGUCGCAGGAUGGGUGGUCGUCAUUUCGGUUAGCUAUUACCUUGUUAUUCCUUUGUGAUACAUAGUCCGUUGCUAGCCCAUUGAGCCUCACAUGCGUAUUAUAGUCUGUCUUUCUUAUCGCCUUGCUCACAUUUUCACACCGGGAUAGGGGCCCUUUAAUGUAUGCAUACAUUGUUUGGUAGUUUCAUGAGCUUUGGACCUAGAGGCAUGUUUUUCUCAUUAUCUUUUCCUAUCACUGCACCUCUGCAUUUUCAUCUUAUCUUAUUGGUUAUGUUAUUCAUCUCUUCUUCCUUAUCCUAUCUACUAUUUGUUUGUCUCAUAUUCUCUCCACCCUGAGUGGUGAGCCUCCUCAGUUCAUCACAUGGAGGAUAGUCACAUCAUUCCCAUCAUCUAUCUCACGGACACUGGUUUAGAGAUCCUUGGUUUGAGAAGGUCAUCUCGUUAGAGAGAGUUUGUUUGUUACCUUAUUACUUAGGAGUGUGUCCAUUUGUUAUUCAUAUCAUCUUUGGGGUUCAUUUGUUCAUGUUUAGGGUAUGUGUAUUUGUAUAUAUGUAAAAAAAAAAAAAAAAAAAAAAUGAAAGAAAAAAAAAAUCAUUAUUAUUAUUAUUAGCACAUGUGUGUAUGUGCAUAGUGUUCUCGGUCAUUGAGUAUGUAUAUUGAUGUUUGGGGUUCAUUUUUAUCGAGUAUGUUCGUUAUCGGGAGUUCGUAUGUGAACUCUCUAAGAUCCCAUGUUAUUUGCAUUGCUUCGUCAUAUCUAUUUGUGAGAGAGAUGAGUGACCCUCUCCUAAGGACUCCGAGUCAUUGUCCUUUCCAUCAUUACAUUCAUUAUUGAUGUGACUUCACUUCAUGUUUGAUCUGAGUCGAUCACCACUUUUCUUCACGUAUUCAUUGUUUCGAUAUCGUUUUUAUCGUUGCUUGUGAUUCAUCUCAUUCCCUUCGCGUCUUGUUCUCUCCUUACAGCGACCCAUCUCAGGUUCGAUGCUCAUUUCUCAUCAUCAUUACACAUAUCACUAUCAGUUCAUCCUGUUUCAUUUGUCUCCUUAUCGAUAUCAUAUUCACGUUAGGCGUCCUCAGAUCCAUGGCUCAUGAGGUUCGCUAUACAUGUUGCAUUUCAUAUAUGAGGGCAUGAGUUUUGAUCAUUGGGUAUUUGAGCCUAGUUUUCUUUCGUUUCUAUCACCCUAUCACCUUGGCCUACGUUACGUCCCGUGUCUUAAGACCACCCUGAGGCCAUGGGAUCAGAUGUCGUCUUCAGCAGCCUCUACUUGGGCAGGUGAUUGAGAUCUGGUUGAUAUUUAGAUAUCGUCAUGCUUUUUCUUCUGGGAGUCGCCUUUUUGAUGUAUAGGUCUGAUUCAGUUGUGUUCGAAUUACUAGGAUCAUAAGUUUGAUGAUGAUUGAUUUGGUGUCACCUGAUUUUUGACCUAUCAUACCUUUGGUGCCACACUGGGGCAUGUCCCAUUUCAUUUGGAGGUUCAUGGAUCCUCACGGACUUGCACGAUCAUCACUUACUGGAUGCUCACUGAGACGUAGACAUGAUCGUUACCUUACGGAGCCCCUGAGAUCCACCCAGCCAGGUCCGCACUUCUCGACACUUGGAUGUCAUCAUGCCUCUCCAUCUGGGAGGUACAUCUUGGAUAUGUGUGCAUGAUUCAGUUAUGGAUUCGGACGACCAUUGUUACAUGUUCGAUGACAGAUGAUUUCAUGUCGCUCGAUUUCUGACUUGUCGUACAUCCGAUGCCCAUACUGGGGCAUAUUUUCCUUUUCAGAUGAGAUUUACGGACUUUCAUGGAGGUCACAUGUGCGAUGAUGGAUGAUUUCAUGACAUUUGUUCUUCGGACCUGUCGCGCACCUGAUGCCAUACUGGGGCAUAUUCCGUUUCGGAGGAUCUUUAUGGAUCUUUGUAGAGGUCACAUGUUCGAGGAUAAACAAUCCCAUGCUAUCUGAUCUCCGACCUAUCAUACAUUUUGAUGCCAUACAGGGGCAUAUUUCGGUUCGGAUGAGAUUUACAGAUCAUGGGGGAGUCGCGUGCCUAUCCUUAUUUGGCGAGAUGUAUGCAGAGAUGAUGAUAUAUUCGCUAUCCUCACGAUGAUUCCUUAGUGGAGCCUAUCGAGAGCCAUCUAGCCAGGCAUGGAUGACCUGAGCUCAUCUGAUUUUUCGACAUAUUACAUUCUCGAUGCCACACUGGGGCAUAUUUCCCAUCAUUGAUCUAGAUUUAUAGAUCCCCACUGGUUUACAUGAUCAUCCACGAUUAUGGGAUAUGCGCCAGGUCGAUGUUCGACUUCAUUUUGUCCGGAUACUCCGAGGAGCCUCUCUUGAGUCAUUCAGCCAGAUUCAUACCCUUUUAUAUAGUCGUGAUUCCUCGAUGGAGUUGUCUCUGUUGCCUGGAUUUCCCGCGUCAUCAUUUCAGAGGGGUACAUAUCAGAUCUGUUACGCGUCCCAUUGGUGUUAUUCUCGGGUCAUCAGGACAGAUCGGGUACAUCUGAUGUCAUACUAGGGCAUAUUGCCUUCAUUUAGCCCUAGAGGCGAUCGUUCUCUCACAUAUCCGUUACAGUUUCCAUCACUCAAUCGAGAUAUAUUGUAUUCACCUCACUAGCCAUUAUUCCUGAGCUCUUCAUCGAUAUGAGCUCUCAACGGAGUGUCGUUCGAGACUCGUAGAGUCCCUUUCAGCCAUUUCCAGCGGAUUGAGAUUUGCAGUGGCAUGCCACACUGGGGUAUACCCCCGUCUUUGAGUACAUCGGCUGUUUUGCACAUCUUUCUCACUACUCAGUCCAUUUCUUGAUCUUUGCGAGUCAUCAUACUGGGGCAUACCCCCUUUAGCAUUUUUCUAUUGGGGCAACCCCCCACAGUCAUUUUUGUUUGGGGCAUCCCCCCACUAUCAUUUUCGUUUGGGGCAUCCUCCCACUGUCAUUUACGUUUGGGGCAUCCCCCCACUGUCAUUUACGUUUGGGGCAUCCACCCACUGUCAUUUACGUUUGGGGCGUCCCCCCACUGUCAUUUACGUUUGGGGCGUCCCCCCACUGUCAUUUUCGUUUGGGGCGUCCCCCCACUGUCAUUUUCGUUUGGGGCAACCCCCCACUGUCAUUUACGUUUGGGGCAUCCCCCUACUGUCAUUUUCGUUUGGGGCAUCCUCUCACUGUCAUUUACGUUUGGGGCAUCCCCCCACUGUCAUUUACGUUUGGGGCAUCCCCCCACAGUCAUUUACGUUUGGGGCAUCCCCCCACUGUCAUCUUUGUUCAGGGCAUUCCCCGUUCUCGUCACUUUGUUUAGGGCAUCCCCCUACUUUAGGUUUGUUUAGGGCAUCCUCCUACCUUUACUUUGUUUAGGGCAUCCCCCUGCUUUUAGCUCGUUUAGGGCAUUCCCCUAUCGUCACUUUGUUUAGGGCAUCCCCCUACCUUUUAGUUUCAUUUAGGGCAUCCCCCUACUGUCGCUUUUGUUUAGGGCAUCCCCCUACCUUUAGUUCAUUUAAAGCAUCAUCUACUGUUAGUUCAUCUGUGGGCCUUCUAGUUUAGCAUUUAGAACUAGCUUUUCGGUUCGGCUUCCAGAGCCAUUAUUUUUCUCAGUUUAGCAUUUAGAAUUUGUUUUUUGGUCGGCUCCUAGAGCUAUUAUUUUCUAGUUUAGUGUUUAGAGUUAGUUAUUUUGGUCGGCUUCUAGAGCUAUUAUUUUCUAAUUUAGUGUUUAGAGUUAGCUUUUCGGUUUGGCUUCCAGAAUUAUUAUUUUCUAGUUUAGUGUUUAGAAUUAGUUUCUGGGUUUGGCUUACAGAGCUAUUAUUUUCUCAAUUUGACGUUCAGAGUCAUCAUCAUCACUUCUCAGUUUCGGCGUUCAAAGCCAUCAUCACUUUUUAGUUUCGGCGUUCAGAGCCAUCACCGUGUUUACAGUUCGGCGUUCAGAGCCAUCAUUGGUUUUCAGAUCGACAUUCAGAGUCGCAUCCUCGAUUUCGACAUUCAGAGUCGUUAUCGCUUCUCAGUUUGACGUUCAGGGUCAUCAUCAUCGCUUUUUAGUUUCUGCGUUCAGAGCCAUCACCGUGUUUACAGUUCGGCGUUCAGAGCCAUCAUCGGUUUUCAGAUCGACAUUCAGAGUCACAUCCUCGAUUUCGACAUUCAGAGUCGUUAUCGCUUCUCAGUUUGACGUUCAGGGUCAUCAUCAUCGCUUUUUAGUUUCGGCGUUCAGAGCCAUCACCGUGUUUACAGUUCGGCGUUCAGAGCCAUCAUCGGUUUUCAGAUCGACAUUCAGAGUCGCAUCCUCGAUUUUGACAUUCAGAGUCGUUAUCGCUUCUCAGUUUGACGUUCAAAGUCAUCAUCAUCACUUUUUAGUUUCGGCGUUCAGACCCAUCACCGUGUUUUCAGUUCGACGUUCAGAGCCAUCGUCGCUUUUCAGUUUUGGCGUUCAGAGCCAUCACCAUUUUCAGUUUGGCGUUCAAAGCCAUCGUCGCUUUUCGGUUUUGGCGUUCGGAGCCAUCGUCACUAUUUUCAGUUCGGCGUUCAGAGCCAUCGUCGCUUUUCAGUUUUGGCGUUCAGAGCCAUCACCAUUUUCUGUUUAGCGUUCAGAGCCAUCGUCGCUUUUCGGUUUUGGCGUUCAGAGCCAUCGUCGCUUUUCAGUUUUGGCGUUCAGAGCCAUCACUAUUUUUAGUUUGGCGUUCAGAGCCAUCAUCGCUUUUCAGUUUUGGCGUUCGGAGCCAUCACUAUUCUCAGUAUCGGAGCCAUCAUCAUCACUAUUUUCAGUUUGGCGUUCAGAGCCAUCAUCACUAUUUUCAGUUCGGCGUUCAGAGCCAUCGUCGCUUUUCAGUUUUAGCAUUCAGAGCCAUCGCCAUUUUCAGUUUGGCGUUCAGAGCCAUCAUCGCUUUUCAGUUUUGGCGUUCAGAGCCAUCACUAUUUUCAGUUUGGCGUUCAGAGCCAUCAUCGCUUUUCAGUUUUGGCGUUCGGAGCCAUCACUAUUCUCAGUAUCGGAGCCAUCAUCAUCACUUCUCAGUCUUGGCGUUCGGAGCCAUCAGCAGUUUCCAUUCGGCGUUUAGAGCCAUCACCACUUCUCAGUUUCGGUGUCCAGAGCCAUCACCACUUCUCCGUUUGGCAUUCAGAGCCAUCGUUAUCACUCCUCAGUUUGACGUUCAUAGUCACAUUCAUCAGUAUCGGCUUUCAGAGCCAUCAUCACAUCUUCGUUCGGCAUUCAGAGCCAUCGUUAUCACUUCUCAGUUUUGGCGUUCAGAGCCAUCACUGUUGCAUUCUCUGUUUCGGUGAUCAGAGCCAUCAUCACUUCCUAGUUUGACGUUUAGAGUCAUCAGCACAUCUUCGUUCGGCAUUCAGAGCCAUCGUUAUCACUCAGUUUGACGUUCAUAGUCACAUUCAUCAGUAUCAGCAUUCAGAGCCAUCAUCAUCACUUCCCAGUUUGACAUUCAGAGCCUUUGUCCACUUUUGAUUCGGUGUUCAGAGCCACAUCUUCAGUCGACAUUCGGUGUUCGAAACCAUUGUAUACACUCAUUCGAAGACCUUGAGUCACCAUCUUCCCGUGUUUUGAGUCAUUUCUCCUCGACUGUAUCAUUCAGGGUCACAGUCCCUGGCAUUCAUAUUCGGUGGUUUCUCUUUUCAUUGCUCAUGACGUAGUCCUUCGAGUUUACGACGCAUACUUCGGUCACGUCGUUGGGCAUCCCCCCCACUGUCAUUUCGCUUGGGGCAUCCCCCCACUGUCAUUUUCGCUUGGGGCAUCCCCCCACUGUCAUUUACGUUUGGGGCAUCCCCCCACUGUCAUUUACGUUUGGGGCAUCCUCCCUACUGUUAUUUACGUUUGGGGCAUCCCCCCACUGUCAUUUACGUUUGAGGCAUCCCCCCACUGUCAUUUACGUUUGGGGCAUCCCCCUACUGUUAUUUACGUUUGGGGCAUCCCCCCACUGUCAUUUCGUUUAGGGCAUCCCCCUAUUUUCAUCUUGUUUAGGGCUUUCCCCCACCGUCAGUUUGCUUAGGGCAUCCCCCUUUUGUUUCAAAUUUAUCACCACCGUAGGUCUUCACCUAUGGGCCCUCUAGUUUAGUGUAGAGUUAGUUUUUUUUUGUUUGGCUUCCAGAGCCAUUAUUUUUCUAGUUUAGCGUUUAGAGUUAGCUUUUUGGUUUGGCUUUCAGAGCUAUUGUUUUCUCAGUUUGGUGUUUGGAGUCAGUCUCGUCAUUCAGAGUCACAGCUCCUAGCAUUCAUAUUCACUGGCAUUGCACGUCUCACCUUCAUGGACUUGCACUUAUUCUCAUUCUCCUCACCUUGUUACCUUGUGCUUAUCGUUUCAGCAUUGCUCUUCUAGGCUUCCCCUUCCAUUGCACAUGAUAUAGCCCUUUGAGUUCACGACACAUGUUUCAGUCAUAUUGUUGGGAUCCCUAGACAUAGCAUUCCCAUGUAAUUCACAUAGGGCGUUCCCUUUAGGCGCAUUCUUUCUCAUACUCUAGGGUGGUUCGACUGUUACUCGUCUUUGAUAUGGUUUUUCAAGUCACUUUUGGAGGCAUCUUAGAGGGAGCCUGGGUCCUCAGUGUAGCUUCAGAAGCGCUUGGAGAUAUGUUUUUCUUUUAGGAUUAGAGUCUUUAUGUUCGUCCACUGACCUAAGUAGGUCCGUAUUUCACUAGUGUUCCUUCAGGGUCUUCUUUUUCUUCGGUAGAGUUUACUCCGUUCCACUCAUCAUUCACACUUUCUUUUCACUCUAGUGUUCAUGUUCCUUACACUUGUGAACUCUACCGAAGAGGGGCAUAUUUGUAGACCCCUCUUUCAAGAGCCGGGGGACCUUUAGUUUUUUUAUGACAUUGGAAAGGGGCCUCAUCAUCACCAGCAGCUGGCAGCACCCUAGGCAAGUGAGGGGACCCCUUUCUGCAAGGAGAGCAGCUUCACAGACACGGCAAAGACGUGAUGGCCGGCCAUGCUAGUGGGGGAGGGAAGCCAUGUUGGCUGAUGGAGGAAUAGUAGAGCGGGUAGUGGCUUGCUGUGGAAGAUAGAAACAGGAGAGAGAAAGCAUAUACGAGAGGGGAGUCUGAUAUCUGGGGGGGAGGAAGCCAUUAGAGGGGUCACAAGGAAGGGAGUUGGUUGGUUCCAUUGAUCUUAAAGGAGAACUUACUAGAGAAGGAGAUAACAGAGAAAGGAGGCAGCUGCAGGUGAGUUUAGGGUGAGUCUCUUGCUCCCUUUGAUUCAUAUUCUCCUCGUCCCUUUCUCAUUUUGGUUUGCUUUGCAUUGCUUAUCAGUCUGGGUUGGAUUUCAUCUUGAAUUUCAUUGAUUUUUCUGGAUCACUUGUUUGUCGUUGUUGAUUUUGCCGUUAUCCUUAUGGUUUAGUUUGGAGUUAACGAGAUCUGUUUCUCACGUAUUUUGUGGCUCUGGCUUGAGAUCUUCCCACCUGUAUCUGCCCAUGGAUACCACCCGACAUGAGGCUUGAUACGCUCAUGUUUUUCUACUUUAUUCCUUGAUUAUCCUUCCCUCGUUUUUUUGUUGCUUUGGCUCCUAUAUUUGUGAUCCUUUCUGUGAAUGAAGACCUAGACACAAAGGCUGUUUCUUGUAUUUGAUAAAACCGAUUAAGCCACCCAUGUUUUCAGAUGAAGCAGGGACGUUGACGAGAUGUAUUCUCUGUUUUUAGGAUCUUUGUUCUUCUUUUAAUAUCUGUAAACAGAGAAGCUUGCAUGCAAAGAGUUCAUCAUCCAAAACUGGCAGUAUCUACCCAUUAUACCCAACGUGCCCAUGGCUGCCCUUCACACCUAUUUCAUACCCAUUCUCCCACAAAUUAAUACCCAUCUAUUCUCAUGCAGACCUAACCGUCAUUCCUAUGCCCACAUCUCAUCCCCACGCAUUUCAAACACCACCAUACCCAUCUCUCGUCUUUCAUGCUACCCACACCCACCAUUCACCAUUUAUUUCCUAUAUCACCAUCCAUCUAAUCCACCAUGUUACCCGCUACCACUGAACCCGUUUUCCCUCGCCUCUUUUUGUUUUACCACCAUUCUCUUUCUUCACCACAUCAAAUAUCCAUUUUCCCCACCAUCCUGAAUUCCCAUGCAAACCUGUCACCAUGCAUGCCCAUAUUUUGCACUCACCAUUAACCAUUUAUCCCACCUGAUUUCAUUAUGUAUUUAUCCAACCAUCUAUCAUCACCCACGCCAUCCAUGAGCAAGAAUACCAGCCCGUUUCCCUCGUUCUCUCUCAUUGCUCGACACGUAUUCCCCCCCAUGCAUGGCCACCUUAGCCCUCAUACCCACUGGUUCUCACAUUCCAUGCUCACGGAAUAGGAUCCCCCUACCACAUUCGCCUCAUUCAACUCAACAUCUUCUCAACCAUACCCCAUGACUCCUUUCCCAUUUAUUUCAUUCCCUUCCCCAGCGCAUGAAAUCCCGCACAUGGUCACCCGCGGUGGGUCCAGCUUUGCCACCGGUGUACCGAGAUCACCGGAGCUCGCCCGCCAUCGCAUGACAGUUCAGGUUUUGGAGUCAUGGAUUGUAGUUCAUUCGGUGAUCAUUGGGAUUUCCUUGGGAGCUUCUGAAAGUCUAAAGACAGUCAAGCCUCGUGUGGUUGCAUUGUCUUUCUAUCAGCUCUUUGAAGGUGGUAGGGACCUCAUCCUUGGUGUAGAAGGCAGCUCUCAAAAAUUUGAGAAGUCGCGUUAAUGAGGUGGCCCGGUUUUGGGUGAUACCUAGGUAGAGACAGCAGGGGUCUGAAACCGGUGAUGGCUUUAGUGGAUGACGUUGAAGCCUUUUCUUUCUUUCUAUGGCGUGUAGAUAGAGAGUUUUUAUUUUUAUUUGGACCCUUACCAUCACUAUGAUAUUGUUUCUGGGUAUUAGCGUCCUAGCUGGGGCUCUUGCUUCCCAGUGUACCACAAAGACUACAUCUUAUUUUAUUUUAAUCCAUCCUCUAUCUUUUGAUAUCAAGAUUUAUUUUUUUUAUUUUUUUAACUUCGGUUUUUUAAAUUCAGUCUUUAAAACUCCCGUCUUUAACUAAUUCUUCAAAACUCUAAUUUCCGAAUAUAAUUUUCAAUUUCUGAAUUUAACCAUUAUUAUCUUCAUUGUUAUUAUUAUUAUUUAUUCAUUUAUGUAUUUAAAAAUCUCAUCUUUAAACAAAUUUUCAAAAUCCCGACUUCCGAAUUUAAUAUUUUUUUUGUUUGAAAAAUUCCACUAUUCACUUUCAUUCACUUAAAUAUCGUUUUUGUUAAUUAUUAUUACUAUUCCAUAUGCAUUUAUUUAUCCUCCUUUAAAAGUUUCAUUUCCUAAAGCCCAAUUCAUUAAAAAUCUAAGGUCCUAAUUAAAUUUUCAAUCUCAAAAUUUCCACUAUUUCAUUUGUUUAAAUAUUAUGUUUAUUAAUUAUUAUUAUUAUUCCUCAUGUGUUUAUUUAUCCUCCUUUAAAAAUCUCAUCCCUUAAAGUCCAAUUCUUCAAAAACUCGACGUCCAAAUUUAAUUUUCAAUAUAAAAAAUUCCACUAUUCACGUUCAUUCGCUUAACCAUUAUUUUUGUUAUUAUUAUUAUCAUUCCAUAUUUAUUUAUUUAUUUCUUUUAAAAAUUCAAAUCAUUAAAGUUCAAUCCUUGAAAAAUCUGACUUCCGAAUUUAAUUUUCAAUCUCAAAGAUUCCACUAUUCAUCCAAUACUUAAAGUUCAAUUUUUCAAAAUCCCGUUUUCCAAAUUUAAUUUUCAAUCUCAAAAAUUCCACUAUUCACAUUUAGCCGUUUAAUGAUUAUUUUCGUUAUUAUUAUUAUCCCGUUCAUUUAUUUAUUCACUUAUUCAUAUAUUUAAAAUCUCAUCUCCAAAUAAUUUCUCAAAAUUUCAAUUUCUAAAUUCAAUCUCCAAUCUCUAAAAUUCUAUUUUUUGCAAUUAUUUACCGAAUCUCUAUUAUUUCAUCAUUAUUAUAUUUAUUAAAAUUCCGUCUUUAAAUAAUUCUUCAAAAUUCCGAUUCCCAAAUUUAGUUCUCUGAAAUUCCAAUUCUUUUCAAAUUCAAUUUCUAAAAUUCUCAUUCUUAUAUUUAAUUUCUAAAAAUCCAAUUUUCAAAUAAUCUCUAAGACUCCGAUUUUCAAAAUGAAUUUCAAAAAUCCAAUUUUCCUUCGAACAAUUUUAAUUUCUGUUUGGUAAUGCAUGUGAUAUAUUUUGUGCUCUAUAUUGUGCACUGACUCUGUUUUUAUGAUAGCGCAUCGCUCGUUCGUGGCUCAGGUAUGCAUCAAUUCCUAUUCUGGUCAUUCUCUAUGCAUGUUCUGAUUCCCAUAUGUACAUAAUCGACUCGAGUAUUCAUUGAUUUACUCAUCAAUUGCCACGUCAGCUUCAUUUUAUUAGUAGAGACCCGACUUUAGGGACUUAGAAGGGUGCUACGGUUUUUACCGUACCUUCCUGAUAAGUAACCUGACCCCCGAAUCGGAUCCGGUUUUUCACAGACCACCUUUUCCAAAGUAAGGAGUCACACUUAAGGUUUUCUUUCUUAUUUUAUUUACCCUUUAAAAACAAAAUAAAAAUAAGUGGCGACUCCAAGUCAUUUUUCAAACAAUAAAAUCAUUUUUCAAAGUAAAAUCAAGCUCGCCAUCGAGUGGGAAACACAUGAGCUGAAAUGCGGGGUCCACACAUAGUUAGGGUAAGUGUGUGGUAAAUUAACUUAGUGUUUCGCAAAAUAUUUAUUUAUCAUCAUUUAAAAUUAAAAAAUAAAUUUAAAUAUUAAAUAAAAAUAAUUAACUUAUUCUAAAUUCUAAUUUUUUUAAUUCUCUUUGUUCAUAUUUGGUGAUAAUCACUUUUAUAUCCAUGACUCUAUGUUCACAAUUUCCCUUUUUUUUUUAGUAAAUAUUUUGUAGUUAUUUUGUUGCUUCACAAUAGUACUUUUUAAUAUAAAUGUUUAUCAAGUUUAAGUUUAUGAAGACAAAUAUUAAGAAAAAUUAACGAGUUUAAUAUAUUUGUAGACCUCUCUUUUGGACUAUUAGACAUUUUUUUUAUCACUAUUAUUUGUUGUUUUUUAUUUUAUUUUAUGUUUAUUUUUCUUUUCCUCACCACCUUCUUGUCGCCUAGGAAGCCUGGUCUUUUUGGGCAAGAUGGUGAAACACCAUCUCUAUAAAGGGAAGUGGGGGACAACUUCCACAAGUGAGCGGGCUGCAUGGGACGCAUGAAGGAUACUGCUACCUCGGCAUGGUGGUGGUUAGGAUGGAAACGUCUCUAAGCGGGGAGUAGUAGAGCUGGUGGAGGCUUGGGGGGAGAAGAAAGGAGGGAGGUCUGAGAGAAAAGGGAGAGAGCUAAAGAAAUAGAGGGCGAGGAACUUUAGCGGAUUUUGAAGAAUCUAUGGAAUCCAGUGCUUGAAACCAAGCAAUCCUUGCUCAAAGGGAGUCGUUCAGCGUUUGAUUGCAACUAGAAUCCCAUUGAUCAACUGUCCUGGGUUAUGCAUGCCCGUCAUAAGUUCUUCAUGGGUUUGGAGGUAGUGGCAGUGUUGGUGCUCUCCUUCGCCAUAAUUUUGAUUCUCAUUGCUUUGGAGGAAUGCCCCUAGUUGCCUUUGGAAUCAUCUAUUUAAGAAUGCACUGAGAAGUUAGAGAUGUUGUCCUUUUUUUAGUGUCAUUUGUUUGAGAUUUUGCUAAUUGUGGCCUAUUCAAGGAUAGACUUGAGAUAUUAAAGAAGCUUAGAUAUGGAAGGAAGUAUAGUCCACACACACUACUUGAGUAGAAAAGAAAAGUAGCAAUGGAUUAUUGGGAAUGACUUCCAGUUUUUACCCUAGGUUAUAUUUCUGCUAUCAUUCGUCUAUUUCUGGUGUGUUUGGGGUGCUGAAUAUUAUGGCUAGUUUGGCCAUUUUGGUUGGGGUGGUUUUUAAGAGACUUGUAUGGAUAUCUCUGGUCUUUUAUAUAGUAAGCUUCAUUACAAAUAGUGACAUUCUUGUGUUAAGCCCUGGUGAAGAGCUCUAGUACAAUCAUAUGUUGACAUAGAAGGCUAAAAUACCCGGAUAUAGGAAUUGGAAAUUCAAUAAAAUGAUUGGUCCUAGAAAGUUCAAGAAAUGUAUUUGAAGAUGGGUCCCAUUAUUAUUAGCUCAUUUCUAUCCUUCCCUAUGUGCCUACUAAUCCCGUGCAUGGCCACUUUAGUCUAUAUGUGACCAAGUCUUGCUUGCUCCUAGUCUUGUAGCCCUUUAUACCCACCACCAUCAGCCUACCCCACAUCACCAAACCCAUCAUACCCCUAUCCUCCACACUCAUUAGCUUACUCCAUUGCCCCUAAUCCACCUAGCCAUCAGCACCUACCCACUAUCAUCCUUCCUAACUUAUCACAGCCCACACAGUCAUCACUCUUUCUCACCCGUCCCACCAUAGCUGCGGUCUCUUUCCAACAACUCAAUAUGUAGCCACCAUGUGCCAUACCCCAUUAUUUUCCUGUGCUCGCAACUCUAUGUGCCACUAUAGGCAUCUCUAAUUCCAUCGUUUUAUUUCCUGGUCAUUCUUUUUCCAUUUUGAUAGCCAUCACAACAGUCGGUGAUUGUCGACUCCUCCACGAUGUGCCAUUGCAACGCUGCUCAUCCACUCAAGACCACUAUGCUCUUCCUUCUUGGUGCUCAUCAUUGUGCUCGAAACUCAGGAUAGCUUCAAAAGCAGUUCCAGUCCCACCUUAGUACCCCUCAGACCCCACCUUUACAUGGACAGGCAUGGCCACUUUUGGGUGUGCCAUUUUCAAAGCUCAAAACUCCUAGUUUCCUUGGUCCCCGACAUGCUCUAGAUAACCCCAUUCUUCCAAAAUCUUGAAAUGGUUCGAUUGAUGGAAGCACAGACCUUUUAUACUAUUGGAAUCCUAAAACUAACAUCACCUACCAUGAGAAACCAACUGCUUUGCCUCAAGUGCCUCAAGUGCGUGUGUGCAAGUCUCCUUGCGUAAACCUAUGCUUAAUAGUUGCGACUCGGAUACCAUUGGGUUUUUAGGGUUUGUACACCUCUAGCUCUCUUUCUCACCAACUUGUCACUACGCUUUGCUUGAAUCAUCUUCGCUCUAAUCUUCUUUCAACUUUUUGAAAAGGCUUACCUAUGUGUUGGAAUGGCCAAUAAUCCUCAUUCUUCUAGGGCACAGUUUCGACCUACAGUUCCGGGAUAAUGACAUCUUUUCAUUCCAGUAGCUUCUCAACAAUUUUCGCCAAUUGGACAAAAUAUUUUUUCACCAAAUGUGGGAGUUCUUUCUGGUUGAAAUUAACCGCCAUAGUUUUUGUCACGACCUAAAUUCUGGGUGACCCAAAAUUUGGCCCAUCACCAUAGGUCAAAGGUUUGACCCUAAGGUUUUCUCUUAAUCCAAGUUGGCAAUCAACCAAAAUGCUCUGAAUUAUUUUUUUUCUAAAGAUAACUCAACUAACAUUCCAAUUUAACACUAUACCAACCAUCACUCAAGAGCUACAAGAUAUAAUAAUUAUCAUUAAGGUCUAGAAAUAAGAGUUCACAGUUGAGCAAAAUAAUCAUAAUAAAGUCUCAUUACAAAUAUAUAGUUUCAAAGUUUGUUAAUACAAGUUCCAAAAUAAACCAACAUAACAAUUACUCUACAAUCCAUUAGGCUGCUCCAAAAUCUCCUGGUGUAUCCUUAAGCACUCCUGUCCCAACUGUGGAUCCUUAGGAGUCACAUCUGCAUCUAAAAAGAAUAUAAGAAGGAAUGGUUUAGCAUUCCACAUUGCUCAAUAAGGUGUCUUACACAUAAAGGGGGUUAAUUUGGGAAUACUAAGGUUCAUGUGUAUACAAAAUAAACACUCUACUAGAAUUUAAUCAACCCAAACAUUUCAGUUUCUAUAGUUAUAACAAUUCAACAAUUUUCAACAAUUAAUAAAAUGCAUGUGGAUAUAUAACACACAGUCAUACAAUGCACUGUCAUUCUCGGGCUUUCACCGAAGUAUAUGCAUUCGUACCCAAGUAUACUUCCCAUUCAGAGUCUUCUCAGAAUAAAUUUUUCGGUCUUUCACCUAAGGAUUUCAUUCCCUUCUUAAUUUGUCUCUCAUGAGCCUUUACUUUUAACAUUAUUUUAUUUUUCUUUCUUUCCCAUUUCAUGCAACCUUACAACAAAUUUUUAUCUUUCUUUCGCACAACCAUGAUGUAUAUGGAAUGUAAUGAGAUUACUUAUCAUCAAUAAAAUUCUCACUAAUCCAAACAUCAAUAAAAUUACAAUUUAUCCCAAAAUUUCAUUUAUUCUCAACAAUCCCAAUAAUUUCAAAAACCAAAUACAAUUAUUUUCCACAAUUAAAUUACCAAAAACAUCCCAAUAAAUUCGCAAAAAUAAAUAAUAUAAAAACCAAUAUUAAUCCAUCAUAAUUUCUACCAUAAUUGUAUUUGUUCUCAAUAAUCCCAAUAUUUUUUUAAUAGCCAAAUAUAAUUAUUUUCCACAAUUAAUUUGCCAAAAAUAUCCCAAUAAAUUCUCAAAAAAAAAAAAAACCAAUAUCAAUCCAACAUAAUUUCUACCAUAAUUGUAUUUAUUCUCAAUAAUCCCAAAUUUUUUUAUAGCCAAACAUAAUUAUUUUCCACAAUUAAAUUACCAAAAAUAUCCUAAUAAAUUUUCAAAAAUCCAAAUAUCAAUAAAACAUCAUUUAUAUCACAAUUUCAUUUAUUCUCAAUAAUCCCAUUAAUUUUAAUAACUCAAAUACAAUCAUUUAACAACCAUAAAAAAAUUACUGUCAUCACAAAAUUUUCAAAAAAAAUCCUAAAUCAUCCAAUAAAAUUUCUCGUAUCACAAAUAUUACCUAUUUAACUCUUAACAACAAAAUUUAUAAUUUGUUUUUCAAGAAAAAAACAUUUAAUUAAAGUUUUAGGGUUAAAAUUCCUUACCAUAGAUCUAAUGAUCCAACUGUUGAAAACUAAAUCCCCCACCAUACAAAUGUUCCUCGUGUCGAGUAGGGUAUUUCUUUGAAAUUUCACGUGAAAUGGACGACGUUUGGCCAUCGAAAGAGCCGACCAAAGAGUUAUGAUUUUUUUUUUAUUAUUUUGUUCUCCAUUACAGUCGCUGAGACACUCCUAUGUAAGUUUUCCUCUUUUUCCCUUUUUUUUUUCUCUUCCAUUUUCUCUUUCUUCACCUUUUCCUUUUCUAUUUCAACGAGCCACUAAAUGUGGAGGCAGCCCAAGCCAAAAAUCCUAUAUAUAUAUAUAUAUAAUAUUACAUUAAUUGUUUUCUUUUCUUAAUUCACUUCAUUUUUUUUUCAUUUUUUACAACGCACAAAAUAAAUUAUCACACACUAUACAAAUAUUUUAAUCUUCUAAAUUUUAUUAUUAAUUAGUUAAAUUUAAUUUUUUUAAUUAAAUGGUUUUAAUUAUUUUCUUUCAUUCUAUUUUUUUUUAUUUAUUUGUUUUUAUUUUCAUUUUUCAUUUUUUGAAAAAUUUCAAUUUCUACGAUCUUAAGAAAUUUCAACUUGAAAUUCCAACAUAACCUAAAAUACUCGAUCAUUACAGUUUUCUCAAGCUAUGCAGCAGCUACCUAGGCCAAACCAGCCUGGUCCCAUUGCAUCUUCAUCACAACCAAUUCCCAUGCCAUACAUUUAGCAAAACAGAGCUCAUACCUUUAGCUUGCCAUAGCCAUUCUAAUGUUACCACUGACUUCAAACUCACCUUUCCACUACCCUUAACCUCUAAUCAAUGGUCCACUUUCUGUGGGGAAGCCCAAAGAGUUGAUGGUGAUGGUGUCAUGGGUUAUGAUUUUGAAAAAUGCACCACCACCAUUGUGUUGACGGCAACCCAGCUUCCUUGAAACAACAUAGGCACAUGGAGCCUUCAAUUUUCCAACAAGGAGGUUGUUCAUGCUUCCAUCACUUCCAUGAAACUAAAGUAUGCCAAAUUUGGUGGUAAAAGCCCAACCUUAGGUUGGUAGAGGUCAUUUAUUAUGAGAAACAUGAUCAGUGGAACAACUACUAAAAUUCGAUUGGUUAGAUGUCCCAAAUGUCGAAAGCUUCUUCCAAAGGUGACAAAAUUUCCUCUAAAUCAGUGUGAUGGAUGUGGCAUGUUUCUAAGAGCCAAAAAUCAUGGAAAAAACACCAAAACUACCCCUUCAGACUCGCAUGAAAUAGGUUAUGUUCAAAGGAAUGGGCUGGUGCAUGUUUCUGCAAAUGAAGAAUCUAGUAGCUCAAGUCAAGAGGCAAUUCCCUCUUCCCCAAGAAAAUAUUCUUUGAACAAAGAAAAUGGGAGGGAUGAUCUUGGGGAUUGUCGUACAGAGCAACCUGAAGUGAACUUCUCAAAUGGGGUUUCUUCAACAACAAAGCAGCCUGAAGAUGCAAACUUCUCAGAUAAAGUUCCUUCAUCAAUAAACCUCAUGAAUGAAGUUUCAUCACCCAUGGAGGAGCAACCUGAAGAUAUAAAAAUCUCAAAUGAAGGUUCAUCAUCCAAUGUGCGGCCUGAAGAUGUCAAUUCCUCGAAUGAAGUAUCUGCAUUGGUGGAGCAACCUAAAGAUCCAAUUUGAAGACAACAAUUGGUAAGGGCCAGAAAUACGAACCGAGUAUUUCCACACAUUAUGAUGAGAGGUCAAAUGUCGUAAUCUCUAAAUAGUCUACCAUUUAACCUACCACUGGCUCCUCUCCACCCCGGGCCCAUGCCUAUGUGUUUCCAUUAUGCAUGGCCACCCUCCAAUGCAAUCCCAAAGGGCACAUGUUCUCAUCUUUUUAACUCUUCACCCUUAUUUUCAAAAUAAAAUAAUAAUAAUAAUAAUAAUAAUAAUAAUCUAUCUUUCAAAUGGUUUUAAAUAUUUAAAUUUAUUUAUUUAUCUAAUUUAAUUUACUUAUUUAUUUUCAUUUAUUUUUAUCUUUUUUAUUAUUAUUAUUAUUCAUUUUAUUAUUUUAAUCUAUUUUAUGUUAUUUAUUUAUUUAUUUUCUCUCAUUCAUUAAAAUCUUUAAGUCACCAAAACCUAAUUUUUAUUAAACUUGUUGCCAUAUUUCAUUCAGGCAUGUAUUUUGUGAUUUUCUUUGGUUUUUAAUAAUUUUCAUGUUUUUCCCAAUUUUUAAUAAGUAUCAAUAUGAUUUUCAUAAUUUCAAAAUAAUGGAAUUUAUGAGAUUAAUUCAUGUAAAAUCAAUUGGGCCUUGGUGGGAGCCCAAUAUUCAUGAUACUCUCGACUUUAAUUGCAAUGCUAUUUGAGUGGUUAAUUAAUUGAUGUUGUCUUACUACAUGAAAUGCAUGUGACUAUUCUGUAAUUAUUCACUAACCCUGUUUCCAUGAUAGAACAUUAUUGAUUCGCUGCUUAAGUACACAUCCUAUUCUCUUUCACUUGCUUGAUCAUUUUUUCCGAUAUACACUCUCAUCAUGGUAAAUCUUUGAUCACCCUUUGUAUUCAUGAUUAAUCAAUCAAUUGUCAUACUUGCUUUGACUUAAUUAGUAGAGAUCUAAUUUUUAGGGCUUAGAGGGGUGCUAUGGUCUAUCAUCACACCUUCUCAAUAGGUAACCUGACCCCCAUACCCAGACUCUGGUUUUCUACAUACUAUUUUUUCUUCAGGGGUCACACUUAGGGUUUUCUUUCUUAUUUUGUUUUCCCUUAAAAAUAAAACAAAAAUAAGUGGCGACUCCAAGUCUUUUCUAAAAAAUAAUAUUUUUCACAAUAAAUGAAAAUCGAGUCUUGUCAUCGAGUGGGAACGCAUCGAGCAAAAUAUGGGAUCCACAAUAUCAAUAUGAUAAUUUUUUUUAAAUUAAUUUAAUUUUACUAAAAUUAAAAUUAAAAUAAUUCAUCUUAAAAUUAACUUCAAUAAUUAAAUAAUAAGAAUUAAGUUUUAUCAUACACACUCUUAAUUAAUAAAUGACAUAAUUUCUUUCGACAACUUUUUCAUUCUACUUUUAAAAAAUAAAUUAAAUUAAAUUUGAAUUAAAAAUUAAGGUGAUAUUUAUUUAUUUAUGUCUAAAUUUUAAAUAUACUUGAAUUUGACUUAAAUCUAAAUAUAGCUUAAUAUAAUUAAGUGUUUAGAUUUUUUUUUUAAUUAAUUAUUCUCUAAAUAUUAUUAAUUGUUAAAUUCUUUAUUUUGAUUAAUAUCAAAAUAUGUGAAGUGUUAAUUUAUUUAUUUAUGGUUAAAAACAUUUAUAAAAGUAAUUAUAUUUCUUCUUAUUUUAAUUUGAAAAGUUAUAAUUUAACAAGAUAGUAAUUUAAUUAACUCAUCUGAAAAAUAUUAUAAUACAUUGUCAAAGUAAAAAUUUUAUAUUGAUAAUUAUGUAAUUAGUAAAUCAUAUUAUUGUACAAUCCAUUGUUCCGUGUCAUAUAUUAUAGCAUAGUUGUGCAUACCCAUCAAUGCAUAGACAUAUAUCUUUUGAUAAUCUAUCAUGAAUGUCUCAUGAACUCUAAGUGAAGUAUGUAGCUAUUAUAGUAUAAAGAUGGCGUAGGAAGAGGCUCUAGGUUUACUAGUUCACACUCAACCAUAGCAAUAGGGAAUAUAUUACACAUUCAUCUAAAACAAAGGUAGAAAAGACCUUAGAAAUGGAACUUUUAGAUAACACCUAAGGGUGGCAAUGGGAUGAGUCUAAGAAAGAUCACCUCAAUCUCAAUCUUGUGUCAUUUUUUUAUAUUAAAUGAGGGUGAGAUAAGACAAAAUCAUAUUUUAACCUAUCUUGAAUUUGGUGUCUAAAAAAAUAAGCCUCAUUGUCAUUCUUAGGUACACAUCUAUACCAAUGAAAGUUUUUACAUCUAUUCAAAAAUUCAAUGUUCUCGAUGUUAAUUAACUUCACUAAACUACCUAUACUUGUAAAUCCAUUUGUUUAUGUCAGCAACUAGUUAUAAAUUAUCAUAUGAGCUUGCAUGGUGUUUUGUGUUCUUCUUAGUUCCUUUUCACCUUACUUCUCAUCAUAUUGGCUCCUUGUAGGACAAACUUGCAAUAAUUCAAUUUUUUUCCUUAUAGAUAUUAUUCAUUUUGGACUAAAUAAAACAAAUACCCCUUAUAUAUAGAUAGUAUAUGUUUUGGUCUAAUGAACUUGUGAGAUUGUUCAAUGUAGAUAUUGUUUACAAUAGUCCAACGAGUCAAGCUUUGCAAAGUCAAAUGUCUCUUGUGAGGCCAAAGAAACAAAGGCAAUUGGUUCUAGUCCAAUGAACCUAUAUGAUUGUUCUAUGUAGAUAUUGUCUACAAUGGUCUAAUGAAUAUGAGGGAUGGAUUUGCAACAACAAAUACCACUUAUGGGACCAAAUAAACAAAAGCUCAAGUUAGGAUUGAAUACCACACUAGCCUAAUAAAUCUUCACAUCUUUAAAAUGGGUGGUUCUUUGAUACCCAUUAUUUAUUUUGGGGGUAUCUACCCACAUUUAAUCCCACUAAUAAAAUGACAUAUAUAAAGUGUAUGAGAUUAUUAUUAUUAUUAUUUUAUUUUUUAUUUUUUUAAAAAUACUUAUCAAAUAGGUAGACAUUGAUGAGAAAUAAUCACAUGCAUCUCAUAUGUAUGUAAAUAUUACAAUUUUCUUUUUAUAAUUUAAGAUUAAAUAUCAAAUACAAUUUGUUAUUUGUUUAAAUACGUAAUCUAAAAUAACAAAAUCCUAUCAACUACUUUUGUAUUCUCAUUAUUUAAAUACCCAAAAGGAGAUAAUAAUUUAAUAUGAAAAUUAAAUAGAUUCAACUACUAUGUUGGAAAAUAUGUAGGAUGUGUUUUGGUAAAUUACAUUUGAAGAUAAAAUUUGAAAUUUCUUAAGGAAGGAAAACAAAAAAUUUGUAUUUCUUGAAGAAGAUAUUGUAUGGAGGAUUUCAAAUAAUUACAAGUGUUAAAGGUAAUAUUUGAUUCUUUUUUAUUUAAAUAUAAAUUUUGAAAGUAGAAAUGUCAUGUUAAAUAGCAUUUGAAUAUGUAAUGAUUUAUAGGAUUUGGAUUUUAGAAUUAGUUUAUUAUUAAUAAGAGCUAAUUUAGUCAUUUGCUAUUAAAUUGUUUUCAAUAUUUUUAUAUCAUUUUUUUAUGUUCAUAAUUAAAUUUGAAGGUCAAAUUUUAUAUGUUUUGAAAAAGGCAAACAAUAAAUUUUAUUUCUUGAAGAAGAUAUCAUAUGAAGGAUUUCAAGCGAUUACAAGUAUUAAAAAGGUAAUAUUUGAUUUUUUUUUUAAAUUUAAAUAUAAAUCUUGUAGGUAGAAAUGUCAUAUUAAAAUAAUAUUUGAAUAUGUAAUGAUUCAUAAGAUAUAGAUUUUUGGAUUUUUUUUUAGUAUGUUAUUGAUUAAAUUGUGAUAAUUUAGUAAUUUUUUAUCAAUUUGUUUCUUAAAAAAUUCAAUAUUUUUCUAUCAUCUUGUUUUAUUUUUGUGUUUAGGAAUCGUAAAGUAUUAUUCAUGACAUUUUUAAAUUUUAAAUCAUAUAUUUUCUAUAUAAAAAAAAAGUGAGAAAAGACAUAAAAUAAUGCAAAAAAAGAUAUGAAAUAUGUGAGAAAGGGUAUAAAUAAUGUGAGAUAAGGUAUAAAAAAUGUGAAAAAAAUGUAUGAAUAAUGUGAGAAAAUGGUAUGAACAAUGUGAUAAAAUGGUAUGAACAACAUGAAAAAAUAUACAAAUAAUAUGAGACAUGGUAUGAAUGAUGUGAGAGGGGUGAUUAGAGCCAAAAUGUGUGCUUUAAUGACACAUAUUCGAUAUGAUUUGUGCACCUAAGGACACUCAAAUCACCCAACUUGACCUAAAUCGAUGCUAAGGCCCUAGCCAUGAGUUUAACUUGUAUUUUGAAGAUUUAUCUCAGGUUCAAGGGAAGAAAAGGGUGCAAGUUGAAUCACUUCAGAUUUUGAAAGAUUAAGAAAAGAUUAAAUGAGGAAAUAAGUGAGUCAAGACUCAUGGACCAUGAGGAAAGGCAAGAAAUUUAGAAUAUGAGUUUAGAAUAUGAGAAAUUUAUGGAGUAAGAAAGAAGGCAAGAAAACAUGGAAAAUGAAGCAUGAAGCAAGAUUCAACUGCAUAGAAAUUUAGAACUCAAAAUCUAAUGGUAACAUAUACUCUGAAUUUGAGGACAAAUUUGGAGCACUUUUCGAAGUUCAUUUUAUACAUACUAUAUAUUAUUUCAAAGCUCAAGAAGUCAAGUGUCCAACACUUCAAAUAGUGUGGAAAUCAAGGUUGAAAUGAAGAAGUUAUGGCCAUUUGAAGACAACUGCACAAAGUUGAAGGGGCAUUUCGAAAUGAUUUCGAAAUUCAACUUAUGAAUUCGAAAUGACCCCAAUUUUGAAUUCAUCCACUAGCACUUUCAUGUUUCGCCUCCUCUACCUCAAGAAUUGCAUCUAGAGCACUGCAUCCACCCUAAGUGGGUCCCACACGACUAGAAAUCACUAUUUUAUUAUUUUUUUAGUCAUUUUUAGGUAAUUAUUUUGUAAUAAGUGGCUAAUGAGAAUGUGCCACAUGUUAGGUAAUUGAUGAUAUUAUGUAAACUCUCUUAGUUCUAGGUUGAAAAGAUCUUGGAUCUUUUUUCUGGAGAGUUUGACAUUAAAGGUGGAAGAAGACGAGAACUUUGGUUUGUUUCCUUUUUGUUCUUUAUUAAAUAUAUUGUUUUUAGUUUCUUUUGAUUCAAAUUAUGGAUUUUUACCCUAUUAUGGAUUGUAAAUGUGACAUCACCCCUAUAAGAGGCUAAGAAGCUAACUUGGGACUUGAAGCAUGAAAACCUAGGGGCUAGGAAACCUAUAGGGACCAUGGGUAAAUUAUUGUAACAAUGAGAUUAAUUAUUGGUUGGGUGAUAAUUUAUCAAUUUUUUUUUUAUAUCUUAUUCUUGUGAGUUAGUUUAGGGAACGAUAUGGUAGGUUAUUACCUGAUACUAGUAAUUCUUGGUAAUUCUUGAUCAUUAGUUAUCCUCGUCUUCCCUAUCGUUAUUUGCCCUAAAAUAAAGUUAUAAGGAGUAGGAAGAGUUAAAAAAGCCAAAUCUUAAAAUGAUAAUCAAUCUCAUUCAUUUUAUGGUUUUAGGAAUCUAUUUUAAAAACGAAAAAUUAGGUUUCAUAUGCAAUUUUGAGUUAUAGAACUCAAAUUGAUCGCGAGCGGCCAAGGAUCCUAAAACCCUAAGAUCAUAUUGCUUAAAAGACCCUUGUUUUCUCUAAUUUAUAUAUCCUAGGUUGGAUUGUGGAAAACCUUAAACUUGAAUCAAUUGAAUUUAAAAUCAAUAUUUGAUUCAUACCCAAUCGGGUGUUUAUCAAAACAUUUAUAAAACCUACAACACCUUAUACUAGGGUAGCAAAGACAAAACUACUAUAGUACAGUGGCUCUAGGAUUGUCCACAAGGAUGAGUUUUCUUUGUACACUUAACAUUAAUGAAAGGAGAAAUGGUGAUUUCCUUUUUGGAAGUUUGUUUUUAAAUGAAAAUAAGAUUGAUUGGAAGGGUUGAUUUUAAGUUAAGCAAAAAUAAACAACUGAAAUUUCUAUAAAGAGAAAGUCUCUUAGAGCUAUAGGUUACUAGGAUCAAGUUCCUGUUGCAAAGUGGGAAAUUUAGGAUCUUCUCCUCGCAUUGGGGAUAAUAACAUAAAGGAUGGUUAUCUCCUGAAUCGGAUUUGUAUUUAGCAAAUAAGUUUUGAUCCAAAGGAUUCUUGAAAAAUGGUAGUUGCUUCCCAUUAAUGGCUUCAAACACUAAAGACCCUCACCUUGAACCACCUUCCAAUGGCUCGUACUUGAUAACUAAUGGACAUCCAUGGAUCUAGCAAUAAGCAUCCAUAGAAUCCUAAAAGCUUACCAAGUAUUGGCCAUUCAAGGUGAUUCUAAGGGAUUAAAGCUGAAACUUGAAAUAUAAACCAUUAAUGAUACACAACUACCUUCAUUUAAAGCAAGGAAAACUCCCACCUUUGCAUCUGGAUCCUUUACCUAGCUUCCAUCACUCCAAGAAACGUGAAACUUAGCCACUCAUCCUUUGAAAAAUCAUCAUCAGAGGGUGUUUGGCUAGAGAGAAAGUGAAAAGAAAAUGAGAAGGAAAGGCAGAGAAACACUCGACUUUACAAAAUAUCUAAAACAUAAUAUCUAACAUAAUAUCUCUGAGAGGUUUUCCAACCCCUAUUAAUAGUUCCUAAACAAACCCUAAAGUCAUUUAUCUAUUACAAAAGGAGUAAAAAGGAAAAAUUACAAUUCUAGAGAAAAAAUCUUCGAAGGUCGAUGCGCAUAAAGUGAUUUUCGCACACCCUACGAAACUUUGGCACACCUUGCAAAAUUUUGGCAUACCUUGCCAAAACUUGGCACACCCUGCCAAAUUUUGGCAUACCCUGCCAAAUUGAUGAUUUUGCCUUGCGAAGUGCUUUGUUUUCCUCCAUCUUGCUACUGGUAGUUUUGGCAACCCCUUGCCAAGUUUGGCAAGGGGUUUUGAAGUGCUCCAAAGCUCGGACUCUUCAUGUGUUCCAAACUCUCCCUCAAUCUUGGCCUGUUUCAGUGAUCAAAAAGCUACCAAAGACAAUAAAACUUACCCAAAUUUGGUUAAUAACAUUUGCUAGGUCCUUAACAUGCCAAUUGGGAUAAAAGGUCUAACUACUACUCAAAAUUGCUUAAUACAAUUAAGUUUAAUCUUAUAAAAAUGCACUUUUUGAGUAGUAAUCAAUAUUCAUUUUGUUAUUAAUUUUAUUUCUUUUACUUAGUAUCACAUUAUUCACAUAUUGUUUUUCACUUUAGGAUUUAAAUAAAAGAAAUUCAUUUAUUCUAAUAUUGACAAUUUCCAUAAGCUAGUUCUUGAGGAUGAUACCCGAAGUACUACAAAAGCCGUAGUGAUUCUUUCUCUAGUUUGUCUUGACUAGAGCUACUAUGUAAAAAGGCUAAGUAUUUUGGUACAACAGAGAAGUUCGGUCAAGGGGAUACAAAUAAUGUGAGGAAAUGUAUGGACAAUAUGAGAAAUGGUACAAAUAAUAUGAGGAAAGGUACAAACAAUGUGAGAAAUGGUAUGAAAAAUGUAAGACAUGGUAUGAACAAUGUAAGAUAGGGUACAAAUAAUGUGAGAUAAAGUACGAAGAAUGUGAGAAAUUGUACGAAAAAUGUGGAAUAAAAAAGGUACGAACAAUGUGAGAAAUUGUGUGAACAAUGCAAGACAUGGUAUAAAUAAUGUGACAGAGUGGGUAUGAAAAAUUUGAAAUAGGAUACGAACAAUAUAAGGAAUGGUACAAACAACAUGAGAAAGGAUAUAAAGAAUAUGAGGAAUGAUAUGAAGAAUGUAAGACAUAGUAUGAAGAAUGUGAGAAAGGGUACAAACAAUGUAAGAAAGAAUAAAAAGAAUGUGAGACAAGGUACAAAUUGUAAGGAAACCUAGAUCACUCUAUUCCAUAUCCUAUAACUAGGUUAGAUGCGUACAAAAAAAUUUCUAAGCUUUUGUAAAUCAUAUGCAUAACAAAAAAAAACAUUUGAAAACUUUAACAAGAUUUUAAAACCAAAAGAGAAAAACUUUACUUUGAUUUGGAUAUUCUCAAAUCAAAUCCAUGUGGUGAAGUUAAAGGCUAAAGUAUCUAGAGGUCUCAAUGAAUCAAACACGAUCUUUGCACCCCAAAGGUGGGGUUUUUUUUUUUGUUUAAGAGGAUAGGCUAUUGCCAUCUACAAACUGGAUGAUAGAAUACAACUAUCUUAAAAACCCUAACCCUUAAGAAGGUAUUUAUAAGGUUCCCUAAUUAGGCUUAAGUGACUUAAGCUUACCAUGGACAUAGGUCACUUAAUUUGACUCAAAAUCGGUCCUAAUCAAUUAAUUGCAUGGCCCUAUUAGGUUAAUUGAUUAAUUAACCUAAUAGGGCCAUGUAAUUAAUCAAUUAACCUAAUUCAGAGGUUUUGUUCACUUAACUUCGUGUAACCUUACGUAAUUACCAAAGCACUCUUAUGCACAAAAUGUUAAUUAAGAGUUAAUCUAACUCUCAUGAACCAUGCCAUUAAGGCAUAUAAACUCGAGUGGGGACAACUAAGACCUAUAGGAUAAUAUUGACUCUUUCAUAAUCCAAUUUUUAAGUUAACUCAACAUUCCACUAUAGAAAAUUAAUUGCACCCCAUUAUCCUAUAUAUAAUGCAAUGAGACACCAAGUGCUAUGGAUUGUGACCCAUUAUCCACUAUAUAUAGUCUUCUCAUAAACUGGCUGGUCGUUCGUAGUUUAACAAGGUAAAAGAUAUCAUCAUUUUAAGAAUACCUUUCAAAUCCUUGAGUUACAUAUGAUCAAACGACUUGCUCUACCUCACUAAGAGCAUACGUCAAAUUCCAUUAAAGAAAUUACUACGUGCCCACAAAUUUUACGAUCACACAUCUUUAGGAUCACCCAAUGGAACACACUCUCUUAAAGUCCAUGAGAUAUCAUGGUGCCUCUAAUGAGAAUACCAAUUGUUAUUGGCUUCCAUCAACAGUGAUUCAAUCCAUAGUAAAUAUAUAUAUGAUCAACUUACGAUCUCAUACUAGGUCAAAGCCUCUACGAACUUUAACAUAAGUUCAACAUUCUAUUAAGGUUGAGAGACAAUACAGUAUAACAGCUUGGUGAAGUCAUGACUACAUGAUAGUCUUAAGUCAUGACUCACCAUAGGUCCUAUUCAAUAUUGUGCAAACUUACACACUAGUGCACUCACCAUGGGAACCCCAUCCCAAUGGCCAAGACCAAUCAUUCCUCCUAUUAAAAGGUAGCGCACUACAACUUCUAAUGGAUUACCUAGGCCCAUGAACUAGCUAUGAACAAGUAAUUUAUUUGUAAGGAACCCAUGACUUGGAUCUUCUAUGCAACUCCUAAUGCACUUAAGGCACGUUUAAUGCAAGAGAUGCAAACCUAAAUGCUUAUAAGGUAUAGCGUAUGAAAUGAAGAUAGAUAAAAGUGACUGGUAAUUUAUUAAUAAAUAAUAAAACUCAAAAGUUUAUUACAUCAUGUGAUGCUUUUAAAGAUUUUAUCAUAAGUCGAACAAUGUGAGACAUGGUACGAACAAUGUAAGAGAGUACAAAUAAUAUAAGAAAUGGUACAAACAAUGUUAGAAAAAAGUAUGAACAAUAUGAGACAAGAUAUGAAAAAUAUGAGGGAGGGUAUGAACAAUGUGAAGGAAGGUACAAACAAUGUGAGAGAGUAGGUAUGAAGAAUGCGAGGAAUAAUACAAAGAAUGUGAUGAAUGAUACGAAGAAUGUGAGACAAGGUAAGAAGAAUGUGGGAAAGCAUACGAACAAUAUGAGAAAGUGCACAAACAAUGUGAGAGAUGAUACGAACAAUAUAAGACAAUGUACAAAACUAUGUGAGAAAGAGUACGAAAGAAAUGGUAUGAAAAAAUAUGGAGAGUAUAAAGAAUAUGGGAUAUUAUACAAAUAAUGUGAGAAAAUGUAUGAUAAAUAUGAGACAUAGUAUGAAUAAUGUGAGAAAUGGCACGAACUAUGUGAGAUAAGCUAUGAAGAAUGUGAGAAAUGGUACAAAUAAUGUGAGAAAUGAUAUUCUUCAUACCAUUUUUCACAUUGUUUAUAUCCUCACUCAUGUACUUUUGUACAUUUUCUCACAUUCUUCAUACAUUGUCUCACAUACAAUAGAUAUUGUUUUAUAAUCCCUAAAUACAAAAAAUUAAAAAAAAAUGAUAUAAAAAUAGUGAAUUUUUUAAAAACCAAAUUGAUAACAAGUAUGGCUAAAUAAUGUACUUCUCUAGCUACUAUUUCUUUUUUUCUUUUAGUUUCUUCAUGGAUAUGAUGGACAAAGGCAAAGGAAAGAAAUUCAUCAUUGAUUUGAAUAAUGAAGACUUUGAUUAGUAAUAUGAUAGUAAUGCAAAAACCGAGUUUGACGAAAAACCCAUGCUAGUUUAAGAGAAUAUUUUGAAUGGUUUAAGACUUGAAGAUGUAUGGGAAAUGGAGUUCAGCUCAAUAGAUGAGGUAGAAGAAUUUUACAAUUUAUACGCUAAAGUUAAUGAAUUCGAUGUUAGAAAGAAUGAUGUUAAACGAGGUAAGAAUUAAAAUAUAGCAUCUCAUAAGUGGGUUUGCUCAAAAGAAGGAUAAAGACAAAUAGAGUGUUUGGAGAAUGAAAUCGAAAAUGAGAACAUAAGACAAUAACUAGAGUUGGUUGUGAGACAUCACUUUGUAUCGGGUUUAACAAACAAAUAAAUAAGUGCAUUAUGAAGGAGUUUAUGGUUGAUCAUAAUCAUCAUUUGGUGGAACCAAAAAUACCCAAUUCCUUCAAUCCCAAAGGGCCAUGAGGAAUGCAUAUAAAGGCUUAUUGAGCACAAUGCGUAGUAUUGGCAUGAGAACUAGACAAAUUAUGGAUUACAUAGUGUAACAAUCAGGUGGAUAUAUUAAUGUUGGCUUCACAAAAAAAGAUCUAUAUAACCAUGUUAAUGUUGAUUGUAGAGUUCAAAUAAGAAAUGGUGAUACAAAGGGUACUCUUUCUUACUUGAGUGGAAAGGCUUAAAUGGAUACAUCAUUUUAUUACAAGUACAAUGUUGAUAAAGACAAUCACCUAGCAAAUUUGUUUUGGGCAAAUUCUACAAGCAGACUGGAUUACACUUAUUUUGGAGAUGUGUUAGCUUUUAAUAGAACUUAUCAGACUAAUGCUAAUAGAAAAUUGUUGGUCAUACUAGUUGACAUUAACCAUCAUUGUCAAACUAUAGUGUUUAGAUGUGCAUUAUUGGUAAAUGAAAGUCUUUACACUUAUACAUGGAUUUUGGAGACAUUUUUGGAUGCAAUGAAUAACAAGAAGCUUUUUUUCAUUAUUAUAGUUUAUGACAAAGCAAUGCAUCAAGCCAUUAAGAGAAUAUUUCUAGAGUAUUAUCAUUGGUUAUGUGCUUAGCAUAUUCAACGCAAGACAUUCACUAAUGCCUAUGUCAAAGAUUUUACUUAUCAUUUUUCUAGGUACAUGUUCAUGGAAGGCACCAUUAAAGAAUUUGAAUGUGCACGGAGUGGCAUGGUGGAAAUAUGUAAUCUCCACGAGCAUAAUUGGGUGAUAGACAUAUAUGCUAAGUGUUCUAGAUAUGUAAAGGCUUAUUUAAAGGUGCAUUUUUUUGUAGGUAUGAAAGCACUCAAAUGUGUAAAAGGAUGAAUGCAUACUUGAAUCGUUUCCUUAAAAAUCAUUUGAAGUUGUUUGAGUUUUUGAAGUAUUUUGAUUGAGCACUCUCAUGUAUUCUUCAUAAUGAGGUAAAGACAAAGUUUGAGACACACGCUUCUUUACUUGUUCUAAAUACCAAACUCUAUGAAAUUGAGAAACAUGUAGAGAUUGUUUUCACUAGGCAAUUGUUUCUCAAAUUUAGGGAUGAGAUAAAGAAUGCAAAACUUUUUUUUCCUUAUUAGUGCAAAAAAUCAUGGAGGUUAUCGUGUCCAUACAUUGAUUGAAUUUAGAAGCUCUGACAAUUUCUUGAAAGUAUUUUAUGGUAAUUGUGAUUAGUUUAUGAAAUGUACUUGUAUGAUGUUUAAGUUAGUUAGUUUUCCAUAUCCCCACAUGAUUGUUGUGAUGAAGAUAGAUCACCUUGAAGAAAUAACUGAGAGUUGUAUCAUGAAAAGGUGGUCUAAGUUAGCAAAAGAAGGGGUUCAAGUUUACCAUGACAAUGAAAGUCAAAAGAUAUGGCUAACAUUAUACAAUAUGGUGUACUCGGCUCCAUGUGUUUACGAAUGUCUUAUUUUGCAUUUCAAUAGAAAAAAACUUUUAAAAAUGUUAGAUGUGAAAUUUAAAGACUCACUUGUCAAAUGGAAGAACUUAGUAAAAAUUCAUUCAAAAGGUUUAUGGGAAAUUUUGAAAGCUACAAAACACCAUGUUCAGGAUCUUGACAUUAUGAAGACCAAAAGUAAUCUAGGUACCUUAAGAGACAAAUUCCAAAAACCAAGGUGUUGUGGAAAAUGUAAGAAAAUAGGACACAUCAUUUUAAAAUGUUCAGUGUUCGUUAACAGUCACAAUGCACCCAUCCACAUUGAAGAUUUCAAUGAGGAAAUGGUAUGGUCAAACUCUUCAUUGAAUUCACUUUUAUAAUUAUUUUCACUUGGUUAAAUUGAUUGAAAAAAAAUUGAAUUAGUUUAUGUUAAUAUAUCACAACAUAGAACAUGGAACAAGACAUAAGACAAAUGAGUUUUAUCAAAAUGUAAGUUUAACAUUUUUUUAAUAAUUUUAAUUAUGACAUGCAAAAUAUUUUUUAUGAGAGUAAUUGAAAAAUUAAAUCAUCAUAGAGAACAGUUGAAACAUUCCACAAUGGUCUAGAAACAAACUUGUAUGAUUCAUGGCUUAGAUCCACCAAAUUACUUCACAAACCAAGAGUCGUAGAGUAACUUGCCUACAACAUAUUUCAUUUAUCUAUAUAUUGGGUGAAUUUCCUAAGCAUUUAAUAUCUAGUCAUAUGAAUUUCCUUUCAAAAUAUUAUGCAUAACUAUAAAUAUUUUCAAUGUAGGUUACCAUAAACCACUUCACAUCUAGAUUUUCGGGUUUGAGUUCUUCGUAUUAGAAUCAAUGAGUAAACUAGCUAUGAUGCAAAAAAACAACUAUUGCAUUUGUUCAUCAUACAAACAAAAAACAACUCUUGAUUAUAUCCCAUACUUUUCUUCUCUUACUUUUUUGCAUGAAUGUGAACUUUAUUUAGUAUUAUGACUUUCUCUCUAUUUUCAUCACCAAGCACUAUUUAAUUGCUAACUUGUGUCCAGUAAGUAUAGACUCUCAAUGGAUAGGGGUUGAAUUUGACUCUAUGUACUUCGAUCUUUGCAUAUGAUUGAUGACAUGCACUCUACAACCCCACCUAGCAUAGAAAAUGAGAAAGAAAAUUGUCUAAUUAAUAAAUAGAAAUAUUAUUUAGAACACGUUAUAUUUGAUAAAAUGGCUAUGCUUGCUUACCCAUUGUCUUGCUCAUGUACCCAAGUAGGCCUUUCAAUGAGCAAACUUGAUAAAUCCUUGUCAUGCCCAUUAGGAUUAAAAAAAUGAGUACACUCUUUGACCUAAUUCAUAUCAUUAUAUCUUUUUAUAAAAUAACAUGAUAAGUUAACAAUUGACACUAAAAAAAUAAUAAAAUUAAUUAAAAUAUAAGAUAUGUCAUUGUUUUCACAGAUGUAGUUCUCAUAUGGUUCCUUUCUCUUGAUGGCAAUGAGUAUAAAAUAUAAAUAUUGCGUUAUUCAAGAUUUAUUACUCACAAAUGCUAAUGAUUUGGACAUGUAUCAUGCAACAAAAUGUAUAUAUAAGCAAAACACACAUUUUAGAAUUGAUAAUUAUUUAUAAGUAUGAUCUGAAUACGAUUUUCAUAAAUAUGCUUUAUCACAAUCCUCCAUUUCAUUUAUCUAUUUGAUUAUGUGUAUAUUUUACUAGACCUUGACAAUUUUCUACCACUAUGCAAAAUCAUUUGCUUACAAAAAAAUCACAAUACUUAUUAGGUUACAUUUUUUACUUUAAUAAGAAAUAUAAUAUGAACAUACCGUAAAUGUAGUGGGUAGGUAGCAUCUCGUAGAUCGUAUUUAUUUGAAUUUCAUUUCAAAAUUUUUAAGUUUGCAUACAAAUAAAUUUAUGAUCUAAAAAAGAAACAAAAGAUAGUUAACAACAUUAGUUAUUUAACAAAAUUAAUAAGAAGUUGGUUUAUUCUUGUAGUUUUUACCACAUCUAGUAAUUCUUGUCUAGGUUCUAAAAUCAUGAAAUCAUUUUUAUGUGCAUGCUCAUAUUGAAAAUUAAAACGAAGUUCACUGCAAAAUUUAGGUAUUUAAUAAGUAUAACUUUCAUAAGAUGACUUGCAUAAAGUAUAUUCAAAAUAAUGAGUUUACAAGCCUUUUGUCUAAUGAAACAUCAAACACAUAAUACACAAUUAGAGAGUCAAGUAUACUUAAGGAAUGUGAAUCCUCCACAUUUAGCAAAAUGGACAUGGGCAUUGUAUAUAUUCAAAACAUUUCUAAUAAGCAUUAGUUAUUGUUCACUAUAUUAUUAAAUAUUUAAACAAAACAACAUCAAUGAAGUAAUUCACUAUAUUUUUUGAUCCAACAAUCAUGCUUUGGAAUUUCUUAGACAUUUUUAUCUUAAUUGAUUGAUGAAUGUAGGGUGACAACUUGGAUGUACUAGGCUUGUGCUCCAUUGUUGUAUGUGUUUUUCAACACAUGAAACAUCAACAAGAACUUAUCAUGUUCAUCAAUUUUAUAUUGAAUGUUCAUGAUGGAAGAAAUAUGUAACUAUGCCACCACAUGAGUCAUUUUCAUUCAAAUUUUCUUCUAGCACAACAUUACUCAUAGGAAGAAGCAAAUGUUUCAAUUCCAUAUAUAUUUUUUAAUUGCUAAAAGCUUAUUCUUUGCAUCUUUCAUCCAUAAGAGGAACAUUUGUUUGUAGGAUAUAUUUUUUCAAUUUCUCAAAAGUCUUCUCCAUACUUACCAAAAUUUCUUCAACCUAGUGACAAAAAAAUGUAAAAUAUUAGAACAAAAAAAAAGUUUGGGAUAUGGAACCUCAUGCACAUAAAUAUAGUAUAAAUAUGUACCUUGUUGUCACGAACUUAGUCUUUUCCUAAGCUCGUGCGACACUUAGAUAGGUUAAGACACUUGAUCUUGCUAAGUCAGUCUUACUCUUGAUGCUUAGCUUGCUAGGCUAAAAUGCUCACGACUUGGAAGCUUUAGAAGGCAUAUUAUGCAACUCUUGAAGAAUGGAAGCUUUUAUUGCUCAAAGGAAGCUUUACAAGUGCUUUGGAACUCACUUGCUUAGUGCUUUGGCCAAAUGAGGCUCUCACCUAUUUAUAGGCACCAAUGGAACUCUCUAGAACCUUGAAGGGUUCCUUACAAAUCAGGAAUAUUCUAGAACACCCUACACAAUUCUAUGUACAAGCCUAUGUAUAAGAAUAUACAAGGAAUAUCUAGAAUUCUCUAGAAAGCCUUAAACUUCUCUCAUGCUUUCCACCAUAGUGUAGAGAUGUAUGGACAUCUCUAGGCAUCUCUAGAACCUUCCACACUCUUCCCACCAAUGGCUAAGUGUAGGAGUCUCCAUAAGCCUCUUGGGCUCUAUAUAAACCCCUAGGGAGGUUGUGGACCCCAUAUUUCGGCUCAUGCGCUUCCACUCGAUGGCGAGCUUGCUUUUUAUUUGAAAAUUUGAUUUUAUUUAUUAGAAAAUGACUUGGAGUCACCACUUAUUUUUGUUUUAUUUUUAAAGGGUAAACAAAAUAAGAAAGAAAAACCCUGAGUGUGACUCAUUAUUUGGAAAAGGUGGUCUGUGAAAACCAAAAAUGGGCUCGGGGGUCAGGUUACUUAUCGAGAAGGUACGGCAAAGACCGUAGCACUCCUCUAAGUCCCUAAAAACGGGUCUCUACUAAUAAAAUGAAGCAAGUAUGGCGAUUGAUAAGCAAAUCAAUGGAUACCGAAUGAAAAUCAAAACAAAAUACUAGAAUGAAUAUGAGAGCCAAAGAACGUACCUGAGUGAUGACCUAAUUUAUUUCAUGGGAAGCAAAGGUUAGUAAACAAAUAUGGAAUAAUCAUGUGCAUAUCAUAGAAUAGAAUAAAUCAAUCACGCAUGGCAAUCAAAUCAACCAAUCAAUCAAUCAGUCAUAAAAUCACGUAUAUGGGGUCCCCACUAAAGCCCAAUUUAUUUUGCAUGAAUCAAUUCCAAUAACUCCAUUAUUCACAAUUACGAAAUUUAAUUCUUUCUUAUUUUAAAAAAUUUUUAAAAUCAUGGAAGUUAUGAAAAUUACUUGUCAGAAGAAAAAGUGGUGGCAAAAUUUUAUUGAAAAAUAGGUUUUUGGAACUUAAAAAUUCUAAGGAUGAAGAAAAACUUAGAGUUUAAAGACUAAAACCUGAAAAUUUAUUUGAAGAAAAGGAUUUGAAAAAUUAUUUUUAAAAAGUUAAAGAUAGUAAAAUGGAAAAAAAAAAAACACUUGUGUCAAAGAUGGCCAUGCAAAAAGUGUGGUCUCUUAUAGCUUCUCUUCCCUGUAGCAAACCCAUCUUCAAAAGUCAUCAUUCCAUCUUUUAGAUUUAUUUUUAGGUGGUCCGAUUGAACUGCUUAUUAGGAGAUGCAAGUGCGAUCAACUCCAUUUGAGUGGCAUUUGGCAAAGUCCUCAUGAGCUUUCAAUGCCAAGUCAUCAUCUUCCCAUUCAUCAUGGAAUGCGUGUGGACGGACAAAAUAAUUCUUUUUGGUUGCAUAAUAUAUUUCCUUUCUCCAUUCUUCGACACCUGGAAUCCUACACUUGCUAGCAAAUCAGUCCAUGUAUUCUAUCCGACAAUGACCAAUGCCACGUGUGUACCACUUAGGUGUGCCUGAAGCCUCAAGCAACAAGUACUAUGCCUCAACAUCUCUCAUCAUCUCCUCUUCCGAUGGGAGUCCAAUCCUACUAGAUAGAACCCCUGCUAUCCAUUUGCUUUGAAAUUCAUACAAGAUGAAGCCAAUACCCAUCAAUGGUAACCCAAUAAAGGAAAGCCAAGCUACUAAAGCCGGUGGAAAAGUGUGCUUGUAUAGUGGUCCAACACAAUUGUCUUCCAUAGUGAUAAUGUCAUUAGUGUCAAGAAAAGGGAAAUGAUACUUGUAUCCUGUGCAAUGCAGAAUAACAUCGGCAAAAAACCACACUCCCAUCAUUAAAUAUCAUAAAGCCGUCCCUGUGGAUGCUUUCUAUCUUUACCAUAGGAUGCAGCUUCAAAUUAUCAUAGCUAGACAUGUUUCCCAAGACUCCAACCUUGGCUGAUCUAGAUGCAAUGUGAACUUCUUUGGCAACUUGAGUAAUGUCCAUAAAGAUAUCAAGAUCACUUGAACCAACCCCUAUCAAAAUUACAACUAGAUCUCGAAAGGGGUCAGGAAUACGAUAAUUAUGGCUGUGCAUUUACUUCCCCGACCAUGCAUCAAUCCCCAAAAUUUCGGCAGUACGAGGCUUUGUGUUAUGCCCAUUGCAAACAACCACUACAUAAAAAGUCUCAUCAGCUAUCACACCAUUUUCCAUUCUAGACCUAACUCUCCACUUUCCAUUAACCAACCCAGCAUAAACCACAUUUGUCUCAAAGCGGACUAACUUAGUGAGCCCAAACGUAGUGGCAUAAUCAUUGAUAUAAAGAAAUACCUCUCGAUGACCUGGAAACCUGCUGGAGUCGUUGUAAGCUUGACCCUUAGAUAUGAAAGGGUAGUCUUGAAACCCUAUAGUCUCACUCCUCAUUACGACUUCGUAUCCAAGAAAGUCAAAACACCAAGAGUAGAGAGAAAUUAGCAAAAACAGAGCAAUGAAGGAAGAAAAUAGGAUGAAGUAUUAAGAGUUAUAGUUCAUCUCUUAGUUAGUGGGCUUGCAGAUGGGUGAAUUAAAAGGUUUUUUUUUUAUUAUUUAAAAUGUCACAGAGAAGGUAAAAUGGCAUUAAAUCAAAUUUCGAGCACAAACAGGAGCAACAGAGGGGCUAGCAACUAUGAAGAAUAAAACAUAAAUCAUCCAAAAGUCAAUAGCAGCGCAUCUCAAUAAUAGUGGAUGAAGAGAAAAAGCAAGAAGAAAAAAAAAACACAGUAGAAAACUCACUUCCGAGAAAAUGUUGGAGGCCUUUAUACUUUGCAAUCCAAGACUCCCUUGUUUGCUCCCCAAGCUCAAAGAACACAUGUCCAAAAAUCUCUCUCUGUCUAAAACAAAAAUGUCUCUCAAGCCUCAAAUAACACCCCCCCUCUCCAGCAAAACUUGUAUCUCCAGCUAAAAAAAAAAAAAAAAAAACCUCACCAUCCCCAGCAAAUAUCUCCCAAAAAGAGCAACCUAAAAGCACCUCCUCUCUCCACUCUCUGUAACUAUUUCCAAAAGAAAAACCUCUCUCUCCCUCUAACCCCCUAGAGCAAAACUUGUCUCUCUUUAAAAAUCUCCUCCCUUUGUAAUCAAAACUUUCUCUAAGCUUCACCCUAAAGCUCACUCUCUUCUUCUUCUGUACAGGUUGCCUUCCAUGGAUUUCUCACUUAGAACCCUCCCCCUUAGCUUGCUGCCUAAAUAACUCCCUCUCUCUACAGUUGGCUCUCCAAGCUAACCCCCUACAAAAACAUCUCCUCUUAAAAAAUAACCGAAGACGCUCAUUCCUAAAGCUUUCUACAGCUCAAAAAUAUCUCUUCCUCUUUUUGUAAAACUUUCUUUCCCCUGGCUCCCUCUCUAUUGUUUUUUUUUCUCAAGCUAACCCUCUCUCCUAAAAAUAUCUACCCUAAAAACAGCUAUGAAGACCUCCCUUCUCUCUUCCAGAUGACACUCCUCCUAACGAAAAACCUCUUUUCGAAUCUCCCUUUACAGGUGUCAACCUUCUAUUGGCUCCUCAAAAAGCACAUCUGAUUCCCUAGCAGCCAAUCAGGAGGCAACACAUGGCUCUUUGAGAGCUCUCCACCUGACAAAAGCUAGUUGUAGGAAUACCUCCCAAAAUGGGGGUCUACAAAUAUGCCCCUCUUCGGUAGAGCUCACGAGUGUAAGGAAUAUGAACACUGGAGUGAAACAGUGUGAAUAGUGAGUGGAAUAAAGUGAACUCUACCAAAGAAGCAAGGAGACCCCCAAAGGGACAUUGGUAAAACACAGACUCACUCAGACCAACAGACGAACACAAAGACUCUAAUCUUAAAAGAAAAAGAUGUCUCAAAGUGCCUCUGAAGUCGCACUAAGGACCCAGGCUCCCUCUAAGACAUCUCCAAAAGUGACUCGAAAGACCAUAUCAAAGAUGAGUAACGGUCGAACCACUCUAAAGUACAGAAAAGACUACACCCAAAUGAGACUGCCCUAUAUGAACUACAUAAGAAUGUCAAUUGUAGGGUGCCCAACAACAUGACCGAAGUAUGUGUCAUGAACUCAAAGGACUUUGUCAUGAGUAGUGGAAAGGGAAGUCUAAAAGAGCAUGAUAAGCAAAUAAUAAGCAUCAGGUGACCAAGUGAAGAGAAUGACUCUGAAUACCCAAAAUAGAGAAACAAUGGUGACUCAAAAUGUCUGGAUAAGUAUGCACAAUUGCUUUGAACGCCAAAACCGAAGACGUGACUCUGAAUGUCAUACUAAACAAAGACCCUGGACGUCAAACUGAACUGAUAGGAAGAAUGAAUGACCGAUUAAUAUGGGUGCGGUCCUGACUCAAACUAAACUCAAACUGAUAGGAAAAUGGUCGAUCUAUAUAGGUGCGGCCCCGAAAUUCUAAUUGAAACUGACAAAACGAUGAAUGACUGAUCGAUAUAGGUGCGGUCCCGAAAAACUCAAACUGACAUAGAAAUGAUAGGAAGAUGGCUGAUUGAUAUAGGUGCGGCCCCGACUCAAAUUGAACACGGAAGAUGAUCAAUCGAUAUAGGUACAGUCCUGAAAAGCUCAAAAUGACAUGGAAAUGAGAGGAAAAUGGCUGAUCAAUAUGGAUGCAGCCCCGAAAACUCAAUCUGUCAUGAAAAAUGACUGAUCAAUAUAGGUGUAGUCUUGAAAAACUCAAACUGAUAGGGAAACAUUAGGAAGAUGGCUGAUUGAUAUAGGUGCGACCCCGAAAAACUCAAACUGUCACGAAAAAUGACCGAUGGAUAUAGGCGCGUCCCGAAAAACUCAAACUAAUAUGGAAAUGAUAAGAAGAUGGCCGAUCGAUAAAAGUGCAGCCCUGAAAAACUCAAACUGACAUGGAAAUGAUAGGAAAAUGGUUGAUUGAUACGGGUGUGGCCCUGAAAACUCAAACUGUCACGAAAAUCACUGAUCGAUAUAGGUGCGGUCCUGAAAAACUCAAACUGACACGGAAAAUGAUUGAUCGAUAUAGGUGCGACCCCGACUCAAACUAAACACAUAAGAUGUGGUGACCGAUCGAUAUAGUUGCGGCCCCAACUCAAACUAAACACAGAAGAUGUGGUGACCGAUUGAUAUAGGUGCGGUCCCGACUCAAGCUGAACACAAACUAAUAGGAAGAUGGUUGAUCGAUAUAGGUGCGACCUCAACUCAAACUGAACACAAACUGAUAGGAAUAUGGCCGAUCAAUAUAGGUACGACCUCGAAAACUCAAAUUGACAUGAAAAAUGAUCGAUCGAUAUAGGUGCGAUCCCGACUCAAACUGAUAGACAUAUGGCCGAUCAAUAUAGGUGCAGCCCCGAAAACUCAAACUGACACGAAAAAUGACUGAUCGAUAUAGGUGCGGCCCCGACUCAAACUAAACACAAACUAAUAGGAAUAUAACCGAUCAAUAUAGGUGCGGCCUCGAAAAACUCAAACUGACACAAAAAAAUGACGAUAUAGGUGUGGCUCCAACUCAAACUGAUAGGAAUAUGAUCGAUCAAUAUAGGUGCGGCCCCCAAAAACUCAAACUGACAUGAAUAAUGAUCUGAUCAAGUAGCCCAAAGCCAGAGGAUACUAAGAUGACGAUGCAAGCAAACUCCAUUGGAGGGGAUAUACCCCGGUAUGACAACUCAUGAAGAUCGACAACUAGGUCAAAAGAUAAAGAAGCAUGUGAAAGGUUCGACGAUCUUAAAGAAUGAGGGUAUGCCCCAAUAUGUGAUUCACGGGGGUCAACAAUUAGAUCAAAAGGCGAAUAAAGCCUAUGGAAGGUCCGAUGAUCCCAAGUAAGAAGGGUAUGCUUCAGUAUGUGACUUGCGGGGGUCAACAACUAGAUCAAAAGGUGAAUGAAGCCUAUGGAAGGUUCGAUGAUCCCGGGUAAGGAGCGUAUGCCCUAGUAUGCAAUAAUGAACAAACAUAAAUGCAAAAUGCCUCCAAACUACUGUACUUUGAAAUAUGCUCAUCUAUCAUGUAAUGAAAAUGUCCAACCUCAGAUAAGUAAUGCCAAACAGGACCAUGUAUCGUGACACCAUGAUGACAAAACAAAACUAGCUGGUGAAUAACAACAAUAAUGGUUAGUGCUCAAAAUGCAAAGAGUAAACAAAUCAACACUCAACAUGCUAACUGUCAAAGUGAAAACAUCGUCACUAAUAAAUCAACAAUCUGUCAUGCCCUGCCAUCAUGGAAGAUGUUGAACCUAAAGUCUGAAAGAUGUAUGAAAACACAACCAAAGUGAUCGAGGACUGAUCUACGCCUCAUCCAAAUCGAGAUAGGGGUGAAGUUAGGUGUUACGGUGGGAUAUGUAGGAUAAAAGAAAGUGAUGAUCAGGCUCUGGUAUGAUAGAAGCAUGAAAGUAUCCAAAUUGAAAUGUCUAAGUACGAAAUAAAAGGUUGUAAGUAUCUGAGAUCAUCCAAGUAUGUCGAGAAGACUAAACCCAAGGUGUCAAUAACUCUAUAAUCUAUCAGAAGUAAUAAUCAUAAACAGAAAGUCAAGUCUUGAUAUCAAAACAUCCGACUAGAUGGCUAUGCUCCAAUAUGCAAUGAGGACAACAUGAAACAAUCCAAUGAUCUCCACAUCAUCUGGUAGAUGCUCCAAUGUAAAGAACUAAUCGAAUAUUCCUCCAAAAGAUGGACAUGCCCUAAUGUAAAGGAUCCAAUAGGGUGGCUAUGCUCCAAUGAAAAAUACUCUCCAUGCCAGCUAUGCCCCUGUAUAUUCGAGUCAUCAACUGCUAAAGAAGAUCAUGCCUGGUGUACGUCAACAAAUCAAUCCAUCUCUACUCCCGAUGCCAAAAAAGGGAAACAUCCCAACAUAAUCCAUAUGAAUCAGAAUCCCUAAGGCUCUAUGAAUGUGAAUGAAGUGGCUAUGCCCCAAUAUAAAUCAUCUGAAGUGACUAUGCUCCAAGAUAAAUCAAAUUCCAUUGCCAAUGAGACGACUAUGCCUCAAUAUGUGUCCUCAAAACAAGGUCAAUGUCAUUCCUCAAUGCUAAAAAUAGAAAUACUACUAUGAUCUCAAUCAUCCUAUGCUUUACAAAAAAAAAAAAAAAUAGAGUGGUUGUAUUUACUAUGCACAAUCUCUAAAGCAAUCAUAUCUCAAAAUAAACCAUCAUCUCAAAAAAACAACCAUCGAUGAGAGGAGUGUGUCUUAAUGCAGAAUAUCAAGUAGAGUGACUGUAUCUCCAAUAAAAGUGCUUUCUGAAAUGGUUAUGCCCCAGUGUAGGAUCAUCCUAAAAGAAACUACCAUCGAUGAGCGGGGUAUGCCCCAGUGUAGAUAACGUCACCUCUGAAAAUCCAUCACUGAUAAGAGGGGUAUGCCCUAGUGUAAAUCAUCAUCUUAAUUCCUCAUCCAUCAUGCACGAAGAAAUAAUCUCCAACAAACCUUGAGUAUUACCCACAUGUGAGCUGGCAAACACCAUGUGAAGUAAUGGCCUUAGGGUGGUCUUCAGACACGGGACAUAAUGUAGACCAAGGUAAUAGGGUGAAAGAAAUAAAAGGAAACUAGGCUCAAAGAUCCCAAUGAUAUAAUCCCCAUACCCCUCAUGCAGGAGAUGCAAUGCGUAGGAAACAUCAUGAGUCCUGGACCUAGGGGUUCCCACACGAAAAGGGAUGAUAAAUGAAUGAACUUAUCAAAUAAGCAAGUAUAAUGUGUGAAUGCUGAACCCAAGUCAAACAUCGAGCAAAAUGAGAAAAGAAAGAAAUCGAAUGAGGUAAAGUAAAAAUGGAGUGAUAAAACAAAGAUAGAAGAAAGUAAAGAGAUAGAAAAGUGAGUGAUUGUCAACCUGCAUCAAAGCAUGGAAAGUAGUCACAUCCAAAAUAGAUGGGAUGAUGGAUAGAGCAAGGAUCCAAAGAUACUAAAGAAAGGUUGCUCGCCUCUCUCACAAAAAUUGAGUGGGUGCCUCAUACUCUCACCCAAAAUAUACCAAGAUAGAAUCUCAUAAAGAAGCUCUCAUACAAACUCCCUCUAACACAUGAACUCAAUGAAGCAAAUUAGCACGUCCAUACACAUGCCCAAUGGAGAAUAAUAAAAUGAAUAAUGCACUAUUUUUUUUUCAAAUACUCUAAUCAAUAAUGAAUGAUCUCCCGUGAAAUACAUAGCCAAAUGAAUAAACCCUCCCCAUGUACUGAUGUAACUUGAAUCCUCACUAACAAGACAACCUCUCAAAAUAAGAUCUCUGAACCAUUGCUCAUAAGGCGGACAGGGGGAAGGAUGUGACAAUCCUCCAUGUAGUGACUUGUGAAAAACCACCACUCAAGGUGAAACAAGGAUAAUGUUGAGUAAUUAAUGAUGAAAGAAAAGACAGAGAAUGAAUAUCACAAGUGGUGAUAUGUGAUAUCAUAAAAUAGUGAUGAAAUGAUGACCAAGUGGAAAAUAUCACAAAUGAAGAUCGAGGAAUGAGGCCUGAAUAUGUAUGUCAAGUCUAAAACUCAUGACGUAUCCUAUCAUAGCAUGCAAGCACUACAGGGUCUCCAACCCGAUGUAAUAGGUAAAUGAGGUGAUGAAAGAAAAGGCUAUGUGCUCGUAUGAGGCUUAAUGGGAUAGUAAUGGGUAACUCUAUAUGCGAGAGUGAUAUGGUAAAUAAGCUCCCGAAAUGAUGGCCACCCAUCCUAUGACCGUAACCUCGAACAUCGUGCUUUAAAGAUCUCACAUGGUCAAUACUAAAGGCUGGCACCCGUCCAACAAAGUCAUGGUGACUCCUUUGAAAUCGUGUGAAAGUUCCCAUCGAUGCUCUGUGAUAAUCAUCAAUGUCCUCUGACAAUCACCUCACUCUAUCAUCAUAAUCUACUAACCAUCAUCUCAUAAAAUCACCAUCUCUAAUCAUCCCAACUCUUUGAAGUCAGGUGCAAUGGCUCAAAUCUGGAUGCUCCAUGACGUCUCAUCUACCUCAACAACAUCAUCAAGCAGUCAAACCACUCUCUCAUCAUGAUCCAUCUAUCAAUCGUGUAGAGCUCACCUCAGGUCAAACUAUCUCAGGCACUACAUGGUCAGAUCAAGGAAAUGAUGGAAAGAAAAGGCAAUGGUACUGUAGCAUGCUAAGGCGAACAAGGGUAGUAAAGUCAUGUAAUGGUACCAGGGGUGGUGUCAUGUCAAGCCCAAAAUGGUUAGGUCAUCAAGUCUAAAAAGUUAGGGUAGAGAUAUGGAUAUGGUGCUGCUUUGAUUAGAAGAUGAAACGAGUCGUAGUCUUGAGUUCACUAGUCGAUCCUCUAAUCCUAGGUCAACAGGCUCAAUAUCCUCCAUGAUAGGUCAGGCCCUAGCGAUCAUGAUGUAAGUGAAAGAUGUCUCAUAUCGAAAGAAUAACACACAUCAACACAUAAUAUGUAAAACAUACUCAUGAGUAGGAGAAGAACAUAUACUUAGGAUAAAAAGAUCAUGUCACUAAAAUGAACCAAUGAGUACAUCAUGUGUGAAAUGAUAAAGGACUAUAAAUGACUAGACUCUCAACAUGAACUAUAAACAAAGACCCUAAACCAAAACCGAACUCAACAAAAUAAAAGCAACUUUGAUGAACUGAAAAUUGGACUCAACAAAAUGGAAAAUGACUCUAAUGAUGACCAUAAUCAGAAUGAAAAGUGCUCUGAGUUGAACUGCUACCAAGUGAUGUACCCAUGCCGACUGAUCCAAGCCCUCAACCCGGGAUGUCCCAAAAUACCAUGCGACCAUCAAUACCAUCAAUAUCCAGAUCGAUCUACUGAAGAUUAGGAGGAGGAGGAACUACAUGUGUAGAUGUGUAGGCAGGGGAUUGGUGGUCACACUUGGCCCAGCCAGGUCGACCAACCUUGAAUCGGUCAAGUCCUGUAUCGCAUGAUGGAGCGUUGAACAAUGCUCAGUAUCGUGCCCCUAAAUCUAAUGAUAUAAGCAAUGCUCAUGUGAGAGGAAAUGAAGAGGAAUAGGAUGUGGCAAAGGACGUGGCACCAAAGGAACAAUCAAACCAGCGUCUCUGAGCUUCUCAAAAGCUCUAGUCAAAGUCAUGCCUAAUGGAGUGAACUAUCUCACGAGUCUCUGUGCAUAUGGUUUAGGUGGUAGGUGAGUAGUGGCUCUCGGAUGUGGUGGUCGUGGUUGCAUGCUGGUCUGAGCAAUGUAAAGCUCCUGAAUAUAAAUUGACUGAUACAGAUACUAGGGAUGAGAGAAAUGAGCUCUGACUGUAGGAGGCCUAUAAGGUGAGUGAUGCGUAGGCCUCUGAUGCUGAUAACUAAUAGCACCAACCUCUCCAGAUCUACUAGAUGAUCCAAUCGACUUCUUCUCCUUACUGUCAGGGAAAAUAAUAGUAUUUAUCCAUAAUCCUUGAGCAAUGGCCUCCUCAACACUAAAAUCUGCAUGAACUAGGCUCUUAAGAUCCUAAAAUGGGAUGCCCACAAGAUGCCUAGUGAACCUCGGCUGUAGGUUCCGAAGAACCAUAUCAAUCUAAUCCUGCUUCGUAGGUCGGUCUAUCAUACCAACCACUUUUUCCCUCCAAUGACUGACAAAGGAAGAAAUAGACUCGUCUGGCCUUUGUCUGGUGGCCUCCAACUCUUGUCUGGAUACAUUAAUGUCGGCACUGAAAGCGAAUUGAGUCAGGAACUCAUGAGCCACAUCUUCCUAGGUACGAAGUCUCGAAGGCUCAACUAAAGCAAACCAUCUCUGAGCUGCUCCCCUAAGUGACAUAGGGAAGAGGGCCACCAAUUGUGAAUCAUCUAUCCUAUGUGCUCUCAUUACUAUGCUGUAUAGCCUCAAAUGGGUCUUGGGAUAGCCAAUCCUGCUAUAACGCUCAAUAUCUGGCAUGCAAAACUUGGCGGGUAAGCUAGCCGCCAGUAUGCCAUCUCUAUCAUCCCAAGUCAAACCUCUAUCUUGCAAUCUGAUUUGUCUCAUCCUAGAAUCAAGCCUCUCAACCCUAGCCUCCUGCUCAGCCAAUCUAGUAUCAUUAAUAGUAGAAACCAUGGGAGGUGGCACUAUGACAGUAGGUAGUGGAAUGGUCUCAUAAAGAUUUGCCAGAUGGAAUGGAGUACCAAGUGAAACCCUAGAUGGUAGAGCUUGUGCUGUCUGAGAUUCAUGAUGAACCGUCUCAUCAGUGACCACACCAACUGGAUGAGGAUCCCGGUAAGAACUCUAUAUUUGAUCCAAACGUCUACUCACUUUGGCCAUGAACUCUUAAAUAGAAGCAAGUGUAGCAAUUAGCUCGUUUGACAUCUCAACUGAACUAUCUAAACUAUGAUUUGAAUAUGCUAUGAUCAAUCGACCUCCAACUCUCCUCUAAGAAUGUGACUCUAGACUUGACCAACUCCUAAACUGACUCCCUACAAUGCAAACAAAUGGAUGAAGGAUGCAAGAAAGAACCUGAUUCGACUCAUGGUAGCUUAGCUUUAAAGGCGUAUCAACAAAAUUUAUACCUUAAAUACUAUUACUAAAGUAGCCAAGCUACUAUAGCAUAGUGGUUCUAGGAUCGUUCACUGGGAAGGGUUUUCGCAAACACUAGUGAUAUUCAAAUUAGGAAAAUAGGUGCUUUUCUUAUGGAUGUUAGCUUUAAAAGAAGAUAUAAAUGUUUUAGAAAGAUUUAAACUAAUCUAAGCUAACAUUAAAGACUAAAAUGAAAAGGUGUAAAAACAAGUUUCUCAAAGAUAGGAUAGCUAUGCUCUGGCUCUUAUACAAAUUGGAAAUCUCAGGAUAGGCUCCUCACGUUGGGGUUGCAACUAUGGUGAUGCUUGCUUCCCGAACCGGUAUGGAUUUAGCAAAUCAAGUUUUAAUCCUUUAAAAUGACAAAACAGAUGGUAGUGAAUUUCAUCAAUGGUUAUUCACCUUAGACUUCCUUUGAAUGGCUCGUAAGAGAUAACUAAUGGUCUAAAGCUAAAAGCUNNNNNNNNNNNNNNNNNNNNNNNNNNNNNNNNNNNNNNNNNNNNNNNNNNNNNNNNNNNNNNNNNNNNNNNNNNNNNNNNNNNNNNNNNNNNNNNNNNNNNNNNNNNNNNNNNNNNNNNNNNNNNNNNNNNNNNNNNNNNNNNNNNNNNNNNNNNNNNNNNNNNNNNNNNNNNNNNNNNNNNNNNNNNNNNNNNNNNNNNNNNNNNNNNNNNNNNNNNNNNNNNNNNNNNNNNNNNNNNNNNNNNNNNNNNNNNNNNNNNNNNNNNNNNNNNNNNNNNNNNNNNNNNNNNNNNNNNNNNNNNNNNNNNNNNNNNNGAGGAAAGCCCUCAGAGGCUGUUUGGCUUCCAAGAAAAUAAAAUAGUAAAGAUAAAAGAGAGACGAGAGAGCUCUGUAUAUAUUCUAAGUGUAAAACGUAACCUAUGUUCUCUAUAUAUUCCAAGAGGUGAUUUCCACCCCUUAUAUAGUCUUUACAAAAGCAAAAGCUUGUGAUUGGUUAGUUACAAGGAUAAGAAAGGAAAUUACAUCACAAAAUACAAAGGAAAAUAUCUAAAGUGGAGUCGGCAAAAGCAGAGGAAAAUUCGCAACACGCAUGGGUUAUGCGAAUUUUGAAGGUGUUAUGCGAAAUUUUCGCAUAACCUAGAGCAGUUGGCUUCCGAAGACCAUAUCUUCCUCAUUUCAACUCCAAAUCGUACACGGUUUGAAGCUUUGGAUUCUUGACUUCCAGAGCUUUGAAAUGGUAUAUAGUAUGUAAAAAAUGGACUUCGGGAAGUGCUCCAAAAGUGAGCAAGAAUACUGCAGCUGCUGUCCUCUUUGCUUCUCUUCACUUUGCUUGCUUUUCCUCUUUUCCAUUGUUCUUUCCUUGCAUACUUUGAAAGACUUUGGCAAAGGGCUAUGGAGCUCCAAAGCUUGGUUCUUCAUGAAUUUGUGCUUCCAAAAGCUUUGCCAUAACUUGUCUAAGUAGCUCCUCCAUCAUUUGGCAUGCUUGAAUUGAUUCAUAAGCUGAUAAAAACAUGUAAACUUGCCACAAAAUGGUUAAAACCAAUUACUAAGGACCUUAAUGAAUUAAUUGGGUUAAAUGAAUAUGAUUACUACUCAAAGGUGCUUAAAACCAUUAUAAUUAGGUCUACAAAAUAACACUUUUUGGUAGUAAUCAGAACCCUAAAAGACAACUGUAUAACAUGUAAGCACAUGAUCCUGAGGUGGCAAUCCUAAAUCUGGAUGUAUAAUGAGAACUCUAGAGUCAUAAAGGUGUCCACUGUGAGAUGGCUACAAAUGUUACUAGAGAAUUCCUAUCAAUAAUCCAAGAUGAAAGAGGUGUGAGAAAUACACUAUCAUAAGAUCGAUACUCCAUCUAUAAACACAUAUCCUUAACUCAACCUUCAACUCGAGCUUCAUAAGAGAAAAAUAAUAAGGUGAUUAAGGCGACUAUCUCGAAAAAGAUGUGAAUGUGAAAUGUGCCUUUCACUUUUUCGUAAUAAAAAUAUAAGCAUCGAGUCGAAAAUCAAAUCAAGUAUCCAACAAAGAAUAAGGUACCGAGCCUGUGAUAGGUGUAUAGUGUAAAAAGAUGAACAUAUCUCAAAGUAUCAAGUAAGUGACAACAAAGUGAAAGGAUGUGUUGAGCCAAGAAAGGAAAAUGAAAGCCCUAAGGAGAAAACAUAGUAAACUCAACGAGUGAAAAGAACAAACUAAGGUGACAUGAUAAAGGUGAUCCAAUCAAUACUCAAACUCAUACCAAUCUCUAAGCACUCUCAACUGGAAACCAAAAGAGAAAACACUGGACCUAGGUGGUGACUAAGUGGCUCUGAAGGCUCUCAGAUGCACCCACAUGUGAGGAAGGAAUCCUAAUCAAAAUAUUUAAGCUCAUCCUACAAGGUCAAAGUGGCCCUAAAAGGAAAUGGGUAGACUUUAAAAGGUCCUUAGUAGAAGUGAUCGUACCCUCUAGCGAUACGCAACCCUUUGCACACCUUCAAAGAGACGGGGUGCUUCCAUGCAAAGUGGUCAUCACCUCCACACAUGCACUGCCUCAACAUCCCAGGGGUUUCCUAUGGUGAAAGCUCUCACAACUCUCAACACUUAGUGGUAAGCUAAGGUGCUCAAUGAAUGGUGUGGGUGCAUCCGAAAAUCCUAUGAAACUAAAAGAAAACACACUAGCCACACAAAUAUCCUAAAAUCUAGCUCUAGGCUAUACAAGUCUUCAAAGUUCAGACUCCAAUCAGUAUCAAUAUGUUGACCACCUCUAGAAUGCUCCCAAACAUAGAUAUAGCCCAUCGCUAAACCCUACUCUUAAUCACUAGCUCGGUCGAAAAGCAAACGAAGCAAAAAGUCUCAUAUCAAAUACCAGACCCUAGAAAACAAGGUCAACCGAGACUAGGGAAUUGGAGAUAAAGGGAUAAGUGUGUGUCCCACAUAGACAAGCAACUCAUGCAAUCACACGAAAUGAGAGAAGUCAUGCAACAAACAGUCAUGCAAAAUAAGUAUAUAUCAUCCAAAUCUACACACAAGCUAAUCGAGAAUAAUAUUUGGCAAUGAUAGCAUGCUCCAUGAUAAUCAAGAUAAUAUACAACUAAGAGAAUCAACCAUGUCAAAGUGAAUGAGAUAAGCAACAAGAAUAAUGUACAUGCCAAGGUGAGCAGAGUGAUCAUACAACAAGGAGAGUCAAUAUGUGAGGGUAAUCAAAUGGAUCAAUCAAUACAAUCAACAUGUUGAUGUCUCAAAUGAAUACCAUAACUAAUCAUGCAUCAAGGAUAGUGACAUCAAGAGCUCUCAAUGUGUGAUAAAAAAUCAAGCAAACAAAAACACAAAGAGAGAUAGGUACCCUCUGAUCGACCAAUCAAAUGCCAUAAUUGCCUCAACUUAUGUUCAAGCUUGACCCUCUAAUCGAUCACCAGUGGAGUUGCCAUUUUAUAGACCCCACAUUUCGACUCAUGCGCUUUCUCUCGAUGGUGAGCUCGCUUUUUAUUUGAAAAUUUGAUUUUAUUUAUUAGAAAAUGACUUGGAGUUGCCACUUAUUUUUCUUUUAUUUUUAAAGGGUAAACAAAAUAAGAAAGAAAAACCCUAAGUAUGACUCCUUAUUUGGAAAAGGUGGUCUAUAAAAACCAAAAAUGGGCUUGGGGGUCAGGUUACUUAUCAGGAAGGUACGGUAAAGACCGUAGCACCCCUUUAAGUCCCUAAAAUCGAGUCUCUACUAAUAAAAUGAAGCAAAUAUGACGAUUGAUAAGCAUAUCAAUGGAUACCGAAUGAAAAUCAAAACAAAAUACUCAAAUGAAUAUGAGAGGCAAAAAACGUACCUGAGUAAUGAACUGAUUUAUUUCAUGGGAAGCAAAGGUUAGUGAACAAACACAGAAUAAUCAUGUGCAUAUCAUAGAAUAGAAUAAAUCAAUCACGCAUGGCAAUCAAAUCAACCAAUCAAUCAAUCAAUCAUAAAAUCAUGUAUAUGGGGCCCCCACCAAAGCCCAAUUUAUUUUGCAUGAAUCAAUUCCAAUAACUCCAUUAUUCGCAAUUACGAAAUUUAAUUCUUACUUAUUUAAAAAAAAUUUAAAAUCAUGGAAGUUAUGAAAAUUACUUGUCAGAAGAAAAAGUGGCGGCAAAAUUUUAUUGAAAAAUAGGUUUUUGGAACUUAAAAAUUCUAAGGAUGAAGAAAAACUUGGAGUUUAAAGACUAAAACCCAGAAAUUUCUUUGAAGAAAAGGAUUUGAAAAAUUAUUUUUAAAAGGUUAAGGAUAGUAAAAUGGAAAAAAAAAAAAAAAAAAGGCACUUGUGUCAAAGGUGGCCAUGCAAAAGGUGUGGUCCCUUGUAGCUUCUCUUCCCUAUAGCCAACCCAUCUUCAAAAGUCAUCAUUCCAUCUUUUAGAUUUAUUUUUAGGUGGUCUGAUUGAACUGCUUAUUAGGAGAUGCAGGUGCGAUCAACUCCAUUUGAGCAACAUUUGGCAAAGUCCUCAUGAGCUUUCAAUGCCAAGUCCUCAUCUUCCUAUUCAUCACGGAAUGUGUGUGGAUGGACAAAAUAAUUCUUUUCAGUUGCAGAAUAUAUUUCCUUUCUCCAUUCUUUGACACUUGGAAUCCUAUACUAGCUAGCAAACCAGUCCAUGUAUUCUAUCUGACAAUGACCAAUGCCACGUGUGUACCACUUAGGUGUGCCUGAAGCCUCAAGCAAUAAGUACUAUGCCUCAACAUCUCUCAUCAUCUCCUCUUUCGAUGGGAGUCCAAUCUGACCAGAUAGAACCCUUGCUAUUCAUUUGCUUUGAAAUUAAUACAAGAUGAAGCCAAUACCCAUCAAUGGUAAACCCAACAAAGGAAAGCCAAGGUGCCAAAGCCGGUGGAAAAGUGUGCUUGUAUAGUGGUCCAACGCAAUUGUCUUCCACAGUGAUAAUGUCAUAUCGAGCCGUCUUAGUGGAUGCUUUCUAUCUUUACCAUAGGAUGCAACCUCAAAUUAUCAUAGCCAAACAUGUUUCCCAAGACUCCAACCUUGGUUGAUCUAGAUGCAAUGUGAACUUCUUUGGCAACUUGAGCAAUGUUCAUAGAGAUAUCAAGAGCACUUGAACCAACCCCUCUCAAAAUUACAACCAGAUCUCGAAAGGGGUCAGGAAUACGAUAAUUGUGGCUAUGCAUUUACUUCCCCGGCCAUGCAUUAAUCCCUAGAAUUUCGGUAGUACGAGGCUCUGUUUCGUGCCCAUUGCAAACAACCACUACAUAAAAAAUCUCAUAAGUUGUCACACCAUUUGCCACUUUAGACUUCGUUCUCCACUUUCCAUUAACCAACCCAACAUAAACCACCUCUGUCCCAAAGCAGACUUACUUAGUGAGCCCAAAUGUAGUGGCAUAAUCGUUGAUAUAAAGAAAGACCUCUCGAUGACCUGGAAACUUUCUAGAGUCGUUGUAGGGUUGACUCUUAGAUACGAAGGGGUAGUCUCAAAACCCCACAGUCUCACUCCUCAUUACGGCUUCAUACCCAAGAAAGUCCAAACACCAAGAACAGAGAUAAAGUAACAAAAACAGAGCAAUGAAGGAAGAAAAUAGGAUGAAGUAUUAAGAGUUAUACUUCAUCUCUUAGUUAGUGGGCUUAUAGAUGGGUGAAUUAAAAAGGUGUAGACCCUCAAUUUUUUCCCUCGACAUCGGCAUUUAUCCUUCGGGUGUCAUAUCCACCCAUUGUUUGCAUAUGGCACCACUAGGGCCUCUUUUGGGCUUAGUCGGUGUCCGAGCCUCGUGUGGGUUUGUCUGUGGUCCAUUGUGGUGCAUAUGUGGUUCAUUUUGGAGGGUCACCAUGGCCAUUUUCCUAUUCGUUCACAUAACGCUAUAGGAAGGAAGUGGGGUCAUCCCGAUGUUUUAGCUUAGUUGGAGUUUAUAGGGGCAUGUUGAGGUUCGGAGCACUUGGGCUUGUUUUGAUCAUAUCUCCCUCAUCCAAAUUUGGAAUCAAGAACCGUUUCUUUUUAUGGAUUCCUUAUUCUUCCAGAAACAUUCUAUAAAAUUUUCAAAAUUUUUUGCAACCGUUCGGCUGGUUGGCAGCCGGUUCAGCAGAUUCAGCCGGUUCAUCAAGUUAGCCGGUGUAGAACACUGAUUUUUGGUAAUUAUUUUGAUCAUAUCUCCCUCUUCCGAAAUCGGAAUCACACACCGUUUUUUUUCAUGGAUUCCUUAUCUACUAGGAACAUUAUGUCAAAUUCUCAGAAUUUUUUUCCAUUAGUUCAACCAGUUGGCAUCCGGUUCGGCCGGUUCAGCCGGUUCAUUGAGUCAGCUGAGGUAAAACACUAAUUCUCGUAAUUUUGAGGCCCAAAUCCUACAUGGCUCAAGCCCGUAAGCUCCAGAUCGGUUUUGGGCAAUGUUGUGGGUCCAUUUUGGGCCUUGGUUUGGGUUCUUUUCAGCCCACCACGAAUCCAUAUGGAUUCUUGGUGGUGAAGCAAGCUGAAAACUGAAGGGAGUGAGCUGGCCUCGUAAGUUUAAGAGAAGUAAUGAGGGAUGUGGUUCCCAUGCUGAUGAAAGGGAUUUUGAUGCUGAAGAGGAAGGAACCCAGGAGGCUUAAAUGCUAAGAGGGGUAUGAGUAUAAAAGGUGAGAGGAUAGGAGAGCAAAGGACAAGAGGGGACAUUUUGGAGAGGGGAAAUUUUGUCGGUGAGAAAAACAAAAGGUCAGUAGCAUCUUCUGAGUUGAGAGUGUGGGGGAAAGCUUCAGCACUGUGGUUUUUUUGAAGAGGAGAGUGACAGCAUCUCAAGUUUGGAAGUCAUCAUCGGCAUACACAGAUCAUAUUUGGUUGAGAUUCUGAGGUAAGCAUGCUGAAUUUUCUUUACUUACAAUUUUUCUUCCUCGUCUUCAUAUGCUUUUUCUCCUUCCUCAUCAUCUUUUCUUCCCUUUGAUAUGAAGAUUGUAUUGCUUGGGUGUGGAUAAUAAAGGCCACACAUGAUUGUUGUUGAUUGGUUAUGAAUGGUUUAGGAACUUUCUGACCGAAUUUGGGGUUUUUUAUUAACCGGCUGAACCGGUUCAACCGGUUCAGCACAAUAGCUGGCUGCCUCUGUCAGCCAUGAAGAACACCUGCCUUUCUUUGUUUGGUUCUCACUCAUCCGGGCUUGGAAUUGAGAACCGUUUCUUUUAUUUGCUUCCUUAAUCACUUAGGAACUUUCUGACUGAAUUUGAGGUUUUUUAUCAACCGGCUGAACCGGUUGGGAACCGGUUCAGCACAAUAGCUGGCUGCCACUGUCAGCCAUGAAGAACACCUAUCUUUCUUUGUCUGGUUCUCACUCAUCCGAGCUCGGAAUUCAGAACCGUUUUUUUUUUCUUCCUUAAUUACUUAGAAACUUUCUGACCGAAUUUGGGAUUUUUUAUCAAUUGGCUGAAUUAGUUGGGAACCGGUUCAACCUGUUCAGCACAAUAGCUGGCUGCCUCUGUCAGCCAUGAGGAACACUUGCUUUUCUUUGUCUGGUUCUCACUCAUCCGAGCUCGGAAUUGAGAACCGUUUCUUUUGUUUGCUUCCUUAAUCAAUUAGGAACUUUCUGAUCGAAUUUGGGAUUUUUUUAUCAACCAGCUGAACCGGUUGGGAACUGGUUCAACCGGUUCAGCACCAUAGUUGGCUGCCUCUGUCAACCAUGAGGAACACCUGCCUUUCUUUUGUUUGAAUCCUCACUCAUUUAGGAGUUUUUUAGAAAAAUUUGGGAAUUCUUCUCAAUAGGUUGUACUAGUUGAGAACUAGUUCAACCUAUUCUACUGGAGGACUUUAGGUAGCCCUCAAUUUUGGCAUUUUUCGAGCCCUUAUCCAUUGGGGCUCAAACCCAUUUGCUAUAGGGCACUUGUGAGCCAUCUUGAAGCUUUAAGUCAGUGUUUGAUUUUAGUUAGUAUGGGCAAUUUUGAAGUUAUGGGUGGUGUGGUCUAGAUGAGUCUAGUUCGAUUUGUAUGGCAUUUGGGGAGUCCCUUACCUCAUUUCAACCAACUAUCUUCCUUUUUGGCACAAGCUUUGAUGCUUGAUUUUGAAUACAUGUUGCGUGACUGACUCACCCUCUACUGUAGCACAUGGCUAGGGACUAUAGGUACGCAUCGUUGGUUUUGAUUGUUGAAUCAUAUGCAUGCAUGGUGCUUAAUCUUGAAUGUUUGUUAUGUGUUUAUCUACCUUUUAUGCAGCGCUUGGUUAGGGACCACAGGUACGCACCCAUUAUUUUGGUUGGUUGAAUUCAUAUGAAUGCCAAAUACCAACUAGGAUUGUGUGAUUCAUGACAUCUAUUUAGCCUAGGGUUUCAUCUUUGACCCAUAUGCUCCCACAUACCCAAUUCAUUAGUAGAGACCGAGUUCCGGGCCUAGAGGGGUGCUACCUCGCAUGAGGUACCUUCCCAAUGGGUAACCUGAUCCCCGGACCCAGAAUCUAGUUUUCGCAGACCGCUUUUUCCAUACUAGGGUCAUUAGGGGUUUUUGUUCUUACUUAAUUUUCCCCAUUUUAAAAAUAAAAAUAAAAAUUAAGUGGCGACUCCAUACAACACCGUUCCUCACCGAGGGCAGGUUUUUCAAAAUCGGAAAACUCAAGUUUUUCAUUCUUUCUUUUCUUUUAAAAGCGAGUCGCGCCGGUCCGGUGGAUCGGGUGAGGGUCCACAAAAGGUUUUUUUUAUUAUUUAAAAUGUCACAAAUGAGGUAAAAUGGGAUAAAAUCAAUUUCCGAGCACAAACAGGAGCAAUAGAGGGGCUAGAAGUUAUGAAGAAUAAAACAUAAAUCAUCCAAAAGUCAAUAGCAGUGCAUCUCAAUCAUAGUGGAUGAAGAGAAAAACCAAAAAGAAAAAAAAAAAAAACAAUGGAAAACUCACUUUUGAGAAAAUGUUGGAGGCCUUUAUACUUUGCAAUCCAAGACUCCCUUGUUUGCUCUCCAACCUCAAGGAACAUAGCUCCAAAAAUCUCUCUCUAUCUAAAACAAAAACGUCUCUCAAGCCUUAGAGAACACCACCCCCCCCCCCCUCUCUCAAGCAAAACUUGCAUCUCUAGCAAAAAAAAAAAAAAAAAAAACCUCACCAUCCCUAACAAAUAUCUCCCAAAAACAGCAACCCAAAAGCACCUCAUCUCUCCACUCUCUAUAACUAUCUCGAAAAGAAAAACCUUUAUAUCACUCUAAUCCUCUAGAGCAAAACCUGUCUCUCUCUAAAAAUCUUCUCCCUCUGUAAUCAAAACUUUCUCUAAGCUUCGCCCUAAAGCUCACUCUCUUUUCCUUCUGUACAGGUUGUCUUCCAUGGUUUUCUUGCUCAAAACCUUCCCCCCUAGCUUGUUGCCUAAACAACUUCCUCUUCCUUCAGCUGACUCUCCAAGCUAACCCCCUACAAAAAUAUCUUCUCUCAAAAAAUAACCAACGACGCUUCUUCCUAAAGCUCUCUGCAACUCAAAAAUAUCUCUCCACCUUUCUGUAAAACUUUCUUUCCCCCGACUCCCUCUCUGUUGUUGUUUUUUUUUUUUCAAGCUAACUCCAUCUCCUAAAAAUAUCUACCCCAAAAACGGCCAUGAAGACUUCCCUCCUUUCUGCCAGAAGACACUCCUCCUAAAGACAAAACCUCCUCCCGAAUCUCCCUUUAUAGGUGUCAGCCGUCUAUUGGCUCCUCAAAAAGCACAUCUGAUUCCCUAGCAGCCAAUCAAGAGGCAACACAUGGCACUUUGAGAGCUCUCCACCUAGCAAAAGCUAGCUACAGGAAUACCUCCCAAAAUGGGAGUCUAUAGAGACUCAUUUGAAGAAUCAUGCGACACUCUCCCUCACCUAAGCCACAGAUAUCCUCGUUGCUCAUUCUGCCCGAAACCACUUAAUCUACUCCUGAAACUACCAUAGUGCAUCUACUGGCUCCCAAUUGGCCUGGCUCUCUAGUAGUUCCUUCCAUUUCACCAAGUACUCUAUAGUAGGAGACACGCUUCGUUUCCCGAUGACUCGAUCUGCAUUGCUAUGUUCUACUUUUUUUUCAUAGAAGGUCACGACCGUUGUUGGUGCCCUUUUAGAUAACCCCCGACUUGAAUCAUCAUUGUAUUUGUAAUAUGGUUUUAAGAAACUUACGUGGAAUAUGAGAUGAAUCUUCAACCUUGGUUACUCAACUUUAUAGGACACCUUGCUGAUCUUCCCAAGUAUGGGGAAAGGUCCUUCAUACCUACUCACAAGGCCCUUAUGCACUAGUCUUAGUGACUUGAAUUGUUGAGGAAUGAGCUCGACAAGCACCAUGUCUCUAACCUUGUACUCUGUGUGACGUCGCUUCUUGUCAGCCCAUUUCUUCAUAUUCCUAGUGGGCUUGUCCAAGUAUUUGUGUGCUAUGUCAGCUUGCUCGUGCCACUCUUUCGCAAACUUGAAAGCCGCUAGACUUUUCCCUAUAUAGCCUAUCGUUAGUGUGUAAAGACUUAAUGGUUACUGCCCUAUGGCUAGCUCAAAUGGGCUUUUGUUGGUUGCCUCACUCCUUUGCAAUUUGUAUGAGAAUUGGGCUACAUCUAGCAAAUUAGCCCAAUCCUUCUGGUUGGCACUCACAAAGUGCCUCAAGUAUAGUUCUAGUAAGGCGUUCACCUUCUUAGUCUGUCCAUCUGUUUGUGGGCGAAAGCUUAUGGAGAAGUGAAAAUUCGAACCUAUAAGCUUGAAGAGAUUUGUCCAAAACUUCCUAAUGAAUCAUAGGUUAUGAUAACUAAUGAUAUAGUUAGGCAACCCUCAAUACUUGACCACGUGUUUUAAGAAUAACCUUGUCGUCUCCUUUGUAGUGCAGUCAAUAGGAGCUACUAUGAAGGUCGCAUACUUAAAGAACCUGUCUACUACUACUAUGAUAGAGUCGUCCUAUGACUUGGGUAGCCCGAUGAUGAAGUCCAUAGUGAUGCUCUCCCAUGGACGCUCUACUAUAGGUAGUGGUUCCAACAGGCCUCUAGGCUGUCGCUACUCCACCUUGUCUUGUUGGCACACAUAAAAAGUCCUCACAUAGGCCUCAACUUCAUCCCGUAUGUAAGGCCAAUAGUAAGUUUACUCAAGUAGUGCCCUUGUGCGUCAUUACCUAGGGUGCCCAACCCACUUGGUUUCAUGACACUCCUUAAUCAGGUUCUGCCUUAUGUUCUCCCACUUAGGCAUGUAGAGUCGUCUUUCUUUAGUGUAGAGUAGGUCGUCUUCCACCCAAAAUCGCUUAGUUUUCUCCUCAUGGGCCAAGACGAUGAGGCUCUUAUCCACUAGAUCAUGUCGUAGUCCAUUUCUCAGAAGAUCCAUUAUGUCCCCUUAGGGUUGGCUCGUCAUGGAUGCUAUCUCUGUCUUACGACUUAGGGCAUCAACCAUAUGAUUAGCGCUUCCUGGCUUAUACUCCAGCGUAUAGUCAAACUUGGCCAGGAAGUCUAGCCACCUAGCUUACUUAGGACUUAGUUUCUUCUAUGUUUGGAAGUAGCUAGUGGCAACAUUGUUAGUCUUCACUAUGAAGUGAGACCCUAGAAAAUAGUGCCUCCAGGUGCGUAAGCAAUGGACGAUGGCAAUCACCUCAUUUUCUUGCACAUUGUAGUGCCUCUCUGUGUCAUUUAGUUUGCGACUCUCGAAGGUUAUCAGAUGCCUAUCUUGCAUAAGGACUCCCCCAAUAGCAAAGUGUGAUGCAUCUGUGUGUACCUUAAAAAUCGUGAUGUGGUCGGGUAGUGCCAAUAUUGGCUCCUUAGUCAUAAUCUUUUUUAGAUCUUCAAAGGCUUGUUGACACCUUUCAUCGCACUCCCAUGCCUUGUUCUUCUUAAGAAGCUCAAUGAGUGGAGCUAACCUUGUCGAAUAACCCUUGUUGAACCACCAAUAAUAGUUAACCAAGCCAAGGACAGACCUUAGUUGAGGUGCCUUAGUAGGUGGAUCACAUUCCUGGAUGGCCUUCACCUUGCUAUCAUCCAUCAUCAACUUUCCAUCCUUGAUGCGAUGCCCUAAAAAGCUCACAUCCUCCUUAGUAAAAGAGCAUUUCUCAUUCUUUACAUAUAGCUUGUUCUACCUUAAGAUCUUAAAGACCUUCCUUAAAUGUUCCACAUGCUCCUCCAAGGUGCUACUGUAGAUGACUAUGUCAUCUAAGUAUACCACCACAAACUUGUUUAAAUAAGGAUGAAAUAUCUUAUUCAUGAAUAUGCAAAAUGUUGUUGGUGCCUUGGUGAGACCGAAAAACAUCACUAAGAACUCGUAUGAGCCAUACCGAGUCACGCAUGUAGUCUUCAGUUCAUCCCUUUCUUCAAUCCUCACUUGGUAAUAGCCUGAUCUCAAGUCCAACUUAGUGAAGUACCUUGCUUUACCAAGUUGAUCAAAGAGAUCAACAAUGAGUGGAAUGGGGUACUUGUUCUUUAUCGUCACCUUGUUAAAUGCCCGAUAGUCGAUGCACAUCCUUAGGAACCCAUCAUGCUUCUUUUGAAACAAGACUGAUACACCACAGGGAGCUUUAGAAGAUUGGAUGAAUCUUAUUUAUAGAAACUCCUUGAAUUGUCUCCUUAGCUCUUCCAACUUGGGCGGUGCCAUCUUAUAUGGCCCCAUAGUAGGGGACUUAGCUCCUGACUCCUACUCAAUUUUAUGGUCUUCUUUUCGUCGAGGUGGGAGUCUUUUAGGCAACUCAGGUGGCAUCACGUUCUUGAACUCAUCAAGGACUCCCUCGAUUUCCUUAGGCAUGGGCUUCCUCGAUCCAUCAUCCUUUUUCCUCCAUAAGGGUGGCCAAGUAAGUCAUCUCCUUCCUCUUUAACCCCUUCUUUACUUGCAUAGCUGAAAAUAUAGGGGUCUUAGGUGAACCUUUGGUGACCAUAGGGACCAUGCAUGACUUUUUCUAGUACCAUUUUAAAGUCUUCCAUGGGUGCUAUUGUGAAGUUGACCCUUCCUUCCCAUGAGCUAAUGUGCAUAGCCACCCCACGUGCUACUCCGUAUGAUCGCUUGGCAGUUGAAUUAAUUGCCUUGAGCCAACCUUCUUCCUCAAAUGCUUAGAGCUCCAGUCUCUUUGCCUCAUCCUCUGAGACAAAGUUAUGAGUGGCACCAAUGUCCACUAGGGCCUUGGUGGCCUUCUCAUUUACAAAGGCCUCUACAUAUAUUAACCCUUUACUUUGAGGCAUCUUAGGCACCGACUUGGCCUUGAGGAUGUUUAGGAGUUGUAAUAAUCCCACAUGAGCCUCGCCCUCCUUCUUUUUUUCCUCGAUCAUGGCAUUUAGGGUUUUCCUCUUGGGGUUGUCCCGCACCCAGUGUGGACUAUCACAUAGGAAGCACUUGGUCUUGGUCAUGAACUCUUUCCGUUUGUCCUUGCCCUUACCAUCCUUGCCACUAGACAUCUUGUUUGAUCCUUCCUUAAGAGUGUACCCCAUUGAUCCAUUGUCUUCCCACUUUUGGCAUGAUUACCCUUGGACUGUGGCAUAGGCUUAUAGGAGUCUCCCCUUUUGUAUUCUACCAAAGACUCCACUAUCGCCAUGGUCGUGGCAAGAUCUUGGAUACCACGUCUCUUCAACUCUUGCUCAGCCCAACUUUGCAAGUUGUUCAUGAAGUUGAAUAGUAGCUCCUCCUCAGACAUGUUGGGUAUCUCAAGCAUAAGUGUAGAGAACUUUUUGACAUACUCAUGGAUCGAGCAUGUGUACUUGAGACGUUUCAUGUUUUUCCUUGCUAGGUAAGCCACAUCCUUAAGGUAGAAUUGCCUUUUGAUUUCUCACUUAAAGGAAUCCCAUGUGUCUAUGGUGCACGUUCCUUUUUCUAUGUUGGCAAACCUUUGACACCACCAUAAAUUAGCAUUAUCGGUGAGGUAAAGGGUCAUGGUAUGUACUUUAGCGGCUUCAUUCGUUAGUAUUAUAGCCUUAAAGUAGAGCUCCAUGUGCAACAAGAAGUUGUCCAGCUCCUUAGCAUUCCUUUUGCCACUGAAUGUGUGUGGCUUGGGCACCUCCACCCUUGGUGCUUCAUGAGUGGCCAUGACUCAUGUUGAUAUGGCAAUCUUGUAGAUAGCUAGCUCUUGUUAAACUUCUUAGUCUUGGGUCUCCAUGCAUGCAACUAAGGAUUCCACUUUUGACUCUAUGACCUUGUCGUGGAAGGACAUGAACUCCUCGUGUGACAUUGGUUGACCUUGUGAGCCUAGCACCUCCUCACGAAGGUCUUGGAUCUUCUCCCUUAGAUCCUCUAAGCCCUUCUCCAUUCCUUUCUCGAUCAAGUCCUCUCUUUCCUAGGUGUCUGCCAUGGCUAGCUCUACCUUGGCUAGUUUUGCCUCCAUGUUGUCGAUGGCAUCACAAGAUUUAUCCUUCCUAUCCCUGCCCCAUACAGUAGGCUCGGUCUCCCUCCCAUGGGUUUGCUCACUAGCCUCUUCCACAUUGGAGCCCGACAUGCUUCCUUUACUAUGCCCGCUUCGUAACCGCACUCUGAUACCAACUGUCACUAACUUAGUCUUUUCCUAAGCUCGUGCAACACUUAGGCAAAUCAAGACACUUGAUCUUGCUAAGUCAGCCUUACUCCCGAUGCUUAGCUUGCUAGGCUAAGACACUCAAGACUUAGAAUCUUUAGGAGGCAUAGUAGGCAACUCUUGAAGAAUGAAAACUUUUAUUACUCAAAGGAAGCUUUACAAGUGCUUUGGAACUCACUUGCAUAGGGCCUUGGCCAAAUGAGGCUCUCAUCUAUUUAUAGGCACUAAUGGAACUCUCUGGAACCUUGGAGGGUUCCUUACAAAUUAGGAAUAUUUUAGAACACCCUACAUAAUUCUAUGUACAAGCCUAUGUAUAAGAAUAUGCAAAGAAUCUCUAGAAUUCUCUAGAAAGCCUUGGACUCCUCUCAUGCCUUUUGCCAUAGUGUAGAGAUGUGUGGGCAUCUCUAGGCAUCUCUAGAACCUUCCGCACUUUUCCCACCAAUGGCUAAGUGUAGGAGUCUCUAGAAGCUUCAUAGUCUCUAUAUAAACCCCUAGAAAGGCUCAUUUGAAGCAUCCUAUGACAUUGUGCCCUUUUUUUUUUUUAUCCAUCAACUUUGACAUUUUGUUUAUCAACACCUUCUAUAUUUUGUAUAUCAACAUCCUUAUAAUCAAAUUUUCUCUUAUCUUUCUCAAUCGCCUUUAUUUUUAUUUUUUGCACUAUUCUUUUUCUUCUCGUCAUCUCCCCACUCAUUUAUAAUGAAUCAUAAUGCAAAUUCAAACCUUUCUUUGUGGAACUGUGGUCUAGGUAGAAUAUUUACAAGUAAUAAAUUUCAAAAUAAUCUUUGAAUUGAAUAUACCACAAAUACUAUUAUUGUUAAAAAUAUCCUAAUAUUUCAAAUUUAUGAGAAGUAUAUUACCAUUGGAAAAAUAAAUAUCUUGAUAUCCCAUUGUUUUGUUUCUUGAAUUUAAAUUCAUUUAUGCUUCGUACAAGGAAGAAGAAUACUAUUUGGACCCAAUUUAUCUUUUUUUAUUUAUGUGAUGUCUUUAAGGAAAUGGAGGAAGAAAUGUUUGACAAGAACUUUCAUCAUUGAAUAUAACAAGGCAUCCACAACAAAUAGUACAAAACAAAUUUUAAAUUCAUUCACACAACCCCUAUCUUUCCGUAUUUGGUUUUCUAACAUCAACAAUGACAAUUUUCCCUUUCUAUCAUAAUACUAUUUGAAAUCAAUCUGUUUGCUUAUGCAUUUCUUUACAUCCAUUGGGGAUAAUUUAAUGGAAGUGUUAAACACACUUAAUGUGUAUGAAAAAGUGUCAAAAUUCUCUACCAAUCAAUGACAUAAACUACAAUCAAGUUUAGUACAUCGUAACCCUAAAAUACCUUCAAACCCCUGUUUCUUGUAUGAACCCCCUUUUGAUUAGGUUACAAAUGUUGAAGUACUUUAUGCACCUGAUUAGGCGAACAACAAGUGUCAAGAUUGCAAGCCAUACAUAUAAAUAUGCAUAUAAAUUUAAAAUUGAAAGAAAAUAUUAUCAAAUUUUUUUUUUACUUUUCAUACAUUUGUUGAGCUUGUACCCCCUUUUUCUUUUUUACAUAUUCAUUGGAUCAUUUCUUUUAUUUCACCAAGAACUUUUUUUUUUCUAGAACUAGAAACCUUUUUCCUUAUUCAACUUGGGAUAUCAUAUACACCCACAACCUAACAUGGUAGUUUUAAAAUUAAUUAGUUAAAAAGAAUGAAAUAAUCCCAAAAUUUGUAAAUGUAACAUGAUUGUGUUUUUGCUUGAAAGUAACCCAUUUUGAAAAAAAUGUAUUUCGCCAUUUCAAUUAUUUAUAUUUAAAUUAAAAAUUUUUUAAUUGAUGUCAUUUUUUCAAAAAGAGGACAAAAAAAAUUGGAAGUUAAAUUUUCGGAUUUAGAUUUUUAAUGAAUAUUUUAAUCAAAUAACCCUUUGUUUUAUAUCACAUAAUGUUUCUUCUUCAUUGUUCUUUAAUCCCUUGUAAUUUAUUUAUUUUUAUAUAUACAACCUAUUAAAUUUGAAAAUUUUAAUAAUUCUUGUAAUGCAUGCCUACAUGCUUAUCACAUGGACCUCUUCAUUUAUAUUAAUAGGGGAUCCAUUUGGUAUUUGAAAAUAGUUAAAGGGGCUUUGCUUGAGAAAAGCUUAGAGAUAAAAAGAAACAAUGUUUUCAGAACCCAACUAGUUAUUGAAUAAAAAAAGUUAUUAUUUCACGAUUUAGUGGUUGAACCAGAAUUUGAACCACAGCCAAACUGGUGACAUUAUAAAGAUAUAAAUUAUAUAUUAAAAAUAAAUUAUAAAAUUAUAAAAUUUAUUUUUCAUCUUUGAUAUUACCAAACUUAAAUCAUGAAUAAAUAUAAAUGUAUUACUAUUUUAAUUUUUAUAAAUAAAAUUUGUAUAACAUUCAUAUGUGAAGAAAUAUAUUAAAAUAGAAGAAAAUUCUUUUAUUCAUAAUUUAUUUUACUUAUAUUAUAUUAUUUUAGUUAUAUUAAAAAAAAUUAAAUAAUUAUGUUAAUUUAGGUUUAGUUUGCAUUUUUAAAAUUAUAAUCAUUAAUAACAAAGUGGUGAUAACCUAAACAUGAUUUAAAGGUCCAUGGUUCAAACCUUCGAUUCCUCAUUGUUUUCUUGGUCCCAUUAGGUGGGCUAGGCUUGGUAUAUGAUGGGCUAACCUUCCACCCAUGAUCCAACCUUUUAGUUGAUGAAAAAAGAAGUGUAACCUAGAACCGACAUACCAUGGUUUAAAGUUACAGUCGCGGUCAUUAACUUGGAGGGUCAUGAGGCACAUCGGUCUUGACAUCUCGACUUGAUAUCCAACGAUAUGAUAAAUAAGAUAAAUAGAAAUUAUAAAAUUAUUAAAUUAUAAAAUAUUAUAAUAAAUAUUAAAAAAAUAAAUAUAAUUAAGCAAACUUAAAAAAUUAAUAAAAUAAAAUAUUAUGAAAAUUAAAAUUGUUCGAUAAGUUUUUAAUAUUGAAAUUGAAACCAAAAACUCUUUAAUUACCAAACUCGAAUUAAAAAAUAAAGUAAAAUGUGAUGAUUUUUACCACACCUUAACAUUUAAAAAUUGAAACAAUAAAAUAACAUAUAUUAUUGAUACUAGCAUUUAAAACAAUAAAUAUAUUGUUGAUAAUGACAUUUAAAACAAUAAAAUAGCGCAUUAGACUUGCAUUCAAAUCUUCAAUUCUCAAACACCACCAACCCACCCAUGAAUAAAGAGAGAGAAGAUAACCCUAGCAAAAGUAGAGAGCUUCCUUUGCAACCCACACCCACUCCUACAUUGACGUUGGUGACAAUAUGGAGAUGAAGUAGGGAGAUGAGAGAUCGACACCCAAGAUUAUUGCUAAUGGAGGAGAUGGGGUCCAAAAAGGUGUUGUAGUCCACCCCGUGGUGAGGUUAGCGAAGAAAUGCCCUCUACCUUUUCUUCUCAUACACCUCAAAGACAAUCAAGACUUGGACUAAAAAACUUUUCAAAGACUUCAUUGGGGUCAUCUUCAUCAUCACGAGUCUUCAAUCAUGGGUCAUGAUUCUCGUGAAAUUUUUUUCUUUUGAAGAGUCAUUGAUUUUUCAAAAAAUUCUUAGUUAUGGUUGUUGUUUUGGUGUUUUCUUUUUCUCAAUUUUGGGUGUUGUUUUGCUAUGAUUUGGAAAGACAUUUGUUUGUGUUAAGUUUAACUAAAAAAAAAAUUAGUAACUUGGAUGAUUCGCCCAAGUUAACUUAGUAUCUCAAUUAAAUCAACUAGGUUUAAUCAAUUCCUGGCCAAGUCUUUACUUAAGAUGGUAUAGGGUAUCGAACUUGGCAUGGAAGGGGUUGAGGCGGAUACAACUUGGUCGAGUCAUACUAGACUGGAUCGAUACUUUGAACCAUGCGACAAACUGGUUCAUUGAUUCAAUAGUCCAACCAUUAGUCUAUCCGAUUCAAGGCCGAUUCAUUGUGUACUCCGACCCAAAGGCCAAGCUAGACCAGGCUCCAAUCGAUAAUCCGACUUGGUUUUGGUUAGAUUUUUUAAUUCAUCCAAACUCUUAGGAAGUUUCAAAUGUAAAUACCAAUAAUAAUAAUGGAAAAUAUAUCAUUAUUUUCUAAUAGUUAAAUUGCAUAUUAUAUAAUGGUAAGGCUUUAGAGGAAUCUUAAAUAUAAAAAACUAAUAUUACCAUCUCUAAUUUCUAAAAAUGAGAAAAAUGAAUUUUAUUUCCAACUACAAUAAAUUGUAUAGUUUGAUAAAUAUAUCAAAAAUGGGUGUCAUAUUCAUCUUAGGGUGUGUUUGGUAUGUAAGAAUGAUGAACGAGAAUGAAUAUUUUGUUUCAAUUCUUAUUUCCCCUUGAAUAGGAAUGAAUUUGGUGAUUCCAAUUCUUGUGUUUGCAUGCAUAUAGGAAUGUAAAGUUGGAAAAACAAUUUGUUUCCAUUUCAAUGUUAAGUAAAAAUGGGAAUGAAAUUAAAAAUAUAUAUAAAUAAAUUAUUAAUAAUAUUCAAACAUAUAGUUUAAAAUAAUUUAAAAAAAAAUGAUUUGUUUUUACUGAAUAAAAAGCUAUCUAUUUCAAUGUAUGAUUUAAAAACAAAAUUAUUUUUAAAAAAAUUUAUACCUAGUUAUUGUUAUUUAGAAACAAUUUUUAAAAAUAAAGUAAACUAGAAAAUUGUUAUUCCAAUUUUUUUUUCAUUGGAGAAAAUAAAUUUCAAAUCAAGUGAAACUUUGUAUUGAAUUUAUUAAUAAGUUUAAUAAUUUUAAAAAAUAAAAUAAAACUCAAAAAAUUUAUGUAACAAUUAUAACAAAAUAAUAGAUAUAAUUAACACUUUAAAUUAUUUAAUAAAUAUUGUAAUUUUUAAGAAUAAUUUAAUAUUUAAAAAACUAAUUAAUUAAUUAUAGAUUAAAUAAAAUAAUUCAAAAUGUCAUCUUCGUAAUUGAAUAAUAAAUAUAUGCAUAUAAUAUUUAAGAGCUUCAUGGAGCUCAUCAAAUGUAAUUGGGGUGUCAUGUGUUUGAAUGACAUAGACUAGUUCUUUGUAUUCGUCAACAAGACCAUAAAAGAUUUUCCCUGUGACAUUCUUUUCAUCCAUUGGGGCACCAAGGAGAGUAAGUUCAUUGGCGCAAGCUUUAAUGGUCCAUAGGAAGGUAGUGAUACUUUGCAAACCCUUGGUGGAAUUCUUAAGGUGGAUAUUGACUUGUUUAAUGUAGACAUGAGAUAGUUUGACACAGGUAUUGGCGAAGAUGAUCUAUGCUUCAUGAGAGGUUGUGGCAUAGGCAAUGAAUGGAAUUAUGGUGGGUGAAAUGGAGCCAAUAAGUGCAUUUAGGAUCAAUUAAUCUUGACAAAGCCAUGAAGAAUAGGCUGGGUUGGGUAUUACGGUGUUGUUGGUAAUGAGAGUGGUGGGUGGACACGUUAUGGUUCCAUCAAUAUAGCUAAGGAGGUCAAAGCCAAUAAAUAAUGUUUGCAAUUGAAACCUUUAUGAUAUGUAGUUGGUAGUGGUUAGUUUAAGUGGGGCUUGAGCAAAAUUAUUUAUUGAAAUGAGUGUUUGGUGUGACUCAUAGGUGUUGUGAAUAUUGAGAGUAGAAGUUGCAAAAGUGGUGGCGUCUUAGGUGGCCAUGAGGCUAUGAUGAUGGGGAGGAGCACUAGAUGGCUUUGGUAGAGAAAAAGAGGUAAGAAGGAAAAACAUGUGGUGGCUAGGGUUUUCAAGUCAAGAAGCUUGAAUGCUUUGGUGCCAUAUUAAAGAAUGAGAUUGGUAAAUUAUUGCAUUUUUUUUUCCUUUGAUUAUGAAGAAUAUACAUACAUGUACAAAGAAUAUAAAUCUAGAAAGUUUAUAAUUACCUAAAAUCAUAACCUAGAAUAUAACUAAUUUACAAUCAAUAGGUUAUUUAUAAAAGGAACAAAUUAUUUACAAAAGAAAACAAAUUAGUGAUUGAAAUAGAAUUUGUUAACUUCCUUUACUAGUGUCAAGUUCAACACUCCCCACAUCAAAAGGUGUAUUUGGAACCAUGUACAUAUCUUUAUUCUUGAAUUUCAUUAAUUAAGAUGUCCAUCAUCAAUCUGGAAAUUGUAAUGGAAAGCUUCAACAAGCAUCAAUAGUCUCCCAAUCUAUCACCAAUCAAAGUGCAAAUGGCACUAUACAAGGUUUGCUACCAUCAUACGACCUAAUAAUAAUAAUAUCUUACCAAAAAUUUAUUCAUUAAAAAAUUAUAUUGAAACAUUUCAAAAAAUUAAUUUACCAAAAUAAUAAUAAUAAUAACAAUAACUUACCAAAAAUUAUAUUGAAACAUUUCAAAAAAAUUAAUUUACCAAAAUAAUAAUAAUAAUAGUAAUAAUAAUAAUAAUAAUAUCUUGCCAAAAAUUUAUUCAUUAAAAAGUUAUAUUGAAACAUUUCAAAAAAAUUAAUUUACCAAAAUGAUAAUAAUAAUAAUAAUAAAUAUUAAUUAAUUAAUUAAUUAAAUAAAUAAAACAAAAAUUACCUUACCAAAAUUCAAGUCAAAAUGAAUAUGUAUCUAAAUUAACUAAUUUGAAAUGCACCUACAAUGCAACCAAGUGGACUAAGUUAAAGUGUAACUAAAUGGAUUGGAAUGAUCUGAAGUGUGACUAAGUGAGCUUGCAUAAAAGAUGCCUAGGUGUGCCUAAGUGGGUUUAAGUGUGUUCAAAUGGGCCAGGUGUGUCUAAAUGAGUUAGGGUGCGUCUAUGUGACCUAAACUAGGCGUGAAGAGUAGCCAAGUUCAUAGUGAGGGUCCUGAUGAGCCCCUUUACACAAGGGUCCCCAAAGAUGGCUUAGAAAAAGAAGUUGUAUGAGUGUCAAUAGGUUACCAAGGAUUGAUCACAAGGUAAAAGAGGAACAUAGGGUAGAAACUAGCAUUACAUGUGCUAAGAGGACAAAAUGGAGGGUCUACAAUAGAUUGAUCAACUUGCUUACCACCUCUUAAGGUAAAGGUUGCUUUGACUUCAUCCUUCUUAGUAGAACUUUCACUUGUCUCUCCAAUUUCAUAGACUCUACUUGGAUUUUAUUGGGGUUGUGAAGAGAAUUCUCUUUUUUAUUCCACUGUAUGCAUGCUUGUGAGUUUAGAAAUAGCAAGUUGCAUAUUAUCAAUUUGUUUGUGUGAGAUUGGUUUGCAAGCUAUCAAAUUUCUGAUUGAAAGAUGUCUCCACAUGGUCUAUUCUUUGGUUUACUUGGGUAUUGAUAUUCUUUUGAUCACCAAUAAAAUCUCCCAAAAUUUUACUCAAGUUUAUAGUAGCUAGCACAACCAAAGAAACUUGUUGUGGAAAGUCUUCCAUGGAUUGUUGGCUUUAUGAGUAUUGGCUUGAAGAAAAUUGUUCUUGUCCACAAUUCCAUGAGAUGUUCGGAUGAUUCUCAACAAGUCUUUCCCCCAUAGCUGGUAUUGUAGGAUAAUCACUCAGUUCAUGUUUUAUAGAUUGACAACUAGAACAUUGCUCCAUGUAAAUUGGAUUAUCAUAUAUCGCAUUCACCUCAUGAAAUACCUUAGCUUUAAGUUCCUCUAGCCUUCUUGUCAAAGCUAUCAUUUUAGCUUGUAGAUCAACAUUUUCAUUCAACAUAUACAUUCCUCCAUUUGAAUUGCUUUGAGACUUGGACUUGUGUAAAUCCCUUUCAUGUGGUUCAUCCCAUGACUUUGAUAUUUCAGCCACAUAAUUCAAAAAUUCAAGGGCUUCAUCGGGACUUUUGCUCAUAAAGUCACCUCCACACAUGGUUUAUAGCAAUUACUUCAUAGUUGGCGACAUACCCUCAUAGAAGUAAUUCACCAACAUCCAUGUGUCAAAACCAUAAUGAGGACAAGCAUUGACUACUUUCAUAUAUCUUUCCUAACAAGCAUAAAAAUUUUCAUUGUCCAAUGUCGCAAAGUUGGUAAUUUGCCUUUCAAGCCACUUGUGUGAUGUGUGUGAAAAAAUUUCUUCUAGAAGGUUGUUUGUAGUUCCAACCAUGACCUUAUACUUUGGGGCCUUAGUGAGUUGAACCACAACUUAGCGUUAUCCUUCAAUGUGAAUGGAAAAAGCUUCAAUCUCAUAAACUUCAUGGAUGUGUUUCCCUCAUGAAAUGUAUGACAUACUUCUUCAAAAUCCUUUAUAUGAAUGUAAGGAUUCUCAUUCUCCAUUCCAUGAAAUUGAGGAAAAAGUGGUACCAAGUGAGUUUUUAUCACAAUAGGCUCAUUAGGAAGAACUAUACAUGAUCUCAUGCCUAUCCUUUGAGGAUGCAUAUAUUCUCUCAUUGAUCUAGACAUGUGAGAAUUGCCAUUGUUUGGUCCUUGUUGAGUUUGUUGAUCUUGCCCUUGAUUUUCCAUUUCCUUAACAAUUGGAUCACAAACCAAAGAUGAUUAGUAAUGUAAGUUCUUUGUAAUCUCUCCCCCAAAAUGUAUUCUCAAUGUAGCAUGCAAUGGAAAGCCUACAAAACAAGCCAAGAAAAACAAAAACAAAAUAAAAAGAACAAAAGAGAAAAAUAAAAAGAAAAAUGAAAUUUGAAAGAAAACUAAGAUGAAAGUGGAGAAUUGGUAAAGAGAACUUCGCCAAUCUUGUGAUGUGGAUCACAAGGGUUAAUCCUCACCAAAAAAAUUUUCCUUAAUCACCUUGGCACCACCCUUGACAACGAUGCCAUUUUUGAUCGAUUGAUUUUUCAUCAUUUAUUGAAUCAAAAAAAAAAAAAAACUUAAUUCACUAUUCUAGAGUAGCUUGUACCAGAUCAAAAAUGGUUUUAGUAGUGGUUUUUAGGUAUUGUCCACUAGGGUGGAUUAUUCUCGGUAAUUAAGGCUUGAAUGAGAGGAUAAGAAAUGAUUAUGAUCAAGUGACAUUGAAUUGAAAAUUCAUAGUGAAAAAUCAAUUUGAUAGUGGUCUCAAAUUGAAAAGAAAAAUGAAAUGUAAAAUAGAAGAAAAUUAAUAGGAAAUGAAAUUCUCAGAGUUAGGAUUUUCUAAAAAAUAAUUUCCAUGGUGAAUAGAUGUUGAGAUCUAAUUUUCAUCAAGAUAAACUGAAAACCUAAAUUUUCAUCUAAACCGAUUUUUGAUUUAGCUUUAGGUUUAGAUCUAAUUUCUUUUCAAACUAGGUUAUUUAAUCCAAGAGAUCAAUUCAAAUCAUAUAUUCAAUUCAUCUUAAAUUUUCUUCUAAUGAUUCACACAAUGCAAUUAUUCAAUUUCUUCAAAUCUAGCUUUAAGAAUUUAAUGAAUCUACCUAGUUUGCAUUGUAGUAAUCAUUCAAGACAAUUUGAAGAGAAAAAUCCCCAAAAAUCAAUUAAUAAAUCAAUUGGAUCAAAUUACCUUUGUAAUUCAAGCUCAUUUAUCUAAUUCACCAUGGAUCUUGCCUCUAGAUGUUUUCUCCUAUGAGAAAAACGAGAUUUAGCCACUCAUGAUUGGAGAUUUGGUCUCACAAGGCAUGUUUGGUUGGUGAGAAAAUAAGAGAAAAUGAAGAAAAAUUAAGAAUUCUAUUGAGAGAGAAAAUCUGGAAAAUUUUGCAAUUAGAAAUGUUCGAAAAGUUCAUCUCAUGAGAAAAUCAAGUUUCUAUUUAUAGGCCAAGGUCAAGUGGACACUUGGCAUCAUCUAAGAGGUUUUCCGAAAACUUCUUCAUUAAGAAAUCUGGAGUUUAAUAAUAAAAUGGUCAUUUCGCACGAUUGUGCAAAAUAAAAAAUGCAACAACAACAAUUUACAUAUUCCUGGAGCAUUUCGCAUGAUUGUGCUAAGUUUUCGUAUGAUCAUGUGAAAUUAGCUUUGAAAUUCCCCUUGGCUUGCAACACAAAUCCACCUUCUGGUCCAUUUUGCAUGAUCAUGCGAAAUUUUUGUAUGAUCAUGCGAAAUUUUUGCAUGAUCAUGCGAAAUGGAAAUAUUAAUUUUUAAACUCUUUUUUGUCAUUUCUUCCAUUUCUUUCUUUUGAAUCCACCUCAACCACUUCCAAAUUAGCUCCAAAUCUUGGUCCAAGUGCAUUGAUUAUUCCUCAUCAUCCACAUUAUUUGCCCUUCCUCAAUUCCAUUUCUCUUUUGUCUCUCAAUGCUUCAAAAAUCACCUUGAAAUAUCUCCAAAACAUUAUAAAAACCAUUAGUAUCUCUUGCAAGGGCAACAAUGUAUUACUUGGGCAUAUUAGGCAUAAUUACUACUCAAAAGGUAUGGAAUUCAUGAGAAUUAUUAUUUAAAAUGUGUUGUUUUUGAGUAGUAAUCAGUUGACUUGAUGAUUAUUUUGUAUAUAUUUCACAUGCCUUAAUGUACAUUGAUUCUUGUUAUUAUAUGUGUUUGCAUAUAUCUACUUAUGUCUGUAUAUAUCUAUUUUGCAUGAUUGUGUGAUGCAUGGCUACCUUGAUUCUGCAUAAUGCAUGUUUUGCUUUUUUGUGUAGGAUACACGUUUAUCCCUCUAUCUCGAACUCCCUGGCCUUGAUCAAUUUUCUUCUUUUGAUCACACAUUUGGUGUGUGAGACUUGGUGCCUUAUUUGUUUCCCGAGUAAGCUAGUGUUUAAAAGUAGGGUCUAGUUGUGGGUUGUAUGUAUGUUUGGGAGCACUUAGAGCAUUGUCAUGACAUCAUCAACUUCUUGAGAUCAUCACCUUAGAGGAUUUAUCAGAAUCCUAUUCGGUCACCUCAUCCCUACUAUCAUCCCACUUUGCCACAUCAUCCUACCUCACCAUGUCAUCACUUUGCCACAUCCCUAGUGCCUUAACAUCAUCUUACGCUGCCAUAUCAUCCUUGUCGCUUUAUUCUUAUCAUAUCAGCACUCUACCUUAUCAUCUCAUUCUUAUUGUCAUCCCCACUUUGCCUCAUCGUCAUAUUUUAUCAUUUCACCCCACAUUUUUUUUAUGUCAUCAUUCUAUAUUGUUGCAACAUCAUGAUGCCUUAGAGAGCAUCACAACAUCAUUGACCUCAUGUUAGUGGAGGUCACCACAUCAUCUCCACUUAGAGUUUGAUCAUUGAAGACUUGUAUAACUUAUGACUAGAUUCAAGAUAAAUGUGUGACCACUGUGUUUAUUUUAAUUUUUUUGCUUUAGUUUAAGAGGUUGUUUAGAUGCACUUAUGCCACACACUAUACACAUUAGAUCAUCUUGUAUGUGUGUUAAGAGAGUUAACAUGUGCUAAACAAUAGAAAACCUUAACCAUUAGGAAACCACCUUAAGAUGUCAAGGAAGUGCACGUGUAGAGGUGAUGACAACCUUGCAUGGAAGCUCUUAGUCUCUUUGGAGGAGUGUAGGAGGUUAUGUACCAACAAUGGGUAUGAUUGCUCCUACUAGAUACCUUUGAUCCUACCUUUUAGAGCCAUCUUUACCUUGUAGAAUGAGAAUUAGAUCCGUGGACCUAGGUAUCUACCCACACGUAGGUGCAUUCAUGUAUAGGAAUUUGAUAACAACAAUUUUGCAUCAACAUUAGAGUUCCAUUAACAUAGAUUAGUUGUAUUAUCAUCCUCUUUACUCUUCAUUAGUUGGAUUCAGUUAGUCAAUCUUCUAGGUUAUACAUUGGUCGAUCUUAUAUAGCCUUCUUCCCUUUAGAAUUUUGUCAACUUGAAGAUGUCUUAUAUAGAAAGGAUUGAUUUUUCUAAAUGUAUUGUCAAUGUUUUAGGUUGUUGUACAUUAAGUGUAGCAUUCUAGGAUAUGUUAUUUGACAUUUUUCAACCUAAGUCUAGGGUUUUGUGUUCCGUGGGUCAUUGAUAGGUUCCUUAGGUAACUCAUGUUAGUUAGAUUUUUGAGGACCUAGCUAGCUUCUUCUAGGUGAGAUGGUGGGUUGUUUGUCAAAGUUGGUGAGACUAUUUAUUUUUGUUGCAUCAAAACUAGUUGUCUUGGUUAUUGAGUUUGUGUUAGUCUUGUAGUGUAGUUAGAGUUUGUAUUCCUUGUCAAGUGUUUUGACUUGUUAGUAUUUGUUUCUAUUAUGGAUGUACAUUGAUCAUUAGACUUGACCUUUUUCAUUGAAUAUAUGUUUGUAUCUUAUGGUGCAUGUGUUAGACUUUUGAUAUGACGCAUUAUUCACUUGCAUAUCACGAUUAUUGGGCCUAACCCAUCAUAGAGGAUACAAAGCCCAUUAACCUAGGACUAAAGGAUCGACUUAGGGAGUUUAAGAUUGCGGCUUAUUUUUCUUAUCAUCAGAGUUGUACCUUAUCCACUUCCAUUUACACUUUGAUCUUUACAUCUUAUCUAUCUUGAGCCUUGUAUAACAUUUACCCUUUGACACCAUCACAUGACCUUUGCAUCCCUUCUUAUCAUAACUUAUACAACAUCAUCUACAUAGACAUAGUUCCAAUCUAUUUAUUUGUUUUUUGUACUUGAGGUUGAUUUUAUGAGACAAGAAGAGUGGCUUACGAUGAGCAAAGUGGUCGAUUGUAUUAGAUCAUUAACUAUUCUAUGGUUGAGAGAAACAUCUUGACAUUGUUACAAAACAUCAAGAAUAGGAUAUUUAUGCAUAAUUUUAGAGGGAUGGAAUGCCUAAAUUUUGAUAUUGUACACCAAUCUUUAGUGUUGACCAUGCCAGAGUUUAAGAGCAUGAUGUUUGAGGUUUUGACGAAAGAAUGGGUGGCCAUCAUUUCAUGAGCCUAUUUAUAUAAUCACCUUUGUGUAUAAAGUUACCCUUUGCUAGCCAAUUGAGUCAUGCAUAUUUGACAUUUUGAUUCAUGACCUUGCUUACCUUGUUUCUCAUACCUAUGGUUAGGGCCUCUCGGCACAUUUUUGCUUAUAGAUAAGAUCACCUAGGUUGUGGGCUCCUCAGCUGAUUCAUCUUUUGCAUUCAUUAUGUUCAUCUUGAUCAUUUGUAUUAUUUCAUAUGUACCUUUUCUCAAUACUUAUUGUACCCAUUUGAUCAUCGUUCAUUAUUCUAUCAUUAUGAGUUCAUAUAUAUACAUAUGACUUAGCCUUCUUGUACAUAUAUUAAGAUUUGUAUAGGUUACCUUAGGAUCCUUGUACAUGAUUGCAUUGAUUCAUUGGUUUGAUUAUUGUUAAAAAGAAGAAAAAAGAAAAAUUAUGAUGUUAGUCUUUGUUGACGACUUGUGUGAUAGUUUUGAUCUUUUCAUUAUAUAUAUCCCUCUUAUCUAUACAUCAAGUUAUGAUUGAGUUGUGGGUUUUAUACCUAACUAUGACAUUUUGCUUCUCUUAUACUGAAUUACUCUUUUUAUUUAGAGUUUUAUUCUCAUUCAUCUUGGUUAUGUUUUUUUUUUUUUUUGCUUAUAUAUUGAGUUAUCAUUCAUUGACAUUAUCUGCUUUACCUCUAGCCAUUGUUCUAUUCCUUUGAUUCUUUUGAGCCUAUUCUAGAGUCUUACCCUUGUCAUUUCCAUUUCUUUGACUCAUUCAUAUGGAUGGUUGGUAUUUGUGUAGUUCUGAUCUUGGUUUUUUUUUUCUUUCUUUUCAUUCAUUCAUGGUAUGUAUCAUAGUGUAUUUUUUUCAUUCAUUCAGUUAUCUAUAUCAUUGAGCAUCUAUGAGGUCUAUAAUCUUUGAGUUUCUUUAUCUAUUACAUUGUGUAUGCCAAAGGCAUGGGGAUUGUAUCAUUAGGAUUAUCGAGAUUAGUUUCCAUUCGUUUCUUUUGCCCUAUUACCUUAGCCUACAUUUCAUCUUAGGUCUCAAGACAACCUUGAGACCAUGACAUUAUGCAUUAUGCUUGAUAGCUCACACGUGGGCGACAUUUGAGAUUGGUUGAAGAUCACUUAGAGCAUUAUGGAUGAGAAACUAUGAGAGGGUUUACACUGGGGCAUAACCUCUCAUCAAUUAUUGAUUUUUGAUAUGAUAGCUUAUACUAGGGCAUUGCCAUUUCAUUCCCUCUCAUGGAGCAUGAUAGAUCAGGAGUCACUCAGAUUCAUAUUGACAUAUAUCUAUUUUUUAGAUAUAGGAUAAAGUUUGAUUUUGAUUAAACAAUUUACACUAUGGCAUAUCCAUCUCAAGGAGUUUAUAUUGGGUUGUAGCUCUUUUAUUGGUGAUUAAUUUUUUAGAUAAUAGCUUAUAUUGAGGCAUAGUCACUUCAUUCCUUCUCAUGGAGCAUGAUAGAUAAGGAGUGACUUAGAUUCAUAUCAACAUAUAUCCAUUUUUUAGAUUUGGGAUUGAGUUUGAUUUUGAUUUGACAAUUUACACUAAGGCACAACCACCUCAAAGAGUUUAUACUGGUGUAUAACCCUCUCAUUGAUGAUUGAUUUUAGAGAUGAUAGCUUAUUCUAAGGCAUAACCACUUUAUUCCUUCUCAUGGAGUAUGAUGGAUUAGGAGUCGCUUGGAUUCAUAUCAACAUAUAUAUAUAUAUAUAUAUAUAUAUAUAUCUAUUUUUGAGAUCUAGGAUAGAGUUUGAUUUUGAUUUGACGAUUUAUACUAGGGAAUAGCCACCUUAGAGAGUUUAUACUAGGGCAUAACCCUCACAUCAAUGAUUGUUUUUUGAGAUGAUAUCUUGUACUAGGGCAUGCCUUCAUUCCCUCUCAUAGAGCAUGAUGGAUUAAGAGUCACAUGGAUUGAUAUCGACAUAUAUCCAUUUUUGAGAUAUGGGAUGGAGUUUGGUUUUGAUUUGACAAUUUAUACUAAGGCAUAACCACUAUGCUCGAUUCCCUACACUAGGACAUAUUUGUCUUCUAGAGGAGAUUUGAUACUCCCUUCACAUUAUAGUAUGAAGAUACUUUAGGGAGUAGAGAUCUAUCUUGAUGAGAUUGUGUAUGUUACAACAUAACCAUUCUAGAGAUUACCUUGCACCAAGGUUUGACAUUUCAAAUGUUACCUUAUAUACUAGGGCAUACACCUCUUAUCAGUGUUUGUUUUGAAGAUGAUUAAUUUGUUUUGGCCUUACCCAAUUUGACUCGAUAUAUUCAUGUUGGGGCAUAACCCACUCAGUUGGUGAUUGAUUAUUUUUCGAAAUGACAAUUUAUACUGAGCAUAACCACGGUUUGAAUCCUUACAUUGGGGCAUAGCCAUUUUCUUGGAAAUGAUCAGACAUUCUUUUCAUAUUGGAGUAUGAGAGAUGCUUGAGAGAUAUUGAUUUGAUGUCUUUUAUAUUGGGGCAUAACCAUUUAAGGGAGUAUUUAUACUGGGGCAUGACCAUCUUAUUGAUCUUCUAGCUAGGAUAUUGAAAUUCGGCCACUUGAUUGAGGUUUUUUAUGGGUUUAGAGAUCAUGACACCUUGGAUUCAGUUUUCUUACCAUACCUGGUCUGAUUUAGAUACCCUCUUACAUUUAUUUCAUACCAAAACACUCCAUUUUUGCUAUCUUCACACUUAUAUCUUGUAUUCAAUCCACCCAUCUCAUUCCAUCAUGACGUAUAAACUUAUUUUGCUUCCAAAUCAUAGGAGGAUGUAGACCAAUCAUGAGUUUCCUAGUCAAACUUUCAUGUGCAUUUUGGAUACUGAAUUUACCCUCUUCCAUGAUGGCAAGGCUUGACAAAUUGUCGAUUGUUUGUGAUAUUUUUCAUUUGAUAGUCUACAUGUCAUGGCAUGACUUGGUGCAUAUUUAGACUUAAAGCUUUAGUUAGCUUUGUUUUUGUCCAUCAUUCAAUUUUAUUUUGAUAACAUGGUCCUAAGACCCAUAGUCCUAUUUAGCUUUUCUAAUUGUGGAUUAGACAUUUUCAUCUUAUUGUUGAUGAGUGUAUCCUAUAGUACAUCGGUUGUUGUAUAACAUUUCGUAUCUUUUGUAUUUUCUUUUUUUAGUCUAAUGUUAGUUGUCUUUUAAUCUUUGGUAUUUUCUUAGUCAUCAUUUGAACCCUAAGUUGUACCAUUACUUCAUCUUUGCCUCACCCUCGAUCAACCUCAAGCCACACUUUUAGGUCAUUAUUCAACCCUCAGUCAAACCUUCGUGUAUCUUUAGGUUUUCUCAUAUUUCCUUAUCUAUCUUGCUCAUCGAUCAGCCUCAACUUUAUUGUUAGAUCAUCUCUUUAUCAUUUUAGAUGAACCUUGAGCUUUAUGGUUAAAUCCUCUCAUCGAUCACCCUCUAACACCAAGCUAUGCCUUUAAAUCAUCAUUUGGCUAAGAACCACAUUUUUAGUAUUAUCCUAAUCACUUUUUCACUCAUCGUGACUAUGCCUUACUAUUAAAGUUUGACCCAUUUUUUAAGUUUUUGUUAGUCACACCUAACUAUUUAACAUUUUAUGUCUCUAUUAGUACUGCACCCUAAUUGUCCAACAUUUUUAUGUUUUUCUAUUAGUGUCAUGCCCUGAUUGUCUGACACCUUUUAUGUUUCUUAAUAUCGUGCCCUACCUGUCUAAACUUUUUUAUGCUUCUUGUUAAAUUCGCACCUUGACUAUUCCAACUUUUUUAUAUUUUUUUUUAGUACUACACCUUGACUAUUUGACCUCAUUUAUGCUUUCUUAGAGUUGUGUCAUGACUGUUUGACCUUUAUGUUUCUUGUUAGUGUCAUGCUAUGACUAUUUGACCUUUUUAUGUCUCCUAUUAGAGUUGUGCCUUGAUUGUCUUACUUUUCAUGUCUUUUCUUACAUUGUGCUUUGAAUUGUCCAACUUUUCUAUGUCUUGUUUUUAGUGUCACACCCUAACUAUCCAACCAUCUUAUACUUAUUUCAUUAUCGUGCUUCAAUUGCCCGGCCUUUUAUGUCUUCUUUUAAUGUCGCAUCCUAACAGUCCAAUCUUUUUAUGUCUUUUUUAAUGCUACGCCUUGAUUGUCUCGCCCUUUAUGUCUUAUUUUAGUGUCGUGUUAUGACUAUUCAACCUUUCUAUGUCUCUUUCAUGUCACGCUUAGAUUGUUUAACCUUUUUAUGCUUCUCCCAUUGUCGUGCCCUAAUCGUCUAGCCUUACUAUAUCAUUUUUAAUGUCCAGCCUUGACUAUCCAACCUUCUUAUGCUUAUCUCAUUAUCGCAUUUCGACUGUUUGGCUUUCAUGUCUUUUUUAAGUAUUAUACCUUGACUGUUCGACCUCCUUUUUAUGUUUCUCUUAAUGUUGCACUCUAACUAUCUAGCUUCUUUAUGUUUCUUUUUUAGUGUUGUGCCUCAAUUGUCAGGCCUUCUUAUGCUUCUCAUAUUGCUGCACCUCGACUAUUCAACCUUUCUAUGUCUUUUUUUUUUUUUUGUGUCGCACCCUGACUAUCUGAUCUUCUUAUGUUUCUUUCAUUAUUGCACUUCUAUUAUUCUGUCUUUCUAUAUAUAUUUUUGAGUGUUUUGCCCUUACUAUUUGGACUUUUUAAGUUUCUUUUAGUGUUGCACCUUGAUUAUCCGACUUCUUUAUGUUUCUAUUUAGUGUCACACCCUAACUGUUUGGCCUCCUUAUAUUUUCUUAAUGUUGCACCUUAAUUGUCUGACUUUUUUAUGUCUUUGUUAGUGUCACAACCUAAUUAUCCAAACUUUUUUUUUUUUAUGUUUUCUAUUAAUGUCAUGCCUCGACUAUCUGACUUCUUUUAUGUUUUCUUAGUAUCGCGCCUUGACUAUUUGACUUCUUUUUGUCUCUAUUAGUGUCAUGCUUUGAUUGUCUAACUUUUUCAUGUUUUUCUAGAGCUAUCUUGACUAUCCUACCUUUUCAUGUUUUCCUAAAGUUGAGCCUUGACUGUCCAACUUUUAUUAUGUUUUCCUAGAGUCGCACCUCGAUUGUUGGGUCUUCUUUGUGUUUUCUCUAGUGUCCAUGUCCUGACUACCCGACCUCUUUUCAUUUUUAUUUUAUUAGCCUUGAGUUUUUUCUCUAAUCAUUAGUAUCCUCUUUUUUCUUCUUACCUCUCUUGUUCACCCAUUCAUUCCCCCCUUUGGAUACCAGGGUCCCUAGUGUUUCACAUAGAUAUUAUCACUACCCUGUUCAAAAGAGUUUCCCUUAAGAUCCACGUAGAUAUUACAUGUUUCUCCACUAAUAGAUCAAUGAGCACAUUUCAUAACCUUAGAGAGCUUGUGUCUUAUUAGGACAAAUUUGGUGAUCUUUCUUGUACUUUAGUAGAGUCCACUUCAUUUAGUUGGUUUAUACACUUACUUCACGUGUGAACUCUUUUGAAAAUGGGCAUAUUUGUAUAUCCCAAAAUUUGCCCUAAGCCCACUCUUACUUUUUAUUUUAUUUUAUUAUUUUAUUAUUAUUAUUUAUUUGAUUUUUACUUUAUUUUUUUCUUCUUUUCUUUUUCUUUUUUUGUUCCUUCCUUGUUUUUCACCUUUUUUUUCCCACAUGUGUGCAACUACAGAACCCUUCCCCUUCUUAUUUUUCCCUCUUUUUUUUUCUUCUUUCUUUUUUGUUUUUCUUUCUUUUCUUUCUUUUUCUCUCUUCUCUCUACCUACCCUCUUUUCCAAACCCAUCUUCAGCUGUCAGCUACCUUCCCUCUUUUUCACUUUUCUUAUUUCUUCUCAUUCUGUUUUUCUUAUUGUUACCCAUUUCUCUCUCUCACCUUGAAGGUCCAUAACCAUGCUUGCCUUAUACUCAACACUCUUACCACUAGACAGUCGCCAUCGACGAGCCAUUAUUUGUCUGUGAUCCCUUUUCUCUCUUUUCUUUAUUUUCUCUCUCUUUCUCUUAUAUCACUCAUUUUCUUUUAUUUAUUUAUUUAUUUAUUUAUUUAUUUAUUUAUUUAUUUAUUUAUUAUUAUUAUUAUUAUCCCAUUCUUUCCCCUUAUCCCUUAUUCCACAUUGCAUUCAUGAAACGAGUAAGAUGUCAUUUUUCAUUUUCUUAUUUCUUUAGUCAUUUUAUUUUUUAUUCCUAUAGUAAUUUUUCUUAAUUGUUGAGUUUGCUUGUUUGGACUUUAGAUAAUUUUGCUUGAAAUUUGCAUAUUAGAUGUUGAUCUUUUCUUGGAUUUUAAUAAAUUAAGUUAUCUAAAAAAUCUUCUUUUAAAAAAAUAAAAUAGGUCCAAUAAGACAUUUUCAUUAAAUAAGAUAAAUGGACCCAAAAAUUUCUUUUAAUAAAAAUAAGUUUUAGACAUCUUUUUUAGAUAAAAUAGUCCAAAAUUUUUAUUUUAAUAAAAGAAACAAUUCAUAAUUUUAAAAUAAAUAAAUAAAUAAAAUGUCCAAAAAUAUUUUUUCAAAUAAAAUAAACUAAAAAUAUAAGUAAAACAAUCCAAUAAUCUUGUUUUAAUGAAAUAACAGUUCAAAAAAUAUUCUUUUUAAUAGAGAAAGUUUUCUUGAUAGAAAGUUGAGAAAAAAGUUUUUUAAGGAAUAUAAAUUUUUUUAAAUAAAAAUUCAAAAAAUUGUUUUUAAUAAUAAACAUUCUAGAAAUUCAUUUGUUUAACAAAAUUUUCCAAAAAUAAAAAAUAAAAAAUUGAGUUUUAAAUAAAAUUGUCUAACAAAAAUAAUUUUAAUAAAAUCAUCCAAAAAUUGAAUUUUGAAUAAAAUUCUCUUUCCUUGAUAAGAAUGGGAUUAUAAAUCAUUUUUAUAAAGAAAGGUCUUACUAAUUUUUUUUUAAUAAGAAUAGGAUAAGUAAACCUUCAAAUCGAAUGAAAGACAUUUUUUUAAUAAAUUGGUAAACUAAUCUCUUUCUAGAUGAAAUCCAAAAAUUCUUUCUUAAUAAAAUUGGAAUCCUUGGGAAUAAAUUUGUGAAAUUCUUUCUCUAAAUAAAUUAGUAAUAAAGAAUCUUUUUCUAGGUAAAAUAAAAAUAUAUAUAUUUUUAAAAAAACUAGGUUGAGAUUCCUUCUUAUAAACUUGUAAAUAUCUUUCUUUAAGUUUGUAGAUUUUUUUUUUUUAAAUAAAUAAAGAUUGAAUCAAAACACUUUUUAAAAUAAAUUAGUAAAAUUCACCCCUUCUUAAUAAGGUAAACAAAAAUCAUUUCUUGUAAAUCAAAUAAAAUCUUUUGUAAUAAAUUGAAGCCUUGUGAAUAAAUAAAUUCAAAUCACUAAUUUGAAAUUGUUGUUAAUAUAAAUGAAUUAUUUGAAAUAAUAAAAUCUUUCUAAUAAAUUAUUUUGUGUAUUUCUUAUCUAUCAUUUUUUCAUAUCCUUAUAAUUUGCUUUUGCAUUAUUCCAUAUACAUGUAUUAUUUUUUUUCAAUAUCCAUGAUUAAUUAAUUAAUUAUCAUAAUUCCCUUUUAUAUGCUUAGUAAAAACCUUUUUAAGGCUUAAAACGGUGCUAUUAUGAUACCUUCCCAAUGGGUAACUUGACCUUUGGAUUCAGACUCAGUUUUUUCUUACACAUCUUGUGGACUUGCGUUUCUCACGUGCGCCCCCACUUGAUAAGUGAGACUCGCUUUUAUUUGUGAAAAAUUUUAUUUUUUGAAAAGUCAGAGUCGCCACUUAUUUUAUUUUAUUUUAAAGGGAAAAUAAAACAAGAAAUAAAACCCUGAAAAAUGACUCCAUAGUUUUUGGAAAACUCGAGUUUAGGUUCAGGGAUCAGGUUACUUGUUGGGAAGGUACCUCUAAAAAGGUAGCACCAUCUAAGCCCUACAAAGGUCUCUACUGACUAAGUUAAGGGAAAUGUGGCAAUUAAUUGAUUAAUUGAGGAUACCUAGGUAGACUAAGGUGAUUUCAAAAAAUAUAGCAUGCCAAACAAGAUCAAAUCACAAUAAAGGAGAGUUAGGAUGCAUACCUGAACCGUUUCUCUAACGUUUUCAUAAAACAUUAGAGUUAGCAUAGAAAUAUAACACACGACAUGUAUUUAAUCAUAGCAAAUCAAGCACACAUCUAAGCACCUAAAGAUCACAUCAAACAUAAAUGAAAUUCACAAUAACAUGCAUGUUCAUAAAAUUUCGAAAGAGCGUACCUGGAUAGCAUGCAUAUUUUAUAAGAUUCCUCAAAAAAAAAAAACCUAGAGUGGUUAGGACAAGUAUAUAUCAUAUAAAAUCUUUAUUAUGUCUAAUAUACAUUGCCAAAGCCAAAAUCGAGCUAAGAUAAAUCAAAUAACUCCAAAAAUAAUACCAAUUCAAGCAAGUAUUGAGUCAUCAGCACGCAUAUAAUAAAGGGAGCAUCAAAAAAAUAAUUUCUAAAAAAAUGUCUCGGAGUGGAAUUUAAUCACAAAAAAUUGUGGGAAACAACUCCUACACAUCUAGAACAAGAUACCAAAAUCCAAACACUCAUUCAAAUGUCAAAUUGCAGAAAAGAUGCUCAAAAGUUCCACAAAGUCUAGAUUAGAUAAGAAAAAAAAAGUGACAUGCAUAAACGAAUUUAAAAAUAAUAAUAAAUGAUCACAUAAAAUCAUACAAAAAAUCACACACAUAUUUCAAAAUGUCUAUAUCACAUAAAAAAUGAAUUCAAGGUCGGAUAGUACUCAAAAACAUUUUUAAAACACUUAAGCUAAUCAACUAUCUAUAAUUUAGCAUGCAUAGUAGGUACAACUUUUAAAAAUCAUAUCUCCCUCAAAAAAACAUAUUUUUAAAUAUUUUAUGUGUCCAAUAUCAAUUUUAAAAAGCCUAUAAUUGAGGAAAAAUAUUGAAUCAAAUUUAAAAAGCCAUCUGGUAUUUUAUUUUUGCAAAAAUAUCUUAGGUAUCCAGAACUGGGUGAAAAUGGAGCCCCCCUAAAGACUUGUUUAUAUCUUCUAUUCCAGAAUGGCUUUCUAACUCAAACGAAACUUUAAAUUCAAGUUUGAGAAAUGAGGAAAGUCAUACAAGUUUUGGAAAUAUUUUAAAAAUAUUAUAAAGUUGCUAAAAUGAAUUUUAAAUCUAAAGGGUCAGUGGCUGAGCGAAAACUUGGUAGCAAGGAAGAGGUUUGAAACAUUUUCUUAUGUAGGGGUUUCACCAAUUCCCCAAUUAGUAUACACAAAUUUAGCCUAGAAUAAUCCCAUUUAUUUGGGACCACAAGCUUUGAUUCGUAUUUUAUUCAAAACCAAGAUUUUUAUUGAAAACUGAGAAGGAUGCAAACCAAUCAAAAAAAUGAUUGCAUAUUAUUUUAAGAAAAUGAGAUUGCAAUUCUAAGGACUCUAAUUCAAUUUUUAAAAUACAUUUUUAUGAGGAACAUUUUGAGAAAAGUAUCUUAUUCUAAAAAAAAAUAUUUUGAAAAAAACAACAAAAUGUACAAGACAAAACAUCAGGCAAAACAAAAGAAAACAAAAUCACCAAGAAGAAUUUUUGACAACCCAAAAAAAAAAUUGAAGUCGUGAGAAUGGAGACCAAUCUUCACUAUUUUCCGAUGGCCUCUGAAAAGUAAAUUUUACCAAAGACUACCUAAGCAAUAAACUAUUCAAACUUAAAUGAAUUAAAUUAAUGACUAAUAUUAAAAAAAACAUAUCAAUUAAGAGUAAUAAUAACAAAUUAGCACGUGAUCGAUUAAACAUACAAACACACCUUAGACCAAUUCAAAUGGACCAAAUCAAAUCAAGGCAAACAAUAAUUUUCAAUUUAAGAAUUAAUUUUAUUAACGAACUAAUAUUAUGGAAAAUACCUAAAUUGAAUUGAUGAGGGAAGUUAAAUCAGAAUAAACUAAGGACAUUCACAUUUGAAUAUAGAAUUGAUUUUAUUAAUAACUUAAAAUUAUUAACACAUCUAAAAUAAUUAAAAUGAAUCAAUUUAAAUGAAAGCAAACUAAAAACAAAAUAUGAAUUCAAGGAAUCUACUCUCUAAAUAAACUUACAUUAUUAAAAUGAAAUCUAGGCUUAAAAAAAAUAUUUUUAACACUAAUUAAGGCAAGUCUAAAAUCAAAUAUUUAACACUUAAAUUAAUUAUUUUAACAAACAAAAAUUUUACAAGAGCACCUUAACCUAAAUUUAAAUAAAAACACUAACCAUAAUAUAUUUUAAAACGAGAUAUCUAACCUAUAGAAUUAAUCUAUUGACACAUGGAUAAAAAGACAACACAUAAAUAAAUAAUAUAAUUAAAAAAAACAAAAUAUGAAUUAAUGGAGUCAAUUUUCUAAAUAAACUUACAUUACAAAAAUGAAAUCUAAGCUUAAAAUGAAUUAAACACUAAUUAAAGUCAAUCUAAACUUAAAUUCUUAACACGCAUGAUCAAUUAUUUUAACAAACUAAAAUUUUACCUUAACCAAAAAUUAAAUUAUAAAAUUACCUGAGACUAAAUUUCUAACCUAUAAAAUUAAACUCAUAAUCAAAUGGAUAAGUUGAUAACACAUAGACAAAUAAAUAUGAAUGAAACGAAAUACGAACUCAUGGAAUUAAAUAAUUUUUUAUUUUUUAUUUUUAAUAAACUUACGUUACUAAAAUAAAUUUGAGCUUAACAAACAUUUUUAACACUAAUUAAGGCAAGUUUAAAAUAUAAUAUUUAACACAUAAAAAUCAAUCAUUUCAACAAACUAAAAUUUUACUUAAACCUAAAACCAAUUCAAAUGACCUAUGGACUUUUUUUAUCAUUUUUUUUUUAAGAAAAAAUGAAUUUUUAACUCAUAGGUUCAAUAUUGUUAACAAAUAAAUAUAUAAAUAGAUUACAAAGCAUUAAAUUGAUGGCAAACAAAUAAACAAAUAAUCAAUAAUUAAGUGAAUCAAGACUAAAUUGAAUAAAGAACAAAUUAUAUAUAUAUAUAUUCAAAGUAAAGCUACAUAAAAUUAUGUUUUCUAAUCUUUAAACACAUGCUGCCAUAUUUAAAGCAAUUCACGCUGGAGCUAGUAAUGUUGGUCAAACCACCCAAUACAAUAAUAAUUUCACUAAUAAUAAUAAUAAUAAUAAUAAUAAUCUAGAUGUGCAUUGUUAUUGAAAACACAUAUAAUAACAAUUCUAAUCUUUAAACUCAUGCUGCCAUAUCCAAACCAAUACAUCUAGUAAAAGUCAAACCACCCAAUGUAAUAAUAAUUCCACUUGAAAAAGUAAUCUAGACUUGCACUGUUACUAAAAACCCAUACUAAAAAAAAACAAAUAACGCACCUAGUUGGCUUACCAAACAACUUGGUGGUGUGUAGCUGCUUUCAUUUCUCCAACGGUGCUCGGGAACAAUGGCGUGCUGGUUGAUGGGAAAUGAUAUUAUCUUUCCUCAUCCAAUACGUUUUCAAGGAUGUGCGGAUGGAUGGGUUGUUGUCCAGAUGGUCCAUUCGGUGAGUUUAAAUGUCGUCUCCCUUCGCUCUGAAAACUCCCUGUCGAUCCCUUCAAACAGCCGUAUUUAUCACGUUCUCAAAAACUCUUCCUUUCGAUCCCUUCAAAUAGCCCCUCUCAUUCUGUAAAAAAAAAAAAAAAAUCUUCUUUUUGAUACCCUCUAACAACCCUUCUAUCUCUGUAAAACCCUCCCUCUCUUAUCCCAAAACGACAACCUAGUGAUGAUAAAAAAAAUCAACAACAGCCCGUUGAUAAAAAAAAAAAAAAUCAGUAGCAGCCCGAUGAUGAUAAAAAAUCAUAGCAGCAGCAAUCCGCUCUUCCUUUUUUUUUUUUUUUUUUUUUCUUUAUGGCAGCCUCCUCCACUCUGAAAAACUCCUUCCCGCUCAUUUUAAAAUGGCACCCUUCCUCCCCUUAUUACCGAUCACUUCAAAUAUCCUCCCUCCCACGUUGUCCUCCUCUCAUUUUUUCUCAAAACUCUGUCAAACUCCUCUCUCUCAAUCAAUCCGUGGUUCCUCUCAUUAGUCCCGUUGACUCUACCAACAUGGAAAAAAUCCCUCACCAGUCUAGAGAAAACCAGUAAUCUUCCGCAUCAGUCCAACAUGAUUAGAACCCUCUCAUUUUGAACCUAGCCUUCAUUCCAUUCCUAUACACACCGAACAUCUUCUUUUCACCUGCCAAAAUCAGCUUUGGUAAGUUUCUAAACCUUCCCAUCUCUCUCUUUCUUCCCUUUUUCGUAUCUGUCUUGGGUUGAAUGCUCUUUCAAAUCACGGUCGAAUCUCCCUUCCAUAGAACCAUGCAAUAAAAAUAGUAAAAACAAAAUCAUCCAAUUAAAUAGUAAUAAUAAUAAUAAUAAUAAUAAUAAUAAUAAUAAUAAAUAAAUAAAUAAUAAUAAAGAUGAUUAAUCAUAUACAUGUACAAGAUAACCAAAAUAUUAUUUCAUGAUAAAGAAACAUAACGUUAGUAUCUUAUAAUCUCCUAAAAAUAAAUAAAUAAAAGAACAAAUAAACUAAAACCCACUUAAAACAAAAAUCAAACAAAUAGAAUUCCAGAAGACAAACCUCAGUGUACUAAGCUUAAAGAACUACCCAAGGGAUUCUAAGUGGGCCUAAAGUGGUGCCUAAGUGGACCUAGGAUGCCUAAGUAGGCCUAGAGUGAUACAUAAGUGGGCCUAAGUGGGCUUAGAGUGGGCCUAAGUGUAUCUAAGUGAACCUAGGAUGCCUAAGUGAGCUUAAAGUGGUGCCUAAUGGGUUAGGCAUGUCUAAUGGGCCUAAGGUGUACUAAGUGAACCUAAGGUGCCUAAGUGGUGCCUAAGUGGGCCUAAGUCUAAAUAGGGCUGCCAAAAGUCACAAUGGGGUUAGGUAAAUCCCUCAACCAAAAUCUCUAAGGUGGCUUAGAAAAAAUACGCUACAUGAGUAGCAAUGGGCCACCACGAAAUUACUGUCAAGUAUCGAACAAAUACCUAAUAGGACACGUGUUAGGAGAACAAAAUGGAGGGUCUACACAUCUUUUCUUUAAAAAUGGAGUUACACUAAGGUUGUAUUUCUUAUUUUGUUCUCUUUAAAAAAAAACCAAAAAUAAGUAACGACUCAAACUUUAAAAAAAAAAAAAAAUCAGUUUUUUACAAUAAAAACAAGUCUCACCAUCAAGUAGAAACACACAUGACAAAUGUAGGUUCACAAUUAUAUUUAGACUUAAAAUAUAAUACAAUUACUAAAUCAACGAAUGUUGUAAGUUUUAAAAUCUUUAAUCAUAAAAUAUUCAAAGCACAAUGAAACAAAUAGUUUUCAAAAGAAAAAAAAUGUUUAAAAUGGAAAAUCUAACAAUAAAGACAAUGAAACAAGGUGAUAUGGUAGGAGUUAAAUAGAAAAUUCUUUUAUCCAUGAAUUUAUAGUUUAUUUAGUAGAAAAAAGUUCAAAAGAAAUAUUGCAUACAUUAAUGGAUUAAGUAGAUAAAAGGGAUUUAAGUAAUUUGAUAUUUAUGCUUUAGUUAGAUAACAUAAAAUAGAAAUUUGAUAUUAUUAGUUUCCAUACUGAGUUUAGAAAUCUAUCAAAUGGAUGUUAGAUUAUCUUUCUUUGAAUGCUUAUAUAAAUUAAGUGUAUAUGGGGCAAUCUAAAGGAUUUAUUGUUAUAGGACAAGAACACAAAGUUAGGGAUAGAUACAUUUAGCUAGGUUGGUUUUUAACCAAUCCAAGAAUCAAAUAGGAGUUCAUUGGUUUUAACUAAAGUACAACAAAUUUAUUUAUUUACUCAAACUAAUCCAACCUAAUAUCAGUUCGAUUCACUUUCGUUAACUCAAUUUAGACAAAAAUAUUAAGUCUAUAUGUUUUUUUUCCACAUUGAUCAUACAACCAAAAUGAUCAAAUUGUUUUAGAUAAAUUUUUUUUUAUAUACAAAUAAUACAAUUAAAAAUUUUAAAAAUAAUGUGUAGGAGUUGACCUGUAGGUUAUUUGCUUGUUGGGAGUAAGUCAAUGAGUAGUAUUAUUGACAUAUUGGGUGCUUGUGACUUGAAAUUAUAUUAUCAUCAUUAUUAAGUCUCAAAGUACAAGGAUUUUAAGUUUUGGAUCAUGCUUAUGCCAUAAGCAACUUUUAAUUUGUAAUAAAGCCAUACAAGUUAGGCUCCAAGCCUCCAACACCAAACUAUAGCACAGCUAAGUUGGCUUUGGAUGAGCAUAGUUUGACUCACAAAGUCCUAAGAUUCUCCACAACACUCCAAAAUCCAAGCAAUUAUAUUUAUCCCACUCCUCUACUACUUGGGUUUGUUUGCUAGUCCACUUUUGGUAAGUGAACUAGGUUGAAUCUUCCAUAAGCCAAGUACAUAAAGUAGUUUGAUCUCUAGUUUCACUGUACUACCAAAAUAGAGUAAUUCAAGUAAGAAGACUUCUAAAGAGAAUAGUCUAGAGGGCUACUACAAAUGAGAAUAGUCUUUUAAACAUAUGUAAUCGAUUGUGCAUUACUUAAGUAAGAAGACUUCUAAAGUUGGAUAAGUUGUUUAGAAUUUUUAAGAGGGAAUUUGUAAACAUCAUAGAAUUGAUUUUAGAGACAUUUACUAAGUUCUAUCAUGAUAAUAAAGUAUUAAGGAAAAACUGUACCACCAAAACCAAGUUGUAUUUGUUAAUAAUACUUACUACAUUUCUAUUAAGAAAGAAAUUAUCUAGUGGUAGAAGACAAGUUGAUCAUUUUAGUUUGUGAAGUUUUCACUACCCAAGCUAACAUCAAAAGCUAUAACAAGACAAAUCCCAAUAAGGUAAGAUAAAAGGCUACAUAGAAGGGACAUCUUGCUCCUUGUUGAAAACCUCAUUCAAUUGCAAAUCUACUACAUCAAGAAUGCUCCCUCUUCUAUAAUUUUCUCAUUCCCAAUGUACAACACUAUUAUUAUAGUUGCUCUACAUGUUUUUUUUUUUUUUUUGGUUAUAGCAAUAACUUCAUUGGUGUGUUAAAUUCUCUUAUAGGUAAUUCCUCAAACAUGUUGUCCUCAUUGUUGCUAUUAAGUCUUGUAGUAUGAAACUAAAAAUUAAAAUUCUUGUAAUUAAAAUCAAAUGGAAGCACAAGAAUUAAAAAAAGCAAACACAAGAGAAACACUCAAAUCCAAUUACAAAGAGUAGCAUCAAAUUUUCCAUAUCUACAAAAUUCAAAUGUUUAGAUUUCCAAAAAUGAAAAUAAUAAUAAUAAUAAGGUUCAUUGAGAGAAGACAUACAUCUACAAAACAUCAAGGUGUAAGGUUAAGAGAGAAGAAUUCAAUCCAUACCUGAUAUGGAGACAUGGAGUCGAACACAUUGACUAGAUUUGAAUAAUGGAAUUCAUCUAUGGGAACUUGUGUACCAUAAGAGGGUUGGUUUUUGGAGGCACUGGAAGGUGGUCGGAGUAAUGGUUGUGGCCAUUGAAAGGGCCAAUGGUGGUGGGAAGCCAUAGUCGCUGGUGAAGAGGAAGGUAGGUGAAUUGGAGACUUGGUAAAGAAGAUAAUGCAAGCUUGAUAAAAUUUCCUCCAUCUUUUCCUUCUCUCUUAUUUUCCUCACUAAUUUUUAAGGAAAAUAGUAGAAAAAAGAUUACAAUAUUUUCUUUAGUAUUUUCCUUUAUAUUUUUUUUUCUAUCAUAUUUUUCAUGUCACACAAACUAAGGAAAAUAACUUUCCACAUUUUUUUUUCCUUUCCUUUACAUUUUCUGAAAACUAAACACAACUUUUAUAAAUAAAAAUUAAGAAUUACAGUAAGAUUGUAUAUUCUUCCUCUUUCUUCCUGCAUUUCUACAUCCAAUACUCUAUUUUACAUCAUAUUUUUACUCCCUUCUUCAAUUAGCAUUCCUCCCUUUAUAUAGAGUUAUCUUCACACCAAUUCAUAAGAUUAGAAAGAUGAAUGAACAUUGGGGCAAGGUUGGACAACUGGUGGCAGCUAUUCAGGGCUAGAAGUCAACUUUUGCUCGACUUUUUGGGCAUGGGCAGCAACAUGUGGACCCCUCUUUAGCAUGAAAAUGGCUAGAACAUGUUAAGCUCUCUUAUUAGAUGAUGUGUCAACUAUAGGGCAAUCAUAGGGUGGGGAAUAUAUGGCAAUUAUGCACAAAAAAAAAAAAUGAAAAAUAGAAAAAUUGGUAUCCAAUUAUAUAGAAAGACAUCUUCCAACAUUUGAUAUAAAUAAAUAAAAAUUAAGAGAAAAAUAUUUUUUUUUUAAAACAUAUUAAACCUAAAAUAGGGACUUAAUAAUAAAAUCAAGUAAAAAGGUAAAAUUAAAACCAAAUAUUAAAUAUGAAUAUAGUUUAAAUAUUAAAAAUAUUAUUAUUUAGGUUUAAUCAUUGGGUUUGCUAGAGGAGUUUAUAUAUAUAUAUAUUUCUUUUUUUUUUUUUAUAAUCCUAUGUUGAUGAUAUUAAUGCAUUGAAUUUGAUGUUACCUAAAACAAAAUUAUAUUUCAUGUCCUCUAUUAUAAGUGGACAACCAUUCCUCAUGUUAGAUUUUAGAUAAAGAACGAAUAUUGAAGAUUGGAGUUGUAAGAAAUUAGGAGAUCCUAAUUUUAAAUAUGUAACAAAGUUCUAUAAUCACUUCAAUUCACGUUUAAAAGUAGUAUUUCUUUCUAAUAUGGGAGCAAACUUUUCUUUCUUUUUUAUAAAUUUCAUUUGAGAAUGAUUUUAAAAUAAAUAAAUAAAAGCCCUGCUAAAUAUUAAAAAAAGACACUUAUAAAAAUUAAUGAGGUGGAUGGUAAGGUCAAAUUCGGGAUAGCUUCAUAUUUUUUUGCUUUAAGUGAAAAUUAAAGUAAUAAUUUUUAAGAUGUUGUAAAAUUUUUAUUAAACAUAAAAGAACUUCUUGUGUAAACAAAAAUAGAAUUAUAGAAUUCUUAUAAGAAAUAACAUUUGUAUGACUUCUAUGUGAAACCUUUUUUUUAACUCUUAAAAGUCCAUCCAAAUAAGAUUAAAACAUAUUUGAAAAUCAUUUUUAAAAAUCCAAAAAUGACUUAAAAAUAAUUUCUGAACUUUUUUUAAAUUUACAUUUAAAUACUAAAUGAUUCUUUUAAAAAUCAUUUAUAAUGUCAAAAUAUUUUUUUAUGGAUAAAAAUAUUACAAAUAAAAAACGUUUUAAUCACAACUAAUUUAUUUUUAAUUCAUGAAAUUUCAUUUAUUGUUAUUUAUUUUUUGGGAUUUAAUUCUUUACAAUUAUUUUUGAGUGUUUAUAAAGUAUAAUUAGGUUAUGCCCAAAUUUAUUCCUUUAACUCUAUCCAUCAGAUAUAAGUAGCGUGAAAUUUUGGCCCGUCUCCACAUUUCUUCGCUUCUGACAUUGACAUGCACUGCUUCGUGAACUCCAAACACAACGGCUAAGGAUCGAAGAAAAUGAGACAAUGGUCAAUGAAUAAUUUAUUAAUUUAUUUCUUAAUUUAAUAGCAUUGAAAUGUCAACUGGAACAAAAUGAAAGCUUAAUUUAAUACCACUCAUGACAACUUUCCUGCCAACUUAACAUAUUGACUUGGACUUGGAGGGUUCGGUCAAUUGCGGCAGCUUAGUUAAUUGUUAGUGUCUUUUCUGUAAACCAUAAAUUUAAAUGAUCAACUCCUACGUUUUAAUUUAGAAAAGCCAGUGAUUUGUUUUUACUAGUUAUUUGAAUUUAAGGAAGGAGGAAAGGGUUUACUUUAAUAUAAAAUAAAAAAAAUAAAAAAUAAAAAAUGAGAGUUGAAAAGUAAUUAAAUCACUAAAAAAAAAAACAGAUUUGGAGUUCUUUCGGUGUGGGGUUAGACUCAAUUUGUACUCAUGCAAUGGAAAUGGACAAUUUUUUUUUUUCCUUUUCCUUUAUCUUGGUGUAGAUCUUGUAAUAUUUUAUAAAAAUAUAAACUAUAUGCCAAUUAUUUUAACUUUAGGAAAAAACACUUAUUCUAAUUUAAAAUAAGUAAAUAAAAAAAGAACUGAUUUUAUCUCAAUUGUAUAAGACUUCAGAAAAAUUAUCUUAUUUGCAAAAUAUUUUCAGAUGUAAAAGUAAAAAUUAAACAAACCAUUUGAUGAUCUUUUUCAUAAGUAUCCAUUUAGAUCAUACUCUAAUUUAAAAAUAUUAGAAUAAAUCAAUUACUCUAAACUAUAUCAUUUAUAAUUUUUUUGAUUAUUAAUAUGCCUUCCAAGGAAUUGGAAUAAAAUAUGGAUAAUUAAAAAAUGUCAACUAUCCCAUUUCUAACUUUUCUAAUACGACAUGAUAUUUUAUCAUGUUGAAUGAAGUGGGUAUGGCCAAAAAUUGUCAACACAAUAGAUAAAGAUAUAUCUAUUGUGGACAUGGCAUUCAGAGGCUUCUUAACAUUGUAUUGGGCUAUUUAAUGAGUUGUUCAUAUUGAAAUUAAUUAAGGUUGAAACAGGAACACAACAUCUUUAUAGAUUUUUAACAAUCCAAGAAAUUGACAUUAAUAAUCCCAAAUACAAUAUUCUGCUACUUAACAUUAUUCUUUUUAUCUUAAUUGAAGAGGAAUACUAACUUAGUCAAAUAGAAAAUAAAUCACGAAAGCUUAAUAAUACAAAUAUUCAGUGAAAUCUUUGGCAUGUUAUUUCUUUGCAGCUUCAACAUGGUGGCAUGUCGGAUGGAGGAGGCAGCAUUUGAGCUUCUGGGUGUUUACCAUUUUUCACUAUGAACGCAGUUUCCAUGCCCCAAGUCAGAUGGCGUUCUACAUGGCAGUGCAUGAACCAUACUCCUGCAACAGAGAAAAUAUACCAACAUUACACCUAACUUAAUUGUAAUAUUAAGAAAAAUUAUUUCAUUGGUAUGCAGGUUGGCAAUUUCAAGGGUUUUUUUCUUUAAUAGAGGACAUGAAUUCUUGUAACAUACCAGGAUUGGAUGCCUCGAAUCUGAUUGCAACCCAACCUUUCGAAGGAACAGAAAUGGUAUUCUGAAGAGGAGGAUCCACCAGAUUAUAGCGCAAAGGGUCCCUAUUUCCAUCGAAAUUCCCAAAUCCCCAUCCAACAACAUAGAAACUGUAUCCAUGGAGAUGCAUGGGGUGAUGUGUCUCUGCAAGCACGGCUGUCCCUUGAAAAAUAAUCUCCACUGUGGAGUUAUACUCGAGCACCCUUACUUCUGUUCCGCUACUCGGCAACUGAUAGGUUAAUGGAAGAUAAUCAUAUGUAAAAUCGAACACAAAUGAUGGAAAGCUAGGAAAGUUAUUUCCAUAUACACCACUGAUGUUAAAAUAGUAAGCUUCCAAUAUGUCAAUUGUAGGCAAAUCGAAGGUUAUGUUGUUUAUACUUGAGGAGAACCGCGUCCCAUUGGGCCCUGCACAUGAAUCAUUGACGCAUGGGUACGAGUUCAUAGAAAGAAUGUAAAACAGGUUAGUGCUCGUGCUCAAUGGGACAUUGCAAGGAUGUUCCGCAUCUGCUAAGCUUCGGAGGCCGGCCAUGACCUGAACCGAUGCAUUUGUGUCAUUGUAUGCAGGAAGAUAAGGCAAGGAGGGAGGUGAAGAUGGAGUGUAGUAUCC